Molecule: long non-coding RNA, 488970 nt
Filed under: Populus trichocarpa (black cottonwood)
Lineage: Eukaryota; Viridiplantae; Streptophyta; Magnoliopsida; Malpighiales; Salicaceae
Description: long non-coding RNA (PTRI_LNC003368)
Rfam family: MIR2912 microRNA precursor family (bases 414058-414213)
Source: RNAcentral
UUUUUGAAUAUGCAAUAUGCAAUAUUUUGGAUUUAUUUAUCUAUAAAUAAUGAUUCUAUGUAUUUCAAAAAUUGUUGAUAAAGAUAUAUUAAACAAUUGAAUAUUUCUUUCUACUAUUUUUUUAUCAUUAUUAAUAGAGACAUAGAGAGCAUGAGAUUUUCUUUUUUUGUCAUUGAUUUUUUGUUCAAGGGUUUUUUUGUUCAGAAGUUAAGUUCAAGGGCUUUUUUUGAGUACAAUUUGGCCUUUUUCUUUCUUGAAAAGGAACUGUCCACUAUAUUAACAAACAAAAUGCGUAGUGAUGUUUUAAAACCCAUCUUCCCAACCAGACACAGAAAUUUAAAAGCCAAAUCAAAGGAAAGCUCAGGAAUAGAACACUUGGCUGUUGAAAACUCGAAAUACCAAUGAAAUGCACAUAAAUUUUGUUCUUACCUGGUUACUUGUAGAGAGUCCAACAUCAUAAACCAUGGUGAGAUCAGUCUUGAAAAUUCCAGGUGAUCGCUCGGAACCAGGUCCAGGUUUCAAGUCUUCGUCAUAAAGAGCAAAGAGGUAUGUAUCCACUGAUUUACCUGGCAUGAGUGGAGUGCCCACCAUCGAUCGAAGGUGUGCAAUCAAAUUGCCAUUGUAAGCCUUGGCAUUCUCAAUGCUUGGCCCUACGUCGUUGUCAUCUCCUUUAAAUGGCCAUCCAGUCUCAGCCACCACAAUCUCAACAUUCUUAAAUCCCAUAGAAUUCAGUGCAGAAUAAACUGCAUCCACCUGCAAUUGAUUAAACCACUUGUCAGUAGCAUUUUUAUUAGAUCAUCUAUUGAUACAGAAUUUUCGCACUUGCAAUUUGAUUUACUCUCACCUGAGCAUCGAACAUGUUCAUGUACUUGAUCUUAGUGUUUCCAUCCAUUCGUCCUGCAUUCGGCUGGAAAAGGCAAAAAGCAAGAAUCUCAGGCCUUGUAUCGCUUCUGUAAGCAAAGUAUGGGUAGGUAUUUAUUGCGAAAGGCGAACCAUUCGCACUAUUAAACUCCAACAAGCCCUUCAUCAGAUCCCCAUAACUUGGAUCAAAGCUUCCAGAAGAAGGUGGCUCAGACUGCUUAAGCACUCCCAUCGAAUGAACUGUGGAGACCUUAAUUUUACCCCCGAGCGAUGCAUCAUUUAGAGCAUUCUGUACAUUUUGCAUUGCUGGUAAGAGCUUGUUCAUGAGAUUCUGGUCAUUGGAAGUCAUGACCUCGUUGCCAACAGUGAUGAGGAUGAUAUUGCUAGCUGGAUAGAAGGGAAGCACGUUUUUGUUGAUCCAGCUCUUGGUAAAAUUGGAAUCAGAGGCUAGCCCUGGAAUGUCACCAUUUGCAGUGCCGAUAACAAUUCCAAUUCCGGUGUUGGCUAAGGCUUUGAUUAUGGCGGGGUCCGAUCCAUAUAAUCGGACCUUUUGGAUUGAAGUGGAUUGAAGAAGUUUUGCAUUGGAUGAUGGUGGUGGAAGGUUGUCCGCAACUUGGCCAUAGUUUAUACCGAGGAAUGAUUGCGAGUCUGCACAAAAAGCAGCAAAAUUUAAAGCAGAUGAUCAAACAUCAAUUUUUAAACGACAAAACAGAACACCAACAUUUUUUGUUUUCAUAGACUGAAAUGAAGACAGCUCAGUUAAGGUAAAUUCUUUAGAAAUGGAAGGAGGUAAUUAAAAUAGAAAGAGACACAAACUUACUUGCGAUUUUUACAGUCUGUAAGCAGGAAAGGAGUAGGAAAGCAACAGUAUAAGGAAGCACCACCAUGGCUAAGGAGGAGCGGUUUCUGUUCUGUUUUUUUUUUAAACUGGAGUGGGCAUUAAAUAUAGAAUAUGCUACAAGUCGAGGACAGAAGCGUAAAGAUGACUUCGGGUGGUGAAUUAAAUUGUCACAAUUAUUUGAUAAUAAUUUUGUGUUGUAGCGUACUUAAUUAGCACACGUUAUUGCAUGUCUUCAAAGAAUUAAUUAUAAGCUGAUGCAAUGGGUUGUGACAAUGCUUAGUGUUAGUUGUUAACAAGCUAGCUUUGAAGUGUUUGUCAUCGCACUAUAACUUUCUAAUCGAUUUGAGUUCUCUGCCUUUCCCUAUUGUUUUCCACAUAACCAAAUUAAAGGCAGGUCAAUGGCCCUAAGAACAAAAAACAACAACUGCAAAUACACUUUAAAAAUGGUUGAAAACGUACUUAUCUAUUAGAUUCGAAUAUAUACGAUUAACCAAGGCAAUAAAAAAUUUAAUGAACAUAAUAAUUAAUCAGUUCGGUUUUUAUAAAAGACUAAAUUAUUGUUGGGUUUAUUUAAGUUAAAAAGAAAGCAUGAAGACAAGAUGUUUAAAUUGUGUUUGAAUAUAGUUCUUACAUAUGUUUAGAUAAAAUAAAUAAUAUGAUGUGGAGGCAUAAAGAAUAAAAAGAUUAUUUGAUGGAGGAAUUAUGAACAUAUAUCAAGAAAAGAAGUAACUUGAUUUAAAUAUGUGGUUGUAUGUGAAAUGAUGAUGUUAUGUUUGAGAAUGAAUUUUUAUCAGAACGAAUGAAAAAUAAAUUAUGUGCUUUGCAUUUUGGCACGUAAGAAAAAUAUUGAUGGACUAAUAAUAUAAUGUCUGGAGCUGGUUAUCAGACAGGAGGAGUUGGUUAUCAUACGGGAGGAGUUGGGUCAUCACGAAUAGAAGAUAGAUGAUUCGUCAUCUUAUUUUGCAAUUAUUAAUUUUCCUUAAAUAUCUAUGUUGUUUAUUUAAUUGAUGUUAAAAGAAUGAAGCAAAUGAGUAAAUUUAGUGAUUAUUACAAAUGAGAAUUAUUGGUAAUUUAUGUGAAAUUACCAGAAUUAUUAUUUGGCUAACAAAAAAGGUUAGCCGGAUGCUGGGUAAUUCAUAUGGAAUUACCGGAUUGAUUUUGGCAACCAAAAUGGGUUAGCCACAUUUCUUGGGUAAUUAAAAGAAUUACCGGGUUUAUUGGUUAACAAAGAUGUUAACCGGAUAUGGGGUAAUUCUUAUGGAAUUACCGGAUUGAUUGGCUAACAAAAAAGGUUAGUCGGAUGAUGGGUAAUUCUAAUGAAAUUAUUGGAUUUAUUGGUAACUGAGGAAGAAUAACCAAAUUUGUGGGUAAUUAUAUGAAAGUGUUACAAUUAUUGGCAAUCGAGAUGAGUUAGCUGGAUAUUUAAGUUUUGAAAAGAUUAUGUAAAUUAAUUGAUUGAAUUUAGAAGUAUUAAAUUUUAAAGGUUAAGAGUAAAAUAAUUAAUAUAUGACUAAGAUAUUGAGUAAAUUAAAUAAUGUGGUUAUUCUUGAAACAAAUAGAUCGCGAGGUGAUGCAGUUCGUUAGAUGUAGGAUUUCUGAAUCGGCAGCAACAUAGUUUUCGGCUGCUGAUUUCUGAAUCGACAACGACAAAGUUCUUAAUUGCUGAUUUCUGAAUCGGCGGUGUCACAGUUUUUGACUAUCGAUUUAUGAAUCGGCAGCAGCACAGUUUUGCUGCCGAUUUUUGAAUCGACAAUGACACUAAAAACUCAACAAAAAAUUAGUGUUGGAUCAGCUUAUCUUAGAGGAGAAUUGGAAUAGAAACCAGCUCAAUCCACAUCCAUGUUCCAAUACAGUUUGCUAUUAAAAAUCCAGCAGAAUCACAUAAUUUCAAGCAUGAACAACCAUAUGCAAUUUAGUUCCAACAUACAAUACGUUCUUAUCAUCCAGCAGAAUCACACAAUUUCAAGCAUGAACACAAUUGCUUGAAAUUAUGCGAUUCUGAUGAAUAAAUUAUUAGCUUCGGCUAAUGAGAUCCGAAUGGAUGACCGAGACAAAUGACUGAUUAGAUUUGGCUAAUGGCAUCCAAAACGGAUGAUCGAGUCAUGUUUCAUGAUUAGCUUCAGCCAAUGGCAUCCGAGAUGGAUAGCCGGGUUCUGUUGAUGAUUAGCUUCGGCUAAUGACAUUUUAGACGAAUGACCGGGUUGUGAAUUUUUAUUAGUUUUGACUGAUGGCAUCCAAGAUGCAUGACCGAGUUGUGUUGAUGAUUAGCUCCGGCUAAUGGCAUUUGAGAUGGAUGAACGGGUUGUGUUGAUAAUUAGCUUCGGCUAAUGGCAUCCGAGAUGAAUGACCGGGUUGUGAUUGUUGAUUAGCGAGAAGAAUGACCCGGUUGUGAUUGUUAAUUAGCUUCGGCUAAUAGCAUUCGAGAUGGAUGACCGGGUUAUGGUUGAUGAUUAGUUUGAUUAAAUGACAUCCUAGAUGGAUAGUCAAGUUGAUUAUGAUGAUUGGCUUCGGCUAAUGGUAUCCGUAAGAGAUGACGAGUUAACUUGUGUGGUUGGUUUUGGUUAACGGCAUCCGAGACGGGUGACCGAGUUUAGAUAUUGCAAUUAGUUACGGUUAAAAGCAUCGAGGAUGAAUGACCGAGUUAAGGUGAAGUAAUUAACCCCAACCGAAGAUUAAACUGCUUCCCUACCACUCCUAUGGAGGUGUUGGGGUGUAUGCAUGAGGAUAAUACAUGUAGUGAAGUAAUGAGGGUUGCACAGUGUAUUUGAGAAGUGAAUAAACGAAUGUACUCACCUUGAGUUGAUAACAAAAAAUAACGAUAACAUCCUUCUAGUUAUUAUUAUUAUGUUUAGAUUAUUUAUAGUUCUUGUAUCCAUGCUGUUUUUGUAACAGGCGCAUCACACAAUCAAGGUACAUAGAAAAACGGUUUCAUGGGUUCUCAUAUUUUGAAAAGAGCUAUGUAAUAGUUUGUCUUAAGUGUUAUAAUGAAUAUUUGCCUUUCGAUACUUUUGUAAGGACUUGUAAUGAAAACUAUAUUGGAACAUGGAUCUGGAUUUGUAAACAUGUAGAUAUGAUGUUAUGAAUAUAUUUAUGUAGUAUUCUUGUUUAUGAAGAUGUUGUGUUGAGAAAUCACAUGAGGAUCAUAUAAAAAGAGGUAUUAUUUGUGUAAAAUUGUUGUUCGGCACUCGUGUGUUAAUAACGAGACUAGAAUAUCAUUUUUAAAGUGUAUUUGCCUUUUGGUUACGUGGAAAACAAGAGAGAAUUAGGCAGAGAACUCAAAUCGAUUGGAAAGUUACGGUGCGAUGAGAAACACUUCGAAGCUAGCUUGUUAACAACUAGCACAAGCAUUGCAUCAGCUUAUAAAUUCUUUGAAGACAAGUUAAUUAUCCUUGCAAGUUUCAAAGCCUCCCUCUCUGUAGAAAUAAACAUGCGAUAACGUGCGCUAAUUAAGUACGCUACAACACAAAAUUACUAUCAUGUAAUUGUGUUGUAGCACACGUUUCCAAAUCACUAAUAAUGAAUAAAUUGAAGAAUGAUAUUGUCCAUUGUACAUUAUGUUUUCCACGAAAUAAAUAAAAUAAAAAAAAAUAAAAAAUUGAGAAUUAUUCUUUAUUACAUUGAAUUAAUGUACCUAUAUAAUUAAUUAAGUAGUUAAUUUCUUCACAUGCGAAUAUCUAAUAUCCAUUUUUUUGGGUAUGAUAAAAAAUGAUUUGUUUAGUUUCGUUAUAUAUAGUUUUGGUUUUUUGGGUAUGAUUUCUUGGUUUAAUUUUGUUGGUUUCUAAAACAUAAAACCAAAAUCAAACGGACCAAUUUUUUAAAAAAACAACCUUCUAAUUGGUUUUUUCGUUUUAAUUUAUUAAUAUGUAGAUUUUUUUAAUUAAUUUUAAAUCAAUUUUUAAGAAUAUUUUUACAUGAUGCUUCUUUUAUAGUUUCUAUCCAUGCCUUCCCAAUUGCCACUGUUUCUUUUGGUUCAUCUCCGUCAUAACAGUAGUUUAUAAAGUUAAUAUGAAUGAAUUUAAAAAUGUAUAUGAUAUUAAUAAUAAUAUUAAUUUAUAUGACCUCAGUUUUUAUAGUUUUUAAUCCCCUCAAAUAAAACUUAUUGUUUUUCUUCGAUAAUAAUAAUAUUUUUCUUCAAAUUUAUUAAUUUAAUAAUAAUAAUAAUUUUACCAUUUAAAUCAAAUUUAUGGUUGUUUUUCAAAAUGAAUGAUAUAUUUUCAAAAUUUCUUAAUUAUGAUAUUAAUAAUAUUAAUUAUAAUAAAAAAAUAAAAUUUAUAAUGAAAAUAAUAUUAAUUAUAAUAAAAACAAAUAUAUUUAUAAUACAAAUAAUAAUAUUUUUAAUAUUAAUCAUCAUAAAAAUAAUAAUAUUUAUAAACCAAAAUAAUAAUAUUUUUAAUAUUAAAAUUAAAAAUACUUAUAAAUAAAAAAUAUAUAUUUUUAAUAUUAAAACUCUUAUACCUACAGAUUUGAGCAUUGCUAUACCUAAGGAACUUAUGCUCGUAUUGGUAAAUCUCACUUCGUAACUUUUAAUUUAUGUUCACAGAUGGUUUGGUUUUGUUUCUAAAACUGAGUUUUGUUGUUCUAGCACCCAGAUCGGGAUUGGCAUGGAAGCACUCGAUUGAUGCGGGUGCUGAUGUCAUAGAUGCUGAUUACAGAGGCCCUGUUAGGGUUAUCACUCUAAUGUUGAUUUCAAGGUAAAGGUUGGCGAUAGAAUUGCGCAGUUGAUUCUUGAGAAAAUUGCAACUCCUGAUGUCAUGGAAUUCGAGGAUUUUGAUGCAACUGUGAGAGGUGUUGGAGGGUUUGGAUCUACUGCCCGUGAUUUGUAACGUUUUUUCUUAAAUGUUUCUGUUUCUUGGUGUUUAAAUUUGGCUAACAGAUGGUGGACUAAGCAGUAAAAGUUUUGGGUUUGGUGAAGGAAUUCCUUUUGUUAAUGAGUCAACCUAGCAAAAGACAAGGUUAUGGGUUACCAGUCAAGCUGUCAUGAUUGAGUUUAAUAACUAGUAAAUGUAAAGAAACCGAAGAUAUACCCAUAAGAAAUAAACCUUAGAACAAGGUCAAUGAAGCCAUCUUCAAACUAGAGAAGGUUGUUGAUAUAAGAUCUUAUAAUUAGAGAAUUCAAAGUUGAAAUUUUAUACACAAUUUUGUAUUAUAUUACGUGAAUUAACAUUUACAAAAAAUUGUAGCAUUUUUCCUACACUCAUGAUCAACUAUCAUUCGGGGUGGAAGAAGUUGGCAUGUAGGCCUUUGGUAGCCAAAUUCCAAACUGCUGCAACGACCAACAGAACACUCAGAACCAUGCCUAAGCAUCCAAGUCCUAGAUUAAGACACCACAUGACACCAUGGCGCUUUUAAUGGGGUUUCUUGAUCGAAAUCCACAUGAAACAUGGAUAAGCCAGUGUAAGGGGUAACGCGAUUCCUCCGAUUAAAGCAGCCAGGCUAGGUAAAAAUGGAAAAGCCACAGCUAUAAAGAAGGCCAAUCCUCCGAAAAAAAGCCAAAACCCGGUGCGAACCCACCACGAGCAUCGCUUGUUCUUCAUGCAAGUGUACCUGAAUUCCAGGUUGUCGAAAACUGGCAUGGCGUAGAUUUGGAAUGAACUAAGGCAGUUAAUCACUACUAGCAAGAAUAUUAUUCAUUUCCUUUUUUAUCUUUUUGUUAACCACCUGCAACAAGGCUAUAUAUAUUUUAUUGCUCUUUGCAUGGAUAGGAACUAUAAAAGAAGCAUCAUGUAAAAAUAUUCCACCAACGAAAUCUACCAAAAUUGGGAUUUUUUAUGAGAUACUCAUAAGGAUUAAAUUUCUACCAAAUGAGCCGGUGUUCUAGAUAUAAAAUAUAUAAAGAAGUCACGAUGCCGAAUUCAGCAUUACCUUUUCUCAUCCCAUUAGAUUGGGAACUGAGCGCACCAUGUAAAAGUUUAAAUUGAGCUAGUUCAUAAACUUAACUUUUCCUUUUUUUUCUCUUCGCUAAUUUUUUUUUUUUAAAAUUAAUAAUAAUACUUAACCAGCAAAUAUCCUCUAAUUUUCCAAUUAUUUUUUCAAUUUACUCCUAAACAAUAGAUUCGACAAAGAAACUUAUUAAGUAGAGAGAAAAACCUUAACCCAUCUUCAUCCUCUCUUUACAACUUCUUAUUUUAAGUAUGCAAGUCAUAAAAGAAAAGGAAAAUCAAAGAAAGUCUUAUAAACCCAUACAACAAACCUAAAUUUAAAAUCCUAAUUAAAUAUACUUUGUUGCUGUCUGUUGUCGCUGCUGAUGCUAAUGGUGUUCGUGCUCGUGCUCAUGCUGCUGUCAUUGUUGCUGAUAAUUGUGCUGGUGGCAGUGGUUGCGGCUGCUAAUAGCGGUUGUGGUGCUGCUGUUAGUGACUAGGUCUGGUUUAAUAAAUUAAAUGGGUUUUUGGAGGUGCAAUAUGCAAGAAUAUUAUGGAUUUAUUUGUCUAAAAAUGUGAUUCCAUGUAUUUCAAAUAUUGUUGAUAAAGAUGUUAGAUUAAAAAAUUGAAUAUUUCUUUCUACUUUUUUUUUGUAAUUAUUAAUAGAAACAUAGAGAGCGAUUAAAAAGAUGUUAUGGGCCUGGUUUUUUUUUUGCGUUAAUUUCCUAACAGAACGAGCCUAUUCCAAAAAUCAUAAUGUUUAGGAUAGAAAAUCAGGAUUUUUUUUGGUUCAAAAGUUAAGUUUAAGGAGCUUUUUUUUAGUACAAUUUGGCCUUUUUCUUUCUUGAAAAGGAACUGUCUGAUAAGGAUAACGUUCACAAUACUAAGAUUGUGGAUAAACACUGAUAUUUGUCACCUAGUGUUUCAUUGUUUCUAGUUCUUUGUUCGUUCUUGUCUCUGCAUUGUUCCUGUCUCUGCAGAUGAAUCCUUUUUGUAACUACAACUCUUAUAAAGAGUUUCCAUUGUAACAGACUUUACGUGUAUAUAUAUGGCUGAGAAAACACAGUUUUACUCAAGCAAUUUCAGUUGUAAUUUAAUUCUUUCAUGGUAUCAGAGCGUCUCAUAGGUAACGCUUCCAACGAUCCUAUGGCUACUGCUUCAGAUUUUUCUCCUUCCGCUGCAUUUCAUCUUCCAGCUCAAGUUAUUUCUAUCAAACUCGAUGGAACUAAUUUCCUUGCCUGGAGUGCUCAAUUGCUUCCUCUGUUUUGGAGUUAUGGACUCAUGGGAAUUGUUGAUGGUUCUGAUCUUUGUCCUCCUCAAUUUUCCAGCGAAGAACAUAAAGUCCAAGGUAUUACUAAUUCUGCUUAUAUGGCUUGGCAGUAUAAGGACCAAACAAUACUAGGAUGGAUUAUCUCCUCAUUAACUCCUUCAGUGGUUUCCACCAUUUAUGGCCUUGAAACUUCUCGUCUUGCUUGGCAAGCCCUUGGUGCACGUUUUGUUGCACCAUCAACUUCUCGAAUUUCUCUUAUCAAGCGAAAGUUGCAAUCUUUGCAACAAGGCUCCUUGUCUUGUCAGAAAUUUCUGGAUGAAGUCAAAACUCUUGCAGAUGAACUCACUGCCGUUGGCAAACCUAUUGAUGAUUCUGAUCUAAUAUUUUAUGUUCUCAAUGGUCUCAACUCUUCAUUUCAUUCAUUUGUCACAACGUAUAUGCUCCUCUCCAAAGAGAAAUCCAUGUCAUUUUCAGAUUUUCAUGCAGAACUACUGAACCAUGACCUUAUGCAACAAUUUCAUAGUCAGUCUCUUCACCAUGAGGCAGGUUCCUAUGCUCUUUACUCACAUAAACCUGCAGCCAAAAUAGGUUCUCGUCACAGCAGUAAUAAAUCUCGCUUCUCAGGGGCAUCUAAAGGAUUGGGUAGUGCUUCCUCUCAGUUUCGGUAGCCCCUACCUCACCUCCCACACCCAUCUUCAUUAGCUCCUUCUGACUCUCGUUCCCGAUCUCCAUGCCAAAUCUGCAAACGAGAGGGACAUCAGGCCUUGGAUUGCUUUAACCACAUGAAUUACUCUUUUCAAGGACGUCAUCCUCCCACUGACUUAGCUGCCAUGGUUGCAGAAGCCAAUACAACUUAUUUAAAUCAACAUCAAUGGUAUGCGGACAGUGGUGCUAAUAUUUAUGUUACCUCAGAUAUUGCUAAUCUUGCAACUUCUCACCCUUAUGAAGGUGAUGCUUCCUUGGGCGUAGGUAACGGUACAGGUUUGCACAUUUCUCAUACUGGCAAUGCUUCUAUUAAAACCCUUUCUUCUACUACUCUUGCCUUAAAUAAUGUUGCUUACUGUCCUCAAGCAUCAGCUCAUCUCCUCUAUAUCAAUAAAUUCUGUCAGGAUAAUAAUGUUCUUUUUGAACUCACUGUUCUGAUUUUUCUAUUAAGGAUAUCCUGACGGGGAACACGCUCCUGACGGGACCAAGUGAUAAUGGAUUGUAUCCAAUCAACCUUCGUCAACUAUCUGCUUCACCAUAUCAUGCUCUCACAAUGACUGUUAGCGUCAAGGCUCUUACUUCCAUCUGGCACUGUUGCCUAGGCCAUCCUUCCCCAGAAAUUCUUCGUCGUGUUAUUUCCAAAUUUUCUCUUCCAGUUAGUGAUUCCAUCAAUAAAACAUCAGUUUGUGCACCUUGCCAACUAGGCAAGUCUAAACAAUUGCCCUUUUCUGAUUCAUCAAGAGAAUCCACUGCUCCCCUAGAAAUAAUUCACUCUGAUGUCUGGUCCACUUCCACACCUUCCUUGAGUGGUUAUUUUUAUUGAUGAUUUUUCUUGUUUUUGUUGGAUGUUUCCUAUUUCAAAUAAGUCUGAUGUUUAUUCUACAUUUGUUAAAUUCAAGCUUUUAGUAGAGAAACAAUUUCAAUUCACAAUUCGAUAAUUUCAAAGUAAUAAUGGUGGUGAAUACUGUUCCACCAUUUUUAAACAGUUUUUAAGGGAUAAUGGAAUUUUUCAUCGACUAUCAUGUCCUCACACUUCUCAACAAAAUGGCCUCGCUGAGAGGAAACAUCGUCAUGUUAUGGAUAUGGGACUUACUCUUCUAGCUCAAUCAGGCUUAUCUAAGAAAUUUUGGGUUGAUGCUUUUCUCACCGCUAUUUUUAUCAUUAAUCGACUACCUACUAAAAUUCUUGAUUAUGUUUCACCAUAUGAACGUCUUUUUCAUCUUCCUCCAGACUUCACAUAUUUUCGAGCAUUUGGAUGUCAAUGUUUUCCAUGUCUUCGUCCUUACACAAAUGAUAAAUUAUCAUAUCGUAGCAUGCCUUGUAUUUUCAUUGGUUAUAGCUCCAAUCACAAAGGAUUUCGAUGUUUAGAUCCUUCGUCCAGACGUGUCUAUAUCUCUCGAAAUGUGAUUUUAGACGAAGAGCAAUUUCCUGCACACUCCAUUAUCACAAGUCCUGCCAGCUGCGUCUCCUCCUCUAGUAAGUCUCCAGGUCUGUUCUUCACUCCUCCUUCAUAUAUUUUCUCCUCAUCCUCUGAUUUUUCUCCUCCCCCAGCAACUUCCUCACCUACCCAGGCUCUUGCUGACCUUACCUUACAUGAUAUUCAUACUGCUCCAGCUGUUAAUUCAAAUGAAUACCAUCUCCACUCCUCUCUCCCAUCUCUCCAUUCUGGCCAACCCGAAUCUUCUGAAUCCGUUCCUAUACCUAGUGCACCAGCUCUUAGUCCUUCUUCUAACCACCACCACAAUGCCAUCCUUAACCUCCAAAAUGGUGCCCUGUCUACUCAUGAGCCUUCCACAAAAAUAAUCACUAGAUCACAAACUGGUCAUCAUAAGCCUCGUAGGUUCCCUGAUUUUCAUUUAUAUUCCACUUGUCACCCCCUUCAAGCUUUGCAUGCAGGAUUGGUUUGUGUUGAGCCCAGUUCCUACGCUCAAGCAGCAUCCAUACCUGAGUGGCGUGCGGCAAUGGACAGUGAAUUUCAGUCCUUGUUACAGAAUGACACAUGGUCAUUAUGUUCUCGUCCCCCUGGUAAGAAUUUGGUUCCAUGUAAAUGGGUUUUUAAACUCAAACGGCGACCUGACGGCAGUGUUGAACGUCACAAGGCCAGAUUAGUCGUUGUGGGAUAUCUACAGAGAAGUGGGGUUGAUUUUCUUGACACAUUUAGCCCAGUCAUCAAGCCUGCUACUAUCCGAAUGGUUCUUACCAUUGCUGUCUCUUUCAACUGGGAUAUUCGUCAACUUGAUGUCUCAAACGCCUUCCUUCAUGGUGUGUUAGAAGAGGAAGUUUAUAUGACACAACCCAAAGGAUUUGUUGAUCCUGCACACCCCGAAUUCGUUUGUAAGCUUCAUAAAUCUCUUUAUGGGUUGAAACAAGCUCCUCGUGCCUGGUUUAAUCGACUGUCCACUGCUCUUUUGGCUCUUGAUUUUCAAAGUUCACAAGUUGAUCCCUCACUAUUUGUCUAUCAUCGUGGCAAUGUCCAUGCAUUCUUCUUAGUCUACGUGGAUGACAUUCUGGUUACCUCAAAUGAUCAGGAUUUUAUUACCACUCUUAUAUCUCAAUUACAACUUGAGUUUGCUAUGAAGGAUCUUGGCCAAUUGACAUAUUUUCUGGGAAUUAAGGCCAUAUGCAAUUCAUCAGGGUUACAUCUUCGACAAACCAGGUAUAUCAUUGAUCUUCUGGACCGUGUGCAACUCACUGGUAUCCGCCCAUACUGUGCACCUUGUGUCUCCGGGUCUAAGCUAUCCAAGUUUGAUGGAGAAAGUAUUCCAGACCCAUCUGAAUAUAGGCAAACAGUGGGGGCUUUACAGUAUGUAACUCUCACACGCCCUGACAUUGCAUACUCAAUAAAUCAACUAUGUCAACACAUGCAAACGCCUACUUCUGCUCACUGGACAGCAGCCAAAUGUGUACUACGAUACUUAAAACACACACUUGAUUAUGGUCUCUUCUAUAGACCGGGUUCCUUUGCAAUCAAUGCCUCUUGUGACUCUGAUUGGGCCGGUGAUCCUGACGACAGACGCUCCACUUAUGGCUAUGGUGUUUUUGUUGGGUCCAAUCUCAUAUCUUGGUCUGCUAAGAAACAACCUGUAGUGUCAAAAUCCAGUACCAAAGCUGAAUACAGGUGUUUGGCUCUAGUUACAGCUGAGGUGUAUUGGCUGAGAAUGUUGUUGCAUGAGUUGCAGAUUUCUCUUGCUUUUGCUCUAGUCGUAUGGUGUGACAAUAUAAGUGCCUUAGCUCUUGCCUCCAAUCCUAUUUUCCAUGCCCGAUCAAAACACAUUGAAGUGGAUUACCACUUUGUCAGAGAAAAGGUGGCCAACAAAGAUAUACUACUUCAACACGUUCCCACCUCUCUACAACCUGCAGAUAUUUUUACCAAGGGACACACGGCUGAUCGGUUCUGUUACCUCCGGGAUAAACUUUCUGUGACAGAUAUCCCUGCCAGUUUACGGGGGAAUGAUAAGGAUAACGUUCACAAUACUAAGAUUGUGGAUAAACACUGAUAUUUGUCACCCAAUGUUUCAUUGUUUCCAGUUCUCUGUUCGUUCCUGUCUCUGCAGAUGAAUCCUUUUGUAACUACAACUCUUAUAAAAAGUUUCCAUUGUAACAGACUUUACGUGUAUAUAUAUGGCUGAGAAAACACAGUUUUACUCAAGCAAUUUCAGUUGUAAUUUAAUUCUUUCACUGUCCAUUCUAUUAACAAACAAAAUGCCUAGUGAUGUUUUAAAACCCAUCUUCCCAUCCAAACACAGAAAUUUAAAUGCCAAAUCAAAGGAAAGCUCAGGAAUACAGAGUGGCCUUCCCAACCAAACACAGGAUAGCUCAGGAAUAGAAAUUUAAAUGCCAAAUCAAAGGAAUAGAACACUUGGCUGUUGAAAACUCGAAAUACCAAUGAAUUGCACGUAAUAUCAUGAUUGAUUGGCCAAAGCCGAGUAGUGUGAAAGGCUUACGUGGUUUCUUGAGACUUACUGGCUAUUACCGAAAGUUCGUCAAGAAUUAUGGUACAAUUGCAUCUCCUCUUACAACUAUGUUACACAUGGAUUCUUUCAAAUGGACAGAUGAAGUAGCUCAAGCUUUUGAGCACUUAAAAACUACUAUGUCCAGCACCCAACGAUCUCAAUGCAAGUAAAUGUUCGAAAAUUUUCACUUACUAUAACCAACAUUCCAGCUUACAAUAUAAAGAGAUUAUCCAUGUGGUCGUUGAUAACAUCAUUGUCCCCAUUUGUACGGCACUUGUCCUCAAGUACAAAAGAAGGGAAGCGAUUGCGAAGAGAGUCAACAUCCUUCCAAGAGGAUUCCGCAAGGGAUAACUCGUCCCAAUGAACUAAAACCCGGUGCUGAUUGUUAACUGAUCGGGAAUCAAGAAUAACUUUAAGAAGAGGUUGAAUUUCGCCUUGUGUCAGAAUAGGCAAAGAGGGUUCAAUUGGAACUGUAGUUCCAUGGAAAGGUUUAAGGCAGGAAACAUGAAAAACAGGGUGUAGUUUAGAGGAGGAGGGAAGGUCUAAUUAUUAAGCCAUAAAACUCACUUUGACUAAAAUAGGAAAAACGACCAUAGUAACGGGGUGAAAGUUUAGUGUACCAUUUUGAAGAGAGGCUAAGUUGGCGGUGAGGCUGAAGUUUGAGGAGAACCCGAUCACCUAGUUUAUAUUGAACAGGAUGAUGUUUAGCAUCAUACCUGGCCUACAUGGAAUUUUAAGCCUGAAGUAAUCAGUUUCGAAGGUCCUGAAGCACCAAUUCCCUGGAUUUUAAUUCCUGAUCCACAACUUCAAGUUUAGCUAAUCCAUGACAAUAAAACAAGAUAGUGGGAGGAGAGCGGCCAUACACCACUUUGAAUGGAGUAGCUUUAAGAGAGGAGUGGUAGCUUCUGUUGUAACAAUACUCCACCCAAGGUAACCAUUAAAACCAGCGGUGAGGACGGUCACUUGUAAAGCAACGUAAAUACAUCUCGAUAGUGCGAUUGACAACCUCUGUUUGUAUAUCACUUUGUGGAUUACAAGCAGAGCUGAAAGCCAAUUUAGUGCCACUCAACCGAAACAAUUUAGUCCAAAAAAUCUUGUGAACGUUACAUCAGGAUCACUCAAUGGUUUCAGGCAAGCCAUGAAGUUCGAAAAUAUUAUCAAAGAAUAAGCAGGCUACACUCACAACAGUAUAUGGAUGAGCAAUAGGAAGGAGAUGUGCAAGCAUCGAAAAAUGGUCUACCAUAACCAGCAAAACAGACUUUCCUUGGGAGUUAGGCAGUCAUUCAAUGAAAUCCAUAGAGAUAUUCGACCAGGUCUGAAGUGGAAUUGGCAAAGGUUGAAGAAGACCCGCUGGAUGUAAGUUUUCAGCCUUGUGUUGUUUUUGGCAGAUAAGACAUUGUCGCGUAAAAGCUUGGAUAAAAGUUUUCAUUCCUUGCCAAUAAAAGUCUUGAGCUAUGCGAUGAAGUGUUUUAUGAUAGCCCUCAUGCCUCAUGGUUACUAUUAUGGACAGUCGAGAUUAUGGAUGGAACAAGAGGGGAAUUGUGUAGCAAAUAAACUGGUUGUUUAAAGAAAAGCAAGCCAUCUUUAUACUUCCAGGGUCCAAUAGUGUUAGUUGAUUGUUUUAAGACUGCAACGUGUCUAAGUAUCAGAAAUUAUUUUAUGCUUUCAUUCUGUUUUUAGUUUGUCCUAGUCUUUAGGAAGUGGUUAGUUUGUUGAAACAUGUUGUUGUUCAUGGCACACGUUGCUGUUCAUAUCUUAAUUCUCGAUUUCAGUUAUUUUUUUCUGUUUCUAUAUAAUGUAAGCUUGCUGCAUAAUACAAUUGAAUUCCCAGUUUGUAUUCCAUUAUCUACUAUUUCUAUCUUUCUCCCUUCUCCAUAUCCAUAAACUUCUACCUCUGUUAUACUCUUUUCUUUCUUUAAAACUAACAAAUUGGUAUCAGAGCUCUUUGUUCUUAAGGGAUCUGUGUGUGACUUUGACGUAUCAUGGAAGCUGAAACAAGUUUCUCCUCAAUUGCUCCGCCAGUGUUCAAUGGAGACAACUACCAAAUUUGGGCAGUACGCAUGGAGACAUAUUUGGAAGCUUUGGAUCUUUGGGAAGCAGUGGAAGAAGACUAUGAUGUUCCUGUACUUCUAAAAAAUCCCACCAUGACACAGAUCAAAACUCACAAGGAGAUGAAGACGAAGAAGUCGAAAGCCAAAGCAUGCUUGUUUGUUGCGGUGUCAACAACAAUCUUCACAAGAAUAAUGUCCCAUAAGACAGCCAAGUCUAUAUGGGAUUACCUUAAGGAAGAAUAUGCAGUAGACGAAAGGAUAAGAGGAAUGCAGGUUUUAAAUUUGAUACGGGAUUUCGAGUUGCAAAAGAUGAAGGAAUCUGAAACAAUUAAAGAGUAUUCAGAUAGACUUCUUGGAAUUGCAAAUGAAAUCAGGCUACUCGGGUCUGAAUUCAGUGAUUCAAGGAUUGUGGAAAAAAUCCUUGUCACAGUACCUAAAAGGUAUGAAGCGACAGUUACCACCUUGGAAAAUACCAAGGAUCUGUUAAAAAUUUCCUUGGCAGAAUUACUUAAUUCCCUACAGGCGCAAGAGCAGAGACGACAUAUGAGGCAAGAGGUCAACAGUGAAGGAGCCUUAUUUGCAAAGCAUCACGGAGCUUACAGAAACAAAAGGAAAGAGAAGAAAGGCCAAGAGGGAAAUUCUUUUGCUCCUGUUUUGAAUAACAACAGAAGCAAAAAAGGAAGCUUCAAGGGUAAAUAUCCUCCUUGCCAUCACUGUAAAAAGGAAGGUCACCCUCCAUUUAAAUGUUGGAGGAGACCUGAUGCAAAAUGUUCAAAAUGCAAUUAAAUGGGACAUGAAGCAGUAAUUUGUAAGGGAAGAGCUCAGCAGCAUGAAGUUGAUGCCCAAGUUGCAGAACAAGAGGAUGAAGAUCAGCUUUUUGUAGCAUCCUGCUUUGCAAGUAGUAGUUCGACUGAAAGUUGGUUAAUUGACAGUGGUUGUACCAACCACAUGACCAAUGACAAGAAACUCUUUAGAGAUUUGAGGCCGACUGAUAUUACUAAAGUCAAAAUUGGCAAUGGUGAUUACAUCUCUGUCAAAGGAAGAGGGACAAUCACCAUAACCAGCACUGUAGGCACAAAAACAAUUUCUGAUGUUCUCUACGUACCAUAAAUUAAUCAAAAUUUGUUGAGCGUAGGCCAAUUGAUUGAAAAAGGCUUUAAAGUGAUCUUUGAAGAUAGUUUCUGUCACAUACUGGAUGCUAACAGUGAGGAAAUUCUCAACGUGAGAAUGAAAGGAAAAAGUUUUUCUUUUGAUCCUAUCAAAGAAGAACUUGUUGCAUUCUCCAUGAAAGCUUGCAACACUGAGAUAUGGCACAAGCGACUUGGUCAUUGUCACUUACAAAGAAUGCAACUUAUGCAGGAAAGGGAACUCACAGUUGGCUUACCAACCUUUGGAGAUCACUUACCGAAUUGUCAUGCUUGUCAAUACGGUAAACAAAAUAGGAGACCAUUCCCAAAGUCAUCCUGGAGAGCCACUCACAAGUUGCAACUAAUCCACACAGAUGUAUCGGGUCCUCAAAGAACUAAAUCAUUAGUUCCCAAAGUCAUCCUGGAGAGCCACUCACAAGUUGCAGCUAAUCCACACAGAUGUAUCGGGUCCUCAAAGAACUAAAUCAUUAGCAGGUAGUCGAUAUUACAUUGCUUUUAUUGAUGAUUUUUCAAGAAUGUGCUGGAUUUUUUUUCUUGAAAUUCAAGUCAGAAGUAGCUGGAGUCUUCUGGAAGUUCAAGAAAAUGGUAGAAAAUCAAAGUGGCUGCAAAAUUCAAGCUGUAAGGUCAGAUAAUGGAAAGGAGUACACUUCAGCAGAAUUUGAUAUGUUUUGUGAAGAAGCUGGCAUUGAACACCAGCUUACUGCUCCUUACACUCCGCAGCAAAACGGAGUAAGUGAAAGGAGAAACAGAUACAUAAUGGAGAUGGCCAGAUGCAUGCUACAUGACAAGGAGUUACCCAAAUAUUUUUAGGCUGAAGCAGCCAGUACUGCUAUUUUCUUACAGAACAGAUUAUCCACCAAAGCAUUGAAGGAUAAAACUCCAUUUGAGGCAUGGUAUGACUAUAAACCUUUACUCAAUUUUCUUAGAGUGUUUGGUUGCUUGUGUUUCUCUCACAUUCCACAGGUCAAGCGGGAUAAACUUGAUAAAAAGUCAGAACCAGGCAUCUUUGUUGGGUACAGCUCUUCCUCAAAGGCAUAUAAGGUUUAUCAACCUCAAACAGGGAAGAUAAUUGUCAGUAGAGAUGUGUUCUUCAAUGAAGAAGAGAAAUGGAAUUGGGAACAAACAAAAGAGACAUCCACGAGCAUGCAAAAAUCAAGUCUUUCCUCCCAAACAAGAGAAGAGCAAGCAUCAGAACAGUGGCAAGAAGAAUUGGAGGAUGAUUUACCAACUCGUGGAACAAGACAACUUCAUGAUAUUUAUCAGAGAUGCAAUGUGGCCAUUUGUGAACCUGCUGGUUAUGAAGAAGCCAUCAAAGACCAAAAAUGGCAGAAGGCAAUGGAGGAGGAGCUGUCAAUGAUAAAAAAGAACAAAACUUGGGAGCUAGUUGACAGGCCAAAGGAUAGGAAAAUUAUUGGAGUAAAAUGGGUGUUUAGAACCAAGCUCAAUGCAGAUGGAUCCAUCAACAAACACAAAGCCAGGCUUGUUGUCAAGGGAUAUGCUCAAGUUUUUGGAGUUGAUUACUCGGAUACAUUUGCCCCUGUUGCUAGAUUGGAUACUAUUCGGCUUGUGCUAGCUAUAGCAGCUCAAAAUAGGUGGAAUGUGUUUCAACUAGAUGUAAAAUCUGCGUUUUUGAAUGGUAUUUUGCAGGAGGAAAUCUAUGUUGAACAGCCCGAGGGAUUCAUGGAACAAGGUGAAGAGGAGAAGGUCUACUUGCUCAAGAAGGCUCUAUAUGGCUUAAAACAAGCACCUAGAGCAUGGUAUAGCAAGAUAGAUGAGCAUCUGUCAAGCCUGGGAUUUUAGAAAAGCAUGUCAGAGGCUACUCUUUAAGUGAAAUGUAAAGGAGAUGAUCUGCUUAUAGUCUCUCUUUACGUUGAUGAUCUCUUAAUCACAGGUGGCAAUGCCAAGCUUGUUGAAGAGUUCAAAAGGGAGAUGAUGAAAAUUUUUGAAAUGACAGACCUUGGACUCAUGGCAUACUUUCUGGGAAUGGAGAUUAAACAGUUAGAAAAUGAAGUUUUCAUCUGUCAAAAGAAAUAUGCCAAGGAAAUUCUCAAGAAGUUUCAUAUGGAGGACUGUAAGGCAAUGGCUACUCCAAUGAAUCCAAAGGAGAGCUUAAGUAAGGAGGACGACACAGACAAAGUUGAAGAAGGCUAUUUCAGAAGCAUGAUUGGUUGCCUAAUGUACCUAACUGCAACCAGGCCAGAUAUUUUUUUUGCUGUAAGCAUUCUCUCUCGUUACAUGCAUUGUGCUAGUGAAAUGCAUCUUAAAGCUGCAAAAAGAGUCAUUAGAUACAUCAAAGGAACUAUUGAUUUUGGUGUAAAAUUCAAGUACUGUCAAAACUUCAAGUUGCUGGGAUUUUCUGACAGUGAUUGGGGUGGAUCAGUGGAUGACAUGAAGAGUACAUCUGGGUACUGUUUUAGCCUAGGAUCAGGAGUUUUCUCAUGGAGUUCCAAGAAGCAAGAGACUGUAGCACAGUCUACUGCUGAGGCUGAAUUUAUUGCUGCUACAGCAGCAGUGAAUCAAGCUUUGUGGCUGAGGAAGUUGUUUUGUGAUUUACAUUUGAAGCAACAAAAUGAUACAGAGGUGUUUGUGGACAAUCAGGCAGCAAUUGCAAUCUCCCACAAUCCAGUUUUUCAUGGAAAAACCAAGCAUUUCAAGAUCAAAUUUUUCUUUUUAAGGGAAGUGCAGAAGGAAGGAGAAGUGAGCCUCAUUUAUUGCAGAUCUGAAGAUCAGCUCGCAGACAUUUUUACAAAACCUUUGCCAACAAACAAGUUUGAACUUCUUAGGCAAAGACUCGGAGUUUGCAGCUCCUAAAAAAUGGAGUGUUAGUUGAUUGUUUUAGGACUGCAACGUGUCUAAGUAUCAGAAAUUAUUUUAUGCUUUCAUUCUGUUUUUAGUUUGUCCUAGUCUUUAGGAAGUGGUUAGUUUGUUGAAACAUGUUGCUGUUCAUGGCACACGUUGCUGUUCAUGGCUUAAUUCUCGGUUUCAGUUAUUUUUUUCUGUUUCUAUAUAAUGUAAGCUUGCUGCAUAAUAAAAUUGAAUUCCCAGUUUGUAUUCCCUUAUCUACUAUUUCUAUCUUUCUCCCUUCUCCAUAUCCAUAAACUUCUACCUCUGUUAUACUCUUUUCUUUCUUUAAAACUAACAAAUAGCUUCACUGUGCUGUAUAUUUUCCUUCAACAAUUGCAAUUGGUCUGAAUUUUGAAUCUCAGUGUGAAUGGAAUCAAAAAGAGGCAAGUGGGGUAUGAAGAGGGACGCAAGGCUGGGUUGAUCCUCCAAGCGGCGGGAUAAAGCAUCUGCCUCUUUAUUUUUUUUUCCCGGGCGAUAUGCAAGUGCAAAAUCAAAACCCAUGAGUUUACUUAGCCAAUGUUGUUGAGGCAAAGUGAUGAUACGUUUUUCUAGCAAAAACUUGAGGCUGUAAUGAUCUGUCCGGAUGAGGAAGAGGCGUCCCCAUAAAUAUGCUCACCAAUGUCUGACUACUUUGGCUAAGCCAAUGAGCUCCUUUUCAUAAGCUGGAAGACUCUUGUAACGGAAUGUAAGAGGUCUGCUGAAAUAGGCAAUUGGCUAACCUUCUUUUUGUAACACUGCUCCCAUUCCCGUACUCGAAGCAUCGUAUUCCAAAAUAAACACUUUGGUGAAGUCGAGUAGUGCCAAAACAGGGGUGCUGGUCAUAGUAGUUUUUAAGUGCUCAAAAGCUUAAGCUGCCUCAUCUGUCCAUUUGAAAGAAUCCGUGCGUAACAUAGCUGUACGAGGAGAUGCAAUUGUACCAUAAUUCUGGACAAACUUCCGGUAAUAGCUAGUAAGUCAUAAGAAACCGCAUAAGCCUUUCACAGUGCUUGGUUUUGGCUAAUCAACCCCUUCUCCUGAUAUGAUAUGGCUGAGGUAGGAGACUUGAUGUUGAGCAAUGAAGCACUUAGAUUUCUUAAGAAAUAAUUGAUGAGUAGUAAGGAGAUUAAAUACAGACCGUAAAUGUGCUAAAUGACCUACCAAGAGUGACUGUAGAUAAGAAUAUCAUAAAAAAAACAAGAAUGAAUUUCUGUAAGUAUGUCUGAAAUAUCUCAUUCAUCAAAGCUUGGAAAGUGUUAGGUGCGUUGGUGAGGCCGAAAAGUAUAACCAAGAACUCGAAGUGGCUGUGGUGGGUGCGGAAUGUUGUCUUCUCCAUGUCUGUAGGGUACAUUCUGAUUUGAUGGUACACGCAAGCUUUGUGAAAUAUUUUGCGCCAUGCAAUUUCUCCAAAAGUUCAUCAAUCACUUGUAUAGGAAAUUUGUCCUUGAUGGUCUUUGAAUUCAGUGCUAUGUAAUCCACACAAAACCGCCAUGUGUUAUCUGCUUUAAUGACAAGGAGGACUGGUGAUGAAUAAGAAGAUUGACUAGGUAUGAUGAUGCCACGCUCCAACAUAUCUCUGCAUUGCCUUCCAAUUUCGUCUUUCUAAGCAUGGGGAUAUCAGUAUGGUCGCACUACUACGGCAUGCGUUCCUGGCUCCAAAGGAAUGCGAUGGUCAUGAAAUCUGACUAGAGGAAGACCCUGCGGUUCUUGAAAUACAGAAUCAAAUUCUGCUAGGAGUCUGUUGAGCUCCAUAUCAGAUUGUGACUCUAUAUUUGUUGUUUGAAGUUGCAAUUGGAGUGGAAUGUGAGCUCUCAAUUCCAUAACUCUUCCAUUCUGUUUAAAAAUCAUAGUUUUUGCUUUUAAAUCACACAGGAUGGGACUUAGCAUUUGUGUUGGGGAUUUCUCCCCCUGCGGAUCGGUGGUGUUCAUGAUCAUUGCCCAAAAGAAGCUAAGCACAUUAAUACAAUAUUUAACGUGGUUCAGCAAAUCGCCUACAUCCAUGGGAGUAGUCUAUAUUAUUAGAGAUAGAGAAAGAAUAUAACACACGGAGGAGGAUCACAUCCACUCAACUUCCAUCUCUCAUUGCUACGUAGGGCAGCAGUUGCAUAAGGCAGCAGGGCUGCUGGUUGCAGCCCUUCUUUCUUUCUCUCUUCUUCUCUCUUUUGUAGCUCUACUACUUGACUCUCUCUCACUUUUUAUGCUGCACUCUUGGUGUCUAUUUAUAGGCUUCAAUUACAGCUCCUCUUGCUCCUUUGUCAACAAUGGUGGCUGCUCUUUAUCAAUGGUUGGUGCAACUUCUUUUGACAUUAGCAGCUGCCACCAACAACCCACCAUUGUAGCCUCCUUCUUUGAUAAUAUCAACAGGCUACAAAUAUUGCACCAGUAGCCCUCUUUGACUCUCACAAGUUGACCUUCUUUCUUUGACAAUAACAGUUAUCUUCUUCUAGAUGAUGGGCUGCAGAUGUUGCCAUAUAAUUGGCAAUAUCUCAACAAUUUGAAGCCAGUUGACUCCCAAUACGACAUCAACUCUAUUUAAAGUUAAAAUGUUGAAAUCAAUAAGAAUUAAUUGAUUACCCAUCGCAAUAGGAACAUCCCGACUCUGACCUGGACUUCUAAUUUUGUUGUCGUUUGCAACUAAAACCUGCAACCUCUCUGUCCGUUCACAAGUAAGUCCCAAUUUCAUCACACAUCUGGAAUUUAGAAAGCUAUGAGUGCUACCCGAGUCAAACAGAAUCAUUAAGCUGUGUUCCCCAAUUUUGCCUUGAAUUCUCGUUGUUCGGCCUCCUAAAUUCACUCCCGUGAUAGCAUGUAAUGAGAUUUCUGGUUCACUUUAUGCUUCAAAUUCAUGAUCUUAUUCAAGUUCAUCAAUCACUAGCCCAAUUCCAUCCUCAUCUAAGUGGUAAGAGGCAAUUUCUACCUUUUCUUCCUCUGGAAUGUGUUGGUGGUGGAAGUAAUGAUCACAGCAGCUAAGCCAGGCAAACUGGUCAUUUUUUCAGUCAUAAAAAGGAAAUUCUAGCCGGCUGUAUCUAGGUGUUUGCAUACGUCCUUCCAAACGGUUAUCCAUUUGAGGAUGUCCUCUUAGUCCCCUGUUCACACUUGCAUCAUCUCCUUGAUGAACCUCUAAUCUGAUUGCAGCCAAGUCACAAGAAAGUUCUUCAAUUCGAGCAGAAAGUUGCUCCCUCUCGGUUCUAUUUUUCUGUCGGUUCUCCUGAUACAUCUUCAUGGAGAUCUCAAAUUGUCUGUAAGUUGUUAUAGGAAUCGCCCAUAACUUCCUGAUCUGAUAACAAUUUGUUAUGGUCCCGAAACUGUGAUUGAGUUACUGGGGCGAUUGAGUGUAAAAUUCACUUGUAAAGAAUGAAGUUUGCCAAACUUUUUACCUUAUGAUCUAUUUUGAAAAUAUGGGAAGGGCUCGUUUAAGAGAACCCAACUAUCUCAAUGCAAGUAAAAGUUUGAAAUUUUUCACUCACCAUAACCAACAUUCCAGCUUACGAUAUAAAGAGAUUGUUCAAUAACCAACUCCUAGAAAGUAGAUGCCACUACUGCACUAUCUAAACUAACAAUCAUAAAAAUAGGAAAUAUAAAUUGAAAUUGAAAUGAAGUCUACAUAAAGUCUACAAGUUGGAACAUAGUGCAUUACUGGCCAACUUCCCUUUUCAACCUCCUACUUUCCAGCACGUCUCUGUAUAAAGUCUGCAAGCUAGAACAUAAUGCAUUGCUAGCCAACUUCCGUCUUCAAGCUCCUAUAUUUCUUUCAACAUUUUUUUAUCAUUACUAAUAGAGAUAAUAGAGACAUUGAGAGCGAUUAAAAGGAUAAUAAUAAUUUUAUUAUAGUUUUUAAUCUCCUCAAAUAAAUCUUAUUGUUUUUCUUCGAUAAUAAUAAUAUUUUUCUUCAAAUUUAUUAAUUUAAUAAUAAUAAUAAUAAUUUUACUAUUCAAAUCAAAUUUAUGGUUAUUUUUCAAAAUUAAUCAUAUAUUUUCAAAAUUUCUUAAUUAUGAUAUUAAUAAUAUUAAUUAUAAUAAAAACAAUAAAAUUUAUAAUAGAAAUAAUAAUAUUUUUAAUAUUAGCAAUAUUAAUUAUAAUAAAAAAAAUAAAAAAAAUUAAAAAUAUUUAUAAUACAAAUAAUAAUAUUUUUAAUAUUAAUAAUAACAAUAUAUAAACUUACUCAAGUUUAAGUGGAUCUGUCUGUAACACCAAACCUAAAAGUUUUGAGCCUCUCUUAAAUGACGGAUUCAAAAGAUUUUGCACCGUAAAAGUGUAAAUAGAGCUAGCUCAUAAACUUAACUUUUCCUUUCUUUUCUCUUUAGCUAAAUUGUUUUUUUAAAAAAAACAUUAAUAAUAAUUCUCAACCAACAUAUAUCCCCUGAACUUAUUUUCCAAUUAUUUUUUCAAUUUACUCCUAAAGAAUAGAUUCAACAAAUAAACUUAUAAAAUAAAGAGAAAAACCUUAACCCAUCUUCAUCAUCGUCUCUUUACAACUUCUUAUUCUAAGUAUGCAAGUCAUAAAAGAAAAAGAAAAUCAAAGAAAGUUCCAUGUACUCAGACAACAAACCUAAAUUGAAAAUCCUAAUUAAAUAUACUUUGUUGAUGAUGCUGAUGGUGUUCAUGCUCGAGCCCGUGCUUGUGCUUGUGCCCAUGCUUGUGCUGCUGUCAUUGUUGUUAGUGCUAGUGCUGGUGGCAGUGACUGCGGUUGCUGGUGGCGGUUGUGGUGUUGCUUCUAGUGACUUGUUCUGUUUCAAUAAAUUAAAUAGGUUAUUUAAGGUGCAAUAUGCAAUAAUAUUUUGGAUUUAUUUGCCUAAAAAUGAUGAUUUUUUCAAAUAUUAUUGAUAAUGUUUACAUUAAAAAAUUGAAUAUUUCUUUUUACUUUUUUUAUCAUUAUUAAUAGACAUAGAGAACAAGCCUAUUCCAAAAAUCAUAAUGUUUAGGAUAGAAAAUCAGGAUUUUCUUUGUUCAGAAGUUAAGUUCAAGGGGUAUUUCUUAUAGUUUCUUGAAAAGGAACUGUCCAUUCUUUUUUUUUUGGAUUCGAGGAAACCCCACUCCCUAGAAAGCGCACUUUGUGGGUCCAGGUGAGCGAGUAAAACCCCAGCUGUCCCAGGCUCUUACAAGAAGUGCACGCCCUGACUCGAACUCGAGACCUGCUAUGCAGAUCUCAAACCCUUUGCUAUCACGCUAUACCUCUUGGGGACAAAACGGGUAGUGAUGUUUUAAAACCCAUCUUCCCAACCAAACACAGAAAUUUAAAUGCCAAAUCAAAGGAAAGCUCAGGAAUAGAACACUUGGCUGUUGAAAACUCGAAAUACCAAUGAAAUGCACGUAAAUUUUGUUCUUACCUGGCUAUUUGUAGAGAGUCCAACAUCAUAAACCACGGUGAGAUCAGUCUUGAAAAGUCCAAAUGAUCGCUCAGAACCAGGUCCAGGUUUCAACUCUUCGUCAUAAAGAGCAAAGAGGUAUGUAUCCACUGAUUUUCCUGGCAUGACUGGAGUGCCCACCAUCGAUCGAAGGUGUGCAAUCAAAUUGCCAUUGUAAGCCUUGGCAUUCUCAAUGCUUGGCCCUACGUCGUUGUCAUCUCCUUUAAAUGGCCAUCCAGUCUCAGCCACCACAAUCUCAACAUUCUUAAAUCCCAUAGAAUUCAGUGCAGAAUAAACUGCAUCCACCUGCAAUUGAUUAAACCACUUGUCAGUAGCAUUUUUAUUAGAUCAUCUAUUGAUACAGAAUUUUCGCACUUGCAAUUUGAUUUACUCUCACCUGAGCAUCGAACAUGUUCAUGUACUUGAUCUUAGUGUUUCCAUCCAUUCGUCCUGCAUUCGGCUGGAAAAGGCAUAAAGCAAGAGUCUCAGGCCUUGUAUCGCUUCUGUAGGCAAAGUAAGGGUAGGGAUUGAUUGCGAAAGGCGAACCAUUCGCACUAUUAAACUCCAACAAGCCCUUCAUCAGAUCCCCAUAACUUUGAUCAAUGCUCCAGAAGAAGGUGGCUCAGACUGCUUAAGCACUCCCAUCGAAUGAACUGUGGAGACCUUAAUUUUACCCCCGAGCGAUGCAUCAUUUAGAGCAUUCUGUACAUUUUGCAUUGCUGGUAAGAGCUUGUUCAUGAGAUUCUGGUCAUUGGAAGUCAUGACCUCGUUGCCAACAGUGAUGAGGAUGAUAUUGCUAGCUGGAUAGAAGGGAAGCACGUUUUUGUUGAUCCAGCUCUUGGUAAAAUUGGAAUCAGAGGCUAGUCCUAGAAUGUCACCAUUUGCAGUGCCGAUAACAAUUCCAAUUCCGGUGUUGGCUAAGGCUUUGAUUAUGGCGGGGUCCGAUCCAUAUAAUCGGACCUUUUGGAUUGAAGUGGAUUGAAGAAGGUUUGCGGUGGAUGGUGGUGGUGGAAGCUUGUCCGCAACUUGGCCAUAGUUUAUACCAAUGAAUGAUUGCGAGUCUGCACAAAAAGCAGCAAAAUUUAAAGCAGAUGACCAAACAUAAAUUUUUAAACGACAAAACAGAACAACAACAUUUUUUGUUUUCAUAGACUGAAAUGAAGACAGCUCAGAUCACACAAACAAAGCACAUUGCUGCCAAUACUGCCAAUAUAGACAGCCCAUAAAUCCCCCACACUUAGCAUGGACAUUGUCCUCAAUGUACGUAGUUAAGAGAGAUGGAGAAAUAGAGAAAACUGCCCUGAUUGCAUGCUGGGUUUUCCUUAUUUUGGCACCCAUGGUAGCAACAUUUGUUCGGCCAGAAUGUGUUUCCAUAUCUGUCAUAACCUGUUCGAUUCCCCUCCAUUCACUGUUGUGCUACCGUGUCUUGCCGAAAACUUAUGUAGAGUGGCAGAAAUGGUGCCGACAGGAGUUUUCACGUUGUUGGGAGCUACACAAAAGGUAAUGUGGUGAGUCAUAUCAAAUGUGUGAGGAGAAAAUAAAACAAAAAAGAAAAAAAACGUUUGUUUUUUUUUUUUUUUUUUUUGUAGAAUGUUUCCGCGUUGGGCUGCCUCCCUAAAACGCCUUUCUUUAUUGUCUUUGGCUAGACAUUGUUUUCUUCGUGUCAUGCAUCCAUGUAGAUUGGAUUAGCUAGUUUAACUUCCUUCUCAAUAGUCUCCAAAAUUCUCAACGAAAGGCUUCAGUAUAUGGCCAUUCACCUUGAAAACUUGGUUAGUUUCACUGCUUUGGAUUUCAAUAACACCAUGAGAAAAAAUAUCUAAAACAACAAAUGAUCCAAUCCAUCUAGAUUGUAAUUUUCCAGGCAUGAAUUUCAAUCUAGAGUUGAAAAGGAAUACUUUCUGCCCAACAAAAAAUUAAUUGCGCUGUAAAAACUUAUCGUGAAGAUAUUUAGUUCACUCUUUAUAUAGUCUUGCAUUGUCAUAUGCUUUCAAUCGAAUUUCUUCAAGUUCUUGCAGCUGCAAUUUUCGUACUUCUCCUGUUUUUUUAGCAUCAAGAUUGCAUUGUUUCACUACCCAGAAGGCAUGAUAUUCAAUUUCCACCUGUAAAUGACGUAACUUACCGAAAACCAACAUAUACGGUGACAUUCCAAUUGGAGUUUUGUAUGCUGUGCGGUAUGCCCAAAUUGCAUCCUCUAAAUGCAGGCUCCAAUCCUUUCGGUUAUGGUUCACCAUCUUUUCCAAUAUGUGCUUUAUUUCUUGAUUUGAAACCUUAGCCUGUCCGUUGGUUUGUGGGUGGUAAGUUAUGGCUACUCGAUGAUGUGCUCCAUAUUUUCGCAUCAAUGCUUCAACAGUUUGGUUGCAAAAAUGGGUGCCUUGAUCACUUAUUUUUGCUUUUGGAAUUCCAAACCUAUUGAAAAUGUUAGAUUUGAGAAAUCCUACAACAACCUUAGAAUCAUUAGUACGAGUAUCAUUUGCUUCUACCCAUUUUAAAACAUAAUUCACAACAAGCAAAAUGUAAAGAAAAUCAAAAGAACUAGGAAAGGGUCCCAUAAAAUCCAUGCUCCAUACAUAAAAAAUCUCACAAUAUUUAUGGUAUUAAUAAUAAUAUUAAACUUAUAUGACCUAAGUUUUUAUAGUUUUCAAUCCGCUCAAACAAAACUUAUUAUUUUUCUUCAAUAAUAAUAACAAUAACAAUAAUAAUAAUUUUACCCUUGAAAUCAAAUAUAUGUUUGUUUUUCAAAAUUAAUGAUAUAUUUUUAAAAUUUCUAAAUUAUGAUAUUAAUAAUAUUAAUUAUAAUAAAAACAAUAAAAUUUAUAACACAUAAUAAUAUUUUUAAUAUUAAAAUUAAAAAUAUUUAUAAUACAAAUAUUUAUAAUUUUAAUAUUAAUAAUAACAAUAAACUUACCCAAGUUUAAGUGAGUCUGCCUACAAUACCAGACUUAAGAGCUUUGGACCCCUCUUAUAUGAGAUACUAAAAAACAUUGGGUUUGGCUGCAAUCUAAACCCAUUAUAUUUAGGUGAGGACGCAAGAUCCAAGAGCAUUGAAUCUAGAGGCGGACCCAUUAGCCUAUAGUCUGACUCCUGACCCAAUUGUCUUAAGCGAGGUAAGGCUACAAUACCCAAGGGACUUGAGUCUUCUUCCUGCCACUCCCAAACAACUUAGGUCUGACAUGCCCUUCUAGACCCAAGUUAAUAAUAAUAAAAAUAAUUGAUUUUACCCUUCAAAUAAUAUUUAUGUUUUUUCUUAUAAUAAUAAAAUUAUUUCACAUUUAAUAAUAUUUAUGAUAUUAAUAAUAAUAUUAAACUUAUCUGAACUAAAUGUUUAUAGUUUUUAAUCCCCUCAAAUAAAACUUAUUGUUUUUCUUCAAUAAUAAUAAUAUUUUUCUUCAAAUUUAUUAAUUUCAUAAUAAUAAUAAUAAUAAUAAUAAUUUUACCCUUCAAAUCAAAUCUAUUGUGUUUUUCAAAAUUAAUGAUAUAUUUUCAAAAAUUUUAAUUAUGAUAUUAGUAAUAUUAAUUAUAAUAUAAACAAUAAAAUUUAUAAUACAAAUAAUAAUAAUUUUAAUAUUAAUAAUAUUAAUCAUCAUAAAAAUAAAAAUAUUUAUAAACUAAAAUAAUAAUAUUUUAAUAUUAAUAAUAUUAAAAUUAAAAAUAUUUAUAAUACAUAUAAUAAUAUUUAUAAUAUUAAUAAUAACAAUAAAUGUACACAAAUUUAAGUAGGUUUGGCUGCAAAACCAAACCCAAGAGCUUUGAGCCCCUCUAAAAUGAGGGACCCAAAAGCCUUGGAUUGGCUACAAUCAGAACCUAUUAGAGUUGGGUGAGGAUGCAAGACCCAAGAGCAUUGAGCCCUGACACGGACUCAUUAGCCUAGGGUCUGGCUCUUGACCUAAUUGUCUUGGGCUAGACAAGGCUGCAAUACUCAAGGGACUUUGCAAUACUUAAGGGACUUCGGUCUUCCCCCUGGCACUCCAAAUCAACUUGGGUCUGGCAUGUCCUUCCAGACUUAAGGUAAUAGUAAUAAAAAUAAUUGAUUUUACCCUUCAAAUUUAAUAAUAUUUAUGAUAUUAAUAAUAAUAUUAAACUUAUCUUACCUAAGUUUUUAUAAUUUUUAAUCCCCUCAAAUAAAAAAUAUUGUUUUUCUUCGAUAAUAAUAAUAUUUUUCUUCAAAUUUAUUAAUUUAAUAAUAACAAUAAUAAUAAUUUUACCCUUCAAAUCAAAUCUAUUGUGUUUUCAAAAUUAAUGAUAUAUUUUUAAAAUUUUUAAUUAUGAUACUAGUAAUAUUAAUUAUAAUAAAAACAAUAAAAUUUAUAAUACAAAUAAUAAUAUUUUUAAUAUUAACAAUAUUAAUUAUACCACAAAUAAUAAUAUUUUUAAUAUUAAUAAUAUUAAUCAUCAUAAAAAUAAAAAUAUUUAUAAACCAAAAUAAUAAUAUUUUAAUAUUAAUAAUAACAAUAAACUUAUCCAAGUUUAAGUGGGUUUGCCUGCAACACUAGAUUCAAGAACUUUGAGCCCCUCUAAAAUGAGAGACCCAAAAGGCUUAGGUCUAGCCACAAUCCGAACCCAUUAGAGUUGGGUGAGGAUGCAAGCUCCAAGAUCAUUGGGUCAUGACGUGGAACCAUUAGCCUAGGGUUUGAUGCUUUACCCAAUUGUCUUGGGCCAGGUAAGGUUGCAAGACCUAAGGGACUUGGAUCUGCCAUUGUCAUUCGCAAGCAACUUGGGUAUGACAUGUCCUUCCAGACCCAAGUUAAAAAUAAAAUAAAAAAAUUGAUUUUACCCUUCAAAUCACAUCGAUGUUUUUUCCAUAAUAAUAAAAUUUAUUUCAAAUUUAAUAAUCUUCCAUAUAUCAUUUUCAUUGACCUUUGAAACCAUUUCUAACCUUUCAAGUAUCAAUCUUUAAAUUGUGAUUCUGAUGUUAUAGUUUAUUUUGUGAUUUGUCUUCUUACUGAUAGAUGCUGAAGCAUGAAUGAAAGUGUUCUUCCUACUCGAUGUUUUUAUUUAUAGGAACAAACAUUAAGGUAAGCAUACUUAUAAUUUUGAUUUCUGCUUAAUUAAUUAUUUGGAUUUUUAUUUUUAUUAUUGUUUGUGUUAAUUGGCUUUUGACAAUUUAAACUUCAUGACUGAUUUUUAUUAUUUUUAUUAUUGAUGUUAUUUAUAUUAUUUUUUUUGUUACAGUAAUUAUUUUAUUUGAUGUAUAAUAUUUUUCGAAGUGAUGGCUAUUAAGUGGACAAUCCAUACUGAUUUUGAACAUCAUAAACUGGAUAUUGUUUGUAAUGAAGCUGCACUUACAAAAAUACAUCUCAUAUAUUGUUUGUUUUCAUUCUAGUUAUGGCAGUCUUGGGAAAAUAUCUGUGAAUUUUUUGUUCCUGAUAGUUUAACUAUGAGCUAAUUUAUUGUUAUGCUGUAUAUAUUCAUAUGAUAAUGUAUAUAUUUUUUCUGGUUUUUAGCAUGCCUCGACGAGGAUCCAUAUUAGAUUCUAGGAGUGACAGGUCCACUUCAUCCAAAUCAUUUCAAACUACAUCAAGGCAUAAUAACAAAUGAUCCACAUUUCAUCAACAUGUGUAUCAGAACGCAAAUGAGUAUUAUAUACCUACUUUGGGGAGUACACAUCCUCCUCAACAUGAUUAUGGGAGGGUUGAAACAUAUCAAUAUUGUGAGGGCUUUCGCUUCCAAGAUUUACUUCAAACUCAAGGAGGUUUCUCUCGAGAUAACCAACUUGUUUAUGCUGGACAUAAUUCAUAUAGGAGUUAUGAGAGAGUUGAUGGUGAUGAUGGUGAUGUGAACAUUAGAGAUGAAGAUGAGACAGACGGUAGUAAUGAGAGAGGUGUAUGUGAUGAGAGAGGUGUAUGUGACGAGUGUCAUAACCCAAUUUUUGACCCUUUUAUUUUAAUUAUUAUUAUUAUUUUAUUUACUGAAAAGGAUAUAAAAAAAUGAUGAUGAAAAAAAAUAAUAAUGAUGAAAAGCAAGUAAAAUGAAAUAAAUGAAGAAUGAAUUAAAAUUUGGGUUAAUGGCAACAUGAUUGGAAGCUUACAGAUUUAAUUAAAUUUUUGACUUGUUUAAUUAAUCAAAUCAAGGGUUUAAUUGGAGAAUUGAUAAGUUUUGAGACUUAAUUAAGCUUAAAAUUAAUUUAAUUAAUCCAAUCAAGGGUUUAAUUGGAAAAUUGAUAAGUUUUGAGACUUAAUUAAGUUUGAAAUUAAUUUAAUUCAUCCAAUCAAGAGUUUAAUUGGAGAAUUAAUAAGUUUUGAGACUUAAUUAAGCUUGAAAUUUAUUUAAUUCAUCCAAUCAAGGGUUUAAUUGGAUAAUUGAUAAGUUUUAGACUUAAUUGGACUUUGGAUUUAAUUAAAUUAAUGAAAUCAGGGACUUAAUUGAAGAACUAGCAAAGUUUGGGGUUAAUUGGGGGUCUAAAUUGCGAAAUUAAAAUCCAAGGAUUACAUUGAAAAAGGCGUGCAAAUGCAGGGGGCCAAUUACAGUUUAAACCAGGGAUUCAAUUACAAGAAUUUCAAACAUGCAUGGAUCAAAAAGAAAAAUGGCCAAACGACGUCGUUUUGAAGAUGUUGUUCAUCUUCUUCUCCUUUAAGCUAGUGACCGUUUCUGCAGUAAUGGAGGGAGGAACGUUGCAGCAGUAAUCGUCGUCCGUUGGCUUCAGUUAUGGGCGCCUUAAUGGUGGCCGACCGUUAGCCUACCGCCCGUUAUCAACCGGUCGAGCCCUAUAUAAACCGAGUAGCACCGAAGAGGAGGGGGGUUAGAGAGAGAGAGAGAGGAAACAAACCCGAAACAAGACAGACACAAAUAAACCAAAGGGAUUCCUAAGUUUUCUGGUUAAACCCCAGACCAGAAGUGAACCCUUCCCUUACCAAUACUGGCCUUAAAACGACAAAAACAUAAACAAACCGAGAGAGAGUAGAGAGAUUUUAAAAAACAGAGCACUUGAAUAAUUUUUCAGACGAGAGCAGACGAAACAGAGACCCAGGAAAGGAAUACAACGUGAGAUACAAGCAUAAGGAGUAAGAGGCAAUUCGAAAACAGAAGUGUCAUCUUCGGCAACCUCGCACAAAUUCUCUGCAGGUAAGUCUGCUCUGUUUUCCCUUGCGUUUCGUUAAUUCAUUUUUGCCGCUUGUUUUGAAUUAAUUAACAAAGGCCAGGCACGCGUGAUUUGGAUCACGCGUGCCUCAUGUGGCCCAGCCGGGUCACUGGUUUGGGCCAGUGACCUGGCUGGGCUGGGCUGGGUCUAGCCCGGCCCAUGUGGGCUGAGCUGGGCCCAGCCCAAAGAAUAAAAAAAUAAAAAAAACAGAAAAGUAAAAAAGGGUAGAAAAAAUAAAAAAAUGUGUAUGCAUGAAUAAAAAUAAUAUAAAUUUACUGGUUUAUUCACUGACGCCAGAGUUAGGAAUCAAAAUACCAGUUUAAAUUUGUAUUAUUUUUAUUCGUUGUAUUUUAUUUUAUUUACCUAGAAAAAUAAAAAAAUAUGUGCAUGCGUAAAAAUAAAUUUAUUUUUAUUUAUUUAUUCACUGGCGCUAGAGUAGGGAAUAAAACAUAUUGAUCUAAUUUUUUUCCGUAGCUACGAAUUUUUACCAACGCCAGAGUUGGAAUUAUUCGAGCUCGAAUAUUCACUGGCGCCAGAGUCAGGAAUAUUAUAAACAAAUAAACAUAAUAUCAAUUUAAGACAAAACCAGCAAUGCAGUCUGCCUUAGGCAGAACGUUUAAGGGGUGAUAAUAUCUUCCCUUUUACGUAACCAAUCCCGAGCCAUAGAAUCUCUGUUGACCAGUUAGGGUUCCUAGCGACCAUAAUACUAGGUGGCGACUCCUCAAACAAGACAUUUUCCCUUAAAAGAACCAGAUGCCAGAAAUCUGUUCUUUUUCCAUAAUUCAAGUGAAUUAUUUGUGGGCCGCCGCGAUGUCGGGUGCGACAACGAGGAUGAAGAUGGUGUUCCAUCAAACCACGGUUCAACAUCUUCUCCAUACAAUUAUGAUCAAAGUGUUAAAAGGAAGGGUUUUGACACACCAAUAGAUCCAAUUACAAAAAAAAAAGAGCUUUGUUUGUAUGGAACAACAGAGUAAGUUCAAACUUUUAAAAACUAACUUAUUAAGGUUAUAUUUUUAGGUAUGAAAAAAAAUAUUUAUUAUUGUGUAAUUAUUUGUUUAAUAUAAGUUUGUUAUUAUAUAUUUUUAGGUUUAAUAACGCAUCAUGUGGACGUGCAAUCAGAGAUAUUUUGAGGUCCAAUUUUAAGGGAGCAUGUCACUCUUGGGAAAAAGUAGAUUCAAUGUGUAGGGAUGAACUCUUUAAAGAGUUUAAGGUAAGAACCAACACUAAUUGCCAUAUUCUUUUCAAUUUUAAUCACUUUAAUGUAGCAUUAUGAAAAUUAUCAACUAAAUAGCUAUAGAAGUGUGCUGGUAAUUGUCUUGUUAUUUGUAACCAUAAAUUAUUAACUGAAUAGCAGGGACUGAUUUGUGUUAUAAUUUGUUCUUAUUUCUUGUUUAUUCUUUAAUAUCAUUUAAUUUCUUUAGUUAUUACAUCAUCUUGCAAAUUCUGAACAAGAUAACAUAAUAUGAUUAAUUAUUUAUAUACUUUGAAAUUUUGUGCACUCUUUUUACUUGGUAUAUAUAUUAUUUGGUAGAAAAAAUAUUCCUUUCCUGAGGAAGAUGAGUCGAUUGUUCGUAAUAUUUGGGAAGAUAAGGCUAGGAUAGCUUUGAAUCAACAAUUGACACGAGCUCGCAAGAAAGCGAUGUCAAAAGAAAACACUACAAAUAUUAUAGAUUGCCUUGAUAAAGGUCCUGCCUGGAUAAACAAUGAUGAGUGGAAUCAAAUGAUCAAAGAUUUUUGGUCCACCCCUGAAUUUCAAAGGAGGUCUGAAUCUACUAGGAGGAAUCGAUUAACCAAAACAGAUGGCAAAAUAAGCACUCAUUCUGGAGGAAUAGUGUCAUUUGCAUUAUAUCGAGCUAACAUGGUAAGGAUUUUUUUUUAUGCUUAAGAUAAUGAAUUAAAAUUUGUAUAUUUAUCUUUUAUAAUAUUUAUUAAUCUUGAAAGCAAGAGGAAGCUGGUGGAAAAGAACCUCCAUGGGAUGAUGUCUUUUCAGCUUUGCUUCAAAGUACUAAGCAGUCUAGUAGCUUCGUCGACAACAAGCCUAAAAAAGUAGUUGUAUGUAUUUUUAUUUGAUUAUUUCUUAAUAUAACUUAAGUAUUAUUUAACAUUCAAAUGAAUUUAUUGUUGCAUGUAUUUUAUUUGUAGGAAAAUUAUAAAGUGGAGAUGAUUUCAAAGUAUGGAACUGAUUGGGAAAAUCAUCCUUCAUUUGAUGGAGCAGCUUGGUGUGUGGCUUCAGGAGGAGUUACAAAGGGUAGGGUAUAUGGUGCACCUCGUAUGCCAAAAUCUAUAGUUAGUACAAGCUCUUCAUCACAUUCCUACUCGGUGGAGUCAUCAUAUCUCAGUUCAUCGUAUUGAGCAUUGCAAAAGGAGAUAAAGAACAAAGAAGAGGAGAUAAAGAAAAAAGAUGAUUUUAUUCUUGAAAUGAAAUGACAGAUGGAUUCCAUGAAAGAAUAUCUUGUGAAUAAUCUUGGAUACCAUGAUGGAACAUCAAAUAUUGGCCAAGGUAUGCCACCACCUUUGACCCCAUCAAUGCCGCCACCUAUGGCUCCCUAGAUAAUGACACCUAUGGCUCCCACAUCUCAACUAAUUUAUCAAUCUACACCUCGACCACUAUAUCCUGAUCAAUCUUGUGUUGAUCCACAAUAUAAUGGUCCGUCUUCGCAACCAGCACCAUGAUUAUAUCUUUUGUUGUUUUUUUUAUUGUAUUUCGACUUAAUUGUGUUAAUGCAAGUUUAACUAAAUUUUUAUAAUAUGAGUAUUAUUUUUAUUCCAUUUUGUAUUAGUGAUGCAAUUAUUUUUAAUAUUAAUUUAUGUUGGUUAUAUAUAUUCUACAACUUUUAAAAUAUCCAUAAAUAAUUAAUUAACCAAAUUAAAAGCCAUUUUAAUAAAUAAAUAAAUAAAUAUUAAUUUAUUAAAAAUAAUAUACUCAACAACGGAUUUUCCGUUGCUGAUUGUAAAUAAUUCCUCAAUCAGCAACGGACAAUCCAUUGUUGAUUCACAAAACUAGCAAUGGAUUAUCCGUUGCUAAUAUAUGCAACGGAAUAUCCGUUGAUGGUUGUUAGCAUCGGAUUAUCCGUUGCUAAUUGUAAGCAACGAAAUUUUCGUUGCUGCGAAAUCAACAACUGAUAAAUCCGUUGCUAAAAAAUUAGCAACGACAAAUCUGCAUCCGAUAUUUGCCGUUGCUGAUUCCGUUGCUCAAUUGUUUUAGCAACGGAUUUUAGUAUUAUUUGCAACGGAGUAGUCCGUUGCUAAUUACUAUAUUUUUUAGUAGUGAGAGAAAAGUUAGAAAAAUGUAUCUUUUGAGAAAACUUUUAAUAAAAUAUCAUUCAUCUCAUUCUUCUUCUUGUUUUUUAGUUUUGUUCUUAUAUUUAUUCUUAUAAAUUAGAUAUCACACCCUACCCUUUUUUUUCCAACAAAGAGGAUACAUUCAUCUAAGGAAUCUAAUGUAAGAACUACAAAUUUGUCCAUACAUGAGCAAGUUAUGUUGUUAAAUAAGAUCGUAUAAUACCAUAAAAAAGUUAAGAGAACAAACCCCUGUUCCCACUGCAGGCUUACUAUCGCCUGGUUUUGGCAAAAGCCACUGCGGUGACAGCGGAACUCGAACAUCUGCAUGAAAUAAACAGAAGGAAUCAACAAAGACAUCUCUCCACAUGUAUCCAAACCAACAGUUGGAAACAGUACGCUUCGCUAUUCCAUUGAAUAACUGGCAUUUAUUGAUUUGAAUUCCCUUGAUUUAGAAGAAGCAACAUAUAUAAUUGCUGAGAAAUUGGCAGAUGAUUAUAUUUCUUAACCCCUUAAACUUGCCGUUUAGGACAAAGACACCUACAACCUUGGAAAAUCAGAGUAUUCCAUAGGAGAACAGGAUAGAAAUAGCAAUGAAAGAGCUUAACAGUAACCAAGGAGCAGAAAACUAAACAAAAAAAGAAAGACCUUUUCUCUAUUUUUAUACAAGACAACUAAUAAAUGGCUCCUCUUAGAGCUUCUCUCACCAGAUCAUUAUAAUCCUUUUUGGCCCAUUGAAGAAAAGUAAACUGUCAUUCACAAGAGUAAGAGUCACUGAAGCUUGACCUAUAUGUUCAACCUCUAACCUUUAAUUUUUAUUUGAUCACAAGAGUAAGAGUCACCGGCUAGAGAUAUCAAUUUUAACCUCCCCACCGUUUUUAUUACAUGUGUAUUGAUGAUGGGCUGUGAGCCAGGCUAGGGUUACUAUUAAUGACCGACUAUGGAAUGUUGAACAUCAUAGAUGAUAUUAUAAUUGUAUUGCAUGAAUUUGCACAGGUCAUUUUUUGGAUAGUGCCCUGUGCAGGGGGAUAUAUAUGCUAUCAAAAUUUUGUAAAAUAACUUGAUAGAUUAUUGAAAUGGUAUGGCGACGAGAAACUAACAAAGACACAAGUAUGUCAAUUGGUACACAAGGAUACAAGGGUCAAACAUGUGUGUGUAAGAAUAUUUGCUCAAUUUCAGGAUUUAUUUAGAAUCAAAUUUCCCACCCAACCCAAAAUCAAUUUAUCAAACAAAAAAAUAUAGAAACACAAAAUCAAAAUAGAACAUUCUUUUAUCUCUUGACCUCAAUUUACUUUUUCAAAAAUAAAAAUAAAGGUUCAAAAACAUCUUAAUUAGAAUUUCCUUUCUAAUGGAACUUAUUAAUAUACCAAGAUCAAUUUUUUCAUUAUUGGAAUGUGGCCGACUAUAAUUUUCUCUCUUUUUAACCAUAAUUCAAUGAAUUUCUCUCUUCUCUCUCGAACUCAAAUGCUGAAAAAUAAAACAAAUGAACUUUUGAACCAUAAUAAAAAUUAUCUUGAAUUUAGGAUUAGUAAUGUAUUUUCUUCAUGUUUUACAUCUUGAUCCCUUCGUUUUUUAAUUUGGUUUUUUCACCGCAAUUUCAAACUUAAUCUAAGCUAAUUAAGCCAAAAAAGGAUUCAAUCAAGAAAAUUAAACAAAUGGAUAGAAAAUAAAGUUUAAUUAAAGAGAAAAAAUGAGAAGUGGAGUACUUAUGUUUAAUGCUCUCAAGUUUCAAUCUUCUAACCAUUAACUAUAUAUGUCGCUUCUAAAUAUUCCAUUGUCAAGGAAGAAAGUUCUAUCCGAGGAAGAAUAGUUGGAUGAUUGGCUGGAACAUCCGAACUUAAUUUCCUGCAUGUGAAACUCAAUCUCAGUGGCAGUACCGUAAUUAGGGUUGAUUUUAUGUUUCUUUAACUAACUACAACUGUUCAGGGAGAAUAGCGCUUUGGCUACGGUGAAUAAUUUCUUACAGCAGUUUGAAAGUGUAAAUGUGAUAAAAAUUAUUUUUUCUCGUAAAUAUAUUCAAAAGGAAAACUGCAAAAGCAAGAACAGGAAAGACAGCAUUUAGUUCAUAAGAGAGUAUAACUCUCGGACAACAUGUUUGUUUGGUAAAGGAUCAAACAACUAGUUCGAAAGCCAAUUCAUUCCUUUUCUCAUAACCCAUUUUUGAGUUAUUCUUCAAUUCACAUUUUUUUCUCUCUUCAAAAAAAUACAAAGAAAUCAAAAAUAUUUUAAAAAAUAUAACAGUAAAAAGAGGAUGUCAGAACGCUAAAAAAAUGAUCAAAAAUUGGUUGAGGAGGUCUAAAAAUACAAAAAUUAAAAUUUGACAGUAUUUUAUUGACUGAUGAGAGCCCUACUAACAAAUAAAAUUUAAUUUGAGGAAGAAAAGUCCAAAAUCAGAUAUUUAUGGACUCAAUUAAAUUUUAUUGAAGGUUUAAUUGAAUUUAUGGAGGGUUUGAUUGCAAGAAAAAUUGAUUUUGAAGUUAAUUUAGACUUUAAUUGGAAGAAAUUAAAGUUCUGGGGUGAAAUUAUAAUUUUUAAGAGUUAAUUUGGUCAAAUCAGGGGUUUAAUUGCAUAAAUAUUGAAGUUUGAUGGCCAAUUAGGGACUUAAUUAAAGAAAUCCGAAACCAAUGACCAAAAUGAAAAACGCGUGUAAAUAGAGGGGCUGCAAUUAAACCGAAUCAGGGGCCAAAUUGAAGAAAUUAGAGGUUUAUUGAUCAAUUGAGAGUCAAAUUGCAUAAAUCAGAGACCAAGGACCAAGUUGGAAAAGGCGGUCAACUUCAGGGCCAACGAUUGAAUUUGGCAGGAAUGCAAUUGAAUUGAUUUUUAAAAUCAAAAUUGCAAUUAAGGACUUGAUUGAUCAAAUCACAAAUUAAAGACUGAUUUGCACUUUGACACAUUUGAUGUCGUUUUCAUUUAAAUGAAACGGCGCGUUUUUCCCAAAACGGCGCUGUUUCAUCCACUGUUCAUAAAAAGAAAAGAAAAGCCCGAAACAGUGCCAUUUUGAACGACACUGUAGACUUUCUUCUUCUGGACGUGCAGAGAAACAAGGGAAGGGAGUUGCGUUCCCCUGUAUUUUCAUCGCCUUUUCUUCCUCCUUUUAGUUCAAAAGGACGCCGACCAAAGACCUCAUUUAUGUUGAGCUGACCCGUGGCCUCCCACGUGUUGGAUAAACGGAGGAGACGUGCCUCCUCGGGCAGUCGUGGGGCGACAACAUAGUGUCCGCCCCAACCAUGUCUCUCCCUUGUUUUCACCUAUAAAUACAGGGGAGACGAGGGGAACAGAAGGGAGGAUAGAGGAGAGAAAGGAGAGAAGAAAAAAAAGGACAAAGAAAUAGAAGAACAAAGAAAAAAAAAUAGAGGACAACAGAGAGAGAGAAGUAAAACGGAGAGGAAAAGGGAGAAGAACCACUGCAAACCACCAGUGCUACUGCCUGUCGUCUCCAGCAGCACAACCAACGGUUGCAGCCACCGUAGGUCAGCCCUUCCCCCUUCCUUUUUUUUUUCUUCUGUUUCACCUCGCCUCCAUGCUCUCCACUGGUCACGUAGUCUGUGAACAGUGGAGAGCACUGUUCAUGGCUGGGCCAAUUCUGGCCCAGCUGAAUAUUUAAGCCCAGCCCAUGGAUCUUGGGCUGAGUCUAGUCCAACCCAACAAUGGUGGGCUGGGUCUGACCCAACAAAAAAAAAAUUUAAAAUUUUGUGAUUCCGCCGCGUUUUGUUUUACGCUACUUUAUUUAAUAUCGGUCUGUAUUUCAUGUCGUAAAAAUACAAAAUUCGGUAUUAAAAUACCGGGUUUUCGUCAACUUAAAAAAAAAUUGAAAAAAGAAAAAAAUGUUUUUGUGCAUACGGCCAAGUGUCUCAAAGCUAAAAAAUCAUAUUGUGUUUUUCAUACACCAAAAAAACAAUGUUUUAGCAUGCAUUUUGGCUUUAAUAACCAGUUUAUUAAAGUCAGGAGAACAUUGGCCAAAAUUUCAAAAACAACAAAAAUUUUACUUUGUUUGACUUUUAGUAUCCAGGGUACGACAUUACAAGUAAUACGUAUUCUGAAUAUUAAAUUCUGUUUUUUUUUCGGACGCUAGAAUUACCCCAUUAAGAUAAGAACGUCCUUAUUGAGGAAGACUUUUCUUAAAUCUUAGACAGACAAGAUCGACAAUUAGAAACCACAACAAGACCUUAGAUUUUAUCAGACAACAAAACAAUGCAGCUUACCUUAGGUAGGACGUAGUUGAGGUGCUAAUACCUUCCCUUUACGCAACCAGUCUCCGUGCCCGAUCUCUGAGACCAGUAGGGUUCCUAGUGACCAAAAUACUAGGUGGCGAUUCCCAUUCCAAUGUUCCACUGAUACGAGACGAGAAUUUUUUAUCUCCCCGCAUCUGCCAUUAUAUACAUAUAAGAAUAUUCGCCGCCACGCUGCGCGGAGACGUGCGACACCUUUCUUAACUCAUCUCCUCACUGGUCAAAAGAAUUGAUGCCCCAUAUAAAGCCUUGCACAAUAACUCUGUGUUCAUAGAUAGCCAACAACUAAAAAUGAUGUAUUUUUUGCUAUUAGACCACAAGGAGUUUAUAUAGACAAUAAAGCAAUGAAAGAACAAACACAAUCACCGACAAAUACAUGGUUAGAAAGGGCAACUUGAAUUGAGUACAAGGAGUGGAAUGUGGAGAGCAGGGGAUACCAAGUUCAAGUAAGCAUAAGUGGUAACACCCCGAGAUUUCCUCGUGAUAAAUCCAAUUUCCAUGAGCCUUGAACUCGUGAAAAAUGAGGAUUUUUUUCUUUUUUUUAAUAUCUAUAACAUCUUAGUUCCACACAAUGUACCAUAAUAAAUAAUAAAUAAUAAAUGAUUAAGGAAAUAAAUUAGCAUUUAAUGUAAUAGAAACAUAAUGACUAAGAAAUGAAAAAAACAUAAACACCUUUUUCGUUUGGUUACAACUCCCAGAAAUUUAAUAAUAUCCGAACUACUCCUAAAACAACUAUCUUGUAAUGGAAAACUUCUUCUUGUCAUUCAUGGUAGGAGUCCUACACAGAACUAAUAUUUAUGUAAAUUUGAACAACAAUAAUUACAUAAAAGUAGAACCACUUAUUCCUUAAACUUUUAUAAUAUUGUUAGGUCAUAUGUCAAAACAUGCUCUUUGUCCACAAAACCUCAACAUGUUUUAUCCACAAGAUUUCAGUUCAUUGAAGAAUAAUGCACCUCCGUAUUUCCGCAACUUCACUCACUCUUGCUUUUGCUAGUUGGGUAUACCACCCAUCCUUUUUGAAAUAGUCAUCCCUUAUCCUUAUGUAGAAUCACCCCUCUAUUUCACAUUUACUAGUAGCGAAAUCGACUAAUCACUUUAGUCCAGUCAUCGCUAUGACAAUGAACAUCUCAAUUACUCUGUUCGGCAUCAUCUCGAAUAUCCAUCUUGAGAUCUACAUAUUCAUCCAUUCGAUCAAGUCAUCCUGCUAACCUACAUCAUAACCUGUUUUACUAUCCGUCAUAUUUAAUGAGAGUACUCCCCAUUACUGAUACCCCAUACUAUCACAUCAUAUCUUCCAUUCUAACAAUUUUAUUUCUAACACUGAAUAAAACUAGUUCCUAUGAAAGGAACUAGGUUCCCCUUCGGUUUCAUCAAUUACGGUUCCUUUCUCCUUGUUCGAGUCACUAAUGCCUUACAACAACUUUAUAGACUAAGGCACCAACUCUUCAAUCUAAACCUUCAAUAAGAAUUUGUGUUUAAAGCCUCGAUCCCUAGUGCCCUUCCAUUAACGUGAUGCGGAACAAUAAAAAAAUAAAAUUAAAGCAAGAACAGAAAGAAGCUUUAGAAAAGAAAGAAGCUGAAGAAGAGAAGAAAAGAGAUUGGAGAUAUGCAAAAUCUGUAAUUUUCAUUAAUCAUCAAAAACUGUCCCUUAACAUUUAGAAAAGUAGGGUAUUUAUACUAAAACCCUAGCUAGAAUAAACGACUGGGCUUAUGGCCCACUAAAUAAAAUACCCAACAAUAAUUAAAUCAAACCCAACAAAUAAAGCCAAACUAAUAAAACUCAACUAAAAGUUCAUAUAAAUUAAACCCAAAACAUAAGUUAAAGCCCAAUCUCUCAAUUGUUUGGGCUAUCCUCCAUCGUCUAUGAUCAUUCGCAUGCAUAAAUAAUAUUUCGGAUUUGGUGUCCCCAUCAAUUCUCCCGGGGUUGGAAGAACUCGACCCCGUCGAGUAUAGGCCAAGACGACUCCGAUAACGCUCUCAAAGAUAAAGAUCAAGCUGUUGUGAUGUCUCUCUGAUAAUCCAAGUAUAGUCUGAAUCUGGUCGUCGAGCCCAUAUACUGGGAUUUGCUGAAGUUCACCAUCCCUGGUAAAAACAACUUGUGCAUUCAAAGUAGCAUUAAUAUGUUCCUUUUGUGCCAAAGAUAUGGAUAAUGAGGUAGGGGUAUCAAAAGGAGCAUCAGGGAUAGACUGUAUUUUAUAAAUAUUGAGGUCUUUCAUGUUAAAAGUAGAGCUAAUAUCAAAGUUUAAUGGCAAUUUAAUGACAUAAUUAUUUGAUUUAAUCAUUUGCAACACUUUGAAUGGUCUAGCACUACUUACUUGCAAUUUAUGAUCGGUUUUCAAAGGACACCGUUCAGGUCUAAUCUGUAUCAUGAAAUAAUCUCCAACAUUAAGUGCAUCAUGAUACUUAAGUAAAUCAGCUUGAAAUUUGUAUUGUUCAUUACUUGCUUGAAUUUGUUUCAUGAUCUCAAUAUGCAAAUUAUGAACCCUAUAUGGUAACGACUCAGCUGACUUAGACAUCCUAUCGUGAGGAGAUAUGGGAGGGUGUUCUAUAGGCUUCUUAGGUUUGUAACUAUGAACACUAAAUGAUUGAGGGUGUGGAAUGUGACAAACAUUGUUUGAAAUCUGUGUAGAUAUGGUAUGGACACGAUCAAGCAAACUAGGAUUAUCUCAUCUUCCUCAUCACGUGCAUGUGGUAAGGGGUCAAAAAGCUCAAUAUAUUGCUCUAAACUUAUGAUGUGCUGGACACCAAGCAUGUGGGAUGAGGAAUCAGGUAGUUUAGGAGGACUAAUAUCAUGAGACUCUUCUAAGACCAUACGUAUCUCUAUAGGCGAUUCCACUGAAGAGUUCCCUAAAACUUCCUCUACCAUUGAAGCAGACAUAUCAGACUCUUUCUUAACCUCAGUCUCAAGCUCAUGUGGACUCAUUGUGUUAAGUCUCUCUUCUUGCACAUCCUCGUCAUCCAGGUCACUAAAAUCCUCAAGAUUAGGCUCAUACACUUCAACACUACAAUAUUCCUCUUUACCUAUAUCCUUAUGUUUUUGGAUGACUAAGGGUUUAGAGGUGCAAUCUAAGGAGAUAUGACCAAAACCUAAACAAUUAGUACACUUAACCUUUGAACUCACCUUAGACACUUCAUUGACAACUCGUUUACCUUUAUCUUUCUUACAAAGUUGGGUGCUACUAGGAUUAGGUCUGUGGGGUGGAGCACCUAACAAAGAAUCACUGUUUCUGAAUUGGGACCUAGUAGGGAUACUAUAAGAGCCCUGACGAUUCAUCCACUGAUUCUUCGUGACCAACUUGUAAUUUUGAACUAAGGUAUGAGCUUGGUUAAGGGUAGAUACACCUUGAAACACAACUUCUCUUUUAAGAUCAUCAUUUAAGCCUUUACAAAAUCUACGCAAAGUCAUGGCUUCAUUCUCUCUUAUGGCACAUCUAAUCAUGUAAUCGUUAAACUGUAUUAUAUACUCAUUGAUAGACUUAUUUUCUUGUCUUAGAUUGUUCCAUUGGUCUAAGAGUUUAUUCCUAUAAGACUGGGGUAGGUACUUCUCCUGAAGUUUUUGUUUCAUUUUGAUCCAAUCAGUUAUAGGAGGUUUACCUCUCAUCUCUAAACAAUCCUCAACAUCUCUCCAACAAACUUUGGCUUCAUCAAUGAGUUUCAUCUUAGCAAAUCUAACUUUUCUAUUAUCAGACAAUUUAUGCCACUCAAAGAAUUUAUCCAUAUCACGAAUCCACAUAUCAAAUAUCCAAGGGUCAUAACGAUCGUCAAAAGUGGGAGCUUCUAUUUUGUUAGGACUCAAGACUCGCUCAUCAAAGUCAUCGUGUUUAGAGUAACCUAAAUGAUAGUCAUAUUGGUGGCGCUCAGAGUGAACUUGUCCAUAAUGAUUAUUCUUAUGAUAUUUAUUGGUCUUUGAGUGCCUUAUUCGAAAACUCUCUUGGGGUUCAAUUCUUUUAAACAUGUUGAUAGCCUAAGUUUGCAGUUUCUUUAAAUUGUCAUAAGAGUAUCAUUAAGGGUUGAGUCUAGAGUAAAUGUAAACUUAAGCUUGGACACUAGAUCAUCAUGACAUAAAUGCAUGCAAAACUCACUUAUAAAUGAAAUUGAGAUCACAAAUGGUUCUUGCAUGUAAAAUCACAAUACAAAAAUAAAGCUAAUUUUAUUUUUAUCUCUUUUUUUUUAAAAUGUGGAGACUAAUCAAGAACAAAUUACACUAAUAAAAUUAUAAGCAUGUAGUACUAGAUUCUUAAGUGUAAAUGAUUAAUCAAACACGAUGUCACAAGCAAGAACUCAUAAUUAUCAAAUAGAAUAGAAUAUUAACUAUCACUGAUGAAAGAGGUUGAUGAACAAAAAUAAUAAUAUUCUUUGUUAGGUGAGAGAAAUUUUUUUUUUUUGGAAUUUUCUAGACACAAAAGUAAUAUUAAUAAUAACUUAAAUGACAAGUGAAAAACCAAGAAAAGUAACUUCAACAAAUAUGAGAGAGUGAUUCAGUAACUAGAGUGUGGGAGGAAGCUGGAGUUUGCUAGAGCUGAUGUGGCAAACUAGAUGAAUGGACUGCUGACACGACAUAUGACACGGCCAGUUUGCUGACGUGGUGGGUGACGGGGAUGAUCUUGUCUGGCGUGGCAGGGUGGCAUGGCUGAUGACGUGGCAGGGCUAAUUAAUUUUGCCGAGAGUUUUCUUUGGUUUCCUGGUUUCCUUCAUCUGGUUGCCGUCUUCACACAAACCUGCUCUUGGAAAUCAGUCAACAAAUUAAUCCCCGUAACCCGAUACAGGUGAAAGGAUUAAGAUGCUGGUCUUCCAUGGUGAGUCUCUGGGUUGAGUUGAUCUGCUGCUGUGAGAGGCGGUUUGCUGAAGGUGAAUUGAUUUGGCUGCUGUGAGAACUGUUGUAGAUCUUGGUGGCUGUUGAGAGAAGGCGUGGCUGGUGAAGACGAAUAACUAUUGCGAGCACUGAAGGUGGUGGUUUGUGGUUCUGAUUUGGCUGCUGAAGGCGAGGACCACCGCAGUCUGUUGAAGAUGGUGGUUGCCGCCGGUCGGUUCUACUACUCUGUUGGUCGCUAAUGGUGGGGGCGACGAUGGUACUGUGGACGGUCGCUGGCGCUGAAGAGGACGACACUGGCUGAGGCGCUGCCUUUGCUGCUGUAAACCCGAAUCGAUGUUGGUUGUGAUGGGUGUUGUGGGUAUCGGCGUCCGGUUUGAUGAUGGAGACGAUGAACAGUGAUUUUGAACACUGAACAGUAGGUUCUUGUGAUCAGAACAGUAGGUUUUGAACAAGGAUUUUUUUUCCUUUUUUCAGAUCAAACCGGAUCUAGAGUUUAGUAUAAACAUUAUAGACCGUUUAAUUGUAAGAACAAUUAAAAGCCUUCCUUUUAUACCAAAUUUGAUGCGGAACAAUAAAAAAAUAAAAUUAAAGCAAGAACAGAAAGAAGCUUUAGAAAAGAAAGAAGCUGAAGAAGAGAAGAAAGGAGAUUGGAGAUAUGCAAAAUCUGCAAUUUUCAUUAAUCAUCAAAAACUGUCCCUUAACAUUUAGAAAAGUAGGGUAUUUAUACUAAAACCCUAACUAGAAUAAACGACUGGGCUUAUGACCCACUAAAUAAAAUACCCAACAAUAAUUAAAUCAAACCCAACAAAUAAAGCCAAACUAAUAAAACUCAACUAAAAGUUCAUAUAAAUUAAACCCAAAACAUAAGUUAAAGCCCAAUCUCUCAAUUGUUUGGGCUAUCCUCCAUCGUCUAUGAUCAUUCGCAUGUAUAAAUAAUAUUUCAGAUUUGGUGUCCCCAUCAUAACGUCUUCAGUAAUUGUUGGACACUAAUCAACAAUAUCACUCUAGUAUAUAGUGUACUAGCACUAACUGAUUAAUACCAAGUAAUAACUUCUCAUCCAGGAUCACCCUAACAAUUCUACUUGACCCGUCCCAACUGUUUAGGAACAUGUUUUUUUUUUUUCUGAAUCAAAGUUCGACAAUAAUUUCUUAAUCACACAACCACUCUCAUUCCUCCUUGCCAAGCAUUCGAUCCUCACCAGGCAAUAAUGCUCAUUGCCCAGAACAGGGUAUAAUGCUAUAAUAGUCCAAAAAUAAGAAUUAUAAUGACAUUCCAAUCAUUUUCACACAUUCAAUCACAAUACACAUUUUCACACAUUCAAUCACAAUACCAUUUUAUUUUUCCGAUAAAAUGUUUUUCAAUUUUUUUUAAGAUUUCAUGUUAACAUUAUACCGUGUACACCAAUUAUCGACUCGAUAAUUGCUUCUAUUAGUAACCCUUUAACCAAGACACUAGUCCCAAACAUCCGGACAUCUAGUUCCUCCCAUUAUGCUCAUUUAUGAUGCAUCUAUCACAUUUACCCAAACUUGGCACUGACCCCAGGUCCAGUCCAUUACUUUUGACUGUCCAAAAAUCCAACCAUCCAACAUUUGACAUUAACCCCGUUACCGGGUCAUUAAUCCAUUCGCCCAAUUACCGGGCACCGACCCCAUCACCAGAUCUCUUAUUUAUCCACCCAAUUCUCGAGCAUCAACCCAUUUACUAGGCCACUAAUUUAUUUGCCUAAUUUACUGGGCACCGACUCCCUUUACUAGGCCACUAAUUCAUAUGCCCAAUUUACCGGGCACCGACCCUCUUUACCAGAUCACUAAUUCAUCUACCUAAUUUACCGGGCACCGACCCCUUUACUGGGUCACUAAUUCACCCGCUCAUUUUCCCGGGCAUUGACCCCUUUUACUGGGUCACCAAGUUUGUAAGCAUCUAAUGAUGAGAGCAGAAGGCUGAGAGAAGGCCUAUUGCCAGAGAAGGUCUGGGCAGGAAAAAGCAAUGCUUAAGAUUAAUCAUUCAGGAGUAAUUGGUAAAGCUAUGCUGUAGUAAAUCUGAGGAUUCACCUUGUGAGGUACGAGAUGCUACAGAACUUGUUUUUCUUUACAACUCUUCUGGGGUCUGCGAAAAAUAUAAAUAAAUUAAUAAUUCGACAUCACUGUAGACAACACCUGCACUAUGAAUCAGAUACAGCAGUAAUAUGUCUUGGCCCUUAUAGCAUGCAGAUAUAAUUUAUUGUAUCUUUUUUCUUAUCCUUUUAGCAGAUAUAUAAAUGCUUAAACCUAACAUUCCACAUGCAAGGGCAUCUGGCUGGGCGAAGAAGUUGGACAUGAGUUCAUCAUGGUUAUUUCCAACCUCUCCUGUGAACAAAUUGAUUUGAAAUCAGAUAAGCAUAACUAUAAAUUCAAAGCUUAAAAAGUUGUCCUUGUGAAUCUUAAUCUUGACAAAAUAAUCUUAAUCAGAGAAGUAUACCGGUUGCUGACUGAAUGAAUGGUAACGCUAAUAGAUCUAGUGAAGAAACACUCGCUCGUGCAGGAUAUCCAAAAAAUGAAAUAUUCCACACGCUCAAAACACCUAAAAGUACCUGAAGGAGAAAGAAGGAGAAAGUCAGAAUGUUAUCAGCAUGUCUUUAGAAUCUCAUAAAGCACAUCCAACUAAUGCCUGUUCAGACAAUCCCCCAGAUGGAUAGUCACAAGGCAAAUGACAUAUAGCAGCUUCAAGUCCUUCCAUGGCUGGGUUUCGAAAAUUAAAGUCUAUGAAGCCAUCUGAAAUUUGUCGGGAGCAGACGCCUAAAAAAAAAAAGUAGGCACUAAAUUUAUAGUCGCUAUAUUCAAAAUAGCGUAAUAGUUGAGAAUAAUACAAUGAUUUAAGUUAUUUUUAGUCAAAUUUUUUUAUUUAUAUGUAUGCGGCAGUACACAAUAGUAAUUACUAGCUUGAUUGCCCGCGCUUUGCUGCGGGCGAUUUUAGGUUAUGAAUGAAAAUACAGUUUUGUACCAGAAUAAGCAUAACAUGCAUGAAAAAUAAUAAUUGCUAAGCAAUAAUAAAAAGAACUGCAGCUAGGUAUAGUAUCAAAGGUUUGAUAAUAUAGAUAAAGUUAUAGAUUAAGUUAUAAACAACAAAAUGCAAAUAAGCUGUCAGAUUGCUGAACACUUAAAGGACAUUGUUGUUUCCAAACUAUAUCAAAAUUACAGAGGCAGCAAUCAUGAUAAUAUAGAUUAAGUUAUAAACAACACCAAAAGUGGAAAUAAGCUGCCAGAUUCCUCUCCAUGUUCUUGCUACAGGAAUCUAAAUCCAAGUCAUUUGUAGAGGAAUUGCUAGUUUUUCUGCAAUGUAAAGACAAUAAAAUAAAUUAUGUAAAGACAACAAAUCCAAGUCAUUGUUGUUAGUAUUUUUUGGACAUGUUAAAUAGCCUUCACAAAAAUGUUUUUGGUUUUUUUUGUUUUGUGUUAUAGAUGCAAUUGAAGGUUGAAAAUUCUGUGAACAUUUGUGUAGUAGAUGAAGUUAAAUGUGUGCAUGAAGCAAGAUAUAAAAAUUGACCAUGCUUUUUUUUUUUUUACAUUAUUGUAUAUACAGUUUAUGUAGUCAUUAUAAAACCUUUUUCAAAGCAAUAAAAAUCCUAAACUGAAAAAAAAAAGGAAAAACUUUUUUUCUCAAAAAACUCCGGCAUCACAUUGCUGUGAUUAUUCCUUCAGGGAAGAUGAAAGAGGGGAGCAUUUGAAAUCAUGUGAGAAGAAACGAAACAAAAGUUUCUUGUGGCAUUAAAACAUAGUGAAGAAAUUGAGUGCAGUGUAUGCCUGGAUAAUGUGCUUUCAAAGCCUACAACACCUAAAAGAAAGCUUGCAGUCCUGCCUAAAUGUGGACCAUCCAUUGUGCAUAUCAUGUAUCAGGAAUUGGUGUCAUGGUUCCCCAACCUCUAGGAUGACUUUAAUUUACAGCAUUCACCAAGAAAGUAACCAUAUUUAUUGCAAUUGUUUAAGUAACAUAUGCACAUAUAUAAUUGCAAUGAUUUCUUCUUUAUCUAAGUAUUUAUUGUGUGCACAUAAUAAUUAUGUUUUCUUCUCAUUGUUAAUAUACAUAUAUCCUUUACUAAUUCUUUGGUUUUAAUGAAAAGUAUUAAUAUUGAUAUAUAAAUUUUCCAGGGAAUGAUUUUUUCUCUUUUAAGAAUUGUUUUCAAUGUUAUAAUUAGCAUGUAAAGAAGAAAAGAACUCAUGAAUUAUAGACUGUGAAGUGAAGAGAAAUAGGUAAAUGUAAAAUAAAAAAAAAACAAAUAGAAUUAGAAAAUAAAUAACAAAUAAAAGGCAUGUUGGACAAAUUGGAAACUGAUUUAUAAGAAUGUGAGGUUAAAAAUCAAACCUUCGAUGAAGAUGAGGAUGUUGCCCGUUGUUUUUUCAAAGGUGGAAGUGAGUGAUCAAAUGUCUCAGAUGUAGCUAUGUUUCCCAGGUUUCCUUGGACUUCAAUUGGUUUGUCAUGCUCAUCUUCAUGACUAUUGUAACCAAAGGAGUUAAAGAGAUGCAAGGCAGAACCAUCACAGGUUAAGAACCAUCAAAUUUAGCACGUGUUAAGGAAAAAAAAAUGUAAAGAAAGUGUGGGGAAAUGUAAACUUGCCUGAGCUGCUGUGUUGCAUCUUCAAAAUCAAGUACACAUCGUGCUUCACUGUUUAUGCUUGUUUCAUUGUUUGGUGAUAUGUUCUGAGGUGGUGUCUCCAAGGAAUCAGGAGCAAUCCUGAGUUGUGUGACAGUAUUUUGUGGAGUUGAUGGAGCUUUGAGAACCUGUUUCAUAUAGCUUAAUGGAGUAGAUGUCUUGGAUGUAGGAGAUGAUUUAGCUUCUGGAGUUGCUGUUUCUAGAGGAUGGAUGCUCUUAUUUGUGCUGUCGUCAAAGAUAUUAGUAAUGAUAACCUCACAUCUGUUGGUGAUGGAUCUGAAAGCACCAAAUCGAAGCUGAAAAAUCAUGCUUUUGUUUAACUUUGCUGCCAUGGCAGGAGGAAGAACUGAGGGAUCAAUAAAUUUUUUAUUAUAGACAUAAUGGUGGGCCGAUGAUCCAAAAAAGUUCUCAGCAGUUUUCCCAAAUAGAAGAAAAUUAGUGACAUCUUCUCCAUCGGUAACAAUGCAUUCUAAGCGAAACCUAUAAUAUAAAAUUGAAUACAUGUUCAUUAAUAAGAAGUGCAUGAUAAUGUAUCCAAGGAAUAUGAUUUUUUUAUUUAACAACUUAAUAUUGCUUUAGUUGUGAAAUUAGAUGACUUACCAUGGAAUUGGAAGAGAGGUGAUAGCAUCAUGAUCCAUGCAUGUGUAAUUGUUUUCGCCCCCACUAAGUUUUUUGUUGCAUUUUGGACAGCUUGGAUACCACCAGCCAUUGGGAAAAUCAAAGUCAACAAUCGAAGCUUGACAUGUGAAUCUUAGAUGCUGGUAAUGGAAAGGAAAUACAUGUUUCAGGAGUGUGGUUAGAUGAAAUUUUAAAAACUAAUUAUAUGAAAAAGGUAAAGUAUGUUAUCAAAGCUAAUAAUAAAAGGGUUUAAAAAAUAACCUUGUGCUCAUAAGGAUUCAUGCAAAGAAUCUCAUGUAUUGUUCUCCUAUUUUCUUUGAUUUGUUCCUCUAUCGAUAAAACAACAUUUGAUGAUGAAGGGAGUUGUUGUAUUUCAACAGGUAGUUGUGCAAAGCUGCGUGUACAAUCGAUUAAAAAAGAUGGUGAAAAAAUAAUUAGUUAGAAAAAAAUAUGCGGCAGUACACAAUAGUAAUUAUAAGCAAGAGCAGGAUUAUUUGUUAGGAAGACUAUAAUUAAUAUAACAAGAUAUAAUAUUUGUUUUAAUUUAUUAUACAUGAGUUGUCAAAAAAAACCCUGCAUGAUUUAGUUUUAUUUAAAUAACUUACUACAAACAUAUAAUGACAUUUGUAUAAGGUAAAAGAUUUGGAGCAAUACUAAAUUGAGUCAAAGUACUGAAGUUAAUUUCAUCUUCUUAAUGUAUCCAUCACUUUAAUGUUGUUGGUCUUUAUACCUAUCAAAUAUAAACAUACAAAGUAUAUAAUAAACAUUAGCUAAAGCGAAACAUUAUUUAUGUUUGAUAAACUUGGAAAUAAAGUAAAAAAUAAUAAAGAAUGAUUCUUACAUAUUCAUGUCAAUUGUGAAUCUUUUAGCAAUUUCUUUUUCUAUAUAGACAAUCAAAUAAUUUAAAAGAAAAUCAUUCUCCAUCCGAUUGCAAAGUCUUGUUUUAACAAUCUUCAUCGCUAAAAAGCUCAUUCAGUAGUUGCUGUCGAAACAAGAAAAGUUAAAAUAAGUCGAAUCAACUUAUCAACUAGUGGAUAAAUUGUUGAUUUCUCUGUUUCAACCAAUCCUUGACAUAAAUCAGUAAUCGAUGACAUGUUCUUUAACUUUGGAUGAUUGUGUACAUCAAGCUCAUAAUGCUGCAACUGAAGUCUCAAAUGAAUUUUUUCUUGGUAAAAAAAAUCUUCAGGAUAGAACUUGUCAGCAGGUAACCAUAUAUCUUCAACAUUGAAAAAAUUUAUAGUCAUUUCUAGGAUCUAAAGCUAUGCUCAACUUAAGAAGCUCGAUCGCCUGCUCAUUGAAUCUAUUAUUUAGCUCUUGCAAUUGUUGAUCAAUGAUAGAUGUAAAUAUAUCAACUCGGUAGUGAUGCUCAACUGUUACUGAUUUUUUUUAUGGUGAGAUCAUCCAUAUUAGAAAAACAAGUAUCCAUAUCAGGAACUUCAAUGUCUUGAUGCUUACAAAGUAAUGUCACUUCUUCUAAAAGAGUUUCCCAAUCAUCAUCUCUUAACUUCUGAAUUAAAGCUUUGUGGUAGUCACCAAAUGCAUAACACUUAAAAUGUCUUGAGAUUUUUGUUGCAGGGCUUGGCAAAGCACAUUAGUAAUUCCUAUAACAUUCUUCAUUAUAUGUAAGAUGAAUGCAAAAUCAAAUGACAUUAGCAACUUAAAUGAAAAAGUCGCAUCACCACAUUCAGAAUAAGGCCAUGUUUGUUUCCCGGAAAGUAGUUUCCGGGAAACCACUUUCCAAACUUUCCUGUGUUUGUUUGCCAUUAGGAAAGUUAGUUAACAGAAAACACUUUCCGAUCAACGGAAACACUUUCCGGUCAACAGAAAACACUUUCCAGUCAAAGAAAAAUUUGGUUUGGUUUCCAGGAAAGUAUUUUCCCUUUUGGCUGUGUUUGUUUUCCGGAAAGUGGUUUCCGCGAAAUCACUUUCCAAACUUUCCUGUGUUUGUUUGCCAUUAGAAAAGUUGGUCAACGGAAAACACUUUUCAGUCAAAGGAAAAUUUAACUUGGUUUUCAGGAAAGUGUUUUCCUGGNNNNNNNNNNNNNNNNNNNNNNNNNNNNNNNNNNNNNNNNNNNNNNNNNNNNNNNNNNNNNNNNNNNNNNNNNNNNNNNNNNNNNNNNNNNNNNNNNNNNUUUGAUGGACUAUAAUAUAAUGACAUUUGAUUGAUUCAUGAGUGAUGUAUGGCAGCUGGUUAUCAGACAGGAGGAGUUGGGUUAUCACGAACAGAAGGUAGGUGAUUCGUCAUCUUAUUUUGCAAUUAUUAAUUUUCCUUAAAUAUCUAUGUUGUUUAUUUAAUUGAUGUUAAAAGAAUGAAGCAAAUGAGUAAAUUUAGUGAUUAUUACAAAUGAGAAUUAUUGGUAAUUUAUGUGAAAUUACCAGAAUUAUUAUUUGGCUAACAAAAAAGGUUAGCCGGAUGCUGGGUAAUUCAUAUGGAAUUACCAGAAUUAUUAUUUGGCUAACAAAAAAGGUUAGCCGGAUGCUGGGUAAUUCAUAUGGAAUUACCGGAUUGAUUUUGGCAACCAAAAUGGGUUAGUCGCAUUUCUUGGAUAAUUAAGAGAAUUAUCGGGUUUAUUGGUUAACAAAGAGGUUAACUAGAUAUGGAGUAAUUCUUAUGGAAUUACCGGAUUGAUUGGCUAACAAAAGAGGUUAGUCAGAUGAUGGGUAAUUCUAAUGGAAUUACCAGAUUUAUUGGUAAACGAGGAAGAAUAACCAAAUUUGUGGGUAAUUAUAUGAAAGUGUUAGAAUUAUUGGCAAUCGAGAUGAGUUAGUUGGAUAUUUAAGUUUUGAAAAGAUUAUGUAAAUUAAUUGAUUGAAUUUAGAAGUAUUAAAUUUCAAAGGUUAAGAGUAAAAUAAUUAAUAUAUAACUAAGAUAUUGAGUAAAUUAAAUAAUGUGGUUAUUGUUGAAACAAAUACACCGCGAGAUGAUGCAGUUCGUUAGAUAUAGGAUUUCUGAAUCGGCAGCAACAUAGUUUUCGGCUGCCGAUUUCUGAAUCGACAACGACAAAGUUCUUCAUUUCUGAUUUCUAAUUCGGCGGCGUCACAGUUUUUGGCUGUCGAUUUCUGAAUCGGCAGCAACAUAGUUUUGCUGCCGAUUUCUGAAUCGAUAACGAUACUAAAAACUCAACAAAAAAUUAGUGUUGAAUCAGUUUAUCCUAGGAGAGAAUUGGAAUAUAAACCAACUCAAUCCACAUCCAUGUUCCAAUACAGUUUGCUAUUAAAAAUCCAGCAGAAUCACAUAAUUCCAAGCAUGAACAACCAAGACGGGUGACCGAGUUUAGAUAUUGCAAUUAGUUACGGUUAAAAGCAUCGAGGAUGAAUGACCGAGUUAAGGUGAAGUAAUUAACCCCAACCGAAGAUUAAACUGCUUCCCUACCACUCCUAUGGAGGUGUUGGGGUGUAUGCAUGAGGAUAAUACAUGUAGUGAAGUAAUGAGGGUUGCACAGUGUAUUUGAGAAGUGAAUAAACGAAUGUACUCACCUUGAGUUGAUAACAAAAAAUAACGAUAACAUCCUUCUAGUUAUUAUUAUUAUGUUUAGAUUAUUUAUAGUUCUUGUAUCCAUGCUGUUUUUGUAACAGGCGCAUCACACAAUCAAGGUAUAUAGGAAAACGGUUCCAUGGGUUCUCAUAUUUUGAAAAGUGCUAUGUAAUAGUUUGUUUUAAGUGUUAUAAUGAAUAUUUGCCUUUCGAUACUUUUGUAUGGACUUGUAAUGAAAACUAUAUUGGAACAUGGAUCUGGAUGUGUAAACAUGUAGAUAUGAUGUUAUGAAUAUAUUUAUGUAGUAUUCUUGUUUAUGAAGAUGUUGUGUUGAGAAAUCACAUGAGGAUCAUAUAAAAAGAGGUAUUAUUUGUGUAAAAUUGUUGUUCGGCACUCGUGUGUUAAUAACGAGACUAGAAUAUCAUUUUUAAAGUGUAUUUGCCUUUUGGUUACGUGGAAAACAAGAGAGAAUUAGGCAGAGAACUCAAAUCGAUUGGAAAGUUACGGUGCGAUGAGAAACACUUCGAAGCUAGCUUGUUAACAACUAGCACAAGCAUUGCAUCAGCUUAUAAAUUCUUUGAAGACAAGUUAAUUAUCCUUGCAAGUUUCAAAGCCUCCCUCUCUGUAGAAAUAAACAUGCGAUAACGUGCGCUAAUUAAGUACGCUACAACACAAAAUUACUAUCAUGUAAUUGUGUUGUAGCACACGUUUCCAAAUCACUAAUAAUGAAUAAAUUGAAGAAUGAUAUUGUCCAUUGUACAUUAUGUUUUCCACGAAAUAAAUAAAAUAAAAUAAAAAAUUGAGAAUUAUUCUUUAUUACAUUGAAUUAAUAUAAUUAAGUAGUUAAUUUCUUCACAUGCGAAUAUCUAAUAUCCAUUUUUUUCUUAACGUAAAAGGUAAGUAGUAUGGGUUGGUUCAGUUUGAUUUGGAUAAAAACAUUUAACUAAAUUAAUUUUUAAUUUUUUUAAAUUAAACUAAAUAAAAAAAUUGAUUUAUUCAAUCUUAUUUAUGUUAAAACCAAAUAAAUUUAAAUAGGUUAAUAAUAAAAAAAACAUAGACUAUUUUAUCAAGGGUUUCAUUUUCUUGAGAUAAAAAAUGAUUUGUUUAGUUUCGUUAUAUAUAGUUUUGGUUUUUUGGGUUUGAUUUCUUGGUUUAAUUUUGUUGGUUUCUAAAAUGUAAAACCAAAAUCAAACGGACCAAUUUUUUUUUUUAAAAUCUUUUAUUUGGUUUUUUUCAUAGUUUUGAAAUCGGACCCGGUCUAAUGAUCGGGUCACAGGUCAAAUGGUUUACCCAUAGUUUUUUCCAUAGUUUUAUAGUUCCUAUCCAUGCCUUCCCUAUGGCCACUGUUUCUUUCGGUUCAUCUCCGUCGUAACAGUAGUUUAUAAAGUUUUAUUAACUUGAUCUAUUAUGCUUUAAGACUCCAUAGCCAAACAAACAAACCAACAUGGCUAAUCCGAUCCAACCAGGCGGGGCUUGCUUUGAACUGAACACAAUAGCAUCUCUUAUGCCAUGAAUCUCUUCUAUCAAACUUCUGAUAAAAAUCCUUUGAACUGUGAUUUCUCACAAUCAACCAUUUUCUUUUCCAACAACCCCAGCAAGUUUUCUCAAAACACUUCCUUCUUGGUUUUACUAAUCCCUCUUCAUGUCACUGCAUUUGCGCAUAAACUGGGUCUGGCAUGACAGCGGGACCCAACGUUGUUGGGUCUGGCUACCAAGCGUCGCCCAAACACUUUCAAAAAGUGAGAAUAGUGUUGAGUCCUGCUAUCUAUCAGGACCCAAUGUUUUUGGGUUUGGCUAAGACAGAUCCAAAACACUUCAAAAAGGAGUUGGGUCUGACUGCCCAGCUAGACCCACAGAUCUUGGGUUUCGCUAGGCAGCGAGAUCUAAUAUCAUUGGGUCUGGCUGCGCAACCAUACCCAAAUAUAUUAUUAUUUGUAUUAUAAAUAUUUUAAAAUUUAUUAUUAUUAGUGUUAUUAAUAUUAAAAAUAUUAUUAUGUCUUAUAAAUAUUGUUAUUUUUUAUUAUAAUUAAUAUUGUUAAUAUUAAAUUAAAAUCUUAUUAUUUUUAUUACAAAUUUUAUUAUUUUUAUUAUAAUUAAUAUUAUUAAUAUCAUAAUUAAGAAAUUUAAAAAUAUAUCAUUAAUUUUGAAAAACAACCAUAGAUUUGAUUUGAAGGGUAAAAUUAUUAUUAUUAUUCUCAUUAUUAUUAUUAUUAUCAUUAAUAAAUUUGAAGAAAAAUGUUAUUACUAUUGAAGAAAAACAAUAAGUUUUAUUUGAAGGGAUUAAAACUAUAAAAACUUAGGCAAGAUAGGUUUAAUAAUAUUAUUAAAUUCAUUAAUAUUAUUAAAUUUGAAAUAAAUUUUAUUACUAUAAAAAAAACAUUGAUUUGAUUUGAAAGGUAAAAUCAAUUAUGAUUGUUAUUGUUAACUUGGGUCUGAAAGGACAUGCCAGAUCCAAGUUGUGUGGGAGUGGCAUGGAAGCAGACCCAAGUCCCUUUGAUCUUCCAGCCCUACUUGGCCCGGGACACUUGGGUUAGGCGUCCUCACCCAACUCUGAUGGGUUCAGGUUGCAGCUGGACCCAAGGCUUUUGGGUUUGAUAUUCAAAGCUCUUGAGCCUAGUGAUGCAGUCAAACCCACUUAAACUUGGGUAAAUUUAAUAUUAUUAAUAAUAUUAAAAAUAUUAUUAUUUGUAUUAUAAAUAUUAUUAUUUUUAUGAUGAUUAAUAUUCUUAAUAUUAAAAAUAUUAUUAUUUGUAUUAAAAAUAUUAUUAUUUUUAUUAUCAUUAAUAAUAUUAUUAAUAUCAUAAUUAAUUUUGAAACAAAACCAUAAUAAUUUUUAUUAUUUUUAUUAUUAUCAUUAAUAAAUUUGAAGAAAAAUAUUAUUAUUAUCAAAGAAAAAUGAUAAGUUUUAUUUGAAGGGAUUAAAACUAUGAAAACUUAGGUCAAAUAAGUUUAAUAUUAUUAUUAAUAUUGUCAUAACUCAAUUCUGGGUUAUUCCCCAAAAUUCACUUUAAAAAAAAAUAAAAAUGAAAAAAAUAAAAUAAUGGCUGGCAACGUGGAGAAAGCAGGCCGAGAAUACAACUGCAAUUUUGAAGGAAAUUUAAGGCCUAAUUAUACCCCAUUAUGCCCAAAAAUGGAGAAAAAAAAUGCAAAUUCAAGGACAAAUUAAAAGAUUAUUGGAUGAAUUUGCAUAAAAAUUAAGUCCAAAGACAUAAUUAAUUUUUUAAUAGGCCAAUUUGAUUUAAUCAUGAGCCAAAUUGAAUUUUAAUUAUAUUUAAGAAUUAAUGUGGGUCUAAUUGAAGGAUUUAAUUAAGUGCAAGGACUUAAUUACACUUUAAAAGAGUUAAAUUUUAUUAAGGGUUUAAUUAGUGAACAAUUAAGUUUGGGAGCCCAAUUUUGGUAGAUUUCAUUGAAUUAGGCCUUGAAUUUCCUUCAAAAUUGCAGUUGUAUUCUCGGCUUGCUUUCUCCACGUUGCUAGCCAUUAUUUUAUUUUAUUUUUAAAGUGAAUUUUGGGGAAUAACCCAGAAUUGAGUUAUGACAAUAUUAAUAAUAAUAUUAAACUUAUAUGAUCUAAGUUUUUAUAGUUUUUAAUCCCCUCAAAUAAAACUUAUUGUUUUUCUUCGAUAACAAUAAUAUUUUUCUUCAAAUUUAUUAAUUUAAUAAUAAUAGUAGUAGUAGUAGUAUUAAUAAUAAUUUUACCCUUCAAAUUAAAUCUAUGUUUGUUUUUCAAGAUUAAUGAUAUAUUUUUAAAAUUUCUUAUUUAUGAUAUUAAUAAUAUUAAUUAUAAUAAAAACAAGAAAAUUUAUAACACAAAUAGUAAUAUUUUUAAAUUAUAAUACAAAUAAUAAUAUUAACAACAUUAAAAUUAAAAAUAUUUUUUUAUAUUAAUAAUUACAGUAAAUUUAUCCAAAUUUAAGUGAGUAUGACUCUAACACCAGGCUCAAGAGUUUUGACCCCUCUUAAAUUAGAAACUCAAAAGCCAUGGGUCUAGCAAUAUUAGCAAUAUUAAUUAUAAUACAAAUAAUAAUAUUUUUAAUAUUAAUAAUAACAAUAAACUUACUUAAGUUUAAGUGAGUCUGGCUAUAACACUAGGCACAAGAGCUUUGGGUUCCUCUUAAAUGACAGAUCCAAAAGCCUUGAGUCUGACUGCAUUCCGAACCCAUUAGAGUUGAGUGAAGAUGCAAGACCCAAGAGCGUUGGGUCUUGACGGGGACCCAUUAACCUAGGGUUUGACUCUUGACCCAAUUAUUUUGGGUCAGGAAGGGUUGCAAGACCCAGGGGAUUUCAGUCUGCCCCCUCCCAAGCAACUUGGGUCUGACACGCCCUUCUAGACCCAAGUUAAUAAUAAUAUUAAACUUGUCUGACCUAAAUUUUUAUAGUUUUUAAUGCCUUCAAAUAAAACUUAUUUUUUUUCUUCGAUAAUAAUAAUAUUUUUCUUCAAAUUUAUUAAUUUAAUAAUAAUAAUAAUAAUAAUAAUAAUAAUAAUUUUACCCUUUAAAUCAAAUUUAUGGUUGUUUUUCAAAAUGAAUGAUAUAUUUUCAAAAUUUCUUAAUUAUGAUAUUAAUAAUAUUAAUUAUAAUAAAAACAAUAAAAUUUAUAAUGAAAAUAAUAUUAAUUAUAAUAAAAACAAAUAUACUUAUAAUACAAAUAAUAAUAUUUUUAAUAUUAAUCAUCAUAAAAAUAAAAAUAUUUAUAAACCAAAAUAAAAAUAUUUUUAAUAUUAAAAUUAAAAAUACUUAUAAUACAAAUAAUAAUAUUUUUAAUAUUAAAACUCUUAUACCUACAGAUUUGAGCAUUGCUAUAACUAAGGAACUUAUGCUCGUAUUGGUAAAUCUCACUCCGUACCUUUUAAUUUAUUUUCACAUAUGGUUUGGUUUUGUUUCUAAAACUGAGUUUUGUUGUUCUAGCACCCGGAUCAGGAAUGGCAUGAAAGCACUCGAUUGAUGUGGGUGCUGGUGUCAUAGAUGCUGAUUACAGAGGCCCUGUUGGGGUUAUCACUCUAAUGUUGAUUUCGAGGUAAAGGUUGGUGAUAGAAUUGCGCAAUUGAUUCUUGAGAAAAUUAUAACUCCUGAUGUCAUGGAAUUCGAGGAUUUUGAUGCAACUGUGAGAGGUGUUAGAGGGUUUGGAUCUACUGGUGUUUGAGCUUCCUGUGAUUUGUAAUGUUUUUUCUUAAAUGUUUCUGUUUCUUGGUGUUUAAAUUUGGCUAACAGAUGGUGGACUAAGCAGUAAAAGUUUUGGGUUUGGUGAAGGAAUUCCUUUUGUUAAUGAGUCAACCUAGCAAAAGACAAGGUUAUGGGUUACCAGUCAAGCUGUCAUGAUUGAGUUUAAUAACUAGUAAAUGUAAAGAAACCGAAGAUAUACCCAUAAGAAAUAAACCUUAGAACAAGGUCAAUGAAGCCAUCUUCAAACUAGAGAAGGUUGUUGAUAUAAGAUCUUAUAAUUAGAGAAUUCAAAGUUGAAAUUUUAUACACAAUUUUGUAUUAUAUUACGUGAAUUAACAUUUACAAAAAAUUGUAGCAUUUUUCCUACACUCAUGAUCAACUAUCAUUCGGGGUGGAAGAAGUUGGCAUGUAGGCCUUUGGUAGCCAAAUUCCAAACUGCUGCAACGACCAACAGAACACUCAGAACCAUGCCUAAGCAUCCAGGUCCUAGAUUAAGACACCACAUGACACCAUGGCCCUUUUGAUGGGUUUUCUUGAUCGAAAUCCACAUGAAACAUGGAUAAGCCAGUGUAAGGGGUAACGCGAUUCCUCCGAUUAAAGCAGCCAGGCUCGGUAAAAAUGGAAAAGCCACAGCUAUAAAGAAGGCCAAUCCUCCGAAAAAAAGCCGAAACCCGGUGCGAACCCACCACGAGCAUCGCUUGUUCUUCAUGCAAGUGUACCAGAAUAUUAUUCAUUUCCUUUUUUUAUCUUUUUGUUAACCACCUGCAACAAGGCUAUAUAUAUUUUAUUGCUCUUUGCAUGGAUAGGAACUAUAAAAGAAGCAUCAUGUAAAAAUAUUCACAAUUCCACCAACGAAAUCUACCAAAAUUGGGAUUUCUGAUACUCAUAAAGGAUCAAAUUUCUGUCAAAUGAGCCGGUGUUCUAGAUAUAAAAUAUAUAAAGAAGUCACGAUGCUGAAUUCAGCAUUACCUUAGAUUGGGAAUUGAGCGCACCAUGUAAAAGUGUAAAUGGAGCUGGUUCAUAAAUUUAACUUUUCUUUUCUUUUCUUUUCAGCUAAAUUUUUUUUUAAAAAAAACUUAAUAAUAAUACUCAACCAGCAAAUAUCCCCUAAUUUUCCAAUUAUUUUUUUUAAUUUACGCCUAAACAAUAGAUUCGACAAAGAAACUUAUAAAAUAGAGAGAAAAACCUUAACCCAUCUUCACCGUCUCUUUACAACUUCUUAUUCUAAAUAUGCAAGUCAUAAAAGAAAAUGAAAAUCAAAGAAAGUCUUAUAAACCCAUACAACAAACCUAAAUUAAAAAUCCUAAUUAAAUAUACUUUGUUGCUGCCGCUGCUAAUGCUGAUGGUGUUCGUGCUCGAGCUCGUGCCCGUGCCCGUGCUGCUGUCAUUGUUGCUGGUAAUGGUGCUGGUGGCGUUGGUGGUGGCUGCGGCUGCUGGUGGCGGUUGUGGUGCGGCUACUAGUGACUGGGUUUGUUUCAAUAAAUUAAAUGGGUUUUUGGAGGUGAAAUAUGCAAGAAUAUUUUGGAUUUAUUUGUCUAAAAAUAAUGAUUCCAUGUAUUUCAAAUAUUGUUGAUAAAAAUAGAUUAAAAAAUUGAAUAUUUCUUUCUACUUUUUUUUAGUGCAAUUUGGCCUUUUUCUUUCUUGAAAAGGAACUGUCCAUUCUAUUAACAAACAAAAUGCGUAGUGAUGUUUUAAAACCCAUCUUCCCAUCCAAACACAGAAAUUUAAAUGCCAAAUCAAAGGAAAGCUCAGGAAUAGAGAGUGGCCUUCCCAACCAAACACAGGAUAGCUCAGGAAUGGAAAUUUAAAUGCCAAAUCAAAGGAAUAGAACACUUGGCUGUUGAAAACUCGAAAUACCAAUGAAUUGCACGUAAUAUCAUGAUUGAUUGGCAAAAGCCGAGUAGUGUGAAAGGCUUACGUGGUUUCUUGGGACUUACUGGCUAUUUCCGAAAGUUUGUCCAGAAUUAUGGUACAAUUGCAUCUCCUCUUACAACUAUGUUACGCAUGGAUUCUUUCAAAUGGACAGAUGAGGUAGCUCAAGCUUUUUGAGCACUUAAAAAACUACUAUGUCCAGCACCCAACGAUCUUAAUGCAAGUAAGAGUUUGAAAAUUUUCGCUUACUGUUGCUACCCAAUUUUUAACCCAUGUUUUGAUAAAAAUAAUUUAAAAAAAAAUUAAAAAAAUAUAUAAAAAAUAAAAAAAAUAAGGAUUUACAUGUGACGAUAACAUAAAGCAUCAGGGUUAAGGAAGCAAUAUGUCAAGGAGAUAAUUAUUGAAUCAUAUACUAAGGAUCUCUCUCUGGCCAUACACUGUCCCCCCUCCCUUUCACCAGAACCCCCAUUCCCCUCUCGGUCGUUCCACCAUCGCCAUCUCUCCUCCAAAACGCAGCAGUUCCCCUCUCUGUUAGUCCCCCAUCUCCAUUCUUCCCUUGCAAAAGAACCCCAAUAAAGCCACAACCCCUUUCUCCUCUUACAUAUAGCCAACCAUUUUCCCCCGGACCCGUCAUAUCCAACCAUCCCAGCCUCCCUCAGCAGCCCUGGUUGUUACUCAAACCAGCAACCCAUGUACACUCACACCAUCUUCCCAAACCAUGACCACCAUCUCCUCCCGAACUAGUCUCCCUUGCAAAACCAGAGAACCCCAUUAAAGCCACAACCCCUUUCUGCUCUUACCCAUAGCCAACCAUUUUCCCAUGUCCCCACUCACAGCCCCGUGUCUUGCCCUCAUCAGAAUCUCCCUCUCUCGGCCAAGACCUCCCUUCCCAUCUCCACUCCCCUCAUUUCCCUUUCCUUUUGAAGUAAACCAGAAGAACCUGACUGCCGCCCCUCUGCUAAAGAAGAACACCAGAGAAACCCCUGGCCAGAUAUAUAGAACAGCCUCGUCUUCUCCACAGAAUAACCUCGUCUUUUCCUGACCAGAGAACGGGCUGCGCCAGCCCUUCACUCUCCCUUCCUCUCCGCUGCUAAUAGCAGCUCAUUACGGAGAAGAUGGAGAAAUAAGAGGGGAGGCCGAAGGACAGUACAGAAGGAGCAAAAAACCGAGACUCCAAGCACUACUAAAAAAUGUAGUAAUUAGCAACGGAUUACUCUGUUGCAAAUAAUACUAAACUCCGUUGCUAAAACAAUUUAGCAACGGAAUCAACAACAGCAAAUUUCAGAUGCAGAUUUAUCGUUGCUAAUUUUUUAGCAACGGAUUUAUCCGUUGCUGAUUUCGCAGCAACGAAAAUUCCGUUGCUUACAAUUAGCAACGGAUAAUCCGUUGCUAGUUUUGUGAAUCAGCAAUGGAUUGUCCGUUGCUGAUUGAUGAAUUAUUUACAAUCAGCAACGGAUUCUCCGUUGCUGAGUAUAUUAUUUUUAAUAAAUGAUUUAUUUAUUUAUUUAUUAAAAUGACUUUUAAUUUAUUUAUUUAAUUAUUUAUGAAUAUUUUAAAAGUUGUAGAAUAUAUAUAACCAACAUAAAUUAAUAUUAAAAAUAAUUGUAUUACUAUUACAAAAUGGAAUAAAAAUAAUAUCAUAUUAUAAAAAUUUAGUUAAACUUGCAUUAACACAAUUAAGUCGAAAUACAAUAAAAAAAAACACAACAAAAGAUACAAUCAUGGUGAUGGUUGCGAAGACGAACCAUGAUAUUGUGGAUCGACACAAGAUUGAUCAGGAUAUAGUGGUCGAGGUGUAGGUCGAUAAAUUGGUUGAGAUGUGGGACCCAUAGGUGUCAUUAUCUGGGGAGCCAUAGGUGGUGGCAUACUUUGGCCAAUAUUUGAUGUCCCAUCAUGGUAUCCAAGAUUAUUCACAAGAUAUUCUUUCAUGGAAUCCAUUUGCCGUUUCAUUUCAAGAAUAAAAUCAUCUUUUUUCUUUAUCUCCUCUUCUUUAUUCUUUAUCUCCUUUUGCAAUGCUCGAUACGAUGAACUGGGAUAUGAUGACUCCACCGAGUAGGAAUGUGAUGAAGAGCUUGUACUAACUAUAGAUUUUGGCAUACAAGGUGCACCAUAUACCCUACCCUUUGUAACUCCUCCUGAAGCCACACACCAAGCUGCUCCAUCAAAUGAAGGAUGAUUUUCCCGAUUAGUUCCGUACUUUGAAAUCAUCUCCAUUUUAUAAUUUUCCUACAAAUAAAAUACAUGCAACAAUAAAUUCAUUUGAAUGUUAAAUAAUACUUAAGUUAUAUUAAGAAAUAAUCAAAUAAAAAUACAUACAACCACUUUUUUAGACUUGUUGUCGACGAAGCUACCAGACUACUUAGUACUUUGAUGCAAAGCUGAAAAAACAUCAUCCCAUGGAAGUUGUUUUCCACCAGCUUCCUCUUGCUUUAAAGAUUAAUAAAUAUUAUAAAAGAUAAAUAUACAAAUUUUAAUUCAUUAUCUUAAGCAUAAAAAAAAAUCCUUACCAUGUUAGCUCGAUAUGAUGCAAAUGACACUGUUCCUCCAGAAUAAGUACUUAUUUUGCCAUCUGUUUCGGUUAAUUGAUUCCUCCUAGCAGAUUCAGACCUCCUUUGAAAUUCAGGGGUGAACCAAACAUCUUUGAUCAUUUGAUUCCAGUCAUCAUUGUUUAUCCAAGCAGGACCUUUAUCAAGGCAAUCUAUAAUAUUUGUAGUGUUUUCUUUUGACAUGGCUUUCUUGCGAGCUCGUGUCAAUUGUUGAUUCAAAGCUAUCCUAGCCUUAUCUUCCCAAAUAUUACGAACAAUCGACUCAUCUUCCUCAGGAAAGGAAUAUUUUUUCUACAAAAUAAUAUAUAUACCAAGUAAAAAGAGUGCAUAAAAUUUCAAAUUAUAUAAAUAAUUAAUCAUAUUGUGUUAUCUUGUUCAGAAUUUGCAAGAUGAUGUAAUAACUAAAGAAAUUAAAUGAUAUUAAAGAGUAAACAAGAAAUAAGAACAAAUUAUAACACAAAUCAGUCAUAGCUAUUCAGUUGAUAAUUUUCAUAAUGCUACAUUAAAGUGAUCAAAAUUGAAAAGAAUAUUAUGGCAAUUAGUGUUGGUUCUUACCUUAAACUCUUUAAAGAGUUCAUCCCUGCACAUUGAAUCUACUUUUUCCCAAGAGUGUCAUGCUCCCUUAAAAUUGAACCUCCAAAUAUCUCUGAUUGCACGUCCACACGAUGCGUUAUUGAACCUGAAAAUAUAUAAUAACAAACUUAUAUUAAACAAAUAAUUACACAAUAAUAAGUAAUUUUUUUCAUACUUGAAAAUAUAACCUUAAUAAGUUAGUUUUUAAAAGUUUGAACUUACUCUGUUGUUCCAUACAAACAAAGCUCUUUUUUUCUUGUUAUUGGAUCUUUUGGUGUGUCAAAACCCUUCCUUUUAACACUUUGAUCAUAAUUGUAUAGAGAAGAUGUUGAACCGUGAUAUGAUGGAACACCAUCUUGAUCCUCAUCACAUACACCUCUCUCAUUACUACCGUCUCCGUCAUCUUCAUCUCUAAUGUUCACAUCAUCAUCAUCAUCAUCACCAUCAUCACCAUCAACUCUCCCAUAACUCCUAUAUAAAUUAUGUCCUCCAUAAACAAGUUGGUUAUCUCGAGAGAAACCUUCUUGAGUUUGAAGCAAAUCUUGGAAACAAAAGCCCUCACAAUAUUGAUAUGCUUCAACCCUCCCAUAAUCAUGUUGAGGAGGGUGUGUACUCCCCAAAGUAGGUAUAUAAUACUCAUUUGCAUUCUGAUACACUGGUUGAUGAAAUGUGGAUCCUUUGUUAUUAUGCUUUGAUGUAGUUUGAAAUGAUUUGGAUGAAGUGGACCUGUCACUCCUUGAAGUGGACUUGUCACUCCUAGAAUCUAAUAUGGAUCCUCGUCGAGGCAUGCUAAAAACCAGAAAAAAUAUAUACAUUAUCAUAUGAAUAUAUACAGCAUAACAAUAAAUUAGCUCAUAGUUAAACUAUCAGGAACAAAAAAUUCACAAAUAUUUUCCCAAGACUACCAUAACUAGAAUGAAAACAAAUUGUUAAAUCUCAUUUUUUUCCCAAUUUAUUACAAACAAUAUCCAGUUUAUGAUGUUCAAAAUCAGUAUGGAUUGUCCACUUAAUAGCCAUCACUUCGAAAAAUAUUAUACUUCAAAUAAAAUAAUUACUGUAACAAAACCAAAUAUAUAAAUAACAUCAAGACAAUUUCAUUAAGCAUUCCUUGCAAUGAUAAAAAUCAGCCAUGAAGUUUAAAUUGUCAAAAGCCAAUUAACACAAACAAUAAUAAAAAUAAAAAUCUAAAUAAUUAAUUAAGCAGAAAUCAAAAUUUAUGAGUAUGCUUACCAUAAUGUUUGUUCCUAUAAAUCAAAACAUUGAGUAGGAAGAACCCUUUCAUUCAUGCUUCAGCAUCUAUAAGCAAGAAAACGAAUCACAAAAUAAACUAUAACAUCAGAAUCACAAUUUAAAGAUUGAUACUUGAAAGGUUAGAAAUGGUUUCAAAGGUCAAUGAAAAUGAUAUAUGUAAUGUGAUGCAUAACACACACUUGAAUAAAAUAAUAAAGAAAAAACAUUGAAAGCCUAAACAUUGUCAAAUAAUAUGAAAUCAUCCAUACAUAUAAUAAAGAUAAUUCAUUACAUAUACUACGAAAUAUAAUUAACUUGUGCUACUCAUUAUUAUCAUCACUCCUAACCAUCACCACCAUAACAAUCAUCCUCAUCACCAUCUUCAUCUUCUUCUUCACCAUCACCAUCACCAUCACCAUCACCAUCAUCAUCUUCUUCUUCAUCAUCUUCAUCAUCUUUGUUUCCCCAAUUUAUGUCAAGUUGAAGCAAUUCAUGUUGACUGAUUUCUUCAUAAUAAGAUGAUUCAACAAGUAUAUUUGGAUCAUCAAGUGUUUGAGUAGGAAGGACACGACAUGGUUGAGAAAUCUCAUCUGAUUGAUCAACAUCAAAUGAUCUCACAUUGUUGAAAUCUCAUCUGAUUGAUCAACAUCAAAUGAUCUCACAUUGUUGGCAUCUUCAAUAAAUUCACCCAUGUCAACAUUAUAACAACUUCUAGCAGUUGUCUUAAUAACCGUCCACCAUUAAGAUGAUUUAUUACCAGGUGGAUAUGUAUAGUAGACUUGUUGACAUUGUUGUGCUAACACAAAAUCUUCAUUUCCGUGUAGUCGAGAUGUAUGCUUGAUUUCAACCAAACCAUUCGAACGAUGCACUCUAAUCCCUCGUUUUGUAUCAUACCAAUAACAUUUAAACAUAAAUAACUUGCACUUACUCCCCAAGUAUUUUAGCCGAACAACUUCUUUAAGCAUUCCAUAAUAAUCACGUUCAUUAUCAUCAUAGCAACUUCCUUUCACACAAACUCCACUAUUCAUUGUCUUUUUAAAACGGCCAUAACGUUGAGUAUGAAAUUUAAAACCAUUCACAUAAUACCCAUUAUAACAUUUAACUGAAGUUGAAGGCCCAUAGCAAGUCCAAAGAGCUGAUUUUCAAUUCCGUUAGAUUGGUAUUCCACCUAGCAUAAUAGUUAACUCCAUAAUAAAUAAUGAUUUAAAAGAGAUUAAUAAUAUUUUUAAAGUAACUAAUUGAUAUAAAAUAUAAAUUAAUUUUAUUUAAAAACUUACAUUAUUUUUUAACCAAUUUGGAAAGAUCGCUUCGCAUAAUUUUUCAAUUUCACCAUCACUCGCAUGUGGUUGUUGUGACUUUAGCUCUUGACGACAUUGCCUAAAAUUUUAAAAUGUUAAAGUUAAUAAUAAAUUAUUAUAAAUUUAGUACAAAAUAAUAUUUCAUACUUACUCUAAAUAAGACUUCAGUUCUUGACAAUUGAAUAUCACAUAGUUAUGCACAAUUUGCAUUUCAGCAUGUGACAACUGCCUUCUAUAAAAUCUUUUGGAUAAUUUUUUCCCUGGAUAGGAAAAAAUAGAGAGACAUCUAUCUACACUUUUAAGGACACCAUCAUCAUUCCGUGGAACUCGAUUCCAAAUUGUUUGCACGUCAUCACCAAAAUAAUGAGAUGCAAAAUUGGUAAUUUCAUCAAUCAAGUAUGCUUCACAUAUGGAACCCUCAACUUUAGCUUUAUUGGUCACUUUCUUCUUCAAAUAAAACAUAUACCUAUAUCAUUUCUGUCAAUUAGUUUAUUUUUUAAAAAUAAAAAGGGAAUAAAAUUAACAUAGUAUGAAAACAUACCGUUCAAAUGGAUACAUCCAUCGAUAUUGAACUGGUCCACCAACUUUUGCCUCGUAAGGUAGAUGUAUCGUCAAGUGUUCCAUAGAGUCAAAGAAGGAUGGAGGAAAAAUCCUUUCAAGUUUGCAAAUUAUUUCAAUUAUAUUCAUCUGCAUUAACUCCAUGUGCUGGGCAUUUAAAUUUGUUGAACAAAUAUCUCGAAAAAAUACGGACAGUUCACUUAAUGCCUCCCAUAGUGGCCUAGGUAAGUAAGGUUGGAAAGCGGUUGGAAGAAGUCUUUGAAUGAAGACAUGACAAUCAUGGCUCUUCAUCCCCGAUACCUUACAUUGUGCCUCUUUCACACAUCGUGAAAUGCUUGAAGCAUAACCAUCAGGAAAUGAUAAUUCCUUCAUCCAUGACAAAACUUCUUGUUGUUGUUUCUUGUGUAAACAAUAAGUGCCUUUAGGUUUGUAAACCCGACCACUCAUAUCUUGUUGCAAAUGUAAAUUUGGCUUCUUACAAUACAAUUGAAUAUCCAACCUAGCCUUUAAAUUGUCCUUGCUUCUAUUAGGACAAUCCAUUACUGUAUAAAAAAUAUUGUCAAAGACAUUUUUCUCAAUAUGCAUGACAUCAAGAUUAUGACGAAUCAAAUUUGUAUGCCAAUAUAGAAGCUCCCAGAAAAUGCUCUUCUUCACCCAAUUGUUUUUAACACCAAAGCCAGGAAUUUUAUCAUUAUAUGAUGAACCUCCAUUAUGUCCCUCAGUAUACUUGGACACUUCGUUUAACAUUUCCAAACCAGAUGGACGAGGUAAAGGAGGGAGCCUUUCAAUUACUCCUUUCAAAAACUUAUCAGAUUGACAUCUAUAUGGGUGGUUAAUGGGUAGGAAUCGUCGAUGACAAUCAAAAAAUGUAGUUUUCCCUCCAUUUUUUAAUCUAAAAGCCUUGCUAUGCUCCAUACAAUAAGGACAAGACAGAUUUCCAUGAGUACUCCACCCCGAUAACAUGCCAUAUGCUGGAAAGUCACUAAUGGUCCACAUCAAAGCUGCCCUUAAUUGGAAAUUUUCCUUUCUGUAUACAUCAUAUGUUUCAACACCAACAGACCACAAAUUCUUUAACUCAUCAAUCAAAGGUCUUAGGAAAACAUCAAGCUUUUUACCCGGAUUCUUUGGCCCAGGAAUCAUCAUUGUCAAAAACAUGAAUGGUCUAGUCAUGCACUUCCACGGAGGCAAAUUAUAAACAGUCACAAUUACUGGCCAACAAGAAUAUGUAUUUGAAGACAUGUCAAAUGGACAAAACCCAUCAGUGCAUAACCCUAACCGAAUAUUUCUCGGAUCUGAUGCAAAGCUUAAGUGGACAUGAUUAAACUCGUUCCAUGCCUCCCCAUCAGAUGGGUGCACCAUAACCCCAUUAUCUGACUUAUGAAAAUGAUGUCAUGUCAUAUCUUUGGCAUGAUAUGGAGACAUGAACAGUCUCUGAAGCCUUGGUGUUAAGGGAAAGUAUCGGAGUUGCUUCUCCGCCUUAUUGGAACCUUUACUAGUUGGAUUUCUAGGUUUGUAUCGUGAACUUCCACAAAAAUCACAAUUUAUUUUCAUUGCAUCUGCCCCAUAGUACAACAUACAGUAAUUAGGACACAUAUCAUAUUUCUCAUAACCAAGUCCAAGUGGCCGAAUAAAUUUCUUGGCAUCAUAAAAAUUUGAAACCAAAUUUUCAUCAUUAGGCAUGCAACUUUUUGUAAAAUCAAUAAACUUGUUGAAGGCAUUCUGAGUCAAAUUUAAAGUUGAAUUCAUAUUAAGCAAUUGUACACAAGCAGAUAAUUUGGAUUGCUUGGUACACCCAUCCCACAACGGCUCCUCCGCAGCUUUCAAAAGCUUAAAAAAUUUAAUUGCCUCCGGAUUUGGAAUUUCCCCUGCUACCACAGGACUAGACACAUUAUCAUUAUAGAAUGCAUCACCAACCCCCAUUGCAUCCAUAACCAGAUUCCUAUAUGGAUUCUCUAGACAAACAUCAUUCACAAUGUCAUAACCCAAUUCUGGGUUAUUCCCCAAAAAUUCACUUUUUUUCAAAAUAAAAAUAAAAAAAAUAAAAUAAAAGGCUGGCAACGUGGAGAAAGCAGGCCGGGAAAUCAAGCUGCAAUUUUUGGAGGAAAUUCAAGGCCUAAUUGUACCCCAUUAUGCCAAAAAAUGGAGACAAAAUGCAAAUUCAAGGUUAAAUUAAAUGAUUAUUGGAUGAAUUUGCAUAAAAAUUAAGUCCAAUGACAUAAUUAAAUUUUUAAUAGGCCAAUUUGAUUUAAUCAUGGGCCAAAUUAAAUUUUAAUUAUGUUUAAGAAUUAAUUUGGGUCCAAUUGAAGGAUUUAAUUAAGUGCAAGGACUUAAUUAUACUUUAAAUGGGUCAAAUUAAUUUUAUUUGAGGCUUAGUUGGUGAAAAAUUAAGUUUGGGAGCCUAAUUUGGGCUUAAUUGAGAAGAUUUGAAUUUUAAGAGACCAAAUUUAAUUUUUACCAAGUUAAUUGAUUGAAAUCAGGGGCCAAAUUGCAAGAAAAUUGAAGUUUUGGGGUCAAUUAGGGGCUGGAUUGAAGAAAUUUGCAACCAAGGACCAAUCUGCAAAAGGCGCCACAAUUGAGGGGCUUAAUUGACAAAACCCGGGGUGAAAUUGAAAGUUUGAUGGUCAAUUAGGGGUUAAAUUGACAAAAUUCGAGACCAAGGACCAUAUUGCAAAAGGCGCGUAACUUCGGGGUUCCAAUUGAAGGUCAUCAGGGGCUUAAUUGCAAACGUUUAGGGUCAAUUAGGGGUUCAAUUGAAAGCAAUUGAAAGCGGAAGGACUGAAAUGAACUUUGGCCAAAACACAAUCCUGAACAGUAUUCAUUAUCUUCUUCUUUUUUCCCGGAAAAACGGGUUCAGUCACCUCCUUUGCAGGUGCAUUUAAUGCACCUAACGUCCACCAAAGUUGCCAAAACAUGCACGAAACUGAUCACCAGACAUCCCUCUACGUCGGGGUAUGGUCUUCACCGGCUCACUGGCAAAUAAACGGACGUGGCACCACCCCAAAGAGGCCAACUCAGGCAGCCUGCAGCUACAGAUUUGACAAUUUGACAGUGCACCAUGCCUACUUUGAGCCAACAGUUGGGAUCCUUCCCAUCUGAAUCAAGGGCUGAAAUUUUUCUCCAUUGUAGAAAGAUUGCCCUCUUCCACCGCCUAUAAAUAGAGGUGGAUUUUAUGGCCCGAGGGAGGAGAAAAUCGGGGCCAAAGUCAGCCAAAAAACCAGCCAUUUUCCCUUGUUUAUGCAAUUUUCUCUUUUUCCUCUCCCUCUCUCUGCACCGUGGCCUUCAGCCACCACCACCCUCUUCACCGGUCUUCCCACCAUCAACUACACCACAGGAAGCCAACACGACCACCAACCGACCACCAAGAGCCACCUUCGGUUUCUCUCUCCUCUCUGCAGCCCCUCCCGCGCGUUUUUUUUCUUCUUUUGAUUCCUCUGCCGCCGGCCACCAUCUCUCUCACAGCCUCAGCCAUCGUUUCUACCACCAACCGGCCACCAAGAAGCCACUGUGACUCUCUCCCCCUGCACGACCACAGGCCCUCACCGCCUCAGGUGGUUCUCCAUCCCUGCCAGUAGCAACUCCGGCGGCCAAGCUCACUGUUGCUGUCGCUGCAUGCAGAAUUCAUUCUGCAUGCAGCGACCAAAAUAAUUAACUUAGCUUUGGGCCGGGCCAGUUAUGACCCAGCCCAAGUGGCUGGGUCUGGCCCGGCCCCCAUUAAAAAAAAUUCAACAAAUUUCAAAAAUCAUUUUUUAAAAAAAUGUGAUUUUCUCAAAUAUUUUUCUACCAAUUUUGCAUAAUAUCGGGUUGUAUAUUUACAUUGUAAAAUACAACUCCGGUAUUAAAAUACCCAGGUUUCUACGAAAUAUUUCAAAAAAAAUAAUAAAAUUUCAAAAUGGUUAGGAUUUAACCUGAUAAGGUAGAGACUCUCUCAUGAAGAGAGAUCUGCCUUGAGCCUUAGAAAAGACCAACGAAUAGAAACCUGACUUAGAAAAAACAAUCAAAUAACAAUGCAGCUUACCUUAGGUAGGGUGCACUAGGGGUGAUGCGUCUUCCCCUUGCACAACCAGUCCCUUACCCAGACUCUCGCAGACCAUAGGUUCCUAGUGACCAUAAUACUAGAUGGCGACUCCUAAAAAUUAAUCAUAAUUUUAUGAUUAAAUCCAAAAACCCUUCCCAACACAACACCCCUCAUCAGGAGGCACGACAGAGAGUCUCCGCCGUCGCCAGACGACGUCGCGCCCCCCGCGACAGGAUGGCGACUCCACUAGGGAUCACCUUGUCUGGUCGGACUAAGCUUUGCUUGUUUGCCUUUUUGUUGGUCUUUAAUUUUAGCUCGCAUUUUCACUGCUUUAGCAUGCAUUUUAAUUUUGUGAAUAAACCCAAUCUAGGUUAGGUGGGGAGUAGCGGUCUGCCUCAUGACUUUCAGUCGGGAUUCAGAUUCGUGAAACAUCCAACUAUGAGCUGAGUGUUUACUCGGCAAUGGCGGUCACACUGUGCCCCAACCAUUCCUUGUAAACCCCUAUACUACCUUCAUGUGAGGUGGUCACUGGGCAGUUCAUUGACCCUUUUAAGACCAGGUAGAAAGCCUACCCAUCAUGUAAUGACCUAGAACCUUCCUUUAGAGCAUGAACUCCCUACAUGUUCAUUCUACAUGGGUUUUUGCCAUUCAUCCCCAAUAUGCAUGUACAUACAUUUGCAUCCACACACAUACAUCCAUCUAUUGUAAAAAACAUACAUACAUGCAUCAAGUUGAAAUAUAGGUCCUCGAAGAGCUUACAACACCCGACUCCGAGCAAGAAACAUGGAAGAUGAAGAGCGUGCUCACCGUGACGCCCAUUUCCAAGAAGAGUUAGAGUCUCUAAAAGCAAGUGUGGCUCGCCUCACUAGCUUACUCGAGCAAACACUUAGAAAUGUCUCUGGUGAAGGUCCUUCCAACCGACUUGCUAUUUUUGCUCAGCCUCCAGCAAUAGCUCAACUCGAAGAAACAAUGAGUGAACAUGGUGAAGAACCUACACCUAAUCCAGCAUUUGUCCACGCAAUGCCACCGGCACCAACCCCUGCAGUCAUAGAUCCAUUUGCCAAUGAGUCCCACAAGACCAAGUCAUCCAAUGGCAUUGAUCAAGAUAAGAUGGCGGCGUUAGAAACCCAGAUUAGAGCCAUUGAAGGGGUAGACUUGUACGAUCCAGUACUGGCAGCAGGAAUGUGUCUGGUCCCAAAUGUGGUUGUCCCGAAAAAGUUCCGUGUUCCUGAAUUCAUCAAAUACACUGGAACACAAUGCCCCAUAACUCAUUUAAAAUCCUACUGCAACAAAAUGGCAGAAGUAAUACACGAUGAAAAACUACUGAUGCACCUUUUCCAGGAUAGCUUAAAUGGGGCGACAUUAAGUUGGUACAUGAGAAUCCGCAAAUGGAAAGACUUGGUGGAUGCUUUUGUGAAGCAAUACAAGUACAAUAUGGACAUCACUCCUGACAGAACUAGCUUGUCCAAUCUUGAAAAAAGGGAUAAAGAAAGCAAAAGAGAAUAUGCUCAAAGAUAGAGAGAUCUAGCUGCUUAUGUGCAUCCCCUGCUUUUGGACAAAAAGAUGGUCACUCUGUUUGCCAACACGCUCAAGGACCCAUACUAUGAGCAUGUGAUGGGUAGUUUGGCCCAACAAUUUACUGACGCUGUGGCAGUAGCUGAGCGUAUAGAGCAAUGAGUCAAGAGUGGUAGAAUUCCUGUGCCAACUAUGGAAAAAAGGGGCUUCGAAGGUAAAAGGAAAGAGGUUGACUAUGUUGAGGGUAACUAUAGGGGUAGGAAGAACCCAUUCCAAAAAUACCACACUCCAUCCUCUUCACCCCAAAUCGCCAACAUCAAUUUCAACUCUUCUUUUACUUCCAGAAAACCUGAGCCUCAAACCAAACAACAAAGAGUCCAGGAACAACUACCUCCAUUACCGCUGCCCUUAAAUAAGAUGUACCAAAAGCUACUGAGCAUUGGGCAAGUAGCUCCCGAACCUCUCACGCCUCUACAACCACCUUACCCCAACUGGUACAAGCCCGACCUCACUUGCGAGUACCAUGCUGGCGCUGCGGGACACAACAUCCAUACCUGUAGUGCCUUUAAAAAGAGGCUCAUGCAUUUGAUCAAAGCUGGGUGGAUAACAUUCGAAGGAACUCCAAACGUGAGUUUGAACCCUCUACCCAAUCAUGCUUCAGGUACUGGAUCAGUGAAUGCACUGGAGGCAGAAUGCUCUGGAAACCUCAAAGCAUCGAUGGCAAGAGCAAAGUGUGAAAAAGGAAGUGUGCACACUCGAGGAUAGAGGACAAAGUUCUUCUAUAGAAUGGGAAGAUGGAGCCUACCCAAUUAUUUCCUUUUGUUUGAUCAUGUUUGUUUCAACAUGUUUUAGUCUUGUUAACAAUUCAGCUUAUAAUGCCACAAGACUUUCUCUGUCAAAUGAGCCUUUCCUGUUAAUAAAAUCAUGUGUUUUCCUGUGUUCAUGAUGUGCCUUCAUGCAAAUAACAUACUGAACACACCUUCUACUCACAAAACCACUACACCAAGAAUUCUUUGGUGUUUUCCCUUUUUUUUGUCUCCAAAAAAAAAAAGCAUGACCCCAUGUUUUCACAAGGAUUUUUGGGAAAUCAAUGUUUUAAUACAAAAACAAAAAUCAAAUUGGUGUUUGUUUUGAUAAACAAGUUCUGAAAAUUCAAGUGAUAUCCUAACACCUAUAAAAAACCUGAAAGACAACCCAAACACCAUGAGAUAACUUCAAAGCUGAGUUUUGAUUGCAUGAAUAAUGAGAAACCAUUUUACAUAUUCGCAUGUGAGAAACCAAAGCUUGCCGAUUCUGAAUGCAUGCAUUUGAAAUGAAGAAAGGCCAUCUUUGAUAAUCCUUUCACAAAUUCUAAGAAAUCCCUUGUAGUCCCCUUUUGAGCCUAAUAACUUUUUCUUGAAAACAUAACCUUGGCUAGGAUCACACCCUACACUGGGGGGCAAGUGAAAAAAAAAAUCCUUAAUUACUAAAAGUGCCCGAACAACCCUGGGGGGACAUGAAAAAGUCCUCAACAAUAAAAGUGCCCAAACAACACUAGGGGGGCAUGAAAGAAAAUCCUCAAUGUUCAAAAGUGCCCAAACAAAGCUGGAGGGCAUGAAAGAGUUCCAAAAUGAUUUGAGCGUACCACAAAAAUCACUAAUAUAAUGAUGCUCAAAACCAAAAGAAGAAAAAGCCCAACAUUGGGGGGGGCACCAUGGACCAUUUUGCAAAUCCAUUCCAAGGUCUAGAAAGUCAUGGACCAAAAAAAGAGUUUGGGGUAUAAGCACUAGUGAUCCUUUGUCUUAAAGUCCCUAAACACCUUUUGAGCCUAUAAAUAUCCUUUUUCUUCAUAGCCAAGAGCCGAAGCCUACGUUACGUGCCCAAUCAAGCCCUUUCUGAUCAAAGGCAAGAAAUUUGGAUCGGCAGGCUUUGCUUUUCCAUGUGAAACAAGUCAUUAUUCAUGCAAGCAAAAUGAAUGCUUUGAAAACUAGUUCUUUGAACCCUUCAAAUUGAAGCUUGAACCAUUUUGACCAAUCAAACAUCACUUCACUCAUGCAAACCUAUCUAUGAGAAUCGCUUGAAUUUUUCAGAACAAGUUUGUUUUGAACAAACAUCAAAAUGUUUUUUUGGAAUAGCUUUGAAAUUCCAAAAAUUCUCCGUGAAAACAACUGCUUGUAAAUAACCAAAUCUUCUUCCACAUAGCCUCAUCUCCAAGGAAAACCCAAAUUGAACACUUGGAGACAUGAUCAAACUGGGGGGCAAUCUGACAAACAUAUAAGGCUGACUCCAUGAUUCCCCUUAUAAGAAAACAUGAGAUAUAGUGCAUAGCUGGCAAUCCUUCAGAUUAAGGUUUGUGGACAAAGAUGUAUGCUGAUGUCAUAUCCCUUCUAGGGGUCAAGAUCACAAGAUAUGACUCGAGUAAGCAAGAGCGAAAAGAGCCAUCAAAGCUUACUAUCAGAGACUCAAACUUUUGAGAAAAAGGAAAACUCCAUGAAGAAAAGGGGACCUAUAUUUCUCAGGUAAGUAUACAUGCAUAUUGAUCAUGAUGCAUUACUUUCAUCCCUGAUAGAUCAGUGUCUCAUCGUCACCUUUUUGAGCGGGCUGUUGAGUCCUCAUCAUGUAGAUAGUGUGCUUCUAGCCCUAUCUUCCUUCUCUUUGAGUGCGCCCUCGAGCCAUCAAACAUCCCAGCUGGUGCACCUUUCAACCCUGCCCCCUUUUGAGUGUGCCUUCGAGCCCUCGACCCCUUGGGUAGUGUGUUUUCUAACCCUACCUCCUUUCGAGUGCACCUUAGAGCCCUCGACCACCUUAGAUAGUGUGCUUUCUAGCCCUAUCUCCCUUUUUAGUGCACCUUAGAGCCCUCAACCACUUUGGGUAGUGUGUUUUCUAACCCUGCCUUCUUUCGAGUGCGCCUUAGAGCCCUCGACCAUCUUAGGUAAUGCGUUUCCUAACCUUACCUCCUUUUAGUGCGCCUUCGAGCCCUCACCUCAUGGGUAGUGUGUUUUCUAACCCUGCCUCCUUUCGAGCGCGCCUUUGAGCCCUCACCUCAUGGGUAGUGCGUUUUCUAACCCUACCUCCUUUCGAGUGCACUUUUCAGCCCUCGUUCCCCUUCGAGUCCUAUAUCUUUUCAAACGCUCCUUUGAGCUCCCGUCUCUUGAAUAGUGCGCCAUCGAGCCCUAUCAUGUCAUUCCUUCAAGACAUUUCAUUUUUUUUCACAUAGGUAGGUCACCCAUCAUAAUCAGACCUCUUUGAAAACCCUUUUCAUCUUCUAUUUGGGCCGGUUACCCAUUACAAUCUUUUGAGAAAUCCAUGCAUUUCUCACCACCUUUAAAAUCUUCAAUUUGGGCUGGUUGCCCAUUACAAUGAAACCAUUUUGAGAAAUCUUUGCAUUUCGCACCACUUUGAAAAAUCUUUGUAUUUUUCACAACUUUAAAAAAUCUUCGUGUUUUUCAUCUGAGCAGGUCGCCCAUUACAACAAGAUCACUUUGAAAAAAUUUUACAUUUUUUACAACAUUGAAAAAUCUUUGCAUUUUUCACAACUUUGAAAAAUCUUCGUGUUUUUCACCUGGGCAGGUCCCCCAUUACAACAAGAUCACUUUGAAAAAAUUUUACAUUUUUUACAACGUUGAAAAAUCUUUGCAUUUUUCACAACUUUGAAAAAUCUUCGUGUUUUUCACCUGGGCAGGUCCCCCAUUACAACAAGACCACUUUGAAAAAUCUUCGUAUUUUUCAUCACUUUGAAAAAUCUCUGUAUUUUUCAUCUAUUUGAAAAAUCUUCAUGUUUUUCACCUGGGCAGGUCGCCCAUUACAACAAGACCACUUUGAAAAAUCUUUGUAUUUUUCACCGUUUCGAAAAAAUCUCCGAAAAAUCUUUGCGUUUUUCACCCGGGUAGGUCACCCAUUACAAUAAGACCACCUCAAAAAACUUUUUUUAAUUUUCUCUGGGUAGGUCACCCAUGACAAUUCGACCAUUCCAAAAUCUCAGAAUUUGCAAAAGAAAAUCUUCCAGAUUUUACUCUGAGUGCGCUUUCUAGCCCUCAAAAUGAUUCAUCAUUUCUCAAUAUGAUGAGUCCAUCAUCUUUCAUUCUUCUUUUUCUUUACAACGCUUACUACCUAAAGUCUCUUACGAGACUUUCUAUCGUAAACAUUGUAAAGAGGGGGGCAACUGUCAUAACCAAAUUUUGGGUUAUUCCCCAAAAAUUCACUUUUUUUCAAAAUAAAAAUCAAAAACAAUAAAAUAAAAGGCUUGCAACGUGGAGAAAGCAGGCCGGAAAAUCAAGCUGCAAUUUUUGGAGGAAAUUCAAGGCCUAAUUGUACCCCAUUAUGCCAAAAAAUGGAGACAAAAUGCAAAUUCAAGGUUAAAUUAAAUGAUUAUUGGACGAAUUUGCAUAAAAAUUAAGUCCAAUGACAUAAUUAAAUUUUUAAUAGGCCAAUUUGAUUUAAUCAUGGGCCAAAUUAAAUUUUAAUUAUGUUUAAGAAUUAAUUUGGGUCCAAUUGAAGGAUUUAAUUAAGUGCAAGGACUUAAUUAUACUUUAAAUGGGUCAAAUUAAUUUUAUUUGAGGCUUACUUGGUGAAACAUUAAGUUUGGGAGCCUAAUUUGGGCUUAAUUGAGAAGAUUGGAAUUUUAAGAGACCAAAUUUAAUUUUUACCAAGUUAAUUGAUUGAAAUCAGGGGCCAAAUUGCAAGAAAAUUGAAGUUUUGGGGUCAAUUAGGGGCUGGAUUGAAGAAAUUUGCAGCCAAGGACCAAUCUGCAAAAGGCGCCACAAUUGAGGGGCUGGAUUGAAGAAAUUUGCAGACAAGGACCAAUCUGCAAAAGGCGCCACAAUUGAGGGGCUUAAUUGACAAAACCCGGGGUGAAAUUGAAAGUUUGAUGGUCAAUUAGGGGUUAAAUUGACAAAAUCCGAGACCAAGGACCAUAUUGCAAAAGGCGCGUAACUUCAGGGUUCCAAUUGAAGGUCAUCAGGGGCUUAAUUGCAAACGUUUAGGGUCAAUUAGGUGUUCAAUUGAAAGCAAUUGAAAGCGGAAGGACUGAAAUGAACUUUGGCCAAAACGGAAUCCUGAACACUAUUCAUUAUCUUCUUUUUUCCCGGAAAAACGGGUUCAGUCACCUCCUUUGCAGGUGCAUUUAAUGCACCUAACGUCCACCAAAGUUGCCAAAACAUGCACGAAACUGAUCACCAGACAUCCCUCUACGUCGGGGUAUGGUCUUUACCGGCUCACUGGCAAAUAAACGGACGUGGCACCACCCCAAAGAGGCCAACUCAGGCAGCCUGCAGCUACAGAUUUGACAAUUUGACAGUGCACCAUGCCUAUUUUGAGCCAACGGUUGGGAUCCUUCCCAUCUGAAUCAAGGGCUGAAAUUUUUCUCCAUUGUAGAAAGAUUGCCCUCUUCCACCGCCUAUAAAUAGAGGUGGAUUUUAUGGCCCGAGGGAGGAGAAAAUCGGGGCCAAAGUCAGCCAAAAAACCAGCCAUUUUCCCUUGUUUAUGCAAUUUUCUCUUUUUCCUCUCCCUCUCUCUGCACCGUGGCCUUCAGCCACCACCACCCUCUUCAUCGGUCUUCCCACCAUCAACUACACCACAGGAAGCCAACACGACCACCAACUGACCACCAAGAGCCACCUUCGGUUUCUCUCUCCUCUCUGCAGCCCCUCCCGCGCAUUUUUCUUCUUCUUUUGCUUCCUCUGCCGCCGGCCACCAUCUCUGUCACAGCCUUAGCCACCGUUUCUACCACCAACCGGCCACCAAGAAGCCACUGUGACUCUCUCCCCCUUCUCCUUCCAGCGUCUCUCUCUCAUCUGCAAACUUCUUCUUCCUGCGCAGUAGCAACUCCGGCGGCCAAGCUCUCCAUCAACGCCGCCACCAGCCUCUCCACCAGCACGACCACAGGCCCUCACCGCCUCAGGUGGUUCUCCAUCCCUGCCUUGCAUCAACCGCCCCUGUUGCUCAUUGCUGCUGUCGCUGCAUGCAGAAUGAAGCGACCAAAAUAAUUAACUUAGCUUUGGGUCGGGCCAGUUAUGACUCAGCCCAAGUGGCUGGGUCUGGCCCGGCCCCCAUUAAAAAAAAUUCAACAAAUUUCAAAAAUCAUUUUAAAAAAAAAUGUGAUUUUCUCAAAUAUUUUUCUACCAAUUUUGCAUAAUAUCGGGUUGUAUAUUUACAUUGUAAAAUACAACUCCGGUAUUAAAAUACCCGGGUUUCUCCGAAAUAUUUCAAAAAAAAUAAUAAAAUUUCAAAACAUUUUCAAAAAGAAAAAAUAUUUUAUUGCAUACGGCCAAAUCCUAAAUGUUUUUAAAGCAUAUCUUCAUAAAAACAAAAAUUGCAUCUUUUUCAUGUUUAAAAAAAAUAAAAAAUGGAUAUCGUAACCAGUUUAUGAUUAUCCAUUAGGAUUUGACCAACAUGUCAAAAAUCUUUUUCCAAUCUUUUUUUUUAGGAUCCAAAUAUAGACUUUAAUAUUUGUGAGGUGUAAAAUUACACGAUAAAGUACACCCUCAAGUAUUAAAGAUACAAGGUGUAAAAACACGAUGCUAAAAUUCAGACUUUAGAAUGGUUAGGAUUUAACCUGAUAAGGUAGAGACUCUCUCAUGAAGAGAGAUCUGCCUUGAGCCUUAGAAAAGACCAACAAAUAGAAACCUGACUUAGAAAAAACAAUCAAAUAACAAUGCAGCUUACCUUAGGUAGGGUGCACUAGGGGUGAUGCGUCUUCCCCUUGCACAACCAGUCCUUUACCCAGACUCUCGCAGACCAUAGGUUCCUAGUGACCAUAAUACUAGGUGGCGACUCCUAAAAAUUAAUCAUAAUUUUAUUAUUAAAUCCAAAAACCCUUCCCAACACAACACCCCUCAUCAGGAGGCACGACAGAGAGCCUCCGCCGUCGCUAGACGACGUCGCGCCCCCCGCGACACACAACAUGACUAAUUCCAAUCGAUGAAGGUCCAGCCAAUAUUGGUUCUGCGAGAUAAGGCUCCCCAUGUACAGUCCAAUUUUCAUAACAAGGUAAAAAACCUUUUGUCAAUAGAUGUUUACAAACAUCAUCUUCCUUUAAAAACUUUUGAUUUUUGCACCUCCCACAAGGACAUCUAAUUUUUCCCCCAGAUAUAUUUUUAUCAAUUGAAAAUGCAAAAUUGAUAAAUCUUCUAACACCGGUAAUGUAUUCAGGACAAAGGCGACCAUCCAUAAGACGACGAUACAUCCACGAUCAGUCAUCCAUGUUAAUCUAGUUAACAUGAUAACACCAAUAAGCAUUUUUAGAAAUAAGCAUACUUCUUUAACUACUAGUACUUAAACAAUCCUUUAAAAUAAAAUAUAUACCACAUAAAUAAACUUUAAUUAUUUGUCCAGCUCACACAUAUAUCAAGCUAAAAAAUGUUAAUGAUUGGAUAUAUGCACAUGUGUUUGUAAGAACUUGGAUAACUUUUUUCUUCUACUUUUUGUUAUAUGUUUAUUUUAAAGCGGUAAGAUUUCUAAUUAUGCAAGAAACCUAUUGAGUUUUUAAUUAUAUAGGUUGUUUAGUGUGACAAUAUGAGUGUGUGAGGAAUUCCCAUUGCCAUGGUGAUGCUUUAUCACCCAUGGUCAGAAUACGUGAUUAAUAACACAUUCACAGCUUGAAAAUAAAGUUUUGUUUUAUUUUAAUCACAGCUUGGUUCAACUGCAAUUGGUUUAAAGACCGAUUGUACUGUUUACCUAAUAAGUGGGUCUCUUUUACUUUUACUUUUUCUAUUUAAUUUUAAUUUUAAUUUUUAAUCAAAGUCUCCCUUCCCUUUGCCUCCAAGAUGGAAGUACAAAAGGACCAUCCAUCAUUUCACCAGGAAGGUGGAGGGGAUUUACCCUACGUUUUUGCUCAUUGCUUUAAAUAAAUCUUAAUAAUUUUUAUUUAUAUUUUCUAACUAGUGACAAAAGUACACUUUUAGAUUAUGUUCUGUUAGUAUUUUAUACAGAAUAAACGGAUAAAGACAAAAAAAUAUUUAGUUAAAAAAAUAUUAAAUAAAUUUAUCUUUAUAGUAGUUUUGGAGUUCAUUUUUUUUAUUGGUCCUUCUAACUUUUGUUACCACCUCAAAUAGUUUUUUUUUAUUUGAAUCCUUUUAUUUUUAUUGGAUCCAUCAAACUUUUUUAUUUUUAUUCGAAUCUUUUUUUGGUAAACUAAGAAAUGGUAGAUGAAAUCAUAAACAUGCGAGGUAAUACAAGAUUAAAGAAUUUUUUUUAUUUUUUUAAAAAGAUGAAAAUGCAAUAUAAAAAAAAAAUUAUUAUGGGUUACAAUAGUUACUCACAUUUGUAUAUUUGUCUCUUAAUCAUAUACAUUAUAUCUAUCUUUUAUGUCGUAGUGAAAUAAUAAUUAUAAUACUGGUGGAUGAAAAUAUAAAUACCUUUGUUUUAUAAAUUCUUUAGGCACAGUCCAAUUUAGUUAAUUUCAUGUACUAGUAGAUUUGUUGCCUUCUUUCUUCUCUUAAUACGUAUGGAGCAUAAUAUUAUUGUUAAUUAAUUGACAUGAGCAGACCGUAAGAGAAAUGAUGUCUUCUCAAUCUCAACGUCACAGUAUGUUUCAAGACUUGACAAGUAGCACGACAUUUAAAUUUGCAAUUAAUUGAUAUAUUAUUCAGCCACCUCUAUGUUUCAUUUUGGUCUCAUAAUUUCCAUCCAAAAGAAACUCAAUAUCAGAUUUAAUGAAAGAAAAUCAUUCAAUUAGUUUUCUUAUACAAAUUAUCAAUAUUAUCCCAAUGAAAGGCAGAGUUCCAAUUAAUUCAAAAGGUUACAAUAGGCAUGCCCAACAGAAAAAUUAUGCAUGAUAUAAUUAAGCAACCAUGUAAAAAUGGAGCAAAAUAGACUUACCUAAGCCCCAAGAAUCAAUGGCCCAAGGUGGAGGAUUUCUUAUUGCAACCCAAUCAGAUUUAGCCAACUCUAUUGGAUUAUAUUGUGAUCCAAUAAGCCAUUCAAAUUGCUGGAAAAAUAAAAAACAUAAACAGUAUGUUAAACCCAUCAAGUUAUAACAAUUGCUAGUCUUUAAAACAAAUCCAAGUUAAACUAUGAAAAACAGAAAGCAUAUCCAAGUUAAAGUAUGAAUUUUUAAUAUUUUUUUGGCACUUGUCUUCUCAUAACAAAUAUUUUUUUCAUUUAAGAUCUAACCUGAAAAAUUUCAUUUAAUUUAAUAACAAGGAACUAACUUAUAGUUUUAAAAAAUUAAAUUAUAAUUUACUCUAAUUAUUAUCUCUUAAAACCUAUAACUUAAUAGGAAUUUUUAUGGUUAGGACAUAAUUUUUCUACAAAACCAAGCCUUUGCAUAAAAGGAAAUUCCAAUGAGAUGCUUUUAGUUCAAAGAGCAAAACAACAAGGUACAAAAAGCAUAGCACAAACAACUUAGCUGUAAAUAAACCUAGCUAACCAAAACAACAAUUACUGCAUAAUCCAAAAGAGCAGCUGUGUGGGAAUAUAAAAAACGAUAUGGUGUAAAUUAUAAAUAAGAAGGAAUCACAGAAAAAAAAAUUCUUCAAUUAAUAAAAUUGAUUACUAGCCAUUUCAUCAAUUCUUGAACUGCUAAAACAUAAAACCAGCACAACAAUCAUCAGUUCAUCUUUAUAAGGUAAAUUCACUUACUGUUUGAUAAUAAGCAUCCAUUCCUUCACUGUCUAACAGUAAGAAAUUGUACUGAGUUCCAUCAAGGGCAGUUCUCUUUAACGGUGCACUCCACAACCAAAGUCCUUUUGUACAUGGCCGAUGAGUGGAUGCUACUUGAAAUCCACUACUCUUGCCAAGAAGCUACAAUACACAAGUCCACCUCUUAGUUAAUAACUGACACAUGAGGUCAGUUGCAGAAAUGGAAUGUCAUAACAAAUAACUCUAAAAUAAGCUUCAACAAACAAAAUUCCAGUAGACAUUCAUUGAUAAAUCUACUAGUGUACAUCUUAGGUAAAGGAAUUGUGCAUAACAUCUUAAACCCAUCAAGUUAUAACACUUGCUAGUCUUUAAAACAAAUCCAAGUUAAAUUAUGAAAAACAGAAAGCAUAUCCAAGUUAAAUUAUUAAUUUUUAAUAUUUUUUUGGCACUUGUCUUCUCAUAAUAAUUUUUUUUCUUCUAUGAUCUAACCUGAAAAAUUUCAAUCUUGAACAUUAUUCAUUUUGAAAUUUUAAAAUUACUAACAUUUAAUUUAUAACAAGGAACUAAUUUAUGGUUUUCAAAUACAUAAUGACUAACUUAUAAAAUCAUAAAAAAAUGCAUAGACUAAAGUAUAAUUAACUCUAAUUAACAAUGGUAGCAGAUGUAGAAAAUGGUAACAGUUUGUAUAAAAACAGUAAAUGACAUGUAGAAAAAUUGCAUGAACAAAGGAAGCUGGAUGCAUUAAAUGAUAUUCCAUGUAAAUGACAUAUGGUAUAAGAGCACAAGACCUCAAAAGGACAAAGCAUUAAGGAGACCAUAUUAAAUAAUAGUAAGAACGCAACACACCGCUUUCGUGCCAAGAAGAACCCAAAGGCUGAAUAAUUAUUGAGGAAGAUAACUUGAUGCCACGCUUAAAAACCUAAGCCAUCAUAUUGAACAAAGUCAUGUCAGGACCUAGAAAGUAAAAAAAAAAGCCAAAUAACAAAGCAAGCAUUAGGUACUAUAACAAAAGGAGUAAAUAUUACAGAUUUUUAUCCAAAAUUCAAUAGCUGAAGCAUUCAUGUAGAUGAAUUAUUUAGCGAGUUCCAAACUCCCUAUUAUAUCUAGAAUGCCUUUAAGUUGAAAAAAAUAAAAUAAAAAAAUAGUUAAAUUAAGGAAAUUUUUAAAAACAGAGAAAGAAUAUUAAAAAAAAUAAAUGAAAUUAAAUAGUGAAAUUACUAUAUUUCAUGUACUAAAAAAUCAUGUCCCAUUUCUUACAUUAUUUCUCUAACUUUUUUAAAUUCUCAAUGUGACUAUCAUAUUAAAAUAUAAUUAAGAGCAUUUUAGAUUAAAAAAAAAUAGUUAGGGUUUGGGAUCCUGCAUCCUUACGGGUGGGUUGCUGGUCUAGCUAGGCAAGGUGAGAAUAAUGGACAUUAAUUAGGGGGAAGGAAGGAUUAAAAAGAAAAAUUAGAUGCCAUCUAACAUUUUUAGCUGAACUGAAUUAAAAGCCUGCCACCUAAACCAUUUGGUGAUCAAUAACGUUUCCAAAUCAUGCAUGCUGACCUCAAGAUAGGACAAUCAACUGAAAACAGACUACAUAUAUAGCUAAUGUGGGAAAUUAACUUAUCACCAUGCAAGGAGGAGGCAACCAUGAAUUCUAACCUCUUUCAUUACACAAUUCUGCUACUUAUAUAUAUAACAAGUAAAACAACAAGAAAAAAAAAGAAUGAAUGAAGAUACAAAAAUAAAACAGCAAUCUUAUUAACGAAACACAACAUCAACAAGCAAGUUUUCUUAUAUAUAUAUAAGCAUAUGAAUACAUGCAAAACACCUAGGUGUCGGCGCACAGGAGGACAAAAAGACUUGCAGACAUCAAAGAACACCCAGCAUCAAUAAGACUACUUGUUAAAAAUUAAAUUGGGGGUUUUGAUAAAUUUUCAAUUAAACAUGCAUAAUUUCCAUCAAUCACUCUCUUCCAGACACAUGAAUUGCCAGCAUUGGUCCAGUUGCAUAAAAUCAUUCAAUUUAUGAACCGUAACCCUAAAAAUUAAUUUGGGGGUUUUGAUAAAUUUUCAAUUAAACAUGCAUAAUUAGGUUAUAAAUCAUGGUAAAAACAAUUCAUAAACCUUAUAUUAUCGAACUAAUAGACUAAAACUAUUAUUCAAAGUAUCGAAAAAAAAAAUUGUUACAUGUGUUCUUCAGUUACAGGUGAGGGAGAUGGAUCUACACGACAGAAUAACACCUGAGAUUGGGAAAGUUAGGCUAGAACUGUUUAGUGUAACUUAAAUUGCAACAAAGAAAAUAAAAACCCUAAAUUAAUUACCUGAGCUAUUGAAGAAAAGAGUGCAAAACCCAACCCGUUUACAAGGAGAAGGGGUAAAUCAGGAUGUUCGAUGGUGACGAUGAUGGGUCUGGUGUGAUGUUGCCAUGAGUCUAUGUUUUUGGUGGUUUACAGAGAAAUAUUAAAACUGUUAAGAUGAAGGAGAAGAAGAUGAAGAAAAAAAAUUAGAGAUGCUGAAGACGAAUGUGAAGAUGAUGAACAGUUUGGGAUAAAGGAAAAUCAAAUCGAUGAAGAGAGGGUGAUUUUUCAACAGUUAUGGAUCGAUGUUAUUAGGGACGAAGGAUAUACUGGAAGAGUGGAAGUUAAUUAAUUUUCAGCUGUAAUUGGUUUUGUUGGUCUCUAUAUUUCGGUGUGGGGGAAGAGUACUGGUGGAGAGUACUGGUGAGCGAAAAUAAACGGUUCAGAUUUUAUCAUAAUAAGUGUAAUCAACGAUCUACAUAAUUUUGGUUUUAUAUUAAGAUUUAAAUAUUUAUUUUUUCAAUUAGCAACGGAAAAUCCGUUGCUAAAUUCAACGUAAAGUUUGCAACGGAUUUUCCGUUGCUAAAGCCUGUUGCUAAUAUUAAAAAAAUAAUAUAUGUGUAAUCCGUUGCAAAUCUGUUGCUGAAUUGAGCAACGGAAUUAUCCGUUGCUAAAUUCAGAUGCUAAUAGCCCCUGUUUUUAGUAGUGAAGGGCGCCGAUCUUUUGCCAUGCUAGCAGAAGACUUUCCUCCACCUGUGAACGAGACGACAACACUAUGAGCAGCAAUAAGCAAGAGCAGCACAGUAGCAGGGAUCCUUCCUCCCAAAGCGGCAAACAGCAACCCGGCCAAGCCUGCUGGGUUCAGCCCAGCCACAUGGGCCGAGCUGGACCCAGUCCAAAAAAACGAGUAAUAUCGUUGGUUUUCUCGUGUAUUUAGUUUAUGGUUUGUAUUUUUUUUUUGUUGUGGAAAUACAAAUCUGGUAUUAAAAUACCCGGUUUUCCACGAAAUGUUGCAAAUAUAUAUAUAUACGUCUGAAAAACAAAAAAAAUGUUUUCUUGUGUGUUGCAUACGGCCAACACCCUAACAUGUUUUGAACGUCUUUUUUUUUAUAAAAAAACAAAUAUUUGAAGUUUUGAAAAUGUGUUUUCGCAUGGAUUUCUUAAACACAACAAAUACUAUUUUUUUGCAUUUCUGGAUUUUACAACAUGUUUGUAAAACUCCAAAGGGUAUUGGCUAAUAUUCCAAAAAUAUAAAAAAUCUUAUUUUGAGGGAAUUCAUCUAUUAUUCACCGCUAAUGUUUGGAUAAAGAAAUCCCUAACGGAUGAAUAUCCAAAAUAUUAUAGGGAAUAAUUUGUUAUUAUUCAAUGUUAAUAUUUGGAUAAAGAAACCCUAAGCGGUAAAUAUCCAAAAUAAUUUUCUAGGAAUAAUAAGUCAUUACACAUCAUUGAAAGAAGCCUUGAUUAUAAUUGAGGACAUUUCAAUUUUUUUACUCCACGGUUUACGAGCCGUGAGAGUACGAAACACUAAGGCAAAAAUAGGCUUUUAAAGCGCCCUAGAUUUCUAAAUUUGUGUCCCUCCUCUUUGCGAUUUAUGAGUCACAAACUCUUGAAAUACCAAGGGAAAAUGAGCUUUUAAAGCACAUGGAAUCUCCUUGGAUUUCUAUCUUAAUAAAUUUAGUUAGAAUCAAACCUAGAAAAAACUGAUGGGAUUAGAAAAUACCAACACCAUAGCAAUUAUAAGACAAACCAAACACCAAGCAGCUUACCUUAGGUAGGGCGUACUAGGGGUGCUAAUACCUUCCCUUUACGCAACCAGUCCCUUGCUUUAGAAUCUCUGAAAGACCAGUUAGGUUUCCUAGUGACCAUAAUACUAGGUGGCGAGUCCCUUUUACACAAAAAAACAAAAGACCCUGAAAUCGAUCGAGGAUCGCUGCGACGCCGCUCUCCGCCGCGAGGGUGCGACACUUACUAUAACCAACAUUCCAGCUUACAAUAUAAAGAGAUUAUCCAUGUGGUCAUUGAUAACAUCGUUGUCCCCAUUUGUACGACACUUUUCCUCAAGUGCAAAAGAAGGGAAGCGAUUGCGAAGAGAGUCAACAUCCUUCCAAGAGGAUUCCGCAAGGGACAACCCGUCCCAAUGAACUAAAACCCGGUGCUAAUUGUUAACUGAUCGGGAAUCAAGAAUAACUUUAGGAAGAGGUUGAAUUUUGCCUUGUGUCAGAAUAGGCAAAGAGGGUUCAAUUGGAACUGUAGUUCCAUGGAAAGGUUUAAGGUAGGAAACAUGAAAAACAGGGUGUAGUUUAGAGGAGGAGGGAAGGUCUAAUUAUUAAGCCAUAAAACCCAGUUUGGCUAAAAUAGGAAAAAGGACCAUAAUAACAGGGUGAAAGUUUAGUGUGUACCAUUUUGAAGAGAGGCUAAGUUGGCGGUGAGGCUGAAGUUUGAGGAGAACCCGAUCACCCAGUUUAUAUUGAACAAGAUGAUGUUUAGCAUUAUACCUGGCCUUCAUGGAAUUUUAAGCCUGAAGUAAUCGGUUUCGAAGGUCUUGAAGCACCAAUUCCCUGGAUUUUAAUUCCUGAUCCGCAACUUCAAGUUUAGCUAAUCCAUGACAAUAAAACAACAUAGUGGGAGGAGAGCGGCCAUACACCACUUUGAAUGGAGUAGCUUUAAGAGAGGAGUGGUAGCUUGUGUUGUAACAAUACUCCACCCAAGGUAACCAUUGAAACCAACGGUGAGGACGGUCACUUGUAAAGCAACGCAAAUACAUCUUGAUAGUGCGAUUGACAACCUCUGUUUGUAUAUCACUUUGUGGAUUAUAAGCAGAGUUGAAAGACAAUUUAGUGCCACUCAACCGAAACAAUUUAGUCCAAAAAAAACUUGUGAACGUUACAUCAGAAUCACUCAAUGGUUUCAGGCAAGCCAUGAAGUUUGAAAAUAUUAUCAAAGAAUAAGCGGGCUACACUCACAACAGUAUAUGGAUGAGCAAUAGGAAGGAGAUGUGCAUGCAUCGAAAAAUGGUCUACCAUAACCAGCAAAACAGACUUUCCUUGGGAGGUAGGCAGUCAUUCAAUGAAAUCCAUAGAGAUAUGCGACCAGGUCUGAAGUGGAAUUGGCAAAGGUUGAAGAAGACCUGCCGGAUGUAAGUUUUUAGCCUUGUGUUUUUGGCAGAUAAGACAUUGUCGCGUAAAAGCUUGGAUAAAAGUUUUCAUUCCUUGCCAAUAAAAGUCUUGAGCUAUGCGAUGAAGUGUUUUAUGAUAGCCCUCUUGGGUACUAUUAUGGACAGUCGAGAUUAUGGAUGGAACAAGAGGGGAAUUGUGUAGCAAAUAAACUCAUUGUUUAAAGAAAAGCAAGCCAUCUUUAUACUUCCAGGGUCUAAUAGCUUCACUGUGCUGUAUAUUUUCCUUCAACAAUUGCAAUUGGUCUGAAUUUUGAAUCUCAGUGUAUAUUUUCCUGUCUAAUUUAAGGCCCCGUCAAUUCUUCAUGCCCUGCUUGAGUCGAUACUACUGGUGCAUGUGAAGCAGUAUCUUUUAAAGGACUCUAUUCUUGCCCCUCGGAAAAGUCUAUAUCUCUAUUCCCCCUCCCUGUAGAGGUUAGAUCUGUUCUAAUCUCUUGACGGGUAUGUACCAUCCUGCAAUAAAUUAAUGAACAUCAACAACCUCUUUUGAAUUCUUCCCAGAACCCAUACUAGAGCUAUGAUACCAACUGUAACAAUCUGACUGUACGACUUGAUCAUUGUUAAAAGGUCCCAACAUAUCCUCUUAAUUUGAGGGUAUUUAGUUUUUUUUUUUACCAAAAAUUCGGCAGAGUUUCGUUUGCAUUUAGGACAUCCCAAGUUAUUGACUACUAUCAAUUUACUCAAUCAACCCAUCAUCACAAGGUCCCAUAAUUCCAGACCUUAUAUCAAACAUCAUAAUUCAACACCUCAUACAAUCCACACAAUAUAUAUAUCCUACAAGUUCAAUAUGAACAUGGUCCACAUAUCAUAUCAUAAAAUUUUAAAGAAAAGGAAUACUAACAUGCAAAGAAAGCAUUUACAACAUAAUAAGUGUUCUUAAACACUUCAAAAGGGUUAAUUGCAAGAUAACUAAAAUACUACAUGCUAAGCUGAACUUUUAUAAAUACAUCAAGGUUUACACAAAAGCAUACUACAUAAAUGCGUUAAUUCCCUUUUGUUUAAGUUAAAUAUUUACAUAAGCUUGACAAAGUAGAGUCCUAAACUAAUGAUCUCCCUGGAUAUUUGAUGGACCUGUUACAUAAAUAAACAUACCAUUAUGUUGAUAAAGAAUAUACAUAUGCUCAUGUAAUGUAUACGAAUGAAGUAUUAAUUUUCUAUCGGAUCCAUAAGAAUUUUAAUAGAGAACUUAUAUUUUGCUUGUAAAUCUUUUAAACCCAAUUAACACUCAUUUGCAUAUUCUUAAUUUGAAUACUCUUAUUUACUUGCAUGAACUGGGUGACCUUGCAAAGUCUAAUCUUGCAAUUCAUCUCCCGGCAAUCCUAUCAAGGAUGCCAUUAGCCGAAGUUAAUCUUGCAAUUCAUCUCCCGACGAUCCUAUCACGGAUGCCAUUAGCCGAAGCUAAUCUUGCAAUUCAUCACAGAUGCCAUUAGCCGAAGUUAAUCUUGUAAUUCAUUUCACAGCAAUCCUAUUACGGAUGCCAUUAGCCAAGGCUAAUCUUGUAAAUACACUAGACUUUAUUUAGAUUGAACGCGAUAUUUAUUAUAAUUGCAUUCACUAGAAGAAUUUUAAAUUGUAUAAGUGCAAAUAAGAGGGAAAAUCACGCACCUGCUCUGCCUGUCUCGCGACCUUCCUUAACAGAAGAUCCAAUCCUGGUUGCUCCUCCUAAAUCACAAGGAAGUUUUUGGUUAUGAUUCCUUCAAGCCGAUAUUAUAGAGAAUUCAUAUUCAUUCAUUACUCAUAUGUUACUUUCUAUGUAUGUUCAUUUCCUCAUAAUAACAUACAUACAUAUAUCAUGUAUAUUUUCAGAGUUAGUAUCUCAAUGUGCAAGUGUUCAUAUGACUCAAUUCUUUUAUAUUCUUAUAUAUAGUAUUCACGUGAAAGUCUACUGUUACUGUCUAACUUUGAACUAUUACUGUCUAAUUUCCAAUUGUUACUAUCCAACUGUUACUGUCUAGACAUUGAACUGUUACUGUCCAACUGUUACUGUCCAACCGUUACUGUCUAGACAUUGAACUGUUACUGUCCAACUGUUAUUGUCUAGUCGUUACUGUCUAGACAUUGAACUGUUACUGUCUAGAUAUUUGAACUGUUACUGUCUAGACAUUUGAACUAUUACUGUCCAACUAUUACUGUCUGAACACUCAUCAGAUUGUUAACUAUAUCUAAAGUUCUAAAACCCCAUUGUAAGUGAGAUUGAUCUCAUUAGAAAGAUAAAACACGAGGCUACAAGUUCUCUGAGGGAAGGAGAACCCAGUUCUGCCUCCAAGAUAGUCAAAAUUGCUCAUCAACUAAUCAGUCCUACUGCCCUACAUAAUCGGUCACGACUUAGUCUCGGUUGUUAACCCAUAACUGGAGCCCUACAUCUCCAAAUUGAGCAAGACCAGUUUCCUUGGUUAGCUAACACUCAAAUCUACAAUUUCUAUGAAGGAACCCGAUCCUAAUUCCCUCAUCCCCCUAUCUAAAAUCUCACCGAAAGUUAGGAGACGAGUCUGUCCGGAGUCGUCACCCCCUUCCCUUCACACAAUACUUUCAUAAACUACAUAGCACACAUGAAUUAACUUAAUUUUAACAACAAAUACUUUUUUCCCAAUUCAUGUCUAAGAACCCUAACUUAUAAUUCAAUAUCAAAGCAUCAAUUCAUUAUCGAAAUUAAAAAUGAAUUUUUUAAGAUCAUGUUUAGAACACCUUACCCGGUACGAAUUAAGAUUUUGAUCUUCAACCAGUUGAAGAUUUUCAACUCCUUCCUUUCUUUUCUUCUUGUUCAAUUUUUUUGUUAAUCCAUUGCACACAAGUGUUUAUCCCAUCUAUAUACCCUUAAUCUUGGAUGAGUUCUUGAAAUUUUAUUGUUUAUCUCUUGAUUUUGCAAGAAUGGGUACAAAAUUCCCUAUUUUCUUUCCUUAUGGUUCCUGCAUAUUUUUUUUUUUGUGAGGAGAGGGUAUUUAUACUCUAUAAUUUUCCUUAUUUGCAUUUAGGCCCCCCUUUUCCUUUAAGUGUAUUAUUCUCUUUAAUUAAAUCCAACCCUCAACCGUACCGGGUUUAUUAUAAUGUCUCGAAUUAUUUCACCCGGAAAUUUAUAUUAAAACAUUUCUGAAUUCUUGUUUUUAUUUAACCAUAUGCAUGAAUUUCUUCACUUUUAUUUAUUUAUUUCCAGGGUUUACAUCAAGAGUCAGACCCUAGGUUAAUGGGUCCGCCUCAACAUCCAAUCCUCUUAGGUCUUGUGUCCUUACUAAAAUAUAAUGGGUUCGGAUUGCAGCCAAACCAAAGGCUUUUGGGUCCCUCAUUUAAGAGGUGCCCAAAGCUCUUGAGUCUGAUGUUGUAGCCCGACCCACUUCAACUUGGGUAAGUUUAUGGUUAUUAUUAAUAUUAAAAAUAUUAUUAUUUGUGUUAUAAAUUUUCUGGUUUUUAUAAUUAAUAUUAUUAAUAUCAUAAUUAAGAAAUUUUAAAAGUAUAUCAUUAAUUUGGAAAAACAAACAUAGAUUUGAUUUCAAGGGUAAAAUUAUUAUUAUUAUUAUCAUUAUUCUUAAUAUUAUUAAAUUAAUAAAUUUGAAAAAAAAAUUAUUAUCAAAGAAAAACAAUAAGUUUUAUUUGAGAGGAUUAAAAACUAUAAAAACUUAAGUUAGAUAAGUUUAAUAUUAUUGUUAAUAUCAUAAAUAUUUUAAAUUCAUUCAUAUUAAUAAAUUUUAAAUAAAUUUUAUUACUAUAAAAAAUAUAUAUGUGAUUUGAAGGGUAAAAUCAAAUAUUUUUAUUUUAAUUAACUUGGGUCUGGAAGGGCAUGCUAGACCCACGUCGCAUGGGAGGGGUAGGGGGCAAACCCACGUCCCCUAGGUCUUGCAGUCGUGCCUGGCCUAAGAUUAUUGGGUCAAUAGUCAGACCCUAGGGCAAUGAGUCCAUGUCAAGACCCAAUGCUCAUGGGUAUUGCGUCUUCACCCAACUCUAAUGAGUUCGUAAUGCAGUCAGAUCCAAGGCUUUUGGAUCCGCCAUUUAAGAGGGGCUCAAAGCUCUUGGACCUGGUGUUGCAGCUGGAGCCUCUUAAACUUGGGUAAGUUUAUUGUUAUUAUUAAUAUUAAAAAUAUAUUUGUAUUAUAAAUAUUAUUAUUUUUAUUAUAAUUAAUAUUGCUAAUAUUGUUAAUAUUAUUAUUUGUAUUAUAAAUUUUAUUGUUUUAUUAUAAUUAAUAUUAUUAAUAUCAUAAUUAAGAAAUUUUAAAAAUACAUCAUUAAUUUUCAAAAAACAACAACAGAUUUGAUUUGAAUGGUAAAAUUCUUCUUAUUAUUAUUAAAUUAAUAAUUUUUAAGUAAAAAGAAACACAAUAAGUUUUAUUUUAGGGGAUUAAAAACUAUAAAAACUUAGGUUAGAUAAGUUUAAUUUUAUUAUUAAUAUCAUAAAUAUUAUUAAAUUUGAAACAAAUUUUAUUACUAAGAAAAAACAUAAAUGUGAUUUGAAGGGUAAAAUCAAUUAUUAUUUUUUUAUUAACUUGGGGCUGGAAGGACAUGCGAGACCCAAGUUGCUUGGGAGUAGCAGUGGGCAGACCCAAGGCCCUUAUGUAUUGCCGCUCUACCUGACCCAAGACAAUUGGGUUAAGAGUCAGACCCUAGGCUAAUGGGUCCGCGUCAGGACCUAAUUCUUUUGGAUCUUGCGUCCUCACCAAACUCUGAUGGGUGAAGGCUUUUUAGUCUCUCAUUUUAGAGGGCCCAAAGCUCUUGGGCCUGGUGUUGCAGCUAGAUCCAUUUAAACUUGAGUAAGUUUAUUGUUGUUAUUAAUAUUAAAAAUAUUAUUAUUUGUAUUAAAAAUAUUUUUAAUUUUAACAUUAUUAAUAUUAAAAUAUUAUUAUUAUAGUUUAUAAAUAUUUUUAUUUUUAUGAUGAUUAAUAUUAUUAUUAUUAAAAAUAUUAUGAUUUGUAUUAUAAUUAAUAUUGUUAAUAUUAAAAAUAUUAUUAUUUGUACUAUAAAUUUUAUUUUUUUAUUAUAAUUAAUAGUACUAAUAUCAUAAUUUUUAAAAACACAAUAGAUUUAAUUUGAAAAGUAAAAUUAUUAUUAUUAUUAUUAUUAUUAUUAUUAUUUAAUUAACAAAUCUAAAAAAAAUAUUAUUUUAUCAAAGAAAAAAAAUAAGUUUUAUUUGAGGGGAUUAAAAACUAUAAAAAUUUAGGUCAGAUAAGUUUAAUAUUAUUAAAUUUGAAAUAAAUUUAUUACUAUCGAAAAAGACAUAAAUGUGAUUUCAAGGGGAAAAUCAAUUAUUUUUAUUAUUAUUAACUUGGAUCUGAAAGGACACGCCAGACCUAAGUUGUUUGGGAGUGGUAAGGGAAAGCACCCAAGUCCCUCGGGUAUUGCAGCCCUACCUGGCCCAAGACAAUUUGGUCAGGAGUCAGACCCUAGGCUAAUGGGUCCGUCUCAGAAUCCAAUGCUCUUGGAUCUUGCAUCCUCACCCAAAUGUAAUGAGUUUUAAUUGCAGUCAGAUCCACUUAAACUUAUCGUUAUUAUUAAUAUUAAAAAUAUUAUUAUUUGUAUUAUAAUUAAUAUUGUUAAUAUUAAAAAUAUUAUUAUGUGUUAUAAAAUUUAUUUUUUUUAUUAUAAUUAAUAUUAUUAAUAUCAUAAUUAAGAAAUUUUAAAAAUAUAUCAAUAAUUUUGAAAAACAAACAUAGAUUUGAUUUCAAGAGUAAAAUUAUUGUUGUUGUUGUUGUUGUUGUUGUUGUUGUUCUUAUUAUUAUUAAAUUAAUAAAUUUGAAGAAAAAUAUUAUUAUUAUCAAAGAAAAACAAUAAGUUUUAUUUUAUUAUUAAUAUCAUAAAUAUUAUUAAAUUCAUUCAUAUUAUUAAAUUUAAAAUAAAUUUUAUUAUUAUAAAAAAAACAUACAUGUAAUUUGAAGAGUAAAAUCAAUUAUUUUUAUUAUUAUUAACUUAGGUCUGGAAGGGCAUGCCAGACCCACGUUGUUUUGCAGCAGCAGGGGGUAGACCCAAGUCCCCUGGGUCUUGCAGCAGUACCUGACCCAAGACAAUUGGGUCAAGUGUUAGACUCUAGGCUAAUGGGUUCGGAAUGCAGCCAGACCCAAGGCUUUUGGGUUCGCCAUUUAAGAGGGGUCCAAAGCUCUUGAGCCUGGUGUUCAGCUAGACACAAUCAAACUUGGGUAAGUUUAUUGUUAUUGUCAUAAUCCAUUUUUGGAUUAUUCUCAAAUUCAUUUCUUUUAAAAAAAAAAACUGAAAUAGUGUCGUUUUAAACCACAUUGUUCUCCUUCUUCCCCAUCAUGCGCAAAGGUAGGGAAGAGGGAGAUUUUUAAAAUCUUCUUUCCCCGCUCACUCUCUCCCCAGACUUGGCACUACCUAUACCCACCAUACCCUGCAAACAUUAUAAAGAUAAGAGAGGGAACCAUGCCCUGGGGUGGCUAUGUAGAAGCCGCCCCACGACAAUUGUAAAACGCAAGAACAAAUUAUACAAAAAAAAGAGGGGAUUUAUAAAAAUUUAAAUUUUUAUAAUACAAAAGUAGUAUAACUACAAAAAAAAUAAUAAUGAUAAUAAUUAUGGUGAUAAAAUUUAAUAGUUUUGGAGGAAAAAGGGGUGGGGGGGGGGCUUGAUUGAGAAAAAAGGAGAAAGAUGGAGCCAAAAUGGAAUUAAGAAGAAAUGGGACUAUAAAUACCCCAUUCAUUCUCUCUCCCAUGGCCGGCUGUAAUGUUGUCAAAAUCGUGAGUUAACUCGUAAAAUCGUAUGAUUUUACGAGUCAACUCAUAUAUAACGUGCAAAAUCGGGUUAAAAACUCGAAAACGGUCAAACUCGGUAAAAAUAGACCGAGUUAACGAGUUUGAUAAAGAAUGAAAAAAAUAAUUAACUAUCUUUGUCUCCCCUCCUCGUCACACCGUCACUCUCCCCUUUCCCCUUUCCCCUUUCCCCUUUCUCAAAUCUCAAGGGUUCUUCAAGCGUGCUCUACUGCUCUCCCUCCACAACUCACUCAAGGCUGGUUUUGAUAAUUUUUUGAGCGAGGUUAGGGACUCCAUCAAAACUUCAGUAAAUAAGGGAGGAAAUGUUGUGCAAAGCUUACUAGACACAAUUGCUUCUUCAAUAACAUCGAUUAAGGAAGGUGCUUCAGAAGCAGUAGAUGGUGCCUUGAGUAAAGUAUUCUCAAGUUUUGAUCAAACAGGAGAAUUAGUUGGUGAUAGAUUGACUAGCUUUUCAUCUGGUUUGAGGGAAGCCACACAAAAAGCUACUGGCACUUCUGUAGAUGUGCUCAGAGUUGCAAUCGUUGUAGUGGAGGAAUCUAUAGCAAAAGGGGCUUCUUUUGUUGUUUAUUCUUAUGGGCCUGCCAAGAAUUUGCUUCCUCCAUAGAUCAGGGGUGCACUGAAUCUGUCUGAAGAAAGGGUAACAGAGAUUUUGAGGCCAAUUGGUGUAACUUUUCAACAAGUACAUUAUGCUUGGCACGUUUUACUUUGAUGGCCGUUAUACUCUCGUUUAAUUGUAUGGACUUGAAAAAAAAAUCUCCUGCAAAGAUAUAUUUGGAUUAUUUUAGAAAUCUUUUUGUUGGAGAGUGGAGACAUCAGUCACUGCUUUCAGCUUACAGGACUUGUAGUUGAAAACUCAAUUGCAUCCAUCUCUGUUACACUGCUUAAUUAUGUCCUGCUCUAUCUAAUUUAUGUUCCAAAACCAAAGCUGAUUUAUAAAGGGUAAUCAAACUCGUGAAAUGAGACCAAUUUUUCUUAUGAUAAUUUCUUUCGCAAAAUCAGUAUAUAGGUCGAUUUGAGGUGAAUUUGGAUUUUCUUGAUAAGUGUGGUUUGUGGGUGUCAUAACCCAGUUUUUUACCCUUUUCUUUUAAUUAUUUUAUUUACUGAAAAAAUAAUGAAACAAAUGAUGAAAAACAAGUAAAAAUAAAAUAAAUGAAGAAUGAAUUAAAGUUUGGGUUAAAGGCAACAUGAUUGGAAGUUUUGAGGUUUAAUUAAGAUUGGAAUCAAUUUAAUUAAUCUAAUCAAGGGUUUAAUUGGAAAAUUGAUAAGUUUUGAGACUUAAUUAAUCUUAGAAUUAAUUCAAUUAAUUCAAUUAAGGGCUUAAUUAGAGAAUUGAUAAGUUUUGAGACUUAAUUGAGAUUGGUAUUAAUUUAAUUAAUGAAAUCAGGGGGCUUAAUUGAAAAAUUAUCAAAGUAUAGGGCUGAUUCUGGUAAAUUUUGCAAGAAAUUAACAUCCAGGGACUGUCUUGUAAAAUUCGCUGAAAUUCAGGGGUCCAAUUAAAUUUUAUCCAAGGGCUUGAUUACAAAACUUUCAAAACAUCAAGGACCAAAACGCAAAAUAACCUCAACACUGUUCAUCUUCUUCACCCGAAAAAAAAGAAAACUGCUGCCUUUACUCCUGCAUUAAAAACAGAGAGCACGGGAAGGCAUGGCAUUCUAAGGGAGGAUAAAACCAGAAAAAAACGGCUGGAGAGAGGAGGACAAAAGAAAAAGAAAAGGAGUGGACGUGGGGUAGCCUCUGGCUUCUUCAAUAAGAAACAGAGGAGACGAACGAACAGGGGGGGGAAGAAACGAAAAACAAAUCACAGAACCAGGGGAGAAACAGAACCAGGGGAAAAAGGGAAGAGAAAGACAGGGGUGACUGGAAACAGAGAGGAAGAAAAAAACCGGGGGGGAGAGGCCAGUAACCAAAAACCGAAGAAAAGCAGAGGAGGCCACGGAGAAAGGGAGAGCAGAGGAAACACAGAAGAAAGACAAAGGAAAGCAGUAGACAAGAGUCACCACCAGCGUCACAACUGUUUUCGUCGCCUCCAGAAGCAGCAGCUUCAGAGCUCCAUCUUCAGCAGCCACUGCACCAGAAACAGGGCACUCCAGGAGAGAAAUACAGGGACGAACCGGGGAAGAAAAGGAGGAAGAGAAGGAAGAAGAGAGGAAGAACAAGAGGUGGCAGCGCCGUUCGUCCAGCGCAGUGCGCCAUCGUCUCCGGCUACGCCUUGCUGCACCAGGUAAGUCUUCUCUCGUCUCUCCCCUCCUGCAUUAUAAUUCACUUGCUACAGUAGCAAGUGAAUUAUAAUUAAUUCACUACCCAACCGGGUCACUGGCUGCGGCCAGUGACCAGACCAGGAUGUUGGGUCUACCCAGCCAUGUAGGCUGGAUCAGACCCAACCCCCAAAACAAAAAAAUAAAAAAUAAAAAAAUAAAAAAAUAGAAAGUAUAGAAAUAAAAAUAAAAAAAUAAAAAAUGAAAAAUAUGUGUAUGCAUGAAUAAAAAUAAUAUAAAUUUACUGGUUUAUUCACCAACGCCAGAGUCGGGGAUAAAAUACUGGUUUAAAUUUAUAUUAUUUUUAUUCGUUAUAUUUUAUUUUAUUUAGCAAGAAAAAAUAAAAAAAACAUAUGUGCAUGUAUGAAAAAUAAAAUUUAUUUUAUUGGUUUAUUCACUGACGCCAGAGUCAGGAAUAAAAACACUGAUUUAAUUGUUUUUUUAUUUUUCAUUUAACUACAUAAGAAAUAAAAAAAAUGAAUGCGCAAUAAAAUGAAUUUCGUUUAUUUUUUUUUAUUCACUAGCGUUAGAAUCAGGAAUAAAAAAAUAUUAAUCUAAAUUUAUUUUAUAUCUACGUAAUAGUUACCAACGCCAAAGUUGAAAUUAUCCGUAGUUGAAUAUUCACUGACGCCAGAGUCAGGAAUAUUGCGAAUAAACCAUUAGAGCGUAAACCAAUAAAAUUUAGCAAUUUAAGACAAAAACAGCAAUGCAGUUUGCCUCAGGCAGAACGUUUAAGGGGUGCUAAUAUCUUUCCUUUUACGUAACCAGUCCCGAACCAUAGAAUCUCUGUUGACCAGUUAGGGUUCCUAGUGACAAUAAUACUAGGUGGCGACUCCUCAAACAAGACAUUUUCCCCUAAAAGAACAAGAUGUCAGAUAUCUGUUCUUUUUCCAUAAUUCAAGAGAAUUAUUUGUGGGCCGCCGCGAUGUCGGGUGCGACAGUGGGUUUUGAUGCGAUUUUUUUUUCUUUGCAGGUUUUUUAACUAUUUGGUGAUUGAACAUUAUGAAUUUUACAACGGUGUUGUGCAAACAUUUGAUUGUGAAGGAACUGGUCACCAAUGUCCCUGUCUAUGAAAGCAUUACUGGUAAUGCCUGUUCCCUUCCAGAACAUUGUUUUGUUUGUAUUGACUUUCUUUGAGUUUGUGUCGUAUGGUGUUAUGGUGUCUUUGUGAUUAUGAAAGCAUUACUGGUAAUGUUUGUUCCUUUCCAGAACAUUUUUUUGUUUGUAUCAUCUUCUUUGAAUUUGGGACAAUAGGCUUCUCUUGAAAAAAUUUCUUAUGAUUUUACGAUUUCACGAUCCGUUUUUACGAUCCAAGUUUAUUUUGUAUUUUCCGUGUCGUGUCAAAAAUAUGUUUUUGACAACCUUAGCCGGCUGGACAACAUUAAGAAAGGGAGGGGGAAUUUCAGAUUUUCCUUCAUCAAGCCUAGGAGAAAACACCCAAGUUAGUAUACCUACACAAGUCUUGGAAUUAUUAAGUGGAGAAAACACACUUGGGCAGAGGAUUUACAAGAAGAAAAGUGAAGAAUUUAUGAAGAAAAGAGGGAGCAGGGAGGGUCGGCUGCAGGUGAAGAAAAAAAGAGUUAAGAAACCUUAAUCAAACUAGAAAUUAAACCUAAAUUUCCCUCUGGUAUGUAGUACUACACAAAUUAUGAAAGCCAAUUUAGAUUCAAUUAAGAAUUGUGUAGUAAUUUGAAGUUGAAAAAUUAGGGCUCUUGAGUAAAAAAAAUUAGGGGAAUGUCGAAAUGAUUGGAAUUAAAUGGAUUAGAAUAUUCUAAGUUGCCUCAAAAGAUGAAAUUAUGCAUAAAAGAGAGGAAGGGAACCAUUGGUUCCCUUAGGCAUGUUUCGGCCAAGAGCCAAGUCAGGAAGGGAAGAGAAAUUCUGGUGGGUUGAGUAUUCUUGAUGCAUAAAUUAGUGAUAGAAAUGGUCUUGAAUGUGGAGGGGUGCAAUGAAAAAAAAAAACAGAGAGAGAGAGAACAUAUGCAAGGUGACUAGCUAUUGGAGGGGAAGAAAGGAGAGGAGAACUUAUGAUUUCCUUGCUUAAUUAUUUGAGAUGUGCUGUUAUAAUGUGGUUGCUAAUUAGAAAAAAUAAAUGCAUCACUUAUAAGGAAAAGGAACCCUUUGUUCCUUUGGGUAGGUUCGACCAAAGUAGAAAUGAAUUAAUUAACUUGGUACAAAUGACCUUGGGAGGUCACAAUGAGAUGGGUUGCCAUGUAUAAGUUGAAGGCAUAGCUGUAUCUAAUGAGGAAGAAGGGAUUGGAGAAAAAAAUUGGAGAUACAUUGCCCAUUGACGAAACAAGGUAGGUUCGCCGCCCUGAUUCCUAAGGUAGUUCGGACAUGAAGACGAUAGAAUCCAAGGAAGGUCCCUUUAUAGCAAUUGUAGCCGGGAGUGUUAGCUUUCCAACGAAUCUGACCUCGCUUAAUUUGGAGUUCUAGAACUCCAUAUACAAAUAAAAAUCUGAGGGGAGGUCAAAUUGUCACCCCUACUGGCAGAUUCGGCCAAGUCGAUAAAACAACGAAAUUUAGCCAUAUUAAGGAUAAAAUUUCUUUUCUUGCCCUUCGUAAAGUGUGUAACAUCACGUCUUGAUCUUUAAAAAGGAAUAAACUGUGAUAAAAAUUGAAUUCAUGAUGUCCACUUGGGCUACUAAUGAGCUGAAAAUGUUAACGGAUAAUAAUGAGGAAUGUAGGUGAGAAAGAAAAGAAUGGUAAAAGAGAAAUGAAUAUUAUUGCUAUUGUUGUUGUUGUGUUGUGAUAUGUGGACUAAUAUAGAAUGGUGAUGGGUGUUCAUGGUUUCAGGAGGAACCGCAGGAGGAGGGCAGCAACAACAGGGGAACGUAAGUCGAGCAUUUACAGUAGUUUGGUACUCGGUUUCUAUAUCUCCUCUAGUUAAGAAUUAUUUUAACUAAUUGUUCACUACCAGAAAUUUGCUUAAUACCAACGUCAUUACCAACAGAAUAAUUCUGUUGGUAAUUUGCAGUCAUAAUUACUGACGACAUAUUUUCCGUCUGUAAUUCCGUCGGUAUAUACCGGCGGACUACUUCGGUCGAUAUAUACCGAUGAAAUUACAGACAGAAUAUUCAGAAUUUAAAAAAAAAGGCGGUUCGCUGACUUGGAAGUUUUUGCGGGUGAUUUUACCGAUGGAAUCACCGAGAUGAAGUGUGCGAGAUGAAGUCUCUCAAGUUAAUGAGUUGGUUGAACCAUAUCGAGUUGCUCCUUCGAUUGACUUGGAAGGAAAUUCAAAUUUUCGUGUUUUCGAUGAUAGUCUUGUUGAUGUUGACGUAAAGGAGUUGAAUGUUGUUUUGAGCUCUAGCGGACAACCAAAUGUCGAUGAAAAUAAUGAUAUCCAUAUUGAAGAUUGCGAUGAAGGUGAUGACUAUUCAAUUGAUGACGAAGAAGAAGAAAAUUCUGACUAACUAUCAGAAUGAAGCCAUGUGUAAAACAUUUUUUUUCAUGUAAUAUAUAUUAUGGAUGAUAUAUUUUGUAACACGAAAUAUUUAUUUUAUAAGUUUGUAUUGUUUAAGCACUGUUGUUAUUGUUUUGUGCGAUGGACAAUUUAUCAUUUAAGUGUUUGCAAGAAGUUGAAUAGGCAAUACAAACAUCAUCUUUCUUGCACACUGCACUAUUACCGACGUCCAUACCGACAGAUUCCAGUCCGUCGGCAUUUCACAAUGGCAUCCCUGUAAAUGCCACAACCAUCACCGAUGACGUUGUGGACGCAUUCCAGUCCGACAACAUCACCGACGGACGGUGCGAAUUCCAAAGGGCGGGGUAUUAAAUGCAUCUCUGACUGUGUGUAUUUGUCGACGGAAUUACCGACGGACUGUGAAAAAUAUGAAGGAUAGUUAAAAAUGAUGGUGCGAAAUUCAAAAGUUACCGACGGAUUUUCAAAACAUCACCGACGGAAUAAUUUAAAAUAAUAUUUUUUUUUAAUGUCCGUCGGUUAAUCUGUCGGUAAAACUGCGCUAUAAAUCCCAGCAACCGCCCCUUCAGUUCAUUUUUUCAUCUGCUCUGUUAUUCCCCUUUUAUUUUUGAUUUUUUUCCUCUCAUUUCCUUCAAGACUUUUGUUUGUUUUGCUUGUAAUCUUUACUUGAAUCUUCAUCAAAUUAAAAGGUAUGUGUUUCCUCUACUUCAUUUUACUUUAAGAACUUUUUUUCUUUGUUUUAGCUAUUGUUAUUUUUGUUAUGUUUUUUGUUUUGGUGUAUUUUUAUAAUGUAGAUAAAGUCUUGAAAUAAACACAUUAUUAAGGUAAGCAUAUUUCAUUCCUAAAGUCUAUAGUUUUUUUUUUUUGAAUUUUUUGAAUAUAUUUUAUUGUUUGUAUUGCCAUAAUAAUUGAAUAAUUUGUUGAAUUGUAAUUGUUAAUGUUGAAUUUACCUUGUAAUUAGUAAUUGAAUAUGUUGGAAUAAAUUUAAUUAUUUUCUUUCAAUUUUACUCUAUUAUUGCAUGAUUUGUGUUUAAUUAUUUCCAUUAAUUUUAAUUAUUAGUCUAGAGUUUUUUUUUUUGAAUUUAUUGAAUAUAUUUUAUUGUUUGUAUUGCUAUAAUAAUUGAAUAAUUUGUUGAAUUGUAAUUGUUAAUGUUGAAUUUACCUUGUAAUUAGUAAUUGAAUAUAUUGGAAUAAAUUUAAUUAUUUUAUCUUAAUUUUACUCUAUUAUUGCAUGAUUUGUGUUUAAUUAUUUUCAUUAAUUUUAAUUAUUAAUCUAGAGUUUUUUUUUAAUAUAUUUUAUUGUUUGUAUUUCCAUAAUAAUUGAAUAAUUUGUAGAAUUUUAAUUAUUAUUGUUGAAUUUACCUUGUAAUUAGUAUGGAUGUUAUUUGUAUAGAUGUUAUGUUAUAUACAAGAUUAGUAUAGAUAGGGUCAAUUGGUUGUGGCUAUUGUCAAUAUUUGCAAGUUUGAAAAGUUUGGGUAGUCUCCAAUAUAGGGGAGGUGCUUCCGAAUUUUUUUAACAUUCGAAUUUAAUUAUAUAAUUAUUCGUAUAAAAUUGUGGCUAUAAGUUUGUUUCGGUUUUAGUUUUUUUUUUAAUUAUAACAUAAUUUAUGAACAAUUAAUCAAUAUUUCAUUAAUUUAAUUUAUUUUCAGGUUCACAAACAUUGAGGCCGCCCGAGUAAUAUCAUCGGCGUUUAAAUCGUCGAUGGAGAUUCUAUUAUUUCAAUGGAGUCAGGUAUCUAGACAUCCUGAAUGGAUACCUCAAAUCGAUGCAUGGUUUGACAGAUUUGAGGUUGGUGUUAAUUUCUAAUUUCCAGCUUAUUUCUAAUAAAUUAUUAAUAUAAUUGUAAAUAACUUAUUAUUUUUAUUUAAAAUUAAUAUUUAUACACAGGACAAAUUAGACUGGGACAACGCGCAUGACACUAUUGUGAGGAGGGUGUGGGGAAAUCACGCAGCAACUAGGUAACAUCGAAAACAAUACAAGAUUUUUUUAGAAAAAAAUUAUGUUUCAAAAUCUAAUUUCUCGCUAUGGAAGUAGGUUGCGUGAUUUUUGGUAUGAAGCACAAAAAAAGGCAAAACAAAAUGCGAGAGAUAAGGGUCUCCAAGGCUGGAACGACGUGGCGGUAUUGAGGGAUUUCAAACCGCUAUACAUCUCGACAGAUAUAUGGCCGUAAUAUCUUGAGCACGUGACGCUGAGCGGUUCACACGACGCUCACAGUCCGGUGCUGGCAACCAGAAUCGGCCAAUUCAUGGCUCGGUGACAACGCACACCAGCGACUGUGUUCCGUUUGCUGCACAUGUGAAACGGAUGGUAAGAUUAAUUUAAAUGAAAUAUAUCAUUAAAUAAUUUGUUGUUAAUUAAUUUUUUUCAUUACAGGUUACGUCUCUUGGACGUGAACCGAGCCCAAUGGAGCUGUUUGUUGAGACGCACGUGUGGAGUCAAGACCGCCAAAAGGGGGCGCAACAGUUCGUUGACAACCGUGCUCAACACUUUGUGGUAUGUUUGUUCAACCAUUUUAUUUUGUAAGUUAUUAUUUUUAUUAAAUUGAAUAUGAUGAUUUCUUUUUUCAUUUUCUGGAGACCUAUAAUAGCCGGUUGAGAGAGAGAUAUGUGGACGAUCCUUCGACCCAUCCGGAUUUCGAUCCAGAUUUGUGGAUGGAGGUAGGAUCGUCUGGUGGACCCGAUGACAAUCGGGUGUACGAGCUCUCCAACACUACGGCCGAGAACUUGCAAGCGGCCCGUAGUGUCUCAACCGUUGGGAGCUCGCAAUCAGUAUCGAGCAUCCAAUCUAAGGAGUUCAUGGCCUUGCAGCAACACAUGGCUCAACUCACCAAAAAAUACGAGCACCUCUCGAUGAAUUAUGAAUAGCUUCGCCACAUGGUUAUGAACAUGGCAUCACAGAGUGAUGAUACAUGUGCGCCUCCUUUUUUGUCGUAUAAGAACCAGCGUCCUCCUCCUCCUCCACCACCAUUAUGUUAAUUUAAUAUUUUUUUUGAAACACAUUCAAUUUGUAAUGAAUAUUAUUUAACUUUAUUUUUUUGUUUUUGAUGUUUAAUAAAACUUUUAUUUGCAUAAUUUGUUUUUUUACUAUUAAUUUAUAUAAUUUUAUAUUAUUUAUUAUAAAUAAUUUUUUUAAAAAUAUAUUUAAAAAUAAUCACCGAUGAAAUAUACCGAUGGAGUGUUUCCGUCGGCAUUUCAUAGUAGCUUGGUGCAAAUGUCUCAAUCACCGACGAAUUUACCGACGGAAUGUUCCCGUCGGCAUUUCACAGUAGCUUGGUGGAAAUGCCACAAUCACCGAUGAAUUUACAGAGGGAUAUAGUCCGUCGGCAUUUAACCAGGAGCUGAAAAAUAUUUACUGGAUAUGCCACUAUCACCGACGGAAUACAUCCGUCGUUAUAUUUCAAGCGGGAUUUUUUUUUUCGCACAAUUUCCAUCUAUAAAAUCAUCGGCAAUUAUUUUUUUUUACCGACCGACUUAGUGACGGAAUUAGGUAUUACUGAUGAAAGGAAAGCCGACAGACAUUUUUUGUUAGGGAUUUCGUCGGUAAAAAAAUUUCGCCGGUAAAAAAACUGUGAAAUCUUGUAGUGGUUGAACUAUAAAUUUUGGUGCUUGUUAUAACCCAAUUUUGACCCACUUAUUUUUAAUUUAAUUUUAAGGAGGGUAAAUCUUUCAAUUUAAACGAUUAGGGGUUUAAAUGCAAAACUUCAGGGGCCGAAUUGACAAACGGGCCACCUACAAUUCCGACGUUGUUUUGGUCACUCCUAUUCUUCAUCUUCUUCCUCUGGAAACAAAAGAAACUACCAACGAAGGAAAUGCAGAACACCACCAGACGCACUGCGAUGCACAUGACUUCCACCACCAGCUUCUCAGUUCGUUUCCGUGUCCCUCGUCGCCAUAACAAGACAUUGACGUGUGAAGGAAACCACCACCAACAGUCCAACAAUGGCAGGACUGUUGGUGUCCUAAUCCAACCAAAACACAGAGUCUCAAACCCUAUCCUCAUGAAGAUCAUUGCCCCGGGAAGAUAAGGAUCAAGCUCAGGUAUCCAAGUCCCAGUGAAACACCAACACGUCCCUUCCAGUGGUGCUUAUCCAGAGGCAAGCCGUGCGCGGAGAGAAGACCAGGCACGUCCCCUAUAAGUACAGAGCUCUAGGGAAAAAAACAAAAAGUAGAGAGACAGUAGAAUAGAAAACAGAGGAGAGAAUCCAUAACAAAAAAAAAAAAACACAAGAGCAGAGGGAGGAGAGACUGAAAGGAGAAGGAAGAAGAGAACAUUCUCCGGUUGGUGCUAGGACCAUUACCUUCGUCUUCGUCUUUGUCUUCGCCAAGUAAAGCUUCCUUCUCACUCUGUUUCUGAGAUUUUCAAAACAGUGUGAAGGUAAUUAAUUACAUUUGCACUGUGCAGUGCACACAUUACUUGGUUCAAGCGUGCCUGCUGCCCAACCAGGUCACUGGCUUGGGCAAGUGACCAGGCUGGGCCGGCUGGGUCAAGCUCAGCCCAUACUGGUUGGGCUAGACCCAGCCCAAAAAAAAAGGUUGGUCGGGUUUGGGCUUUAGGCCCAGUCGGCCCAAAUUUUGUUUGCUAAGGAUGUGUUUGGCAAAACACAUCCUUAUGCCUUGGCCAUCAUUUUUAUGCCUAUUUUAGUUUGCUAUUGGGCCAAACGAGCCGCUUUGUGUUAUCAGAAAAUUCCAAAAAUAUUUUGGGAUCUUCGUUGAUUUAUUUAUGGGCCACUCGCACUUUGAUCUAUUAUUUUCUUUUGUGUUUUGUAUUUUUUUAUGUGCUCAAUCCAUGGACUAUUACUAUUAAAUGCAAAUCUAUCGUACAAUGCUUUUUUUUCAUCUAAAAAGGGUAAAUAAUAAUAAAGGGUAAACAAAAAGAAAAAGGCAUAGGAAAAUUCUUCUUCGAAUUCAAAUUUUUGUAAAAUUGUUCAUUGACGCUAGAGUCAAGAAUAUCACAAUUUUUUGGGUUUUGUGCAAUAUUUACCAACGCUAAAGUUGGAAAUAUUUGUAUGAACUGUUCACUAAUGCCAUAGUCAGGAACAUUAUAAGAAGAGUAAAAAAAGAAAAAGAAAAUAAAAAUAAGAGAACAUAUUCUUAGCAAUUUUAGACAAAACCAGCAAUGCAGCCUACUUCAAGUAGGACGCUUAAGGGUGAUAGCAUCUUCCCUUCUGCGUAACUAGUGUCGUACCAUUGGAAUCUCUGUUGACCAGUUAGGAUUCCUAGUAACCAUAAUACUAGGUGGCGACUCCUUAAACAAGACCUUUUCCCCCAAAGAACAAGAUGCCGGAUAUCUGUUUUUUUCCAAUCAAGAUAUAAUAAAUUUUUAAUUGGUCGCCGUAAUGUCCGGGUGUGAAAAAAUGGUGACUCCACUGGUCCCCCUUCUAGGACUAAGCUUUGAUAUUUGUCUUUUUAUUGCUAAACAAUAUUUGUCGAACUAUUUUUUUUCUUUAUUAUUACUAUGUUGUGUUUAUCAAGUUUUAUUUUCUUGCUCUUUUUACUAUUUUAACAUGCAUAGUUAUUCAUGUUUAUCUUGCAUAUAUAUUGGAUAUGGAUCUAGGUCGUCACACAUCACUCAUCUAAUUUUUUUUUAAUUAUAUGGGUAUCAACUUUAAGAUAAGUGGAGGAGUAACGACACCCCAAUGGCUUUAGCCUGGGUAAGGAUCGCGAAACUUUCCAACUCUCGCAUGAUUGUUUGCUCGACAGUGGUCGAUAUGCUGAACUAAUAUUACUCAGGGCCUCUAUCUUCACGCUGCUUGCAAACCUCAUAUCGACCUUUCAAGGAUGAUCACUAAGCAUGCGAAAGACCUUUGAGACUAGAUAGCAAAACUACCCUGAUGCAUUUAAUGAUUAGAACCUAUCUUUUAGGUGGAUCCUUGUAUAAUUUCACUAAGAUAAGCUUAACAUGUAAGCAUCCUUAUUAUAGGGCUUUUAGGUGACAUAAUGGCCGCUAUUCAUGGGGUAACAAUUGUUGAGUAUAUACUCGAGUCUGAAUCCUUGCAAAUGACUGAAGGAGACUGCUCUAAACUUAAUGUUAAUGAGACACCGUUACUCAAAGACAUUAGGUGCAUAAUAAAUGACACCAACCGAUUGUUUUUGCUCACCAAGUAUCAGAUAGAUGAAGUAGAAUUUUCCAUGAAAUAUUGGAGGAUUUUGCACCUCUUGAAAGUGUCGAUAUUGUCAUUAGCUAUAAAAGCCCUAACCCAUUUUUAGGAUCCUAAUUAUCAACAUUUCACAUUCCAAAAUGUCAACAUGAAACCUACCAUUGAAGAGUAUAGUGUGUUGACUGAAUUCCUUGAAGGUGCCCAUAAAGUGUACUUUCGCUAGAGAAUUGAUGACACCAUGGAUGAGCUUGCCAAACUAUUGGGAAUCCCUCACCUAAUCCCAUAUAGAGAGAAAGAUAACUCUGGGGGUUUUAGAUAGAAACGACUAGAGGAGUUCUUGAUUGCUAAAAAGGCUAAUCCUGGUGCUAAAAUAGAGAAACACAUAAUAUUGGCCUUGGGAAUAUUUGGAUUAGUUCUAUGUCCCUCUACCACGGGAAUUAUCAGUCUGGAAGCUGCUAAUUUGUUUAUGGAGUAUGAAAAGACAAAGAUCAACCCAUGUGCUGCGAGUUUAGUCGAAACCUUCCUGUCUCUUAAUCAUUAUAAGAAAACGGGUAAAGGUUCCAUGAGAUGCUGUGUCUCAUUACUAUUCAUUUGGUUGGUAAGCCAUGUAGAAACAAAGACGCUCAUAUUCAAAAAUUUCUGGUGGUUCGACCAAAAGCCACUCGAGUUGUUCGUAUCAGAGGAGUGGGAGAGUUUUUUUGAAAACGAUUGGAAGGUAAAAUUAUAAAGACUUCCUUUAAGCGUUUUUAAUUGGAGAGCUCCAUGGAUGAGGAAUAUGGCAAGCUUGAUGAGUUAUGGUUAAAAGCCUUGGGUACCAUUAAUUGGAGUAACGAGAUAUGUUAGUUACGCACCUGCCUUAGUUGUAAAGCAGCACGGGAACAUACAAAGCAUCCCUAGGACAGUCGGCAUAGCUCAAUUUACCAGGGUCUAUAAAGGGGCACCAUGGAGAUGCUAGAAAAUAUCAGGCGGGAUUGGAAAUCUUUGUUACUGAUAAAAAAAGAGAAUGGAUCGAGGAAUCCCACGGUUAGCGAAACAUAUCCUGAAUGGUGUAAUAGAGGAGUUACCAACAUGGAAGAAGCUUCUAAAUUCAUGGGCAUCUGAAGAAAGAGGGUGGGUUGUGAAGAAGAAUUGAGAGAGCAAGUAAAAUUGUUGCAAGCCAAGCUCAAAGCAAAGGAGGAGUGGAGAUUGUCCCUAGCCAUCAUGUGUCCGUUUUUGUGGAUAACACAAAUUCCCUCAUGCACUUCUUGCAGGGCUUUGUUGGCUUCCAGAUCGCUCAGACACCUCAGCAAGGUCCCAUCAAAUGACCUUCUAUACAAAAUUUCCCUGUCUAUAUAGUAUUCCAUAGCCAUUCUUCUCAAAGUCUUUUUAUCUAUCUUCGAGGCUCCCGAUGGGUACUUUUGAUGUUGGAUGAACCUUUUUAUAUCUGGGUACCAUGGGUUACUGUUCUCUUCUUCUUCUAUUGAACAAUAGUGAGUGGGAAAAUUUUUGAUCUCUAUGCCUAUAGGCUGAAUUUUGGCACCACCACCAAUUAUAUCCAUAGAAGCUAGGGUAGCUAAAGCAUCGGCAAACUGAUUUUGUCCCUCCCCAAAUGAGUAAAUUCUAUUUCAUCGAAGCUUUCAGCCAAUUUGGAUAGGUAUUCCUGGUAUGGUCUUAAUUUUUCAUCUUUUAUCUACCAUUCACCCUUUACCUAACAUAUUAUCUACAUCGAGUCUCCAUAUACUUCUAAUUUUCCAUGACUAUCAGGGUUGGUACAGGUAUCAUUAAUUGCACAAAUACUGGAUUGCAUUGAGGCUCUUGAGUAUGUUCACUCAUUCUUUCUUCAGGCUAAGCUGUUGUCGGAGUCUAAUUGAAGGUGAUGGGUCGGUUAGGAGGACUUUCACCAAAGGUAUUUCUUAGUAUUUGCUUGAGUAAGCUUGUGAGGCGAGCCAUGCUUGUCUUCAGAGACUCCAACUCUUCUUGAAAAUGGGCAUCAUGAUGAGCACACUCUUCAUCUUCCAUGUUUCUUGCUCGAAGUCAGGUGUUGUAGAUUCUUUGGGGACCUAUUUUUCAACAUGGAGCAUGUAUGUAUGUUAUUUACAAUGAAUGGAUGUAAAUGUUUGUAUAUGCUCAUUGGAUAUGGAUGGCUAUUUAGGGAGCUUAUACUCUAAGAACAAGUUUUGGGGACAUUGCAUGAUGGGUAGGCUUUCUACCCUAGUCUCAAAAUGGUCUCUUGUUGUCCUAGUGAUCACCCUCAUGAAGGCAAUGCAGAGGCUUAGUAGGUAAUGGGAUGACAUUUGGACCAAUCAUUACCAGUCUAAGCACUCAGCGAACAAUUAGGGUUUACACAAACUUAAACCUUGACUAAAAGUCAUAAGGUAAGCUGCUAGUCUCCCACUUAACCUAAAGUUUUUCAGUGUAAACUCUCACAAAAAAAGUGAAUGAUGUAUGAAUCUAUUCUAUACAAUGUGUGAACGAUACGUGCAAAUAUCAAAGUGUAAAUAAUAAAAGGAAAAUGCAUAUUAAAAAAAACAAACAUACAAACCCAACAAUAACAUAAAAAUUAGACAUAAAGAAAGCUUAGUCCACUGGGUCCCCAGCGGAGUUUCCAUUCUGUCGCACAUGCCCGCGCGGUGUCGAUGGCGAUUGUCCACUCUCGUAUGUAUCUGGAAAAUAUGGGGAGACAAGGAAUUUUUUUCUUUUAUUAGUGGAAAGGGGAAAUGGUUGUCACCACCUAGUAUUUUUGUCAUUAGAAACCUUAACAGGUCUUAGAGAUCGGGCACAGAGACUAAUCGCGUAAAAAGAAGGUAUUAGCACCCCAAUUACACUCUACCUAAGGUAGGCUGCAUUAUUUAAUUGUCUAAUUGUCUGAUAAAAAAAUAAGGUCUUGUCGUGUUUUCUAAUUGUUGGUCUGUCGAAGGUUUAAGAAAAGUCCUCCAUAGUAAGGAGAUCCUUAUCUUAUGGAUAAAACCUAAUCGUUCUAACAUCAAUAAAAAGAACUACCUUUUUAGUGUCCGGAAUACGUUUUACGUAUAAAUUUCUAAGCCCAUAUACUAAAAGAAAACAAAAUAUUUUUGGGGUAUUUUUGAAAUACUGGCCUAGUUCUCAUAACUUUAAUAAAUUGGUUAUAAAAGCUAAAAUGCAUGCUAAAAAAUAAAAAUUUUGAAGUUUUGUUGUAUGAAAAUAUGAUAUGAUUUUUUUUUUAAUCUUUGAGAGACUUGGCCAUAUGCAUGAAAACAAAACAUUUUUUUUGUUUUAUAAUUUUUUGCAAUGUUUUGAUGAAAACCGGGUAUUUUAAUACCGAAUUUGUAAACCAAUAUUAACCAAAGUUGAUAAAAAAAAAUGUGGGAAAUCACACAUUUUGAAAGGAUUUUUUUUUGAAAUUUUUUUGGACUGCGUCGCACCCGGCCUAACCAUUUUGGUCUGCCCCAGUGUUGUCUGGCCCAGUAAAUAGUGCAGGCAAUGAACAAGAGCGAGAAGCUGACUUGUAGUGGCUCAUGGUGGUGCUCGCCGAUGGCAGUGGCAGUGGCGUUGUGGUUACGAACUGGGGAGCUGAGGGUGGCCAGUCAACAGUUCUUCUUCUUCUUCUCUGCCUCUCUGUGUUAUUCCUUUUUUUCUUCAUUCCCUCCUCUUCUCUGAUUCUUCUUCUAUUUUUUACGGUGUUCUUCCCUCUUACGGUGGUGCUGCUAUCGUUGGCGGUGCUGCUAGUGGCGAUCGGAUGUUGGUUCCAGGCGGUGGUGAAAAAAAAGCAAUCAUUGCUGCUAUUUUUCCCUUUUGUGCAGAGGCACCAGUUUCUUCCUUUUCUUCAUGAUUGUUGCAGCGCAGCCCACAGGGAGAAGAAGAUGGCAGAGGCUGACAAUGAUGCUUUUUCAAACGGUAGAGAAAGAGACAAAAAAGAGAGUGAGGUUAUUGUUCUUCUCUGUUAUCUCUUCUCCUUUCCCUUAUUUUUUUUUGUCCCCUGUUUCCUUUUUCUCUGGUUUCAAAAACAAUCUCCCUGUCCUCGUUUUUUUUUCUAUUCUCCCCCCCUCUCUGUUCCUUUUCUCUAUUUUGUCUCUCUCUCAAAACUUUUGUCCACCUCCCAAAAAUCUCCUCUCUUCCCCUUUUGUUUCACCCUUUCUCUCUGUCUUUCUUCAAAAUCUUGCCCCCCCCUCUAUUUCUGGUUCUCACCCUGUAUUUAUAGGAAGCAGGGGGAAGGGCCACCCUACCCUAUCCAAGUGUAGGGUAAGGUGGCGUGGGGCGGCUAUGCACAGGGCAUGGUUCCCUCUCUUUUCUUUAUCAUGUUGGCAGGGUAUGGUGGGUAUAGGUGGUGUCAAGUCUGGGGAGAGAGUGAGUGGGGAAAGAAGAUUUUAAAAAUCUCCUUCUUCCCUGCCUCUGCAUAUGCAGGGGAAGAAGGAGAACAAUGUGGUUUAAAACACACUGUUUUGGUUUUUCUUUUGAAAAAAAGGAAAUGAAUUUGAUAAUAAUCCAAAAAUGGGUUAUGACAAUAAUAAUAAACUUACCCAAGUUUAAGCGGGUCUGGCUGAACACCAGGCUCAAGAGCUUUGGACCCAUCUUAAAUUACGGACCCAAAAGCCUUGGAUCUGCCUGCAUUCCAAACCCAUUAGCCUUGGGUUUGACUCUUGACCCAAUUGUCUUGGGCCAGGUACUGCUGCAAGACCUAGAAAACUUAGAUCUACCCCCUGCCACUCCCAAGCAACUUGGGUCUGGCAUGCCCUUCCAAACCCAAGUUAAUAAUAAUAAAAAUUAUUGAUUUUACCCUUCAAAUCACAUAUAUGUUUUUUUAUAGUAAUAAAAUUUAUUUCAAAUUUAAUAAUAUGAAUGAAUUAAAUAAUAUUUAUGAUAUUAAUAAUAAUAUUAAACUUAUCUUACCUAAGUUUUUUAGUUUUCAAUCCCCUAAAAUAAAACUUAUUUAAUAUGUGUUUUUCAAAAUUAAUGAUAUAUUUUCAAAAAUUUUAAUUAUGAUAUUACAAUAUUAAUUAUAAUAAAAACAAUAAAAUAUUUUAAAUAUAAAUAAUAAUAAUAUUUUUAAUAUUAAUAAUAAUAAUAAACUUACCCAAGUUUAAGUGGGUCUAACUGCAACAUCAGGUCUAAGAGCUUUGGGCUCUCUAAAAUGAGGAACCCAAAAGCCUUAACCCAUUAAAGUUGGGUGAGGACGCAAGACACAAGAGCAUUAGGUCCUGACGUGGACCCAUUAGCCUAGGGUCUCACUCUUGACCCAAUUGUCUUGGGUCAAGUAGGGUUGCAAUACUCAAGGGACUUGGGUCUGCCUACUGCUACUCCCAAGCAACUUGGAUCUGGCAUGCCCUUCCAGCCCCAAGUUAAUAAUAAUAAAAAUAAUUGAUUUUAUCCUUCAAAUCACAUCUAUAUUUUUUUUUAUAGUAAUAAAUUUUGUUUCAAAUUUAAUAAUAUUUAUGAUAUUAAUAAUAAAAUUAAACUUAUAUGACCUAAGUUUUUAUAAUUUUUAAUCCCCUCAAAUAAAACUUAUUGUGUUUCUUCGAUAAUAAUAAUAAUUUUCUUCAAAUUUAUUAAUUUAAUAAGAAGAAGAAGAAGAAUUUUACCCUUCAAAUCAAAUCUAUGGUUGUUUUAUGAAAAUUAAUGAUAUAUUUUGAAAAUUUCUUAAUUAUGAUAUUAAUAAUAUUAAUUAUAAUAAAAACAAUAAAAUUGAUGAUACAAAUAAUAAUAUUUUUAAUAUUAACAAUAUUAAUUAUAAUAAAAACAAUAAUAUUUCUAAUACAAAUGAUAAUAUUUUUAAUAUUAAUAAUAUUAAAAUUAAAAAUAUUUAUAAUACAAAAAAUAAUAUUUUUAAUAUUAAUAAUAAUAAUAAACUUACCCAAGUUUAAGUGGGUCCGACUGUAAUACCAGGUUCAAGAGCUUUAGGUCCCUCUUAAAUGACGGACCCAAAAGCCUUGAGUCUGACUGCAAUAGGAACUCAUUAGAGUUUGGUGAAUACGCAAAACCCAAGAGCAUUGGGUCUUGACGUGGAUGCAUUGGCCUAGGGUCUGACUCUUGACCCAAUAGUUUUGGGCCAGGUAGGACUACAAGACCAAGGGUAUGCGGGUCUGCUCCCCGCCCCUCUCAAGUAACGUGGGUCUAGCAUGCAAUAAUAAUAUUUUUAAUAUUUAUAAUAAGAAUAAUAAUAAGAAUAAUAAUAUUUAUAAUACAAAUAAUAAUAUUUUUAAUAUUAAUCAUCAUAAAAAUAAAAUUGUAACUCUAAUGUUGAUUUUGAGGUAAAGGUUAAUUAGCGAUAGAAUUGCGCAGUUGAUUCUUGAGAAAAUUGUAACUCCUAAUGUCAUGGUAAAGGUUUAGAUCUAUCUGAUGGUGGACUAAGCAGUAAAAGUUUUGGGUUUGGUGAAGAAGUUCCUUUUAUUAAUGGAGACACCUGCAACAAGGCUAUAUAUAUUUUAUUGCUGUUUGUAUUGAUCAAAUCACACUAUCUUGCUGCUUAACCUCAAGCAUUACUCAGUUGUAAGAAACUUGACCGACUAAUUUCACAAAUACAUGGAGAAUAGGUCGUUCUAGCAAAAAAUACGGUAUGAACAUUUCUUUGCAAGCUUACACACACACACACACUGAAUCUCCCUAAUUUACUAGUAAAAAGAUGAUGGCUUCACCACUUUAAGUGAGAAAGAGAAUGGCAUAAUGCACCCAUCACGUCCAAAAGGCUCUGUACAUGGGUCCUCACUAGGGCAAGUGCAAGCAUUAUAGCCUGUAGUACAGAAAUAAAAGAACAUUACACAGCUGUAGUUUAUGCGCAAAUGCAGUAACAUGAAGAGGGAUUAGUAAAACCAAGAAGGAAGUGUUUUGAGAGAACUUGCUGGGUUGUUGGAAGAGAAAAUGGCUGAUUGUGAGAAAUCACAGUUCAAAGGAUUUUUAUCAGAAGUUUGAUAGAAGAGAUUCAUGGCAUAACACUACAAGAUUUCACAGUUUUACCGACGAUAAUAUUUUGUCGGUAUGUGAUUAAGAGUUCGUCGAUAAUUUAUUUACCGACGUCUUCACCGACGGAAUACGUCCGUAAGCUUUCCGUUCGUCGGUAAUACCACCGUCCGUCGCUAUAUCGGUCUGCAAAACAAAAAAAAAUAUUUGCCGAUGGUUUUACAGACGGAAAUUGCGCGCCAAAAAAAAAGUCCAUAUCAACGUCCAUACAAAUUAAAACAUAUAUAUUAAUUUACGGAAAUUACAACUCCGCAAUACCAUUGAUUAUAAAAAUUAAAACGGACCCAUUAAACAAGCUAUUAAUUAUUUCAAAACAACACAUGUAAUUCGGUAAUUCAAUAAAGUUUCAACAAUUUACAAACAAAUACAAUCUUACAAAAUCUAAAACAAACCAUAACAAGUAUAAAAUUAUACAUUCAUAUAGUACAAGUUUGUUUGAGAAAUAACAAUAAAACAUGUACAUCUACUAACAAAAUACAUAUAUUAAAAAAACAAUAAAAUUCAAAUUUAAAUGUUAAAAUUUAAAAAGAUAGAAUUACUUGCAAAUCCGUCGGUAAAUCAGAACACGGAUACUAUGACGAGAAGACUUUAAGAAAUAUGACUUGUUGUGCUGAGAAGAUGGCGAUUUUUUUUGGGGGGGGCUGGUUGUUUGCAGUUAGGGAGAGUUGAGAUGGGGAAGAAGAAGGAGAAAUAGGGGAGGAGAGGGUCGGCAGAGAGAGGAUAUAUUAACUUUUGCCGACGGUUUCACAGACAGACCUAUUCCGUCUGUGAUUCCGUCGGCUCGUCUGACGGUAAAUAGGGCACGUCACCGUACGGAGCUGCUGUUUUGAAUCCCUUAGUGAUUCCGUCGGCAUUUGCAUCGGUGAAUCGGUCACGUCACCGUACGGAGCUGACGUUUUGAAUCCCUCGGUAAAAAAUACCCGCAAUAACCUCCACGUCAGCGAACCGCCCUUUUUUUUUAUAUUCUCAACAUUCCAUCUGUAAUUUCGUGGGUAGAUACCGACGGAAUUUGGCCGUCGGUAUCUACCGACAAAAUUACCGACGGAUUAAAUUCGGUCGGUAAUGGCGACCUCAAAUUAUCAACAGAAUUAUUCCGUCGGCAAUUCCGUUGGUAUUAAGUGAAUUUCUGGUAGUGUAAGAGAUGCUAUUGUGUUCGGUUCAAAGCAAGCCCCGCCUGGUUGGAUCGGAUCAUGGUCAAUCCCUCGUCCAUAAGCAAAAUCCAGAUUAUCCUGCAACUGUGCAUCUGAUACACCAGACUUGGGCACACACCAUGUUGCUUUGUUUGUUCGGCUUUGGAGAUGGUGUUGCUGGAGUUUUUGGUUUAGUCGGAGUCUUAAAGCAUAAUAGAUCAAGUUAAUAAAACUUCAUAAACUACUGUUACGACGGAGAUGAACCGAAAGAAACAGUGGCAACAGGGAAGGCAUGGAUAGGAACUAUAAAAGAAGCAUCAUGUAAAAAUAUUCACAAUUCCACCAACAAAAUCUACCAAAAUUGAGGUUUCUGAUACUCGUAAGGAUCACAUUUCUACCAAAUGAGCCAGUUGGUCACAAUGCUGAAUGCGACAUUACCUUUCCUCAUCCCUUUCCUCAUCCCAUUGGAUUGGAAACUGAGCACACUGUAAAAGUGUAAAUCGAGUACAAAUAUCCUCUUAACUGAUUUUUCAAUUUACUCAUAAACAAUAGAUUCGACAGAGAAACUUAUAAAAUAGAGAGAUUCAAAACGGGUAUUUUUUACCCAUCUUCAUCAUCUCUUUACAACUUCUUAUUCUAAGAUUGUAAGUCAUAAAAGAAAAGGUAAAUCAAAGAAAGUCCCAUAAACCCAUACAACAAAUCUAAACUGAAAAUCCUAAUUAAAUAUACUUUCUUGCUGCCGCUGCUGAUGUUGAUAGUGCUCGUGCAAUUACACGUGCAAUUGCACGUGCUCGUGCUCAUGCUCAUGCUGCUGUUAUUGUUGCUGGUGCUGGUGGCUGCUCCUAUUAGCGGUUGUGAUGCUGCUGCUAGUGACUGUUUCUGUUUCAAUAAAUUAACUGGGUUUUUGCAGGUGAAAUAUGCAAGAAUAUUUUAGAUUUAUUUGUCUAAAAAUGAUGAUUCCAUGUAUUUCAAAUAUUGUUGAUAAAGAUGUUAAAUUAAAAAAUUGAAUAUAUAUGUUUUUUUUUAUCAUUAUUAAUAGAGACAUAGAGAUCGAUUAAAAAGAUGUUAUGGGAUGGGUUUUUCUUAUUUUGUUAAUUUCCUAACAGAACAAGCCUAUUCCAAAAAUCAUAAUGUUUAGGAUAGAAAAUCAGGAUUUUUUUUGUUCAGAAGUUAAGUUCAAGGGGUUUUUCUUUUAGUACAAUUUGGCCUUUUUCUUUGCUGAAAAGGAACUGUCCAUUCUGUUAACAAACAAAAUGCAUAGUGAUGUUUUAAAACCCAUCUUCCCAACCAAACACAGAAAUUUAAAUGCCAAAUCAAAGGAAAGCUCAGGAAUAGAACACUUGGCUGUUGAAAAAUCGAAAUACCAAUGAAAUGCACGUAAAUUUUGUUCUUACCUGGCUACUUGUAGAGAGUCCAACAUCAUAAACCAUGGUGAGAUCAGUCUUGAAAAGUCCAAAUGAUCGCUCAGAACCACGUCCAGGUUUCAAGUCUUCGUCAUAAAGAGCAAAGAGGUAUGUAUCCACUGAUUUUCCUGGCAUGAGUGGAGUGCCCACCAUCGAUCGAAGGUGUGCAAUCAAAUUGCCAUUGUAAGCCUUGGCAUUCUCAAUGCUUGGCCCUACGUCGUUGUCAUCUCCUUUAAAUGGCCAUCCAGUCUCAGCCACCACAAUCUCAACAUUCUUAAAUCCCAUAGAAUUCAGUGCAGAAUAAACUGCAUCCACCUGCAAUUGAUUAAACCACUUGUUAGUAGCAUUUUUAUUCGAUCAUCUAUUGAUACAAAAUUUACGCCUUGCAAUUUGAUUUACUCUCACCUGAGCAUCGAACAUGUUCAUGUACUUGAUCUUAAUGUUUCCAUCCAUUCGUCCUGCAUUCGGCUGGAAAAGGCAAAAAGCAAGAGUCUCAGGCCUUGUAUCGCUUCUGUAGGCAUAGUAAGGGUAGGGAUUGAUUGCGAAAGGCGAACCAUUCGCACUAUUAAACUCCAACAAGCCCUUCAUCAGAUCCCCAUAACUUGGAUCAAAGCUUCCAGAAGAAGGUGGCUCAGACUGCUUAAGCACUCCCAUCGAAUGAACUGUGGAGACCUUAAUUUUACCCCCGAGCGAUGCAUCAUUUAGAGCAUUCUGUACAUUUUGCAUUGCUGGUAAGAGCUUGUUCACGAGAUUCUGGUCAUUGGAAGUCAUGACCUCGUUGCCGACAGUGAUGAGGAUGAUAUUGCUAGCUGGAUAGAAGGGAAGCACGUUUGUGUUGAUCCAGCUCUCGGCAAAAUUGGGACCAGAGGCUAGUCCUGGAAUGUCACCAUUUGCAGUGCCGACAACAAUUCCAAUUCCGGUGUUGGCUAAGGCUUUGAUUAUAGUGGGGUCCGAUCCAUAUAGUCGGACCUUUUGGAUUGAAGUGGAUUGAAGAAGCUUUGCGGUGGAUGGUGGUGGUGGAAGGUUGUCCGCAACUUGGCCAUAGUUUAUACCGAUGAAUGAUUGCGAGUCUGCACAAAAAGCAGCAAAAUUUAAAGCAGAUGAUCAAACAUCAAUUUUUAAACGACAAAACAGAACACCAACAUUUUUUGUUUUCAUAGACUGAAAUGAAGACAGCUCAGUUAAGGUAAAUUCCUUAGAAAUGGAAGAAGGUAAUUAAAAUAGAAAGAGACGCAAACUUACUUGCGAUUUUUACAGUCUGUAAGGAGGAAAGGAGUAGGAAAGCAACAGUAUAAGGAAGCACCACCAUGGCUCAGGAGGAGCUGUUUCUAUUCUGCAUUUUUUGAAAGUGGAGUGGGCAUUAAAUAUAGAAGAUGCUACAAGUCGAGGGCAGAAGCGUAAAGAUGACUUCGGAUAUAUUCUUAUUAUAGAAUAGUAGGGCCCUUAACAUUAUGUUUUAGGAGUUAAAUUUUUUAUUUAUUUCAUGUGAUCUCUUAAAUUUAUAUAUUCUUGGAAGCAAAGUUGAUGAGAUAAAGUUUAAAUUUAUAGGAUAAAAACAUAUUUAAAAGAAAAAAUACCAAACAUAAAAAAAUAGCAUGGCUUUUCUAGAAUUCGUAAGAAAAUGUACUUUUGCCUUUUAUCGCCUAUUUAUUUAGUCAAAUCGAACUGAUUAAUUAUUCUCUUCAUUAAUUUUUUUUUAUUGCCUUGGUUAAUCAUAUAUAUUCGAAUGUAAUAGAUAACUAUGUUUUCAACCAUUUUUAAAGUGAAUUUGCAGUUGUUUUUUUUUUCUUAGGACCAUUGACCUGCCUUUUGGUUAUUAUGUGGAAAACAAGAGGGAAAGGCAGAGAACUCAAAUCGAUUGGAAAGUUAUGGUACGAUGACAAACACUUCAAAGCUAGCUUGUUAACGUAUAGUUCCUCCAGCCCUAACAACUAACACUAAGCAUUGUCACAACCAUUGCAUCUGCUUAUAGAUUCUUUGAAGACAAGUUCUCCUUCUAAGUUUCAAAGCUUCUUUGUAGAAAUAAACAUGCACAAUUUUCCUUUUAUCUGAACCUACUAAUACGUGGGCACACCGUAGAUGACGUUGAAAUCCUGUAUGUAGAUCGUUAGGGGCCAAGUUCAUGUUGAAAAGAAGUGUUGAAAACUGAAAAGCAUUCUCCACCCUUCAAUCCUGCAAGUGAAACGGAGAAUUAGACGAGAAGGUUUCCUCUUUUUUGAGACUCACAAAGUGUUAAUGGUGUGCAAUCCAUAUAUCAAAUUGUUAUGUAAACUUCUGAAAAUUUGUUUGAGCUUUGAUUUGUAUACACUAAACAACAACAAGGGAAAUAAUCUAUUUAUUAGCACAAAUUGCUAUGCUGAGCUUCGAUUUAUUUUUUUUGGUACUUCAUUGUUCAAUAUAUUUAUUUGAUUCAUAUGAUAAUAAUUUUGUGUUGUAGCGUACUUAGUUAGCACACGUUUCUAAAUCUAGAAGUCGUGAUUUAUUUCAACGUCAUCUAUAUAUGUUGUGCCCACGUACUAGUAGGUUCAGAUAAAGGAAAAUUGUGCAUGUUUAUUUCUACAGAGAAGCUUUGAAACUGGGAAGGAGAACUUGUCUUCAAAGAAUUUAGAAGCAGAUGCAACGGUUGUGACAAUGCCUAGUGUUAGUUGUUAGGGCUGGAGGAACUAUACGUUAACAAGCUAGCUUUGAAGUGUUUGUCGUCGCACCCUAACUUUCCAAGGACUUGGAUCGCUUUGAGUUCUUAGCCUUUCCCUCUUGUUUUCCCCAUAACUGCAAAUUAUUAUAUAUAAAGCUAAAUCAUGUGAGGAAAGUUCUAUUUAUAAAGACUAAUUGUACCGUGAAUUGGAACAGUAUUAGCAAAAGUCAUGUUCAUCAAGAUUCAUGGCACUGUGGAUUGGAGCAGUGUAAUGACAGAGUUGUCCUUGUCACAUAGAGGUGCAAAGACUGUAGGAGGAGGGUGGGCCGGGUUGUCUUUUCAUUGGGAUACAUUUGACAUUAAAAGAAUGGUUAAAAAAAAACGGUCAGUGUAAAUUUUGAUGGGGCAUAAUAGGACUACAGACCCGGUUGUAGACACCUGGUGCUAGGCACAUAUGAUGGACUAAGCAGUAAAAGUUUUUAUGGUUUCAUUAACCACCUGCAACAAGGCUGUAUAUAUUUUACUGUUGUUUGCAUUGAUCAAAUCACACUAUCUUGCUCCAUAACCUCAAGCAUUACUCAGUUGUAAGAAACUUGACCGACUAGUUUCACAAAUACAUGGAGGAUAGGUCGUUCUAGCAAAAAAAAAAAAAUUACUGUAUGAACAUUUUUUUGCAAGCUCACACACACACACUGAAUCUCCUUAAUUUACUAGUAAAAAGAUGAUGGCUUCACCGCUUUAAGUGAGAAAGCGAAUGGCAUAAAGCACCCAUCACCUCCAAAAGGCUCUGUAGAGAGUCCAACAUCAUAAACCAUGGUGAGAUCAGUCUUGAAAAGUCGAAAUGAUCGCUCAGAACCAGGUCCAGGUUUCAAGUCUUCGUCAUAAAGAGCAAAGAGGUAUGUAUCCACUGAUUUUCCUGGCAUGAGUGGAGUGCCCACCAUCGAUCGAAGGUGUGCAAUCAAAUUGCCAUUGUAAGCCUUGGCAUUCUCAAUGCUUGGCCCUACGUCGUUGUCAUCUCCUUUAAAUGGCCAUCCAGUCUCAGCCACCACAAUCUCAACAUUCUUAAAUCCCAUAGAAUUCAGUGCAGAACAAACUGUAUCCACCUGGAAUUGAUUAAACCAGUUGUCAAUAGCAUUUUUAUUAGAUCAUCUAUUGAUAACAAAAUUUCGCACUUGCAAUUUGAUUUACUCUCACCUGAGCGAGAAAUAAAGGAAAAUUGUGCAACAGAACGCAAAUUGGAUUAAAUCAAAUUACUCUGUUGAUAAUAAAGGAAAAUUUGAUUUAUUCUGUUGCACAAUAUUAUAGAAUGUAUUUAUAUACGAAAUAUUGUAUACAGGAAAUAUUGUAGACAUACUCUUGUGUGGUAACCUCCACCAUUGCUAUUGUCCUACACAUAUAUAUAGGAAGGGUUGGCUAACCAUUAGGUUAAGCCUCCUAAUUAUUCUCAACUUGGUAUCAAAGCUUUCUGCAGUCAGAACUCUUUUCUCCCUCCCUCCCUUUGCAGACAGCCCUCUCUCUACUUUUCCUACAUGGAUUCUACUGUUGCCGCCGACUUCUCUCUCUCCACUAGCGGUGCAGCACAGCCGGCCAGCCAUCCCCAAGCUGCUGCCAGUGGUGUCUUUUCUCCCCAACAACAGCCUCCACUUGCAGAGCAUGUCUCUGAUUCUUCCUCACAAGUCUCUGCCGUUCCUUUGCCUCUCAUGGGAACACACACUUCAGCUAUCGUUCCUUUAUCAAACACCCACCAAGUUGUUUCGUUGAAACUUAUGAACACAAAUUAUCUCUAUUGGCGAAUGCAGAAGAAGCCAUAUCUCCUUGGUCAAGGUGUUUUUCACUUCGUUGACGACUCAGUGCCGUGUCCUCCAUCUCAUAUUUUUGAUAGUUCUGCUAGUUCUUCCUCUACCAUCAGCCCAUCUUUUCUUCGUUGGAAGCAACAGGAUCAACUUAUUUUUAGUGCUUUACUCUCCUCUCUCUUCGUAGAUGUGUUGCAUCUCGUGGUAGAUUGUUCUACCUCGCAUUGUGUUUGGCGCACUCUUGAGAAAGCGUUUGCCUCUCCAUCUAAUUCUCGCAUCAUGCAACUUCAUGGCUCCUUUCAAGACCUUCGGCAAGGUGACUCAUCGGUUAGUAUAUACAUGCAGCAAGCCAAAUCGUUAUUUGAUGAAUUGGCUGCUGCUGGUCGCCCAAUGUCUCUUGAAGACUUCAAUCUCUAUGUGUUUCGUGGCCUUCGUGGCGAGUUCAAAGAGUUAGUAACGAGUCUCAUAACCAAGGCAGAAUCGCUGUUAUAUGAUGAUCUUCACAGCCACCUUCUUACCCAUGAAUUUCUGCACAAGAACUCCUUCCAUUCCAUGACUACCGCUCCCUCUCUACUGUCUUCUUCUUCUCUGUCGCAGCAGCCACCACUGCUGCCAACACCACAAUUUUCUGCUCACCAUGCUAUGUCUCAUCAUAGCCCCAACUUCAGCCGCAACAAGGGUCGCUCUAGAGGUAAUUGGCAUCCCAACAACAACCGUUACACUCCCCAGAACAGGGGCCAAUCUGUUGCAGAUUGGCGGCCAAACCACUAGCAGCAUACCAGGCGCAACUCCGGUGUUGGGCAGUGGUCUGCACAGCAGCAUGUACGCUGCCAAUUGGGCUCCAGUUUCGGUCACAUAGCUCCCCACUGUUCCCAGUUUUGCAGCAGCACUCAGCAACCCUCCGCUCACCUUGUUGUUAGGAAUGUUUUUGCUGUGACUUGGUUCCCCGACACCGGCGCAAAUCAACACGUCACACCUGAUCUUGGAACUCUAACCGAUUCUGCACCCUAUCUUGGUAAUGAUUAUUUGCAUGUUGGUGACGGUAAGGGCCUUGACAUAUCCCAUAUUGGACAUACUACAUUACAUUCCCCAAAACGCAUGUUUACAUUAUCUAAUGUUCUCCAUGUGCCUCACUUUACCAAUUUGUUGUUAUCUGUUCAAAAAUUCUGCCGUGAUAAUCAUGUUUAUUUUGAAUUUCACGCUUCUAUGUUUUAUGUGAAGGAUCUCGUCACCAAGGAAGUUCUCCUUUCUGGUCAGACUCAUGAUCGUCUUUAUGUCCUCUCCGAGUCUUCUGCCACGUCAGUUCCUCAAGCUUUUUGGUCUCCGUGCAUCUCCGCGACUGCCGACCUAUGGCAUUGUCGUUUGGGUCAUCCAACCCCUCACAUUUUAAAUUUGUUAGUUUCCGGCAAUAAAAUCGUAUAUACUUCUAGACGUUCUCUUACCCAGUGUCAAGCUUGUCCUUUAGGCAAGUCGUCUUGUUUCUCAUUGCGACCUACGGGUCAUAAAACUUCUGCCCCAGUUGAUUUAAUUUUUAGUGAUGUUUGGGGUCUGCUCCUAUGUUUUCUUCUGAUGGCUUCCGCUAUUUUGUUAUUUUUAUUGAUGCGCAUACCAAACAUAUAUGGUAUUAUCCGCUUGUUGCGAAAUCUGAUGUCUUUUCCACUUUUCAACAUUUUCAAACACUUAUUGAGCGUCAGUUUUCACUUAAAAUUAAAUCUGUUCAAACUGAUUGGGGCGGUGAAUAUCGUAAAUUAAAUAAAUUUUUUCAGACCAUUGGUAUUCAUCAUCGGUUAAUUUAUCCUCAUACUCAUGAACAAAAUAGCACUGUUGAACGUCGUCAUCAACAUAUUGUCGAAACUGGCCUAACCCUUAUAGGCCAGUGUAGUGCCCCAUUGCGAUUUUGGAACUAUGCGUUUGAAUAAUCGGUAUACCUUAUUAAUCGCAUGCCUACUCUUGUUCUUCAAAAUACAUCUUCGUUUGAGUGUCUGUUUAGUUUCACUCCUGAUAUUCUUUGUUUUAUGUUUUGAAGGCACUUUUGGAUGAAAGAUGCAAAAAGGAGUAAAUUUGAGAUAAUUGGCAGAUUUGACCUUCAGUCGAUGUUUUGUGUUGAGCAUGAGCUCUAGAGGUUAAAAUGAAGUUCUUCUAGUGGCAUUAAAAAGCUAACAUCCAUACCUUUUGUCAUAACCCAAUUUUUGACCCUUUUAUUUUAUUAUUAUUACUAUUAUUUUAUCUACUGAAAAAUAAAAAGAAAAAAGAAAAAUGAUGAUGAAAAACAAAUAAAAAAUGAAGAAUAAAUUAAAAUUUUGGUGAAAGACAACAUGAUUGUAAGUUUUGAGACUUAGUUGAGCUUGGAAUUAAUUUAAUUAAUCCAAUUAGGGGUUUAAUUGAAGAAUUGAUAAGUUUUGAGACUUAAUUGAGCUUGGAAUUAAUUUAAUUAAUCCAAUUAAGGGUUUAAUUGUAAAAUUGAUAAGUUUUGAGACUUAAUUGGACUUGAAUUUAAUUUAAUUAAUGAAAUCAGGGACUUAAUUGAAGAAUUACCAAAGUUUGGGGUUAAUUGGGGGCAAAAUUGCAACAGAUUAGAGUCCAAGGACUGUUUUGUAAAAAGCUCUGAAUUGCAGGGGUCCAAUUAAAGUUUAUCCAGGGGCUUGCUUACGAAAAUUUCAAAACUUCAAGGACCAAAACACAAUCGAACGGCGUCGUUUCAAAGAGAACCCAUCAUCUUCUUCCGUUCACCAAACCAGAAAAACGGAUGUCCAACGAUGCAUCGCCAUUACUCCUGCAAUAACAGUCACUUUAUUAUCUGUUUAACGGCAUGGCUUUCUCUGGCUAUAAGAAGCCAGAGAAAGAAAGCAGAAAGGGAGAAAAAAAAAGGAGCCACGGGAAGGAGUCACAGAACCGGGGGGGAAGACGAAUAACGCAGGGGACUGGAAACAGAGAGGAAGAAAAACAGGGGGAGAGGCAGGUAACCAGAAACCGAAGAAAAGCAGGGAAAACAGGGGAGAAAACAGAGGAAAUUCCAAGAAACAGAGAGGCUAGCAGGAGGGGAGACUGGAGGAGCACGAACCGAAAACCAUAGCUAAAAAAACUCAGCCUAAGGCCAUUGCCUUCAUCUCUGCAGACAUCCCUGCAGAAAACGAAAGACCCGAAAACCAGAGCAAAAGAGACACAGAGAACAAAAAAAACCCAGAAGCAGAAUGAACAAAAGGAAGUAAACAGAGAGCUAAACCCAUCUUUGGUUUAGUCCCAGAAUUCAAUCACAACAUCCGAACAGAAGAGGAAAGCAGAGGAGAGCAGAGAGUAAGUAAAAAACCCAACAAACAGAAACACAAGAACAGAGGAGAAGAGACUGAGAGGAGGAGGAAGGGAGAAUUCUCCGGGAGUGCCCGAACUGUUGCUGUCGCCUGCGCCUUCGAAUCGCCAGGUAAGGCUUUCCUUUUAUCUUCGUUUAUGUACAUUUCAUUCUGUAGAGAAGAGAACGGGGCGAAGGUAAUCCCUGAGCAGCGCACGCGUGGUUUGAACCACGCGUGCCUGCAGCCCAGCCGGGUCACUGGCUUGGGCCAGUGACCGAGCCGGGCUGGGUCCAGCCUAGCCCAACCAAAAAAAAUAAACAAAAAUAAAAAAUAAAAUGUGUAUGCAUGAGUAAAAAUUAUAUAGAUUUAUUGGUUUAUUCACUGAUGCCAGAAUCAAGAAUAAAAAUACCGGUUUAAAUUUAUAUUAUUCAUUGUAUUUUAUUUUUAUUUAGCAAGAAAAAAAUAAAAUUGUGCAUGUGUAAAAAUAAAUUUAUUUUGUUUGUUUAUUCACUGACACCAGAGUCAGGAAUAAAAAAUACUGAUUUAAAUUUAUUUUGUUUUUAUAGCUACGUAAUAUUUACCAACGCCAGAGUUGGAAGUAUUCGUAGUUGAAUAUUCAUUGGCGCCAAAGUCAGGAAUAUUAUAAGCAAAUUAUCAUAGCAAAAACUAAUAAACAUUUAGCAAUAUAAGACAAAACCAGCAAUGCAGUCUGCCUCAGGCAGAACGUUUAAGGGGUGAUAAUAUCUUCUAUUUUACGUAACCAGUCCCGAACCAUAGAAUCUCUGUUGACCAGUUAGGGUUCCUAGUGACCAUAAUACUAGGUGGCGACUCCUUAAACAAGACAUUUUUUUUCUAAAAGAACAAGAUGCCAGAAAUCUGUUCUUUUUCCAUAAUCAAGAUUUAUUUUUAGGGCCGCCGCGAUGUCGGGUGCGACACCUUUCUGGACAUCUAAGUCAAGAAAAUAAAUAAGGAAGAGCAUGGAAAUCGCAGCCUUCAAAGUCAAAUCUCGCAAUCUGCCAAUGUUGAUCUUCGGCCAUUCUGACUCGAAUAUCUGGCCCUACAGAAGUCCAAUUGAUGCAAAAUCAAUUUUGUUGGAUUCCUGACUCAAAGGUCUAUAAACUCUCCACAUUUCAGCAAAAAAAGAUGUUAUAUGAGAGAGAUAUGAUUUUUCAAAGAUGAUAACUGAAUUCUGCCAGUAAACAGGUUUCGUGAAGAAACGAGUCCAAAUUACUUUCUGAAGCAUCUAAACCGAUAUCCAAGUUUUUAUUUCAACAAUUUAGCUCCUCAAAGUCAAAGCUUGAAGAUUUCAUGCAAGGCUAUUUCUCUUUUUUUAGAAAAAUAGUUAUUGAACUACUUAAAUGUAAACAGUCUACUUAAGGGAGGACUAUUUUGUAAAAUAGAGACUAGGGUUUCCUAGGAUAUAAAAAGAAUGAGAGAAGAGAAGGGGGGCAGCCAGCCAAGAAGAGAAAAACACCCCUCUCCUCUAAGAAACACAAAAUCAUGCAUUCCUCCUUCUUUUUGAUUAGUUGUUCAACAAACAUGCAAGGCUAAACUCUUUUUCUUGGUUGCAAGGACACGAAAACCUUCGGAUUUCAAGAAUUGUGAGAUUUAUUUUACCUUUUCUUUUCAAUUUACAUGAUGAAUAUAUUUGUUCUCCUAUGCUUAUUUUUCCUAUGAUUGUUUAUUUUAAUUGCUAGAGCGGACUCUAAGUUAUUAUUAUAGACAAUCUAUUGCUAAGUUUGAUAUCAAAACCGGAGUUGUGGUAUAUGAACUUGUGAAGCAACUAAGUUUAAUAAUUGUGGCAGAUCUACAUUAUUAAUCUUAGGGAGAACAUUCAAUCAAAUCAAACAUAGACUGCGGACAGUUAUGUUUUCUUGAUUAAUCAACUUAUCUAGUUCUUAAGGCUGCAAUUGAAUUAAAUUACUAGUGCGGAUACUGUGGUUGUUUGAUGGUUAGGGUUAGUUAUACGGCGGAUCCGUUAACUAACCAAUGUUAAGAAGAGAUAAAUAUUCAGAAUAUAAUUUGAUGUUUCGUUUCCAUGAUCAGUUCUGAUUUCUGUAGGUGGAUGUGUGCUUUAUCCUAGAUAACGUCCAAACCCCCCCCCCAAAUUGCAUAUCAUCUAGCAUACAAAUCUGACUUGAACCUUCCUCGUGGGAUCGACCCCUUGCUUGACCUAUACUAUCUUGUGUGUUGUGUUUUAAGCUAGGGUAAUUAAUUUGUGCGACCGCGACAUCGUAACAAAUUUUGGCGCCGUUGCCAGGAAAGUAAUUUUAGUUGAUUCUUGUGCUAUUAUUUUUAUUUACUGUGAUUGUUAUUUAUUUUUCUGAAAAAAAAAAGAGAAACAUAAUUUUUGCUUGCUGCGGUACUGUUCAUUACAGCAGCGGUACUGUUCAAAACAGAUUUUUUGGUGGAAUUAGGUAUCGGCCUUUUUUUUCCAAAAGGAAAACGACGUUCUAAACAAGACUAGUGAAGUAUCACUAGCCCCACCCUAUCGAGGCCAAAUUCCACUGUUUUCUAGGGUUUGUAGGCAGUUUUAGUUUUCUAGCGUAGGAUUUUCAUACAAUUUGCAUUGUUUUCGAUCUCUUGUGUGGUUGGUUUCUUUUGAGUUUUCUUGAAAAUUUAUGCUUGUAACCCGUUCUACUAACCAGAUUCAAGUGCAGGUGGAUCUCGAAAUAGAAAACACUUUACGCAGGUUACGAAAGGAAGUUCGCGUCAACACCAUGACUGUUGAACGACAACAAACACUCAAGGAGCUUGCUGCUCCUAACAUGGAAAAUCAACCAUUGUGCAUCAACAUUGAUAAUAAUGUAAACUUUGAGCUCAAAUCUGGUUUUAUACAUUUGCUACCAACAUUCAAUGGUCUUACAGGUGAAGAUCCUCAUACUCAUCUCAAGGAGUUCCAUAUGGUUUGCGUUGGCAUGAAACCGAAUGGAGUUGACGAAGAAUAGGUUAAGUUGAAAGCUUUCCCUUUCUCUUUAAAAGGGGCAGCAAAGGCAUGGUUUUUCUCUAUUAUCCCAGGUUUCAUUGGAACUUGGAAUGCCAUGAAGAAGAUUUUCCUUGAAAAGUAUUUCCCAGCAUCUCGAAUUGCCAACAUAAGGAAAUAAAUAUGUGGGAUUCAACAAUCUCAUGGAGAGACAUUUUCCAAGUAUUGGGAAAGAUUUGAGCAACUGUGCAUUCAAUGUCCUCAUCAUCAAAUACCCGAUCAGCUGCUCAUUCAAUAUUUCUAUGAAGGAUUGAUGCCUACUGACCGUAGUAUCAUUGAUGCUGCAAGUGGAGGGGCAUUGGUAGAUAAGACACCUGAGGCUGCACACCAAUUGAUCUCAAACAUGGCAGCCAACUCAAAACAAAUUUGGCACGCGUGGAGACUUUGCAAACAAACGAGUAAAUGAGGUAAGUAUUUCUAACCUUGAAAAUAAAGUUAAUGAUCUUACUUCUCUUAUGCAUUCUUUGGCUUGUGGAAAUGUACAGCAGAUGAAAAUUUGUAGCAUGUGUUCCUUACAAGGACAUACCUCAGAUAUGUGCCCAACAAUGCAAGAAGAUUACAUUGAACAAGUUCAUGCAGUUGAUGGAGGAUUCAACGGACAGCCCCAACGUAAACAUGAUCCCUUUUCCAACAUAUACAAUCCCGGAUGGAGAGAUCAUCAAAACUUAUGCUAUGGGAACCCACCUCAACAAGGCAAUCAAGGCCGACAGUUCCAUCCCCAUGGAUUUCAAUCCCAACAGAAUUAUCAAGCGAGACAACCCCCUCCAUUCACAAACUCCAAUGUUAUGGGGUCGUCAUCCAGUGAUGAUCUUCAUGAGAUGAUGAAAACUUUGGCUUCUAACACUGUGACCUUGCAACAAAAUGUCAUGUCUUUCAACAGGAAACAAGGUCAAGUAUUCACAACUUGGAGAAGCAAAUGGGGCAAGUAGCUUCAAGUGUGGGGAAAUUGGAAGCACAAAUGAAUGGAAAAUUGCCCUCCUAAGCAUUGAAUCCAAUAGAGAAUGUUAGUGCGAUCAUGCUGCGAAGUGGGAAAGAACUUGAAGAGAAAAGGUCGAAACAAAUUGAGUUGGAGGAAGAAGAAGAGAUAAAAAACGAUUUGAGUACAAAGAAGGAACAUCCUCCUCCUCCACAAACUGAAACAUCGACCAACACUUCAAAGGUAACUCCUCACUCAAUGAAUUCUAGUUUUAAAACAAUUCCACCCUUUCUUGUGAGUUCUACUAGGUCUAAGAAAGAGGACAAAGAAAAAGAGAUUUUAGAGGUUUUCAAGAAAGUAGAACUCAACAUUCCUUUGCUUGAUGCUAUCAAGAAAAUUCCCAAGUAUGCCAAAUUCUUGAAGGAUUUGUGUACUACCAAGAGAGCUUUCAAAUUGAAAGGUCAUGAAAUGGUAUGUAUGGGUGAAGUUGUAUCUGCUGUUGUUCAAAAUAAUAUGCCUUUGAAGCAAAAAGACCUAGGUGUGUUUACUGUCCUAUGUGUUAUUGGUAAUGCUAGUUUCAAAAGGGUCUUGUGUGAUUUAGGUGCAUCCAUUAGUGUUAUGCCUAAACAUAUUUAUGAUUCUUUUAGUCUUGAGCCUUUGAAUAAAACUAGCAUUGUAAUACAACUUGCGGAUCGUUGUUUUGUUUACCCACUUGGUGUGAUAGAAGAUGUCCUAGUGAAUAUUGAUAGUUUGGUCAUUCCAUGUGACUUUUAUAUUCUUGAUAUGGAACAUGAUUCUUGUGAUUCAUCAAACAACACUCCUAUAUUGUUUGGGAGACCAUUCUUGAAAACUGCCAAUACAAAAAUUGAUUGCGGUAAUGAUACUUUGUCUAUGGAGGUAGGAGAUGAAAAAAUUGAAUUUAAUUUUCAUGAUGCAAUGACAUAUCCUUAUAGCAAUGUUUAUUCUAUCACAUGGUAUGACCAAGUUGAUAAGUGUGUGCAGCAAGUUUGUGAUUUUGAUAGUAAGGAUGGAUUAAGCGUAGCUUUGAGUUAUGGCUAUGAUUUUACCAAGAUAGAAAAAAUGUAGAGGCAUAUAUACCUUCCUGGAAAUCUUGACACGUGUACUUCAACUUAAAUUAAGCCCACAUUCUCAUUCUAGAACUCUAACUUGGCCAAAAACCUAUCACAAGGAGCUAGAUCCAAAAAAUAAAAUGCAGAAUUUCUUAUCUUUUAGCGAAUAAUUCACGAAGUCUCUUCUGCAUGCCAAACUCAUAAAAAUAACUUCCAAGCAACUCGAAUAAGUUCAAAAUCCCUUAAAAAGCAUAGUGUAAAAGGAAGAAAAACACAUGUACAUUUUGCACUUAUCAAUAUUGCUGACAGUAAGACCCUUCAUUGUUGUGUAUUGCUGUCAGCAGGACCCAACAAUGGUGCUGGACCUAAGUUUAUUGGGCCUAACUCUGAUGCCAAACCCAAUGAUGGUGGGUCUGGGUGCCUAGCUGAAGCAGGACCCACUAAAGUUGGGCCCUGCUUCCACCAGGACUAAGCAGAGGUGGGCCCAGUUGCCAACAAAGACCCACUGCUGCUGGGUAUUUUUGUCACCAGGACCCAGUAGCGUUGGCCAAGUUUGUUUCAUUAAAAAUUUAGGCCUGUAAUUGGGCCGGAGGAAACCUGUCCCGCCGGGUCAACCCGUAACUUGGGCGACUCGACUAAAACCCGGUAGAGUCUCCUUUUUUUUUAAUUUGUUUUUGUCCAACCUAGAGACCCCUCUUGUUUCAUAUUUUUCAGUUAAUUACUAAUUCAUUUCAAAGUUCACUAUAUAAAUAUUAGAAGAAUAUUUUAUUUUUUCAAUGUGGGAUAAAAAAACAUUUUUGGUUUAAAUACUUCAAGUUAGAAGUAUAAGAUAGUAUCUUUUCAAUGUGGGAUAAAAGUUUUUUGAGGUAAUCUUUUGAAUUUAAUUGUUUACAAGAUGUAUAGCCUAUAUCCACAUGGAUUAUUUCUAGAUUUUUUCAUAUAAAAUAUUAAAACCUCAAAUAAUUUUUUUUCAAUAUUCCCGGUUUGACUCAAGUCAACCCUUAUAACCCAGAACCCAACCCCUUUGCCAAGUCAACCCCUAGGUCGGGUUUCGUAACUAUAGUUGUCAUAAAAAUACAUUUUUUAAUUUGUUAUAUUUUUUGAACUAUUAAAAUGCGUUGAAAAAAUAUACAUAAAUAUUUUUUAUAAAAAAUAAAAAUAUUUGACCAGCGGCAAAGCGCGGGUCACAGAACUAGUACAUUUUAAAAAUGGUUGAAAACAUAGUUAUCUAUUAUAUUCGAAUAUAUAGGAUUAACCAAGGCAAUAAAAAAAAUUAAUGAACAAAAUAAUUAAUUAGUUCAGUUUUUAUAAAAGACUAAAUUAAUAUGCGAUAAAACUGAAAAGAGAUAGAAAUAAUAAUUAGAACUAGACGGAUUUUGAAGAGACUUGGUUGCACAAUCUUGUCGGUUUGAUUGCUUUUGGUUUAAUUUUUUUAGUAAUAUUUGCUUUGUUUCUGCAAAUAUGGUGUUUCAUCUUCUCUUAAGUUUUUGCAAUUUGGUAUUUCAUCUUCUCUUCAGUUUCUACAACUUCGCAUUUGCAUUCUAUUUUUUCAAUUUUUUGUUUUUGAGUAAUCAUAUAACUUCGAGAAGAUAUUUGUUUAGUUUUUGAGAUAUUUGUUUAGUUUCUGCAAUUUGGUAUUUUGUUUUUUGCUGCUUUUGCAUUCUGGUUCUCUGUAAUUGUUGAUUAUAGCUACUGAAAGAGAUGAUUCAGUUCAAUCUGUGAGUGUGAGGUUGGAUGGGAAGAACUAUUCGUAUUGGAGUUAUGUAAUGUGAAAUUUCUUUAAGGGCAAAAAGAUGUGGGGAUAUGUCAGUGGAACCUAUGUGGUAUCUAAGAAUACUGAGGAAGGGGAUGUUGCUUUGAUAGAUGCAUGAGAAGCAAACAAUGCAAAGAUUAUUACUUGGAUUAACAAUUUUGUUGAGCAUUCCAUAGGUACGUAGUUGGCGGAGUAUGAGACAGCAAAGGAGGUUUGGAAUCAUCUGCAAAAGUUAUUCACGCAAUCAAAUUUUACAAAGUAGUAUCAAUUAAAGAAUGACAUAUGAGCUCUUCACCAGAAAAAUGUGAGUAUUCAGGAGUUCUAUUCUACAAUGACAGAUCUUUGGGAUUAACUGGCUACUUGUAGAGAAUCCAACAUCAUAAACCAUGGUGAGACCAGUCUUGAAAAGUCCAGAUGAUCGCUCAGAACCAGGUCCAGGUUUCUAGUCUUCGUCAUAAAGAGCAAAGAGGUAUGUAUCCUCUGAUUUUCCUGGCAUGAGUGGAGUGCCCACCAUCGAUCGAAGGUGUGCGAUCAAAUUGCCAUUGUAAGCCUUGGCAAUCUCAAUGCUUGGCCCUACUUCGUUGUCAUCCCCUUUAUAUGGCCAUCCACUCUCGGCCACCACAAUCUCAACAUUCUUAAAUCCCAUAGAAUUCAGUGCAGAAUACACUGCAUCCACCUGCAAUUGAUUAAACCACUUGUCAGUAGCAUUUUUAUUAGAUCAUCUAUUGAUACAAAAUUUUCGCACUUGCAAUUUCAUUUACUCUCACCUGAGCAUCGAACAUGUUCAUGUACUUGAUCUUAGUGUUUCCAUCCGUUCGUCCUGCAUUCGGCUGGAAAAGGCAAAAAGCGAGAGUCUCAAGCCUUGUAUCGCUUCUGUAGGCAAAGUAAGGGUGGGGAUUGAUUGCGAAAGGCAAACCAUUCGCACUAUUAAACUCCAACAAGCCCUUCAUCAGAUCCCCAUAACUUGGAUCAAAGCUUCCAGAAGAAGGUGGCUCGGACUGCUUAAGCACUCCCAUCGAAUGAACUGUGGAGCAUUCUGUACAUUUUGCAUGGCUGGUAAGAGCUUGUUCAUGAGAUUCUGAUCAUUGGAAGUCAUGACCUCGUUGCCAACAGUGAUGAGGAUGAUAUUGCUAGCUAGAUAGAAGGGAAGCACGUUCAUGUUGAUCCAGCUCUUGGCAAAAUUGGGAUCAGAGGCUAGUCCUGGAAUGUCACCAUUUGUAGUACCGAUAACAAUUCCAAUUCCAAUUCCAUAUAAUCGGACCUUUUGAUUGAAGUGGAUUGAAGAAGUUUUGCGGUGGAUGAUGGUGGUGGAAGGUUGUCCGCAACUUGGCCAUAGUUUAUACCGAUGAAUGAUUGCGAGCCUGCACAAAAAGCAGCAAAAUUUAAAGCAGAUGAUCAAACAUCAAUUUUUAAACGACAAAACAGAACACCAACUUUUUUUGUUUUCAUAGACUGAAAAGAAGACAGCCAAAUUAAGGUAAAUUGUUUAGAAAUGGAAGGAGGUCAUUAAAAUAGAAGAGACGAAAACUUACUUGCGAUUUUUACAGUCUGUAAGAAGGAAAGGAGUAGGAAAGCAACAGUAUAAGGAAGCACCACCGAGGCUUAGGAGGUAUCUCAAAUAAUUUAGCAUUUUAAAAUAAAUAAAUUAAAAAUAUAUCUGGAAUAUUUCUUAUUAAAUACCAUUCAAUUUUUAUUUUAUUUUCUAAUAAGAUUGUAGCAUUUUUUAUAAUAUUAGCAAUUGUUAUAUUGUACAACCUUCGUGUAAUGUUUUAUUUGCGUGUUUUUUAAUUUUUUUUUUUUUUUUACUUCUAUGAGCUUCUCUAUUUUUUAUGAUCAAAUACACUACUAGAAAAUCAGCGAAAACCAAUGGAAUUACCGACAGAAUUAUUUGGUCAGUAAUUUUUACCGAUAGAUAUAAUUUCGUGUCUAACUUUGUCGGUCUUUACCGACAAACCUUUGUUGUCAAUAAUAAUUACUGAUGGCAUAUAUUCUAUCGGUAAUUCAGUCAGUAUAUACCGAAAGAAUAAUUCUGUCGGUAUAUAUUGACCGAAUUGCCGAUGGAAUAUAUAGAAUUUUGAAAAAAAGAAACAGUUUGAUGACAUGAAAUUUUUUCAGAUUAUUUUACUGAUAGAAUGACCGAGGGAUUCAAACUGGGAUCCCCGUAUAGUGAUAUAGCCCAUUCACCGUCAGAAUUAUCGACAGGUAUACCAACAUGACGUGUCCAUCGGUGAUUCCAUCGGUAAAAGCCAAUAUAUCCACACUCUGCCGACUCUCUCCCCCUCUAUUUCUCCUUCUUCUUCCCCAUCCCAACUCUCCCCUCCCAAACUACAAACAACCACCCACCCCCCUAAACAUAUCCCCCACAAGCACUCACCUUUUUAAUUUUAACAUUUAAAUGUCAAUUUUAUUGUUUUUUUUAGUAUAUGUAUUUUGUUAACGUAUGUACUUGUUUUAUUGUUAUUUGUCAAAGAAACUUGUAGUAUGAAUACAUAAUUUUAUAGUCGUUAUAGUUUAUUUUAGAUUUUGUCAAAUUGUAUUUGUUUGUAAAUUGUUGAAACUUUGUUUGAAUUACUGAAUUAGAUGUGUUGUGAUGAAAUAAAUAAUAGCUUGUUUAAUGGGUUCGUUUUAAUUUUUAUCAAUUCUAUUGCGGAGUUAUGAUUUCCGUAAAUUUAUAUACGUAUAAAUUUGUAUGAACGUUGAUAAUUAAUAAUUGAUAAUGAAUAUUUAACAUAAGUGUUUUUUUAGUUUGUUGGAUAAUGUCAGGGCAAACCAAUAUUUUUGCAAAUUUAUUUAAGUAACAUAGUUAAUUAAUACAUGUUGUCAUCAUAAUUUUAUAGAGGUUCGAUAUAAGUCAUGGAUGAUCGUUCAUGGAUGUAUCGAGACUCACCCCAAGGAUUGCGGAGGAUGGAUUAUUGUAAUGGGGUUCAGGGUUUUAUUAAUUUCGCAACAUCUAUUCCGAGGAAUUUUACUGAUGGCGGUAUUAGGUGUCCAUACAGAAAUUGUAAAAAUAAAAAGUUUCUGCAUCCAGAUGUUAUAACGAUGCAUCUUCUAAUCAAAGGGUUCAUAGAGGAUUACCUGUGUUGGUAUACACACAAAGAACUAUUUAUUCCUAAUAAGAGCAUGGUAAAAAGGGUGGUUGGGUCAACUUCUAGUGCUAGCAACGUGCAUAAAGUUGUAAAUGACAACAGUAAUCCUUACAGGAAUAUGGUUAUGGAUGCAAUGAGAAUGAAUCAAGGUAAUGUCAAUAUUGUCCAAUCAUAGAAGAACCUAAUGCAGAUGCAGCAAGGGUUUUUAAUCUAUUGAAAGAUUUUGACAAACCAUUAUGGGAUGGGUGCACGAACCACAAUAAAUUAUCAGCCGUAGCACAAGUGUUCACCAUCAAGUCAGAUCACGGGUUGAGUGAGGCCAGUUACAACAAAAUUAUGAAAUGAGCGAGAAGUAUUUUACCUAAAGGGAACAAGCUUAAAGAGAACUUCAAUGCUGCUAAGUCCGUGAUGAAACCCCUCAGUUUAGGAUACCAGAAAAUUGACUUGUGCCCUAACUUCUGCAUGAUUUACUACCUUGAAAAUACUGAGCUGACCAAGUGCAUGACAUGUGGGCAUUCCCGUUACAAACCCAGAACUGACAUGGGAAAGAAUCUCAUGGCAUAUAAGAAACUUGGAUACUUCCCAAUCACACCUAGAUUGCAGAGGUUAUUCAUGUCACCAAGAACUGUUGAGCACAUGAUAUGGCACCAAUCACAUAAUACGGUUGAUGGAGUGAUGAUGCAUCUUUUUGAUGGGGAAGCAUGGAAACACUUUGACAAUGUGCAUCCUUAAUUUUUAGCUAAAUCAAGGAAUGUGCGUCUUGGGUUGUGUACAAACAGAUUCAACCCAUUCGGGUCAUUUGCUGCUCCUUAUUCUUGUUCGCCGGUUAUACUAACGGUUUAUAACUUGCCAUCGGGGAUGUGUAUGAGGUUGGAGUUCAUGUUUUUAUCUAUUGUCAUACCAGGUCCGAGGAGUCCAGACCGAAAUAUAGAUGUUUGUCUUCGACAGUUGAUUGAUGAGUUGCCGCAGUUGUGGUCCUCCGGAGCUUUGACUUAUGAUAUAUCGAGGAAACAUAACUUUGUUAUAAGGGCGGCUUUGAUGUGGACUAUCAAUGAUUUCCCAACUUAUGGAAUGGUUUCUGGUUGGAGCAUGCAUGGAAAACUAGCUUGUCCAUAUUGCAUGGAAAACAACAAGGCUUUCACGCUAACAAACAGAGGUAAAGCUUCUUUUUUGUACGUACUGUCACCGUCGUUUCUUGCCACCGAAUCACAUGUACAGAAAGAAUAGAAAGGAUUUUUUAUUAGCAGAGUUGAAAAGGAUGUUGCACCCCCGUGUCUUUCUGGUGAUGAAUUGCAUGAUGUUGUAUCAGAGUACGAUGACAUUGUGUCUGGUUUCCAAUCAGGUAAGCAGAAGUUUCCUGGUUUUGGUUUGACCUAUAAUUGGGUAAAGCGAAGUAUUUUUUGGGAGCUUCCUUAUUGAAAGACCAAUCUCCUCCGCCAUAACCUUGACGUCAUACACAUAGAAAAGAACAUGUUUGAGAACAUUUUCAACACCGUCAUGGAUGUGAAGGGGAAAACAAAGAACAACAUCAAGGCUAGAUUGGAUUUAGCAUUGUUCUGUAAUCGAAAAAAUAUGGAGUUGGUUUUUCAUGAGUCACGGGUCACAAAACCUAGAGCAAGCUUUAUGUUAGAGAAAAAUGAACAACUAUUAGUCUACAAAUGGCUUAAGAGUCUGCAUUUUCCCGGUGGACAUGCCUCGAACAUAUCAAGGCUGGUUAAUAUGGAGGAAUGCAGAUUGUAUGGAAUGAAGAGUCAUGACUGACACGUGUUUAUGCAAACACUCAUUCCAUUAGCUAUUCGUGAUUUGUUGCCAAAUGGGAUAUGGGAUGCACUCACAGAGAUCACUCAUUUCUUUAGAGAUAUAUGCUCCAGCAAGUUGAAUGUUGAUCACGUUGAAAGGCUUGAAAUGAAUAUCGUCGAGACAAUAUGCAAACUUGAGAUGAUAUUCCCUCUAUUAUUUUUUGACUCAAUAGAGCAUCUACCUGUACAUUUACCGUAUGAGAUAAAAGUUGGAGGACCGGUCCAGUAUAGAUGAAUGUAUCCAUUCGAUAGGUUAGAUAUUACAAUUGCAAUGUAAUUCAUAAUUAAAAGUUUUUCAUUGUUUUUUUUAUUUGAUAAUUUUUGUUUAAUUCUAUAUAUGCAGGUACUUGUUCAAUCUUAAGAAAAAGGUUAAGAACAAGCCGCAUGUUGAGGCUUCAAUAUGUGAGGCCUAUAUUGUUGAUAAGAUCUCAACAUUUAUCUCGUACUAUUUCGAACCUCAUUUGAGAACGAGAAUCAACCGUGUUCCACGACAUGAUGAUAGUGGUGAAGUGCCUUCAAGUGGGAACUUGUCAAUAUUCUUCAAUCCUGGAUGACCCACACCUAAAAAUUCCUUAAGGGGAAGAUAUUUGUCUGAAAUAGAGUUCAGAAAAACACAAUUAUGUUCUAUUUAACUGUGAUGAGCUGAGACCUUUUAUUAAGUAAGUAGAUGUACUACUUAAACUUUGUCAAAAGUGUACUACUUAUAUAUUGUGAUAUCAUAAACUCAUAUAAUUUGGAACAACCUUGUAGGCAACAUCGAUGAUAUUUACUGUCCAAUAACUCACAGGUGAUCGAAUCCCAAAUCUUUCAAUUACAAGAUGAACAAUUUGCCACGUGGUUUAGAACACAUGUAAGUUCUAUUACAAACUCAUUAUCUCUUGCAAGGUAACUGUACGUCAAUAUUACAGAAUGUCCAUUUAUUGAUUACUAUUGUAUUUGAUAUACAAGGUGUAUCAAGUGGGAGGUAGUGCUGCCAUUUCAUUGUUUUUACUAAGACUGGGCCCUGAAAGAAAAGUCAAGUGCUAUAACGGGUAUUUUGUCAAUGGAUAUGUGUUUCAUACUGAAGAAUACGAGCAUGAAAGAAAGACAUACAACAACGGUGUUUGCAUUAAAGGAUCGACUUGUAGUGAGUUUGAAGUUGACUACUAUGAAAAAUUAAAAGAGGUCGUCAAAUUACAAUAUAAUAGCGAGUAGAAUAGAGUGUUUUUGUUCAAAUGCUAUUGGUAUGACACCAUUGACAGAGGAAUCAGAGUAUAUCCUCAAUAUGGUCUAGUCGAAAUCAACUCAAAAGCUAGACUUUCAUGUGAAUAUUAUAUAUAAGAAUAUAAAAGAAUUGAGUCAUACGAACACUUGCACAUUGAGAUACUAACUCUGAAAAUAUACAUGAUAUAUGUAUGUAUGUUAUUAUGAGGAAAUGAACAUGCAUUGAAUGUAACAUAUGAGUAAUGGAUGAUUAUGGAUUCUCUAUAAUAUCAGCUUGAAGGAAUCAUAACCGAAAACUUCCUCAUGAUUCAGGAGGAGCAACCAGGAUUGGAUCUCCUGUUAGGGGAGGUCGCGAGACAGGCGAAGCAGGUGCAUGAUUUUCCCUCCUAUUUGAUACAAUUUAAAAUUCUUCUGGUGAAUGCAAUUAGCUUUCAAUGGCAUCCGUGAUAGAAUCGCCGGGAAAUGAAUUGCAAGAUUAGCUUCGGCUAAUGGAAUCCAUGAUAGGAAUGUCGGGAGAUGAUUUACAAGAUUAGCUUCAGCUAAUGGCAUCCGUGAUAGGAUUGCCGAGAAAUAAAUUUCAAGAUUAGACUUUGCAAGGUCACCCAGUUCAUGCAAGUAAAUAAGAGUAUUCAAAUUAUUCAAAUUAAGAAUAUGCAAAUGAGUGUUAAUUGGGUUUAAAAAAUUUACAAGCAAAAUAUAAGUUCUCUGUUAGAAUUCUUAUGGAUCCGAUAGAAAAUUAAUACUUCAUUCGUAUACAUUACAUGAGCAUAUAUAUAUAUAUAUAUAUAUUCUUUAUCAACAUAAUGAUAUGUUUAUUUAUUUAAUAGGUCCAUCAAAUAUCCAGGGAGAUCAUUAGUUUAGGACUCUACUUUGUCAAGCUUAUGUAAAUAUUUAACUUAAACAUAAGGGAAUUAACGCGUUUAUGUAGUAUAGUUGUGUAAACCUUAAUGUAUUUAUAAAAGUUCAGCUUAGCAUGUAGUACUUUAGUUAUCUUGUAAUUAACCCUUUUGAAAUGUUUAAGAACACUUAUUAUGUUGUAAAUGCUUUCUUUGCAUGUUAGUUUUCCUUUUCUUUUAAAUUUUAUGAUGUGAUAUGUGGACCAUGUUCAUAUGGAACUUUCUCGUAGGAUAUAUAUAUUGUGUGGAUUGUAUGAGGCGUUGAAUUAUGAUGUUUGAUAUAAGAUCUGGAAUUAUGGGACCUUGUGAUGAUGGGUUGAUUGAGUAAAUUGAUAGUAGUCGAUAACUUGGGAUGUCCUAAAUGCAAACGAAACUCUGCUAAAGUUUUGGUAAAUUAAAAAAAAAUUACCCUCAAAUUAAGAGGAUAUGUUGGGAUCUUUUAACAUUGAUCCAGUCGGACUGUUACAGUUGGUAUCAGAGCCCUAGUAUGGGUUAUGAGAAGAAUUCAAAAGAGGUUGUUGAUGUUCAUUAAUUAUUGCAGGAUGGUACGUACCCGUCAAGAGAUUAGAACAGAUCUAACCUCUGCAAGGAGAGGGAAUAGAGAUAUAGACUUUUCCGAGGGGCAAGAAGAGAGCCCUUUGGAAGAUACUACUUCACCUGCACCGGUAGUAUCGACUCAAGAAGGGCAUGAAGAAUCGACGGGGCCUCAAAUUAGACUGGCACCAAGACAAACUGGGGAUGUUCGGCCGACCAUGUCAGCCCCACGGGAACGAGUAGAGGAGCCCCCUCAAACUACACCUGCAGGGCCAUCUUUUUCCUAUGUUGAUCCGAUGCUCCUAACUCAGCUAGUCAAAGCAGUAAUAGAAGGUAUGGCUAAUGUUGCCACUCCUAUGCUAGCACCCCCACCCGCACCCAUCAUACCAACCGUUUCAGAAGCAACUACAGCUACUAAUGAUGUAGUAUAUCUAGUUUGUUUGGUGAAAAGUAUGAGAGAAAUGGGUUGUGAACCCUACUGAGGUGAACAGGAUGCUGAAAUGGCGGGAAGAUGGAUUAGAAAGGUGGAGAAAACAAUGAUUCAAAUUAAGAUACCACAUGAUCUGCGGGUAGAUUGUGCUACACAAUUACUAUCAGACAGAGCUAUGACUUGGUGGGAGACAGUUUAGUUAAGGAGGGCUACAGAAACCCUAUCCUGGGAUGAUUUGAAGACAGAGUUUAAGAAUCAAUAUUACUCCAAAUAUCAUCGGAAGAUGAAGGAAUAGGAAUUCCUAGCCUUGAGACAGGAGGGAAUGUCAGUACUCGAGUACGAGAGACGAUUUCAUGACCUCUCACUAUUCGCACCACAUUAUGUUAAGGGAUGGCUUCAGACAAGAAUUGAAGCAGGGGUUGAUUGCUUUACAAUUCAAGACAGUAAGGGAACUGAUUUAAGCAGCACAGGCCUUAGAGGCUUGUAUGGAAGAAGGCCAACAUGGUCACGGGGGUGUAGGAAAACAAAAGGAUAUGAAAUUUUUAGGCAGGCCACCGCUUCCAAAGAAAGGUAGAGGCGAACAGUUCCUUCAAUUCAAAAAGAAAGGGGGGACAUCAACUAGCUCCUGACAGGAUAUCGGUGGGAAGUCGGGAAGAGGUCAGACCCGCUCCAGGUCUAUAUCUGCGAGGGGGGCUAAUGAACAAAAGGAAAUUGUUUACCCUCGAUGUGCUUAGUGAGAACAAAGACACCCCAGGAGUUGCUUGGUUUCUCCUGGAUGAUGCUACAUAUGUCGAGGAGAAGGUCAUAAUUGGAGAACUUGCCAGUACUUGGGAAGAGGAUGUCAUCACUGUGGUGAGAAGGGUCACUUUAAAAGGGAAUGCCCCCAGUUAAACACUGAACAGUCUCAGAGACAUAGGCAACAAAGUCAAAGUCAUCAGCAGUCCAUCACAGUAAAUAGACCGGGAAGGUCGACUCAGUUAGGAGUUAACUCAAAUAGGGGACGACCCAGAGUGCAAAAUAAAAGGGAUCAAGGAAGGGUUUUUCAUAUGACCCAGGAGGAUGUCAGAGCAGCAUCAGAUGUGGUAGUAGGUAUGCUGCAAAUGAAAGACUAUCAAAUGCAUGUUUUGUUUGAUUCUGGUGCCACUCAUUCCUUUAUAGCAAAUAAAAAUGUAACCAAAUUGAGUAAGGAAACAAAAAGGGUAGAAAAAGGAUUUAUUAUUAGGACACCUUUGGGUGAAACUAUGAAAACAAAUGUUGUAUUUGAAGGGGUGGGAAUUAACAUUAAUGGGUGUGAACUAGAAGUAGAUUUAAUACCCUUAGAAUUAAGUGAUUUUGAUAUAAUUCUAGGUAUGAAUUGGUUGGGCAAAAAUAAGGCUCGUCUAGACUGCUUUACAAAAACAGUAACCUUCUAAGGGGCUAAGGGUGAAACAAUGGUCUUUAAGGGGGAGAGAAUUUCCAACUUUACAAAUAUAAUCUCGAGUAUGGUUGCGGGAAAACUACUAAAGAAAGGUUGUACAGCAUACCUUGCCUAUGUGAUAAAUUCAAAAAAGGGUAAAAUAGGAUUGUCUGACAUUCCAAUUAUGAGGGAAUUUCCGGACGUAUUUCCGGAAGAAUUGCCAGGACUACCCCCAGAAAGAGAAGCUGAAGUCACCAUCGAUAUAUUGCCUGAGGUGUCUCCUAUAGCCCAACCACCGUAUAGAAUGGCCCUAAAAGAAUUGGAUAAGUUGAAAAUUCAAUUGCAGGAGCUUUUAGACAAGGGUUCAUACGACCAAGCAACUCACCUUGGGGGGCACCCGUAUUAUUUGUGAAGAAGAAAGAUGGAACAUUGAGACUUUGCAUAGAUUACCGUCAGCUGAAUAAAGUGACGGUAAAGAACAGAUAUCUACUUCCGUGGAUAGAUGAUUUGUUCGAUCAGUUGAAAGGUGCUAAAGUAUUCUCAAAGAUUGAUUUAAGAUCAUGAUACUACCAAAUACAAAUCAAAGGGCAAGAUGUGCCAAAAACUGCCUUCAGAACUUGCUACGAACACUUCGAGUUCUUGGUGCUACCCUUUGAAUUAACUAAUGCUCCAGCACUUUUAUGGAUUUAAUGAACCAAGUAUUCCAACCAUACCUUGAUAAGUUUGUUGUCGUAUUCAUCGAUGACAUCUUGGUUUACUCCAAAUCCUAUGAGGAGCAUGAACAGCACCUGAGACAGACACUACAGACUCUGAGGAGCCGCCAGUUGUAUGCCAAGUUGGAUAAAUAUGACUUCUGGUUAAAAGAAGUUACCUUUUUGGGGCAUGUAGUGUCUUCAAAAGGCAUUUUUUUGGACCCUCGGAAGGUCGAAGCGGUUUUGAGAUGGGAAAGGCCUACUACGGUAACUGAAAUUCGUAGUUUUCUUGGAUUGGCAGGGUAUUAUAGAAGGUUUAUCGAAGGGUUUUCAACGAUAGCAACUCCAUUGACACGACUCACCAGGAAGAACAUAAGAUGAGAGUGGUCAAAGGAGUGCGAUAAGAGCUUUCAAGAAUUGAAGAGAAAGCUUACUACUGCCCCCAUACUAAUCCUUCCAUCCGGAACAAAAGGCUUUGUAGUCUACAAUGAUGCCUCAAGAAAAAGAUUGGGUUGUGUCCUAAUGCAGCAUGGAAAAGUAGUUGCCCAUGCAUCGAGACAACUGAAGACUCAUGAAGUCAACUACCCAGUUCAUGACUUAGAAUUGGCAGCAGUAGUUUUUCUUUACGAGUAUGAAGUCACUACUUAUACGGAUCCCGGGUUCAAAUUUUCACGGAUCAUAAAAGCCUUAAAUAUCUGAUGUCGCAGAAAGAGUUGAAUAUGCAACAACAGAGAUGGGUAGAAUUAAUUAAAGACUAAGACUGUAUUAUUGAUUAUCAUCAAGGAAAAGCAAAUGUAGUCGCGGAUGCUCUCAGCCGUAAAUACAAGGCGAUUAGGGGUGGACCAACGACUUGGAAUGAGGAAACCAUGAUUGAGCUAAAGAGAUUGGGGGCAGUAUUAAAUGUGAGUCCGGAAGGAUCCUUAAUAGCUCAACUAAGGGUGAAGUCAGGAUAUCGAGAGCAGAUAUUAGAGGCACAACAGCUUGAUGAUGAAGUGUUAAAAGUAAGAAUCAAACUGGAAUCGGGGGGUGAAACUCUUUUUCGAAUGGGUGAUAAUGGAAUAGUGAUGUUGGGGCGACGUAUGUAUGUGCCUGACAACAAAGCCCUUAAACAAAAGUUACUACGAGAGGCUCACGAGUCUAAGUUCACUGUACAUCCAGGUAGUAUAAGAUGUAUCAGGAUUUGAAACAGUACUACUGGUGGCCAAAUAUGAGAAAAGAAGUGGCUGACUAUGUGGAAAAAUGUAGUAUUUGCCAACAAGUAAAAGUAGAACACUGAAAAUCGGCAGGGCUGUUACAACCAUUACCAAUCCCUGAGUGGAAGUGGGAGAUGAUCACAAUGGACUUUGCGUCGGGACUACCUAAAGGAAAGAGGGGAAAUGAUGCAAUCUGGGUCAUUGUGGAUCGACUAACUAAGUCUGCCUUUUUCCUACCAGUAAAGAUGACAGAUCCAGUUGACAAGUUGGCUAAGAUUUAUGUGAACGAAGUUGUAAGGCUUCAUGGAGUCCCAACAUCAAUUGUUUCAGAUCGAGAUCCAAGAUUUACUUCAUGUCUUUAGCCGAGCAUACAACGUGCCUAGGGAACAAAUUUGAGUAUCAGUACUACCUUUUAUCCGUAGACUGAUGGCCAAUUUGAGAGAGUUAUUUAGAUCUUAGAGGAUUUACUAAGGGCAUGUGCUUUGAAAUUUGAUGGAAACUAGGAGGAGCACCUGUCACUAGUAGAAUUCACGUAUAACAAUAGUUAUCAGACAAUAAUUGGAAUGGCCCUAUUUGAAACUCUUUAUGGCAGAAAGUGUAGGACACCCUUGUGUUGGGAAGAAGUUCGGGACAAAAAGUUGUAUGGGGCAGAAUUAGUACAAAUCACUACUGAAAAAGUGAGGAUUAUUAAGGAUCGAAUGAAGGUGGCUCAGGAUAGACAGAAGAAGUAUGCAGAUAUUCGAAGAAGACCACUUGAAUUUUGUCUUAGAGAUAAAGUAUUUCUGAAGGUAGCUCUAUGGAAGCAUAUGCUGAGAUUCGACAUGAAGGGGAAGCUAGCUCCAAGGUUCAUCGGACCAUUUGAAAUCCGAAAACGUAUCGGACCUGUAGCAUAUGAAAUAAACUUGCCCUCACAGUUGGCCAAGGUUCACAAUGUAUUUCAUGUUUCUUUGUUGCGAAAAGCUCAUGUAGACCCUUCGAGAGUGUUACCUCAAGUGCCAGUGGAGGUAAAAGAAGACUUAACACUUGAGGUAAGACCGAUAAAGAUACUUGAUUGGGGCGAGAAAGAACUUCGUAAUAAGAAAGUUCCCAUCAUCAGAGUCUUAUGGCGAAGCUCACAAAUCAAGAAAGAAACAUGGGAGAGAGAAUCAGAAAUGAGACAAAAAUUCCCUGACUUGUUUAUAAACUUAGGUACAACACUUAAAUUUCGAGGGUGAAAUUUCUAUUAGAAGGGGAGAAUGUAAAACUCGGGAAAAUAAAUAAAUAAAUAAAUAAAUAAAAGUGAAGAAAUUCAUAUAUAUGGUUAAAUAAAAACAGGAAUUCAGAAAUUUUUUAAUAUAAAUUUCCGGGUGAAAUAAUUCGAGACAUUAUAAUAAACCCCAUAUUGUUGAGGGUUGGAUUUAAUUGAAGAAAAUAAUACACUUAAAAGAAAAGGGGGGCCUAAAUGCAAAUAAGGAAAAUUAUAGAGUACAAAUACCCUCUCCUCACCAAAAAAAAAAUCUGCAGGAACCAUAAGGAAAGAAAAUAGGGAGUUUUGUACCCAUUCUUACAAAAUCAAGAGAGGAACACUAAAAUUUCAAGAACCCAUUCAAGAUUAAGGGUAUAUAGAUGGGAUAAACACUUGUGUGCAAGGGAUUAACAAAAAAGUUGAACAAGAAGAAAAGAAAGGAAGGAGUUGAAGAUCUUCAACUUGUUGAAGAUCAAAAUCUUAAUUCGUACCGGGUAAGGUGUUCUAAACAUGAUCUUAAAAAUUCAUUUUAAAUUCGAUAAUGAAUUGAUGCCUUGAUAUUGAAUUAUAAGUUAGGGUUCUUAGACAUGAAUUGGGGAAAAAGUAUUUGCUGUUAAAAUUAAGUUAAUUCAUGUGUGGUAUGUAGUUUAUAAAAGUAUUAUGUGAAGGGAAGGGGGUGACGAAUCUGGACAGACUCAUCUCCUAACUUUCGGUGAGAUUUCAGGUAGGAGGAUGAGGGAAUUAGGAUCGGGUUUCUUCAUAGAAAUUGUAGAUUUGAAUGUUAGCUAACCAAGAAAACUAGUCUUGCUCAAUUUGAAGAUGUAGAACUCUAGUUAUGGGUUACCAACCGAGAUUGAGUCGUAAAUGAUUAUGUAAGGCAGUAGGACUGAUUAGUUGAUGAGCAAUUUUGACUAUCUUGAAGGCAGAACUGGGUUCUCCUUCCUUCAGAGAACUUGUAGCCUCAUGUCUUAGCUUUCUAACGAGAUCAAUCUCACUUAAAAUAGAGUUUUAGAACUUUAGAUAUAGUUAAAAAUCUGAUGAGUGUUCAGAUAGUAACAGUUCAAUGUCUAGACAGUAACAGUUCAAUAUCUAGACAGUAACGGUUGGACAAUAAUAGUUCAAUGUCUAGACAGUAACGGUUAGAUAGUAACAAUUGGAAAUUUGACAGUAACAAUUCAAAGUUAGACAGUAACAGUAGAUUUUCACGUGAAUACUAUAUAUAAGAAUACAAAAGAAUUGAGUCAUACGAACACUUGCACAUUGAGAUACUAACUCUGAAAAUAUACAUGAUAUAUGUAUGUAUGUUAUUAUGAGGAAAUGAACAUGCAUAGAAAGUAACAUAUGGGUAAUGAAUGAAUAUGGAUUCUCUAUAAUAUCGGCUUGAAGGAAUCAUAACCGAAAACUUCCUUGUGAUUCAGGAGGAGCAACCAGGAUUGGAUCUUCUGUUAGGGGAGGUCGCGAGACAGGCAAAGCAGGUGUGUGAUUUUCCCUCCUAUUUUCACUUAUACAAUUUAAAAUUCUUCUAGUGAAUGCAAUUAUAAUAAAUAUUGUGUUCAAUGUACAUAAAGUCUAGCGUAUUUACAAGAUUAGCUUUGGCUAAUGGCAUUCGUGAUAAGAAUGCAGGGAAACAAAUUGCAAGAUUAGCUUCAGCUAAUGGCAUCCGUGAUAGGAAUGUCGGGAGAUGAUAUACAAGGUUAGCUUUGGCUAAUGGCAUCCGUGAUAGGGGCUAAUGGCAUCUGUGAUAGGAUUGUCGGGAGAUGAUUUACAAGAUUAGCUUCGGUUAAUGGCAUCCUUGAUAGGAAUGUCGGGAAACGAAUUACAAGAUUAGCUUUGACUAAUGGGAUCCGUGAUAGGAAUGCCGGGAGAUGAUUUACAAGAUUAGCUUUGGCUAAUAGCAUCCAUGAUAGGAUUGCCGGGAGAUGAAUUACAAGAUUAGCUUCGGCUAAUGGCAUCCGUGAUAGGAUUGCCGAGAAAUGAAUUUCAAGAUUAGACUUUGCAAGGUCACCCAGUUCAUGCAAGUAAAUAAGAGUAUUCAAAUUAAGAAUAUGUAAAUGAGUGUUAAUUGGGUUUAAAAGAUUUACAAGCAAAAUAUAAGCUCUCUGUUAUAAUUCUUAUGGAUCCGAUAGAAAAUUAGUACUUCAUUCGUAUACAUUACAUAAGCAUAUAUAUAUAUAUUCUUUAUCAACAUAAUGGUAUGUUUAUUUAUGUAACAGGUCCAUCAAAUAUUCAGGAGAUCAUUAGUUUAGGACUCUACUUUGUCAAGCUCAUGUAAAUAUUUAACUUAAACAAAAGGGAAUUAACGUGUUUAUGUAGUAUAGUUGUGUAAACCUUGAUAUAUGUAUAAAAGUUCAGUUUAGCAUGUAGUAUUUUAGUUAUCUUGUAAUUAACCCUUUUGAAAUGUUUAAGAACACUUAUUAUGUUGUAAAUGCUUUCUUUGCAUGUUAGUUUUCCUUUUCUUUUAAAUUUUAUGAUAUGAUAUGUGGACCAUGUUCAUAUUGAACUUACUCGUAGGAUAUAUAUAUUGUGUGGAUUGUAUGAGGCGUUGAAUUAUGAUGUUUGAUAUAAGGUCCAGAAUUAUGGGACCUUGUGAUGAUGGGUUGAUUGAGUAAAUUGAUAGUAGUCGAUAACUUGGGAUGUCCUAAAUGCAAACGAAACUCUGCUGAAUUUUUAGUAAAUCAAAAAAAAAUUACCCUCAAAUUAAAAGGAUAUGUUGGGAUCUUUUAACAUUGAUCAAGUCGUACAAUCGGACUGUUACACAUCAAGUUUAUUACACAUACACCUCUUCUUUUAGAAAGGACCGAUCAAGAGUUGAUUGGUUAUCCUUUUUAGAAACAAAACCCAAGGGUCGUGUCGAGGUUGUUCAGGAUGAGAACGAAGACAUAAGUGUGAUAGAUGAAGUCUUUCAAGUUAGUGAGUUGGUUGAACCAUAUCGAGUUGCUCUUUCGAUUGACUUAGAAGAAAAUUUGAAUUUUCAUGUUUUCAAUGAUAGUCUUGUUGAUGUUGACGCAGAGGAGUUGAAUGUUGUUUUGAGCUCUAGUGGACUAGCAAAUGUCAAUGAAGAUGAUGAUAAGCACAUUAAAGAGUGCGAUGGAGCUGAUAACAAUUCAAUUGACGACGAAGAUGAAAAUUCUGACUAAAUAUGAUCAGAACAUGAAAGUGUAAAGCCUUUUUUUGUAAUGUAAUAUUAUGGAUGAUAUUUUGGAAUAUGAAAUAUUUAUUUUAUAAUUGUUUGCUGUUGUUAUUGUGUUGUUCAGUAAGUUUGCAAUUUAAGUGUAUGAGCAGGAGGAUAAAUAGGCAAUACAAACAAAAUAUGUAAAAGUAUGACACAAAUACUGACGUACAUACUAACAGAAACCGUCCGCCAGUAAUUUACCAAGAGUUGCAAAAUAUUUACUACAUUCGCCACAAUCAUCGACGACCAUACCGAGAAUUGCAAAAUAUUUACUACCCAUGCCACAAUCAUCAACGUUGUUUCCAACAGACAGGCCGUCUGUAUAUCAUCAUAGAGGUGCGUGCGACUGUCAGAGUGUUAGGUUUGUUGAUGCGGAUACCUACGGAAUCACCGACGGACACUGCAAAUUCAAAAUAUACCGAUGGAAUUUACCGACGGAAAUUUAAUGCCACUGCCAUGAAAAUAUUAUUCAAAUGUCCGUCGGUACAAUUGUAGUAUAAAACCCACCCCCCCCCCUUCCGUGGUUCAUUUUUUUCUCUGUUUCUCAAUUAAUCUUCUCUUUUCCUCUCUGUUUGUGUUUUGUUUUUGCAAGAAUUGGUGCGGAUUUUAAUUGUUUUGAUUAUAGUUUUCAACAUAUUAAAAGAUAUGUAUUCUCCUUUCUUUAUCUUUAUCAUAGUAAUGGUUGUUAUGAUUAUUUUUGUUUUGUUUUUUGUUUUGUGUAUUAUUCGUAGAUAAAAUCUUGAAAUCAACACACUAUUCAGGUAAACAUUUUUCAUUCCUAAAGUCUUUAGUUUUUUCUUUUUAUUUGUUCAAUUUAUUUUAUUAUUUGUAUUGCCAUAAUAAAUGAAAAUUUUGUUAAAUUUGAAUUGUUAUUGUUGAAUUUACCUUAAAAAUGUUAAUUGAAAUAUAUAAUUAAAUUGAAUUAUUUUAUCUUAAUUUUAUUAUAUUAUUGCUUGUUAUGUUUUUUAUUAUUUCGAUUAAUUUUAAUUGUUAUUUAUGAAUUUGUAUAGAUGUUAGUUGAAAAUAUAUAGAUAUUAAAUCUCUAUAGAUGUUAGGUUGUAUAUAAGAUUUUGCAAUGGAGUCAAUUAAAUUGGCUUGUGGAUAUUAUCAAUAUUUGUAGGUAUGAAAACUGUGGGUAGUCUCUAAUAUAGGAGAGGUGCUGGCAAAUUUUUUUAAAAUAAUUGAAUUUAAUUAUAUAAUUAUUCGUAUAAAUUUAUGUAAAUGUGUAGAAUGAAAAAUUUAAUUAUUUUAUUGUUUGUAUUGUAAUAAUUAUCUGAAAAUUUUGUUGAAUUUUAAUUGUUAUUGUUGAAUUUACCUUGAAAAUGGUAAUUGAAAAUGAAGAAUUAAAUUUAAUUAUUUUAUCUCAAUUUUAUUCUAUUAUUGCUUGUUAUGUUUUUUAUUAUUUUGUCAUUUAUGUAUUUUUAUAGAUGUUAGUUGAAAAUAUAUAGAUGUUAAAUUUCUAUAGAUGUUAGGUUGUAUAUAAGAUUUUUCAAUGGAGUCAAUUGGUUUGUGGUUAUUGUAAAUAUUUGCAGGUUUGAAAAUUAUGGGUAGUCUCCAAUAUAGGGGAGGUGCUACCGAAUUGUUUUUAAAUAAUUGAAUUUAAUUAUGUAAUUUUUCGUAUAAAUUUGUGUAGAUGUGUAGAAUGAAAUCAACAGGACGUCAUCAGUAGACGGUUGCAGCUAGUUCUUAUAGUAGCGAGGAUGACUUAUCCUUAGAUGCUAAUCAAGAAGAGGCACCUACGCCAACUUGUAAUGCUGCCUCUUCUAGCGCGAUUUCACAUCGCAGAGGUGUUGUGCCUUCAUAGCGGGGUCAAUUCACCCGCAAGUACCAGGCACAUUGGAAGGAUGACCUUUCAAUGUCAGUUUAUUUAGGUUUUAGUUUUUUUUAUACUUAUAACAUAAUUUAUGAACAACUAAUUAAUAUUUUAUUAAUUUUAUUUAAUUUCAGGUUCACAAACAUUGAGGGUGCCUGAACAAUAACAUCGACGUUUAAAUCGUCGAUGGAGGUUCCAUUAUUUCAAUGGAGUCAGGUUUCCAGACAUCCUGAGUGGAGACCUAAUAUCGAUGUAUGGUUUCGACGAUUUCAGGUAGGUGUUAACUUCUAUUUUCUAGCUUAUUUUUAAUAAAGUAUUUUUUUAAUUUUAUAUCUUGUACUAUUAUUAUUUUAAAUGAAUUAUUUAUACACAACACAAAUUUGAGUGGGAUAGCGUGAACAACAAUGUUGUGAGGAGGGUAUGAGAGAAUCACGCAGCAACUAGGUAACACUGAAAAUAAUAUAAUUUUUUGUUUUAUAAUUUUAUGUUCUAAAUUCUAAUUUGUUACUAUAGAAGUAGGUUGUGUAAUUUUUUGUAUGAUACACAAAAAAAAGCAAAAAGAUAUGUGAGAGAUAACAAUCUAGAAGGCUAGAAUGAGGUGGUGGUUUGGCGGGAGUUCAAACCACCAUUCAUCUCGGGGGAUAAAUGGACGUAAUAUAUUGCGCACGUGAUGUCUGAGCGGUUCGCACGAUGCUCACAGUCCGGUGCUGACAGACAGAACCGAAAAAUUCAUGGUUCGGUGACCACGCUCACCGGCGACUCUGUUCUGUUUAGUGCACAUACGAAGCAGAUGGUAAGAUUAAUUUAAAUGAAAUAUAUCAUUAAUUAAUUUGUUGUUGCUUAUAAAUAUAUUUAACUUGCAACAUUGUUUUUCUUCCAGGCUACAUCUCUUGGACGUGAGCUGAGCCCAAUAGAGUUGUUUGUCGAGACGCACGUGCGAAGUGAAGACCGCCAAAAGGGCGUGCAACAGUUCGUGGACAACCAUGCUCAACACUUCAUGGUAUGUUCAUUUAAUCAUUUUAUUUCGUAAGUUAUUAUUUUCUUGAAUUGAAUAUGAUGAUUUUUUUAAAAAAAUUUCAGGAGACCUAUAAUAGCCGGUUGAGGGAGAGAUAUGGGGACGAUCCUUCAAGCCAUCUGGAUUUCGAUCCGGAUUUAUGGAUGGAGGUAGGAUCGUCUAGUGGACCCGAUAAAAAUCGGGUCUACGGGCUCUCCAACACUACGGCCGAAAACUUGUGGGCGGGUCGUAGUGUCUUAACCAUUGGGAGCUCUCCAUCAGUAUCGAGCAUCCAGUCUGAGGAGUUCAUGGCCUUGAAACAACAAUAUGAAUGACUCUUGAUGGAUUAUGAAACAGGUCACAUCAAAUCAACUUUAACACGUUUUAAUUUGAAACUCAGUCAGGUAAUGGGUCUGCACAAUGAGUCUUCGAUGUCAUUUAAAAUUUAUUAAAAUUAAUUAAUUCAAUAUAUAUUUGGGAUAUUAUUUUAUCAAAUACCAUUAAAUUCUUUGUUUGUUUUUGAAUGAUAUUAUAAUAUUUUUUUAUAAUAUAGCAAGCACUCUUUUUGUACAACCCUUCAUGUAUUGUAUUUCUUUUUCUGCUUAAAUUUUAUUCGGUUGUUUUCAUAUGCAUCUUUAUUUUUAUUAUUUCAUAAUUAAAUAAAAAAAUAGAUUAAAAAAAGUUUUUAAACCUAACUGGAUCUAUGACCUGGAUCGUGAGUUUGACGAGUUAACUUAGGUAAACGCCGGUUGAUUCAAAACAUCUUCUAAAUGUUUUUUUCAAAAAAAUUAAACAAAGUUGUCUUGAAUUUUUUUUAAGUCAAAUUGUGUUUUGACCGAGUUGUGUUUGGACCUACCAUGUCAACCGAGUCAUAUCAUGUCAACUUCAACCUGAUUUAAUUUGAAACUCGGGUCAAGCAAGGAACCGGGUAUAAGGGUCUCUAGAUUGCCCCGCAGAGCUAGACUGGAUUUGAUAAAUUAGCCAAAAUGUUCUCUGAAUAAACACACAAUUUUCGUAUCAUUCUUAUAUUUUUUGUUUAAUGCAUUUGCGUUCAAAUUAUCAAAACUUUAGUUUUUUUUUAAUUUAAACUUCCUUUUAUGAUUAUGGUGAGGUGUUGUAAAAAAAUAUUAUUGUAAUAAAAUGCUAUAAAAAAGGGAGCGUGUUAAUAAGAUAAAUAUGUUUUAAUUACAAAGAUAUUUUUUAUCCUUCUUUCAAAUCUUUCAUUUUUUAUAUUUAUUCAAUUUUUUUUAUUAAAUAAAGAAUAUAGAACAAAAAAAGGGAGCAGUUGACCGGGUAUCUGAUGAUGAGGGCAUUGAAUGCACAAUUGCUCAAAUCUUUCUCAACACUCAGAGAGUCUCCCCCCAUGAGAUUGUUGAAUCCUACAUAUUUCUUUUUUUAUGUUGGCAACUCGAGAGGCUAGUAAAUACUUUUCAAGGAAAAUCUUCUUCAUGUCAUUCAAAGUUCCAAUGGAACCUGGGAGAAUAGAGAAAAGACAUGUCUUUGCUGCCCCUUUUAAAGAGAAAGGGAAAGCUUUCAACUUAACUUGUUCUUUGUCAACUCCGUUUAGUUUCAUGCCAACACAAACCAUGUGGAACUCUUUGAGAUGAGUGUAAGGAUCUUCUCCGGCAAGUCCAUUGAAUAUUAAUAGUAAAUGUAUAAAACCAGACUUGAGCUCGAAGUUGGCAUUGUUGUCGAUGUUUAUGCAAAAUGGUUGAUUCUCCACAUUAGGAGCACCAAGCUCUUUGAGUGUCUGUUGUUGUGUAACAACCAUAAUGUUGAUGCGAACUUCUUUUCAUAACCUACGUAAAGUUUUUUCUAUUUCAAGAUCUACAUGCACUUCUCUGGUUAGUAGAACGGGUUACAAGCAUAAAUUGUCAAGGAAACUCAAAAGAAACAGAAACCAACCACACACGAGAUUUAAAGUAGUGCAAAUUGAAUGAAAAUCCUAUGCUAAAAGAUCCCAACAUAUGCUCUUAAUUUGAGGGUAUUUUUUUUUUUUGUAAAUAAUUCUAUCAAAAUUUUGGCAAAGUUUCUUUUGUAUUUAGGACAUCCCAAGUUAUCGACUACUAUCAAUUAACUCAAUCUACCCAUCAUCACAAGGUCCUAUAAUUCCGAACCUUAUUUCAAUAACCAAUAUUCAACACCUCAUACAAUCCACACAAUAUAUAUAUAUAUAUAUAUCAAGGUUUACACAAAAGAAUGCUGCAUAAUCGCGUUAAUUCCAUUAUGCUUAAGUUCAAUAUUUAUAUAAGCUUAACAAAGUAGAGUCUUAAACUAAUGAUCUCCCUGGACAUUUGAUGUACCUGUUACACAAACAAUCCAGUAAGCAUACCAUUAUGUUGAUAAAAGAAAUAUAUAUGAUCAUGGAAUGUAUACGAAUGAAGUAUAAAUUUUCUAUCGAAUCCAUAGGAAUUCUAACAAUCAACUUAUAAUUUGCUUGUAAAAUCAUUUAAACCUAAUUAAAACUCAUUUGCGUAUCUUUAAUUUGAAUACUCUUAUUUACUUGCAUGAACCGGGUGACUUUACAUAGUCCAACCUGGAUAUUUUUAGGCAAUUAUAUUUAUCAAUUUCUCCCAGAUCAUUCAAACACGGAUACCCUUUACAAAUCGAGUCUUAUUAAUCAUUCUCGGGCGUCCCGACGCGGACAUCAUUAGCCAAAGCUAAUCUUGUGAUUCAUUUCCCGACAAUCCUAUCACAGAUGCCAUUAGCCGAAGCUAAUCUUGGAAAUACACUAGACUUUAUUUACAUUGAAAAUGGCAUUUAUUGUAAUGGCAUUCACCAGAAGAACUUUAAAUUGCAUAAGUGCAAAGAGGAGGGAAAAUCACGCACCUGCUCCGCCUAUCUUGUGACCUCCCCCAACAGAAGAUCUAAUCCUGGUCGCUCCUUCUGAAUCACAAGGAAGUUUUUGGUCAUUAUCCCUUCAAGUAGAAUGUUAUAGAUAAAAUUAACCCACUUUAUCAGGUUUAAUAAUACUAUUAAAAAAUUCUUCAUACUUUUAAUAAUUUUUUUAUAUUUUUUUUAAAAAAUUGAUCACGGCAAAGCAUAGGGAAUAUUCUAGUAAACUUGUAAGCAUGGAUCAUGAUAUAUGGAACAUUUACACGUGGCGGCAUGAACUGAAAAUCGCUUUAAUGCAGGGGAAAUGACAUGAAUGCCUCCCUGGAAUGACCCUAAUAUUGCGCCCAUUUUGGAUUUUAUUAGUCUACUCUCGAGAUAAUCAAAGGAACAAUAUGAUUUUAAGUGUUUGAACUUAUUGAUUUUUAAAAUUAGGUGUUUGAACUUUAUUUUUAUUCAAAUAAGUAUAUUAUUUUAUUUUACACAAUAAAGUGGAUGUAUAUUAGUUAAAUGUUUAGUGUCAAUAAAGAGUGAAAAUAAAAAAUUUAUAUACAUGAACUAAUGUGUCUGUUAAAAAAUUUCUUGUCAGAAGUUAACUAAAAACAUUGUCUAGAAUUCUAGUUUGCAUGUCUAACAUAUAAAAAAUUAUUUUCAUGCGUUUCUUCUUUUUUUAUAAGAGCAUGCACACAUAAAUUUGUAUACAUGUUCAUGUUUCAACACACCAUGGCCUCUUGCAUGAUCCAUACUUGUUUAUUUUAACAUGUAAUACAUAAUUCAACAUUAAAAGUGCCCCCCUGUCUCCUUCAUGUCUGGCUGAAGGCUUUCUCUCCUAUUUCACACUAUUUUCACUUCUAUCUACCCAAGAAAAAUCCUCAAAAACCCUAAUAUAAGAGACAACUUUUGUACAAAACUUACCCAAUGUAUUAGAAAUUGUUCUAGGAAGGUUUUGGGUUUAUCCUAGUUGCGUUUUCUACUCCCUAAAAACUCUUCUCCCUCAUAUUUUCUUGGUCUCUUUCCACUCUUCCUUUAUUGUCGCUAGCCUCCUGCCUUCCUUUCCCUCAAUUUAUUUUGCUUUUGAUGCUUUAAUCUUCACUCAAACCUCUUAAUUUCUCUUAUGUGUUUGCUUGCUUUUGAUUUUCUCCACCUGUUCUUUGGAAUAAGAUGUUGAAGAGAAGAGUGUCUCUUCCUUUUCCCCUCCUCUCUAUUCUGCCAUCAGCCCUCUUAUUCUUCUUAGGGCUAAUAGGUUUUUUUCUUUUUGUUUUUGCUUUUGUCCCUCAUUGGUUUAUAUAUUUUCAGUUUAGUCCCCUCACUCUUUUGUCUUUCUCAUAUUAAAUCCCAAUUUCUCCUUAUUCACUUAUGUGUGUUUCAUACUUCAAGUUAGAGCUAUUGUCUUUUACCAAUAGGUUCUUCUCUAUUUACUAAAUCUCAUGCAUUCAUGUUUUAGGAGUUCACGAAAAAAUACCCAUAAAUGCAUGCCUAUUUUUUUUUUGUCUUUUUCUAGGGGUGAAGAUAUUUUUUUACUAUAUUCUAAGAAACAAAAAGACAAACAAAACUAUUGGUAAACAAUUCUAAUUUUUUUUUAUAUUGGGAUAAAUAAUUCAUUUUACUAUGUAAGAUAAAUAUACCCUUUAUUAAUUUUCUAAUAAUUAAUGAGCCAUUAAAAUUAGAUAAAACUUGUAACACCCUCAAUUUAAUUUAUAUUAAUAAUAACAAUAAACUUACACAAAUUUAAGUGGGUCAUACUGUAACACAAGGCCCAAGAGCUUUGGGCACCUCUUAAAUAAGGGACCUAAAUGUCUUGGGUCUGGCUGCAAUCCGAACCUAUUAUAUUUGGGUGAGGACGUAAGACCUAAGAGCAUUGGAUGCUGAGACGGACCCAUUAGCUUCGGGUUGGACUCUUGACCCAAAAGACUUGGACUAGUUAGGGCUGCAAAUCUCAAGGGACUUGGUCUUCCCCCAGUCUCUUUCAAGCAAUUUGAGUCUGGCAUGCCCUUCCAGAUCUAAGUUAAUAAUAAUAAAAAUAAUUAAUUUUAUGCUUCAAAUCACAUAUAUGUUUUUUUUAUAGUAAAAAAAUUUAUUUCAAAUUUAAUAAUAUUUAUGAUAUUAAUAAUAAUAUUAAACUUAUCUUACCUAAGUUUUUAUAGUUUUUAAUCCCCUCAAGUAAAACUUAUUGUUUUUCUUCUAUAAUAAUAAUAAUAAUAUUUUUCUUCAAACUUAUUAAUUUAAUAAAAACUAAUAAUAAUAAUUUUACCCUUCAAAUAAAAUCUAUGGCUAUUUUUCAAAAUUAAUGAUAUAUUUUUAAAAUUUCUUAAUUAUGAUAUUAAAAAUAUUAAUUAUAAUAAAAACAAUAAAAUUUAUAAUACAAAUAAUAAUAUUUUUAAUAUUAGCAGUAUUAAUUAUAAUACAAAUAAUAAUAUUUUUAAUAUUAAUAAGAAUAAUAAACUUAUCCAAGUUUAAGUGGGUCUGACUGCAACACCAGGUUCAAGAGCUUUGGGCCCCUCUAAAAUGAGGGACCCAAAAGCCUUGGGUAUAGCCACAAUUCGAACCCAUUAAAGUUGGGUGAGACGCAAGAUCGAAGAGUAUUGGGUCAUGACGUGGAACCAUUAGCCUAGGGUCCGACGCUUUACCCAAUUGUCUUGGGCCACAGAAGGAUGCAAAACCUAAGGGACUUAUCUGACCCUGGCCACUCGCAAACAAAUUGGGUCUAGCAAGUCCUUCCAUACCCAAGUUAAAAAUAAUAAAAAUAAUUUAUUUUACCCUUCAAAUAACAUUUAUGUUUUUUUUUCCAUAGUAAUAAAAAUUAUUUCAAAUUUAAUAAUAUUUAUGAUAUUAAUAAUAAUAUUAAACUUAUCUGACCUAAGUUUUUAUAGUUUUUAAUCCCCUCAAAUAAAACUUGUUGUUUUUGUUCGAUAAUAAUAAUAUUUUUCUUUAAAUUUAUUAAUUUAAUAAUAAUAAUAAUAGUAAUAAUAAUAUUUUUUCCCUUCAAAUCAAAUCUAUGGUUGUUUUUUCAAAAUUAAUUAUAUAUUUUCAAAAUUUUGUAAUUAUGAUAUUAAUAAUAUUAAUUCUAAUAAAAACAAUAAAAUUUAUAAUACAAAUAAUAAUAUUUUUAAUAUUAGCAAUAUUAAUUAUAAUACAAAUAAUAAUAUUUUUAAUAUUAAUAAUAAUAAAAUUAAAAAUAUUUUUAAAACAAAUAAUAAUAUUUUUAAUAUUAAUAAUAACAAUAAAAUUACUCAAGUUUAAGUAGAUCUAGCUGUAACACCAGACCGGAGAGCUUUGGACCCCUCUUAAAUAACGGAUCUAAAAGCCUUGGGUCUUGCUGCAUUCCGAACCCAUCAGAGUUGGGUGAAGAUGCAAGACUCAAGAGCAUUGGGUCCUGACGCGAACCCAUUAACCUAGGGUCUGACUCUUGACCCAAUUAUCUUGGGCCAGAAAGGGCUACAAGACCUAGGGGACAAGUCUAUAUAUAUUUUAUUGUUGUUUGCAUUGAUCAAAUCACACUAUCUUGCUGCUUAACCUCAAGCAUUACUCAGUUGUAAGAAACUUGACUGACUAAUUUCACAAAUACAUGGAGGAUAGGUCGUUCUAGCAAAAUAUAUUGUAUGAACAUUUCUUUGCAAGCUUAAAAACACACCCUGAAUCUCCCUAAUUUACUCGUAAAAAGAUGAUGGCUUCACCAUUUUAAGUGAGAAACUUAUAAAAUAGAGAGAAAAACCUUAACCCAUCUUCAUAAUCUCUUUACAACUUCAUAUUCUAAGUUUGCAAGUCAUAAAAGAAAAGGCAAAAACCAAUGAAGUGUUGGUUUAGUAGUUAGGCACCGUUAUAUCUCUGCAAGGGUGAGAAUACAAGUUCGAUUCUUGAGAAGCAUGCUUGUUGGGAGAGGCAGCCACAAGCCCCGAACGGGACUAGUCUCACCCUUUAAAAAGGGUGUGAGGAUACCCGAGAAACACCAAAAAAAAAAAAAGACAAAUCAAAGAAAGUCCCAUAAACCCAUACAACAAACCUAAAUUGAAAAUCCUAUUUAAAUAUACUUUGUUGCUACUGCUACUGCUACUGCCUCUGCUGAUGCUGAUGUUGUUUGUGCUCGAGCUCGUGCUCGUGCUCGUACCAGUGCCUGUGCUCGUGCUCGUGCUCGUGCUGCUGUUAUUGUUGUUAGUGCUGGUGUCGGUGCUGGUGUUGGUGGCUGCUGCUUGUAGCGGUUGUGGUGUUGCUGCUAGUUCAAUAAAUUAACUGGGUUUUUGCAGGUGAAAUAUGCAAGAAUAUUUUGGAUUUAUUUGUCUAAAAAUAAUAAUUUCAUGUAUUUCAAAUAUUGUUGAUAAAGAUGUUAGAUUGAAAAAUUAAAUAUUUCUUUCUAUCUUUUUUUUUUAAUUAUUAAUAGAGAUAUAGAGAGCGAUUAAAAAGAUGUUAUGGGCUGGGUUUUUUUUUUAUUUUAAUUUCCUAACAGAUGAAGCCUAUUCCAAAAAUCAUAAUGUUUAGGAUAGAAAAUCAGGGGUUUUUCGUUUAGUACAAUUUGGCCUUUUUCUUUCCUGAAAAGGAACUGUCCAUUCUAUUAACAAACAAAAUGCGUAGUGAUGUUUUAAAACCCAUCUUCCCAACCAAACACAGAAAUUUAAAUGCCAAAUCAAAGGAAAGCUCAGGAAUAGAACACUUGGCUGUUGAAAACUCGAAAUACCAACGAAAUGCACGUAAAUUUUGUUCUUACCUGGCUACUUGUAGAGAGUCCAACAUCAUAAACCAUGGUGAGAUCAGUCUUGAAAAGUCCAAAUGAUCGCUCAGAACCAGGUCCAGGUUUCAAGUCUUCGUCAUAAAGAGCAAAGAGGUAUGUAUCCACUGAUUUUCCUGGCAUGAGUGGAGUGCCCACCAUCGAUCGAAGGUGUGCAAUCAAAUUCCCAUUGUAAGCCUUGGCAUUCUCAAUGCUUGGCCCUACGUCGUUGUCAUCUCCUUUAAAUGGCCAUCCAGUCUCAGCCACCACAAUCUCAACAUUCUUAAAUCCCAUAGAAUUCAGUGCAGAAUAAACUGCAUCCACCUGCAAUUGAUUAAACCACUUGUUAGUAGCAUUUCUAUUCGAUCAUCUAUUGAUACAAAAUUUACGCCUUGCAAUUUGAUUUACUCUCACCUGAGCAUCGAACAUGUUCAUGUACUUGAUCUUAAUGUUUCCAUCCGUUCGUCCUGCAUUCGGCUGGAAAAGGCAAAAAGCAAGAGUCUCAGGCCUUGUAUCGCUUCUGUAGGCAUAGUAAGGGUAGGGAUUGAUUGCGAAAGGCGAACCAUUCGCACUAUUAAACUCCAACAAGCCCUUCAUCAGAUCCCCAUAACUUGGAUCAAAGCUUCCAGAAGAAGGUGGCUCAGACUGCUUAAGCACUCCCAUCGAAUGAACUGUGGAGACCUUAAUUUUACCCCCGAGCGAUGCAUCAUUUAGAGCAUUCUGUACAUUUUGCAUUGCUGGUAAGAGCUUGUUCACGAGAUUCUGGUCAUUGGAAGUCAUGACCUCGUUGCCGACAGUGAUGAGGAUGAUAUUGCUAGCUGGAUAGAAGGGAAGCACGUUUGUGUUGAUCCAGCUCUCGGCAAAAUUGGGAUCAGAGGCUAGUCCUGGAAUGUCACCAUUUGCAGUGCCGACAACAAUUCCAAUUCCGGUGUUGGCUAAGGCUUUGAUUAUAGCGGGGUCCGAUCCAUAUAGUCGGACCUUUUGGAUUGAAGUGGAUUGAAGAAGCUUUGCGGUGGAUGGUGGUGGUGGAAGGUUGUCCGCAACUUGGCCAUAGUUUAUACCGAUGAAUGAUUGCGAGUCUGCACAAAAAGCAGCAAAAUUUAAAGCAGAUGAUCAAACAUCAAUUUUUAAACGACAAAACAGAACACCAACAUUUUUUGUUUUCAUAGACUGAAAUGAAGACAGCUCAGUUAAGGUAAAUUCCUUAGAAAUGGAAGAAGGUAAUUAAAAUAGAAAGAGACGCAAACUUACUUGCGAUUUUUACAGUCUGUAAGGAGGAAAGGAGUAGGAAAGCAACAGUAUAAGGAAGCACCACCAUGGCUCAGGAGGAGCUGUUUCUAUUCUGCAUUUUUUGAAAGUGGAGUGGGCAUUAAAUAUAGAAGAUGCUACAAGUCGAGGGCAGAAGCGUAAAGAUGACUUCGGAUAUAUUCUUAUUAUAGAAUAGUAGGGCCCUUAACAUUAUGUUUUAGGAGUUAAAUUUUUUAUUUAUUUCAUGUGAUCUCUUAAAUUUAUAUAUUCUUGGAAGCAAAGUUGAUGAGAUAAAGUUUAAAUUUAUAGGAUAAAAACAUAUUUAAAAGAAAAAAUACCAAACAUAAAAAAAUAGCAUGGCUUUUCUAGAAUUCGUAAGAAAAUGUACUUUUGCCUUUUAUCGCCUAUUUAUUUAGUCAAAUCGAACUGAUUAAUUAUUCUCUUCAUUAAUUUUUUUUUAUUGCCUUGGUUAAUCAUAUAUAUUCGAAUGUAAUAGAUAACUAUGUUUUCAACCAUUUUUAAAGUGAAUUUGCAGUUGUUUUUUUUUUCUUAGGACCAUUGACCUGCCUUUUGGUUAUUAUGUGGAAAACAAGAGGGAAAGGCAGAGAACUCAAAUCGAUUGGAAAGUUAUGGUACGAUGACAAACACUUCAAAGCUAGCUUGUUAACGUAUAGUUCCUCCAGCCCUAACAACUAACACUAAGCAUUGUCACAACCAUUGCAUCUGCUUAUAGAUUCUUUGAAGACAAGUUCUCCUUCUAAGUUUCAAAGCUUCUUUGUAGAAAUAAAAUGCACAAUUUUCCUUUUAUCUGAACCUACUAAUACGUGGGCACACCGUAGAUGACGUUGAAAUCCUGUAUGUAGAUCGUUAGGGGCCAAGUUCAUGUUGAAAAGAAGUAUUGAAAACUGAAAAGCAUUCUCCACCCUUCAAUCCUGCAAGUGAAACGGAGAAUUAGACGAGAAGGUUUCCUCUUUUUUGAGACUCACAAAGUGUUAAUGGUGUGCAAUCCAUAUAUCAAAUUGUUAUGUAAACUUCUGAAAAUUUGUUUGAGCUUUGAUUUGUAUACACUAAACAACAACAAGGGAAAUAAUCUAUUUAUUAGCACAAAUUGCUAUGCUGAGCUUCGAUUUAUUUUUUUUGGUACUUCAUUGUUCAAUAUAUUUAUUUGAUUCAUAUGAUAAUAAUUUUGUGUUGUAGCGUACUUAGUUAGCACACGUUUCUAAAUCUAGAAGUCGCGGUUUAUUUCAACGUCAUCUAUAUAUGUUGUGCCCACGUACUAGUAGGUUCAGAUAAAGGAAAAUUGUGCAUGUUUAUUUCUACAGAGAAGCUUUGAAACUUGGAAGGAGAACUUGUCUUCAAAGAAUUUAUAAGCAGAUGCAACGGUUGUGACAAUGCCUAGUGUUAGUUGUUAGGGCUGGAGGAACUAUACGUUAACAAGCUAGCUUUGAAGUGUUUGUCGUCGCACCAUAACUUUCCAAGGACUUGGAUCGAUUUGAGUUCUUAGCCUUUCCCUCUUGUUUUCCCCGUAGCUGCAAAUUAUUAUAUAUAAAGCUAAAUCAUGUGAGGAAAGUGCUAUUUAUAAAGACUAAUUGUACCGUGAAUUGGAACACUGUUAGCAAAAGUCAUGUUCAUCAAGAUUAAUGGCACUGUGGAUUGGAGCAGUAUAAUGACGGAGUUGUCCUUGUCAUAGAGGUGCAAAGACUGUAGGGUAAGGGUGGGCCGGGUUGUCUUUUCAUUGGGAUACAUUUAACAUUAAAGAAAUGGUUAGAAAAAAACGGUCAAUGUAAAUUUUGAUGGGGCAUAAUAGGACUACAGACCUGGUUGUAGACAUCUGGUGCUAGGCAAUCAUGCCCUGCCACAUAUGGUGGACUAAGCAGUAAAAGUUUUUAUGGUUUCAUUAACCACCUGCAACAAGGCUGUAUAUAUUUUACUGUUGUUUGCAUUGAUCAAAUCACACUAUCUUGCUCCAUAACCUCAAGCAUUACUCAGUUGUAAGAAACUUGACGCACUAGUUUCACAAAUACAUGGAGGAUAGGUCGUUCUAGCAAAAAAAAAUACUGUAUGAACAUUUCUUUGCAAGCUUACACACACACUGAAUCUCCCUAAUUUACUAGUAAAAAGAUGAUGGCUUCACCACUUUAACUGAGAAAGAGAAUGGCAUAAAACACCCAUCACCUCCAAAAGGCUCUGUAGAGAGUCCGACAUCAUAAACCAUGGUGAGAUCAGUCUUGAAAUGUCGAAAUGAUCGUUCAGAACCAGGUCCAGCUUUCAAGUCUUCGUCAUAAAGAGCAAAGGUGUGCAAUCAAAUUCCCAUUGUAAGCCUUGGCAUUCUCAAUGCUUGGCCCUACGUCGUUGUCAUCUCCUUUAAAUGGCCAUCCAGUCUCAGCCACCUGCAAAUACACUUUAAAAAUGGUUGAAAACAUAGUUAUCUAUUAGAUUCGAAUAUAUAGGAUUAACCAAGGCAAUACAAAAAAUAAUUAAUGAAUAGAAUAAUUAAUCAGUUCGGUUUUUUUAAAAGACUAAAUUAAUAUGCGAUAAAACUGAAAAGAAAUAGAAAUAAUAAUUAGAACUAGAUGGAUUUUGAAGAGACUCGGUUGCACAAUCUCGUUGGUUUGAUCAUUUUUGGUUUUGUUUUGAGUAAUAUUCGCUUUACUUUUGCAAAUCUAGUAUUUGUUUUUCUUCCCUUUAGUUUCUGCAAAUCUGGUAUUUCAUUUUCUCUUCAGUUUCUGCAACUUGGUAUUUCAUCUUCUCUUUAGUUUCUGUAACUUGGUAUUUGCAUUCUGUUUCUAUAAUUUUUUGUUUUGGAGUAAUCAUAUAACUUCGAGAAGAUAUUUGUUUAGUUUCUGCGAUAUCUAUUCAGUUUGUGCAAUUUGGUAUUUUGUUCGUCGCUGCUUUUGCAUUCUGGUUCUCUGUAAUUGUUGAUUAUGACUACUGAAAGAGAUGAUUCACUUUAGUCUGUGAGUGUGAGGUUGGAUGGGAAGAACUAUUCGUAUUGGAGUUAUGUAAUGCGAAAUUUCUUUAAGGGUAAAAAGAUGUGGGAAUAUGUGAGUGGAACUUAUGUGAGUUGAGAAUAAAUGGGAGGCUUAACCUAAUGGUUAGCCAACCCUUUCUAUAUAUAUAGGUAGGGCAAUAUACAAUAGUAAUGGUGGAGGUUACCACACAAGAGUAUGUCUACAAUAUUUCCUAUAUAAGUACAUUCUAUAAUAUGCCCCCUCAAGCUGAGGGUGGAGGAUCAACCCGAAGCUUGAAACGAAAAGCAGUAAAUGAAGAAGUAGGAAGUGGCUUACGGAAGACAUCGACAAGUUGAUCCUGGGAGGAAAUAAAACGAAUCUGAAUCUCCUUCUUUGCAACUCUAUCUCGGACAAAAUGAUAAUCGACCUCAACAUGUUUUGUGCGAGCAUGAAAAACAGGAUUCGCAGACAAGUAAGUGGCACCAAGGUUGUCACACCAGAUAAUAGGAGCAGAAGUAGACGGAAUCUGGAGAUCUGUUAAUAAAUACUGAAGCCAGAUAACCUCAGCAGUGCCAUCAGCUAAGGCUUUGUACUCAGCCUUAGUAGAAGAGCGAGCAACUGUGCGUUGCUUACCGGAUUUCCAUGAAAUCGGCGUCUGACCAAAAAACACAAGGUAACCACCCGUAGAUUUUCUGUCCUCAACACUGCCUGCCCAAUCUGCAUCUGUAAAACCAUGUAAGGCAAAAGAAGAACUGCGAGUAAUAUGUAAGCCAUGUGAUGUCGUACCCUGAAGAUAACGCAAGAUGCGUUUCACGGCAGCCCAAUGAGAAUCUGUAGGAGCAUGCAUAAACUGACAGACUCUGUUAAUAGCAAAGCAAAUAUCUGGGCGCGUAAAAGUGAGAUACUGAAGAGCACCCACAAUUUGACGAAAGCGGGUAGCAUCAGAAAACAAUGGAUCGGGCAGAAUGGUAGCUUUGGAUGUAGAGAUAGGGGUAUCAACAGGUUUGCAAGAUAACAUACCAGCCCGAGUGAGGAUGUCAAGUAUAUAUUUAUGCUGGUGGAGCAUAAGACCCAUACUAGUAGACUGAACCUCAAUACCCAAAAAGUAAUGAACAGAACCCAAGUCGCGAAGCUUAAAUUCUGAGCUCAAUAGCUGAAUGAGGUGUUGGAGCAGAAGAGAGUUACUAGUCGUAAGCAGAAUAUCAUCAAUGUCAUAACCCAAUUUUUGACCAUUUUAUUUUAAUUAUUAUUAUUAUUAUUUUAUUUACUGAAAAAGAUAAAAAAAAUGAUGAUAAAAAAAUAAUGAUGAUUAAAAAACAAGUAAAAUGAAGAAUGAAUUAAAAUUUGGUUUGAGGGCAACAUGAUUGAUAAGUUUUGAGAUUUAAUUGAGUUUGAAAUUAAUUUAAUUAAUCCAAUUAAGGGUUUAAUUGGAGAAUUGAUAAGUUUUGAGACUUAAUUAAGCUUGAAAAUUAAUUUAAUUAAUCCAAUCAAGGGUUUAAUUGGAGAAUUAUUAAGUUUGGAGACUUAAUUAAGCUUGAAAAUUAAUUUAAUUAAUCCAAUUAGGGACUUAAUCGAAGAAAUAUCAAAGUUUGGGGUUUAAUUGGGGUCUAAAUUGCAAAAAUUAAAAUCCAAGGACCAACUUGAAAAUGGCGCAGAAAUGUAAGGAUCCAAUUAUAUUUUAACCAGGGGUUUGAUUGCAAAAUUAAAAGAAUUACAAUGACCAAAUUUGCAGCCAGCAAAACGGGGUCGUUUUGCAACGACUGUUCACCGUCUCUUUACUCUGCAACGGCUCUGCCAUUAAAGGCAGAGACGUUUCGUCCGUUGGCAGCUAACACGGACGUUUUCUUCAUUGAAGGCGUCGGUUACGGAGCAUUUAGGGUGGGGGGCAACUGUUACCACCACCGAGGCUGCUGCUGGCUCUAUAAAGGCUGAACAAAGGCGACCAGAAAAGAGGAGGCAAAACAGAGAGACAGAGAGACUGGGAACGAAAGAAAAACUGGGAGAGACAGAGGACAGAAACCCAUAAAACAGAGACCAAUACAAGCAGUAAACCCAGAAAACCAACACUAAUAUCAUCGUCUUCAAUCGCCCCCCUGCAAACCAAAAAAAGAAGAACCCAAGCAGCAAGCCGUGACCUUCAUCAUCACAGAAACAAAAGGAAAACAGAAAGGGGAAGGUCAUACACAGACGAGAGCAAAAUCACUGUGCCGCAAGCCUCCUCGCAAUCUCCAGAAGCAGGUAGGCCGUUCUCAUCCUCUUUUCAUUCUUGUUUGAAAUUGUGCAAUUGUAAAAAUAAUUAGGUGUAUAACUUACUGCCUUGAAAUGCACAAACAAUAACAACUGUUAAGGCACCACCUCUGAUUGCACGCGUGAAUUUGUUUCACGCGUGCACCUUAAUUAGCUCAGUCGGGCCACUGGCUUGGGCCAGUGACCGGUCUGGGCUGGCUGGGUCUAGCCCAGCCCAUGUGGGCUGAGCUGGGCCCAGCCCCAAAAAUAAUAAAAAAAUAAAAAAAAUAAAAAAUAGGAGAAAUAGAAAAAAUAGAAAAAUAUAUGUAUGCAUGAAUAAAAAUAAUAUAAAUUUACCGGUUUAUUCACCAACGCCAGAGUCGGGAGUAAAAUACUGGUUUAAGUUUAUAUUAUUUUUAUUCGUUAUAUUUUAUUUUAUUUAGCAAGAAAAAAUAUAUGUGCAUGUAUGAAAAAUAAAUUUAUUUAUUUAUUUAUUUAUUCACUGACGCCAGAGUCAGGAAUAAAAACAUUGAUUUAAUUUAUUUUUUUAACUACAUAAGAAAAAUAGAAAAAUAUGUGAAUGCGUAAUAAAAUGAAUUUAGUUUAUUUGUUUAUUCAAUAAAAAAAUAUUAAUCUAAAUUUAUUUUAUAGCUACGUAAUAAUUACCAACGCUAGAGUUGGAAUUAUCCGUAGUCGAAUAUUCACUGACGCCAGAGUCAGGAAUAUCGUGAAUAAAUCAUCAGAAUGUAAACCAAUAAAUGUUUAGCAAUUUAAGACAAAACCAACAAUGCAGUCUGCCUCAGGCAGAACGUUUAAGGGGUGAUAAUAUCUUCCCUUUUACGUAACCAGUCCCGUACCAUAGAAUCUCUGUUGACCAGUUAGGGUUCCUAGUGACCAUAAUACUAGGUGGCGACUCCUCAAACAAGACCUUUUCCCCUAAAAGAACAAGAUGCCAGAAAUCUGUUCUUUUUCCACAAUUCUAGAGAAUUAUUUUUUGUGGGCCACCGCGAUGUCGGGUGCGACAGGAUGGCGACUCCACUGGGGACCUAGGACUAAGCUUUGUUUUCUUUGUUUUCUUAUUGCUAAAUAUGUUCUUUUUGUGUUGUUGGUGUUUAUCAAAUUUUUUUGUUUUUUUUGUUUUUUUUUGUUUUUUGUUUUUUUUUUUAUUAUUAUUCAUUAUGUAUUCUUGUGUAUUUUAUUUUAUUAUUUUUAUUAUUUUUGUUCUUUUUACUGUUUUAGCAUGCAUAAUUAUUCAUAUUUAUCACGCAUACAUGUUAAUAUGAACAUCAUUCAAGUUUGUUUUUUUUAUAUACAUGUGGUACCAACUUUAAGAUAAGUGGAGGAGUAACGGCACCCCAAUGGCUUUAGCCUAGGUAAGGCUCGCGAAACUAUCCAACUUUCGCAUGAUUUUCCUUUUAUCUGAACCUACUAAUACGUGGGCACACCGUAGAUGACGUUGAAAUCCUGUAUGUAGAUCGUUAGGGGCCAAGUUCAUGUUGAAAAGAAGUAUUGAAAACUGAAAAGCAUUCUCCACCCUUCAAUCCUGCAAGUGAAACGGAGAAUUAGACGAGAAGGUUUCCUCUUUUUUGAGACUCACAAAGUGUUAAUGGUGUGCAAUCCAUAUAUCAAAUUGUUAUGUAAACUUCUGAAAAUUUGUUUGAGCUUUGAUUUGUAUACACUAAACAACAACAAGGGAAAUAAUCUAUUUAUUAGCACAAAUUGCUAUGCUGAGCUUCGAUUUAUUUUUUUUGGUACUUCAUUGUUCAAUAUAUUUAUUUGAUUCAUAUGAUAAUAAUUUUGUGUUGUAGCGUACUUAGUUAGCACACGUUUCUAAAUCUAGAAGUCGUGAUUUAUUUCAACGUCAUCUAUAUAUGUUGUGCCCACGUACUAGUAGGUUCAGAUAAAGGAAAAUUGUGCAUGUUUAUUUCUACAUAGAAGCUUUGAAACUUGGAAGGAGAACUUGUCUUCAAAGAAUCUAUAAGCAGAUGCAACGGUUGCGACAAUGCCUAGUGUUAGUUGUUAGGGCUGGAGGAACUAUACGUUAACAAGCUAGCUUUGAAGUGUUUGUCGUCGCACCAUAACUUUCCAAGGACUUGGAUCGAUUUGAGUUCUCUGCCUUUCCCUCUUGUUUUCACAUAACCAAAAUGCAGGUCAAUGGUCUUAGAAAAAAAACAAAUGCAAAUUAUUAUUCAUAUAUCUAAAUCAUGUGGGAAAAGUCUUGUUCAUAAAAAUUCAUUGUAAUGUCUAUUGAAACAGUGUAAUAACAAAGUGGCCCUUACUAUAGAGAGGUGCAAAGACUAUAGGGGAGGGUGGGGUUGUCUUUUCAUUGGAAUGCAUUUAAUAUUAAAAAAAUGGUUUGGAAAGAAACGAUUAGUAUAAAGGUUACAAACCACAGACUGCAGAUACCUGGUGCUAAGCUAUCAUGCCUUGCCACAUAUGAUGGACUAAGUAGUAAAAGUUUUGGGUUUGGCGAAGGACUUCCUUUUAUUAAUGAAGACAGGUGUUUCUGACAGGUGUUUCUGUGAUUUGUAAUGUUUUUUGUUUCUUGAUGUUUAAAUUUAGCCAACAGAUGGUGGAUUAAGCAAUAAAAGUUUUGGGUUUGGCGAAGGACUUCCUUUUAUUAAUGAAGACACGGGUGUUUUAUGGUUUCAUUUUCUUUUUUAUCUUUUUAUUAACCACCUGCAACAAGGCUAUAUAUAUUUUAUUGCUGUUUGCAUUCAUCAAAUCACACUAUUUUGCUGCUUAACCUCAAGCAUUACUCAGUUGUAAGAAACUUGCGACUAAUUUCACUAAUACAUGGAGGAUAGGUCGUUCUAGAAAAAAAAUACUGUAUGAACAUUUCUUUGCAAGCCUACACACACAUUGAAUCUCCCUAAUUUACUAGUAAAAAGAUGAUGGCUUCAAUAUUUUAAAUGAGAAAGAGAUGGUAUAAAGCACCCAUCACCUCCAAAAGGCUUUGUACAUGGGUCCUCUUCUGGUGCACUCACUAGGGUAAGUGUGCAAGGAUUAUAGCCUGUAGUUCAUGUGCAAAUGCAGUAACAUCAAGAGGGAUUAGUAAAACCAAAAAGGAAGUGUUUUGAGAAAACUCAGUGGGUUGUUGGAAGAGAAAAUGGCUGAUUGUGAGAAAUCACAGUUCCAAGGAUUUUUAUCAGAAGUUUGAUAGAGAUUCAUGGCAUAAGCAGCAUGAGAUGCUAUUGUGUUCGGUUCAAAGCAAGCCCCGCCUGGUUGGAUCGGACCACGGUCAAUCCCUCAUCCACAAACAAAAUCCAGAUUAGCCUGCAAUUGUGCAUCUGAUACAUCUGAUUAAAAUUUUGGGUCUGAGGACAGUUUCUGAAGCAUUUUGUUUCUUUAUGCUCACAUUCAGUACUAAUAACGAAGAGAGCAAGAUGGAAAUUAUUUGUGACUAGACAGAAGCAAAGAAUGAGUAUAUAAAAUACCUAAGAGUAAAUCUUUUAUUCAGCAUGGCUGUCAUUGUACGCAAUUCUCAUCAUUGACCGUCUUUGGUACCAAAGGCUAUGAAGUUCACAGAAAUAUCAUCAGAUAGAGACCAUCGCCCAGCCAAGGGGCUGUGAACAAAUCCAGCCAUUUCUUUAACCUGGCGAGCACCAAACCCAAAGCAAUAAGUUUUUGCUAAGACGUAACAGUAGUAAACAUGUCAAAAUGUCAGCAGGGAAAGCAACCAUCUUACAUUGAUAGAAGCACGCUGUAGGAUAAGCACCAGUUCUUCAGGAGUAAGAAAGCUUGACCACUGAUGCGUGCCAUUAGGAAGCUGUACAGCAUUGGUUAUUAAUAACAACACAAAGCAAACAAAAGGAUAGAAUCAAACUAUAAUACAUCGACAGAUUACUUCCAGAAAUUUUGGGAAGACUAAAACCUACACACCACCUCCACCACCAACUACAGCGAUAAGAAGAUUGCAUGCACUGGAUAUUCCUACACACAAAGUCCAUUGCUAUAGGAAAAAUAAAAUGCUAGAACAGUUCCACUACCAGUGAAAACAGUGGGAUUUUGGACUAGGUUUCUCAUCUGUUUAUAUCACACCCACUACCAGAAAUUCGCCUAAAACAAACAAAAUUACCGAAAGAAUAAUUCGGUCGGUAAAUUGUGGUGAUAAUUACCGAUGGAUACUAUUCCAUCUGUAAUUCAGUUGGUAUAUACCGACAGACUAAUGCUGUCGGUAUAUACCGACUGAAUUACAGACGAAAUAUAUAAAAAAAAAUUUUAAAAAAAAAUGCAGUUCGAUGACAUGGCAGUUUUUGCGGGCAAUUUUACCGACGGAAUGACCGGGGAAUUCAAACUGGAAUCUCUGUACAGUGACGUGACUAAUUCACCAUUAUAAUUACCAAAGGAAUCAUCGACAGAAGUAUUCCGUCGGUGAUUCCCUCGGUAAGAGUUAAUAAAUCAUCACUUUGUCUACCCUCUCCUCCCCUAUUUCUCCUUCUUCUUCCUCAUCCCAACUCUCCCCUCCCAAACUGCAAACAACCACCCCCUCUUCUCAACACAAGUCAUCUUUCUAUAACUUUUGUGGUCACAACAUCCGUGUUCUGAUUUAUUGUGGAUUUUAUCAUUUUUGUAAGUAAAUCUAUCUUUUUUUUAAUUUUAACAUUUAAAUGUCAAUUUUAUUAUUUUUAAUUUUUUUUAGUAUAUGUAUUUUGUUAGUGUAUAUACAUGUUUUAUUGUUAUUUCUCAAACAAACUUGUAAUAUGAAUGUAUAAUUUUGUAUUUGUUAUGGUUUGUUUUAGAUUUUGUAAAAUUAUAUUUGUUUGUAAAUUGUUGAAACUUUGUUGAAUUACCGAAUUAGAUGUGUUGUGAUGAAAUAAUUAAUAGCUUGUUUAAUGAGUCCGUUUUAAUUUUUAUCAAUGUUAUUGCGGAGUUGUAAUUUCUGUAAAUUUAUUAUAUGUACAAAUUUAUAUGGAUAUUGAUAAUGAAUAUUUACGAGAAGUUUUAAAUAGUUUGUUGUAUAAUCUUGAGGUAAACCAAUAUUUUUGCAAAUUUAUUUACUUAACAUAGUUAAUUAAUACAUGUUGUCAUCAUAAUUUUUUAGAGGUUCAAUAGAAGUCAUGGAUGAUGGUUCAUGGAUGUAUCGAGAUUCACCCAAAGGAUUGCGGAGGAUGAGUUAUUUUAAUGGGGUUCAGGGUUUUAUUAAUUUUGCAACAUCUAUUCCUAGAAAUUUUAUUGGAGGCGGUAUUAGUUGUCCAUGCAGGAAGUGUGAAAAUAAAAAGUAUAUGCAUCCAGAUGUUGUAAUGAUGCAUCUUCUACACAAAGGAUUCAUGGAGGAUUGUCCGUGUUGGUAUGCCCACAAAGAACUAUUUGUUUGUAAUGAGAGCAUGGUAGAAAGGGUAGUUGGGUCAACUUCUAGUGCUAGCAAUGUGCAUGGAGUUGCAAAUGACAACAUUAAUCCUUACAGGAAUAUGGUUAUGGAUGCAAUGAGAAUGAAUCAAGGUAAUGGCAGUAGACUAUUUUUUUUUAAUAUCUCUUUACAACUUCUUAAAUUUCAUGUAGAUGUCUGAGGAAUAUAGUUGAUUGGUGGCCCUUAUUAGAUUUUAUAUGUAAUGGAUUUAUGAGAUGUUAAUAAUUCAUUAGAGAUGUUAAAUUGGUGGCUAAAAUCCAUGAAAUUCAACGAGACUGUUACAAAAGGUGAGAUAUCUAAGACAGUAACAAUUAGACUUUCACGUGAAUACUAUAUGUAUAUAUAUAAGAAUUGAGUCGUGCGGAGACUUGCACAUUAAGAUACUAACUCUGAAAAUAUACAUGAUAUGUGUAUGUAUGUUAUGAUGAGGAAAUAAACAUGCAUAGAAAGUAACAUAUGUGUAAUGCAUGAAUAUGGAUUCUCUAUAACAUUCGGCUUGAAGGGAUUAUGACCAAAAACUUCCUUGUGAUUCAGGAGAAGCGACCAAGUUUGGAUCUCCUAUUGGAGGAGGUCAGGAGACAGGCCGAGCAGGUGUGUGAUUUUCCCUCUUUUUUGCACUUAUGCAAUUCAAAGUUCUUCUGGCGAAUGCAUAAAUGCCAUGUUCAAUGUAAAUAAAGUCUAGCGUAUUUACAAGAUUAGCUUCGGCUAAUGGCAUCCGUGAUAGGAUUGCCAUGAAAUGAAUUACACGAUUAGCUUCGGCUAAUGGCAUCCAUGAUAGGAUAGUCGGGACAUGAAUUACAAUAUUAGCUUUGGCUAAUGACAUCCGUGAUAGGAUUGCCAGGAGAUGAAUUACAAGAUUAGCUUCAGCUAAUGGCAUCCGUGAUAGGAUAUAUUGUGUGGAUUGUAUGAGGUGUUGAAUAUUGAUGAUUGAAAUAAGGCCCGGAAUUAUGGGACCUUGUGAUGAUAGGUUGAUUGAGUAAAUUGAUAGUAGUCGAUAACUUGGGAUGUCCUAAAUACAAACGAAACUCUACCGAAAUUUUGGUAGAAUUCUUUACAAAAAAAAAUUACCCUAAAACUAAGAGCAUAUGUUGGGAUCUUUUAGCAUUGAUCAAAUUGUAAGUCAGGUCUGUUACAGCCUCCUUCUAAUUGGAUACACCCAACAUCUCUUAAAGAAGUCAUCUAUAAAUGAUACAAAGUAUCUUGCUCCUCCCAAGGAUAUAACAAGUACUUGCCAAACAUCAGAAUAAAUCAAGUCCAAGAUGUAUUUGCUCUUAGAUAUUGAUGUGUCAAACUUCAACCUGUGUUGUUUACUUAUAACACAAUGCUCACAAAAGGGUAGACUAACCUUUGUAAGCUCAUGGAGUAACUUCUGAUCAGAGAGAAUUUAGGAUGGAGUAUGGUAGUGUUGGGAUGAAUUUUUCCUACCCUUAUAGCUAUGUUCAAUAUGGUUGACCUCCUUCCUUUUAAAGCCUUUUUUCUUGGUGGGUGCAGAAAUUCUACCACUCUUGAUGCCUAGCUUUAUGCGUUCACACACUACCACAACGUUAGUGAAUUGCUUGGCCGAACUACCCAUCACAUGCUCGUAAUAUGGUGCCUUGAGUGUGUCGGAAAAUAAAGUGACCAUCUCUUUGUCCAGAAGUGGAGGAUGUACUUGAGCAGUUAAUUCCCGCCAUCUUUGAGCGUAUUCCCUUAUGCUUUCUUUAUCCUUUUUGUCUAGAUUGGACAAGCUGGUUCUGUCGGGAGCAAUGUCCAUGUUAUACUUGUACUACUUGACAAAAGCAUCCACCAGAUCUUUCCAUCUCUGGAUCCUUAUGUUGUCCAAUCUCAUGUACCAGCUCAAUGUUGCCCCACUUAAGCUAUCCUGAAAAAGUGCAUCAGUAGUUUUUCAUCAUGUACAACUUCUGCCAUUUUAUUGCAGUAGGACUUGAGAGGAGUCAUGGGGCAUUAUGCUCCACUAUAUUUGAUGAACUCAGGAACACGAAACUUCUUUAGGACAACCAUAUUUGGGACCAGACACAUCUUUGUUGCUCAUACUAGAUCAUAUAAGUCUACCCCUUCAACGACUCUAAUUCUGGCUUCCAGCGCCUCCAUCUUAUCUUGAUCAAUGCUAUCAGAUGACUUGGCCUUGUGGGACUCGUGGGCAAAUGCAUCAAUGACUGUCAGGGCUGGUGCAGGUGUCGCUGACUGCACAAAUGCUGGAUUAGGUUGAGGCUUUUGACCAUGUUCACUCAUUCUUUCUUUGGGCUGAGCUGUUGUAAGAGUCUGAUUAAAGGUGACCGAUCCGUUAGAAUGACCUUCACCAUAUGUAUUUCUUAGUGUUUGCUCGAGUAAGCUAGUGAGGCAAGCCACGCUUGUCUUUAGAGGCUCCAACUUUUCUUGAAAAUGGGGGUCACGAUGAGCGCACUCUUCAUCUUACAUGUUCUUGCUCGAAGUCGGGUGUUGUAGACUUGUAGGGGACCUAUAUUUCAACCUAUUGUAUGUAUGUUAUUUACCAAUGAAUUGAUGUAUGCAUAUGGAUGCAAAUGUAUAUAUGUACAUGCGCAUUAGGGAGUUCAUACUCUAAGGAUAGGUUUUGGGCCAUUACAUGAUGGGUGGUUUUCUACCUAGUCUCAAAAGGGUCUCAUAUUUGCCUCGUGAUGGUCUUCGUAAAGACAAUAUAAGGGCACGUAUGCCCAUCAUUGCCAAGCAAGCGCUCAGAUAUGAGUUGGGUGUUUCACGCAUUUGAAACCUAACCAAUAGUCAUAAGGCAGAUCGCUAAUCCCCCACCUAUCUUAUAAGCUUAUGUGUUCUUCCCAAAAAUUUAAGACAUGCGAUGCAUAAGGCAAUUCUACACAAUACAUGAACAAAUAUGUACAAAAAUUAAGGCAUGUAAGAAAAAAAUAAAGAAAAUGCAUGUUAACAAUAAACAUGCAAACCAAACAAUAAAACACAAUGAUCAGACAAAAACAAAGCUUAGUCCACAAGGUCCCCAGCAGAGUCGCCAUUAUGUCGCACGUGUGCGGCGCCGCGACGAUAUCUUCCACUCUCAAAUGUAUGUGUAUCUAUUUGGCAAAUGUGGGAAGACAAGGAAUUAUUGUCUUUUAUCUGUGGAAAGCAGGAAUGGGAGUCGCCACCUAGUAUUUUGGUCACUAGGAACCCUAACUGGUCUCAAAGAUCGGGUAGAGGGACUGUUGUGUAAAGGGAAUGUAUUAGCACCUCAAAUAUCUCUUACCUAAGGUAAGCUGUAUUGUUUUAUUGUCUGAUAUAUGCUACGGUUUUAUUGUAUUUUUGAUUGUUGGUCUGUCUAUGGUUUAAGAAAAGUCCUCCUCGGUAAGGAGAUCCUUAUCUUAUCAGGUAAAACCUAACCGUUCUAACAUCAACAAAAGAAUUUAAUAUCCAGAAUACGUCUUACGUAUGAGGUCAUAACAACAGAUACUAAAAGAGAACAAAAUAAUUUUUUUGUUAUUUUUUGAAAUUUUGGCCUUGUUCUUAUGGCUUUAAUAAACUGGUUAUUAAAGCCAAAAUGCAUGCUAAAAUAUUUUUUUGAAUUUUUCUUUGCUGUAUGAAAAUACAAUAUGAAUUUUUUAAAGAGACUUUGUCGUAUGCAUGAAAACAAGAUUAUAUAUAUAUAAAUUUUGCAACGUUUUGACAAAUCGGGUAUUUUAAUAUCAAAUUUGUAUCUUUACAGUAUAAAAAUAUAAACCGAUAUUAAUCAAAAUGGAUAGAAAAACAUGCGAGAAAAUCAUAAAUUUUUGCAAAAAUUUUUUUGGAAUGGGCCGGACCCGGCCCACUCAUUUUGGGCUGGGCCGCACAAGUCCAGCCUAGUGAACAGUGCAGCACUCUCCACUGUUCACAUGCAAUGUGAACACUGGAGAGUUAAUUAAUUCACUUUCCACUAUUCACUUGUAGAGCAGUGGAGGGCUACCGGAGAAGAAGCAUAAGAAGGAAACUGACUGGGCAGCACUGGUGGCACUAUUGUUGCUAUGGACGGCUGUGGUGGCAGACGGUGGUUCUUCUUCUUCUCUCCUCUACUUCGAUAUGCUGUUUUCUUCCUGUGUUUUUCGUUCCCUCUAUUGCUACCCAAUUUUUGACCCAUGUUUUGAUAAAUUUUUGGAAAAAAAACCAAAAAUAGCAAAAAACAACGAAAACCCCAAAAAAUGCAUUUUUGAUAUUUUUGCAUCGUUUUUUUAGCAUUUUCAAUGUCAUUGUUGUUACUCAUUUUUUAGCCCCACAUGCUAGAGAUGGUGUGUACCUCUUUUGAACCAAAUGCAGGAGUGAUUGUUGAGGAAUUGACAAAAGAAGAGAAGAAAGAAAUGUUUUUCGAACCCUGUUUCAGCUAUUUUCUACUCUCUUUAUCCUUCCCCUUCGUUACCGAAAUCAUCAGGAUUCUUAGAUUAAUUAGGAGUCUUCGUGAUGCUAAACUCGUUCAUUCUUUAUCUAGUCUUUAAGAUUGGAUAAAUCCCUCAGAAUUUGCACUAAAAAAACUGAUUCUACUACUGUCGAAAUUCUGUUGUAAUACCAACUUUGUUCCAACUUACGCUUUCAUUCUGACUCGAUUUCGUGCAAUAUCUAGCAAUCCUAGCUAUAUUUUGUCAUUCAUGACAUGUUAAAGAAUUGAUCAACACCUUUAUUGGGUCUUAGGGCCCACUAUUCUUCUGUUAAACUCUUAGUCAGAUUUGGGAUGCUCGACAUUGUCAAUUUCCAAAUCAGAUCAGGAGACCCUUUUUGACCAAACAGAUUGCAGCCAAAUUCUGUUCUUCAAAACGAUUCUGUUCUUCAGAUUGUAGUCCUGUACAUGUAGAUGAAUUUGGGUUUUUGAAUCGCCUGAUUUCGAUAUCAAAAGCUCAAGAUAUUCCCGUUUGAAGGUCAUGAAAGCAAAUAAUCUUGUCGCGAGAAGGGUUCUAGCCUGAGUUUGCAAGUCUGAUUUGAGGGAUUACGGGCCGGUUUGAAGGACCUUUUUUUUUACCAAUGAUUGAAUUGAAAAGUGCUAAAAUGAGGGAUUUAAUUGAAGAUGAAAUUAGAAGGAAAUGGGCUAGUUUUUAAGAAGUUGAAGAGGGGGACUAGAUCAUCAGAAAAUGACAGGAAUUAUACCACGCUGGAUAAGGAAAUACGACUUUGCAACAUGAUACUAUUCAUUUGUGUUCUGAAUGGCACCCCUCCCUGUCUGAAAUUCUUUCCUUUUCUCUUCACAAUCCUCCCCAUUUGAAAUUCUUUCCUUUUCUUUGCACAAUCCUCCCCCUCUGCAAUUCUUUCCUUUUCUCUGCACAACUAUUCCCGCUGGUUUCCAUGAUUCUCUCGCCUGAUUUUUGAGCUGCAGAUCAUGUUUUUUUUCCUACCUCAAUACAAAGGAAACAGUUGGUGCCUCACGGUGCCAGCUAUGGAAGGACAGAAAGCAGUCACACCAUCCUCUAAUUACUUGAAAGUAAUCACUAGAAUCAUAAGAGUGUUCUGGUUUCGUAUUUUGUUUUAUCUGAUUAUAAGUAACCUGGAAUUGUAUCCUAGAUUAGUGUGUUUUGUUUCCUAAAUGGAGCUGCGUAUAGGCUAUAUAUAAGCCUCCUCUGUUGACCUAAAAGAGAGGGAAAGAGAAAAAGAAAAGAAAGAGAGGAAGAGUAACGAGAGAGAGGCAGCCAACAGGAAAAUAGAGAAAGAGCAAGAAAACACCGAGGGAAGAACGUCCAUUCCACCAGCACAUCACACCUUCAUCAUCGUCUUUGCCAUCUUUAGAGAGAGCAUCGAGAAGAAGAAAAAGACAGAGACCAACACCAGCUUUGCUAGCAUUUGUCAUUGUCUCCAGAACCAGUGAUCACCAGUUGUUCGCAAGAGCUUUAGCAUCAUCAUCUUCGCCCGUUAGUUAUCAGGUAAGCGCCCUGCAUUGUUUUCACUUUGCAAAUUUAAUUACACGGUUAUUGUGCAUGUUUUUGUUACUGUUCAAGUGAAUUAUAAUUCACUUGAACAAUAACUAAGGAGGCAUUGUUUGCCCAACCGGGUCACUGGUUUGGGCAAGUGACCCGGCUAGGCCUGCUGGGUUCAACCCAGCCACAUGGGCUGCGUUGGACGCAUGCCUAAAAAAAUGUUUUCUUGUGUGUUGCAUACGGCCAAUACCUUAAUAUAUUUUGAACAUUUAUUUUUUUUAUAAAAAAAAAUAUUUGAAGUUUUGAAAAUGUGUUUUCGCAUGAAUUUCUUAAAAAAAAUUAUUUUCUUGUAUUUUGGAUUUUACAACAUGUUUGUAAAUCUCUAAAGGGUAUUGGCCAAUAUUCCAAAAAUAUAAAAAUCUUAUUUUUGGGGAAUUCAUUUAUAUUCACUAUUAAUAUUUGGAUAAAGAAAUCCAAAAGAGGUUAAUAUCCAAAAUAUUAUUGGGAUAAAUUUGUUAUUAUUCACUGUUAAUAUUUGGAUAAAGAGGAUAAAGAAACCCAAAGUGUAACAUAUCCAAAAUACUUUUCUAGGAAUAAUAAGUCACUAUUAUUUAUUUAAUCACACAUCCUUGAAAGAAGCCUUAAUUAUAAUUAGGGACAUUUCAAUUUUUCACUCCAUGGUUUACGAGUCGUGAGAGUAUGAAACACUAAGGCAAAAAUAGGCUUUUAAAGCGCUCUAAAUUUCCUUAGAUUUCUAAAUUUUUAUGUCUUUUCCUUGCGAUUUAUGAGUCGCGAACACUUGAAAUACUAGAGGAAAAAUGAGCUUUUAAGCACAUUGAAUCUCCUUAGAUUUCUAUCUUAUCUAUCUCUUAAUUCAUAGGUUAUAAAUUUAGUCCAAAUCAAACACAAAAUUUCAAGAGAUCUGCAUCGGUUCUCCUUGGCACUCUAUAGACAUAUCUAAAGGUAUGAUCGAUAUUGGCCAGGUUUUUCUUUCUUUUGGACUUUGAGCCCGUGUUCGUUCAUCAUAGCAGAUUUAUUCUAGGAAAACUGAUGGGAUUAGAAAACAUCAGCACCAUAGAAAUUAUAAGGCAAACCAAACGUCAAGCGCUUAGCUUAGGUUUCCUUACCUUUACGUAACCAGUCCCUUACCUUAGAAUCUCUGAAAGACCAGUUAGGUUUCCUAGUGACCAUAAUUCUAGGUGGCAACUCUCUUUUUCAGAAAACAAAGACCCCGACAUCAAUCUCCACUUCGGGAAGGGUCACCGCGACGUCCCGCUCUCGCGAGGGUGUGACACCCUCUGUGUAAUGAAUGAAUAUGGAUUCUCUAUAACAUUCAGCUUGAAGGGAUCAUGACCAAAAACUUCCUUGUGAUUCAGGAGAAGCAACCAAGAUUGGAUCUCUUGUUGGGGGCGGUCAUGAGACAGGCGGAGCAGGUGUGUGAUUUUCCCUCCUUUUUGCACUUAUGCAAUUUAAAGUUCUUCUGGUGAAUGCAUAAAUGCCAUGUUCAAUGUAAAUAAAGUCUAGCAUAUUUACAAGAUUAGCUUCAACUAAUGGCAUCCGUGAUAGGAUUACCAGGAAAUGAAUUACAAGAUUAACUUAGGCUAAUGGCAUCCGUGAUAGGAUUGUUGGGAAAUGAAUUACAAGAUUAGCUUCGGCUAAUGGCAUUCGUGAUAGGAUAUAUUGUGUGGAUUGUAUGAGGUGUUGAAUAUUGAUGAUUGAAAUAAGGUCUGAAAUUAUUGGACCUUGUGAUGAUGGGUUGAUGGAGUAAAUUGAUAGUUGUCGAUAACUUGAGAUGUCCUAAAUACAAACGAAACUCUACUGAAAUUUUGGUAGAAUUCUUUACAAUAAAAAAAUUACCCUAAAAUUAAGAGCAUAUGUAGGGAUCUUUUAGCGUUGAUCAAAUCGUACAGUCGAGUCUAUUACAACCUUCCUUCUAAUUGGAUACACCUAACAUCUCCUAAAGAAGUCAUCUAUAAAUGAUACAAAAUAUCUUGCUCUUCCCAAGGAUAUAACCAAGUGCUUGCCAAACAUCGGAAUAAAUCAAGUCUAAGAUGUAUUUGCUCUUAGAUGUUGAUGUGCCAAACUUCAAUCUGUGUUGUUUACUUAUAACACAACGCUCACAAAAUGGUAGAGUAACAUUUGUAAGCCCAUGGAGUAACUUCUAAUCAGAGAGAAUUUUCAAACCUUUCUCUGACAUUUGGCUAAUUUUUUAUGCCACAUCAUCUUCUUUUCUAAAGGACUGGCUGAUGCAAUUGACGCCUCUACCUCAUGAUGUGUUUCUCUCAUUAACACAAACAAGUUUGCAGCUAUCUUUCUUGCCUUUAAAACCAUUAACGCUCUUUUGAUGAUUUUCAUGAUUCCAUUGUCUAUUCGAAUCUUACAGCCAAGAUUAUCAAAUUGUCCCACAAAUAAAUUUUUUUUCUUUACACCUUUCACAUGUCAUACUUCUGAAAUAGUACGAAUUGAGCCAUCAUACAUCUUCAAUUUGAUGGUGCCAAUGCCAGCAAUCUCUAAAGCAUGAUCAUUACCUAUGAAAAUUGAGCCUUCAUAGAUGGGUCAUAUGUAUGAAACCAAUCUCGAUUAGGAGUCGUAUGUCAUGUUAUUUUUGAAUCCAUUAACCAAACCUCAGUAAGCUAUUUUCUAUCUGUAAAGACUGUCACUGUUUCACUAUAUAAAACCUCCCCAUCUUCUAAGGUGCUUGCAACACAUCUUUGAGGUUUUGAUAACUCUGUAUCGUUCUCUAUAACCUUUUUAAACCAACAAUCCCUUUUGAAGUGCCCUUUUCAAUGCUAGUCUUCUUACUUUUUUAUUUGGACCUCCUUUGCAUUUGACUCCCAUUGGAGCCACGCUCCGUUGAUCUUCCUCUUGACAUCAACAAUGCCUCUGCUUGGUUUGAACUAUUUCUGUCUCCUUUAUUUUUUCACCUAUUUUCUUCUUCCAAAUAGCGGCUGCAACAUCAUCAAAUACUAAAUAGUCUGAGAGGAUAUUAGAGGUCAAGUUGAUAAUGAGUUAAUCAUAUGAAUUAGGAAGACUUUGAAGUAGAAGCUCUGCACACUCAUUUUCCUCUAUUUGUUACUCAAAUUAGUGAGUUGUGAAAAUAGAGUUCUUAUUGUGUUGAUGUGGUUAGUUACCGACGUGAUUUCUGCCAUUUGAAGGGUAUAAAGUCUCCAUUUUAAGAAAAUCUUAUUGUGUAAAGACUUGAACUGAUACAGCUUUGUCAAAGUAUCCCAUAUCUCCUCAGCUAUUUUCUUCUCUGUUGAUAACACUUCUUCAGCUAAUGCUAUAUGUAUGUUAGUAAUAGCAUUGCCAUCCAUCUCAUUCCAUUUUGCAUUAUUAGUGAUCUCCGCGGGCCCAUCUCCAAUUGUUGCCAAGCAAUUGUCUUUCCUUAAAAUUGCAUUGAUUCUCAUUUUCCAUAGUGAGAAAUUGCUCCCAUUGAACCUCUCAAUCUCGUACUUUGCUGCCAUUUUAUUCAUUGAGAUCUAUUCAGCUAUCACCGUUUCACUGAUCUGUAACAUAUACAGAAAUAGUAUCAUGUGAAUAAUACUUCACUAAGUAAGUUCCCAAGAAAGAUUGGAGGGGUCACAAACAAUCCCGCUUAAAACCUAAUCUCCUUAGACAGUGAGUUAUUGACUGAAGAAAUACGAAUAUGGUCUUCUUCUGAAAAGGAAAUUCUUUCUGCUUCAAAUUCAUCUGUACUAGUAGUACCCUCCAAGUCAUUCUCUAAUCAUCAGAAUAAGCCUUACACAAGGGUUGCCUUCAAUAAGUGCAGUUUCUAUAAGCAGAAAAGUCAUUGGAAAGCUCAAUGUACCAAGUUAAGACAAUAAAAUCAAGCUUGGAAGUCUGGCAGCCGGUCAUAAUCUAAUGCUCAAAUAUCAUCUCAAAGUUGUAGACAAUCACACAACAAUACUGCAACACUAGUUUCAUCAGGCCCUAUCAUCGAUCCUAGUACUCUAGCUAAGCAAUUUCAAAGUUUCUCUCCUUAUAUCCAUAAACAAUGUCUGUUUCUUCUUUCGUAGGUUAAUUGCCUCAUAGUUCUUCAGGUAUGUCACAUUUUGAAUAGGUCUUGGAUUCUGGUGCUUCACAUCAUAUGUCUCUAGAUUCUUCAUCUUUUACCUUUCUGUCCCUUUCACCUUCCAUUCCUGUUAUGACUGCUGAUGACACUUCAAUGCCCUUAGAAGGUGUUGGUUUUAUUGUCAUACCUCACUUGUCUCUCCCUAAUGUUUAUCUUAUUCUGAAACUCAAAUUGAAUCUUGCUUCUGUUAGACAAUUAUGUGAUUUUGGUGAUUAUUUAGUCAUUUUUUCCUCUUUCUUUUGUUGUGUACAAGAUCUGCAGUUUCAAAAGGUAAUUGGGACAGGUCAUAGGGAGAAUGGACUAAAUAUUUUGGAUGAGUUAAAAAUGUCAGUUAUUGCUACUACUACUGUUGAUUUGUCUUCUUUUCAUUUGAGUAAUUCAUCUUCUAGUUUUUAUUUAUGGCAUUCUCGUCUAGGUCAUGUUUCAUCUUCUUAUUUGAGAUUUUUGGCAUCCAUAGGAGCUUUAAGAAAUUUGCAACCUUGUGAUAUUUUUUAUUGUAAUGGAUGUAAACUAGUGAAAUGUUUCGCUUUACCUUUUGAUCGAAGUAUUUCUGUUUCCUCUUUCCCAUUUGACUUGAUUCAUUCUGAUGUAUGGAAACCUUCUCUUGUUGCCACAAAAGGAGGGUCUCGAUACUAUGUUUCUUUUAUUGAUGAUCAUACUCAUUAUUGUUGGGUUUAUUUAUUGAAACAUCAUUCUGAAUUCUUUGAGAUAUAUACAGCUUUUCGAGCUCUUAUCAAAACUUAACAUUCUACUGUUAUCAAAUGUUUUAGGUGUGAUUUGGGUGGGGAAUACACCUUUAAUAAAUUUUGUGCGUUGCUUGCCUUAGAUGGAACCAUUCACCAAACUUCAUGUACAUAGACUUCUAAAUAAAAUGGUGUUGCUAAAAUAAAACAUAGGCACAUUGUCGAAACUGCUCAUUCUCUCUUUUUGUUUGCUUCUGUUUCUAGUGAGUUUUGGGGAGAAGUUGUCUUUACUACUAUAAGUUUGAUUAAUACAAUCUCAUCUUCUUAUAGUUUAGGUUUUUCUCCUUUUGAAAAGUUAUAUGAGUAUGUCCCUGAUUAUUUCUCCUUUAGAGUUUUUGGUUGUACUUGUUUCGUUCUUCGUUCUCAUGUUGAACGCAGUAAGUUGUCCUCUCAAUUUCCUAUUUGUGUCUUUCCGGGUUAUGGUGAAGGUAAAAAGGGGUAUUGUUUUUUUGACCGAAUAACAUAGAAACUUUAUAUAUCUCAUCUUGUUGUCUUUCUCGAGCAUAUACCUUUGUUUUCUAUCUACUCAUAACUUGACUAGACCUGAUAUUAUUCAUAUAGAUCUCUUUUUCUAAGGAUUCUGAUAGUUUAUUAUCUCAUGUUCCUAGUACCUUAGAUACCCCUUCCCAUGUUCGACCAAUAUGUACUAAUCAUUCUGCAGGUACUAACACUUUACUCUCCAGCACACCUGAAGCUUCAUUCUCAUCUAUAACCCCCCAAGCUUCGUCUAAGAUUGUAGAUCCACCUUUAUGUGAAUCCAUAUGUAUUUGUACGUCUAUAAAACAUCCAGAAUUUGCUUAUUCUUGUUAUUUUUCAUCAUUUACUUCUUUCUAGCUUCUAUUUAUUGUCUCUCUAAGCCCUCUUCCUAUAAGAAGGCAAUUCUUAAUCCUUUUUUACAGCAAGCUAUGGAUGAGAAACUUUCUACUUUGCAUAAGACAAAUACUUAGGAUUUGGUUCCAUUACCUCCUAGUACGAGUGUUAUUGGUUGUCGUUGGGUGUAUAAGAUCAAGACUAAUUCUGAUGGGUCUAUUGAGCGAUACAAAGCUAGGUUAUUUGCAAAAGGAUACUCCCAAUAAUAUGGUAUGGAUUAUGAGGAGACAUUUGCUCCAGUUGCAAAAAUGACUACUAUUCGUACUCUUAUUAUUGUAGCUUUGGUAUGUCAGUGACAUAUCUCUCAACUUGAUGUUAAAAGUGCCUUCUUGAAUGGAGAUCUUCAAAAAAAAGUUUUAUGGCACCCCUCCUGGUGUUUCACAUGACUUUGGGUAUGUUUCUAAGUUCAAGAAAGCGUUAUAUGGUCUCAAACAAGCACCUAGUGCUUUGUUUGAGAAAUUUUCUAUUGUGAUCUCGUCUCUUGGAUUUGUUUCUAAUAGUCAUGAUUCUGCCCUUUUUACUAAGUGCACUGAUGCAGGUCGUAUUAUUCUCUCUUUAUAUGUUGAUGAUAUGAUUAUUAUUGGUGAUGACAUUCAUGGUAUUUUAAUUUUGAAGUCAGAUUUGGCUAGACAGUUUGAAAUAAAGGAUUUGGGUUAUCUUCGAUAUUUUCUAGGUAUUGAGGUAGCUUACUUACCUAGAGGUUACCUUCUUUCUCAAUCGAAAUAUGUUGCAGAUAUUCUUAAGUGGGCUAGACUUACUGAUAAAAAGAUUGUAGAUAGUCUCAUUAAGGUUAACAUAAGGUAUUUUUCUUCUGUUGGUCUACCUUUGACAAAUCCUACUUUAUACUGUACUAUUGUUGGGAGCUUGGUCUAUCUCACUAUUACUCAUCCAUUUAUUGCAUAUGUUGUUAGUCAGUUUAUUGUUUCUCCUACUACGGUUCACCGGGCAACUAUUCUUCGUAUUUUGCGACAUCUUCGUGGUACGGUCUUUCAAAGUCUUUUACUCUCAUCAACCUCUUCCUUGCAGAUGCUGAUCAUGACAGUGAUCCCACAGAUCGUAAGAAAUAAGAGAAUCACCUAGAAAGAUACAAAAACCGGUAACAAACUUACGAUAUUGUUUCUCAAUCUUCAACCAAAGCAGAAUAUCGUGCUAUAACAUCUACUGUAACGACCCGACUUUUUCAGAGCCAAAAUCGGUGAAAUUUGUUUUUCCAUUAAGUUAUCGAUACUUCUCACAAUGACAUUCCAUAAAAUAGUAAUUAGGUUCCCUUCCUUAUCAUGGCAUCAUAUGGAUAUAGUUUUCGUAAAUCAAGAUUCUCAUAAAAUAGUUACUUAAUAUACAUGCCUAUAAUAUUAAAUUCUCAUAUUCAUACAUUUACAUUACAUCAUAUUGAAAUACUCAUACGUUUGCAUUCAUGUUCUAGCCUCGUUAUCAACACGAGUUUACACACGAGUGGCGAACGACAAUUUUACACAUCUAGUACAUUCUUUCAUACAAUCGUCAUGCGAUUUCACAACACAACAUCCUCAUAAAAGAGAAUAUCACAUAAAUAUAUUCAUAACAACGUAUUUACAUGUUCGCACAUCCACAUCCGUGUUCCAUUAUAGUUUUCAUUACAAGUCCUUACAAAAGUGCCGAAUGGCAAAUAUUCAACAUAACACUUAAGACCUAAUCACAAAAUCUAACCCGUCAUCUCCUUCGGAUACCAUUAGCUGAUGCCAAUCAUUAUAAUUAACUCGGUCAUCCAACUAGGAUGCCAUCUAUCGCACGUCACCCGCACGGCGUCGUUGGUGAUUUUUCGUUAUGUUGCUUGAUUUAUUCUUGGGGGUCGCCACCUAGUAUUUAAUUGAGUUUACUAGGAAACCCGAAUGUACUGGUCUUGUCAGAGAUUCAUGGGUAAGGGACUGGUUGUGGUUAGGGAAGGUAUUAGCACCCCUAACGCACCCUACCUGAGGUAAGCUGGUUCGUGGCUUUGAUGUGUUAAAGAAGUUUUAAAAUUUUUAUCUUUUCAUCGGAUAUUAGAAAUACGACUUACGUGUAAGUUCAUAAUUCUUGACCGUGAGUAAAUCAAAAUAUUAAAUUCUUAUUUAUUCUUUACAAUUUUAUCAUAAAAAAAAAUCCAUAAAAAAAACAAACAACACAUUCACUUUCACUUUCACUACAUUUUUUCUUUUUUCCUUUUUUCUUGUUUUCUUUUUUACAUCCACACUACAAAUGUUGCGAUGUCGCGGUCGCACAAAUUAAUUACCCUAGCUUCAAACACAACACACAAGAUAGUAUAGAGCAAGCAAGGGGUCGAUCCCACGAGGAAGAUUCAAGUCAGAUUUUUAUGCUAGAUGAUAUGCAAUUUGGGGGGGUUUGGACGUUAUCUAGGCUAAAGCAAAAGAAAACAGAAAACUAUCAAACUAAAUUUAAUAAAAUCAGAAAAUUAUCAAGAGAACAAACCUUGGUCACAAGCACACAUCCACCUACAGAAAUCAGAACUGAUCAUGGAAACUAACAUCAAUUUAUAUUCUGAAUAUUUAUCUCUUCUUAACAUUGGUUAGUUAACGGAUCCGCCGUAUAACUAGCCCUAACCAUCAAACAACCACAGUGUCCGCACUAGUAAUUUAAUUCAAUGGCAGCCUUAAGAACUAGAUAAGUUGAUUAAUCAAGAAAACAUAAAUGUCCGCAGUCUAUGUUUGAUUUGAUUGAAUGUUCUCCCUAAGAUUAAUAACGUAGAUCCGCCACAAUUAUUAAACUCAGUUGCUUCACAAGUUCAUAUACCACAACUCCGGUUUUGAUAUCAAACUUAGCAAUAAAUUGUCUACAAUAAUAACUUAGAGUCCGCUCUAGCAAUUAAAAUAAACAAUCAUAGGAAAAAUAAGCAUAGGAGAACAAACAUAUUCAUCAUAUAAACUGAAAAGAAAAGGUAAAAUAAAUCUCACAGUUCUUGAAAUCCGAAGGUUUCCGUGUCCUUGCAACCAAGAAAAAGUGUUUAGCCUUGCAUGUUUGUUGAACAACUAAUCAAAAAGAAGGAAGAAUGCAUAAUUUAGGGUUUCUUAGAGGAAGGGGGCGUUUUUCUCUUCUUGGCUGGCUGCCCCCUUCUCUUCUCUCAUUCUUUUUAUAUCCUAGGAAACCCUAGGUCUCUAUUUUACAAAAUAGUCCUCCAUUAAGUAGAUUGUUUACAUUUAAGUACUUCAAUAACUAUUUUCCUAAAAAAGGAGAAAUAGCCUUGCAUAAAAUCUUCAAGCUUUGACUUAGAGGAGCUAAAUUGCUGAAAUACAAACUUGGAUAUCGGUUUAGAUGCUUCGGAACGUAAUUUGGACUCGUUUCUUCACGAAACCUGUUUGCUGGCAGAAUUUAGUUGUCAUCUUUGAAAACUCAUAUCUCCCUCAUAUGACAUCGGUUUUGGCUGACAUUUGGAGCGUUUAUAGACCUUUGAGACAUGAAUCCAAAAAAAUUGAGUUUGCAUCAAUUGGACUUUUGUAGCUCCAGAUACUCAAGUUGGAAUGGCCGAAGGUCAACACUGGCAGAUUGCGAGAUUUGACUUUGAAGGCUGUGAUUUCCAUGCUCUUCCUUAUUUUAUUUUCUUGCCUUAGAUCUCCAGAAAGGUAUGGAUGUUAGCUUUUUAAUGCCACUGGAAUCACUUCAUUUCAACCUCUAGAGCUCACGCUCUGCACAAAACAUCGACUGAAGGUCAAAUCUGCCAAUUAUCUCCAAUUUACUCCUUUUUGCAUCUUUCAUCCAAAAGUGCCUUCAAAACAUAAAACAAAGAAUAUCAAGGCAUUUUAUAUAUAAAACAUAGGCAAAACACUAGUUAAAUGUGGGUGAAACUAUCGAAUAAUAUGGUUGCAUCAACAAAUUAUAAAAAUUCAAAACUAAACAAAAAUUACAUUAAACCAUUUAAAAUUUACAAAAUAAACCCCCCUAAAUUCAAAGUAGUGCUGGGAAGACUUCUGGCAUUUCAGGAACAGUGGCGGCGCGUCCUCUCCACGCGCCGCCGCAAAAGCAACCGGGAAACAGGGUAGUCAAGAUUGGCUUCUUCUCCUCUUCCUUUCUGCAUCGGCGACAACGCCGUGACCUGCAAAACAACAAAAACACAACAACACAGUCGAUUCUCUUCAUCUUAGAUUUUUUUCUUCCUCUUUUGGAUCUGCUUCUCUCUCCUUCUUCAGAUGGCAGAUCCGUUGUGAGGGGGAGGCAGUUGUGUUAGGCCGAGGUGGUGUGUCGCUGCUGUUGGAGGGUCCGGCUCGGUCGGGCAAACUGGCUGAUGAUGGUAUAGAAGGAUGAGCGGCGGACAGAUCUGGGGUCGUGGGCACUGCUUUACUUGGGCUACUGCUGGAGGAAGAAGGCGGAUCGAUUUGGGAUCUGUGGGCGCCGCUGUGCCGGGCUAAUAUCGUUCGAUUAUGGUGGAGGCCAGUGGCGGUGCUGAGGCAGAGAUAUCACCGGGGAAGGCCGGUUUGUGGUUUUAGUGUUGCUUCUCUAUCACCGGAGGUGGAAGGGUUGAGGGAAAACUGAGAGAGAAGAUGGACGAUGGAGAGGGGAAAGAGAGGCUGGUAUGUCUGGUUUAGGAGGGACCGUGCGGUUCUCUGUCGGGGGAGGUUGAGAGAGGAGAGGGACGAUGGAGAGGAGAGUGGCCGGGGCUGAAGGUUUAGCUCCUGGGUUCUGUCAAAAGGAAAAUGAAAUGUGGGGGCAGUCGGGCUGAGGGUUGAAGAUGAGAAGAAAAAUGGGGGAGCAGUGAUGGCUACCUUGGCAAAAGGAGAGGGUCAAAUGAGGGGUAAGGCUGGCUGUGGUUGGCUGAGGGAGAAGAAGAAAAGGUCACUAGUUUGGUCUGUUUGGCUGGUGAUCAGGGAAGGAGAGCGGGUUGGUGGCGGCUGGAAGAAUGGGGCUGAGAGUGAGAUGGCUGAAGGGGGAUAAGGGAGGACCUAAAAUGGCAGGGGUCCUUGGCUCUCUGGUUCUGGGAGAGCAAAAAACCAAGGACCCCAGGGGGGACGGUGGUUUCGUUUCCAAACAAAAUGAGAGCCCGGGGGGGCUGCGGCUCCUUUUGCUUCAAGAGGGUGAGCAGUGGCGGCUGCCUUAGAGUGGGAGCUCGAAAGGGUGAGGUUGUUUAGGGUUUUUUAUGGUUUAGGAUUUCUUAGUGAUUCUUCUUAAUUGUGCAAAAUUGCUCCCCUCUUUUGUAUUUGUUGGAAACUCCUAUUUAUAGGCAAAAAUGUUGCUAGGUCCCCAAACUUGGUCCCUUAACUUCUUCUUUUUUUAUAAACAUGCAUAAUAACCAGUAGUUUAAUUCAUAAAGUCAUGACCCUUAUAGAAAAGCUCUUCCAAUUUUGAGAGCACCAUUUAUCGGUUCAUAUUGCUUACUUGAUUGAAAAGGACGUUUAAAAGCACGCAAUGCAGGCUAUGGUUCACAAGCUCAAAAGGUGUUGAGGGUUUCAAAGACUUAGGAUCAACAUCAACUAUUCAUCAAUCUCUUUUCCUCUUGUUGUCUUUAUAGAGAGAGUGACAUAUAACCUUGUUAAUCUCAAAGAUCAAAAUUCUCUUAACAUAGGUCAUAAUGCAAAUCCAACUUUUUCUUUGAUGAAUAACCAAUCUAAUCUUUUUGAAGACACUAGAGGCUUUAUCCUAGACACACCAAAAGACAUGAGACUCGAUUUUUUUGUUUUUACUUUUGGCAUUUGCUAUGUCUUUUUUCAAUUGAAACUUCUUUUGCCCUUCUUAGAAUUGAUAGGCAUUCUAAUUCCUUUCCACUUUUUUUUUUUAGCUUUCUUCAAAGUCUAUGGCUUCUUUCUUCUUCUAGCUCUUUCUCAAUCAUUGGACUUUUGUUCUAAGCCUUUGUUUUAUCCAUUGAUUCUAUCAAUGUCUUCAAAAUAUCUCUUAUUUGCCCCUAGUGUGGGGUGUCAUCCUAGUCAGGAUUUCUUUUGAAAAGAAAUAUUUUAUCAGGCUCAAAUAGGGAUUGCAAGGGAUAUAUAUCUUUAGAAAGUGAAGGGAUGAACAAAGAUGGCCUUUUCUCAUUUCAAGCUAGGUCAGUUAGAAUCGAUAAAUUUUAAUCUCGUCCAGUGUAAUGAUUUGGACUUGUAAGAAUCAUGAUUCACGAGUCUAUAACUACUGAAUCCACUACAUGUCAUUAUGCAUACUGGUAAAAUUUAGCUACAUGGUGUGUGGCUCAAUUUUAAGUGUGAGUUUAAAAUUUGUUUGGUCGCCUCAUAUUGUUUAUCUUGCCAUUUUAACAAAUAUUGAGUCAUUUCUGCAAUCAAAACACUUUUAAUGUUUUAGGAUUGACUAGCCUUAAUUUUGCAUGUUGGAGUUUGAUCAAAAUAUUUUGUCAAAAUACCCUUUGAAAGAAGCAUCUCUUGAUUUCAAAACAACAGGAAGACAAAGGAAAGACAUGUUUUGUUCAAGGAUAAGAUGUGACCCCAAAACAAAAUGCAAAAUAGCAAAAAUCCACAACAAAAUAAUUGAUAAUUCAACAGCAUUCUUGGAUUUACUUUUCUAGCAAUAUUUGUGCUUGGCCAAGCAUUUUUGAUCUUCUAUCAAUUUGAGGAUGUUCUGGUGACAAUAUGGUUGAUGACAUCAUCUUUCACAAACUCCACUCGCUUCUUGCUCACCAUCAUCCAGUCUCGAUUCUUGAAAUUUUUACAACUAUUCAAAUGAAUGGCCCAAGACCCCACCAUGAUAUUCACAUCUCGUCUAGAUUAUACCACCUAGAAACAGUGGUUGUAUGGGAUUUAACGGAGUCGAAGCGAUAAGUUUGGAGUCUGACAGAUGCUGGUAGACAAAGUCGAGUGGCGAAGGUAUGUCAAUCUUAGCAAAGACAUUUAAGCAGUUGAUGUUAUAGUGAGACAUGGCUAGACCACAUAAAUAAGGUUUUCCACCUUCAGAGUUAUCUUCCGAUUCAUCUCUUAUCAUUGUUCAUGAAUCCAUGGCAGAACCUUCAAUCUUUCCGAUCAUUAUAGCUUGUUCAACUCUUUUAGCGAUCCUCACAAUCUCAUGCCAAUCUCUUAUGCUUGUUGUGGUUGUUCGAAGAUUGGUGGAAACCAUUCAAGGUUGCUAGGUAUCCUGGUAGCGCGCAGCACCGCCACUACCAACGCGUAGAAUCACACAUUGUCCCUACUAGAUGAGAAAAUGAUGACCAUGAAUCUCCUCUAUUUCCUCUUUGAUUCCUCCUAAACGGUGCAGCAAUGAGACACUUGUAGAGGGAGUUCUGCUCUGUUGAAGUUUCAGUCUUCUUCAUGUUUUUCAGUCUAGGCAUGUCUCUUCUCUCUACUUCUGCGUUUUAAUGCUGACACUGGUAGGAGAAAAAUCAUAGAUGAUCUGAAACUACUGUAUUCCUUCUUGGAUUCUCCACUGGCAGAUCCACAAACAGAUCUCUGCAAAGAGAGUUCUGUUACAUUGAAGUUUAAUGUCUGCUAUGUUUUUUCAGACUAGGUUUGGCUCUUCUGCUUACCACUGUGUUUUGGUGCUCCUACUAAUGAGAGAAAUUUUUGUUGCAUAUGAAACUACUACAUCCAUUCUUACAUUCUCCACUGACAGAGCCACAAACAGAUCUCUGAAGAGAGAGCUCUGCUAUGUUGAAGUUCAAGGUAUACUCAUGUUUUUUCAAAUUAACAUCUUGUGCUGUAGGACAAGAAUGGAGUUUGGUGACUUCAAAGAAAGUCAAACACAAAAAGCUAGCAGCUAUUGGGUGUUAUUGCUUGACAUGAAGGCAGUGAACAACAAACAAUGCAGUUGAACCAGAAAGGAGAUUAUCUUUCAUUGAUGACUGAAGGCGUUGUUGCUGUUCAUGACUGAAAUGAAGGAGAUGUGGUGCCACUUCAGUGUUUAUAGCCCCUACUGGUGCAGUGCUGAGGAGAAAAGUCAAUGAUGUUUUCCUUAUGUGGGAUAUCGACUGACAGUGCUUCCACAAGAGGCUGUGCAGACAUUCCCUUUCCACUCUUGAAGUUCAACACUUGUUCAAGCAGAUCUAGUUUAGCUACUUCAUAUUUGAUACUCUAAAUUUCCUUUUGACAAAGAGCCUUAUCAGACCCCAUUCUUUAUUUCCCAACUUUUCUCAGUCCAGUAUAGUAGACCUCGGGUGAGGGAACCUACUUUUCAUUCUGGUACAUGCAUGACAAAUGUAUGAGCAUGUAAUGUAUAUGAUGAACUCGCCCUUCGAGGGGUGACAUAUACUCGUAACUCUUAUAUGAUGAAACAAGAAUCUUGAUUCUUGCCCAAACUCUACAAUGAAAAUUUUCUGAGUGACGGUCAUUUUGUCACCCACAAGUCUUGAGUUCAAGAUGCUUCAAGAAGGAUUUGCCCUAAUGCAAAUAAUGAUAGCACAUACAACUAAGGACAGGUUCUAUUCAUUAUAUGAAAAUUGGUAGGUUUUCUACCUGGUCUCAACAGGGUCUCAUAUCUGCCUAGUGACGAUCUUCGUAAAGACAGUAUAGGGGCGUUGCAAAAAAUGGUUAAGGUACGUAUACCCACCAUUACCAAACAGGCACUCGGAUAUGAGUUAGGUGUUUCAAGCAUCUGAACCCUGACCAAUAUUCAUAGGGCAGAUCGCUAGUUCCCCACCUAACCUAGAAGCUUGUGUGUGCUUUCAAAAAUAAAGACAUGUGAUGCAUGAAACAAUUGUAUACAAUGCAUGGAAAAAACAUUAACAAAAUAAAACAAAAGGCAAAAACUUAAACACAUCAAAUACACAAAGCUUAGUCCAAUAUUGUCAGAAACAGUACCUUCCCCAAUGGAGUCGCCAUUCUAUCGCACGUCACCCGCGCGGCGUCGGUUGGCGAUUUUUUGUUGGUUUGCUUGAUUUAUUCUUGGGAGUCACCACCUAGUAUUUAAUUGAGGUUACUAGGAAACCCGAAUGUACUGGUUGUGGUUAGGGAAGGUAUUAACACCCCUAACGCACCCUACCUGAGGUAAGCUGCUUCGUGGCUUUGAUGUGUUAAAAAAGUUUUAAAAUUUUUGUCUUUUCAUCGGAUAUUAGAAAUACAACUUACAUGUAAGUUCAUAAUUCUUGACCGUGAGCAAAUCAAAAUAUUAAAUUCUUCUUUAUUCUUUACAAUUUUAUUAUAAAAAAAUCCAUAAAAACAAAAACAAACAACACAUUCACUUUCACUAUAUUUUUUCUUUUUUCCUUUUUUCUUUUUUUCUUUUUUACAUCCACACUACAAAUUAUAAAAAUUCAAAACUAAACAAAAAUUACAUUAAACCAUUUAAAAUUUACAAAAUAAACCCCCCUAAAUUCAAAGUAGUGCUAGGAAGACUUCUGGCACUUCAGGAACAGUGGCAGAGCGUCCUCUCCACGCACCCCUGCCACUAGCGUCGCGUCCUAUCCACGCGCCGCCGCGAAAGCAACCGGGAAACAGGGCAGUCGAGAUUGGCUUCUUCACCUCUUCCUUUCUGCACCAGCGACGACGCCGUGACCUGCAAAACAACAAAAGCGCAACAACACAGUCGAUUCUCUCCUUCUUAGAUAUGUUUCUUCCUCUUUUGGAUUUGCUUCUCUCUCCUUCUUCUUCAGAUGGCAGAUCCGCUGUGAGGGGGAGGCCGCUGUGUUAGGCCGAGGUGGUGUGUCAUUGCUGCUGGAGGGUCCGGCUCGGUCGGGCAAACUGGCCGAUGAUGGUGUAGAAGGAUGAGCGGCGGACAAAUCUGGCCGCUAUGCUUGGGCUACUGUUGGAGGAAGAAGGCAGACCAAUUUGGGAUCUGUGGGCGCUGCUGUGCCGGGCUACUAUCGGUCGGUUAUGGUGGAGGCCGGCGGUGCUGAGACAGAGAUAUUGUUGGGAAGGCCGGUCUGUGGUUCUGGUGUUUGCUUCUCUGUCACCGGAGGUGGAAGGGUUGAGGGAAAACUGAGAGAGAAGAUGAACGAUGGAGAGGGGAAAGAGAGGCUGGUGCGUCUGGUUUAGGAGGCAGCGUGUGGUUCUCUGUGGGGGGAGGUUGAGAGAGGAGAGGGAUGAUGGAGAGGAGAGUGGCCAGGGCUGAAGGUUUAGCUCCCGGGUUCUAUCAAAAGGAAAACGAAAUGUAAGGGCUGUCGGGUUGAAGGUUGAAGAUGAGAAGAAAAAUGGGGGAACAGUGAUGGCUACCUUGGCAAAAGCAGAGGGUCAAAUGAGGGGUAAGGCUGGCUGUGGUUGGCUGAGGGAGAAGAAGAAAAGGUCACUAGUUUGGUCUGUUUGGCUGGUGAGCAGGGAAGGAGAGCGAGUUGGUGGCGGCUGGAAGAGUGGGGCUGAGAGUGAGAUGGCUGAAGGGGGAUAAGGGAGGACCUGAAAUGGCAGAGGUCCUUGGCUCUCUAGUUCUGGGAGAGCAAAAAACCAAGGACCCUGGGGGGGACGGUGGUUUCGUUUCCAAACAAAAUGAGAGCCCGGGGGGGGGGGGGGCUGCGACUCCUUUUGCUUCAAGAGGGUGAGCAGCGACGGCUGCCUUAAAGUGGGAGCUCGAAAGGGUGAGGUUGUUUAGGGUUUUUUAUGGUUUAGGGUUUCUUUGUGAUUCUUCUUAAUUGUGCAAAAUUGCUCCCCUCUUUUGUAUGUGUUGGAAACUCCUAUUUAUUAGCAAAAAUGUUGCUAGGUCCCCAAACUUGAUCCCUUAACUUCUUUUUUUUUUGUAAAUUUGAUUUUUCUUAUUUUUUUGUUUUUUCUUAUCAACAUCGACUCGAAUGAAGAAAAUCAUUGAUUUUUAAAAAUAACACGUUAAAAGUCGAAUGCGUUCUGAAGACCUUUGAAAAUUUAAAUUCUUUUGAGACGAUGCUGAAAAUGCUAAAAAUUAUGCAAAUAUAUUAAAAAACGUAUUUUUUGGAUUUUCGUUGUUUUUCACUUUUAUUGGAUUUUUUGAAAUUUUUAUUAAAAAGGUGGGUCAAAAAUUGGGUAACAACAGAUGCCCCCUCUUUACAAUGCUUACAAAGCAAAACUCCUCAAUGUUUUGCAUAGUAAGCUUUGUAAAGAAAACUUGUCUUCUUAACUUGUUGAAUGAUCCACUCAUCUAAAAACCUUACUUUUUUCUUUUUCUGAUUUCUUUCUUUCUCUGUCUUUUUUUUCUCCUUUUCUUUUCCGUUAACCUGAGGUCCCGUCUGGCAACCUCCUUUAACCAAAACCAAAGAAUGUGUGUAGCUCGGUCAACCUGAAAUCCCACCUGGCGAUUCCCUUUAACCAAAGCCACCUGAGAUCCCAUCAGGCAACCUCUUUUAACCAAAACCAAAGAAUGUGUGUAGCUUGGUCAACCUAAAAUCCCAUCUGGCGAUUCCCUUUAACCAAAGCUACUUGAGAUCCCUUCUGGCAACCUCCUUUAACCAAAACCAAAGAGAAUGUGUAGCUCGGUCAACCUGAAAUCCCAUCUGGUGAUUCCCUUUAACCAAAGCUACUUGAGAUCCCUUCUGGCGACCUCUUUUAACCAAAAUCAAAGAGAACGUGUAGCUCGGUCAACCUGAAAUCCCAUCUAGCAAUUCUCUUUAACCAAAGCCACCUGAGAUCCCAUCUAGCGACCUCUUUUAACCAAAACCAAAGAAUGUGUGUAGCUCGGUCAACCUGAAAUCCCAUCUGGCGAUUCCCUUUAACCAAAGCUACCUAAGAUCCCUUAUGGCGACCUCCUUUAACCAAAACCAAAGAAUGUGUGUAGCUCGAUCAACCUGAAAUCCCAUCUUGCGAUUCCCUUUAACCAAAGCUACUUGAGAUCCCUUCGCUAUUUUUGAAUUUUUUGAAAAUUUUAUUAAAAAGGUGGGUCAAAAAUUGGGUAAUAACACCAUUAUUUGAAGCUAAUCAUUAACGCAACUCGGCCAUCCAUCUAGGAUGCCAUUAGCCGAAGCUAAUCAUUAACGCGAUCUGGCCAUUCGUCUAGGAUGCCAUUAGCCGAAGCUAAUCAUUAACGCGAUCUGGCCAUUCGUCUAGGAUGCCAUUAGCCGAAGCUAAUCAUCAUUAUAGCCCGACCAUCCAUCUCAGAUGCCGUUAGGUGAAGCUAAUCACCAGCUCAAGCAACAUUUCAUAGUCGUUUCAACAUUCAUCAAGAAUCCAUUCAAACAUUUCAUCGUCGUUUCAUCAUUCAUCAAGAAUUCAAUCAACAUUUCAUCAUCGUUCCAAAAUUCAUCAAGAAGUUGAUCAACAUUUCAUAGUCGGUUUAACAUUCACCACAAUACAAUAAUAUAUCAUCCACAAGUAAAUCAUUUCAGAACAUUAACAUUAUACAAGAAAAAGGUGGAAACCACCUACCUGUUCUUCCUGUAGGGUGUCCCUGCCCAGUCGCACCACCUAAUACAUCAAUGGUCACAAAUAAGCUCAUCUGCAUUUUGAAAUCACAUGACUCAUUACCAUACAUAUUUCAAGAAUCCACAUGUUCAAAUUCAAGUGUUCCACAUAUUACACAAUCACACAAUGCAAACAUUUUAGUCACUAGACCAAUUCAGAUACAUAUAUCUGCUGCAGAAAUUAGUUAGCGAAAAUUGGUUCGCUAGUGACAUAGAUUUGCCACUGAACUAAUUCGCUGGAACACGGAAUCGUCAGCGAAACUGGUUUGCUGGUGACACAGAUUGUCAGCGAAACUGGUUUGCUGGAACACAGAAUCGUUAGUGAAACUGGUUCGCUUGUGACACAAUAAUUCGAUAGUUAAAACUAUUUCGCUGCUAAUACCAUAAUUCAGCAGCGAAACCGAUCAUUAUUGGCACCACAAUUCGGCAGCGAAAAGUGAUUCGCUGUCGGCACCACAAUUCGGCAUAAAAAACUGAUUCGCUGCUGACAACACAAUUUAGUAGCGGAAUCUGGUUUGCUGCUGACACAGAAAUCAUCAAUGCACACGCCCCACUAUUGAUAUAGAAAUCGUUGAUGAAAACUGAGUCGCUGCCGACCCAGAAAUCAUCACCGCAAUCCAUGUCGCUGCCAAUUCAGUAAUCGUUAGCGACUUUUGAGUCAUUUUUGGUUUUACUCUUCAUGGCCGAAACAUAGUUGCCCCAUUUUAUUCAAUCUUUCUCAUGCAUUUUAUCAAGUCUAACACAAACAUAUUCCGAACAACAUGACAUGAUCAUACAUUUAAACAUUUGAUUUCAAAUUAAACAAGUUCAUCCAUUAUAUAGGCAAAAAUCAAGGCAUUAACAUGGUGUGGUUUCCACUUCAGGUUCAACAUGCCUCUAAGGCUUAACAACAACACAAUUCUGCACAUUUACUAUCAUUUCAACACAUUUUUGCGUAACUUCAUCCACCACAUAUGCAUAAUUUAUGUCAUUAACACAAGUAUAAUCACAACAAUCAUGUUGCAACCAUAUUCUCAUUCACUUAAACCAUAUUCAUGCAAGCUCAUUAACCUCAUAAUAAAAUCAAAGCAUUAACAUUAACAGAGAUUCUAUUUCAGCUCAAUUAUCAUCCUAAGGGUUCAACAAGAUCAUAACUGUAACAACCCGGCUUUUUCAAGGCCAAAAUCCCUGGAAUUUUUUUUUUAAUCAUCCGGUUUCUGGAUUUUUUCACCAUAUCAUUCUUCAAGUUUAUCAUUGCAUUUUGUUCAUUAACAAGGUAGGAUAACGUAACUCAACAUUCCCAUAGAACAGAUUCUCAAUACACGUGCCCAUAAUAUUAUAUUUUCGUACUCAUAGGUUUAGAUUACAUCAUAUCGACAUACCCAUAAAUUCACAUUCUUGUUCUAAUCUCAUUAUCAUCACGAGUUCAUACAAAAGUAUCAAACAACAAGUUACACAUCUAGUACUUUUGUUAUCCUGACCUUAUGUAAUUUCACAACACGACAUCCUCAUUAUAUGAAUGCCUCAUAUGUAUGUUCAUACACAUCAUAUCAACUUAUUCGUACAUUUAUAUCCGUGUUCCAUUUCAAUUUUUCAUUACUAGUCUUUACAAAAGGUGUUAGACGACUAACUGAGUGAUUAACAUGUCCGUUCAUGCAGAACUCAUAUCACCCAUAUCAUGCAAAUAUAUAGUUCUUUUCAAAACAUGUGAGCCGCAAAAUGAAUUUCCUUACGCACCAUAUUGGUAUGAUGUCCCUGUUACAACACAAGGUAAUUUCAAGCAUUAUAGGCAACUUAAGAAAACAUAAAAAAGCAAUAUUAUCAUUACAUUUCAUUAAUGGACCAAAAGAACAUAAUUCUUUCAUUUCUCCUUACUUAUGUAAAUACCACCAUUAAUAAUUCGUCAAUUACCGAGGCUAAUUACAAUACUCAAACCCGAUCAUUCAUCUUGAAUACCUUUAGCUGAACUAAUGUUAUUCUCAGUUUAGAGCAUAAUAAUCGUAGUUCUUUCAUAUACUUAGUAUAUACAAAAUGUAGUAUACAUGAACGCAUCAGUUCUUAAAACUAUCUCAUAACACUCAAAUCCAACUAUUCUCUUAGGAUGCCAUUAGCCGAAGCCAAUCAUUUAUUCAUCCUGGUCAUCCACUUAGGAUACCAUUAGCCAAAGCUAAUCAUUUGUUCUUCUUGGUCAUCUGCUUUGGAUGCCAUUAGCCAGAGCUAAUCAAUCAUUUAUCCCGGUCAUUCAUUUGGAUGUUGUUAGCCAAAGCUAAUCAUUUGUUCAUCUUGGUCAUCUGCUUUGGAUGCCAUUAGUCAUAGCUAAUCAUUUGCUCAUCCCGGUCAUCCAUUUAGGAUACCAUUAGCCGAAGCUAAUCAUUUAUUCAUCCUGGUCAUCCACUUAUGAUGCCAUUAGUCGAAGCUAAUCAUUUAUUAAUCCUAGUCACCCCCUUAGGAUGCCAAUAGCCGAAGCUAAUCAAUCAUUUGUCCCUGUCAUCCAUUCAGAUGCCAUUAGCCAGAGUUAAUCAAUCAUUUGUGCCGGUCAUCUAUUUGGAUGUCAUUAGCCGAAGCUAAUCAUUAACCAAUCAAACGUUCCAGAGGUGGUUUAUAAACUCACCAUAACAUGGUAAUAUCAUUUGAAUUGCUCAUUCAAAUGAUUCAUAACAACUUGACAUUCCCCGCAACAUAAUAUCAAACCCUUCGUGAUACUCGUAUAGGCGAUCCGUAAUAGUGUAAUGUUUAGUAAACACGAUAAUAGAUCAUUUGUAAUACACAAACAAAACAUUCCAUAACAGUUUAGCAUUGAGUAACACAACAGUACACCCUUCGUAUUACUCAUCCAACCAUCCAUGACAAUUAAUGUUCAAUACAAUACAACAACAGAUCCCUCGUAAUACUCAUACAACGAUCCGUGAUAAUUAAUAUUCAGUAUAAUACAAUGGUAGAUCUUUCGUAAUACUCAUACAACCAUGCAUGAUAAUUUCAUUUAAUAUAAUACAACGGUAGAUCCUUCAUAAUACUCAUACAAUCAUUCGUCACAAUUACAUUCAAUAAAAUACAAUAGUAGAUCCUUCGUAAUAUUCAUACAAUCAUUCGUCACAAUUACAUUCAAUAAAAUACAACAGUAGAUCCUCCGUAAUACUUAUACUACCAUUCAUCAGCAGCCCAAAUUCAUAAUAGCCCAAUCAAUAUCUCAUAGUCAGUUUAAUAUUCAUCGCAACACAAUAAUAUAUCCACUUCUAACAUUAACAUUUUCAUCAUUGUUUCAACAUUCAACAAGAACCCGAUUGACAGUUCAUGGUCGUUUCGACAAUCAUCAAGACUUCAUCAUCAUUUUACCAUUCCACAAGGAUUUAAUAAAAUAUCAUCAUAAGUAAAUUAUUUCAAAACAUAAACAUCAUACGAGAAAAAGGUAGAAACCACCUACCUGCUCCACUUGCGGGUUGUCCUUGUCUUAGCGAUGGUCCAAUCCCGCCCACACCACCUAAGACAUCGAUGGCCACAAAUCAGUACAUUUGCAUCCUUAAAUCACAUCCAUCACCAUACUUAUUUCAAGAGUUCAUAUGUUCACCUUUAAGUGUUCCACAUUUUACACCAUCAUACAAUGAAAUUGUUACAAGCAUUUAAGUCAUUUUUGCUCGGGGGUCUAUUGUAGAGAAUCGACAGCAAAACUGAUUCGCUGUUGGCCACAUAAUUCGGUAGCGAAAACUAGUUCGCUGCAGGCCAUACACUACAGCAGCAAAAACUGGUUUGUUGCCAGCUGCACAAUUCAGCAGCAAAAACUAGUUUGCUGCAAGCACCUCAAUUUCGACAGCAAUAGCUACUUCGUUGCAGCCAACACGCUUUUAGCAGCGAAUGCUAAUUUCGCUUCAGGCAACUCGAUUUUGGAAGCGAAUCACACUUCCACUGCAGACAACACAACUUCAGCAGCGAACACUAAUUUGUUGUAGACAACAUAACUUCGGCUGCCAAUGCUAAUUCGCUGCAGCCAACACACUUUCGGCAACGAAUGCUAAUUCGUUGUGGACAACACAAUUCAGCAGCGAACACCUGAUUCAUUAUGGACAACACAAAUUUGGCAGCGAAAACCUAAUUCGCUGCCGAAAACCUGAUUCGCUGCGGACAACACAGUUUGGCAGAGAACACCUGAUUCACUGCGCAAUACACAAUUCAGUAGCAAACACCUGAUUCGCUACGGACAACACAAAUCGGCAGUGAACACCUGAUUCGCUGCGAAAUACACAACUCGACAGCGAACACCUGAUUCACUGUGGACAACACAAAUUUGGCAGCGAACACCUGAUUCGCUGCGGACAACACAAAUUCAACAGCGAAAACUUGAUUUGCUGAGAACAACACAAUUCAGCGGAGAACACCUGAUUCCCUACGCAAUAAACAAUUCAGCAACGAGCAACUGAUUCACUACAGACAACACAAAUUUGGCAGUGAACACUUGAUUCACUGCAGACAACAUAAUUUGGCAGCGAACACCUGAUUCGCUGCAAAAUACAAAAUUUGGCAGCGAACACCUGAUUCGCUGCGGACAACACAAUUCGACAGCGAAAACCAGAUUCCCAGCUGAAUACACAAUUCAGCAGCGAAAACUGGUUCGCUGUAGGCCACACAAUUCAGCAGCGGAAAUUGAUUCGUCACAGCCACUAGAAUUCGACAGUGAAAACUGAUUCGCUUCAGAUAAUACAAUUCAGCAGUGAGGCUGAUUCACUACUAACAUAGAAAUUAUUGACGAGAGUUCAGUUGUUGGUGACUUAGAAAUCGUCAACGCAACCCUUGUCGCUGCCAAUUCACAAAUUGGCAGCAGCGACAUAAUCGUUUCUGAUGUGAACUUUCAUGAAAACUAUAUGUUCAAAUUAUGAUGUUAGCAAUGACAUUUUCUGCAAACAAGAAGAUAAAGAUUGUUACCAAGUCAAGAGGUGGCCACCCACUAAACAAUUAGUCAUCAAAUCAAUAGUUCUGAAUUUUAACCUAUAAAAGGAGGCAUUUGCCAUGCAUUUAGGCAUCUUGGUUUUCAGAUUAAGAUCAUUUCCUUACUUGCUUUCUUUCUUUGUAGUUUUUAUGUUCUAGUUUUAUUUCAUGUUAUAGUUUCAUUAAUAUCUUGUUUAUGCUUUUCAUUUCCUUUACUAUACUUAUAUAAUUAUGUUCUCAUCUUCUUCUUUUUUUUAUGUUUCUCUUCUUCAUAAUGUUUAGCUAAGUUUAAUAUGUCAAGGUGAAAUGGUUUCACUAAUGGUAUUAGAAAAGGUAUAAUAUAAACUCAACAUGGACUUCAAUGUUUAUAUGCAAGAAAUUUUGUUAUUAAUAUGUCUUAUCUUUUUAUCUUACUAAUUCUUAAUACCUUGCUCGUUAAAUGAUUAAUCUAGAUUUGUGUUGUACAACCCUUGGUACAAUAAAUACUUGGCACUUUCAUAGCCUACUGUAUGGUAUAACCGACACCUGUGCUAUGAAAGGAACUUGAUUUGUUUAACAUAAGUUAACAUCAUGAAUUCCUGACAAUAUUUAAAAGUAUGGUGCUACUAAAAUAAAAUAAUUAAUAUGAUCAUGUUAAAAAUUUAUAAUGAACUAUUAAGGAUAAAUCAUCCGAUUGGAACCUUCUUUGAGUGUGGUUUCCAGUUGAUUAAUAAAAAGAGUUUAUACUAUACUUAUUUCUAAUACUAUUAGUGGAUCUAACUUUUACAUUUGUUUUUAUCAUUGUUUAAUCCUCACAUUAAUCUCAUAUCUAAAAAUUCUCUUUAAGUCAUUGUUAUUAUUAUUAUUAUUAUUAUUAUUAUUAUUAUUAUUAUUUAUAAUUUAUAUAGUUCACCUCCCUGUGGUUCGACCUCGGUCUUGCCGGAUUUUUUAUUACUUAUUACUUUGACAUUCCUGCACUUGGGAUAAGACAUCAAUCUUUUGAUUGUGUCAAGUUUUUGGCGUUGUUGUCGGGGGGGUAAAUUCAUGUAUAAAUUAUAAUUUUUAUUUUAUUUUCUCUUUUCACUUUUCUUGUAUCUAACUUUUGUUUCUUUUGUUUUCUUCAACCUUUUAUUCUCUUCCUACACAUGCAUGAGAGUUUGGUCAUGUACAUUAAGUGGUAGACUUUCUAGGAAAUCCUCAUCAUUUUCAGAAAACAUGGCCGAAGAGGAUAAUCAAUCGCUUCAUAAUGAGAAUAAUCGAGUUAAAACACUAAGAGACCACAUGAAUCCAACAAGAACAAGUGCACCAUCAUGUAUAGUUUUCCCUCCUGAUGCAUCUCAUUUCAAUUUUAAGCCAGGCGUUAUUCAACUUUUACCUAUUUUUCAUGGCUUAGAACUAGAAAAUCCAUACUUGCAUUUGAGAGAAUUUGAAGAAGUUUGUAACACUUAUAUUGACUUAAAUUGUAGCAUGAACACUAUCAGAUUAAAGCCUUUUCCUUUAUCUUUAAAAGAUAAAACUAAAACAUGGCUACAAAAUCUUAGUUUAGGAUCUAUUCGUGCUUGGGAUGAAAUGCAACAACAGUUUUUAAAGAAGCUUUUCCCUUCUCAUAAAACAAACUCUUUCAAAAGACAAAUCACCACAUUCACUCAAAAGCCAGGAGAAACAUUUUACCAGUGUUGGGAUAGGUAUAGAGACUUGCUUAAUACCUGUCCUCAUCAUGGUUUUGAAACAUGGAGAUUGGUCUCAUAUUUUUAUGAAGGAUUAACACCUAAAGAUAGGCAAAUGAUGGAAUUGAUGUGCAAUGAAACUUUUAAAGAUAAAGACCUUGAUGAAGCAAUGGAGUACCUAGACUUGUUAGCUGAAAAUGCUCAAACUUGGGACACUACAGGUACUUGUGAGGCACCAGGUAAAACUCAAAUCUCAUACAUCUAGUGGAGGUAUGUACAACCUUAGGGAAGAUCAUGACCUCCUAGCCAAAUUUGCAUGUUUAGCUAGAAAAGUCGAGGCACUAGAAUUGAAAAGGAGUGAUCAAUUGAAAUCUGUUCAAGAAAUUAUAUGUCAAAUCUGUGAAACUAAUGAACACUCAACCAAUGAUUGUCCAACUUUGCCUUCUUUCAAGGAAUAUAUCUAUGAGCAAGCCAAUGCUUUAAACAAUUUCCAAAGGCCAAAUCAGAAUCCAUACUCACAAACGUAUAACUCUGGUUGGAGAAAUCAUCCAAAUUUUAGUUGGAAUAGUGGUAACAAUAAUGCACAAACUUCACGGCCGCCAUUUCAAGCACACCAUAAUUUUCAAAAUUCUCAGGGAUAUGCACCUCCUUAUGUUCCCCCUCUUAGAAGAAAUCUUGAGGAAACAUUGCAUGCAUUCAUUGGAAAGCAAGAGACAAUCAACACUCAACUUGCUCAAACCAUGAUAGAUUUUAAAGAUACUCUUGCAAAAGUCACAUCAACUCUCAACCCUCCUUAAGUUCUCAUCUCAACCACAGCAAAAUCUCAAAGGGUAAUACAAUUCAAGUGCAAGCAGCUUCGAAAGCCAACACAUGGAUCAAGUCCAAUUAAUCAUUACUCUCCACAGUGGUAAGGUUAUUGAAAAACCCAUUCUUGAACCUUGUGAGAAAGAUGAUGAGUCAAUCUCUAAGGGUAAUGAAGGGGUUAAACCUGAACAUUGCAAAGAAAAGAUUGAUUCCCCACCAAUACUUCCAUUUCCUCAUGCCAUGACCAAACAAAGGAAAGUCAAUCAUAAUUUUGAAAUCUUUGAAACUUUCAAACAGGAAGAAAUCGAGGAAGAAAAAGGCACCGAAAAUGUUGUCGCGAAUCAUUUGUCAAAAUUGACAAUAGAUUCGACAUCUAACAUCACAUCAAUUGAUGAUUACUUUCCUGACGAAUCUCCACUUUAUAUUGCUUCAAUACCUUGGUUUGCUAAUAUUGACAAUUUUCUUUCUUCAGGAUUUUUGACAGCUCAUUUAGAUACCCAAGACAAAAGAAAGUUUUUGAGCGACGUGCAGAACUUUUAUUGGGAUGACCUUUAUUGAAAUAUUGUCCUGAUCAAAUAUUUCAAAAAUGUAUUCCUGACAAUGAGGUAAGUAGUGUCAUUAAACAUUAUCAUUAUGAGGCAUGUGGGGAUCAUUUCUCGCAAAAAAAGACAGCUGCAAAAAUCUUACAAAGUGGAUUCUGGUGGCCCACCAUGUUCAAGGACAUACAUGCAUUCUACAAAACCUGUGAAAAUUGUCAAAAGUUAGGAUUUAUUUCAAAACAUAAAGAGUCCUUAGAUAAUCUUCUAUUGACUCUUGAGACGUACCUUAAUGGAGAUGUGUAUCGUGCAAUUCAUGAUUUAUGACCUCUUUUCCAUAAAGAACAUGCUCGACAUAGUCUUAGGAAUCUGACUAAAAAUUGACCCUGUUUGCUGAACAAUUUCUAACAUCUUCGGCACGACAAAUCAUAAUCUCUGCUGCUACUGCUGAACAAUUGAUUGACCAACUACAAUCUUUCAUCCCUGUAAUUAAUCCUCCAUGAGUCACAUAAAUUGGUCAACCAUGGACAACCGUAAAAAGCUUAGGUUGGAUUUGAGCCCUAGUUUGUAAAAACUUGUGUCUUUUGGUUUUAUUAAUAGCAUAUCCUUUUUGUUUUGUUAUUUCUUAUAUUUGUUUAAGUGUGUUUUAGGUUUAUCAGUGUUUGCUGUUUCAGGUGAUGUCUUCUAUACUCUAUCUUUCUACCUUAGAACAUUGAGGACAAUGUCUCGUUUUGGUUGGGGGAAAAGGGUAGUAGUUGAUAUUAAAAAAAAAUUAACUAACUGUGUUUUCUAUUACUAAAACCAUUUAAAAAACUGUUGUUAUUAGGAUGACAGAGUAAAGGAGGAAUUUUAGUGACUCUUGAGACGCAUCUUAGUAAACAUUCUUAGCAAGGUCUAUCAGAAUACUUCUUGAAAUAUUCAGGUUUAUAAACUCUCACAUUAUUAUCAAUUGAUUCUGCUCAUAUACCUAGCUAACAAGUAUUCAUAAACCUUCAUUUUCACACACACACUUUAACAUAUGAUUGUGGAUUGCACAUUGGAUUAUUACCUUAUUUAUGUUCUUUUGUUAAAGGUAACAACUAAGGGAAAGGGAUAAUAUAUAAUUUGCAAAAUAAUAAUCAUAAUAAUAAUAAAUAAUAAAAACAAAUUGAAUAAAUAAAAAAAUAGAUAAGUUUGGAUUCGUAGCCUCCUUGACUUAAGCAAUUAAGCUCGAAGGGGUGUUUUAACACCCAGUACUCUAAAGUCAACUAACUUGAGAGCUAUUGGCCCAAAGCUUGUUACAUAGGUUGGGGAGAAAAGCUUAAGGAAAUCAAACAUUGCACUAUUUACAUAUUAGUAUCUGCAACUCGAGUUACUAAGCUUGAAGGGGUGUCUCAACACCUAAUGCCCUAAGACCAAUUGAUCUGGGAGUCAUUAGCCUAAAGCUUGCUAUAUGGGUUAAGGAUGCAUUGUGUUUUAUUUAAAAAAAUUUAAUAAUAAUCCCAACCCAAAGGAGUUAACCUUAGAAAAACAUUAAGAACAUAAUAUUGUUUUCUUCCAAUAAAAGCCCCAUCAUCUAUGUUUUCAUACAUUGAGCACAUAAAAAGAAGGUUUAUUAAUAUUUUUGUUCAAUAGUAUGAAGCAGAUAUAUAAAUUUAAUGAGAGUUUGUUUAUUUGGAUAAAUUAAUGGAAGUUGAAUGAUGAAUGCCUUGCUUUGUGGAACUUGCACAUUGUUUUUCUAUUUUAACGCUUUGAUUACUAGGGACUAGUAAUAAGCUGGUUGGGGGUGUGAUUAAUACUUAAAAAUGCAUUUUUAUCAAGGUUUUAUAUCAUCAUUUUGCACUUGAAGGAUCAAUAACUCCUUAACUAGAGCAUGUUUUAUAAUAACAAGUCUGAUAAUAUAAGAUACCUUUAAUUUAUGGUAAAUGUUCAUUUUAAAUGCAGGCCUAUCACAUAAAUCAAAGGAUUGAUUGAUAAGUUUAACUACUGAAAUUGAGAAGACAAAGAGAGGGUUAAGCUUAGAAAAGAGGUGGUGGUUGAAUUCAAAUUGGAAUACCAUUAAGUUAUUGAAUCAUAACUGGAGCUGUAGAACUUGGAUUUAAGUCUGGUUUAUAUGGAUAGAAAGUUAAGACAUAGGCCUAAAACUUUCAUGAAGAGUCCAAGAUUCAAAAGGACCGUUUUCAAGUUCAAAUUAUAGCAACAACAGAGAAGUCGGAAUCUGUCCUACAGCCCAGACACUGUUCAGUGUUCAGCCCAUAUCUCGAGUUCUAGAAGUCCAAAUGACCUCAUUCUUAUUUUGUUGGAAAGCUGAGAUAAUUUCCCAGAACUUUCAUGAAGACUAUCUGUUCAAAUUAUGAUGUUAGCAAUGACGUUUUCUACAGACAAGAAGAUAAGGAUUGUUACCAAGUCAAGAGGUGGCCACCCACUCAACAAUUAGUCAUCAAAUCAAUAGUUCCAAAUUUUGGCCUAUAAAAGGAGGCAUUUGCCAUGCAUUUAGGCAUCUUGGUUUUCAGAUCAAGAUCAUGUUCUUGCUCUCUUUCUUUAUAUUUUUGUAAUGCUUAAGUUUUGCUUUCAUUAAUAUCUUGUUUAUGCAUUUCAUUUCCUUUCCUUUACUUAGUUAACUUAUAUCUUAUUUAUGUUCUUAUCUUGUUUAUUUAUGUUUCUCUCUUUCAUUAUGUUUAGUUAAGUUUAUUAUAUCAAGGUGAAAAGGUUACACUAAUGGUGUAAGAAUAAGUAUAGUAUAAACUCAACAUGGACCUUAAUGUUUGAUACUAACAUGUUUUGUAUUUGUUAUCUUAUUCACUCUUAAUACGUUGCUUGUUAAAUGGUUAAUCUAGAUUUAUGUUGUAUAACCCUUGGCACAACAAAUACUUGGCACUUUCAUAGCCCAACCGUAUGGUAUAACCUACACAUGUGCUUUGAAAGGAACUUGAUUUGUUGUCAACAUAAGUUAUAAUCAUGAAUACCUGACAACAUUUACAAGUAUUAGCAUUAUUCGAAUAAGAUAACUAAUGUAAUCAUGUUAACAAUUUAUAAUCCGAUUGGAACCUCCUUUGUGCGUGGUUUCCAAUUGAGUAAUAAAAAGAGUUUAUAUUAUGCUUGUUUGAAAUACCAUUAGUGAAUCCUUAAAACCUUGACAUUUGUCUUUAUCAUUGUUUAAUCCUCACAUUAAUCUUACAUCUCAAAGUCCUAUUUAACUUCUUCUUCUUAUUGUUGUUGUUGUUCUUCUUGUUAUUAUUAGUAUUUAUAAUAUAUAUAGUUAACCUCCCUGUGGUUCGAUCCCGGUCUUGCCGGAUUAUUUAUUAUUUCGACACUCCUGCACUUGGGAGAAGACAUCAAUCUUUUGGUCGUGUCACUAGGCAGCCAGACCCAGCCUCUUUUUGUAGCGUUUUGAGCCAGACCCAAAACUAUUGGGUCCUGUUAGAUAGCAGAACCCAAUGCUAUUAUCACUUUUUGAAAAUGUUGUGGGUGUGGCUUAGCAACCAAACCCAACAUCCAGCUGCCAUGCCAGACCCAACAGUUUUUGGCAGAGAAAGCAACACCCCCAGCUGUAAUUUUUGACCAAAAACACAGCAGAGGAACGCCCCCAGGGUGCUAUAGUGCUGUCCACAGUGAAAAUAAUCUAUGCCUACAGUGUUGUCCAUAGUGCAAUGUGUAUGUGUUCACUCCCACAUGUUUUAAAAGAGCCUACAGUAAACCCAAAUAGUGCAAUCCACAGUGAAAUCAAUCACAAUCCAUAAGAUCAAAAUAGUGCAAUCCAUAGUGAAAUCACUUAUAGUCCACAGUAAAACACGUCCACGGUAAAACCUUUGUACAACACUUCUCCUAGAUGCAUUUUCUACUCCCUAAAACCUUCCUCAUAUUUUCUUGGUCUCUUUCCACUCCUCCUCUACUGCUACUAGCCUCCUCUCUUCCUUUUCCUUAAUUUGUUUUUCCUUUAAUGCUUUAAUCUUCACUCAAACCUCUUAUUUUCUCUCAUGUGUUUGCUUGCAUGUGAUUUUCUCUAAUUGUUCUUUAGAAUAUGGUGCUGAAGAGAAUAACGUCUCUUUCUUUUCCCCUCCUCUAUAUUCUAUCAUCAGCUCUCUUAUUCUUUUUAAGGUUCACAUGUUUUUUUCCUUUCUUUUUUUUGCUUUUGUCCCUCAUUUGUUUAUAUAUUUUCAGUUUAGUCCCCUCAUAAAGUCUUUCCCACAUUAGAGCUCUUGUCUUUUACCAACAGGUUCCUUUCUAUUUAUUAAAUCUCUUGCGUCUAUUUUUAGGGGCUUACAAAAAAAUGCCCAUAAAUGCAUGCCUAUUUUUGUUUUUGGUCUUUUUCUAAGGGUGAAGAUAUUUUUUUACUAUAUUCUAAGAAACAAAAGACAAACAAAACUAUUGGUAAACAAUUCUAUUUUUUUUAUGGUGGUGUAAAUAAUUCAUUUUAUUGUUUAGAAAAAUUAGAAAAGAUAAAUAUACCCUUUAUUAAUUUUCUAAUAAUUAACGAGCCAUUAAAAAAAGAUAAAAGUGCUCCUAGCACUAAGGCUACAGUAACAAUCAAUGAUAAUCUAUAAAGUGUUAUAGUAAAAAAAACCCCACAUUCAAUAUAUAUUUGGUAAUGAUUUGGAUCCGUAGGCCCAUUUACAAUACAAGAAGUUUUCAAGGUGCGGACCUUAUACACCACGAAAACAUGACUAGAGCAUCUGGCACCAUCAAUUGCAACCAUCAAUUGCAAAUCCCUGCCAGGGGCGAGUCUCUAUCUACUUAAUCCCCAAAAUCUCUCCCUUUUUUGAUCUUCUCAACUCCCAUUUUGUUAUCAUCCGAACCCACAAGUCCUCAAAAUGCCCUAAGCAGAAUUACGAAACAACAGCCCUGAAAUCAAAGAGCCUUCUCAUAAAAUCCCCAUGCUCCAACAAAAUGGCAUCCACGAAGCCGCUUCAAUCCCAUCAUCUCUCCUGAAAGUGAAAAAGCUCUCUGAAAGCACACUUUGCUCUCUAAAUGCUCUAUGCUUGCCUCUGGCUAUGAUCUCUCCAGGUAUUAAGCAAAACCCUCUUUUAGUAUUUUUGUUUUUCGAAGGAUGCAGGAUUAUUAGCAAAUUCAUGGGUUUUUGUUUCUAGUGUUGCACAGUGCCUCAGAGACAGGGGUUCCAGCUAGAGGAAAAGCCCUUAUCCCUACAGAUUUGAGCUUUGCUAUACCUGAAGGAACUUAUGCUCGUAUUGGUAAAUAUCACUUUGUACCUUUUAAUUUAUGUUCAUAGAUGGUUUGGUUUUGUUUCUAAAAUUGAGUUUUGUUAUUUUAACACCUAGAUCAGGAUUGGCAUGGAAGCACUCGAUUGAUGUGGAUGCUAGUGUCAUAGAUGCUGAUUACAGAGGCCCUGUUGGUGUCAACCGAUCUUCAAAGCAUUCAUUUUGAUUGUAUGAAUAAUGACUUGUUUCUUAUAAGAAAACAUUGCCUACCGAUUCAGAUUGCCUACCGUUGAUCAGAAAAAGGGCUUAAUUAGGCACGUAAUGUAGGCUUUGACUCUUGGUUAUGAAGAAAAUGAUACUUGUAGGCUCAGAAGGUGUUUAAGAGAUUUCAAGACUAAAAAUCACUAGUGCUUGUUUCCUGACCUUUUGUCUUUUGCAUUUUUUCCAAAAUGAUCCAUCAUGCCCACUAGUGUCGAGCUUGGGCCUUUUCUCUUUGUUUUUUAUUUUCUUUCUUCACUUGGUUGAGCAUCAUCAUAUCAGUUAUUUUUGUGGAAAGCUUAAAUCUUUUAGAUCGUUUGGAUUUUCUUCAUGCCCCCGGCUUUGUUUGGGCACCUUUGAUCAUUAAGAAUUUUCUUUCAUGCCCCCAGUGUUAUUUGUGUCACUUUUAAUUAUUGAGGAUUUUUGAAUAUCUCUCGCACUUACCCCCCAGUAUGGGAUGUGAUCCUAGCUAAUGUUAUUUAUGAAAAACAUUACUCGACUUAAAAGGGGAUUGCAAAGGAUAUAUUUUAGCCUCGUGAAAGGAUUAUCAAAGAUGACUUUUCUUCAUUUCAAAUGCAUGCAUUUAGGAUCGGUAAGCCUUGCUUUCAUGUGAGUAUGCAAAAUGGUUUCUCAUUAUUCAUUUAGUUAAAACCUAGUUUUGGAGUCAUCUCAAGGUUUUCUAAUUAUUCACUUGAAUUUCCAGAACUUGUUUGUUUGGACAAGCACAACUAUGAUUUCUAUUUUUGUACUAAAACUUUGAAUUCCCAACAAUCCUUGUGAACGUGUGAGAUCAUGCAUAUUUUUGAAAACACAAUGAAGAAUUCUUGGUGUAAUGGUUUUAUGAGUAAAGAGUGUGCUUAUGUAGGCAUGAAACAACAACGAAAAUGGAGGCACAGUAUGAGUAUUAAGAAAACACAUGAUCUUUUCAAUAAGAAGGGCUCAUUUGACACAUAAAAUUUUGUUGUGUUAUGAGCAAAAAUACUAACUAGACUGAAACAAGUUAAAAUAGACAUGAUCAAACAAAAGACAAUAAUAGGGCAGGCUUCAUCCUCUUAUUUUGGUAAAUCUCCUCUUGGGCUAGCCUCCCCACAACAACUCUUGUAGAGGUCUCAUUGAUGUUGGGGACAAAAAACUAUGGUAUAAAUUUGAGCCCUUCAAAAAUUUAUGUUGCCUUUUUCACACCCUGCCUUAACCAUCAGUGCUUUCAAAUUUCCUGGAUAUUCCAUCGCUAGUGCAUUUCUAAUCCACCGCUUCAAGCAUGAUUAGGUAGAGGGUUCGUGUUCACAUUAGGAGUGUCUUCAAAUGUUAUCCACCCUGCCUUGAUUAAUUGUGGAAGCUUUCUCUUGAAGGCGUUGCAAGUAUGAAUGUUAUGUCCAGGAAUACCAGUAUGGUAUUCACAAGUGAGCUCCAGCUUGUACCAGCUGGGGUAAGGUGGCUGCAAAGGUGCCAGAGGUUCGGGACUUAUAUGCCCAAUGCUUAACAGCUUCUGGUACAUCUCAUUGAAGGGUAGUAGUGAUAGAGGUAGUUGUUCUUGGACGCUUUGGUAAUUUCCAAUUUGGCUUUUGGCUUGAAAGUUUUGGGGCUCAGGUUUUUUAAUGUUGGUAAUUUGGGAUGGAGUGUGGUAGUUUUGGGAUGGGUUUUUCCUACCCCUGUAGCCAUCUCUAACAUGGUUGACCUCCUUCCCUUCAAAGCCGCUUUUCUUAGUGGGUGCAUAAAUUCUACCACUUUUGAUGCCUUGCUCUAUGCGCUCACAUGCUGCCACAAUAUUAGUGAAUUGCUGAGCUAAGUUGCCCAUCACAUGUUCAUAGUAUGGUGCCUUGAGGGUAUCAGCAAAUAGAUUAGCCAUCUCUUUAUCUUGAAGUGGGGGAUGCACUUGAGCAGCCGAUUCCUGCCAUCUUUGAACUUAUUCCCUUAUGCUUUCUUUGUCCCUUUUCUUCAAAUUGGACAAGCUAAUUCUGUCGAAAGCAAUGCCCAUGUUGUACUUGUACUACUUGACAAAAGCCUCUACCAGAUCUUUCCAUCUUCGGAUCUUUGUAUUAUCCAAUCUCAUGUACCAACUCAAUGUUGCCCCACUUAAGCUAUCCUAAAAAAAGUGCAUCCGUAGUUUUUCAUCAUGUACUGCUUCUGCCAUUUUAUUGCAGUAGGACUUGAGGUGGGUCAUGGGGCAUUAUGUUCCACUAUAUUUGAUGAAUUCAGGAACACGAAACUUCUAUGGGACAAUCACAUUUGGGACCAAACACAUCUCUGCUACUCGUAUUGGGUCAUAUAAAUCACCCUUUCGAUGACUCUAAUUCUAGCCUCCAGCGCUACCAUUUUAUCUUGAUCGAUGCUAUCAGAUGACUUGGCCUUGUGGGACUCGUUGGCAAAUACAUUCAUGACUGCUAGGGUUGGUGCAUGUAUCGCUGACUGCAUAAACAUUGGAUUGUAUUGAGGCUCUUGACCAUGUUCACUCAUUCUUUCUUUGGGCUGAGCUGUUGUCAGAGUCUGAUUGAAGGUGACAGGUCGGUUAGAAGGACCUUCACCAGAGGUAUUUCCCAGUAUUUGCUCGAGUAAGCCAGUGAGGCGAGCCACGCUUGUCUUCAAAGACUCCAACUCUUCUUGAAAAUGGGCAUCAUGGUGAGCACACUCUUCAUCUUCCAUGUUUCUUGCUUGGAGUCGAGUGUUGUAGAUUCUUUGGAGACCUAUAUUUCAAACUGGUGCAUGUAUGUAUGUUAUUUACAAUGAAUGGAUGUAAAUGUUUGUACAUGCUCAUUGGAUAUGGAUUGUUAUUUAGGGAGCUUAUACUCUAAGGAUAGGCUUUGGGGACAUUACAUGAUGGGUAGGCUUUCUACCUAGUCUCAAAAGGGUCUUUUGUUGCCCUAGUGAUCACCCUCAUGAAGGCAAUGUAGGGGCGCAGUAGGUAAUGGGAUGGCUUGUGGACCAAUCAUUACCAGUCUAAGCACUCAGCGAACAAUUAGGGUUUAAACAAACUUAAAAGCCUUGACUAAAAGUUGUAAGGUAAGGUGCUAGUCCCCCACUUAACCUAAAGUUUUUCAGUGUAAACUCUCACACAAAAAAGUAAACGAUGCAUGAAUCUAUUCUAUACAAUGUGUGAACGAUAUGUGCAAGAAUCAAAGCAUAAAUAAUAAAAGGAAAAUGUAUAUAGAAAAAAACAAACAUACAAACCCAACAAUAACACAAAAAUCAGACACAAACAAAGUUUAGUCCAUAGGGUCCCCAGCGGAGUCGCCAUUCUAUCGCACGUGCCCGCGCGGUGUUGAUGGUGAUCGUCCACUCUCGUAUGUAUAUGGAAAAUAUAAGGAGACAAGGAAUUAUUGUCUUUUAUUAGUGGGAAGGGGAAAUGGGAGUAACCACCUAAUAUUUUGGUCACUAAGAACGCUAACUAGUCUUAGAGAUCGGGCAUAGAGACUGGUUGCAUAAAGGGAAGGUAUUAACACCCCAAAUACACCCUACCUAGGGUAAGCUACAUUAUUUAAUUGUCUGAUAAAAAACUAAGGUCUUGUCGUAUUUUCUAAUUAUUGGUCUGUCGAAGGUUUAAGAAAAGUCCUCCUUAGUAAAGAAAUCCUUAUCUUAUCAGGUAAAACCUAACCGUUCUAACAUCAAUAAAAAAAAACUACAUUUUUAAUGUUAGGAAUACAUUUUACAUAUAAAUUUGUAAUUACAGAUACUAAAACAAAAAAAAAUUUGGGAUAUUUUUAAAAUAUUGGUCUAGUUCUCAUAACUUUAAUAAACUGGUUAUUAAAGCCAAAAUACACGCUAAAACAUAUAUUUUUUGAAGUUUUGUUGUAUGAAAAUACGAUAUGAUUUUUUUUUUCUUUGAGAGACUUGGUCGUAUGCAUUAAAACAAAAUGUUUUUUUUUGUUUUAUAAUAUUUUGUAAUGUUUCGAUGAAAACCAGGUUUUUUAAUACCAAAUUUAUAUCUUUACAGUUUAAAUAUGCAAACCAAUAUUAAGCAAAGUUCAUAAAAAAAAAUAAGUGGGAAAAACACACAUUUUGUUUUGAUUUUUUUUUUGAAAUUUUUUUGGACUGGGUCGCACCUAGCCUAACCAUUUUGGUCUAGGUCGGCGCUAUCCAGGCCAAUAAACAGUGGAGGAUCUCUCUACUGUUCACUUGCAAAACAGUGGAGGCGAUGAAGAAGACGAAGAAGAACGGGAAGCUGACCUAAGGGGGCUCAUGGUGGUGCUUGUUGGUGGUGGUGGUGUUACGGUUGCGAACUGGGGAGCUGAGGGUGGUCGGUCAACAGUUCUUCUUCUUCUUCUCUGCUUCUCUAUGUUAUUCCUGUUUUUCUUCGUUCCCUCCUCUUCUCUCAUUCUUCUUCUGUUUUAGACGGUGUUCUUCCCUCUUACGGUAGUGUUGUUGUUGUUGGCGAUGCUGGUGGUGGCGAUCGGGCGUUGGUUCCAGGUAGCGGUGAAAAAAACCAAUCAUUGCUAUUGUUUUUCCCUUUUGUUGCACCGUUUUCUUCGUUUUCUUCACAAUUGUUGCAGCGCAGCCCGUAGGGGGGGAAAGAUGGCGAGAGGCUGACAAUGACACUGUUUCAAACGACGGAGAGAGAGACCAGAAGGAGAGUGAGGUUACUGUUCUUCUUUGUUAUCUCUUCUACUUUCCCCUGUCUUCUUUUCGUCCCUUGUUUUUUUCUCUCUUGUUUCAAAAACAAUCUCCUCAUCCUCUUUUUUUCCUAUUCUUCCUCCCCUCUGUUCCUUUUCUCUAUUUUGUCUCUCUCUCAAAACUUUUGUCCACCUCCCUAAAAUCUCCUCUCUUCCACUUUUGUUUCACCCUCUUCUCUCUGUCUUUCUUCAAAAUCUUGCCCCCCCUCUAUUUCUAGUUCCCCCCCCUGUAUUUAUAGGAAGCAGGGGGGGCACCCUACCUGUCCAAGCGUAAGUUAAGGUUUCCCUCUCUUUUCUUUAUCAUGUUGGUCGGGUAUGGUGGGUAUGGAUGGUGUCAAGUCUGGGGAGAGAGUGAGUGGGUAAGGAAGAUUUUAAAAAUCUCCUUCUUCCAUGCCUCUGCGCACGCAGGGGAAGAAGGAGAACAAUGUGGUUUAAAACAACACUAUUUUGGAUUAUUUUUUUAUUGAAAAAAAAGAAAAUGAAUUUGAGAAUAAUCCAAGAAUAAGUUAUGAAAAUAACAAUAAACUUACCCAAGUCUAGUUGAACAUUAGGCUCAAGAGCUUUGGGCCCCUCUUAAAUGGACUCAAAAACCUUGGGUUUGGCUGCAUUCUAAACCCAUUAGAGUUGGGUGAAGACAUAAGACCCAAGAGCAUUGGAUCCUGACGCGAACCUAUUAGCCUAGGGUUUGACUCUUGACCCAAUUGUCUUGGGCCAGGUACGACUACAAGACUCAGGGCACUUGGGUCUGCCCCUAGCCACUCCCAAGCAACUUAGAUCUAGCAUGCCCUUCCAGACCCAAGUUAAUAAUAAUAAAAAUAAUUGAUUUUACCCUUCAAAUCACAUAUAUGUUUUUUUAUAGUACUAAAAUUCAUUUCAAAUUUAAUAAUAUGAAUGAAUUUAAUAAUAUUUAUGGUAUUAAUAAUAAUAUUAAACUUAUAUGAUGUAAGUUUUCAUAGUUUUCAAUCCGCUCAAAUAAUAAUAAUAAUAAUAACAAUAGUAAUAAUAAUAAUUUUACCCUUGAAAUCAAUUCUAUGUUUGUUUUUCAAAAUUAAUGAUAUAUUUUUAAAAUUUCUUAAUUAUGAUAUUAAUAAUAUUAAUUAUAAUAAAAACAAUAAAAUUUAUAACACAUAAUAAUAUUUUUAAUAUUAACAAUAUUAAUUAUAAUAAAAAUAAUAACAUUAAAAUUAAAAAUAUUUAUAAUACAAAUAAUUAUAUUUUUAAUAUUAAUAAUAACAAUAAACUUACCCAAGUUUAAGUGGGUCUGCCUACAACACCAGGUCUAAGAGCUUUGGACCCCUCUUAUAUGAGAGACUAAAAAACCUUGGGUUUGGUUGCAAUCUGAAACCAUUACAUUUAGGUGAGGACGCAAGACCCAAAAACAUUGAAUCCUGAGGCGGACCCAUUAGCCUAUAGUCUGACUCUUGACCCAAUUGUCUUCGGCUAGGGAAAGCUGCAAUACCCAAGGGACUUGAGUCUUCCCCCUGCCACUCCCAAACAACUUGGGUCUGACAUGUCCUUCCAUACUCAAGUUAAAAAUUAAAAAAAAAUGAUUUUACCCUUCAAAUCACAUCUAUGUUUUUUUCUAUAAUAAUAAAAUUUAUUUCAAAUUUAAUAAUAUUUAUGAUAUUAAUAAUAAUAUUAAAUUUAUCUGACUUAAGUUUUUGUAGUUUCUAAUCCUCUCAAAUAAAACUUAUUGUUUUUCUUUGAUAAUAAUAAUAUUUUUCUUCAAAUUUAUUAAUUUAAUAAUAAUAAUGCUAAUAAUGAUAAUAAUAAUAAUAAUCUUACAUUUGAAAUCAAAUUUAUUCUGUUUUUCAAAGUUAAUGAUAUAUUUUUAAAAAUUUUAAUUAUGAUAUUAAUAAUAUUAAUUAUAAUAAAAACAAUAAAAUUUAUAAUAGAAAUAAUAAUAUUUUUAAUAUUAGCAAUAUUAAUUAUAAUACAAAUAAUAAUAUUUUUAAUAAUAAUAAUAAUAAUAAACUUAAAAAUAUUUAUAAUACAAAUAAUAAUAUUUUUAAGAUUAAUAAUAACAAUAAAUUUACUCAUGUUUAAGUGGAUCUAUUUGUAACACCAGAUCCAAGAGCUUUUAGCCCCUUCUUAAAUGGCAAAUCCAAAAACGUUGUGCACCGUAAAAGUGUAAAUAGAGCUAGCUCAUAAACUUAACUUUUCUUUUUUUUUUCUCUUUAGCUGAAUUGUUUUUUUUUAAAAAAACAUUAAUAAUAAUACUCAACCAACAAAUACCCCCCGAACUCAGUUUCCAAUUAUUUGCUCAAUUUACACCUAAACAAUAGAUUCGACAAAGAAACUUAUAAAAUAAAGGGAAAAACCUUAGCCCAUCUUCAUCGUCUCUUUACAGCUUCUUAUUCUAAGUAUGCUAGUCAUAAAAGAAAAGGAAAAUCAAAGAAAGUCCCAUAAACCCAUACAACAAACAUAAAUUGAAAAUCCUAAUUAAAUGCUGAUGGUGUUCGUGCUCGAGCUCGUGCUUGUGCUCGUGCCCGUGCCCGUGCUCGUGCUUGUGCUCGUGCUGCUGUCAUUGUUGUUAGUGCCGGUGCUGGUGGUGGUGGCUGCGGUUGCUGGUGGUGGUUGUGGUGUUGCUUUUAGUGACUCGGUCUGUUUCAAUAAAUUAAAUAGGUUAUUGGAGGUGCAUUUUUAUUAGAUCAUCUAUUGAUACAAAAUUUUCGCACUUGCAAUUUGAUUUACUCUCACCUGGGCAUCGAACAUAUUCAUGUACUUGAUCUUAGUGUUUCCAUCCAUUCGUCCUGCAUUCGGCUGGAAAAGGCAAAAAGCAAGAGUCUCAGGCCUUGUAUCGCUUCUGUAGGCAAAGUAAGGGUAGGGAUUGAUUACGAAAGGCGAACCAUUCGCACUAUUAAACUCCAACAAGCCCUUCAUCAGAUCCCCAUAACUUGGAUCAAAGCUUCCAGAAGAAGGUGGCUCAGACUGCUUAAGCACUCCCAUCGGAUGAACUGUGCAGACCUUAAUUUUACCCCCGAGCGAUGCAUCAUUUAGAGCAUUCUGUACAUUUUGCAUUGCUGGUAAGAGCUUGUUCACGAGAUUCUGGUCAUUGGAAGUCAUGACCUCGUUGCCGACAGUGAUGAGGAUGAUAUUGCUAUCUGGAUAGAAGGGAAGCACGUUUGUGUUGAUCCAGCUCUUAGCAAAAUUGGGAUCAGAGGCUAGUCCUGGAAUGUCACCAUUUGCAGUGCCGAUAACAAUUCCAAUUCCGGUGUUGGCUAAGGCUUUGAUUAUGGCGGGGUCCGAUCCAUAUAAUUGGACCUUUUGGAUUGAAGUGGAUUGAAGAAGCUUUGCUGUGGAUGGUGGUGGUGGAAGAUUGUCCGCAACUUGGCCAUAGUUUAUACCGAUGAAUGAUUGCGAGUCUGCACAAAAAGCAGCAAAAUUUAAAGCAGAUGAUCAAACAUCAAUUUUUAAACGACAAAACAGAACAACAACAUUUUUUGUUUUCAUAGACUGAAAUGAAGACAGCUCAGUUAAGGUAAAUUCCUUAGAAAUGGAAGGAGGUAAUUAAAAUAGAAAGAGAAGCAAACUUACUUGCGAUUUUUUCAGUCUGUAAGCAGGAAAGGAGUAGGAAAGCAACAGUAUAAGGAAGCACCACCAUGGCUCAGGAGGAGCGGUUUCUAUUCUGCAUUUUUUGAAACUGGAGUGGGCAUUAAAUAUAGAAUAUGCUACAAGUCAAGGGCAGAAGCGUAAAGAUGACUUCGGAUAUAUUCUUAUUAUAGAAUAUCAUAUGGAUGGUGAAACUUCAAAUAGAAACCAAUUACGAUAUACUAGUUUGUGGCUUCCGCCGCGCGGUAGGUUAUCUUUUAAAUUAUCAUAAAAAUAUAAGAUAGAAAAACAUUAUAAAAUCAUUGGGUCUGGUUACGAUGUUGGAUUCAAAAGCAUUUAAUCUAACUGCAACGUCAAACCUAACAAUAAUAUUUAUAAUAUUAAAUAAUAUUUCAUUUAUCUGCCAAAAUUUUUAUUUUUUUUAAUCUCUCAAAAACAAUUAUGAUUUUUCUUCAAUAGUAAUAAUAGUUUUUUUAAAUUUAUUAAUAAUAAUAAUAAUCAUUAUUUUUACACUUCAAAUCAAAUCUAUGGUUGUUUUUCAAUAUUGAUAAUAUUAUUUUUCAAAUUUAUUAAUUAUUUUAUUAAUAAUAUUAAUUAUAAUAAAAAUAAUUAUAUUUAUAACACAAAUAAUACUAUUUUUAAUAUUAAUACUUUUAAUUAUAAUAAAAAUAAUAAUAUUUAUAACAAAAAUAAUAAUAAUUUUUAUAUUAAUACUUUUAAUUAUAAUAAAAAUAAUUAUAUUUAGAAACCAAAGACCCAAGAACCAUGGGUCCUGAUGCAGGACCCAUUAGCCUUGGGUUCUGACUCAGCCCAAGGGAACUGGAUCCGGACGUAGGACCCAUUAGCCUUGGGUCCUGACGCAGCCCAAGGAAACUGGGUCCUAACGCAGGACCCAAUAGCUUGGGUCCUAACGCCGAACCCAAGUGCUUUGGGUCCUGACACAACCCAAGAAAAGUGGGUCCUGACGCAGGACCCAAGAGAUUGAGUCCUGACGCAGGAUCAAUAAUGUUGGGUUAGGCAGGUCCUGGUGGGGCAGGACCCAACUUGAUAGAUCCAGCGACAACUGGACCCAAAGCUAUUUUGGCUUGGUUCAGUUCAGUUAUUUUAAAACAAAAACCGAUUCAAAUUGAUUAGUUUGGCUCGGUUUUUUCCGAUUUGAGUUCAAUCUGGUUCGGUUUUUUCAGUUAUUUUGAUGACUAAAAAGGAACUGAGUUGAUGAUCUCUUAUAUUUAUAUAUUCUUGGCAAUUAAUUGUCCGAACUCUUCUAAAAAAAUAGCAUGGCUUUUCUAGAAUUCAUGUGAAAAUAUAUUUUUGUAUAUUAAUUUAGUCAAACCAAACUGAUUAAUUUUUUUUGUUGCCUUGGUUAAUCCUAUAUAUUCGAAUCUAAUAGAUAACUAUUUUUUUUUCUUAGGGUUAUGUGGAUAAAAUGAACUCAAAUCGAUUGGAAAGUUAUGGUACGAUGGCAAACACUUCAAAGCUAGCUUGUUAACGUAUAGUUCCUCCAGCCCUAACAACUAACACUAAGCAUUGUCACAACCAUUGCAUCUGCUUAUAGAUUCUUUGAAGACAAGUUCUCCUUCCAAGUUUCAAAGCUUCUCUGUAGAAAUAAACAUGCACAAUUUUCCUUUAUCUGAACCUACUAAUAAACCGCGACCUCUAGAUUUUCAGUUUUCAAUACUUCUUUUCAACAUGAACUUGGCCCCUAACGAUCUACAUACAGGAUUCCAACGUCAUCUACGUUGUGCCCAUGAUUUUCAGUUUUCAAUGACCUCUAGAUUUUCAGUUUUCAAUACAGGAUUUCAACGUAUUAGUAGGUUCAGAUAAAGGAAAAUUGUGCAUGUUUAUUUCUACAGAGAAGCUUUGAAACUUGGAAGGAUAACUUGUCUUCAAAGAAUUUAUAAGCAGAUGCAAUGGUUGUGACUAUUAAUUCUUAGUGUUAGUUGUUAGGGCUGGAGGAAAUAUACGUUAACAAGCUAGCUUUCAAGUGUUUGUCGUCGCACCAUAACUUUCCAAGGACUGAAAAAACAACUGCAAAUAAUUAUAUAUAAAGCUAUAAAUAUAUUUUUCAUGUAGUUCGUGUUUUAUGGUUUCAUUUCCUUUUUUAUCUUUUUAUUAACCACCUGCAACAAGGCUAUAUAUAUUUUAUUGCUGUUUGUAUUGAUUAAAUCACACUACCUUGCUGCUUAACCUCAAGCAUUACUCAGUUGUAAGAAACUUGACCGACUAAUUUCACAAAUACAUGGAGGAUAGGUCGUUCUAGAAAAAAAAUACUGUAUGAACAUUUCUUUGCAAGCCUACACACACACUCACUCUGAAUCUCCCUAAUUUAAUAGUAAAAAGAUGAUGGCUUCAACAUUUUAAGUGAGAAAGAGAAUGGUAUAAAGCACCCAUCACCUCCAAAAGGCUCUGUACAUGGGUCCUCUUCAGGUGCACUCACUAGGGUAAGUGUGCAAGAAUUAUAGCCUGUAGUUUAUGCGCAAAAGCAGUAACAUGAAGAGGGAUUAGUAAAACCAAAAAGGAAGUGUUAUGAGAAAACUCAGUGGGUUGUUGGAAGAGAAAAUGGCUGAUUGUGAGAAAUCACAGUUCCAAGGAUUUUUAUCAGAAGUUUGAUAGAAGAGAUUCAUGGCAUAAGCAGCAUGAGAUGCUAUUGUGUUCGGUUCAAAGCAAGCCCCACCUGGUUGGAUCGGACCACGGUCAAUCCCUCAUCCACAAACAAAAUCCAGAUUAGCCUGCAAUUGUGCAUCUGAUACAUCUGAUUAAAAUUUUGGGUCUGAGGACAGUUUCUGAAGCAUUUUGUUUCUUUAUGCUCACAUUCAGUACUAAUAACGAAGAGAGCAAGAUGAAAAUUAUUUGUGACUAGACAGAAGCAAAGAAUGAGUAUAUAAAAUACCUAAGAGUAAAUCUUUUAUUCAGCAUGGCUGUCAUUGUACGCAAUUCUCAUCAUUGACCGUCUUUGGUACCAAAGGUUAUGAAGUUCACAGAAAUAUCGUCAGAUAGAGACCAUCGCCCAGUCAAGGGGCUGUGAACAAAUCCAGCCAUUUCUUUAACCUGGGGAGCACCAAACCCAAAGCAAUAAGUUUUUUCUAAGAAGUAACAGGAGUAGUGUUGCGAUAUCGCGGUCGCACAAAUUAAUUACCCUAUUUUAAAACAUAACAUACAAGAUAGUAUAGAUCAAGCAAGGGGUCGAUCCCACGAGGAAGGUUCAAGUCAGAUUUUUAUGCUAGAUGAUAUGCAAUUUGGGGGGGUUUUGGAUGUUAUCUAGACUAAAGCAAAAGAAAAUAGAAAACUAUCAAGCGAAAUUAAAUAAAAUCAGAAAAUUAUCAAGAGAACAAACCUUGAUCGCAAGCACACAUCCACCUACAGAAAUCAGAACUAAUCAUGGAAACGAAACAUCAACUUAUAUUCUGAAUAUUUAACUAUUGGUUAGUUAACGGAUCCGCUGUAUAACUAACUCUAACCAUCAAACAACCACAAUGUCCGCACUAGUAAUUUAAUUCAAUGGCAGCCUUAAAAACUAGAUAAGUUGAUUAAUCAAUAAAACAUAACUGUCUGUAGUCUAUGUUUGAUUUGAUUGAAUGUUCUCCCUAAGAUUAAUAACCUAGAUCCGCCAUAAUUGUUAAACUCAGUUGCUUCACAAGUUUAUAUACCACAACUCCGGUUUUGAUAUCAAACUUAGCAAUAGAUUGUCUACAAUAAUAACUUAGAGUCCGCUCUAGCAAUUAAAAUAAACAAUCAUAGGAAAAAUAAGCAUAGAAGAACAAACAUAUUCAUCAUAUAAACUGAAAAGAAAAGGUAAAAUAAAUCUCACAGCUCUUGAAAUCUGAAAGUUUCUGUGUCCUUGCAACCAAGCAAACGAGUUUAGCCUUGCAUGUUUGUUGAACAACUAAUCAAAAAGAAGGAGGAAUGCAUGAUUUCAGGUUUAUUAGAGGAGCUAAAUUGCUGAAAUAAAAACUUGGAUAUCGGUUUAGAUGCUUCGGAACGUAAUUUGGACUUGUUUCUUCAUGAAACCUGGUUGCUGGCAGAAUUCAGUUGUCAUCUUUGAAAAAUCAUAUCUCCCUCAUAUGACAUCAUUUUUGGCUAAAAUUUGGAUCAUUGAUAGGCUAUUGAGUCAAGAAUCCAAAACAAUUGAGUUUUCAUCAAUUGGACUUCUGUAAAUCCAGAUAUUCAAGUCGGAAUGACCAAAGGUCAAUAUUGACAGGUUGCGAGAUUUGACUUUGAAGGUUGCGAUUUCCAUGCUCUUCCUUAUUUUAUUUUCUUACCUUAGAUUUCAAGAAAGGUAUAGAUGUUAGCUUUUUAAUACCACUAGAAUCACUUCAUUUCGACCUCUAGAGCUCAUGCUCUGCACAAAACAUCGACUGAAAGUUAAAUCUGUCAAUUACCUUCAAUUUACUCCUUUUUGCAUCUUUCAUCCAAAAGUGCCUUCAAAACAUAAAAUAAAGAAUAUCAAGACUUUUUAUAUAUAAAACAUAGGCAAAACACUAGUUAAAUGUGGGUGAAACUAUCGAAUAAUAUGGUUGCAUCAAAUAUCCCCACACUUAGCUCUUGCUCGUUCUCGAGAAAGGAUAGGUAAAAUCAAAUUGAAGUUAAAUUAAAUCAAAUUACUAUGACUAAUCUCCUAAUCUCCCAUCAUUAUCCAAGAAUAUAUGCAUUAUAAACAAGAACACAAUCAAGAAGGAUAAAGAGUAUAAAUUUUCAUGAAUUUAUUUACAUGCAAACUUUAAAACUCAAUUAAUUGUCGGGAUUUAAAUGAAAUCUAUGCCAUGCCAAAGUGAUAGGUCCUCUCAUUGAUAUACACUCCAACACUCAUGUGUUUAGGGCUUAUGUGUUUAAAUCUCUCAAAUUCAAUCAAUGAAUAUAUUCUACCAUAAGCUUGCUCUUCAAUCUCAUCUCUAUUACUAACAUAUUACAAGUAAUGCAUGAAUCAAAAGGUCUUAUUUUCCGGUUGUAAUGGGGCUAAGGUUAAGGUGAGGUAACAGAGAGUAAAAAAAAGGUUCAAACCAAAGAAAGUAAAGCAUUCUAAAAAAUAAUAUUUCAAACAAGAUAUUCCAUCAAAUCACAUAAAUUUUCCAUCUUUAAUCACCAAUGCUUAACUUCUUUUGAUUUCAAGCUCUUUCAACAUAAAAUCUUAAGAACAUAAAGGAACACUUUUUUCUUUUUUUCUUUUUUUUUCUUUUUUUUUACCUUUGGCAACUUUGCCCAUCUUUUCAUCAAGCAUUACUUCUUCUUUCUUUUCACAUAAUUUCCAACUAUAAUUCCAUGAGAUAUCACAAGUAUAUGCUCUACUAAUCCUUGGCCAGGGGAAAAGAAAAACAUAUAUAAAGUUAAGGCAUAUACAUGGAUAAAGCAAAGUAAAGAUAAACAAGCUCAAAAGGGGCUCACUAAGGAUAAUAUGCUUUAGGUUGGCUUUUUGGCUCAAGUGGUUAAAAUUUCUAAUGCCUUUAUCAUCUUCAUGUAUAUAUGUAAUAUGAAUGUAAUCUCAACAAGAUAUGAAGCAAGUUCUAGAGAUACAUAUCAUUGAAAGAAGGCACAAUCAAAGAAUAUAAUGUUGAAGGCUCAAAAGUUUGCAUUGGUAUAGCACUAUAAAGUCAACAUGGCAUAUUCUCAAAGUCAAUCCCUAAACCAAUUAAACCUUAAAACUUGCAUGCACACUCCUUCAUUCGAUUUAUAUCUUCAUCUAUCUCAAUUAAUUCUCAUAUAUAAUACUCACAUUCUUAUAAACCAAUAGGAGUUCAAAAGAUCAAACAUAAAAAUUUGUUUUUUUUUUUUAGAACAACAAAGAAAAUCAAAAUAAGAAAACCAACAUUCUCCCAAUACCCCCACACUUAAAAGGCGACAUUAUCCUCAAUGUUGAAAUAAAAGAAAAGGAAUAUAGGAGAAUGACAAAAAUAAAGUAAAAUGCGAAAAAUAAAAGAUAAGGGAAAAAGAAAGCAAAUCUGUUUUUUUUGUGUUGGGUUGCCUCCCAGUAAGCGCUUUUGUUUUAUGUCAUUGGCUCGACAUGUUGCAUGCUCAUUCUUCAUAGAUUGGUUCAGCUAACUCCACAAAAGCGGUGAGUUCUGUCGUCCAACCUUCAUAGAAAAGUUUCAAGCGAUGCCCAUUGACCUUAAGUACUUUGUUGGUUUCUAAACUUGUAAUUUCAACUACACCAUAAGGAAAAAUAUUAGAAACAACAAAGGGUCCAAUCUAAUGAGAGCGCAACUUUCCAGGAAAAAGUUUCAAACGCGAAUGAUAAAGAAGGACUUUGUCUCCAACAUUAAACUCUUUUCUUGUAAUCAUUCAAUCAUAGAGACUCUUAGUCUUUUCUUUGUAAAUCCUUGCAUUCUCAUAAGCAUCAUUUUGUAUUUCUUCCAACGUAAUUCCAAUCUUUUUGGGCACCAAAAGGAUAGGCGCCACCCAUUCACUGUCCAUGAUGGGGUGAAUGACUCCUACAUCAUGAGGAACAGUUUGCAAAGCUUGUAAAGCCAAUGCUGAUUUAUGCAUGUUUUGGGGAACACAUAUAUGCCUCUCUAUCUCUUCUAUCUUGGUAAAAUCAUAGCCAUAGCUCAAAGCUACGCUUAAUCCAUCCUCACUAUCAAAAUCACAAACUUGUUGCACAUACUUAUCAACUUGGUCAUAACAUGUGAUAGAAUAAACAUUGCUAUAAGGAUAUGUCAUUGCAUCAUGAAAAUUAAAUUCAAUUUUUUCAUCUCCUACCUCCAUAGACAAAGUAUCCUUACCACAAUCAAUUUUUGUAUUGGUAGUUUUCAAUAAUGGUCUCCCAAACAAUAUAGGAGUGCUGUUUGAUGAAUCACAAGAAUCAUGUUCCAUAUCAAGAAUAUAAAAGUCGCAUGGAAUGACCAAACUAUCAAUCUUGACUAGGACAUCUUCUAUCACACCAAGUGGGUAAACAAAACUACGAUCCGCAAGUUGUAUUACAAUGCUAGUUUUAUUCAAAGGCUCAAGACUAAGAGAAUCAUAAACAUGUUUAGGCAUAACACUAAUGGAUGCACCUAAAUCGCACAAGGCCCUUUUGAAACUAACAUUACCAAUAACACAUGGGAUAGUAAACACACCUGGGUCUUUUUGCUUCAAAGGCAUAUUCUUUUGAACAAUAGCAGAUACAACUUCACCCAUACUUACCAUUUCAUGAGCGUUUAGUUUGAAAGCUCUCUUGGUAGUACACAACUCCUUCAAGAAUUUGGCAUACUUGGGAAUUUGCUUGAUAGCAUCAAGCAAAGGAAUGUUGAGUUCUACUUUCUUGAAACCUCUAAAAUCUCUUUUUCUUUGUCCUCUUUCUUUGACUUAGAAGAACUCACAGGAAAGGGUGGAAUUGUUUUAAAACUGGAAUUCAUUGAGUGAGGAGUUACCUUUGGAGUGUUGGUCGAUGUUUCAGUUUGUAGAAGAGGAGGAUGUUCCUUCUUUGUACUCAAUUUGGUUUCUAUCUCUUCUUCUUCCUCCAUCUCAAUUUGUUUCGACCUUUUCUCUUCAAGUUCUUUCCCACUUCGCAACAUGAUCACACUAACAUUCUCUAUUGGAUUCAAUGCUUGAGAGGGAAAUUUUCCAUUCAUUUGUGCUUCCAAUUUCCCCACACUUGAAGCUACUUGCCCCAUUUGCUUCUCCAAGUUGUGAAUACUUGACCUUGUUUCCUAUUGAAAAGACAUGACAUUUUGUUGCAAGGUCACAGUGUUAGAAGCCAAAGUUUUCAUCAUCUCACGAAGAUCAUCACUAGAUGACGACCCCAUAACAUUAGAGUUUGUGAAUGGAGGGGGUUGUCUUGCUUGAUAAUUCUGUUAGGGCUGAAAUCCAUGGGGAUGGAACUCUCGACCUUGACUGCCUUGUUGAGGUGGGUUCCCAUAGCAUACGUUUGGAUAAUCUCUCCAUCCAGGAUUGUAUGUGUUGCAAAAGGGAUCAUAUUUACGCUGGGGCUGUCCGUUGAAUCCUCCAUCAACUGUAUGAACUUGUUCAAUGUAAUCUUCUUACAUUGGUGGGCACAUAUCUGAGGUAUGUCCUUGUAAGUAACAUAUGCUACAAACUUUCACCUGCUGUACAUUUCCAUAAGCCAAAGAACACACAAGAGAAGUAAGAUCAACAACUUUAUUUUCAAGGUUAGAAAUACUUACCUCAUUUACUCGUUUGUUUGCGAAGUCUCUAAGCGAGCCAAAUUGUUUCAAGUUGGUUGCCAUAUUUGAGAUCAAUUGGCGUGCAGCCUCGGGUGUCUUAUCUACCAAUGCCCCUCCACUUGCCACAUCAAUGAUACUAUGGUCAGUAGGCAUCAAUCCUUCAUAGAAAUAUUAAAUGAGCAGUUGAUCGAGUAUCUGAUGGUGAGGGCAUUGAAUGCACAGUUGCUCAAAUCUUUCCCAAUACUCGGAAAGUGUCUCUCCAUGAGAUUGUCAAAUCCCACAUAUUUCUUUCCUUAUGUUGGCAACUCGAGAUGCUGGGAAAUACUUUUCAAAGAAAAUCUUCUUCAUGGCAUUCCAAGUUCCAAUGGAACCUGGGAGAAUAGAGAAAAACCAUGCCUUUGUUGCCCCUUUUAAAGAGAAAGGGAAAGCUUUCAACUUAACCUGUUCUUCGUCAACUCCAUUCGGUUUCAUGCCAACGCAAACCAUAUAGAACUCCUUGAGAUGAGUAUGAGGAUCUUCUCCCGCAAGACCAUUGAAUGUUGGUAGCAAAUGUAUAAAACCAGAUUUGAGGUCAAAGUUUACAUUAUUGUUGAUGUUUAUGCACAAUGGUUGAUUUUCCACGUUAGGAGCAGUAAGCUCCUUGAGUGUUUGUUGCCGUACAACAGCCAUGGUGUUGACGCGAGCUUCCUUUCGUAACUUGCGUAAAAUGUUUUCUAUUUCGAGAUCCACCUGCACUUGACUCUGGUUAGUAGAACAGGUUACAUGCAUAAAUCGUCAAGAAAACUCAAAAGAAACCAACCUCACAAGAGAUCGAAAACAAUGCAAAUUAUACGAAAAUCCUAUGCUAGAAAACUAAAAUUGCCUAAAAACCCUAGAAAACAGCGGCAUUUGGCCUUGAUAGGGUGGGGCUAGUGGCAUGGCCACUAGUUCUGUUUAGAACGUUGUUUACCUUCAGGAAACAAAAGGCUGAUACCUAAUUCCACAAACAAAUCUGUUUUGAACAGUACCGCUGCCGUAAUGAACAGUACCGCAGCAAGCAAAAAUUAUGUUUCUUUUUUUUUCAGAAAAAGAAAUAACAAUCACAGCAAAUAAAAAUAAUAGCACAAGAAUCAACUAAAAUUACUUCCCCAGCAACGGCGCCAAAAUUUGUUGCGAUGUCGCGGUCGCACAAAUUAAUUACCCUAGCUUAAAACACAACACACAAGAUAGUAUAGAGCAAGCAAGGGGUCGAUCCCACGAGGAUGGUUAAAGUCAGAUUUUUCUGCUAGACGAUAUGCAAUUUGGGGGGGUGGUUGGAUGUUAUCUAGGCUAAAGCAAAAGAAAAUAGAAAACUAUCAAGCAAAAUUAAAUAAAAUCAGAAAAUUAUCAAGAGAACAAACCUUGGUCGCAAGCACACAUCCACCUAUAGAAAUAAGAAAAUCUCCCUUAUGUGACAUCGUUUUUGGUUAAAAUAUGGAGCAUUGAUAGGCCUUUGAGUUAGGAAUCCAACAAAAUUAAGUUUGCAUCAAUUGGACUUCUGUAGCUCCAGAUAUUCAAGUCAGAAUGAUCAAAGGUCAACAUUGGCAGAUUGCGAGAUUUGACUUUGAAGGCUGUGAUUUCCAUGCUCUUUCUUAUUUUAUUUUCUUGCCUUAUAUUCCAGAAAGGUAUAGAUGUUAGAUUUUUAAUUCCACUGGAAUCACUUCAUUUCGACCUCUAGAGCUCACGCUCUGCACAAAAUAUCGACUGAAGGUCAAAUCUGUCAAUUACCUCCAAUUUACUCCUUUUUACAUCUUUCAUCCAAAAGUGCCUUCAAAACAUAAAACAAAGAAUAUCAAGUCAUUAUAUAUAUAAAAUAUAGGCAAAACACUAGUUAAAUGUGGGUGAAACUAUCAAAUAAUAUGGUUGCAUCAAGUAGACAUGUCAAAAUGUCAGAAGGGAAAGCAUCCAUCUUAUAUUGAUGGAAGCACGAUGUAGGAUAAGCACCAGUUCCUCAGGAGUAAGAAAGCUUGACCACUGAUGCGUGCCUUUAGGAAGCUGUACAGCAUUGGUUAUUAAUAACAACACAAAGCAAACAAAAGGAUAGAAUCAAACUAUAAUACAUCGACAGAUUACUUCCAGAAAUUUUGGGAAGACUAAAACCUACACACCACCUCCACCACCAACUACAGCGAUAAGAAGAUUGCAUGCACUGGAUAUUCCUAGACACAAAGUCCAUUGCUAUAGGAAAAAUAAAAUGCUAGAACAGUUCCACUACCAGUGAAAACAAUGGGAUUUUGGAUUAGGUUUCUCAUCUGUUUAUAUCACACCCACUAUCCGAAAUUCGCCUAAAACAAAUAGAAUUACUGAGAAAAUAAUUAUGUUGGUAAAUUACGGUGAUAAUUACCGAUGGAUACUAUUCCAUCGAUAAUUCAGUCGGUAUAUACCGACGGACUAAUGUUGUCGGUAUAUACCAACUGAUUUACAGACGAAAUAUAUAGAAUUAAAAAAAACACAGUUCGAUGAUGUGGCAGCUUUUGGAGGUGAUUUUACUGACAAAAUGACCGAGGGAUUUAGACUGGAAUCUCCGUACAGUGACGUGACUAAUUCACCAUCAAAAUUACCGAGGGAAUCGCCGACGGAAGAGGAAAUCACCGACAGAAGUAUUCCAUUAGCGAUUCCCUCAGUAAGAGUUAAUAUAUCACCACUCUGCCGACCCUCUCCUCUCCUAUUUCUCCUUCUUGCUCCCCAUCCCAACUAUCCCCCCUCCCAAACUGCAAACAACCACCCCCUAAAAAUACCCCCCUCUUCUCAACAAAAUUCAUCUUUCUAUAACUUUUGUGGUCACAACAUCUAUGUUCUGAUUUAUUGUGGAUUUUAUCAUUUUUUAUAAAUAAAUCUUUUUUUUUUAAUUUUAACAUUUAAAUGUCAAUUUUAUUAUUUUUUGUUGUUUUUUUUAGUAUAGGUAUUUUGUUAGUGUAUGUACAUGUUUUAUUGUUAUUUCUCAAACAAACUUGUAGUAUGAAUGUAUAAUUUUGUAUUUGUUAUGGUUUGUUUUAGAUUUUGUGAAAUUGUAUUUGUUUGUAAAUUAUUGAAACUUUGUUGAAUUACCGAAUUAGAUGUGUUGUGAAUGAAUAAUUAAUAGCUUGUUUAACGGGUUCGUUUUAAUUUUUAUCAAUGCUAUUGCGGAGUUGUAAUUUCUGUAAAUUUAUAUGUAUAAAUUUGUAUAGAUGUUGAUAAUUGAUAAUGAAUAUUUAUGAGAAGUUUUAAUUAGUUUGUUGGAUAAUCUCGAGGUAAACCAAUAUUUUUGCAAAUUUAUUUACUGAACAUAGUUAAUUAAUACAUGUUGUCAUCAUAAUUUUAUAGAGGUUUGAUAGAAGUCAUUGAUGAUCGUUCAUGGAUGUAUCGAGAUUCACCCAAAGGAUUGCGGAGGAUGAGUUAUUGUAAUGGGGUUCAGGGUUUUAUUAAUUUCACAACAUCUAUUCCCAAAAAUUUUACUGGAAGCGGUAUUAGUUGUCCAUGCAGGAAGUGUAGAAAUAAAAAUUAUAUGCAUCCAGAUGUUGUAAUGAUGCAUCUUCUAUAUAUACAAAGGGUUCAUGGAGGAUUUCCUGUGUUGGUAUACACACAGAGAACUAUUUGUUUGUAAUAAGAGCAUGGUGGAAAGGGUGGUGGGGUCAACUUCUAGUGCUAGCAACGUGCAUGGAGUUGCAAAUGAAAAUGAAUGAAGGUAAUGUUAGUCAAUGUCCAAUCGUAGAAGAAAAAACUGAUGCAGAUGCAACAAGGUUUUUUGAUCUAUUAAGAGAUUCUGACGAAUCAUUAUGGGAUGGCUGCAUGAACCACAGUAAAUUAUCGGUCGUAGCAUAGAUGUUCACGAUCAAGUUAGAUCACGGGAUGAGUGAGUCCGGUUAUGACAAAAUUAUCGAAUGGGCGAGAAGCAUUUUACCUGAAGGGAACAAGCUAAAAGAGAACUUCUAUGCUGCAAAGUUCAUGAUGAAACCCCUUGGUUUAGGAUACCAUAAAAUUGAUAUGUGCCCUAACUUCCGCAUGUUAUACAACCUUGAAAAUGUUGAGCUGACCGAAUGCAUGACAUGUAGGCAUUCCCAUUACAAACCUAGAACUAGUAGGGGAAAGACUUGAAAAACUUAGAUACUUUCCAAUCACACCUAGACUGCAGAGGUUAUUUAUGUCACUAAGGAUUGUUGAGCACAUGACAUGGCACCAAUCACAUGAUGUGGUUGAUGGAGUGAUGGUGCAUCCUUCUAACGGCGAAGCAUGGAAACACUUUUACAGUGUGCAUCCUCACUUUUCAACUGAAUCAAGAAACGUGCAUCUUAGGUUGUGUAUAGAUGGAUUAAACCCAUUCGGGUUAUUUGCUGCUCCUUAUUCUUGUUGGUCGGUGAUACUCACAGCUUAUAAUUGCCACCGGGGAUGUGUAUGAGGCUGGAGUUCAUGUUUUUAUCUACUGUCAUAACCAGUCCGAGCAAUCCGGGCCGGAAUAUAGAUGUUUGUCUUCGACCGUUGAUUGAUGAGUUGACGCAGUUGUUGUCAUCCGGAGCUUUGACUUAUGAUAUAUCAAGAAAACAUAAUUUUGUUAUAAGAGCGACUUUGAUGUGGACUAUCAAUGAUUUUCUAGCUUAUGGAAUGGUUUCUGGUUGGAGCACACAUGGAAAACUAGCAUGUCCAUACUGUAUGGAAAACAACAAGGCAUUCACGCUAACAAAUGGAGGUAAAGCUUCUGUUUUUUACUGCCACUAUCGUUUCUCGCCAAUGAAUCACAAGUACAGAAAGAACAUAAAGGAUUUCUUUGUUGGCAAAGUUGAAAAGGAUGUUGCACCCCCGUUUCUUUCUGGUGAAGAAUUGCAUGAUGUUGUAUCAGAGUACAGUGACAUUAUGUUUGAUUUCCAAUCAAGUAAGUAGAAGAUUCCUGGUUUUGGUUUGACCCACAAUUGGGUAAAGCAAAGUAUUUUUUGGGAGCUUCCUUAUUGGAAGACCAAUCUCCUCCAACAUAACCUUGACGUCAUGCACAUAGAAAAGAACGUGUUUGAGAACAUUUUCAACACCGUCAUGGAUGUGAAGGGGAAGACAAAGGAAAACAUCAAGGCUAGAUUGAAUAUAGCUUUGUUCUGUAAUCGUAAAUAUAUGGAGUUGGUUUUUAAUGGGUCACGGGUCGCAAAACCAAGAGCAUGCUUCAUGCACAACUACUAGUCUACAAAUGACUUAAGAGUCUAUGUUUUCCCGAUGGAUAUGCCUCAAACAUAUCAAGGGUGGUUAAUAUGGAGGAAUGUAGAUUGUAUGGAAUGAAGAGUCAUGAUUGCCAUGUUUUUAUGUAAACACUCAUUCCAUUACCUUAUCGAGAUUUGCUGCCAAAAGGGAUAUGUGAUGCACUCACGGAGAUCAGUCAUUUCUUUAGAGAUAUAUGCUCCAGCAAGUUUAAUGUUGAUCACAUUGAAAGGCUUGAAACAAAUAUCGUCGAGACAAUAUGCAAACUUGAGAUGAUAUUCCCUCCAUCAUUUUUUGACUCAAUGGAGCAUCUACCCAUACAUUUACUAUUUGAGGCAAAAAUUGGAGGAUCGGUCCAAUAUAGAUGGAUGUAUCCAUUCGAACGGUUAGAUAUUACAGUUGCAAUGUAAUUCAUAUAUAAAAGUAUUUUCCUUGUUUUUUUUUAAUUGAAAAUAUUUGAUUAAUUUCAUGUAGGUACUUGUUCAAUCUUAAGAAAAAGGUUAAGAACAAGGCGCAUAUUGAGGCUUCGAUAGGUGUGACCUUUAUUGUUAAGGAGAUCUCAACAUUUAUCUCGUACUAUUUCCAAUCUCAUUUGAGAACGGGAAUCAAUCGCGUUCCACGACAUGAUGAUGGUGUUGAAGUGCCUUCCAAUGGGAACUUGUCAAUUUUUUCCAAUCCUGGACAACCCACACCUAAAAAUGUCAUAAAGGGAAGAUAUUUGCCUGAAAUAGAGUUUAGACAAGCACACAAUUAUGUUCUAUUUAACUUUGAUGAGCUGAGACCUUUUAUUUAAUAAAUAUAUGUACUACUUAAACUUUGUUAAAAAUGUACUAUUUAUGUAUUGUAAUAUCAUAAACUCAACUAAUUUUGAAAACCUUUUAGACAACAUCAACAAUAUUUACUGUCCGAUAACUCACAGCUGACCGUAUCCCAAAUCUUUUGAUUACAAGAUGAACAAUUUACGACGUGGUUAAAAACACAUGUAUGUACUAUCACAAACUCAUUAUCUCUUGCAAAGUUAUUGUAUGUCAUUGUAAAAUUCUUGUUUACUGUUCAUUGUUGUACAUGAUAUACAAGGUUUAUGAAAUGGGAAGGAGUGCUGUUAUUUCAUUGUCUUCACUAAGCCUGAGCCCUAAAAGAAAAGUUAAGUGCUAUAAUGGGUAUUUUGUCAAUGGGUAUGUGUUUCAUAUUGAAGAAUACGGGCAUGGAAGAAAGACAUACAACAUCGGUGUUUGUAUUAAAGAAUCGAGUUGUAAUGAGGUUGGAGUUGACUACUAUGGUAAAUUAGAAAAGGUCGUCGAAUUGCAAUAUCAUAGAGAGCAUAAUAGAGUAUUUUUAUUCAAAUGUUAUUGGUAUGACACCACUGAUAGAGGAAUCAUAGUAGAUCAUCACUAUGGUCUGGUCGAAAUCAACUCAAAAGCUAGACUCCGCAACGUAAAUGGUGUCUUUGUUUUCGCAAAGCAAUAUCAACAAGUUUAUUACACAUACACCCCUUCCUUUAGAAAGGACCAAUCAAGAGUUGAUUGGUUAUCUAUUUUAAAAACGAAACCCAGGGGUCAUGUCAAGGUUGUUCAGGAUGAGAACGAAGACACAAGUGUGCAAGAUGAAAUCUUUCAAGUUAGUGAGUUGGUUGAACCAUAUCGAGUUGCUCCUUCGAUUGACUUAGAAGAAAAUUCAAUUUUUUGUGUUUUUAAUGAUAGUCUUGUUGAUGUUGACGCAGAGGAGUUGAAUGUUGUUCUGAGCAUUAGCGGACAAGCAAAUGUUGAUGAAGAUGAUGAGGAUAUCCACACUGAAGAUUGCGAAGGAGAUGAUGACGAUUCAAUUGACGACGAAGAAGAAAAUUCUGACUAACUAUCAUUACACAAAAGUGUAAAGCAUUUUUUUAUUUUGUAACACGAAAUAUUUAUUUUAUAAUUGUUAAUUGUUGUUAUUGUUCUGUGUGGUCAGUUUGUAAUUUAAGUGUUUGUAGGAGGAUAAAUAGGCAAUACAAACACAAUCUGUCAUGAACAGUAUACCAUCACCGACAGAUUUCCAGAUGGACAUUAUCCGUCGGUAUUUUAUAGAGAGUUGAAAACUAUUUACUGCAUAUGCCACUAUCACCGACGUUGAUACCGACAGACAUAUUUCAUCGGUAUUUUACAGAGAAUUGCAAAAUAUUUACUGCAUAUGCCAUAAUCACCGAUGUCUCUACAGACAGAUACAAUCCAUCGGUAUUUAUCAGUGCAGUUCACAAUUACUGAUGGAUUGUGCAAAUUCCAAAGGGCGGGUAUUAAUGCAUCUCUGACCGCGUGAAUAUGCCGACGAACUGCGAAAAUUCUAGAGGGUCAUUUAAAACUUUUAGUGCGAAAUUCAAAAUUUAUCGAUGGAUGUUUGAAAAUUCACUGAUGAAAUAAUUAAAAAUAAUAUUAUUUAAAUAGGUAAUCGAUGAGUCCAUUGGAAAAACUGCACUAUAAAUCUCAGCGACCGCCCCUUCAGUUCAUUUCUCUCCUCUUUCGUUUCAUCUCAUUUUUUUCUCUCUUCUAUUGCAAAAAUUUUCAUUUUUUUCUUGUAAUCUUUAGCUUCUUGUAAUCUUUAACAAAUUAAAACGUAUGUAUUUUCAUUUAAUAUGCAUAAUGCUUAAUGGAGUGAAUUGGUUUGUGGAUGUUGUCAAUAUUUGCAGGUUUGAAAACUUUGGGUAGUCUCCAGUGUAGGGGAGGUGCUGCCGAAUUUUUUUUUUAAUAAUCGAUUUAAAUUAUGUAAUUAUUCGUAUAAAUUUAUGUUGAUGCGUAUAUUGAAAUCAACAGCACGUCAUGAGCAUAUGGUUGCAGCUAGUUCUUCUAGCAGCGAGGAUGACUUGUCCUUAGGUGCCGAUCAAGAAGAGGCACCUACGCCGACUCACGAUGUUGCCUCUUCGAGUGCGGUUUCAUAGCGCAGAGGCGAUGUGCCUUUACAGUGGAAUCAAUUCACUCACAAAUACUAGGCACAUUGGAAGGAUGACCUUUCAAUGUAAUUUUGUUUCGGUUUUAGUUUUUUUAAAAUUAUAACAUAAUUUAUGAAUAGUAAUAUUUCAUUAAUUUUUUUUUUCAGGUUCACAAACAUUGAGGCCGCCCGAGUAAUAACAUCAACGUUUAAAUCAUCGAUGGAGAUUCCAUUAUUUCAAUGGAGUCAGGUUUCCAGCUAUCCUGAAUGAAGACCUUAUAUCGAUGCAUGGUUUCAAAGAUUUUAGGUUGGUGUUAAGUUCUAAUUUCCAACUUAUUUUUAAUAUAUUAUUAUUAUAAUUGUAAAUAAAAUAUUAUUUUUAUUUUAAAUAAAUUAUUUAUACACAUCACAAAUUCAAGUGGGACGGCGCGCAUGACAAUGUUGUGGGGAGGGUGUGGGAAAAUCACGCGGCAACUAUGUAACAUAUUCUAUUGCAAUACGAUAUUUUUUUUAAAAAAUUUAUGUUUUAAAAUCUAAUUUGUCACUAUGGAAGUAGGUUGCGUGAUUUUUUGUAUGAAUCACAAAAAAAAGCCAAAAAAUACACAAGAGAUAACGGUCUCUAAGGCUAGAAUGACGUGGCGGUUUGGAGGGAUUGCAAACCGCCAUACAUCUUAGGGGAUAUAUGGCCGUAAUAUAUUCAGCACGUGAUAUCUGAACGGUUCACACGACGCUCAUAGUUCGGUGCUGACAACCGGAACCGGCAAAUUCAUGGUUCGAUGACCACGCAUACCGGUGGCUCCGUUCUGUUUGCUGCACAUGCUAAACGGAUGGUAAUAUUAGUUUAAAUGAAAUAUAUCAUUAAUUAAUUUGUUGUUACCUAUAAAUACAUUUAGCUUGCAACAUUUUUUUUCUUAUAGGCUACAUCUUUUAGACGUGAGUCGAGCCCAAUGAAGCUGUUUGUUGAGACGCACGUGCGGAGUGAAGAGUGCCAAAAGGGGGUGUAACAGUUCGUGGACAACCGCGCUCAACACUUUGUGAUAUGUUCGUUAUUUCAUUUUAUUUUGUAAGUUAUUAUUUUUUUGAAUUGAAUAUGAUGAUUGUUUUUUAAUUUUCAGGAGACCUAUAAUAGUCAGUUGAGGGAGAGAUAUGGGGACGAUCCUUCGACCCAUUCAGAUUUUGAUCUGGAUUUGUGGAUGGAGGUAGGAUCAUCUGGUGGACCCCAUAAAAAUCAGGUGUACAAGCUCUCCAACACUACGGCCGAGAACUUGCAGGCAGCCUAUAGUGUCUCAACCGUUGGGAGCUCCCAAUCAAUAUCGAGCACCCAGUUUGAGGAGUUCAUGGCCUUGAAACAACAAUACGAGCGACUCUUAGCGGAUUAUGAACAACUCCGCCAAAUGGUCAUGGACAUUAGAUUAUAGAUUGGUGAUACAUUUGCGCCCCCUUUUUGGUCGUUUAGUCCUAGGAACAACCAAUCUCCUCCUUCUCCUCUAGCUCUGCCAUUGCUCUAGUUUAAUUUUUUUUUCGAAACUCAUUAAAUUUUUAAUGAAUAUUUGGAUGAAUAUUAUUUAACUUUAUUUUUAUAUUUUAAAUGUUUCAUAUAAUUUUAUUUGCAUAAUUGGUUUUUUUUACUAUUAAUUAAUAUAAUUUUAUAUUAUUUAUUCUAAAUAAUUUUUAAAUAACAACCAACGGAUUUUCAGACGGAAGUAGUCUAUUGGUAUUUUAUAGAGAGUUAAAAAAUAUUUACUGUAUAUACCACUUUCACCGACAGAUUUCCAGACGGACGUAGUCCGUCAAUAUUUUACUGAGAGUUGCAAAAUAUUUAUUGCAUAUGCCACUUUCACCAACAGAUUUCCAAACAGACAUAGUCCGUCGGUAUUUUAUCGAGAGUUGCAAAAUAUUUACUGCAUACGCCACAAACACCGAUGGAAUAAUUCCGUCGGUAUAUUUCCAGCGGGAAUUUUUUUUUGGCUCGCAUUUUCUGUAUGUAAAUCCAUUGGUUUUUGAAAUUUUUUUACCAACAGAAUUAGCGACAAAAUGUUGAAUUACCGAUGAAUGCUAUGCCGACAAACAGUUUUCAUCGGGGAAUUAGUUGGUAAAAAUUUUACCGACGAAGUGGUAAUCUUACACCGACAGAAUAUUUCCAUCGGUAAAAUUGUUAAAUGUUGUAAUGACCUCUUAUUCUGAAACAAAUUUUUAUGGCAUGAUGAACCGAAGGAAACAGUGGCAACAGGGAAGGCAUGCAUAGGAACUAUAAAUGUAAAAAUAUUCAUAGUUCCACCAACGAAAUCUACCAAAAUUGAGGUUUCUGAUACUCAUAAGAAUCAAAUUUGUACCAAAAGAGCCAGUUGGUCUAGAUAUAAAAUAUAUAAAGAUGUCAUAAUGCUGAAUACAACAACACCUUUCCUUGUCUCAUUAAAUUAGGAACUGAGCGCACCAUGUAAAAGUGUAAAUGGAGCUAGCUCAUAAACUUAACUUUUCCUUUCUUUUCUCUUUGGCUAAAUUGUUUUUUUUAAUUAUAAUAAUACUCAAGCACCAAAUAUUCACUGAACUGAUUUUUCAAUUAUUUUUUCAAUUUAUUUCUAAACAAUAGAAUCCGAUAGAGAGACUUAUAAAAUAGAGAGAAAAACCCUAACCUAUCUUCAUCGUCUCUUUACAACUUCUGAUUCUAGGUUUGCAAGUCAUAAAAGAAAAGGCAAAUCAAAUAAAGUCCCAUAAACCGAAACAACAAACCUGAAUUGAAAAUCCUAAUUAAAUAUACCUCUGAAAACUCCAAUCUAAAAAUUUCCAAUUUUAAAAAAGCCCACCAAAAAACACUCCACCUUUUGCUGCUGCUACCACUAUUGCUCAUGCAUCAAAACUUAAACUACAUUUGAUAAUGAAAAGAUUACGAGGUAUAUUUGUGUAAUUUUUAGACAAAAUGAUAAAAUAAAAAUAUUUGAGAUGUAAUUUAUAAUAAAGUAAUACAAUUGGAGUUAAAUUUAAGGUAUUGUUAAAACGCAUCAAGUCUUAAAUUGACUAUCAAACUUUAAAAAAAAAAGAUUGGUAUUCUAAUAUGUUUAAAUUUGUUUGUAAAUGAGAGAGUAAUAUUAUUUAUCUAAUCAUUUAUUAAAAUGAAUUCUUUAAAAUUUUAAUCAUGCCUUGUUAAAUUUCAAUCUUUACUGGUUGUAUAUAUAAAAACUAAUUCUUUAAAAGUGUUUUACUAGGGUGCUUGACACUAUGCUUCUCCUCACAAAGCACAUAAAUUUCAAUAGUGCUUUUUUAGUUAUCAAACUUUUUAUUUAUUUCAUGUGAUUUUUUUGAGUUGAUGAUCUCUUAUAUUUAUAUAUUUUUGGCAAUUAAAGGUCCGAACUUGAUCCAAGGCCGAGUUGAUGAGAUAAAGUUUAAAUUUAUAGCAUAAAGACACAAUUAAAAGAAAAAAAACCAAAUAUAAAAAAAUAGCAUGGCUUUUCUAGAAUUCAUGCGAAAAUGUACUUUUGUCCACAUAUCCUCCAUGUAUUUAUCUUUUGGUCCUUUUAAUUUUAGCAUUUUAUAAUUUGGUUCAAAAAUUCAUUUUAUUUAUGCUGGGUUAUCUUGGUUAACCACUCUAGUGUUGAUUUCGAGGUAAAGGUUGGCGAUAGAAUUGCACAGUUAAUUCUUGAGAAAAUUGUAACUCCUAAUGUCAUGGAAGUUCAAGAUUUGGAUGCAACUGUGAGAGGUGUUGGAGGGUUUUGAUCUACUGUUGUUUGAGCUUCUUGUGAUUUGUAAUGUUUUUUUUAGUAUACUAGCAUACAAACCCGAUAAGACAAAAGGCAAGGAAUAUGAUAAAAUAAGAAAUGAGUCACACGAGAUUUACAUGGUUGACCCAAAUUUGGCUACGUCCACAGGCAAGUAUAAAAAGAUUUUACUAAGUAAUGUGUGAAUUACAACCUCUAUUUACUAAUAGGAGAACAAUUGAGAAUCUCUCUAUUAAUAGGAGAAAACACCUCUUUUACUCUCUCACAAAUACCUCACAACUUUGUGGGAUCACUUUCCUUCCUUUCUCUCUUCUUUCUCUCUUGUGUGUACAUAUUUAGGCUUGGAUGCACUGCCUAUUUAUAGGCAGGCAUCCAUGCCUUUGUCUUGCAAAAGACACGAGGCAUUAAUUGGUGUUGCAAGUGGCACCGAAUUGGUUCCUAACAUUGUUGACUUAGGCAGCACCCAUUAAUGUCCAGCUGGCUUUACAUUCUCCCCCUUGAAAACUUUGAUGAUUUAAUCAAGUCUUCACACUUGAUCAUCUAUGAUUGUUCUAUCCUUUGUAUACUUUUCAUCUUUAUGUACUUACGUUUCUGCUAGGCCAUAAGAGGAUCUGCACCAUAUGUACUUAUCAUUGUUGAUUGGUUUGGUCAAAGCAUCUGCUAGGUUUUUCUUAGUGUGAAUCUUCAUAAAAUCCACACUUCCAUCUUUCAGCACCUCGCAAAUAAAGUGAUACUGAACAUCUAUGUGUUUUGUUCUUGAAUGAAACACUGAAUUCCUUGCAAUAUGCAAGACACACUGAUUAUCACAAUACAAAGGAAUCUUCUCUUGUUUAUGUUCGAGCUCCUCCAUAAGUUUCCUCAUCCAUAUUGCUUUUUUACAAGCUUGUGUAGCUACCAUAUACUCAGUUGUUGUUGUAGAUAACUUUACAAUAGUCUGAAGUUUAGAAACCUAGCUCACACCUCCUCCUGCAAUUGUGAACAUAUAACCUAUAUUGAAUUUUCUUUUCUUAAGGUCACCAGCAAAAUUUGAAUAAACAUAAUCUCUGGCAGUAGAUUCUGAUCCUCCAUAAUAUAAUACGGUAUCUAAGGUACCCUUGAUGUAUCUCAAGAUCCUCUUAAUAGUAUUCCAAUGCUCUCUACCAAGAUUUGCCAUGUAUCAACUAACUGCUCCUGCUGCUUGUGCAAUGUCUGGUCUUGUACCUAUCAUGGCAAACAUUAAACUUCCCACUACUGAUGCAUACGGUACUUAAGACAUCUCCAUCCUCUCUGCUUCAUUACUAGGAGACAUACUUGAGGAUAAUUUGAAGUUAAUAGGAAGUGGGGUGGAAAUUAACUUACAAUCUUGCAUGUCGAAGCGUCGUAACACUUUCCUCAAAUAAUUCUUCUUAGAAAGCCAAAUCUUCCUCUUACUUCUGUCUCGGUCAAUUUGCAUCCCUAGAAUCUUAUUUGUUGGUCCCAAGUCCUUCAUAUCAAACUCGCUAGCCAACUAUGCCUUCAAUUCUUGGACUCGAUCUUUGUUGGGGCCUAUUCCAACAUGUCAUCCACGUACAACAAUAGAAUGAUUAUAUCAUCAUCGUUUUCAAACUUCUUGUAAUACAUACAAUGGUUUGAACUGAGUCUAUUGUACCCAAGACUAAUUAUGAGGGAAUCAUGUAACAACCCAACCCAACUUGCCAUAUAUUGUUCGCUUUGGGCCUUACCGCCCUCACGGUUUUGUUCCUAGUGACGCGAGCUCACUUCUGAGCCUGACGCCCCAAAACGCGUAUGACAAGUUGGCAACCAGCACUCUUAGUAAGGCCAUCUACCACCCCCUUACCUGCCGAUAUGGAUAUUACAAUCCACCCCCUUACUCGCCGAUAUAGGAUAUUACAAUCCACCCCCUUUAAGGAGCCCGACGACCCCAUCGGCACAACCAGAUAGCCAGUGACGUUGGCUCUGAUAUCAAAUGUAACAGCUCGGCCCAGCCUGCCAUAUAUUGUCUGUUUUGGGCCUUACCGCCCUCACAGUUUUGUUCCUAGUGGGAUCCCACAAGCGAUACCCCUUCACUCCAUCAGCAUAUCCCAAGAAUACAUAUUUUUUGGAUUUUGAAUCCAGCUUGCUAACUUAUUGAGUAUUGUACAUCAUGUAUAUAGGACUUCCAAAUAUAUACAACUGAGAAUAAUCAGCUACCUUCCUGGUCCACAUCUCCAUCAGUGUCUUCAGCUCAAUUGCAGUUGAUAAAGAUCGAUUUAUCACAUAAUAGGCGGUUUUGACUGCUUCUGCCCAGAAUGGCUUUCCUAAACCUGUAGCCUUCAACAUUGCUCUUGUUCUUUCUAAUAGAGUUAUGUUCGUCUACUUUACCACUCCAUUUUGUUAUGGAGUGUAUGUUAUUGUGAACUGCCUUUUGAUACCUUCAUGUUGAUAGAAGUUAUCAAAUUCAUCACAGGUAUAUUCUUCUCCAUUAUCAAUCCUCAAACACUUGAUCUUCUUUAUAGAUUCAAGUUCUACCCACACUUUGAAGGUUUUGAAGACUACGAGCACAUCUGCCUUCCUUCUAAUUGGAUACACCCAACAUCUCCUGAAGAAGUUAUCUAUAAAUGAUACAAAGUAUCUUGCUCCUCCCAAGGAUACAAUCGGUGCUUGCCAAACACAGAAUGAAUCAGUUCUAAGAUGCAUUUGCUCUUAGAUGUUGAUGUGCCAAAUUUCAACCUGUGUUGUUUACUUAUAACACAAUGCUCACAAAAGGGUACAGUAACCUUUGUAAGCCCAUGGAGUAACUUCUUAUUAGAGAGAAUUUUCAAACCUUUCUUUAACAUGUGGCCUAGUUUUUGAUGCCACGUCAUCGUCUUCUCUUCUGAAGGACUGGAUGAUUCGAUUGACGCCUUUACCUCAUGAUGUGUUUCUCUUAUUAACACAAAAAAGUUUGCAUCUAUCUUUCUUGCCUUUAAAACUACCAGUGCUCUUUAGAUGAUUUUCAUGAUUCCAUUGUCUAUUCAGAUCUUAAAGCAAAGAAUAUCAAAUUGUCCCACAGAUAAAAUUUUCUUCUAUAAGCCUUUCACAUGUCGCACUUCUAAAAUAGUAUGAAUUGAGCCAGCAUACAUCUUCAAUUUGAUGGUGCGAAUGCGAACAAUCUCUAAAGCAUGAUCAUUACCCUUGAACAUUGAGCCUUCAGAGAUGGGUUCAUAUGUAUGAAACCAAUCUCGAUUAGAAGUCAUAUGCCAUGUUGCUCUUGAAUCCAUUAACCAAACCUCAGUAAGCACUUUUCUAUCUAUAGAGACUGUUGCUACUUCACAAUAUAAAACCUCCCCAUCUUCUGAGGUGUUUGUAACACAUCCUUGAGGUUUUGAUAACUCUAUAGUGUUCUCUAUACCCUUUUUAAACCAACAAUCCCUUUUGAAGUGCCCUUUUCUACCAUAGUUAUAGCAUUUCGAGCUCUUGUCAAAACUCAACAUUCUACUGUUAUCAAAUGUUUAGGUGUGAUUUGGGUGGGGAAUACACCUCUAAUAAAUUCUAUGAGUUGUUUGCCUUAGAUGGAACCAUUCACCAAACUUCGUGUAUAGAUACUCCUAAGCAAAAUGGUGUUACUAAAAGAAAACAUAGGCACAUUGUCGAAACCGCUCAUUCUCUCUUGUUGUUUGCUUUUGUUCCUAGUGAGUUUUGGGGAGAAGUUGUCCUUACUGCUAUAAGUUUGUUUAAUACAAUCUCAUCUUCUCAUAGUUCAGGUUUUUCUCCUUUUGAAAAGUUAUAUGGGUAUAUCCCUAAUUAUUCCUCCUUUAGAGUUUUUGAUUGUACUUGUUUUGUUCUUUGUCCUCAUGUUGAACGCAAUAAGUUGUUCUCUCGAUUUACUAUUUGUGUCUUUCUGAUUUAUGGUGAAGGUAAAAAAGGAUAUCGUUGUUUUGAUUCAAUAACUCAUAAACUUUAGGUAUCUUAUUAUGUUGUCUUUCUUGAGCAUAUACCUUUGUUUUCUAUUCCAUCCACUACUCAUAGCUUGACUAGACUUGGUAUUAUUCAUAUAGAUCCUUUUUCUAAGGAUUCUGAUAGUUUAUCAUCUCAUGUUCCUAGUACCUUAGAUACCCCUUCCCAUGUUCGACCAAUUUAUACUAAUCAUUAUGCAGGUACUGACACUUUAUUCUCUAGCACACCUGAAGCUCCAUUCUCAUCUACAACCCCCCAAGCUUCGUCUAAGAUUGUGGAUCCACCUUUACGUCAAUCCAUAUACAUUUGUACAUCCAUAAAACUACUAGAAUUUGCUUAUUCUUAUUAUUCUUCAUCCUUUACUUCUUUUUUAGCUUCUGUUCAUUGUCUCUCUGAGCCCUCUUCCUAUAAGAAGGCAAUUCUUGAUCCUUUUGUAUAGCAAGCUACAGAUAAGGAAAUUUCUACUUGUAUAAGACAGAUACUUGAGAUUUGGUUCCUCUACCUCCUAGUAAGAGUGUUGUUGGUUGUCGUUAGGUGUCUAAGAUCAAGACUAAUUCUGAUGGGUCUAUUGAGCGAUACAAAGCUAGGUCAGUUGAAAAAUGAUAUUCUCAACAAUAUGGUAUGGAUUAUGAGAAGACAUUUUCCCCAUUUGCAAAAAUGACUACUAUUCAUACUCUUAUUAUUAUAGCUUCAGUUUGUCAAUGACAUAUCUCUCAACUUGAUGUUAAAAGGGCCUUCUUGAAUGGAGAUCUUCAAGAAAAUGUUUAUAUGGCACCCCUCCUGGUGUUUCACAUGACUUUGGGUAUGUUUCUAUGCUCAAGAAAGCGUUAUAUGGUCUCAAACAAGCACCUCAUGCUUGGUUUGAGAAAUUUUCUGUUGUGAUCUUAUCUCUUGGAUUUGUUUCUAGUAGUCAUGAUUAUGCCCUUUUUAUUAAGUGCACUAAUGCAAGUCAUAGAUAUGAUUAUUACUGGUGAUGACAUUGAUGGUAUUUCAAUUUUAAAGACAGAAUUGGCUAAACUUGAAAUGAAGGAUUUAGGUUAUCUUCGAUAUUUCCUAGGUAUUGAAGUAGCUUACUCACCUAGAGGUUACCUUCUUUCUCAGUCAAAAUAUGUUGCAGAUAUUCUUAAGCGGACUAGACUUACUGAUAAAAAGACUAUAGAUACUCUCAUUGAGAUUAACGUAAGGUAUUCUUCUUUUGUUGGUCUACCUUUGACAGAUCCUACUUUAUACUGUACUAUUGUUGUGAGCUUGUUAUAUCUCACUAUUACUCGUCCAUAUAUUGCAUAUGUUGUUCAUGUUGUUAGUUAGUUUAUUGCUUUUCCUACUAUAGUUCACUGAACAACUAUUCUUCGUAUUUUGCGACAUCUUCGUGGUACGGUCUUUCAAAGUCUUACUCUCAUCCACCUCUUCCUUGUAGCUGCGUGCAUACUUUGAUGUUGAUCAUGACAGUGAUCCCCCAGAACGUAAGUCUGUUACCGGUUUUUGUAUCUUUCUAGGUGAUUCUCUUAUUUCUUGGAAGAGCAAGAAACAAUCUAUUGUUUCUCAAUCUUCAACCAAAGCAGAAUAUUGUGUUAUGGCAUCUGCUGUAAUGACUCGACUUUUUCAAAGCCAAAAUCGGUGGAAUUUUUUUUUCCAUUAAGUUAUCGAUACUUCUUAUAAUGGCAUUCCAUAAAAUAGUAAUUAGGUUCCCUUCCUUAUCAUGGCAUCAUACAGAUAUAGUUUUUGUAAAUCAACAUUCCCAUUAAAUGGUUACUCAAUAUACAUGCCUAUAAUAUUAUAUUCUCAUAUUCAUACAUUUACAUUACAUCAUAUUGAAAUACUCAUACAUUUUCAUUUAUGUUCUAGUCUCGUUAUCAACACGAGUUUACACAUAAGUGCCGAACAACAAUUUUACAAAUCUAGUACAUUCUUUCAUUCAAUCCUCAUAUGAUUUCACAACACAACAUCCUCAUAAAAGAGAAUAUCACAUAAAUAUAUUCAUAACAUCGUAUUUACAUGUUCGCACAUCCACAUCCGUGUUCCAUUAUAAUUUUCAUUACACGUCCUUACAAAAGUGCCGAAUGGAAAAUAUUCAACAUAACACUUAAGACCUAAUCAUAAAAUCGAACCCAUCAUCUCCUUUGGAUACCAUUAGCCGAAGUCAAUCAUCAUAAUUAACUUGGUCAACCAACUAGAAUACCAUUAGCCAAAGCUAAUCAUCUACGCAAUCCAGUCAUCCAUCUAGGAUGCCGUUAGCUAAAGCUAAUCAUGAACACAACCCAAUCAUCCAUCUAGGAUGCCAUUGGCCAAAGCUAAUCAUGUACGUGACCCGGGCAACCAUCUAGGAUGCAAAUAGCUGAAGCUAAUCAUUAACGCGAUCCGGCCAUCCAUCUAGGAUGCCAUUAGCUGAAGCUAAUCAUCGUUACAACCCGACCAUCCAUCUCAGAUGCUGUUAGGUGAAGCUAAUCACCAACUCAAGCAACAUUUCAUAGUCGUUUCAAUAUUCAUCAAGAAUUCAAUCAAACAUUCAUCGUCGUUUCAACAUUCAUCAAGAAUUCAAUCAACAUUUCAUCAUCGUUCCAAAAUUCAUCAAGAACUGGAUCAACAUUUCAUAGUCAGUUUAACAUUCACCACAAUGCAAUACUAUAUCAUCCACAAGUAAAUCAUUUCAGAACAUUAACAUUAUACAAGAAAAAGGUGGAAACCACCUACCUGUUCCUUAUGUAGGGUGUCCCUACCCGGUCGCACCAUCUAACACAUCAAGGAAAAUCACACAAUACAUGCACAGGUAAUUAAACAUAUAUUCAACAAUAUACAAUCAUAGUUCCUUGAAAUUCUCAUUUAUCCUUCCAUUAUUACGUCUCUAUUCAUCCUUCCUAGAAUCAUUCAACAUUUUCAUUUUAUGUCUUGUUUCACCUCACGAGCGCAUUUAAUUCAUUAUAAUAUCUACCAUGUGAUUUCUCUCCCUCUUACUCUAUCUCUUUAUAUCAAUUUCAAUCCCAACAUCUAUUAUACCCAUUAUGGCUUUUCCAUAUAAAUUGUCAAACUCGUCAUGAUUUCGGUCCAAUUUUAGUUUAUAAAUAUAUUCAACUUACAUAUUUCUUGUGCCCAUUUCGACACAUUCCAAUGUUUCUUUAUAUUUUCAGUAAAAUCUCUCAUUAUCAUGGAACCUGCCAUCAUUUUCACAAUAUUCACAUCCGAUCCAUCUUCAAAUAAUGUGAAUACCAUACAUACAUCAUUCUAUUUUAUUCAUCAACCUAAUCUCAUUUGACCACUAUAAUUAAGGCUAAAUUUCAUUAUCUAUCACUAUUAUUGGUAUUUUAUUACACUAUUAUAAUUAUCACCAAAUUCUUAUCAUGCCAGCAACAACAUGAAACCUUAAUACAACAUAUUUACAUUAUUAGUCAUAAUUUCUUUGACAUCCUCCAUAUGCGCAGGACAUGAUUCUCAAUUUAUAUCAAUUACAAUUCAUUAAUUAAUUCACAAUACAUCAUAUAUAUAUAGCAUUGCAUUCCUUAAGUGUAUAACACCUACCAUGGUUAAUGAACUUCUAUUCUCACGUCCUAAGCGAUGCGAUAUUUGCCUCCAUCCUUCACAAGAAUUAGAUCUUCAUCAGUUUCUCUUUUUUUUUUCCUUCAAUAAUCCAUAACAUAAACACAAAUUACCAUAUUUGUUUAACAGUUAGGUAUCAUCCAACAUUCCAUUUAUAAUCUGACAAGUCAGUCAUCCUGACAAUAUUAACACCACACAAGUAAGUUUAACUCAAGUUGCAUAUUCCGGUCAUUAGAAAACAAAACUAAUGCCACUAGCCCAUCACCGGGUAACCAAUUCCUCCGCCCAUCUUAUUCCAUAAUUUUCAAUCAAUAUCCGCCUCUUCAAGGCCGAAUGAAUAAUCCUAUGAAGAUGCCAAUCCCCAUUUCAUCAAUAUUUUUAAUUAUUCCCUGUCAGAAAUAUCAUUAUAAUACCUCUCUCCUAAAACUUGGAAGGGAAUGCUAACACUAAUAAAUUUUCAUUAGUGUUAUUAGUCUCCCAUAUCAGGAUCGGCUAAUCAAGUUCAUUGUAAACGUCAAAAUUAAUACCACUGAUUGAUGUAUCGACUAUUUCUAACAUGAAAUAGCCAGUCAGAUUUUUCUUUCCAUAAUAUCUUGGAAUAUUUCCGGAAAUGUUGAUGUCAAGAUUCUUGACAUCAUUAGCUUUCACUUCAGGAAUAGCUAGUCAAGUUUCAUAUGAUUGCCGUUAUCGACAACACCGGUCGAUAUCAUUAACUAUUCUCACCUGAAUAGUUAAUCAAAUUCAGUAUCCCUCGUUUUCAGGGAUGAUUAUGCCGAUAUUAGUAAACCUUACUAACAUCAUUAGCCUCCGCAUUCGGGACCGGCUAAUCAAGUUUCGUGUGAUUGCCGAUAUCGACAGCACUGGUCAAUAUCAUUAACUAUUCUCACCCGAAUAGUUAAUCAAGUUCAGUAUCCCUCGUUUUCAGGGAUGAUUAUGCUGAUGUUAGUAAACCUUACUAACAUCAUUAGCCUCCGCAUUCGGGACCGGCUAAUCAAGUUUUGUGUGAUUGUCGAUAUCGACAACACCGGUCAAUAUCAUUAACUAUUCUCACCCGAAUAGUUAAUCAAGUUCAGUAUCCCUCGUUUUCAGGGAUGAUUAUGCCAAUGUUAGUAAACCUUACUAUCAUCAUUAGCCUCCGCAUUCGGGACCGGCUAAUCAAGUUUCGAGGAAUGAUCAUCAUUGAAGUCUAUUAGUGUAAUUCAUAUUCUUAACCCAAUCAAGUACUCAAAUCCAUUUUUAAUUUCUCGUUUAUUUCACUUUAUCCUCUCUCUUUGUGGUUUCACCCAUAGAAGCAAAGACGAAGAAUUUAAUAAGUUAGUAAAUUAACGCUACGUAAAAAGUGUAGGUAUAGAACACCUACCAGCUGCAGAAGCUCAACUCGCUCUUCCUUGUUGUUGUUAUGACCCUCUUGCAGUCCCUCCUUAAGCUCCUACUAUAUGAGCUCCUGAGAAGUCGAGUGAAUGCUUCUCCUGAAAUUUAGAGACCUGCUGUUCGGGAAGUACAAUUUCUGGUAGGAGUGUUCUUUUCCGAUCUAAACCGUUCAGAAUUUAUAUAACAUCUGGAUGAACAACAUAUCCAAAAUCCAGACCAAUCCAACGGUGAAACGAUGAUAUAACGGCCGAUGAACAAGGCUGUCUUGAAGGGUGAUUUUCCAGAAAUGUUCCUCCAGUGAUAGCCCUCAAACGAAGUCUGAUAUUUACAAUCCCUCCGGUCAGAAUGUAGUGACAUUGAGUAUAAUAACAUAUCCAAAAAUCAAUCUAAUCCAACGGUCAAUCUUGACUAGGACAUCCUGUUUACCACAAUCAAUCUUUGUAUUGACAGUUUUCAAGAAUGGUCUCCCAAACAAUAUAGGAGUGUUGUUUAAUGAAUCGCAAGAAUCAUGUUCCAUAUCAAGAAUAUAAAAGUUGCAUGGAAUGACUAAACUAUCAAUCUUGACUAGGACAUCCUCUAUCGCACCAAGUGGGUAAACAAAACUACGAUCCGUAAGUUGUAUUACAAUACGAGUUUUAUUCAAAGGCUCCAGACUAAGAGAAUCAUAAACAUGUCUAGGCAUAACGCUAAUGGAUGCACCUAAAUCAGAUAAAGCCCUUUUAAAACUAGCAUUACCAAUAACACAUGGGAUAGUAAACGCACCGGGGUAUUUUUGCUUUAAAGGCAUAUUCUUUUGAACAACAGCAGAUACAACUUCAUCCAUACUUACCAUUUCAUGACCUUUUAGUUUGAAAGCACUCUUGGUAGUACACAACUCCUUCAAGAAUUUAGCAUACUUGGAAAUUUGCUUGAUAAACAUCAAGCAAAGGAAUGUUGAGUUCUACUUUCUUGAAAACCUCUAAAAUCUCUUUUUCUUUAUCCUCUUUCUUUGACCUAGAAGAACUCAUAGGAACGGGUGGAAUUCAUUGAGUGAGGAGUUACCUUUAGAGUGUUGGUCGAUGUUUCAGUUUGUAGAGGAGGAGGAUGUUCCUUCUUUGUACUCAAUUUGGUUUCUAUCUCUUCUUCUUCCUCCAUCUCAAUUUGUUUCGACCUUUUCUCUUCAAGUUCUUUCCCACUUCGCAGCAUGAUCACACUAACAUUCUCUAUUGGAUUCAAUGCUUGGGAGGGCAAUUUUCCAUUCAUUUAUGCUUCCAAUUUCCCCACACUUGAAGCUACUUGCCCCAUUUGCUUCUCCAAGUUGUGAAUACUUGACCUUGUUUCCUGUUGAAAAGACAUGACAUUUUGUUGCAAGGUCACAUUGUUAGAAGCCAAAGUUUUUGUUGCUACUCAUUUUUAGGCCCCACAUGCUGGAGAUGGCGUGUACCUCUUUUGAACCGAAUGCAGGAGUUUAGCUUAUGGUUGCUUGAAGAUUGACAAAAGCAGAGAAGAAAGAAAUGUUUUUACGAACCCUAUUUCAGCUGUUUUCUGCUCUCUUUAUCCUUCCCCUUCAUCGCCGAAAUCGUCAGGGUUCUUAGAUUAAUUAGGAGUCUUUGUGAUGCUUAACUCGUUGCUUCUUUAUUUGGUCUUUAAUUUUGGAUGAAUCCUUCAAAAUUUCUACUAAAAAAGCUGAUUAUGCUGCAGUCACAAUUCUGUUUGUAAUACAAACUUUGUUCCAACUUAGACUUUGAUUCUGACUUGGUUUCGUGCAAUAUUUGACCAUCUCAGCUAUAUUCUGUCAUUCAUGACAUGUUAAAGAAUUGAACUACACCUUUAUUGGGUCUUAGGGCUCACUGUUCUUAUGUCAGACUCUCAUUUAGAUUGGGAUGCUCGACUUGUCAGUUUCCGAAUUAGAUUAGGAGAUCCUUUUGACCAAGCAGAUUGCGGCUAGAUUAUGUUCUUCAAAACGAAUUUAUCUCACUUUGAAUCCUUCAUGAAAGUUAUAGAACUGUACGUGUAAAUGAAUUUGGUUUUUUGAAUUGCUUGAUUUUGAUAUCAGAAGUCCAAGAUAUCCCCGUUUGAAUAUCUAGUGUGAAAACAAGGAAUCCUGCCGCGAGAAGGAUUCUAGCCCGCAGGUCUGAUUCGAGGGAUUACGGGUUGAUUUGGAGGAUUUUUUUUGGAUCAAGGAUUGAAUUGAAAAGUGUUAAAAUUAGAGAUUUAAUUGAAAAUUGAAAUUAGAAGGAACCUAAAAUUGAUUACAUUGCAUGCAGAACAAACCAAUGUUCUGCACGCAACAAACCCUACAACAAGCCUCGCCCGCUUGUUUCAUAUUUGGUCCAAAGGCAACGGUUUUGAACACCUACGCCAAUUGUGGAAGAAUACAGAGGAGAGCCACACCAUCAUUUAAUGGAUGGGAUUCUACACGUGGAGAAUAAUUACCGAGAUCACAUAAUCAAUCAGAAUAUUUUGCUUCCUAAAUUGCUUUAUUCGAUUGCAAGCCACCCGCGAUUGUGUCCCCAUAUUGUUUUUUCUAAAUAGAGCUGCAUUUUAGGCUAUAUAAACCUCCUCUACUGACCUAGAAGGAGAGAAGAGAAAAGCGAAAAAAAAAAGAGGAGAGGAGGAGAAGAAAAGUUGGAGAUCUAUAGCACAUAGAGAGGAAGCUCUGCUGCUAAACAUUGACAUAAACUUUCGUCUGUCAAAACUGGUGAGACCUGCAGGAGAUGAAGGAAGAGAUGGAAAAAAGUAGAGAAACAAAAGAAAGAAGAGAAAGGGAAAGGAGAGGAAAAAAACGAAGAGAACAAAAGGAGUUUUUUUCCUUCAUCCUUGCAUUAUUGUGAGACGGGGAAAGCAGAACAGAGGAGAGGGAGAGAAGCUAAAACCAGUAGAGAGAGAGGGAUGUAGACGCAGAGCUAAACACAACCGACAGAUGCAAACAGAGAACAUAGGGAAAAGGGCUGAAACAGACGAACACGGAUAGAUCAACCAUCACGCCUUCAACAUCGCUGCAGCUCCUUUGUUUCCGCCUACAGGUCUGUUAUUCCCAACUUUGGCAUGUAUUCUUAGUUGCAUUGUUACUGUUCAAGUGAAUUAUAAUUCACUUUAACAAUAACCAGCCAAGGCACGCGUGAGGAAACUCACGCAUGCCUUUGUGCCCAGCCGGGUCACUAGUUUGGGCUAGUUACCCGGCUAGGCUUGCUAGGUUCAGCCCAGCCAUAUGGACUGAGCUGGACCCAACCCCCCUAAAAAAAUACAAGUAAUAUCGUUGGUUUUCUCGUGUAUUUAUUUUGUGGUUUUUGUAUUUUCAUAUUGUGAAAAAAAACAAAUCUCGUAUUUAGAAUACCCGGUUUUUGAUGCAAUGUGGCAAAUAUACAUAUAUAUCAAAAAAAAUGUUUUCAUGCAUACAGCCAAUGCCUUGACAUAUUUUGAAUUUCCUCUUUUAAAAAAAACAAAUAUUCAAAGUUUAAAUGAAAAUGUGUUUUAGCAUGGAUUUCUUAAACAAAAAAAAUUAUUUUCUUACAUUCUGGAUUUUACAAUAUGUUUGUAAAACUCCAAAGGGUGUUGGCCAAUAUUCCAAAAAAUACAAAAUCUUAAUUUUGGAGAAUGCUACUUUAUUCACCAUUUAUAUUUGGAUAAAGAAAUCCCAAAGGGAUUCAUAUCCAAAAUAUUAUUGGGAAUAACUUGUUAUUAUUCACUUUUAAUGUUUGGAUAAAAAUACCUAAUUGGUUAAUAUCCAAAAUAUUUUUCGAGAAAUAAUAAGUCAUCACACAUCCUUGAAAGAAGCCUUGAUUAUAAUUGAGGACAUUUUAAUUUUUGACUCCACGGUUUACGAGCCAUGAAAGUAUGAAUUACUAAUGCAAACAAGGGCUUUUAAAACACCUUGAAUUUCCUUAGAUUUCUAACUUAGUUAUUUUGUUUCUCUUCCUUGCGAUUUACGAGUCGCGAACACUUGAAAUACUAAGGGAAAAAUGACCUUUUAAGCACAUUGAAUCUCCUUAGAUUUCUAUCUUAGGUGUUUCUUAAUUCAUAGGUUGUAAAUUUAGUUCAAAUCAAACACAGAUUUCAAGAGAUCUGCAUUGGUUUUCCUUGGCACUCUAUAGACAUAUCUAAAGGUAUGAUCCAUAUUGGCUAAGGGUUCUUUCUUUUAGACUUUGAACCCAAGUUUGUUCAUCAUAGCAAACUUAUCUUAGGAAAACUAAUGGGAUUAGAAAAAUCAACACCAUAGCAAUUAUAAACCAAACACCAAGCAACUUACCUUAGGUAAAACAUAUUAGGGGUGCUAAAACCUUCCCUUUAUGCAACUAGUCCCUUGCCUUAGAGCUUUGAAGACCAAUUAGGGUUCCUAGUGACCAUAAUACUAGGUGGCGACUCUCUUUUUUCACAAAAACAAAGACCCCGAAAUCAAUUCCCCGCCACGGGAAAGGUCAUCGCGACGUCGAGCUCUCGUGAGGGUGCGACAGUUUUCAUCAUCUCACGAAGAUCAUCACUAGAUGACGACCCCAUAACAUUGGAAUUGGAGUUUAGGAAUGGAGGGUGUUGUCUCGCUUGAUAAUUCUGUUGGGGCUGAAAUCAAUGGGGAUGGAACUGUCGACCUUGAUUACCUUGUUGAGGCGGGUUCCCAUAGCGUAAGUUUGGAUGAUCUCUCCAUCUGGGUUGUAUGUAUUGGAACAGGGAUCAUAUUUAUGUCGGGGUUGUCCGUUGAAUCCUCCAUCAACUACAUGAACCUAUUCAAUAUAAUCUUCUUGCAUUGUUGGGCACAUAUCAGAGCUAUGUCCUUGUAAGGAACAUAUGCUACAAACUUUCACCUCAUUUACUCGUUUGUUUGAGAAGUCUUCACGGGUGCUGAACUAUUUCGAGUUGGUUGCCAUGUUUGAGAUCAAUUAGCAUGCAGCCUCGGUUGUCUAAUCUACUAAUGCCCCUCCACUUACAGCAUCAAUGAUACUAUGAUCAGUAGGCAUCAAUCCUUCAUAGAAAUAUUGAACGAGCAGCUGAUCGGGUAUUUGAUGAUGAGGGCAUUGAAAGCACAAUUGCUCAAAUCUUUCCCAAUACUCGGAGAGUGUCUCGCCAUGAUAUUGCCAAAUCCCACAUAUUUCUUUCCUUAUGUUGGCAACUCGAGAUGCUGGGAAAUACUUCUCAAGGAAGAUCUUCUUCAUGGCAUUCCAAGUUCCAAUAGAACCUAGGAGAAUAGAGAAAAGACAUGUCUUUGCUGCCCCUUUUAAAGAGAAAGGGAAAGAUUUCAACUUAACCAGUUCUUUGUCAACUCCAUUUGGUUUCAUGCCAAUGAAAACCAUAUGAAACUCCUUGAGAUGAGUAUGAGGAUUGAUUAGUACUUAAAAAUGUAUUUUUAUCAAGAUUUUAUAUCAUCAUUUUGCACUUGAAGUAUCAAUAACUCCUUAACUAGAGCAUGUUUUAUAAUAACAUGUCUAAUAAUAUAAGAUACCUUUAAUUUAUGGUAAAUGUUCAUCUUAAAUGUAGACCUAUCACAUAAAUCAAAUGAUUGAUUGAUGAGUUUAACUACUGAAAUUAAGAAGACAAAAAGAGGGUUAAGCUUAGGAAAGAGAUGCUGGUUCAGUCUAAACUGGAACACCAUUCGGUUAUUGGAUCAUAACUGGAGCUGUAGAACUUGGAUUUAAGUCUGGUUUAUAUGGAUGGAAAUCUAAGACAUAGGCCUAAAACUUUCAUGAAGAGUGCAAGAUUCAAAACGACUCUUUUCAAGUUCAAAUUGUAGCAACAAAAGAAAAGUCAGAAUAUGUUCUGCAGCCUAGACACUAUUUAGUGUUCAGCCCAUAUCUCGAGUUCUAGAAGUCCAAAUGCACUGAUUCGUUUUUAGUUGGAAAGCCGAGACAAUUUCCCAUAACUUUCAUGAAGUCUAUCUAUUCAAAUUCUAAUGUUAGCAAUGAUGUUUUCUACAGACAAGAAGAUAAGGAUUGUUACCAAGUCAAGAGGUGGCCACCCACUCAACAAUUAAUCAUCAAAUCAAUAGUUUCAAAUUUUGGCCUAUAAAAGGAGGCAUUUGCCAUGCAUUUAGGCAUCUUGAUUUUCAGAUCAAGUUCAUGUUCUUGCUCUCUCGCUUUAUAUUUUUGUAAUGCUUAAGUUUUGCUUUCAUUAAUCUCUUCUUUAUGCCUUUCAUUUUCUUUACUAUACUUAUAUAAUCAUGUUCUCCUCUUGUUUAUUUAUGUUUCUCUUAUUCAUAAUGUUCAUCUAAGUUUAUUAUGUCAAGGUCAAAAGGUUACAUUAAUGGUGUAAGAAUAAGUAUAAUAUAUACUUAGAAAAUAUGGUAGACUUUCUAGGAAAUCCUUAUCAUUUUCAGAAAAUAUGGUCGAAGAAGAUAAUCAGUCGCUUCAUAAUGAGAAUAACCGUGUUAGAACACUUAGAAACCACAUGAAUCCCACAAGAAUAAGUGCACCCUCAUGUAUAGUUUUCCCUCCUGAUGCAUCUCACUUCAAUUUUAAGCCAGACAUUAUUCAACUUUUACUUUCUUUUCAUGGCUUAGAUCUAGAAAAUCCAUACUUGCAUUUAAGGGAAUUUGAGGAGGUUUGUAACACCUAUAAUGACUUAAAUUCUAGCAUGAACACCUUCAGAUUAAAGCUUUUUCCUUUUUCAUUAAAAGAUAAAGCUAAAAUGUAACAUCCCCAUAUCCGGGAUAAAGCAACGAUCUUAUGUUAAUUGAUAAACAAAGUGACUAAUUUUAUAUAUAUGUCUAUUCAUGGUAUUUGUAUUAAGAUCUACCAAAAUUUCGAUGGAGUCUCCCCUAUACUGGGAGGUCCCAAGUUAUCGACAUACGACCUAUUUACACUUUUAAUAUACCACAUCUCCUAACUCAAUUUAACCCAAUCAUCCUGUGUCUCAAUCCCACAAACAUCAUCAUUCAUAUCAACCACAAUGUUUAUGAUAUACAUUGUACAACAAUUAUCAUUAUGGAUGGAUAAAGAUAUAAACAUGCAUACAUGGAAUAUAGUUAUACAAACUACAAAAUUAAAUUCAUCUAUUCAAGUUUAAACAUCAAUUAUACAAACUGAGUUAAAUAAAAGUUGUAAUAUUACCAAAUAUAAGGGUACACUCCCUAGAAUCUAAAUUACAAAAAGUGAACCUAAGCUAGAAUCUACUCCUGUCGUGUAUGCGAUGAUCCUGAAAACAAAAUACAUAAUAUUGAAAUAUGAAUAUCAUAAUAAUAUAGCAAUAAAAAUAUCCAGCAAUUUAAAAAGGCAAACAUGCAUUCAUAUUUUAUUCACUUCUCCCUUUUGGUUUUCAUUGGGGACUUUUUCUCCUUCAACUACUAAAACCCACUUGCUCUUCCAUUAUCAACCUCCAUUCAAGAUCUCAUAAAACCACCCAUGAUUAUUUUUGCUUAACACAUUACUGAUACCAAUUUCACUGUUAUCAUCAUCACCUUGUAGGAGUCGAUGCAAGGUGAUCCCCUUACCCGGGAUCCUAACAUACACUAAAUGUAUGCUAGUCAAUACAUGGUGAUCCCCUUACCCGGGAUCCUAACAUACACUAUAUGCAUGCUAGUCAAUACAUCUUGAUCCCCUUACUCGAGAUCCUAACAUACACUAAAUGUAUGCUAGCCAAUACAUGAUUGAUCCCCUUAUUCGGGAUCCUAACAUACACUAAAUGUAUACUAGUCAAUAUAUCUUGAUCCCCUUACCCGAGAUCUUAACAUACACUAAAUGUAUGUUAGUCCAAACAUGGCGAUCCCCUUACCCGGGGUCCCAACAUACACUAAAUGUAUGCUAGUUCACACCCCAAAUCACACUUCUCAUAUUUCCUUGUCAACGAUAAUUUUAUCACUUGGCAAUUCACACAACAACCGUUCACCUUGAAUACACAUACAUUCAGAAUACUAUCCAAAAUAUCGGCAUCAUUACGCAAACUCUUCCUCCUUUCUUCUAAUAUCCAUCGUUCGGUAAUUCACAUCUCACAUUAAUAACAUAUUAAGUUAUAGAAUUUAACUAGAAAGUAUAGGUGCGGAUCACCUACCUGCAAUAAAAGCUCUACUCGUGCCCCCUGCUGCUGUUGUUGCACCACGCCUUUGGUCUCUCUUGCAAAUCACAGGUUUAUCUCAUAAAUUUUCCUCACUCAAGGAAAUGCUUUAUAAUAACCAUAUCAACAACCAAUAAGUCUUUCUUUCAGUCAUUUCUUAAUAUUUUACGUUUUUCUCAUUUCACCCAUUAAUAUUGUUGUUCUUUGUUCAAUCCCAGUUAUCAUUCCUCAAGAAACACUUGGACUGUUACUGUCCAACUGUUACUGUCUUGUUUUUGAACUGUUACUGUCUGACCUCUCCUUAGAUUUUUAAUUAUAUCUGGAGUUAUACAACUUUGAUUCAAGCGAGAUUAGUCUCGUUGGAAAGCUAAGACAUAAGGCUACAAGUUAUAUGAUUAAGAAGAACCCAGUUCUGCCUCUAAGAUAGUCAAAAUUGCUCAUCAACAAACACUUGGACUGUUACAGUCCAACUGUUACUGUCUCGUUUUUGAACUGUUACUGUCUGACAUCUCCUCAGAUUUUUAACUAUAUCUAGAGUUAUAGAACUCUGAUUCAAGCGAGAUUAGUCUCGUUGGAAAGCUAAGACAUGAAGCUACAAGUUAUAUGAAUUAAGAAGAACCUAGUUCUAAUUCCCUCAUCCUCCAAUCCAAAAUCUUACUGAAAGUAAGGAGACGAGUCUGUACAGAUUCGUCAACCCCUCCCCUUCACACAUAACUUUCACAAACUACAUUUUCUGGGUAAAUUAUCAUGGUUUCACGUCCCCAAUCACAUACCACACAUAAAUUAACUUAAUUUUAACAACAAAUACUUUUCCCCCAAUUUAAGUCUAAGAACCCUAAUCUAUAAUUCACAUCAAGGCAUGAAUUCAUUAUCGAAUUUGAAAUGACUUAUAAGAUCAUGUUUAGAACACCUUACUCGGUACGAAUUAAGGUUUUGAUCUUCAACCAGCUGAAGAUUUUUUCAACUCCCUCCUUUCUUAUCUAAUGAUAGCCAGCCCUCCAUCUUCUCUUCUUGUUCAAUUUCCUUGUCAAUCCCUUGCCCACAAGUGUUUAUUCCAUCUAUAAACCCUUAACCUUGGAUGGUUUUCUUGAAAUUUUGGUGUUUCUCUCUUGAUUUUGCAAGAAUGAAUACAAAAACUCUCUCUUUUCUUUCCUUAUGAUUUCUGCAAAUUUGGAUGAGAAUAGGAGUAUUUAUGCCCUAUAAUUUUUCUUAUUUGCAUUUAGGCCCCUACAUCUUUCUUUUUUCUUCUUCUUAUAAUUAAGUUAUACCUCUUUUCAUUUCUUAUAAUUUCACCCCACAACUUUUAGUUUAGUUUAUUUUUUAUAAUUUAAUCCAACCCUCAACAUUUUCGGGUUGAUUUAUAAUGUCUCGAAAUAUUUCGUCCAGAAACUUAUAUCCAAAAAUUUCUGAAUUCCCGUUUUUAUUUAACCAUAUUCAUGAAUUUCUUCACUUUUAUUUCUCAUGUAGUUAGUUUGCAAUCGAAGCAACCUUUAUUUUUCCCCGGGGUUUACAUAAAACAUGGCUAUAAAAUCUGAGGUCAUGAUCCAUUCGUGAUUGGGAUGAAAUGUAACAACAAUUUUUAAAGAAGUUUUUCACUUCUCACAGAACAAACUCUUUCAAAAGACAAAUCACCACAUUCACUCAAAAGCCAAGACAAACAUUUUACUAGUGUUGGGAUAGGUAUAAAGACUUGCUUAAUACAUGUCCUCAUCAUGGUUUUGAAACAUGGAGAUUGAUCUCACACUUUUAUGAAGGGUUAACACCUAAAGAUAGGCAAAUGGUGGAAUUGAUGUGCAAUAGAACGUUUGAAGAUAAAGACCUUGAUGAAGUAAUGGAGUACCUAUACUUGUUAGCUGAAAAUGCUCAAAAUUAGGACACUACAAGCACUUAUGAGGCACGAGGUAAAACUCAACCUUAUACAUCUAUUGGAGGAAUGUACAACCUUAGGGAAGAUCAUGACCUCCAAGCCAAGUUUGCAUCUUUAGCUAGAAAAGUCAAGGCACUUGAAUUUAAAAAGAGUGGUCAAUUAAAAUCUGUUCAAGACAUUGUGUGUCAAAUCUAUGAAACAAAUGAACAUGAAACCAAUGAUUGUCCAACUUUGCCUUCUUUCAAGGAAUGUCUCCAUGAACAAGCCAAUGCUUUAAACAAUAUCCAAAGGCCAAAUCAGAAUCCAUACUCAUAAACAUAUAACCCUGGUUGGAGAAAUCACUCAAAUUUUAGUUGGAAAAGUGGUAACAAUAAUGCACAAACUUCACAGCCACCAUUUCAAGCACACCAUAAUUUCCAAAAUUCUCAUGGAUAUGCACCUCCUUAUGUUCCCCCUCCUAGAAGAAAUCUUAAGGAAACAUUGCAUGCAUUCAUUGAAAAGCAAGAGACAAUCAACACUCAACUUGCUCAAAGCAUGACAGAUUUUAAAGAUACUCUUGCAAAAUUCACAUCUGCUCUUAGUUUUUAGGAGAAAGGUAAGUUUUCAUCUCAACAACAAUAAAAUCCCAAAGGGCAAUACAAUUCAAGUGCAAGCAGCUCCGGAAGCCAACACAUGGAUCAAGUCUAAUCAGUCAUUACUCUUCACAGUGGUAAGGUUAUUGAAAAACCCAUUCUUGAACCUUGUAAGAAAGAUGAUGAGUCAAUCUUUGAGGGUAAGGAAGGGGUUAAACCUGAACAUUGCAAAGAAAAGACUGAUUCCCCACCAGCACUUCCAUUCCCUCAUGCCAUAACCAAACAAAGAAAAGUCAAUCACAAUUCUGAAAUCUUUGAAACUUUCAAACAGGUAAGGAUCAAUAUACCUUUGUUGGAUGCUAUUAAACAUGUUCCUUCAUAUGAUAAAUUUUUUAAAGACUUGUGCACCGUGAAGAGAAAACUGAAUGUGAAAAAGAAAGCCUUUUUAGCCAAACAAGUAAGUGUCAUUCUUCAAAACAAUAAUGCUUUGAAAUAUAAAGACCCUGGUUGUCCUACAAUUUCUUGCUUUAUUGGAGAACAUAAAAUUGACAGAGCUUUACUUGAUCUUAGAGCUAGUGUGAUUUUACUUCCAUUUCCUCAUGCUAUGACCAAACAAAGGGAAGUCAAUCGCGAUUCUGAAAUCUUUGAAACUUUCAAACAAGAAGAAAUUGAGGACGAAAAAGGCACCAAAAAUGUUGUCGCAGAUCAUUUGUCAAAAUUGACAAUAGAUUUGACAUCUGACAUCACACCAAUUGAUGAUUACUUUCUUGAUGAAUCUUCACUUUCUAUUGCUUCAAUACCUUAGUCUGCUAAUAUUGACAAUUUCUUGCUUCAGGAUUUUUGCCAGCUCAUUUGGAUACCCAAGACAAAAGAAAGUUUUUAAGCGAUGUUCAGAAGUUUUAUUGGGAUGACCCUUACUUAUUCAAAUAUUGUCCUAAUCAAAUAUAUCAAAGAUGCAUUCUUGAUAAUGAGGUAAGUAGUGUCAUUAAAUUUUGUCAUUCCGAGACAUGUGGGGGUCAUUUCUUGUCAACAAAGAUGAUUGCAAAAAUCUUACAAUGUGGAUUUUAUUGGCCCACCAUGUUCAAGGACACACAUGCGUUCUGCAAAACCUGUGAAAAUUGUCAAAAGUUAGGAUUUAUUUUAAAAAAUAAAGAGUCUUUAGAUAAUCUUCUAUUGACUCUUGGGACGUACCUUAAUGGAGAUGUGCAUCGUUUAAUUCAUGAUUUAUGGCCUCAUUUGCAUAAAGAACAUGCUCGACAUAGUCUUGGGAAUCUGACUAAAAAAGACCUUGUUUGCCAGUUUUUAAGAAAACUGGAUGGGAAGCUUAUCCCCAACCCAUAGAGGGUGUUUAAGCCGUUCUUGGACGUAAAACCAAGGGAAGAUGUGAGCCAUAAUCACAAUUACAAUUUAAGCCUUAGUGUGUAAGAACUUGUAUCUUUUGGUUUUAUUAAUAGCAUAAUAUUUGUGUUUUGUUGUUUCUUAUAUAUGUUUAAGUGUGUUUCAGGUUUGUCAGUAGUCGUUGUUUCAGGUGAUGUCUUUUAUACUCUAUCUUUCUACCUUAGAACAUUGAGGACAAUGUUUCAUUUUGGUUAGAGGGAGAGGGUCGUAGUUGACAAAAAAACACUAACUUACUAACAAUUUUUUUUUUUUUGCUAUUAUUGGAACCAUUUGAUAAAACUGUUGUUACUAGGAUGGUAGAGUAAGAGAGAAUUUUAUUGACUCUUGAAACGCAUCUUAGUAAACAUUUUCCAAUGGUUAUUUGCAAUAUUCAUAACAAGGUUUUAUCACACACUUCUCAUGAAAUAUUCAGAUUUACAAACUCUCGCAUUGUUAUCACUUGAUUCUGCUCAUAUACUCAUUUAACAAGUAUUCUUAAACCUUCAUUUUCACACACACUUUAACACAUGAUUGUGGGUUGCACAUUGGAUUAUUACAUUAAUUAUGUUCUUUUGUUAAAGGUAACAACUAAGGGAAAUGGAUAAGAUAUAAUUCGUAAAAAAAAUAUAUAUAUAUAAUAUUGAUGAUAAUAAAAACAUAGAUAAGUUUGGUUUCGUAGCCUCCCUAACCUAAGCAAUUAAGGCCGAAGGGGUGUUUUAACACCUAAUACCCUAAAGUCAACUGACUUGAAAGCUAUUGGCCCAGUGCUUGUUACAUGGGUUGAGGAGAAAAGCUUAAGGGAAUCAAACAUUGCACUAUCUACGUAUCAGUAUCUGCAACCCGAGUUACUAAGCUCGUAGGGGUGUCUCAACACCUAAUGCCCUAAGACCAACUGGUCUGAGAGUCAUUAGCCGAAAGCUCGUGACAUGGGUUAAAGAUGCAUUGUGUUUUAAGUUAUAUAUAUAUAUAUAUAUAUAUAUAUAUAAUAUAUAUAUAUAUAUAUAUAUAUAUAAAAGAAAAAAAAAGAUAAUAAUCCCAACCCAAGGAAGUUAACCAAAGCCCCAUAACUAUGUGUUGAUAUGUUGAGCACAAAAGGAAAGUUUAUUUGUAAACACCCAAAGGAAAAUAUAUAUAUAUAUUUAGAGAGAGAGAGAUGAUGAUAAAUGCAGUUUUCGCUGCCGAUGCAGAAAUCGGCAGCGACGCAGUUUUCGCUGCCGAUGCAGAAAUCGGCAGCGACGCAGUUUUUGCUGCCGAUGCAGAAAUCGGCAGCGAUGCAGUAUUCGCUGCCGAUUCUGGACUGGGCAGCGAUGCAGUUUUCGCUGCCGAUUCUGGACUUGGCAGCGACGCAGUUUUCGCUGCCGAUGCAGAAAUCGGCAGCGAUGCAGUUUUCGCUGCCGAUUCUGGACUGGGCAGCGAUGCAGUUUUCGCUGCCGAUUCUGGACUUGGCAGCGACGCAGUUUUCGCUGCCGAUGCAGAAAUCGGCAGCGAUGCAGUUUUCGCUGCCGAUUCUGGACUGGGCAGCGAUGCAGUUUUCGCUGCCGAUGCAGAAAUCGGCAGCGAUGCAGUAUUCGCUGCCGAUUCUGGACUGGGCAGCGAUGCAGUUUUCGCUGCCGAUUCUGGACUUGGCAUCGACGCAGUUUUAUCUGCCGAUGCAGAAAUCGGCAGCGAUGCAGUUUUCGCUGCCGAUUCUGGACUGGGCAGCGAUGCAGUUUUCGCUGCCGAUGCAGAAAUCGGCAGCGAUGCAGUAUUCGCUGCCGAUUCUGGACUGGGCAGCGAUGCAGUUUUCGCUGCCGAUUCUGGACUUGGCAUCGACGCAGUUUUAUCUGCCGAUGCAGAAAUCGGCAGCGAUGCAGUUUUCGCUGCCGAUUCUGGACUGGGCAGCGAUGCAGUUUUCGCUGCUGAUUCUGGACUUGGCAGCGACGCAGUUUUCGCUGCCGAUGCAGAAAUCAGCAGCGAUGCAGUUUUUGCUGCCGAUUCUGGACUUGGCAGCGACGCAGCCUUCACUACCGAUACAGAAAUCGGUAGCGACACAGUUUUCGCUGCCCAUUUCUUGAUCGGCAGCCACGCAGUUUUUGCUGCCGAUGCAGAAAUCGGCAGCGACGCAGUUUUCGCUGCCGAUGCAGAAAUCGGCAGCGAUGCAGUUUUCGCUGCCGAUUUCUCAAUGAACAGUGACGCAGAGCUGGGAGGGAGGGGUAAAACUGAUUUUAGAUAAACCAAACAAGGAUAAGGACACACCUAAACCAACCCCCAAACAACCCAUUUCAUUGGAUGGGUAGUAUAAAUACAAAGAGGGGAGAGAGAAUGACCCAUCUUCUUCCAAAUCCAGCAGCUGCAUGCCGUUCUUCCCUUCCCCUUUCACAACAGAAACGUGAAUCAGACCAGUAGAGAUUACUUUGUGAACUUGUGAGGGAGAGAUGAGACCUUGAGAGAGGAGUGGGCAGCUGCAUAGAGGAGAGGAAAAAGAGAGCUGGAAAACGUGAGAGGAAGAAGAAGGAGGAGAACCAACAGCUGAAUAGUGUCAAACCUUCCUCAAACUUAGUUAAAUUCAGAAGGUAUGGGUCAUGAAACUCUCUUCCUCUCCCCCGUAAGAUCAAAAAACGAAAAUGAAGAAGAAAAACCCUAAGAAAAGAAUUGAUCUAAGACCUAAGCCAGCUGUGAAGGAAGCUGAAAUUAACCAAGAGAACAAGCAAACAAAAGUGAAAUAAAGUCAAUUUCAGAACAUCUAACAAAUCAUGGUAGAGGGCUGGCUUUAACUAGGGGGUAAUUAAUGUGUUCUGCUGUGAUGUUGUUGCUGGACUUAAUGUGUUCUGCUGUGAUGAUUGUUGCUGGAAUUAAUGUGUUCUGCUGUGAUGUUUGUUGCUGGAAUUAAUGUGUUCUCCUGUGAUGAUUGUGCUGCAAUUGAUGCUGCCGAUUUGUGUGUUGCGCAGCGAAAUUCUGUUUCGCUGCCGCAACUGAACCUGCUGCAGCGAUUUGAUAUUCGCUGCCGAUUUGUGUGUUGCGCAGCGAAAUUCUGUUUCGCUGACGCAACUGAACCUGCUGCAGCGAUUUGAUAUUCGCUGCCGAUUUGUGUGUUGCGCAGCGAAAUUCUGUUUCGCUGCCGCAACUGAACCUGCUGCAGCGAUUUGAUAUUCGCUGCCGAUUUGUGUGUUGCGCAGCGAAAUUCUGUUUCGCUGCCGCAACUGAACCUGCUGCAGCGAAUUAAUAUUCGCUGCCGAUUUGUGUGUUGCGCAGCGAAAUUCUGUUUCGCUGACGCAACUGAACCUCCUGCAGCGAUUUGAUAUUCGCUGCCGAUUUGUGUGUUGCGCAGCGAAAUUCUGUUUCGCUGCCGCAACUGAACCUGCUGCAGCGAUUUGAUAUUCGCUGCCGAUUUGUGUGUUGCGCAGCGAAAUUCUGUUUCGCUGACGCAACUGAACCUGCUGCAGCGAUUUGAUAUUCGCUGCCGAUUUGUGUGUUGCGCAGCGAAAUUCUGUUUCGCUGACGCAACUGAACCUGCUGCAGCGAUUUGAUAUUCGCUGCCGAUUUGUGUGUUGCGCAGCGAAAUUCUGUUUCGCUGACGCAACUGAACCUCCUGCAGCGAUUUGAUAUUCGCUGCCGAUUUGUGUGUUGCGCAGCGAAAUUCUGUUUCGCUGCCGCAGCUGAACCUGCUGCAGCGAUUUGAUAUUCGCUGCCGAUUUGUGUGUUGCGCAGCGAAAUUCUGUUUCGCUGCCGCAGCUGAACCUCCUGCAGCGAAGUGAUAUUCGCUGCCGAGUUGUGCGUUGUGCAGCGAAACUGUGGCGCCAACAGCGGUGCAGUUCUCGCUGCCGAACUGGCAGCCUGCGGCGAACCAGUUCUCGCUGCCGAAGUGGGCAGCCCGCAGCGAACCAGUUCUCGCUGCCGAUUCCUACAAUAAGCCUCCUAGGCAGGAAUGACUUAAAUGCUAAUAACAAUUUCAUGAUAUGAUGGUGUAAAAUAGGGAACACUUGAAUGUGAACAUAUGAACUAUUGAAAUAAGUGUGAUGAUGAAUGUGAUUCAAAAAUAAAAUAAAUACAACUGUGCUGAUUUGUGACCAUUGAUGUCUUAGGUGGUGCGGUCGGGAUUGGACCAUCAUCAAGACAGGAACGACCCACAGGUGGAGCAGGUAGGUGACUUGCACCUUUCUUUUUCAUACGUUGAAUCUUGGAAUAUUUUAACUUGAGUACUACCAUAUUGUUAGAACCAAUAUUAAAUUGUCGAACGCUUAAUUGUUGAUAAAAGAGUGAUUAGCUUCGGCUAAUGGCAUCCGAAUGGAUGGCCGGGACAAAAGACUGAUUAGCUUCGGCUAAUGGCAUCCAAACGGAUGGCCGGGACAAAGAAUGAUUAGCUUUGGCUAAUGGCGUCCGAAUGGAUGGCCGGGAUGAAGGACUGAUUAGCUUCGGCUAAUGGCAUCCAAACGGAUGGUCGGGACAAAGAGUGAUUAGCUUCGGCUAAUGGCAUCCGAAUGGAUGGCCGGGACAAAGAAUGAUUAGCUUUGGCUAAUGGCGUCCGAAGGGAUGGCCGGGUUAAAAAGGGAUGAUUUCGCUGCCGAUUGUGGAUCGGCAGCGACGCAGUUCCGCUGCCGAUUCUGGAUCGGCAGCGACACAGUAUUCGCUGCCGAUUCUGGAUCGGCAGCGACACAGUCUUCGCUGCCGAUACAGACAUCGGCAGCGACCCAGUUUCGCUGCCGAUUCCUUGAUCGGCAGCGAUGUAGUUUCGGCUGCCGAUUUUAGGAUUGGCAGCGACGCAGCUAUCGCUAUGGAAUCCGGAUGGAUAGCCGGGACAAAUAAACGACUAGUUUCGGCGAAUGGCAUUUGAAAACUUGUGUAUCUAUAUGUACUACUAAUUGUUACAUCAAAUACAUGAAGAAAUUAUAAAUGUUAAUGCUUAUUUAAUUGCUAGGCCGCUAGUUACCAUUAUUAUUAUUAUUAAGUAUUUGUUUUCUCUUAAAUGUUUUGUACUGCUGCAGGGACGUCACACCAACGAGAUGUCUAGGAUACCCGAUACACGGGAACCUACUUUUGCAAGGAAUUAAGUAGAUGCAUUCUAAAUCACAAUGUAUUUUGUAGGGAUCAAUGUACUGAAUGUAUAACUUUUAUUAGAUCCUUUUUGUUUAAAAAUUGUGAUGGCUAUUAGAAGUAUAAGAGUGCAAACUCAUGUCCAUGUAUAUAUAUUUUUAAUAUGAACUCCAAAUCAUGCAACCUUAAUAUUAUGUGUUUGUGUAAGAUUCGCUUUUGAAUGAACUGUUGAUUGUAUGGAUUGUAUUUUGAUGAUGUGAGGAUUCAAGUUCUUUGAUUACCGGCACCAUGUGUAUUAAAUAUAUAUAUAUAUAUAAAAAAUUUACUAUUGUUUUGGGCUUAGAAAGCCGGGUUGUUACAUUAUUAAUAUCUUGUUUAAGAAGUAUGAAGCAGAUAUAUAAAUUUAAUGAGAGUUUGUUUAUUUGGAUAGAUUAAUAGAAGUUGAAUGAUGAAUGCCUUGCUUUGUGGAACUUGCAAAUUGUUUUUCUAUUUUAAUGCUUUGAUUACUAGGGACUAGUAAUAAGCUGGUUGAGGGGUGUGAUUAGUACUUAAAAGUGCAUUUUUAUCAAGGUUUUAUAUCAUCAUUUUGCACUUGAAGUAUCAAUAACUCCUUCACUAAUGCAUGUUUUAUAAUAACAUGUCUAAUAAUAUAAGAUACCUUUAAUUUAUGGUAAAUGUUUAUCUUAAAUGUAGACCUAUCACAUAAAUCAAAUGAUUGAUUGAUGAGUUUAACUACUGAAAUUAAGAAGACAAAGAGAGGGCUAGGCUUAGGAAAGAGAUGCUGGUUCAAUCCAAACUGGAACACCAUUCGGUUAUUGGAUCAUAACUGGAGCUGUAGAACUUGGAUUUAGGUCUGGUUUAUAUGGAUGGAAAUUUAAGACAUAGACCUAAAACUUUCAUGAAGAGUGCAAGAUUCAAAACGACUGUUUUCAAGUUCAAAUUGUAGCAACAAAAGAGAAAUCAGAAUAUGUUCUGCAGCCCAGACACUAUUUAGUGUUUAGCCCAUAUCUCGAGUUCUAGAAGUCCAAAUGCACCGAUUUGUUUUUAGUUAGAAAGCUAAGACAAUUUCCCAGAACUUUCAUGAAGACUAUCUAUUCAAAUUCUAAUGUUAGCAAUGAUGUUUUCUACAGACAAGAAGAUAAGGAUUGUUACCAAGUCAAGAGGUGGCCACCCACUCAACAAUUAAUCAUCAAAUCAAUAGUUUCAAAUUUUGGCCUAUAAAAGGAGGCAUUUGCCAUGUGUUUAGGCAUCUUGAGUUUCAGAUCAAGAUCAUGUUCUUGCUCUCUCUCUUUAUAUUUUUUGUAAUGCUUAAGUUUUGCUUUCAUUAAUCUCUUGUUUAUGCCUUUCAUUUCCUUUAUUAUACUUAUAUAAUCAUGUUCUCCUCUUGUUUAUCUAUGUUUCUCUUAUUCAUAAUGUUCAGCUAAGUUUAUUAUGUCAAUGUGAAAAAGUUACACUAAUGGUUUAAGAAUAAGUAUAAUAUAAACUCAACAUGGACUUUAAUGUUUGAUACUAACAUGUUUUGUAUUUAUUAUCUUACUCACUCUUAAUACCUUGCUUGUUAAAUGGUUAAUCUAGAUUUGGGUUGAACAACCCUUGGUACAACAAAUACUUGGCACUUUCAUAGCCCAACUGUAUGGUAUAACCGACACCUGUGCUAUGAAAGGAACUUGAUUUGUUGUUAAUAUAAGUUAUCACUAUGAAUACCUGACAACAUUUACAAGUAUUGUCAUUACUCAAAUAAGAUAAUUAAUAUAAUCAUGUUAAUAAAUUAUAAUCCGAUUGGAACCUCCUUUGUGUGUGGUUUCCAGUUGAGUAAAAAAAAGAGUUUAUACUAUACUCGUUUGAAAUACCAUUAGUGGAUCCUCUAACCUUGAUAAUUGUUUUAUAUUUGUUUAAAUCUUUACAUCAAUAUCACAUCUCAAAGCUCUCUUCAACUCCUUUUCUGUUAUUAUCUAUUUCUUUAUUUGUAGUUAUACAGUUAACCUCUCUAUGGUUCGACCCCGGUCUUGCCGAGUUAUUUAUUACUUCGACACUCCUACACUUGGGAGAAGACAUCAACUCUUUGAUCGUGUCAAGGAUCUUCUCCUGCAAGACCAUUGAAUGUUGGUAGCAAAUGUAUAAAACCAAAUUUGAGCUCGAAGUUUACAUUAUUGUCGAUGUUUAUGCAUAAUGGUUGAUUUUUCACGUUAGGAGCAACAAGCUCCUUUAGUGUUUGUUGUCGUGCGACAGCCAUGGUGUUGACACAAGCUUCCUUUCGUAACCUACAUAAAGUGUUUUCUAUUUCGAGAUCCACCUAUACUUGACUCUGGUUAGUAGAACGGGUUACAGACAUAAAUUGUCAAGAAAACUCAAAAGAAACCAACCACAUAAGAGAUAAAAAACAAUGCAAAUUGUACGAAAUCCAACACUAGAAAACUAAAACUGCCUAAAAACCCUAAAAAAUAGUGGAAUUUGGCCUCGAUAGGGUUGGGCUAAAGGCCAUGGGCCACUAGUCUUGUUCAUAAUGUUGUUUCCCUUUAGGAAACAAAAGGCUGAUACCUAAUUCCACAAAAAAAAUCUAUUUUGAACAGUACCGUUGUCGUAAAUGAAUAGUACCACCGCAAGCAAAAUUUUGUUUCUUUUUUUUUCAGAAAUAUAAACAACAAUCACAUCAAAUAAAAAUAAUAGCAUAAGAAUCAACUAAAAUUACUUUCCCGACAACGACGCCAAAAUUUGGUGUGAUGUCGCAGUCGCAAAAAUUAAUUACCCUGGCUUAAAACACAACACACAAUAUAGUAUAGAGCAAGCAAGGGGUCGAUCCCAUGAGGAAGGUUCAAGUCAGAUUUUAAUGUUGUAUGAUAUGCAAUUAGAGGGGUUGUGAAGUUAUCUAUGCUAAAGCAAAAGAAAACAGAAAACUAUCAAGCGAAAUUAAAUAAAAUCAUAAUAUAAUCAAGAUAACAAAUAUUGGUCACAAGUAAACAUCGACCUACAUAAAUAAGAAAACUGAUCAUGGAAACGAAACAUCAAUUUAUAUUCUAAAUAUUUAUCUCUUCUUAACAUUGGUUAGUUAACGAAUCUGUCGUAUAACUAACCCUAGCCAUCAAACAACCACAGUGUCCGCACUAGUAAUUUAAUUCAAUGGCAGCCUUAAGAACUAGAUAAGUUGAUUAAUCAAGAAAACAUAAAUGUCUGCAGUCUCUGUUUGAUUUGAUUGAAUGUUCUUCCUAAAAUAAUAAUGUAGAUCCACCACAAUUAUUAAACUCAGUUGCUUCACAAGUUCAUAUACCACAACUCCGGUUUUGAUAUCAAACUUAACAAUAGAUUGUCUACAAUAAUAACUUAGAGUCCGCUCUAGCAAUUAAAAUAAACAAUCAUAGAAAAAAUAAGCAUAGGAGAACAAACAUAUUCAUCAUAUAAACUGAAAAGAAAAGGUAAAAUAAAUCUCACAGUUCUUGAAAUCCGAAGGUUUUCGUGUCCUUGCAACUAAGAAAAAGAGUUUAGCCUUGCAUGUUUGUUGAACAACUAAUAAUAAAAAAGGAGGAAUGCACAAUUUUUGGUUUCUUAGAGAAAGGGGGUGUUUUUCUCUUCUUGGCUAGUUGCCUCCCUUCACUUCCCUCAUUCUUUUUAUAUCAUAGGAAACCCUAGUCUCUAUUUUACAAAAUAGUCCUUUCUUAAGUAGACAAUUUACAUUUAAAUACUUCAAUAACUAUUUUCCUAAAAAAGAGAAAUAGCAUUACAUGAAAUCUUCAAGCUUUGACUUAGAGGAGCUAAAUUGCUUAAAUAAAAACUUGGAUGUCAGUUUAGAUGCCUCUAAACAUAAUUUGGACUCGUUUCUUCACGAAACCUGUUUGCUGGCAGAAUUCAGAUAUUUUUGGCUGAAAUAAUAUCUCCCUCAUAUGACAUUAUUUUUUGCUGAAAUUUGGAGUGUUGAUAUGUAUUUGAGUCUGGAAUCCAAAAACAUUGAGUUUGCAUCAAUUGGACUUCUGUAGCUCAAGAUAUUCAAGUUGGAAUGAUCGAAGGUUAAUUUUGGCAGAUUGCAAGAUUUGACUUUGAAGGUUGCAAUUUCCAUGCUCUUCCUUAUUUUAUUUUCUUUCCUUAGAUUUCCAGAAAGGUAUGGAUGUUAUCUUUUUAAUGCCACUGGAAUCACUUCAUUUUGACCUCUAGAACUCACGCUCUAUAUAAAACAUCUACUGAAGGUCAAAUCUGCCAAUUACCUCCAAUUUACUCUCUUUUGCAUCUUUCAUCCAAAAGUGCCUCCAAAACAUAAAACAAAGAAUAUCAAGUCAUUAUAUAUAAAAAAAUAGGCAAAACACUAGGUAAUUGUGGGUGAAACUAUCCAAUAAUAUGGUUACAUCACUAUCCUCUUCCACCAACCUGUCUAGAUCCUUCUGGGUGAAACUCCCACUUCUCCUCUGGAACUGUCCUGAUGACUGCCCACUCUCCCCUUUCUUUGGGAGAGGAGGUCUUCUAGUCAAAAACCCAAAAUCUCUCCUCUUAGCUCCAGUUACUUGACUAUGCUCGACCACUGGCUUCGGAGCAUCCCUUAUUACCCUCUCCAUACCCUGAGCAACCCGUACCAAUUUCGGAACAAAUGGAAACUAGAUGGCUAUCAAUAUCAUCCUCAACUCCUACCUCAGUUGAUCACGGAACCUCUCCACCCUGUAGCGCUCUAUGGGAAGGUAAGUGGAGGCAAAAGCUGCUAAGUCCUAGAAUAUCCUUUUAUACUCCAAAACUGUCAAAUCUCCCUACCUCAAAUCCAAAAACUCUUGUUCUUUCUCCCUCCUAUGUUCCCAAGAAUAGUACCUCUCCUUAAACUUUUCGCAAAAGUCCCUCCAUCUCAAUACCUCCCCCAAUCUCCUCUCUUUAAUGGUCUCUCACCAAGAGUGGGUACUUUCAAUCAAUAGCUGAGUCACGCAUUUAGGAUUUCCUCAAGAAGAUCCCACAGAGAUUUAUAUUGAUAAUCGAUCAGCGAUUGCAUUAGCAAAGAACCCAGUGUAUCAUGAAAGAAGUAAACACAUUGAUACACGUCAUCACUUUAUCCGCGAACAUUUGAAGAACAAAGAAGUUGAACUGAUAUCAUGCAAGACAAAUGAUCAAAUUGCAGAUAUCUUUACAAAGCCAUUGAAGGGAAAAAUAUUUAUCAGAUUGAAGUUCAUGCUUGGCAUGACGUCCCUCGAUUGAGUUUAAAGGGGGAAUUUGUUGAAGUAAACUCAAUCUAAAAGGUCAAGGAAGGCAACCACCACUUGCAACCACCAGCUGUCACCGCCCAACCACCACUUGCAACAACUAGCCACCAGCUGUAUGCCGCCAACCGCCAGCCGCCUUCACACUUGAAGUUUGAUUUUUCUUACUUUCAAUUUGUGUAUAAAUAGGCAGCUAAGUUAAUGUUAUUAUGUGUGGAGAGAUUAGAGAGAAACACUAGAGAGAAAGAGAGGGUGUAUUGAGCUCUUGUUUAGUUAUUGUAAGCUUCUUAUUGUUGAAAUAAAAUAGUGUGUUUUAUCCCCUCUGAGUGUUUCAAAGCCACCACCAGUGGUUUCUCCCACUAAUAGUUGGAAGAGAAAAUGGUUGAUUGUGAGAAAUCACAGUUCCAAGGAUUUUUAUCAGAAGUUUGAUAGAAGAGAGAUUCAUGGCAUAUGCAGCAUGAGAUGAUAUUGUGUUCUGUUCAAAGCAAGCCCCGCCUGGUUGGAUCGGACCACGGUCAAUCCCUCAUCCACAAACAAAAUCCAGAUUAGCCUGCAACUGUGCAUCUGAUACACCAGACUUGGGCACACACCAUGUUGCUUUGUUUGUUCGGGUUUGGAGAUGGUGUUGCUGGAGUUUUUGGUUUAGUCGGAGUCUUAAAAGCAUAAUAGAUCAAGUUAAUAAAACUUUAUAAACUACUGUUACGAUGGAGAUGAACCGAAAGAAACAGUGGCACACCGUAAAAGUGUAAAUCGAGCACUUAACUUUUCUUUUCUUUUUCUUUUUGGCUAAAUUGUUUUUUUUUAAUAAAAAAAUUAAUAAUAAUACUCAACCAGCAAAUAUCUCCUGAACUGAUUUUUCAAUUAUUUUUCAAUUUACUCCUAAACAAUAGAUUCGACAGAGAAACUUAUAAAAUAAAGAGAAAAACCUUAACUCAUCUUCAUCAUCUCUUUACAACUUCUUAUUCUAAGUUUGCAAGUCAUAAAAGAAAAGGCAAAUCAAAGAAAGUCCCAUAAACCCAUACAACAAAUCUAAAUUGAAAAUCCUAAUUAAAUAAACUUUGUUGCUGCCGCUGCUGAUGUUGAUGGUGCUCGUGCAAUUACACGUACAAUUGCAGGUGCUCAUGCUGCUGUUAUUAUUGAUGGUGCUGGUGGCUGCUGCUAGUAGUGGUUGUGAUGCUGCUGCUAAUGAGUUGGUCUGUUUCAAUAAAUUAAAGAAUUGAAUAUUUCUUUCUUCCUUUUGUUAUCAUUAUAAAUAGAGACAUAGAGAGUGAUUAAAAAGAUGUUAUCGGCUGGGUUUUUUUUUUUUGUUAAUUUCCUAACAGAACAAGCCUAUUCCAAAAAUCAUAAUGUUUAGGAUAGAAAAACAGGAAAGCUCAGGAAUAGAACAGUUGGCUGUUGAAAACUCGAAAUACCAAUGAAAUGCACAUAAAUUUUGUUCUUACCUGGCUACUUGUAGAGAGUCCAACAUCAUAAACCAUGGUGAGAUCAGUCUUGAAAAGUCCAAAUGAUCGCUCAGAACCAGGUCCAGGUUUCAAGUCUUCGUCAUAAAGAACAAAGAGGUAUGUAUCCACUGAUUUUCCUGGCAUGAGUAGAGUGCCCACCAUCGAUCGAAGGUGUGCAAUCAAAUUGCCAUUGUAAGCCUUGGCAUUCUCAAUGCUUGGCCCUACGUCGUUUUCAUCUCCUUUAAAUGGCCAUCCAGUCUCAGCCACCACAAUCUCAACAUUCUUAAAUCCCAUAGAAUUCAGUGCAGAAUAAACUACAUCCACCUGCAAUUGAUUAAACCACUUGUCAGUAGCAUUUUUAUUUGAUCAUCUAUUAAUACAAAAUUUACGCACUUUGUUAAUUUGAGUAGGCUUUCUGCAGAAUUCAAUUGUAUUUUCUUAUUGCAGAAACAGGGGAUUUAUACAUCACAAUGUACAGCCUUCCUAGUUGUAUUUGGAAAGGAAACAAUUACGAUCCCAUGACAAUCGGGAUUUACAUAAAUAGAAGAUAAACGUGACUAUUACAGCUAUAAUUUCCUAUUGUCUCUCGGUUUGUACAGCUCAUGCCAACACUCCUCCUCAAGUUGGUGUAGAAAUGUCUUUGAUACCCAGCUUGUCAAGUGAGCUAUGAAAGUUUUUGUUUGAGACGGCUUUUGUAAGCAUGUCCGCAAGUUGGUCCUCUGAUCUGACGAACGGAAAGCGAAUUACCUUUUCUUCAAGAUUCUAUUUAAUAAAAUGCCGGUCUAUCUCAAUAUGCUUCGUUCUGUCAUGUUGGAUUGGGUUCUGAGAUAUUUCUAUCGCGGCUUUAUUAUCGCAAUAUAAAUUCAUUUCUGAAUUGGGUGCAAAGCCAAUUUCUGAGAGCAGGCGUCUGAGCCACAAAAGCUCGCAAAGCCCCUUUGCCAUACCUCUAAACUCGGCUUCCGCACUUGAUAGAGCUACCACCUUUUGUUUCUUAGUCCUCCACGUAACCAAGUUGCCUCCGACGAAUGUGAAGUAUCCUGAUGUGGAUUUUCUGUCGGCCAAGUUUCCUGCCCAGUCUGCAUCUGUAUAGCCUUCAACAUCUAAGUGAUCAUUCUUAGAGAACAUAAUCCCCUUUCCCGGAGCUGAUUUCAAGUAUCGAAGAAUUCGAACAACCGCAUCCAUGUGAUCUUGACUAGGGCAAUGCAUAAAUUGACUGACCACGCUCACCGCGUAUGAAAUAUCUGGACGAGUAUGAGAUAAAUAAAUUAGCUUACCCACCAGUCGUUGAUACCUCUCUUUAUCGGUUGGGGUUUGAUCAGGAUACUCCCCAAGUUUCUGAUUCUGAAUUGUUGGAGUAUUCGCCGGCUUGCAGUCGAGCAUUCCAACUUCGGCCAGUAGAUCAAGUACAUACUUUCGUUGUGAUAGAAAGAUGCCUUGUUUUGAUCUAGCCACUUCUAUUCCAAGAAAAUAUUUGAGUCCACCCAAGUUCUUCAUUUCAAAUUCCAUGGCCAAAUGUUUCUCCAGUUUAUAGAUUUCUUCUGAAUCAUCUCCUGUGAUUAUCAUGUCAUCGACAUAGAUUAUCAAGGCAGUUAUUUUCCCUUGUCGUCAUUUUAGGAAGAGAGUAUGAUCUGAGUUGCUUUGUUGAAAACCAUACUUUCUCAUAGCCAUGCUAAAGCGACCAAACCAUGCACGCGAUGAUUGUUUCAGUCCAUACAAUGCCCUUUGUAACCUGCAGACAAUUCCUGUGGAGGAUGACAUAUAGCCUGGUGGGAUAUCCAUAUAUACUUCUUCCUUAAGAUCUCCGUGAAGAAAGGCGUUCUUCACGUCAAAUUGGUGUAGGGGCCAAUCUAGAUUUGCAGCCACGGAUAACAGCACCCUCAUGGUGUUUAGCUUCGCUACAGGGGAAAAUGUCUCCUGAUAGUCUAUGCUGUAUGUCUGAGUAUAUCCCUUAGCCACUAACCUUGCCUUGUAUCGUUCAAUGGAUCCAUCUGCUUUGUGUUUAAUUGAGAAUACCCACUUACACCCCACUAUUUUUUUUUCCAGCCGGCAGUGGGACAAGAUCCCAAGUUCUAUUCCGAUUAAAAGCUUCCAUUUCCUCUUGUAUUGCUACUGACCAUUUAUGAUCUGCUAAGGCUUCAUGGACUCCGCAAGGAAUGUGAUCUGAAGACAGCUUUUGCGCAAAUUUUAUAAGAGGAUCAGACCAGCCUUUUGUUGUCAUAUGAUUAGAAAUUGGGUACUUGGAUUUCUUCCCUGCUUCUCCAGGAGAGUAGCGAGCUGGAGCUUUGCCACGGUUACUCCUGAAAGGUAAGUGAUAACCAGUUGCAAUAUCCAAAACAUUGCUGGAAGGUGAUGCAGAAGGUCUUACCUCAGGAAUAUUCUCAGGAGAAGGAUUGUCACUGUCGGGUACUUCCAAAAGAGGGGUUCUUCUACUAGGAGAUUCAUUGUCAGAGUCAAUAACCAUGAUGUCUUCAUGCAGGCCAUUAUCUGCAACUGGUGAUGGUGUUCCUGUUGGUGUUCCCGUUACUGCUUCUUCCUCUAUAUGUCUAGCAGCAUCCGCUGUCACCAUAUUUUCAUCCAUUUGUGUAACAGCUGCUUCUGUCUCCUCUUGUGAUGGCGCCACUGUCACCACGGUAGGGGCUGCUGUCACCAUGGUUUCCUCCUCCUGUGAUGGAGGAGCUGUUGUCACCACUGUUUCUUCAAUUUGUCCCGUCCACCACUUCUGCUCUUCAUCCCAAGUCUCCCUCUGAAGAGAAGAAGCUGAUAUAUGUGAUGAAUAAAACUUGUCCGAUUCUACAAAUGUGACAUCCAUUGUUAUAUACACCCGAUUUUUAUUCGGGUUAUAGCAGCGAUACCCUUACUUGUUGGUACCAUACCCCAAAAAUAUGCACCGAACGGCACACGGUUCCAGAUUGGUCCUUUGAUUUUUAUGCAAAUGAACAAAGGCAACACAUCCAAAUAUGCGUGGCUUAAUGAGUAGUAAAGAUGGUAGAGUGACAUGUUUUGACAAAACCUGUAAUGGGGUGUUGAAAUCCAAAACCUUAGAGGGCAUACGAUUCAUUAGAUACACAGCCGAAGCAACAGCGUCAUCCCAAUAACGGCCGGGUGUAUUUGAUCCAAUCAACAAGGCUCGUGCAGUUUCUAAGAUGUGUCGAUUCUUCCUUUCGGCUACUCCAUUUUGUUGUGGCGUCUGACUACACGAUGACUCAUGGAGGAGACCAGUUCUUUGGAAAUAUUCAUGAAAAUCGCGAUUCAUAUACUCUCCCCCAUUGUCCGUCCGAAGAAUACGGACCUUUGCUGAAUAUUGGUUCUGAAUCAUAGCAUGAAAUGCUCGAAAUACACCAAAUACUUCAUCCUUGCAUUUCAACAAGUAUAGCCACGUGAUCCGCGUACAAUCAUCUACAAAAGUCACAAACCAUCGUAUACCGAGAUAGUUGUAAUAGGGGAAGGUCCCCAAACAUCAGAGUGAAUUAGAGUAAAUGGAAUAUCACUUUUAUUCAUGCUAGUUGGAAAAGGUACACGGUGACUCUUGGCCAAUAUGCAUGUUUCACAUCUGAAAUUUGAGUAACUCAAAGUUGAAAAUAACUGCGGAAAUAAAUGUUUCAUGUAGCUAAAUGAAGGCUGCCCCAACCGAGUGUGCCAUAACCAAAUUUGUUCUUCGCGUGCGCUAGAUGUGCGACUCAUGGUAUUGACUUUGCCGAAACUGAAGUCGUCCAUGUAGUAUAACCCCUCUCUUUUAGUACCACGCCCAAUGAUCUCCUUCGUGAGAAUAUCCUGAAAAAGACAAAAUGUUGUGUCGCACGUGGGCGAGGUCGCGGCGAUCGUCCACCCUCAAAUGUGUGAUGGGGUAUAUAUAUAUAUAUAUAUGGUAAAUAUGGUGAGACAAGGAGUUCUUUGUCUCUUAGCAGUAAAAAAAUGGUGUGGGAGUCGCCACCUAGUAUUUUGGUCACUAGGAACCCUAACUGGUCUCAGAGAUCGGGCACGGGGACUGGUUGCGUAAAGGGAAGGUUUUAGCACCCCAAAUACGCCCUACCUAAGGUAAGCUGCAUUGUUUAUUUGUCUGAUAAAAUUCAAGGUCUCGUUGUGUUUCCUAGUUGUUGGUCCGUCUAUGGUUCAAGAAAAGUCCUCCUCAAUAAGGAGGUCCUUAUCUUAUCGGGUAAAACCUAACCGUUCUAACGUCUAUGUAUGUUGGUCCGUCUAUGGUUCAAGAAAAGUCCUCCUCAAUAAGGAGGUCCUUAUCUUAUCGGGUAAAACCUAACCGUGCUAAUGUCUAUGUAAAACAUAUUUUUAAUAUCAGGAAUACGUCUUACGUAUAAAUUCGUAAUCCCAUGUACUAAAAGAAGACAAAAAGAUUUUUUUAGAAUUUUUGAAAUAUUGGCCUAGUUCUCAUGGCUUGAACAAACUGGUUAUUAAAGCUAAAAUGCAUGCUAAUACAUAUAUUGUUUUGAAAUUUUCUUUGUUAUAUGAAAAAUAUGAUGUUACAAUAUUUAUAUAUAUAUAUAUAUUGGAGAGACUAGGCCGUAUUUUAAAACAAAACAUUUUUUUGAUAUGUAUUUUUUGUAUGUUUUGACGCAAAUCGGGUAUUUUAAUACUGGGUUUUGUAUCCUUACGGUAUAAAAAUACAACCAAAUAUUAAUCCACUUUGAUAAAACAAAUGCAGAAAAAUCAACAAUAUUUUUAAAAUAAUUUUUUGCAGAAUUUUCGUAAUUUUGUUAUAUAUAUAUAUAUAUAUCUAUAUAUAACUAAUACAAAAUACAAUAUACAUAGUAUAUAAUAUAUAAUUGGGUUGGGCUGGGCCGGCCCAACGAACUGGGCCGGACUCAGCCCCAAAAUGUGUUGGGUCGAUCUCGGGCCAAGAGGCAUUUGGUCAAUCUCGGCCCAAACAAAAUCUGUUUUAUCAUGGGCCGGAACCAGCCCAGCCAGUAGGGCUGGGCUAGGAUCAGUCCGGCCCACAGAAGGAAACCAUAUUGCUGGGCCAGAACCAAGCUGGCCCAGCGUAAUUAAAAACCAACGGGGGGAAUUAUUUUCCCCCCCUUCCUGCAUGCAGAACGCUGUUCGUUCUGCAUGCAGGGGAAGAAACGAAAUGAUGUAUAAGAGGAGGGGGGAGAAGAGCACCUGGCGCGGAAGAGGCGGUGUGUUGCUGGUAUGCCGGCGGUGCUGCGGUGGAGGCUAGUGGCUUCACUGGCGUGCACUAGUCCCGGCCGGAAGAAGAAGGAAACGAUUCCUGCAGAGGAGAAGGAAAGCUCUCGGCUGGAGCUGUUGGUGUGACUGAGGAAGGAGCUGCUACUCCGGUUNNNNNNNNNNNNNNNNNNNNNNNNNNNNNNNNNNNNNNNNNNNNNNNNNNNNNNNNNNNNNNNNNNNNNNNNNNNNNNNNNNNNNNNNNNNNNNNNNNNNNNNNNNNNNNNNNNNNNNNNNNNNNNNNNNNNNNNNNNNNNNNNNNNNNNNNNNNNNNNNNNNNNNNNNNNNNNNNNNNNNNNNNNNNNNNNNNNNNNNNNNNNNNNNNNNNNNNNNNNNNNNNNNNNNNNNNNNNNNNNNNNNNNNNNNNNNNNNNNNNNNNNNNNNNNNNNNNNNNNNNNNNNNNNNNNNNNNNNNNNNNNNNNNNNNNNNNNNNNNNNNNNNNNNNNNNNNNNNNNNNNNNNNNNNNNNNNNNNNNNNNNNNNNNNNNNNNNNNNNNNNNNNNNNNNNNNNNNNNNNNNNNNNNNNNNNNNNNNNNNNNNNNNNNNNNNNNNNNNNNNNNNNNNNNNNNNNNNNNNNNNNNNNNNNNNNNNNNNNNNNNNNNNNNNNNNNNNNNNNNNNNNNNNNNNNNNNNNNNNNNNNNNNNNNNNNNNNNNNNNNNNNNNNNNNNNNNNNNNNNNNNNNNNNNNNNNNNNNNNNNNNNNNNNNNNNNNNNNNNNNNNNNNNNNNNNNNNNNNNNNNNNNNNNNNNNNNNNNNNNNNNNNNNNNNNNNNNNNNNNNNNNNNNNNNNNNNNNNNNNNNNNNNNNNNNNNNNNNNNNNNNNNNNNNNNNNNNNNNNNNNNNNNNNNNNNNNNNNNNNNNNNNNNNNNNNNNNNNNNNNNNNNNNNNNNNNNNNNNNNNNNNNNNNNNNNNNNNNNNNNNNNNNNNNNNNNNNNNNNNNNNNNNNNNNNNNNNNNNNNNNNNNNNNNNNNNNNNNNNNNNNNNNNNNNNNNNNNNNNNNNNNNNNNNNNNNNNNNNNNNNNNNNNNNNNNNNNNNNNNNNNNNNNNNNNNNNNNNNNNNNNNNNNNNNNNNNNNNNNNNNNNNNNNNNNNNNNNNNNNNNNNNNNNNNNNNNNNNNNNNNNNNNNNNNNNNNNNNNNNNNNNNNNNNNNNNNNNNNNNNNNNNNNNNNNNNNNNNNNNNNNNNNNNNNNNNNNNNNNNNNNNNNNNNNNNNNNNNNNNNNNNNNNNNNNNNNNNNNNNNNNNNNNNNNNNNNNNNNNNNNNNNNNNNNNNNNNNNNNNNNNNNNNNNNNNNNNNNNNNNNNNNNNNNNNNNNNNNNNNNNNNNNNNNNNNNNNNNNNNNNNNNNNNNNNNNNNNNNNNNNNNNNNNNNNNNNNNNNNNNNNNNNNNNNNNNNNNNNNNNNNNNNNNNNNNNNNNNNNNNNNNNNNNNNNNNNNNNNNNNNNNNNNNNNNNNNNNNNNNNNNNNNNNNNNNNNNNNNNNNNNNNNNNNNNNNNNNNNNNNNNNNNNNNNNNNNNNNNNNNNNNNNNNNNNNNNNNNNNNNNNNNNNNNNNNNNNNNNNNNNNNNNNNNNNNNNNNNNNNNNNNNNNNNNNNNNNNNNNNNNNNNNNNNNNNNNNNNNNNNNNNNNNNNNNNNNNNNNNNNNNNNNNNNNNNNNNNNNNNNNNNNNNNNNNNNNNNNNNNNNNNNNNNNNNNNNNNNNNNNNNNNNNNNNNNNNNNNNNNNNNNNNNNNNNNNNNNNNNNNNNNNNNNNNNNNNNNNNNNNUCCUUUUAACCAAUAUCGAAAUACGAGAUCCCUUCUGGCGAUCUCCUUUAAUCAAUUUGGAAUCCCAUCUGGCGAUUCCUUUUUUAAUCAACAUGAAAAACGAGGUCCCAUCUGGCGACCUCCAAAUAGCGAAACACGAGAUCCCUUCUAGCGAUCUCCUUUAAUCAACUUGGAAUCCCAUCUGGCGAUUCCUUUUAUUCAAACGAAAUAUGAGGUCCCAUCUGGCGACCUCCAAAUAGCGAAAUACGAGAUCCCUUCUGGCGAUCUCCUUUAAUCAAUUUGGAAUCCCAUCUGGCGAUUCCUUUUUUAAUCAACAUGAAAAACGAGGUCCCAUCUGGCGACCUUCAAAUAGCGAAACACGAGAUCCCUUCUGGCAAUCUCCUUUAAUCAACUUGGAAUCCCAUCUGGCGAUUCCUUUUAUUCAAACGAAAUAUAAGGUCCCAUCUGGCGACCUCCAAAUAGCGAAAUACGAGAUCCCUUCUGGCGAUCUCCUUCAACUUGGAAUCCCAUCUGGCGAUUCCUUUUAUUCAACAGGUAAUACGAGGUCCCAUCUAGCGACCUCCAAAUAGCGAAACACGAGAUCCCUUCUGGCGAUCUCCUUUAUUCAACUUGGAAUNNNNNNNNNNNNNNNNNNNNNNNNNNNNNNNNNNNNNNNNNNNNNNNNNNNNNNNNNNNNNNNNNNNNNNNNNNNNNNNNNNNNNNNNNNNNNNNNNNNNNNNNNNNNNNNNNNNNNNNNNNNNNNNNNNNNNNNNNNNNNNNNNNNNNNNNNNNNNNNNNNNNNNNNNNNNNNNNNNNNNNNNNNNNNNNNNNNNNNNNNNNNNNNNNNNNNNNNNNNNNNNNNNNNNNNNNNNNNNNNNNNNNNNNNNNNNNNNNNNNNNNNNNNNNNNNNNNNNNNNNNNNNNNNNNNNNNNNNNNNNNNNNNNNNNNNNNNNNNNNNNNNNNNNNNNNNNNNNNNUGCAAUGAUUCGAAACAUAGGCCCCAUCCUCUCCUUCUAGUUCAUGAGACUCCUUCUUAAGAUGAGCUUGCUUUUGAAGUCGUAUGCUAGAUUCCUCUCUAGUGUUGCCUCCUAUCAUAUUCUUGGAGAAGAAGUCUCUGACUUUCUUCAAGUAGUCCUUUUUCCAAAAUGUAUGACUUGUCAUUGCCUCUUUGUCAUGCUUUUGUCAAAUGCUCUAGCUUGGUUUUCAAAUCUAUAGGCUUCCGUACAUUUUAAACACGUAAAGCUUUUCAUGAAAACAUCUCGUAUUGCCCCCAAUGUGGGGUGUGCUCCUAGUCUGGGCUUUUGUAUAGAGAAGAAAUUCGUUCAGCCGAUGCUAAACUUUUUAGGUGCGAUAACAACAAAACAUGCACUGUCGGGAUUAAUGCAAAAAAAUGAUUGUUGUGAGAUCAAUGCAAAAGAGAAAGAAGUCAAUGGCCAAACUUUGCUUUAUUGAUUUAGGAGCCUACAUCAAGCAUAAUAUCUUUUUACAGAGUCAGAAUUCACAGGUCGAGCUAGGUCUUCUCCAUCCAUUCUAGCCAACUUCAGCGCUCCUCCUGAGAAUGCCUUCUUCACUACGUAAGGACCCUCGUAAUUCGGUGCCCAUUUGCUUUGAUCGUCUCCAGGUAGUGACAAUAUUUUUUUCAAUACUAGAUCCCCUUCUCGAAACAACCGCGGUCUAACCUUCUUAUCAUAUGCCUUAGCCAUUCGUUCCUGGUAAAGUUGGUGAUGACAUAUUGCAGCUAUCCUCUUUUCGCUGAUCAAGUUCAGUUGCUCAUAUCUCACUUUGGCCCACUCGGCCUCUUCUAAUUCGGAGUCCAUCAACACUCUUAACGACGGGAUUUCUACUUCCAAAGGCAUCACUGCUUCCAUACCAUACACCAGAGAAUAUGGAGUAGUUCCUAUUGAGGACCUGACGGUAGUGCGGUAUGCAUGGAGAGCGAAUGGCAACAUCUCAUGCCAAUCUCUAUAUGUGACUACCAUUUUCUGAAUAAUCUUUUUGAUGUUCUUGUUGGCGGCUUCUACUGCGCCAUUCUUUUUUGGUCGGUAUGGUGAGGAAUUCGAAUGCUUGAUUUUCCAUUUAGUACACAGCUCCGCUAUCAUUUUGCCAUUGAAAUUCUGUGCAUUAUCUGUCACUAUCUUUUCCGGAGGACCAUAUCGACAAAUCAAGUCCUUCUCUAUAAACCUCUUCACUACGUUCUGUGUUAUGUGGGCAUAUGAAUUAGCUUCCACCCAUUUUGUGAAGUAGUCAAUAGCUACGAGGAUGAAUCUAUGACCGUUGCUAGCUUUUGGGUUAACAGGUCCGAUCACGUCGAUUCCCCACAUUGCAAAUGGCCAAGGAGAUAUCAGAUUAAAUAGAGGAGCUGGUGGCAUAUUGACCUUGUCACUGUAAACUUGACACUUGUGACAUUUCCUGACAUAGUCGAUGCAGUCUUUCUCUAACGUCAUCCAAAAAUAACCAGCCCUUUGUAUUUUCCUUGCUAUCAUAUGCCCGCUAGCAUGGGUUGAGCAAAUCCCCUCAUGGACCUCCCGUAAUGCCUUCCUAGCAUCUGCCUCAUUCAAACACCUUAGCAGGGUUCCAUCAAAUGAUCUUUUGUACAAAAUCUCUCCAUCUAAAUAGAAGUCUAUAGCCAACCUUCUCAAGGUUUUCUUAUCCGUUUUGGAAGCUCCCACCGGAUAUUCAUGAUUUUGCACAAGGUUCUUGAUAUCAUAAUACCAAGGAUGUCCGUCUAUCUCUCCUUCAACUAAGCAACAGUGAGCUGGGUCAUUUCUAAUAUCAAUGUGUACCGGUUGUACCUUGCACUUGAGAUCAAUGGUAGUCAUAGCAGCUAGCGUGGCCAAAGCAUCCGCAAAAUGGUUCCCCUCCCUUCCCAGAUGGGUGAAUCUAAUUUCUUCAAAUUCCUUUGCUAGCGUGGAUAGGUAUUCCUGGUACGGCCUCAACUUUUCCUCCUUGGUUUGCCAUUCCCCUUUAACCUGACAGAUAAUCAACAUUGAAUCUCCAUAUACAUCUAACUUCUUUAUCUUCAACUCUAAUGCCGCUUCUAAACCGAGGAUACAAGCUUCAUACUCAGCUGUAUUGUUGGUGCACUCGAAAUGCAGUUUAACCGAAACUGGAUACUGUUUCUUAUCAGGAGAGAUUAUUACCGCACCGGCCCCGUUACCAUAUACAUUCCCUGCACCGUAAAAAAACAUUGUCCACCAAUCUGUCUUCUCUUCUUCUUUCUCUAUUGACAAUAUAUCUUCAUCAGGGAAGUCAAAAUCCAAAGGUUCGUAAUCUUCAACAGCAUUAUCGGCCAGAUGGUCCGCGAUUGCACUUCCUUUUACGGCUUUCCUUGUCAUGUAUACUAUGUCAUAUUCUGCUAAUAAAACUUGCCAUCUUGCAAUUCGGCUUGAGAGAAAGGGCUUGUUACAAAGAUACCUCAGAGGAUCCACUUUUGAAAUCAACCAAGUGGUAUAGUAUAACAUAUAAUGUCGCAACCUCUUCGCCGCCCACACCAACGCACAACAAAGCCUUUCUAUCUCCGUGUAUCUAGACUCACAUUCAGUGAAUUUCUUACUUAAGUAAUAAAUAGCUCUUUCCUUCCUUCCGGUUUCAUCAUGCUGACCCAAUACACAUCCCAUGGCUGCUUCAGUUACUGUUAGAUAUAAUACUAGAGGUUUUCCUGAUACCGGAGGAACCAGUAAAGGUGGAUUUUGUAAAUAAUGCUUGAUUUUAUUGAAUGCCUCCUCACACUCCUCAUUCCAGGUUCCAGGAUUCUUUUUCCUUAGUAGUCGGAAUAUAGGUUCACACGUCGUUGUUAACUGAGCUAUGAACCGAGCAAUGUAGUCUAACCUUCCCAAGAAUCCUCUUACUUCUUUCUCCGUCUUAGGGGAUGACAUAGCUUGGAUGGCCCUUACUUUAUCCGGAUCCACCUCUAUACCUCUAUCACUUACCACAAAUCCUAACAGCUUGCCCGAUUUAACUCCGAAUGAACAUUUUGCGGGAUUAAGCCUUAAUUCAUACUUCCUCAACCUCUCAAAUAACUUCCUCAAAACUUCAACAUGAUCUUGUCCCUUUUUAGACUUGGCAAUCAUAUCAUCCACAUACACCUCAAUUUCCUUGUGCAUCAUGUCGUGGAACAAAGUCACCAUUGCUCUUUGAUAUGUUGCUCCUGCAUUCUUCAAACCAAAUGGCAUGACCUUAUAGCAGUAAGUUCCCCAAGGUGUGACAAAAGUUGUUUUCGCCUUAUCCUCUAGAGCCAUUUUUAUCUGGUUGUAUCCUGAAAAACCAUCCAUAAAGGAAUAAGUGGAACUCCGGGCAGCGUUAUCCACUAAAACAUCUAUGUGUGGUAGGGGAAAAUCAUCCUUAGGGCUAGCUCUAUUCAAAUUCCGAAAAUCCACACAAACUCUAAUCUUCCCCUCUUUCUUAGGCACCACAACAACGUUAGAUACCCAUUGUGGAUAUCUAACUACUUCUAGGAAGCCAGCAUCCCAUUGCUUCUCAAGUUCUGCCUUGACCUUAAUCCAGACAUCCGGGUGGGCCCUCCUCAGCUUCUGCUUGACUGGCUUACAACCUUCUUCCAACGGUAUCUUGUGUACUACAAUAUUUGUAUCCAAACCAGGCAUAUCUUCAUAGGACCAAGCAAAGACAUCUGAAUAUUCUUGUAAUAGGGUGAUCAUUUUUAUCCUUUGUUCAGAAGUAAUUAAGGUACCUAUUUUCAACUCUUUCUUGAGCUGAUCACUACCCACAUUGAUGGUUUCGAGUUCCUCGGCGAUAGGCUUCCAAGUCUGUUCCUGUUGUUCUACUAGCCUGGUGAAUUCACUGAUAUUGCUCUCAUCCCACUCUUCUUCUUCCAUAGCUAUCACAUGCUCGUUCAAGUUUGGCCAUUUAUUCUUGGUGCUAAAUGUAUGUGAUGUUGUAGGAGAUCCGCUUUCAGGAUUCCUGAAAGCGGGAAGUGUUUGGUGUAAAUGCAUAAAAAAAAAGAAGGCAAUUUGUGAAAAGUGCAUGAUCUCACAGUUUAUUUAAAGAAAAGGUGGGCUCCAUGACAAACAUAAAAUCUAGCUGACAUCAUGAGCCUUGAUUGUCAACCAGAGGAAAUAAAAGCAAACAUAAGCAAUGACAAAAGCAUGUUAAGGCAAACAAAAUUGGUUUACAUUUUGAAAACCACUGGAGCUUCUUGGGUCACCCAGUUCUGAAACUUCUCGUCUUGAGCCAACUUGCGCACAAAGGUCUUGGUAGAGACUUCUUCUAUGGUGUAGACCGUCAGUUGUGGGAGUGCUUCAUCUCCCUUUCUUGCUACUGUCUUCAUGUCAUCUCCUUCCACCUUGUUUUCCCCCAAGGUAUUUAUGCUCAUGUUUGACAGCUCUUGAUCAAGGCUUUCGGCUUCUUUAUCAUGUUGCAUUAUGUAUGCAGUUUUUGGGAAUGACACGCCAAGGGGAGGGAUUUCUAGCUUUUCUUCAUCAGGCUCUCUUCCUUUAAUUCUAGCCAUCCUUCUUGCCCUUCUCCGACCAGCAGCCCACCGAUAAUCCUCUUGGUUAGGUUGGUACCCUAACCCAAAUCUUUGAGCAGCACUUUUCAUCCUUGCCAGAUUAACCCCUUCUGGUAUCCCGAUAAUAAGGUUAUACUGAAAUGGGAUCCCGCGGUUCAAGAAGCAUAGACUUGCCAUCCUUGCUGCUUCUGAGAUCCUUGGCCUUCUUAGCACUGUGUUCUCCGGCACCCAGUCGGUGUUCACAAUCUCAAAGGCAUGGAUAUUGUUAUCCUUGCAAUCAUUCGCUUCGAUAAAAGGCACAGCCACAUUCUUUAUCAUGGAUACUGUCUCCUCAGCCUUGACAGUUACCAACAUCCCAUUCAUGAUAUACUUCAGGCAUUGGUGCAAUGACGAAGCUACUGCCCCCGCUGCAUGAAUCCAAGGUCUUCCUAACAACAUACUAUAGGAAGGGUGGAUAUCCAUAACCUGAAGUGUUACUAGGAACAUUUGUGGUCCCACAUAUAGCUCCACUUCUAAAGUCCCAAUUAUUGGCCUAGGUGAGCCAUCAUACGCUCUGGCCAUCAUAGUACUUGGCUUUAUAUGGGAUUCAUCGAUCGGCAUUUCUUCCAGCAUGUGCUUUGGCAACACAUUAAGGGCCGAGCCAUUAUCAAUGAGUACUUUUCCUAUGAGGCAGUCCUUGCACCUAACCGUAAUGUAUAAGGGCUUGUUAUGUCCGGUACCUUCAGCAUCAAGCUCAUCAGCCGUGAAGUACAGGUAAUUAGUUGCAUGGAUCCUUCCCACUAGAUGCUCCAUGGUUUUAUGUUCAAUGUCUUGGGGUACAUAUGCCUCAUUCAAUACCUUUUGCAAGGCGUUUCGAUGCGGCUCAGAGCUGAGUAUCAAGGACAUAAGGGAGAUCCUAGCUGGAGUCUUCUUUAGUUGAUCUACUAUGCAAUAUUCACUAUGCUUGAUCAACUUCAGGAAUUCAUUCGACUCCUCUUCUGUUACCGGCUUAUUAACUUCUAGUGCUUUGUCAAGAUCUACCACUUCUUUACCCUUUUCCUUCCUCAACUCCUCAGAAGUAAAGCAACGACCACUCCUGGUCAAACCACUUAUCUCAGUCUGGAACAAAGGAAGAGGAGCUCGAACGUUGGAGGCAUAACCAUAAUUAUAAGGCAUGGCAUUGUGAUUCCCUUUUGUGUAGGACGGUUUAACCAAGAUUAGCCUUGGGGGACCAUUAGCUGUUUGUUGGACCCUGCAUACUCCUGUCAUCUCCAUCUGACCUUCCAUCAUACUCACCUCACCGCUACUCUUCAUGGGUUCAAUCCUCAACUCCCCCAUUUUCAGCAUUUUUGCAAUCUUUUCGCAAAACUCGAUGCAAUCCUCAAUAUGAUGUCCAUCUCUUCCAUGGUAUUCACAGUAAUCAUAUCCCUCCAAAUGGCUCUCCACCUUUGUCUUUAGAAAUCCUGAUUGUACCAACAUGUCGUACAACUUUUUCAUGGACACCUUCAACAUCUGGCAUUGAUUUCCCACUUCGAUCAUACCUAUUCCACUACUAUUUGGGGCAUGCUUAGGCAAUGGGUUUGAAUUAACAUUGGGCUUGUCUUCAAAGGAUACCCAUCCCAUCUUAAUAAGCUCUAAUAACCUCUUUUUGAAAGCGUAACAGGUUUCAAUCCCAUGCCCGGGAUUACCCCCAUGGUACUCGCAAGCCAACUCGGGCUUGUACCAGAUUGGGAAUGGUGGUUGUAGUGGUAGUGUAGGGAUAGGAGCUAUUUGUCCAAUGCUCAAAAGUUUGGCGUACAUGUCCUUCAAAGGCAUGGGUAACGGUGGCAGUUGUUCUGAAGUGUAUCUUGUAUGGGGUCUUUGGUAGUGAUUUUGGUAGUUUGACUGGUUAUUUGUUCGAUUAGGGGAAAAAGGUGGGUUAAAGUUUAUGCGUGAGAAUUGAGAGGCAGGUGCUUGAGGACUAUGGAAAUCUACUCUCUUGCCCUUAUACCCACCUUCCAGAUUGUUAACAUCGCCUUCUCUCUUUCUUCCAAUAAAACCCUUCUUUUCCACUGGCAUCGCUAUUCACCCAGCUUUAAUCCCUUGUUCUAUCCUUUCAGCUAUGCGUACCGCAUCAUAGAAAUGUUGAGAGGAACUACCCAUUAGGUGCUCAUAAUAAGGUGUCUUGAAGGUAUUAGCAAACAAGCUCACCAUCUCCGUUUCUAUCAAAGGGGGUUGGACAUGCAUUGCCUCAUCCCUCCAUCUUUGCGCAUAAGCCCUUACUGACUCCUGGCUCUUUUUCUCCAUUGCCAUUAGACUUGUUCGAUCAGGAGCGAUUUCCAUGUUAAACUUGUACUGUUUGAGGAAAGCCUCCACCAAGUCUCUCCCGCUUCUGAUCUUGACACUAUCUAACCUCAUGUACCAACUCAAAGCGGACCCUGAGAGGCUAUCCUGAAAGAAAUAGAUUAGAAGCUUAUCAUCGCGGAUUACUUCCGCCAUUUUGUUGCAGUAGGAUCGAAGGUGAGUGUUUGGGCAUUCCAAACCGGUAUACUUAAUGAACUCUGGUAUUCGAAAAUCUUUUGGCACCACAAUGUUUGGUACCAAACAUACUUCGGCUGCUCGCAUAGGGUCAAACUAAUCAUUACCCUCAACUGCCCUUAAUCUUUCUUCUAGAGCAAAUAGCUUGUCUUGGUCCAUCAUACUGGGAGACCUAUUAUCCGGGACUCCCUCCGUUGUUAAAUCCACAGUGAUUGGAGCGUGAGUUGGCUGAAUAGGGGCGAUAGGCACAAAAUGUUGUUCAUUGGCCGAGUUUGCCCCCUGGUUUUGAGAUGCUUGAGGGAUGUGAGCUGCUGGCGCUCCUUCAGGCUGUUGUGCUGAUGUUCCCUCCCCAUUCUUAGCUCUUAGAAGCUGCUCAAGUAAGUCGGUUAGCCGAGAAACUUCAUUUUUUACGGACUCCAACUCGGUCUGAUAAUGUGACUCUAAGUGAGCUCUCUCUUCGUUCUCCAUUCUCGCUCUAGAUCGGGUGUUGUGGACUUUGGAUGUGGGACCUAUGUUUCACGGUCUGGGAUGCAUGGAAAAAUGUAAAUGAAUGUAUGAUAAAGAAACAAUGCAUGAAUGCAUGAGCUUGUUUUUUUUCAAAAAAACGAUCGAUGGCCAACAUUCCUCUUGUGUAAUGGGCAUGGACUCCUUUUGUCACGUUCCUUAUCAGGAGUAGUUUUGCUCAAGCUGCUGCUUUGGUAGGCUUAUAUAUUUUAUUUUUUUUUACAAAAGAUGGGUCAAAGCCCCUUGUCAUUAAUAUUGGCUAAUACAUCUCUUGAAAAGAGGGUACAAAAUAAUAAAAAGAAAAAUACAUCAAUCUUCCUCUUCAUCCAUAUCUCUAGCCCCUGGUAGGAAAGCGAGGCCUCGAUUCUCAAUCUUCUCUAAGAAGGCAUCUGUCUCAGCCAAGCUUUGUCGAUAACGAAAGAUGUCCCUUCCCACCCUUCGAGCAUUGGCUCUAAUAAUCCAUGCGUGAAUGGCAGCUUCAUCCAUUUGCUCAUCUACUUUGGCCAUCUUCUCUAUAAGCAACAUGUUGUUCCGAUUCAAGGUAUUGUUGUUGGUGUCGAUCUGUUCUUUAUGUUUUUCUGAAACUUCCAACCUUUUGGUCAACUGUUUCACCUUUUCUCGUUCUUUGUCAAACUUCAACUUCAGCGUCCUAAUUUCAAUUUUCUUAGCUGCCAAAUCUGCUUUAAAAACCUCCUCUUCCUUCCCCUUUCUUUCGAACUCUUGCAAUUCAGCUAGCCGACUUUCUAUCAUCAUAUAUUUCUUGUUUAACUCUUCGUACUUCUCAAUUCGGUCCAGCAACUCUGCUCGAACAUGCAAGAAUUUGUCCUGAUUGUACUCAACAUUCUCUCGAUAGCCAUCGAAGUCGGCUUUCAACGCUUCCAACUCAGAACUGCUUUGCAUACAAUCAAAAAUCAAUCUUCCUCUUUCUUUCUCAGACUCUUCUAUUACAGCCUUUCCCUUGCUCAAUUGCAGCUCUAACAUCACUAUUUUCGCAUCUCUAGAUUCGAGCUGUUCGUUUAGAAACACUCUGCUUUUAUCCCCUUCCAUCAUCAUCCUUUCUAAUGCUGCUUUAUCUCCCUUACUCUUUCCCAAUUCUAUUUGGAGCCUUUCUAAUUGCUUCAUAAGGUCUUCCUCAUUACUGACCUUUUUUCUUUUCAAUGACCCUUCUCCAAUUCGUGAAGGCCCAUCUCCAGAACAUGGCUUUUUCGAAGCUGCCAUCGGGGUCAAAUUCCUCCACUUUUCAUAUCCUUCACUUGAGCUAGGGUCUCUCAAUCUUUCCGACUCCUUCUGAAUCAGAGUCAACUGGCUCCAAUCUUGUUUGAUGGUUUCAAGAACUUCUCGCGCGGAUUGAUCCUUGAAAAAUCCGGAAAAUUCAGCAAGUCCCACAGUUCUUGGGAUGUGUUGUAUGCCACCUAAUUGUCUUAUCACCAGAGCCGGAGCAUAGCUAACAUAACCUGUGAUCCCAAUUAAAGGUACCCAGCAUUUUUGUCCAUAACUUACUAUGACAUCAACUGAUUUAACCCAAGGGGCCUUCCAACUAAAGUUGCUACUAGGUAACUCUUGCAGUUUUUUCAUCCAACCUUGAUCACCUAGGAUUCCCCAUUCUUCUUCCUCCAUUAUCUUCAAGGGUUUUUGGUUAAACCACCAAAAAUUAUUAAAGAUCGGCUUCUUGGUUUCAACAUGGCUUACCAUCCAGAUGUAUAACAACUGGGUACAACAUCGCACUGCGCCUUUCCCCGUCUUUCUAAAAUGGUUGAGGGUCAGAAAAGUCUCAGCUAAUAUGGCAGUUGUGGGGUUGACAUGAGUAUUUUCAUAUUCCACGAAUGCAGCAGCAGCUUCUAGGCUUAUAACCCCUAUUAAGCUUGGAAAUAACACGAGACCAUAGAUCCCCAGAGCGAUUAACCUGUCUCUUUCUAGUAUUGAUCCGUAUUGCUCUUUUUUCUUUUCUAGUUCAACCUCCAAAAAUUUUCACUUUAAACCGCUGCCAUUCUUCUCUAAAAAUCUGCUCAUAUGUGGAAUCUUCAGCAAUUUUGACAACUCGGGAAUCACCUUGUCAUUUCCCAAAGGAAAAUAAACCCUGUGUAGGAGUUUGGGAAAUUCCGUCAACAUUCCAUACUCCUCUAUAGUGGGACACAAAUCCACAUUUCCAAAGGAAAAGCAUCUGUAAUCGGGAUCCCAAAAGUUAAUCAAAGCUUUGAUUGCCGGGUUCAAUACUUCUAUCUUUGCAAUUUCCAACAAUCGCCCAUACUUCCCGCAAAAUGCCGCUUCAUCAAUGUUCUGAUUAUGGCCCAAUAUUUUCUUCAUCUCAUAUACUGUGCAAUUCAGGUCUUUGACUACUGGAAGCUUCCUUGCAUCAUAUCUAGAGCAGUCUCCCUCUGAUAGUUGUGACAAUUCAGAAUUCUGCCCAUAUUCCACAGUAGUAAAUUUGGUAAUGAUGGCCAUCUUAUCGUUUCAAAAGACCUGAAAACCAAAUGCUUUAUGGUUUAGGUUGUUUUAUGCAAAAUGUACUUUAUGGAACAUACACCCUAUAGCCGGUUCUAAAUCUUUUGUGCUUGACGAGGGUAGGUUGGCUAUUCAGUCUCUAAAAAGAGUCUCUUGCUGUCCCAGUGAUUGCCCUCGUGGAGGCAAUAUGGGGGCUUGUAGGCAAUAAGAUGGCACAUAUACCAACUAUUGCCAGUCUAAGCACUCAGCGAAGAGUUGGGGUUUACACAAACUUAAACCUUGACUAACAGUUGUAAGGUAAGCUGCUAGUCCCCCACUUAACUUAAAGUUUGUGUGUGCUCUCAAUAAUCAAAGUAUGUGAUGCAUGAGACAGUUCUAUAAGAUGUAUGAGACAGUUCUAUACAAAUGCAUGAACAAUAUGUGUAAAAAUAUUUAAAGCAUAUAAGCAGAUAACAAAAGGAAAGGCAUAUUAACAAUAAACACACGAAAACAAAAACAAAUCAGACAAAAACAAAGCUUAGUCCACAAGGUCCCCAGUGGAGUCGCCAUUCUGUCGCACGUGGGCGAGGUCGCGGCGAUCGUCCUCCCUCAAAUGUGUGAUGGGGUAUAUAUAUAUAUAUAUAUAUAUAUAUGGUAAAUAUGGUGAGACAAGGAGUUCUUUGUCUCUUAGCAGUAAAAAAAUGGUGUGGGAGUCGCCACCUAGUAUUUUGGUCACUAGGAACCCUAACUGGUCUCAGAGAUCGGGCACGGGGACUGGUUGCGUAAAGGGAAGGUUUUAGCACCCCAAAUACGCCCUACCUAAGGUAAGCUGAAUUGUUUAUUUGUCUGAUAAAAUUCAAGGUCUCGUUGUGUUUCCUAGUUGUUGGUCCGUCUAUGGUUCAAGAAAAGUCCUCCUCAAUAAGGAGGUCCUUAUCUUAUCGGGUAAACCUAACCGUUCUAACGUCUAUGUAUGUUGGUCCGUCUAUGGUUCAAGAAAAGUCCUCCUCAAUAAGGAGGUCCUUAUCUUAUCGGGUAAAACCUAACCGUUCUAACGUCUAUGUAUGUUGGUCCGUCUAUGGUUCAAGAAAAGUCCUCCUCAAUAAGGAGGUCCUUAUCUUAUCGGGUAAAACCUAACCGUGCUAAUGUCUAUGUAAAAAAAACUAUAUUUUUUAAUAUCGGGAAUACGUUUUAUGCUUAAUAUUCGUAAACAAAAAGAUUUUUUAGAAUUUUUGAAAUAUUGGCCUAGUUCUCAUGGCUUGAACAAACUGGUUAUUAAAGCCAAAAUGCAUGCUAAUACAUAUAUUGUUUUGAAAUUUUCUUUGUUAUAUGAAAAAUAUGAUGUUACAAUAUUUAUAUAUAUAUAUAUUGGAGAGACUAGGCCGUAUUUUAAAACAAAACAUUUUUUUGAUAUGUAUUUUUUGUAUGUUUUGACGCAAAUCGGGUAUUUUAAUAUUGGGUUUUGUAUCCUUACGGUAUAAAAAUACAACCAAAUAUUAAUCCACUUUGAUAAAACAAAUGCAGAAAAAUCAACAAUAUUUUUAAAAUAAUUUUUUGCAGAAUUUUCGUAAUUUUGUUAUAUAUAUAUAUAUAUCUAUAUAUAACUAAUACAAAAUAUAAUAUAAAUAAUAUAUAAUAUUAAAUUCGGGCUGGGCCGGCCCAACUAUUAAAUUCGGGCUGGGCCGGCCCAACCAACUGGGCCGGACUCAGCCCAAAAGUGUUGGGCCGAUCUCGGCCCAAAAAUGGGUUGGUCUGGGCCAGGCCCGGCCCAGAAGACAGGUCUGGGCCAGGAUCCGCCUGGCCCAAGACAAAACGGGCGGGGGGAAUUAUUUUCCCCCCACCCCUGCAUGCAGAACGCUAUUCGUUCUGCAUGCAGAGAAGGAAAAGAAAAAAAUAAACGCGAGAAUGAGGGGGAAGAAGAGUUACCUGGCGCGGAGGCGGUGGCUUGCUGCGUUUCUGGCGGUGCUGUGGCGGAGGCUGGUGGCGGCGUCUUGGCUCACGGACGACGUCUCCAAGCAGCAGCGGCGGUGCUCUGUUUUUUUAGUGUUUUCCCGUGACCCUCCCGGUUUGGUUUUCUUCAAGUUUUCAACUCUUCCUUCCUCUCACUGUGUUUCGGUCUCUCUUUCGGUUUUUUUGUUCUCUCUUCCCUUCUCCUCUCUUUUUCGUUUCUUCCCUUCCGUUUUUUUCUUUUCGGGUCUUUUCUUCCUCCCAUUCACUCAGUGUUAUUGGAUCUAUUUAUAGAGCCAAGGGGCGGGGCUUUUUAUGGUUGCACAUGGGGAGCAAGGGCUGCGGCGGUUGGUCGGCCAUUUGGGUGCAGCUGUCGAGGUACGGCUUCCCCGUUUUUCUGGUAGGCGCGCGGCGGGUGAUCGGCCAGUGGGCGUGGCUGGCGAGGAGCGGCUCCCUCGGUUUUCUAGCAAGGCAUGCGGUCCAGAGAGAGGUAGCACAUUUGAAGAAGAAAAACCAACCAUUUUUCUUUCUUCCCCUGCUACACGUCCAGGGGAGGAAGAAAGAGGAACAGUGUCGUUCAAAACGACAUCGUUCCGAUCUUUUUUUCUUUUCUUUUUUUUUUACAUGAAACGGCGUCGUUUUAGGCAAAACGCGCCGUUUCAUUUAAGUCCUGCAAGACGCCAAAACGCGUCAAUUUGCAAGGCAGCCCUCAAUUAUCUUUUGUUUAUUUCAAUUGUGUCCCUGCCAAUUUUGGUCUCUGCCCCUCUUGUUGGCCGCGUGUUUCACUUUAGUCCUUGGCCUCUGAUUUAUGCAAUUGAGCCCUUAAUUGAUCAAUAAACUUCCAAUUUCUUCAAUUAAGCCCCUGAAUCAAUUAAUUGCAGCCCCUCCAUUUACGCGCCUCUUCCAAUUUGGUCCCUGGUUUCGGAUUUUCUCAAUUAAGUCCCCAAUUGGCCCUUAAACUUCAAUAUUUAUGCAAUGAAGCCCCUGAUUUGACCUAAUAAAUUCCUAAAAAAUAUAUUUUGGCCCCAGAACUUAAAUUUCUUCCAAUUAAGGCCUAAAUUGACUUAAAAAUCAAUUUUCCUUGCAAUCAAAACCUCUAUAAAUUCAACUAAACCUUCAAUAAAAUCCAAUUGAGUCCAUAAAUAUCCAAUUUUGGCCUUUUCUCUUCAAAUUAAAUUUUCUCUUCCAACAGGGCUCUCCUCCUUCAAGAAUAUACUGUCAAAAAUCCAAUCUUUGUAUUUUUAACCUCAUUGACCAAUUUUCCGACCAUUUUCUGAACGCUUCUACCUCCUGUUAUUUUUCUAACCUCCUUUGGCUAGAUAUAUAUUUUUAUAUAUAUAUUUUGUGGGGACCCAAAAAUGGGUUACAACAGAUGCCCCCUCUUUAUAAUGCUUACGGAGCAGAGGUUUUGCGCAGUAAGUUUUAUAAAGAUAAACCCAAAACGAAACUCCCGAAACUGAUCUGGUUGAAGCUUGAUUGAUCUGAAACUUGUCUUUUACAGCAAUCCUCCUCAACUUGGAAUCCCAUCUGGCGAUUCCUUUUAACCAACAUGAAAUAUGAGGUCCCAUCUGGCGACCUCCUUUAACCAAUAUCGAAAUACGAGAUCCUUUCUGGCGAUCUCUUUUAACAAAAAAUCUUAGAAUCCCAUCUGGCGAUUCCUUGUAACCAAUGUUGAAAUAUGAGGUCCCUUCUGGCGACCUCCUUGGAUGAAUAUCGAAAUACGAGAUCCUUUCUGGCAAUCUCCUUUAAUCAACUUGGAAUCCCAUCUGGCGAUUCCUUUUUAAUCAACAUGAAAAACGAGGUCCCAUCUGGCGACCUCCAAAUAGCGAAACACGAGAUCCCUUCUGGCGAUCUCCUUUAAUCAACUUGGAAUCCCAUAUGGCGAUUCCUUUUAUUCAAACGAAAUAUGAGGUCCCAUCUGGCGACCUCCAAAUAGCGAAAUACAAGAUCCCUUCUGGCGAUCUCCUUCAACUUGGAAUCCCAUCUGGCGAUUUCUUUUAUUCAACAGGUAAUACGAGGUCCCAUCUGGCGACCUCCAAAUAGCGAAACACGAGAUCCCUUCUGGCGAUCUCCUUUAUUGAACUUGGAAUCCCAUCUGGCGAUUCCUUUUUACAAACAUGAAAUAUGAGGUCCCAUCUGGCGACCUUCAAAUAGCGAAAUACGAGACCCCUUCUGGCGAUCUCCUUCAACUUGGAAUCCCAUCUGGCGAUUCCUUUUAUUUUAACCAAUAUGAAAAACGAGGUCCCAUCUGGCGACCUCCAAAUAGCGAAACACGAGAUCCCUUCUGGCGAUCUCCUUUAUUCAACUUGGAAUCCCAUCUGGCGAUUCCUUUUUACAAACAUGAAAUAUGAGGUCCCAUCUGGCGACCUUCAAAUAGCGAAAUACGAGAUCCCUUCUGGCGAUCUCCCUUAACUUGGAAUCCCAUCUGGCGAUUCCUUUUAUUUUAACCAAUAUGAAAAACGAGGUCCCAUCUGGCGACCUCCAAAUAGUGAAACACGAGAUCCCUUCUGGCGAUCUCCCUUAAUCAACUUGGAAUCCCAUCUGGCGAUUCCUUUUAACAAACAUGAAACAUGAGGUCCCAUCUGGCGACCUUCAAAUAGCGAAAUACGAGAUCCCUUCUGGCAAUCUACUUUAAUCAACUUGGAAUCCCAUCUGGCGAUUCCUUUUAACAAACAUGAAAUAUGAGGUCCCAUCUGGCGACCUUCAAAUAGCGAAAUACGAGAUCCCUUCUGGCGAUCUCUAUCAACUUGGAAUCCCAAUCUGGCAAUUCCUUUUAUUCAAAGCUGAAAUACGAGGUCCCUUCUGGCGACCUCCUUUGAUGAAUAUCGAAAUACGAGAUCCCUUCUGGCGAUCUCAAACAACUUGGAAUCCCAUCUGGCGAUUCCUUAUUACCAAAGCUGAUAUCGAUGUCAUUCUUCCUGAUGGCAGGGUUCAAAACUUUUCAUUUUCUCUCCUUUUCUUGUUCUUCUCGUUGUUCCAGAAUCCACUAUGAUUCAAAAUCGUGAUUCUUUGCUGUCAUCCACUAUGAUUCUUUCUUCGUCUCCAAUCUUGUUGGAAUGCAUUAAGGUCUCCUCCUGUAACGAUUCCAAAAAACAUAUAUGCAAUGAUUUAUGAUUAGAUGCCAUGCAUGCAUUCGUACCUGGUUUCGAAACAUAGGCCCCAUCCUCUCCUUCUAGUUCAUGAGACUCCUUCUUAAGAUGAGCUUGCUUUUGAAGUCGUAUGCUAGAUUCCUCUCUAGUGUUGCCUCCUAUCAUAUUCUUGGAGAAGAAGUCCUGACUUUCUUCAAGUAGUCCUUUUUCCAAAAUGUAUGACUUGUCAUUGCCUCUUUGUCAUGCUUUUGUCAAAUGCUCUAGCUUGGUUUUCAAAUCUAUAGGCUUCCGUACAUUUUAAACACGUAAAGCUUUUCAUGAAAACAUCUCGUAUUGCCCCCAAUGUGGGGUGUGCUCCUAGUCUGGGCUUUUGUAUAGAGAAGAAAUUCGUUCAGCCGAUGCUAAACUUUUUAGGUGCGAUAACAACAAAACAUGCACUGUCGGGAUUAAUGCAAAAAAAUGAUUGUUGUGAGAUCAAUGCAAAAGAGAAAGAAGUCAAUGGCCAAACUUUGCUUUAUUGAUUUAGGAGCCUACAUCAAGCAUAAUAUCUUUUUACAGAGUCAGAAUUCACAGGUCGAGCUAGGUCUUCUCCAUCCAUUCUAGCCAACUUCAGCGCUCCUCCUGAGAAUGCCUUCUUCACUACGUAAGGACCCUCGUAAUUCGGUGCCCAUUUGCUUUGAUCGUCUCCAGGUAGUGACAAUAUUUUUUUCAAUACUAGAUCCCCUUCUCGAAACAACCGCGGUCUAACCUUCUUAUCAUAUGCCUUAGCCAUUCGUUCCUGGUAAAGUUGGUGAUGACAUAUUGCAGCUAUCCUCUUUUCGCUGAUCAAGUUCAGUUGCUCAUAUCUCACUUUGGCCCACUCGGCCUCUUCUAAUUCGGAGUCCAUCAACACUCUUAACGACGGGAUUUCUACUUCCAAAGGCAUCACUGCUUCCAUACCAUACACCAGAGAAUAUGGAGUAGUUCCUAUUGAGGACCUGACGGUAGUGCGGUAUGCAUGGAGAGCGAAUGGCAACAUCUCAUGCCAAUCUCUAUAUGUGACUACCAUUUUCUGAAUAAUCUUUUUGAUGUUCUUGUUGGCGGCUUCUACUGCGCCAUUCAUUUUUGGUCGGUAUGGUGAGGAAUUCGAAUGCUUGAUUUUCCAUUUAGUACACAGCUCCGCUAUCAUUUUGCCAUUGAAAUUCUGUGCAUUAUCUGUCACUAUCUUUUCCGGAGGACCAUAUCGACAAAUCAAGUCCUUCUCUAUAAACCUCUUCACUACGUUCUGUGUUAUGUGGGCAUAUGAAUUAGCUUCCACCCAUUUUGUGAAGUAGUCAAUAGCUACGAGGAUGAAUCUAUGACCGUUGCUAGCUUUUGGGUUAACAGGUCCGAUCACGUCGAUUCCCCACAUUGCAAAUGGCCAAGGAGAUAUCAGAUUAAAUAGAGGAGCUGGUGGCAUAUUGACCUUGUCACUGUAAACUUGACACUUGUGACAUUUCCUGACAUAGUCGAUGCAGUCUUUCUCUAACGUCAUCCAAAAAUAACCAGCCCUUUGUAUUUUCCUUGCUAUCAUAUGCCCGCUAGCAUGGGUUGAGCAAAUCCCCUCAUGGACCUCCCGUAAUGCCUUCCUAGCAUCUGCCUCAUUCAAACACCUUAGCAGGGUUCCAUCAAAUGAUCUUUUGUACAAAAUCUCUCCAUCUAAAUAGAAGUCUAUAGCCAACCUUCUCAAGGUUUUCUUAUCCGUUUUGGAAGCUCCCACCGGAUAUUCAUGAUUUUGCACAAGGUUCUUGAUAUCAUAAUACCAAGGAUGUCCGUCUAUCUCUCCUUCAACUAAGCAACAGUGAGCUGGGUCAUUUCUAAUAUCAAUGUGUACCGGUUGUACCUUGCACUUGAGAUCAAUGGUAGUCAUAGCAGCUAGCGUGGCCAAAGCAUCCGCAAAAUGGUUCCCCUCCCUUCCCAGAUGGGUGAAUCUAAUUUCUUCAAAUUCCUUUGCUAGCGUGGAUAGGUAUUCCUGGUACGGCCUCAACUUUUCCUCCUUGGUUUGCCAUUCCCCUUUAACCUGACAGAUAAUCAACAUUGAAUCUCCAUAUACAUCUAACUUCUUUAUCUUCAACUCUAAUGCCGCUUCUAAACCGAGGAUACAAGCUUCAUACUCAGCUGUAUUGUUGGUGCACUCGAAAUGCAGUUUAACCGAAACUGGAUACUGUUUCUUAUCAGGAGAGAUUAUUACCGCACCGGCCCCGUUACCAUAUACAUUCCCUGCACCGUAAAAAAACAUUGUCCACCAAUCUGUCUUCUCUUCUUCUUUCUCUAUUGACAAUAUAUCUUCAUCAGGGAAGUCAAAAUCCAAAGGUUCGUAAUCUUCAACAGCAUUAUCGGCCAGAUGGUCCGCGAUUGCACUUCCUUUUACGGCUUUCCUUGUCAUGUAUACUAUGUCAUAUUCUGCUAAUAAAACUUGCCAUCUUGCAAUUCGGCUUGAGAGAAAGGGCUUGUUACAAAGAUACCUCAGAGGAUCCACUUUUGAAAUCAACCAAGUGGUAUAGUAUAACAUAUAAUGUCGCAACCUCUUCGCCGCCCACACCAACGCACAACAAAGCCUUUCUAUCUCCGUGUAUCUAGACUCACAUUCAGUGAAUUUCUUACUUAAGUAAUAAAUAGCUCUUUCCUUCCUUCCGGUUUCAUCAUGCUGACCCAAUACACAUCCCAUGGCUGCUUCAGUUACUGUUAGAUAUAAUACUAGAGGUUUUCCUGAUACCGGAGGAACCAGUAAAGGUGGAUUUUGUAAAUAAUGCUUGAUUUUAUUGAAUGCCUCCUCACACUCCUCAUUCCAGGUUCCAGGAUUCUUUUUCCUUAGUAGUCGGAAUAUAGGUUCACACGUCGUUGUUAACUGAGCUAUGAACCGAGCAAUGUAGUCUAACCUUCCCAAGAAUCCUCUUACUUCUUUCUCCGUCUUAGGGGAUGACAUAGCUUGGAUGGCCCUUACUUUAUCCGGAUCCACCUCUAUACCUCUAUCACUUACCACAAAUCCUAACAGCUUGCCCGAUUUAACUCCGAAUGAACAUUUUGCGGGAUUAAGCCUUAAUUCAUACUUCCUCAACCUCUCAAAUAACUUCCUCAAAACUUCAACAUGAUCUUGUCCCUUUUUAGACUUGGCAAUCAUAUCAUCCACAUACACCUCAAUUUCCUUGUGCAUCAUGUCGUGGAACAAAGUCACCAUUGCUCUUUGAUAUGUUGCUCCUGCAUUCUUCAAACCAAAUGGCAUGACCUUAUAGCAGUAAGUUCCCCAAGGUGUGACAAAAGUUGUUUUCGCCUUAUCCUCUAGAGCCAUUUUUAUCUGGUUGUAUCCUGAAAAACCAUCCAUAAAGGAAUAAGUGGAACUCCGGGCAGCGUUAUCCACUAAAACAUCUAUGUGUGGUAGGGGAAAAUCAUCCUUAGGGCUAGCUCUAUUCAAAUUCCGAAAAUCCACACAAACUCUAAUCUUCCCCUCUUUCUUAGGCACCACAACAACGUUAGAUACCCAUUGUGGAUAUCUAACUACUUCUAGGAAGCCAGCAUCCCAUUGCUUCUCAAGUUCUGCCUUGACCUUAAUCCAGACAUCCGGGUGGGCCCUCCUCAGCUUCUGCUUGACUGGCUUACAACCUUCUUCCAACGGUAUCUUGUGUACUACAAUAUUUGUAUCCAAACCAGGCAUAUCUUCAUAGGACCAAGCAAAGACAUCUGAAUAUUCUUGUAAUAGGGUGAUCAUUUUUAUCCUUUGUUCAGAAGUAAUUAAGGUACCUAUUUUCAACUCUUUCUUGAGCUGAUCACUACCCACAUUGAUGGUUUCGAGUUCCUCGGCGAUAGGCUUCCAAGUCUGUUCCUGUUGUUCUACUAGCCUGGUGAAUUCACUGAUAUUGCUCUCAUCCCACUCUUCUUCUUCCAUAGCUAUCACAUGCUCGUUCAAGUUUGGCCAUUUAUUCUUGGUGCUAAAUGUAUGUGAUGUUGUAGGAGAUCCGCUUUCAGGAUUCCUGAAAGCGGGAAGUGUUUGGUGUAAAUGCAUAAAAAAAAAGAAGGCAAUUUGUGAAAAGUGCAUGAUCUCACAGUUUAUUUAAAGAAAAGGUGGGCUCCAUGACAAACAUAAAAUCUAGCUGACAUCAUGAGCCUUGAUUGUCAACCAGAGGAAAUAAAAGCAAACAUAAGCAAUGACAAAAGCAUGUUAAGGCAAACAAAAUUGGUUUACAUUUUGAAAACCACUGGAGCUUCUUGGGUCACCCAGUUCUGAAACUUCUCGUCUUGAGCCAACUUGCGCACAAAGGUCUUGGUAGAGACUUCUUCUAUGGUGUAGACCGUCAGUUGUGGGAGUGCUUCAUCUCCCUUUCUUGCUACUGUCUUCAUGUCAUCUCCUUCUACCUUGUUUUCCCCCAAGGUAUUUAUGCUCAUGUUUGACAGCUCUUGAUCAAGGCUUUCGGCUUCUUUAUCAUGUUGCAUUAUGUAUGCAGUUUUUGGGAAUGACACGCCAAGGGGAGGGAUUUCUAGCUUUUCUUCAUCAGGCUCUCUUCCUUUAAUUCUAGCCAUCCUUCUUGCCCUUCUCCGACCAGCAGCCCACCGAUAAUCCUCUUGGUUAGGUUGGUACCCUAACCCAAAUCUUUGAGCAGCACUUUUCAUCCUUGCCAGAUUAACCCCUUCUGGUAUCCCGAUAAUAAGGUUAUACUGAAAUGGGAUCCCGCGGUUCAAGAAGCAUAGACUUGCCAUCCUUGCUGCUUCUGAGAUCCUUGGCCUUCUUAGCACUGUGUUCUCCGGCACCCAGUCGGUGUUCACAAUCUCAAAGGCAUGGAUAUUGUUAUCCUUGCAAUCAUUCGCUUCGAUAAAAGGCACAGCCACAUUCUUUAUCAUGGAUACUGUCUCCUCAGCCUUGACAGUUACCAACAUCCCAUUCAUGAUAUACUUCAGGCAUUGGUGCAAUGACGAAGCUACUGCCCCCGCUGCAUGAAUCCAAGGUCUUCCUAACAACAUACUAUAGGAAGGGUGGAUAUCCAUAACCUGAAGUGUUACUAGGAACAUUUGUGGUCCCACAUAUAGCUCCACUUCUAAAGUCCCAAUUAUUGGCCUAGGUGAGCCAUCAUACGCUCUGGCCAUCAUAGUACUUGGCUUUAUAUGGGAUUCAUCGAUCGGCAUUUCUUUCAGCAUGUGCUUUGGCAACACAUUAAGGGCCGAGCCAUUAUCAAUGAGUACUUUUCCUAUGAGGCAGUCCUUGCACCUAACCGUAAUGUAUAAGGGCUUGUUAUGUCCGGUACCUUCAGCAUCAAGCUCAUCAGCCGUGAAGUACAGGUAAUUAGUUGCAUGGAUCCUUCCCACUAGAUGCUCCAUGGUUUUAUGUUCAAUGUCUUGGGGUACAUAUGCCUCAUUCAAUACCUUUUGCAAGGCGUUUCGAUGCGGCUCAGAGCUGAGUAUCAAGGACAUAAGGGAGAUCCUAGCUGGAGUCUUCUUUAGUUGAUCUACUAUGCAAUAUUCACUAUGCUUGAUCAACUUCAGGAAUUCAUUUGACUCCUCUUCUGUUACCGGCUUAUUAACUUCUAGUGCUUUGUCAAGAUCUACCACUUCUUUACCCUUUUCCUUCCUCAACUCCUCAGAAGUAAAGCAACGACCACUCCUGGUCAAACCACUUAUCUCAGUCUGGAACAAAGGAAGAGGAGCUCGAACGUUGGAGGCAUAACCAUAAUUAUAAGGCAUGGCAUUGUGAUUCCCUUUUGUGUAGGACGGUUUAACCAAGAUUAGCCUUGGGGGACCAUUAGCUGUUUGUUGGACCCUGCAUACUCCUGUCAUUUCCAUCUGACCUUCCAUCAUACUCACCUCACCGCUACUCUUCAUGGGUUCAAUCCUCAACUCCCCCAUUUUCAGCAUUUUUGCAAUCUUUUCGCAAAACUCGAUGCAAUCCUCAAUAUGAUGUCCAUCUCUUCCAUGGUAUUCACAGUAAUCAUAUCCCUCCAAAUGGCUCUCCACCUUUGUCUUUAGAAAUCCUGAUUGUACCAACAUGUCGUACAACUUUUUCAUGGACACCUUCAACAUCUGGCAUUGAUUUCCCACUUCGAUCAUACCUAUUCCACUACUAUUUGGGGCAUGCUUAGGCAAUGGGUUUGAAUUAACAUUGGGCUUGUCUUCAAAGGAUACCCAUCCCAUCUUAAUAAGCUCUAAUAACCUCUUUUUGAAAGCGUAACAGGUUUCAAUCCCAUGCCCGGGAUUACCCCCAUGGUACUCGCAAGCCAACUCGGGCUUGUACCAGAUUGGGAAUGGUGGUUGUAGUGGUAGUGUAGGGAUAGGAGCUAUUUGUCCAAUGCUCAAAAGUUUGGCGUACAUGUCCUUCAAAGGCAUGGGUAACGGUGGCAGUUGUUCUGAAGUGUAUCUUGUAUGGGGUCUUUGGUAGUGAUUUUGGUAGUUUGACUGGUUAUUUGUUCGAUUAGGGGAAAAAGGUGGGUUAAAGUUUAUGCGUGAGAAUUGAGAGGCAGGUGCUUGAGGACUAUGGAAAUCUACUCUCUUGCCCUUAUACCCACCUUCCAGAUUGUUAACAUCGCCUUCUCUCUUUCUUCCAAUAAAACCCUUCUUUUCCACUGGCAUCGCUAUUCGCCCAGCUUUAAUCCCUUGUUCUAUCCUUUCAGCUAUGCGUACCGCAUCAUAGAAAUGUUGAGAGGAACUACCCAUUAGGUGCUCAUAAUAAGGUGUCUUGAAGGUAUUAGCAAACAAGCUCACCAUCUCCGUUUCUAUCAAAGGGGGUUGGACAUGCAUUGCCUCAUCCCUCCAUCUUUGCGCAUAAGCCCUUACUGACUCCUGGCUCUUUUUCUCCAUUGCCAUUAGACUUGUUCGAUCAGGAGCGAUUUCCAUGUUAAACUUGUACUGUUUGAGGAAAGCCUCCACCAAGUCUCUCCCGCUUCUGAUCUUGACACUAUCUAACCUCAUGUACCAACUCAAAGCGGACCCUGAGAGGCUAUCCUGAAAGAAAUAGAUUAGCAGCUUAUCAUCGCGGAUUACUUCCGCCAUUUUGUUGCAGUAGGAUCGAAGGUGAGUGUUUGGGCAUUCCAAACCGGUAUACUUAAUGAACUCUGGUAUUCGAAAAUCUUUUGGCACCACAAUGUUUGGUACCAAACAUACUUCGACUGCUCGCAUAGGGUCAAACUAAUCAUUACCCUCAACUGCCCUUAAUCUUUCUUCUAGAGCAAAUAGCUUGUCUUGGUCCAUCAUACUGGGAGACCUAUUAUCCGGGACUCCCUCCGUUGUUAAAUCCACAGUGAUUGGAGCGUGAGUUGGCUGAAUAGGGGUGAUAGGCACAAAAUGUUGUUCAUUGGCCGAGUUUGCCCCCUGGUUUUGAGAUGCUUGAGGGAUGUGAGCUGUUGGCGCUCCUUCAGGCUGUUGUGCUGAUGUUCCCUCCCCAUUCUUAGCUCUUAGAAGCUGCUCAAGUAAGUCGGUUAGCCGAGAAACUUCAUUUUUUACGGACUCCAACUCGGUCUGAUAAUGUGACUCUAAGUGAGCUCUCUCUUCGUUCUCCAUUCUCGCUCUAGACCGGGUGUUGUGGACUUUGGAUGUGGGACCUAUGUUUCACGGUCUGGGAUGCAUGGAAAAAUGUAAAUGAAUGUAUGAUAAAGAAACAAUGCAUGAAUGCAUGAGCUUGUUUUUUUUCAAAAAAACGAUCGAUGGCCAACAUUCCUCUUGUGUAAUGGGCAUGGACUCCUUUUGUCACGUUCCUUAUCAGGAGUAGUUUUGCUCAAGCUGCUGCUUUGGUAGGCUUAUAUAUUUUAUUUUUUUUUACAAAAGAUGGGUCAAAGCCCCUUUUCAUUAAUAUUGGCUAAUACAUCUCUUGAAAAGAGGGUACAAAAUAAUAAAAAGAAAAAUACAUCAAUCUUUAGUGACAUGGUGGAAAUUUUUUUUGAAGUUUUCAUGGAUGAUUUUUCAGUUUAUGGGGAUUCUUAUGAGUUGUGUCUAAUGCAUUUAGGAAAAAGUUCUUGAAAGGUGUGAAGAGAGCAAUCUUGUACUCAAUUGGGAGAAGUGUCAUUUUAUGGUGAUAUAUGGCAUUGUCUUAGGUCACAUUGUCUUUUCAAAAGGGAUAGAGGUAGAUAAGUCAAAAUUUGAAGUCAUUCAAAAAUUACCUACCCCUAGGACUGUGAAAGAUGUGAGAUCCUUUUUAGGACACGCUGGUUUUUACCGAAGAUUCAUUCAUUCUUUUAGUACCAUUGCCAAACCAUUGUGUAACUUGUUGUCACAGGAUGUCCAAUUUGAUUGGACAUCAAAAUGUCAAGAAGCUUUUGAAAAGCUUAAAGGGUUGUUGACCACUGCACCAAUCAUGCAAGCUCCUGAUUGGUCUUUACCAUUUGAAUUGAUGUGUGAAGCUAGUGAUUUUACGGUAGGGGAUUUUGCGGUAGGGGCUGUUUUAGGGCAAAGAAAAGAUAAGAAGUCUCAUGUCAUUUAUUAUACUAGCAAGACUUUGAAUGAUGCUCAAUUGAAUUACACUACAACUGAAAAAGAACUCUUAGCUAUGGUCUUUGCGUUAGACAAGUUUAGGUCUUAUUUGGUUGGAUCUCUUGCUAUUGUUUUCAUUGAUCAUAUAGCAUUGAAAUACUUGCUCACAAAACAAGAUGCCAAGCCACGUUUGAUUCAAUGGAUCCUCCUACUCCAAGAGUUUAACCUUGAAAUUCAAGAUAAAAAGGGAGUAGAGAAUGUAGUGGCUGAUCAUUUGUCCCGUCUUUCAAGCUAUGAGACCAUCAUUGAUGAAUCUCCAAUAAAUGAAUUCUUUGCUGAUGAAAAUUUAUUUUGUGUAGGUACUGUCUCCUACAUUGGCUCUCCAUGGUAUGCUGACAUAGCAAAUUACUUAGCCACAAGUCAGAUUCCUUCUCAUUGGUCUAAACUUGACAAACAAAAAUUCUUGCGCAACGUGCGUACCUUUUUUGGGAUGACCCCUACCUAUUUAAAUACUGCCCAGACCAAAUUGUUAGGCGGUGCAUCCCUGAUCAUGAAAUUCCAAGUGUCAUUAAUUUUUGUCAUGCAUUAGCCUGUGGUGGGCAUUUCUCUUCCAAGAAAACCACUACCAAGAUCUUGUAGUGUGGUUUUUAUUGGCCCACCAUGUUCAAAGAUGUCCAUGCCUUCUGUGUUGCAUGUGACCGAUGCCAACGACUAGGUAACCUCACUAAGCGUAACAUGAUGCCUCUUAACCCCAUUCUUGUUUUGGAAAUAUUUGAUUGUUGGGGGAUUGAUUUCAUGGGACCUUUUCUGAGUUCAUUUGGUUACCAAUUCAUCCUUCUAGUUGUUGAUUAUGUGUCUAAAUGGGUGGAGACCAUUGCAUCUCGAACUAAUGACCAUCGAGUUGUGGUCAAAUUCUUGAAAGAAAAUAUUUUCUCUUGUUUUGGCAUGCCCCGGGCUAUGAUUAGUGAUGGGGGAAAGCAUUUUUGUAACAAGCCCGUUGGGAUUUUGAUCAGAAAAUAUGGUGUAAUUCACAAGGUUAGUACCCCUUAUCACCCACAGACUAGUGGCCAAGCUGAGUUGGCAAAUAGGGAGAUCAAGAACAUUUUAGAGAAAACAGUCAAUCCAAACCGUAAAGAUUGGUCCCUACAACUAGUUGAUGCUUUGUGGGCAUAUCGCACUGCUUACAAGACCUCUUUAGGAAUGUCUCCUUAUAGGCUAGUUUAUGGAAAGCCUUGUCAUCUCCCUGUUGAGAUUGAGCACCGUGCAUAUUGGGCCAUCCGGCAAUUCAAUGACAAUGAAAACGAGGUUGGCAAAAAUAGAAAGCUUCAAUUGGAUGAAUUAGAGGAGCUGAGAAAUGAUGCAUUUGAAAAUGCCAAAAUUUCUAAACAUAAGAUGAAAACUUUGCAUGAUAAACAUAUUCUUAGGAAAUCCUUUCAUGUUGGUCAAAAGGUUCUCUUGUAUAAUUCACGAUUACAUCUCUUUCCUGGGAAGUUGAGGACAAAAUGGAUGGGUCCUUUUGUGAUUAAAUCCAUCUCUGAGCAUGGUGCCUUUGAGGUAGAAAAUCCUAAGAAUGAAAAUGUUUUCAAAGUAAACGGUCAUCGAUUGAAACCUUAUCUUGAAAACUUUGUGGCUGAAGUUGAGACAUUGGAUCUUAAGAUCCAAUACCAUUGUAGUAUCAGAAGUAAUGAGUUUUUUUUUUUUUCUCUCUCUUAUUCUUCCAACUUUUAUAUUAACUUGUUCAUGCAUUAGGGACAAUGCAUUAUUUUAAGUUGGGGGGGUGAGAGGUAAGUUAUUUUCAAAAAAAAAAUAUAAAAAAAAUGGUUUGAUGUUUUCUUUUAGUUGUGAUAUGCAGGUUAAAAAAAAAUCAAGCAAGAAGUCAGCUCAUGUCCAAUUCAAUCAAACAUUCAUCCUUGAAAAAAAGGAGUAACAGUUUUCUAAUCUUUAUUCUUUUCUUCUCUUUCUUUCUUACAUUGAGGAUAAUGUAAAACUUAAUUUUAGAUAUUUGAUUAUGCUGAAUGCUUGAGAUGGCCAUGCUUGUUUGAAAAAAAAAAAAAACUUGCAUUCGUAUGUUAGUGAGACUUGUUUAGGAUCAACAUUACAUUUUUGGAUUCAUUAUUGUGUGAGCAUUGCAUGCUUUAAUUUGGGAUAGAUAAUAUCUUAUAAAGCAAGAUAUAACAUACUUUUUUUUCCCUUAAGAUUAUUGAAGUACAUUUUUCCUUGUAAAAGUUGUGUGAGUUGUGUGAUUAUGCAUAAAAGAUGAGUGUGAUGCUUUACUUGUGAUUAUCCCUUUUGAUCUAGUCCUAAACAAGGUUUAAGUAAAUAGAGUAAUAAUUAUUAGACAAUUAAAUAAAUAAAUGUGUACAAAGUUCUAUCUACUCUAAUGAUUUGAGUUGCUCAGUAACUAGUGGUAUUCAUCACAAAUGUUUAUCUUUACGUCAAACGACAGCUUGAAAUAUGAGUAUGCAAAGCACUUUAAGUUUGUGACUUUGUGAGUAACCGGGUGCAUUCAUCAAAAAUAUUUGUAUUUGCGUCAAAAGGGAAGUGACCACUUAAAGACAAAGAAUAAAUAAUAUCUUCAAAAAAAAAAGAAAAAAAAAAUAUAUAUAUAUAUAUAGAUAUUUCUCUAGUUUGCUACCUUGUUUGUAGUGGUGAGAAGGGAAGAUUACAAGUUGAGUUUUCGCGUGAAUCAAUUAUGUUGGUUGCAUGAUAAAUACGAUUGAAUUAGGAAUUUUGUAUGGAUGUUUGAUUUAGAGAAUGUGAGUAUGCUUAUUUUUCUUUAUUCGCUAUUGUGUACACUAAGUUAAAGAUACCAAUGUUUGCAUGAUAGGUCCUUUAAGUGUGAUGAGUCGAGCCUAAUUAUGGUUAUUAUUAUUCUUUUUAUUUCAAAGGUUUUAUGUUUUGUUUUGCUUCAGGACUAGCAAAAUCUAAGUUGGGGGGUGUGAUUGUGCAUCAAAAGUAUCAUUAAGUCUCUUAUUUUAUAUAUGUAUUUAUUGUUUUUAUUUAGGUUUUUUUUAAUAAUUGAUGUGCUUUUUAGUAAUGAAGUUUCUUUUAAUGUUUCGAUAGGUUUUUGGAGCUUAAAUGAAUUAUUUCAGAGAAUUUAACAUCGGAAUUCGGAACAAAGAAUUAAAGAGAAAUUUAGUUGAAGAUUGAAGCAAAUCUUGGUUCAAAUAAGUGCUCUAAAUUUGCCCCAAAAAUCAAUUCUAUUCCAAUCCUAGAAAAGAUUAUCAUAUGAUCCAUUUCAAGCCCAAACUUGCCUUAUGUUGUGUGCAAACUUCAACCAUCAAACACUCAAGGUUUCAAUGUCAAUCUUAGCCCAAAUAAUAGGUACAUUUGUAUCAUUAUUUGAUGCUUAAAUUCAGCCCCAAAUCAGCCUCGAAAUCAGCCCAAGCACAAUCCAUGAUCUUACAAGUCCACACAACAAUAACAUUUGAUUUAUUUUGGGCAACCUAUUAAUCCAAAAAGGCAAGCACAUGUAUGGAAAGCUGGAGGGAAAAUUGUUACAUUAUUUUGAGUUAAAAGGAAGAAAGAUUCAGCUCAAAAGGGAGGAAGAAAAUCGUGCACCAAAGUGUUCUCCAAGCUGCCUAAGUUGACUUUCCAGAACACCUUUCGGUGUUGUAGCCAUAACUUUAACUCAAAGAUUCAAAUGAGUUGUUCUUUAAUGAUCUGGGAAGCUAACAGAAUUGCCUAUAAAUAUGUCUCUAAUAGCCAUUUCCAGAGGAGGCUUCUAAGAGAGUUGAAUUGCUGUCCAAAGUUAGCAUCAUAUUUGUGUUAGAAUUGUUACCGAAAUUGAGUUGUGUUUUUCUUUGUAGAUUUCAGUUCUUUAGUUUGUAAAACUUAUUAUUUCAGUUUGAUUCAAGUUAUUUCAUGUUUAUUAAAGUGUUCUUAUAUAUAAUCAUGGUUGGCUAAUCUCUUUCUUGGAUCCAAAUCAAGGAUCAUGGUGGUUGAGGUGAGUUCUUUAAGAUAUGAAUGAAUCUUAAUGUUUAUCUUCUCAUUUUCUUCAUGAAUGUUUUAUUAUUGCAAAGAAAUUUUAGAAAUCAUUUAGGUAAUGUUAUAAUCUUGAAUUUUUAUGCACAAACCUUAGUUUUUGUAUAGAGAUUGCUUGAUUCAAUGUCUUACUUAAUAUGAAAGAACUUGUUCAUUCUUAAGCAAUAAUCAAUCUUCAUCUUUUUAAACUUCAUUGUAAUAUCUUCCGAUCUAAUAUCACCAUCAUUGAUAUUAGGUUGAGUUAUCUUAUAUAUGUUAAAGGAAUCACCAAUACAUCACCAUUAAAAUUGAUUUGGAUCAAGACUUACUUUUUCUUGUCAUUUAAAAUCUAGUUACACUUUUUCAUCUUUGAAAACAAAUCCAUCAAUUAUUUUCAACCAAGUUAUUGUUAAUUUAAUUUCUUUUGAGUUUUUUUGUUACCUAGCUUAAUUUCCAGAUCUAGCUCUUUGUGAAUAUGACCUCGAUCUUAUCGAGUUAAUUGCUACAUCGCACAAUCGUGCACUUGCGAGUUAAAACAAGCCGAUCAUAAAUAGCGGUCAAACACACGCUAAUAAACGGAGGUAACGCUUCUUUUUUUUAUUGUCACCGUCGUUUCUUACCACAUAAUCACAGGUAUAGAAAGAACAGAAAGGAUUUCGUUGUUGGCAGAGUUGAAAAGGAUGUUGCAUCUCCACGUCUUUCUGGUGAAGAAUUGCAUGAUGUUGUAUCAGAGUACGGUGACAUUGUGUUUGGUCUUCAAUCAGGUAAGCAAAAGUUUCCUGGUUUUGGUUUGACCCAUAAUUGGGUAAAGCGAAGUAUCUUUUGGGAGCUUCCUUAUUGGAAGACCAAUCUGCUCUGCCAUAACCUUGACAUCAUGCACAUUGAAAAGAACGUGUUUGAGAACAUUUUCAACAUCGUCAUGGAUGUGAAGGGGAAGACAAAGGACAACAUCAAGGCUAGAUUGGAUGUAGCUUUGUUCUGUAACCAUAAAAAUAUGGAUUUGGUUUGUGAUGCAUCACGGGUUGCAAAACCAAGAGCAAGCUUCGUGUUAGAGAAAAACGCACAACUACUAGUCUACAAAUGGCUUAAGAGUCUACGUUUUCGCGAUGGACAUGCCUUGAACAUAUCAAGGCUGGUUAAUACGGAGGAAUGUGGAUUGUAUGGAAUGAAGAGUCAUGACUGCCAUGUGUUUAUGCAAACGCUCAUCCCAUUAGCUUUUCAUGAUUUGUUGCCAAAGGGGAUAUGAGAUGCACUCACGAAGAUCAGUCAUUUCUUUAGAGAUAUAUGUUCCAGCAAGUUGAAUGUUGAUCACAUUUUGAGGCUUGAAACGAAUAUCGUCGAGACACUAUGCAAACUUAAGAUGAUAUUCCCUCCAUCAUUUUUUUACUCAAUGGAGCAUCUCCCCAUACAUCUACCGUUCGAGGCAAAAGUUGGAGGACCGGUCCAGUAUAGAUGGAUGUACCCAUUCAAACGGUUAGAUAUUACAGUUGCAAUAUAAUUCAUAUAUAAAAGUAUUUUCUUUGUUUUUCUUAAUUGAAAAUAUUUGAUUAAUUAAAUGCAGGUACUUAUUCAAUCUCAAGAAAAAAGUUAAGAAUAAGGCGCAUGUUGAGGCUUCGAUAUGUGAGGCCUAUAUUAUUGAGGAGAUCUCAACAUUUAUCUCGUACUAUUUCGAACCUCAUCUGAGAACGAGAAUCAAUCGCGUUCCCCGGCAUGAUGAUGGCGGUGAAGUGCCUUCCAGUGGGAACUUGUCAAUAUUCUCCAAUUCUAGACGACCCACACCUAAAAAUAUCGUAAGAGGAAGAUAUUUGUCGGAAAUAGAGUUCAAACAAGCACACAAUUAUGUUCUAUUUAACUGUGAUGAGGUGAGACCUUUAUUCAGUAAGUAUAUAUAUGCGUAAUACUAAUUAAUCUUUGUCAAUAAUAUAUAUACUUGAGAUUAUAUACCUCGAACAUAUCAUACUAUCAUUAUCACUUACAGGCAACAUCGACAAUAUUUGUUGUCCAAUAACUCACAGCUGACCGAAUCCCAGAUCUUUCAAUUACAAGAUGAACAAUUUGCUACGUGGUUCAGAACACAUGUAAGUACUAUCAUAAACUCAUCCUCACUUGCAAAAUUACUGUAUGCAUGUCAUUACGAGAAAAAUAUAUAUUGUUCAUUGAUGUACAUUACAUACAAGGUUUAUCAAAUAGGAAGGAGUGUUGCUAAGUCAUUGUCUCCACCAAGCCUAGGCCUUGAAAGAAAAUUUAAGUGCUACAAUGGGUAUUUUGUCAAUGGAUAUAUGUUCCAUACUGAAGAAUACGGGCUUGGAAGAAAGACAUACAACAGCGGUGUUUGUGUUAAGGGAUCGACUAGUAGUGAGUUAGAAGUUGACUACUAAGGUAGAUUAGAAGAGGUCAUCGAACUGCAAUAUCAUAGCGAGCAGAAUAGAGUGUUUUUAUUCAAAUGCUAUUGGUAUGACAUGACUGACAGAGGAAUCAGAGUUGAUCUGUAUUAUGGUCUGGUCAAAAUCAACUCAAAAGCUAGACUCCGCAACGUAAAUGAUGUCUUUGUUUUCGCAAAGCAAUGUCAACAAGUUUAUUACACAUUCACCCCUUCCUUUAGAAAGGAUCGAUCAAGAGUGGAUUGGUUGUCCGUUUUAAAAACAAAACCUAGGGGUCAUGUCGAGCUUGUUCAUGAUGAGAACGAAGACACAAGUGUGCAAGAUGAAGUCUUUCAAGUUAGUGAGUUGGUUGAACCAUAUCGAUUUUCUUCAUCAAUUGACUUGGAAGAAAAUUUAAAUUUUCGUGUUUUCGAUGAUAGUCUUGUUGAUGUUGACGCAGAGGAGUUGAAUGUUGUUUUGAUCUCUAGCGGACAAACAAAUGUCAAUGAAGACGAUGAUAUCCAUAUUGAAGAUUGCGAUGAAGGUGAUGACUAUUCAAUUGACGAUGAAGAAGAAGAAAAUUCUGACUAAUUAUCAGAAUGAAGCCCUAUGUAAAACAUUUUUUUCAUGUAAUAUAUAUUAUGGAUGAUAUCUUUUGUAACACGAAAUAUUUAUUUUAUAAUUUUAUGUAUUGUUUAAGCAUUGUUGUUAUUGUUUUGUGCGAUGGACAAUUUAUCUUUUAAGUGUUUGCAAGAAGGUAAAUAGGUAACACAAAUAUAAUCUUUCUUUACAUGAACUAUCACCGACGUCCAUACCGACGGAAUAAGGUCUGUCGGCAUUUCACAGAGAGUUGGAAAAUAAUUACUGGAAAAUGCCACAAUCACCGACGUCCAUACCGACGACCUAAGGUUCGUCGGUAUUUCACAAAGAGUUGGAAAAUAAUUACUGGAAAAUGCCACCAUCACCGACGUCCAUCCCGACAGCCUAAGUUCCGUCGGCAUUUCAUAGAGAGUUGGAAAAUAAUUACUGGAAAAUACCACAAUCACCGACGCAUGUGCCAACGGAUUUAAGUCCAUCAGUAUGUUGUCGGCGGGUCAAUAUUACCGAGAACAUCACUGACGAAAUGUGUGAAUUCCAAAGGGCGGUGCAUUAAAUGCAUCUCUGACCGUGUCCUGUUGCCGACGGAAUUGCCGACGAACCGCAAAAAUAUGAAGGGUAAUUAAAAAUGAUGGUGCGAAAUUCCAAACUUACCGACGGAUUUUCUGAGCUUCACCGUCAGAAUAAUUUAAAUUAAUAUUAAUUUUAUAAGUCUGUCGGUGAAUCCGUCGGUAAAACUGCACUAUAAAUAUAAGCGACCGCCCUUUCAGUUCAUUUUUUUACCUGCUUCAUUUCCCAGUUUCGUUUUUUCCUUUCAUUUCCUUCAAGAUUUUUGUGUUUUUUUGGCUUGAAAUCUUUAGUUCAAUCUUCAACAAUUUAAAAGGUAUGUACUUCCUCUUCUUCAUUUCUUAAAUAUUUUAUUUUUGUAUUUGUUUUUUUGUUUUAGCUAUUGUUAUUUUUGUUAUGUGUUUUGUUUUGGUGUAUUUUUAUAAUGUAGAUAAAUUCUUGAAAUAAACACGUUAUUUCCUAAAGUCUAUAUAUAUUUUUAUAUUGCCAUAAUAAUUGAAUAAUUGGUUAAAUUGUUAUUGUUAAUGUUGAAUUUACUUAGAAUUAGUAAUUGAAUAUGUUGGAAUAAUUAGUAAUUUUACUCUAUUAUUGCAUGAUUUGUGUUUAAUUAUUUCCAUUAAUUUUAAUUGUUAGUCUAGAGUUUUUUUUUUAAUUUAUUGAAUGUAUUUUAUUGUUGUGUUGCCAUAAUAAUUGAAUAAUUUGUUGAAUUGUAAUGGUUAAUGUUGAAUUUACCUUGUAAUUAGUAAUUGAAUAUGUUGGAAUAAUUAGUAAUUUUACUCUAUCAUUGCAUGAUUUGUGUUUAAUUAUUUUCAUUAAUUUUAAUUGUUAGUCUAGAGUUUUUUUUUUUGAAUUUUUUGAAUAUAUUUAUUGUUGUGUUGCCAUAAUAAUUGAAUAAGUUGUUGAAUUGUAAUUGUUAAUGUUGAAUUUACCUUGUAAUUAGUGUGGAUGUUAUUUGUAUAGAUGUUAUGUUAUAUACAAUAUUAGUAUAGAUGGGGUCAAUUGGUUGUAGCUAUUGUCAAUAUUUGCAGGUUUGUGGAUUUGGAUAGUCUCCAGUAUAGGGGAGGUGCUGUCGAAUUUUUUUUAACAUUCGAAUUUCAUUAUAUAAUUAUUCGUAUAAAAUUGUGUAGAUGCGUAGAACGAAAUCCACGACUCGUCGCUCACGUAUGGUCGCAGCUAGUUCUUCUAGCAGCGAGGAUGACAUAUCCUUAGGUGCCUCUCAAGAGGAGGCACCUGCGUCGUCAACCGAUGCUGCCUCUUCCAGCGCAGUUUCACAGCGUAGAGGCGGCAUGCCUUCGCAGCGGAAUCAAUUCACCCGCAAGUACGAGGCACAGUGGAAGGACGACCUUUCAAUGUAAGUUUGUUAAGGUUUUAGUUUUUUUUAAAUUAUAAAAUAAUUUAUGAACAACUAAUCAAUAUUUCAUUAAUUUAAUUUAUUUUCAGGUUCACAAACAUUGAGGUCGCCCGAGUAAUAUCAUCGACGUUUAAAUCAUCGAUGGAGAUUCUAUUAUUUCAAUGGAGUCAAGUAUCCAGACAUCUUGAAUGGAUACCUCAAAUCGAUGUAUGGUUUGACAGAUUUGAGGUUGGUGUUAAUUUAUAAUUUACAGCUUAUUUCUAAUAAUUUAUUAAUAUAAUUGUAAAUAAAUUAUUAUUUUUAUUUAUCUAAUGACACGAUCAAAGAGUUGAUGUCUUAUCCCAAGUGCAGGAGUGUCAAAGUAAUAAAUAACUCGGCAAGACCGGGGUCGAACCACAGGGAGGUGAACUAUAUAAAUUAUAAAUAAUAAUAAUAAGAACAACAACAACAACAACAACGAUGAUGAUGGUGAUAGUGAUGAUGAGUUAAAGAGGACUUUGAGAUGUAAGAUUAAUGUGAAGAUUAAACAAUGAUAAAAAUAAAUGUCAAGGUUAGAGGAUUCACUAAUAGUAUUAGAGAUAAGUAAAGUAUAAACUCUUUAUAAAUUAUCAACAUGAUCAUAUUAAUCAUCUUAUUUACGUAACACCAUACUUAUAAAUUUUAUCAGGUAUUCAUGAUGCUAACGUAUGUUGACAGCAAAUCAAGUUCCUCUCAUAACAACGAUGUCGGCCGAAGACUAUUAAGGAUCAAGUAUUUGAUGUACCAAGUGUUAUACAACACAAAUCUAGAUUAACCAUUUAACAAGCAAGGUAUUAAGAGUUAAUAAGAUAAAAAUGAUAAGAUAUGUUAAUAGCAAACUUUCUUGGAUAUAAACAUUAAAGUCCAUGUUGAGUUUAUAUUAUACAUAUUCUAACAUCAUUAGUGAAACCUUUUCAGCUUGACAUAAUUAACUUAGCUAGACAUUAUGAAGAAGAAAAACAUAAAUAAACAAUAUAAGAACAUAAACAUGAUAUAAGUUAACUAAGUAUUGUUGUUACCCAUUUUUGGGUUCCCACAAAACAAAAUGAGAAAAUACAAAAAAAUAUAAAUCAAAAAAUAUUCGGAAGAAAUCCAAAAAAAUAAUAGGAGCUAGAAAAGGAUGCUGGAAUACCGAGAAAUGCCAAAAUUGGUUGAAGAGGUUCAAAAAUGCAAAAGGUUAAAAUUUGACAGUAUAUUUUUGACAGAUGAGAGCCCUGUUGACAAAGAAAAUUGAAGUUGAGGAAGAAAAGUCUAAAAUCAGAUGUUUAUGGACUCAAUUAAAUUUUAUCUAAGGUUUAAUUGAAUUUAUAGAGGGUUGGAUUGUACAAAAAUUGAUUUUUAAGUCAAUUUAGGCUUUUAUUGGAAGAAAUUAAAGUUCUGGGGUCCAAUUAUAAUUUUGAAAGAGUUGAUUUGGCCAAAUCAGGGGUUUAAUUGCAUAAUUAUUGAAGUUUGAUGACCAAUUAGGGACUUAAUUAAAAUAAUCCAAAACCAAGGACUAAACCGGAAAAGGCACUAAAAUCAAGGGAUCCAAUAACAAUUCAUCCGGGGGGCUUGAUUACAAAAUUGUGAAAACAGCCAAGGACCGAAUCAAAAAUAUUCAUUUGAAUUGUGAAACGGCGCCGUUUUCUUUGACACUAUUCAUCACCAUCUUUAAAGCAGCCGUUUCAGCAGACAAGAACCGCAAGAAGAAAAUGCCGCAGAUUGCUUGAUUUCUUCAGUUAUGGGACCGUUACCGAACGUCUUUAAUAUAAAAGAAAAAAACGCAUGCAGUUUUGGCUAUAAAAGGAGAGAAAAAGAACGAGACAGGGGAGACCAGGGAGAGGGAGUAGAGGUUACAUUGAGGAGAAAGCAAGAGGGAAACAGAGUAGGAGAACGUAAGAAAUAGGAGAGAGAGCGGAGAAAUAUUGAGUAAGCAAAAGGGGGAGCAGACGAAUCAAACCGAACGGACGUAGAGGAAACAGAAAGCAGAUAACACAGCACCAUCACCAUCUUCGUCUUCUCCAAACCAGGUAUGUUCGAUGUCCUUCUCAGUUCCUGUAUAACGAGUUGGUGCAUGUUUAGUAUGUAAAAGAAGAAAAGAAAACGUAAGGAAAUCAACGCUGCAAUCACUCUGUUUUUUCUGCCUUUUGUUCUGUUCCUAUAUUGAAAACAAGAUGAUGAACAGUGCGAAGGUAAUUUAAUUACCUUCGCACUGUUCAUGCACGCGUUAACUAUUACGCGUGCAUGGGGAAAGAUGGGCUGGUCACUGGCAUGUGCUAGUGACCAGGCUGGGCUGGUCAGGCCCAUCCCAGCUGCGCAGGUGGCUGGGUCCAGCCCCGCCACAUGGAUCGGGAUGGGCCCAACCCAAAUAAAAAAAAUAAAAAUAAAUGUUUCAAAAAUCUAUGAUUUUUUUGUUUUCUACGGUAUUUUAAUCAACAUCAGUUUGUUUUUUUAUACUGUAAAGAUACAACUUUGGUGUUAAAAUAUCCGGUUUUCGGCAAAACAUAAAUAAAUAAAUAAAAUAAAAUAAUUUGUUUUCAUGCAUACGGCCAAGUCUCUCAAAAAUAUAUCAUAUUGUAUUUUCAUAUAUAUAUAUACAAAAAAUAAAAAUUCAAAAUAUGUAUUAGCACGCAUUUUGGCUUUAAUAACCAGUUUAUUAAAGUCAUGAGAACUAGGCCAAUAUUUCAAAAUUUUCAAAAAAAAUUAUUUUGUUUUCUUUUAAUAUCUGGGGUUACAACCUUAUACGUAAGGCGUAUUCCGGAUAUUAAAAUUCUUUUGUUGACGCCAGAAUUACUCGAUAAGAUAAGGAUCUCCUUACUGAGGAGGACUUUUCUUAAACCAUAGACGGAUCAACAACUAGAAAACACGACCAGACCUUAGAUUUUAUCAGACAACAAAACAAUGCAGCUUACCUUAGGUAGGACGUAUUUGGGGUACUAAUACCUUCCCUUUACGCAACCAGUCUCCGUACCCGAUCUCUGAGACCAGUUAGGGUUCCUAGUGACCAAAAUACUAGGUGGCGACUCCCACUCUAUUUUUUCACUAAUAAAAGACAAGAAUUCCUUGUCUCCCCACUUUUGCCACAUUAGAUAAGUUUUGAGGGUGGAUGUUUUUCUCCGCGACGCUGCGCACGUGCGACAGAAUGACGACUCCACUGGAGACCUUGUGGACUAAGCUUUGUUUUUGUCUGAUAACUGUCUUUUGUUUAGUUUGCGUGUUUUCUGUUAAUAAGAUUAUUUUAUUUAUUUAUUUUACAUGCUUUAAUUUCCGUACAUAUAUGUUCAUGCAUUGUAUAUAACUGCCUCAUACAUCACAUUAAUGUUUUUUUAAAAAAACAAACACACACACAAGCUUCUAAGUUAGGUGGGGAAUUAGCAAUCUGCCCUAUGACUAUUGGUGAGGGUUCAGAUGCGUGAAACACCCAACUCAUAUCUGAGUGCCUGCUUGGUAAUGGUGGGCAUACGUGCCUUAACUGUUCCUUGCAAUGCCCCCACACUGUCUUUACGAAGAUCGUCACUGGGCAGAUAUGAGACCCUUUUGAGACUAGAUAGUCAACCAACCUUUUUGUCUCACUUAAUGAAUAUAACCUGUUCUUAAGUUGUGUGUUUUAGUUUUUGUUUUGCAUCAAAGUAAACCCUUCCUGAAGCAUCUUGAACUUAAGAAUUGUGGUUGACACAAUGGCCGUUACUUAGAAAAUUUUCGUUGUGGCGUAAAAAUCAAAAUUCUCAGGGUUACGACCACGUGUCAACUCUGGAAGGGCGAGCUCAUCAUAUAAGAAACAUAUUCAUACAUUUAUCAUACAUACCGUCAGGUUGAAACAUACGUCCCCCACCCAAGAUUUGCUACACCUGAAAGAUGGAAAAUGAAGAAAGAGCUCAAUUGGAGGCCCAUUAUCAAAAUGAAAUUGAGAGCAUCAAAGGUGAAGUAGCUAGACUUACAGAUCUGCUUGAACAAGUGCUGAGCUCAAAAAAUGGAAAAGGGAUUUUUGCACAACCUCCUGUGAAAACACCAUCAAUCCACGUCCCAGGGACAUCUCGAAACUUAGGGGCAGAUUCAACAGCAGAACAAUAUUUUGUGCAUAUCACCCCUAUCCCGUCAAGUCAAGCUCCCAUCACCUUUGAUUUAACAGCAGAUGGACCCCCUGGCAAUAGAUCCACUAAUUUUGUGAACUACGACAAGUUGUUUGCUUUGGAAGAAAGAUUAAGAGCAGUUGAGGGUAAUGAUUGGUUUGAUCCCAUGCGAGCAACUGAAGUGUGUUUGGUACCAAACAUCAUAGUACCAAAGAACUUUAGGAUACCAGAGUUCAUCAAAUACACUGGAUUGGAAUGUCCAAACACUCACCUUUGAUCUUACUGCAAUAAAAUGGCCGAGGUGAUUUAUGAUGAUAGGAUGCUGAUAUACUUUUUCCAAGAUAGUCUCACUGGAUCUAUUUUGAGCUGGUACAUUAGACUAGACAAUGUUAAGAUUAAGACAUGGAAAGACCUGGUAGACGCCUUCUUGAAGCAGUAUAAAUUUAAUCUGGAAAUUGCUCCUGACAGAACCAUCCUAAUGGCUAUAGAGAAGGAAAACCAAGAGUUUGUGCGGGCAUACGCGCAAAGAUGGCGAGAUAAGGCAACAUAUGUUCAACCUCCACUGAUAGAUACAAAAAUGGUGAUGUUGUUUGCCAACACCUUUCAAUCCCCUUAUUAUGAGCAUUUAAUAGGAAGCUCAGCUCAACAUUUCCAUGAAGUUGUGAGGAUUGCUGAAAGAAUUGAACAAGCUAUGAAGAGGGGAAAGAUUGAAGGUUCUGCUAUGAAUUCCAGAACAAUGAUGAGAGAUGACUCUGAAGGUGGAUGAACAAGAGGCAAGUUGAGCGUGUGAAAGGUGAUGUCAUUGGCUAUAUUAUCCCCCGAACAUCUUCAGAAUGACAAGUGAUCGAAAAUGCUUGCCAGAAAAGUUGGUCCAAGAAUGGCGAUGAAUUGUCAAUUAUAUUGUUAUGGAAUUUUGCCAUUUUGCAUUUUUAUUUUGGGAUCACAUCUCAUUCUUUAACGAAACAUGUCUUUUCUUUGUUUCUUUGUUGUUCUGAAGUCAGGAGAUGUUUAGCAUUUCAUUUUUGACAAAAUAUUUUGAUCGAACUCCAACAUGCAAUUAAGGCUAAUCAACCUAGACAGAUUAAUAGUAUUUUGAUUUCAGAAAUGACUCGAUGCUUGUUAAAAUGAUAUGGGGUGACCAAACAAAUUUUGAGCUCAUACAUGAAACUGAAUCACUCAUCAUGUAGCUAAGUUUUAGCAGUAUGCAUAAUGACAUGUAAUGGAUUCAGUAGUUAUAGACUCGCGAAUCAAGGUUCUUGCAAGUCCAAAUCAUUACACUGGACGAGGUCAAACUUUAUCGGUUAACACUGUCCUUGCUUGAAAUGAGAAAAGGCCAUCUUUGUUUUAUCCUUUCACAAUACUGGAAAUAUAUCAUUUGCAAUCCCAUUUUGAGCCUGAUAGAAUAUUUCUUUUUAAAAAAACCCUGACAAGGAUCACACCCCACACUGGGGGCAAAUAAGAGAUUUUUUUGGAGGAAGACAAAAGUGGAAUCAAUGGUAAAAGAAGGCUUAGAACAAAAGUGCAACUGUUGAGAGAGAGCUAAAAGAAAGAAAACCUAGACUGGGGGCAUAUUAGAAAACUGUGAGAAAGGCUAUGGAAAGUCAUAGAUAAAAAAAAAAAAAAAAGAAACCAUGAAAAUUGCCUACACUUAAAGGCAGAUCAAAGAUAAAGGAAGGAGUGCCUAUUAAGUCUAGGAAAGACAAAAGAAGUUUCACAACAAAUGUCAAAAGUCGAUACAAAAAAAAAUAAAAAUACUGGGCUACAAACAUGACUUUUGGCAUCCAUGAUAACGUUCCUGAUGUUAUCAGAUGAUUGAGAUUGGUUAUUCAUCAAAGAAAAAGUUGGAUUUGCAUUAUGACAUAUGUUAAGAGAAUUCUGAUAUUUGAGGUUAAUAAGGUUAUAUGUCGUUUUCUCUACAAAGACAACAAGAUAAAGAGAAAUGAUGAAUAGUUAAUGUUGAUCCUAGGUUUUUGAAACCCUCAAACACCUUUUGAGCCUGUAAAAUUCCUUUCUUUCAUAGUCAUAAACCACAGCCUACAUUAAGUGUUUUUAAAAGCCCUUUUCGAUUAAGUAAGCAAUUUGAACCGAUAAAUAGCGCUCUCAAAGCUUGAAGAGUUUUUUUUUUUUAUAAUGGUCGUGGCUUCAUGGAUUAAGCUACUUGUUAUUAUGCAUGCUGAUAAAAUAAGUGCAAAAAAAAAAACACCUUUCUUGAUAAAAGCCCGAGUUCUGACUUGAGCAUCUUGUUUCUUGAAAUUCACAAAAGGUCACCUCAUCACAGACCAUCAAAAGAUAUACCCAAGAUCAGAGAUUAAAAUUGACACAAAGAACCAUGGAAAAAAGCCAUUUUAAUCUUUUGACGAGUCAAUUUCUGUUUUCAAAAUACAAGAUAAUCAAAGGACUACAUGUAUUGAAUGACGUAUGUUGGGCCUUUGACCAAAGAAGCUUGAAUUUCAAAAAUACUUAAAAACAAAAACUGACAUCUCUCUGAUUUCAUUUCAACAAUUAGACUUUGAAAUAGACAUGAUCUUUGAAAUAUGAGAGUUGAUUCCCGAACAAGAAAGAUUGUCAAACAAAAAGAGCACCGAUCGAGUUUGCAAAAUCUUGACAGAAGUGACAUCAAUACUUCUCAAUACUUCUUAAAAAGUUGAGCAGCUGGGGGCAAUACAGUGGACUGAGAAGGAAAAACAAGUUGUAUUUAGAUGACCUAGAGGGAAUAAAAAAAAAAUGAUGAUUAAAUGAUGAAUAUGUGAAGCUGAGGACAAUGGUGUUGAAAGGAAGAUAAUCAGAUGAAUGAGCACUAGAGGCAAGUCAAUGGCUGAUUAGCAAUUUAAAGAUGAGGACAACACUAGAAAACCUCCUGAUGAGUGCUGAUAGGAUGCACACAGCUAAUCAAAGAACGAUUCUCAAAAGAAUCCAGGGGAUGAAAUGAUUUGUUGAGCUCCUUCAUGAUGAAUUUAGAGGGGCGCCAAGAUCAGGUUCCCAAGAUAAUCAAGUUCCUGGUUGAAACUAGAUUGCGGUAAAGAUAGAAUUUCAGAUCAACCAAGUUUUAAGAAGAUCAAGAUUGAAAGUUUAGUUUUGUUUAUCUUUACAAAACUUACUACGCAAAGUCUUUGCUCCGUAAGCAUUGUAAAGAGGGGGCAUCUGUUGUUACCCAUUUUUGGGUUCCCACAAAACAAAAUGAGAAAAUACAAAAAAAUAUAUAUCAAAAAAUAUUCGGAAGAAAUCCAAAAAAAUAAUAGGAGCUAGAAAAGGAUGCUGGAAUACCGAGAAAGGCCAAAAUUGGUUGAAGAGGUUCAAAAAUGCAAAAGGUUAAAAUUUGAUAGUAUAUUUUUGAUAGAUGAGAGCCCUCUUGACAAAGAAAAUUCAAGUUGAGGAAGAAAAGUCUAAAAUCAGAUGUUUAUGAACUCAAUUAAAUUUUAUCUAAGGUUUAAUUGAAUUUAUAGAGGGUUGGGUUGUAAGAAAAUUGAUUUUUAAGUCAAUUUAGGCUUUUAUUGGAAGAAAUUAAAGUUCUGGGGUCCAAUUAUAAUUUUGAAAGAGUUGAUUUGGCCAAAUCAGGGGUUUAAUUGCAUAAUUAUUGAAGUUUGAUGAUCAAUUAGGGACUUAAUUGAAAUAAUCCGAAACCAAGGACUAAACCGGAAAAGGCACUAAAAUCAAGGGAUCCAAUUACAAUUCAUCCAGGGGGCUUGAUUACAAAAUUUUCAAAACAGCCAAGGACCGAAUCGAAAAUAUUCAUUUGAAUUGUGAAACGGCGUCGUUUCCUUUAACACUAUUCAUCACCAUCUUCAAAGCAGCCGUUUCAGCAGACAAGAACCGCAAGAAGAAAAUGCCGCAGAUUGCUUGAUUUCUUCAGUUAUGGGACCGUUACCGAACGUCUUUAAUAUAAAAUAAAAAAACGCAUGCAGUUUUGGCUAUAAAAGGAGAGAAAAAGAACGAGACAGGGGAGAAAAGGGAGAGGGAGUAGAGGUUACAUUGAGGAGAAAGCAAGAGGGAAACAGAGAAAAGGGAGAGGGAGUAGAGGUUACAUUGAGGAGAAAGCAAGAGGGAAACAGAGUAGGAGAACGUAAGAAAUAGGAGAGAGAGCGGAGAAAUAUUGAGAAAGCAAAAGGGGGAGCAGACGAAUCAAACCGAACGGAAGUAGAGGAAACAGAAAGCAGAUAACACAACACCAUCACCAUCUUCGUCUUCUCCAAACCAGGUAUGUUCGAUGUCCUUCUCGGUUCCUGUAUAACGAGUUGAUGCAUGUUUAGUAUGUAAAAGAAGAAAAGAAAACGUAAGGAAAUCAACGCUGCAAUCACUCUGUUUUUUCUGCUUUUUGUUCUGUUCCUAUAUUGAAAACAAGAUGAUGAACAGUGCGAAGGUAAUUUAAUUACCUUCGCACUGUUUAUGCACGCGUUAACUAUUACGCGUGCAUGGGAAAAGAUGGGCUGGUCACUGGCAUGGGCUAGUGACCAGGCUGGGCUGGUCAGGCCCAUCCCAGCUGCGCAGGUGGCUGGGUCCAGCCCCGCCACAUGGGUCGGGAUGGGCCCAACCCAAAUAAAAAAAUAAAAAUAAAUGUUUCAAAAAUCUAUGAUUUUUUUUACGGUAUUUUAAUCAACAUCGGUUUGUAUUUUUAUACUGUAAAGAUAGAAGUUUGGUGUUAAAAUACCCGGUUUUUGGCAAAACAUAAAUAAAUAAAUAAAUAAAAUAAUUUGUUUUCAUGCAUUCUCUCAAAAAUAUAUCAUAUUGUAUUUUCAUAUAUAUAUAUAUAUAUAUAUAUAUAUAUAUAUAUAUAUAUAUACAAAAAAUAAAAAUUCAAAAUAUGUAUUAGCACGCAUUUUGGCUUUAAUAACCAGUUUAUUAAAGUCACGAUAACUAGGCCAAUAUUUCAAAAUUUUCAAAAAAAAUUAUUUUGUUUUCUUUUAAUAUCUGGGGUUAUGACCUUAUACGUAAGGCGUAUUCCGGAUAUUAAAAUUCUUUUGUUGACGCCAGAAUUACUCGAUAAGAUAUGGAUCUCCUUACUGAGGACUUUUUUUAAACCAUAGACGGAUCAACAACUAGAAAACAUGACCAGACCUUAGAUUUUAUCAGACAACAAAACAAUGCAGCUUACCUUAGGUAGGACGUAUUUGGGGUGCUAAUACCUUCCCUUUACGCAACCAGUCCCCGUACUCGAUCUCUGAGACCAGUUAGGGUUCCUAGUGACCAAAAUACUACGUGGCGACUUCCACUCUAUUUUUCCACUAAUAAAAGACAAGAAUUCUUUGUCUCCCCACUUUUGCCACAUUAGAUAAGUUUUGAGGGUGGAUGUUUUUCGCCGCGACGCCGCACACGUGCGACAGAAUAGUAAAGGAAAUGAAAAGCAUGAACAAGAGAUUAAGGAAAGCAAAACUUAAGCAUUACAAAAAUAUAAAGAGAGAGAGCAAGAACAUGAUCUUGAUCUGAAGAACCAUUUUGCCUUCUAGAACUCCAGAUAUGGGUAAAAUUCUGAGCAGUGUUUGGGCUGGAUUGUAGGACAGAUUCUGACUUCUCUUUUGUGGCCAAACUUUGAAUUUGAAAACAGCAGAUUUGGGUCUUACACUAUUCAUGAACAUUGUAGGCCUAUUUCUUAGCUUUCUAUUCAUAUAAAUCAAACUGAAAUCCAAGAUCUAUAGCUCUAGAUAUGACCCAAUAACUGAACAGUGUUCCAAUUUGAAUUGAAUCGGUAUCUCCUUUCUAAGCUUAGCCUUUUCUUUGUCCUUUCACUUUCAAUAGUUAAUCACAUCAAUCAAUCCUUUGAAUUGUAAGAUAUGCCUGCAUUUAAAUGAGCAUUUACCAUAAAUUAAAGCCAUCUUAUAUUAUCAGACUUGUUAUUAUAAAACAUGCUCUAGUUAAGGAGUUAUUGAUACUUCAAGUGCAAAAUGAUGAUAUAAAACCUUGAUAAAAAUGCACUUUUACGUACUAAUCACACCCCUCAACCAGCUUAUUACUAGUCCCUAGUAAUCAAAGCGUUAAAAUAGAAAAACAAUUUGCAAGUUCCACAAAGCAAGGCAUUCAUCAUUUAACUUCUAUUAAUCUAUCCAAGUAAACAAACUCUCAUUAAAUUUAUAUAUAUCUGCUCAAUACCUCUUAAACAAAAUAUUAAUAAACCUUCUGUUUUAUGUGCUCAAUGUAUGAAAACAUAGAUGAUGGGGCUUUUAUUGGAAGAAAACAAUAUUAUGUUCUAAUGUUUAAGGUUAACUUCCUUGGGUUGAGGUUAUUAUCUUUUUUUUUCUCUUUUUUUCUUUUUUUUAUAUCUAUAUAUACAUAUAACUUAAAACACAAUGCUUCUUUAACCCAUGUAACGAGCUUUCGGCUAAUGACUCCCAGACUAGUUGGUCUUAGGGCAUUAGGUGUUAAGGCACCCCUUCGAGCUUAAUAACUCGUGUUGCAGAGACUGAUACGUAGAUAUUGCAAUGUUUGAUUCCCUUAAGCUUUUCUCCUCAACCCAUGUAGCAAGCAUUGGGCCAAUAGCUCCCAAGUCAGUUGACUUUAGACUUUAGGGUAUUAGGUGUUAAAACACCCCUUCGAGCUUAAUUGCUUAGAUUAGGGAGGCUACGAAACCAAACUUAUCUACGUUUUUUUUUUGCAAAUUAUAUACUAUCCCUUUCCCUUAGUUGUUACCUUUAACAAAAGAACAUAUAUAAUGUAAUAAUCCAAUGUGCGAUCCACAAUCAUAUGUUAAAGUGUGUGUGUGAAAAUGAAGGUUUAAAAAUACUUGUUAAAUUAGUAUAUAAGCAGAAUCAAUUGAUAAUAAUGCGAGAGUUUGUAAACCUGAAUAUUUCAAGAAGUAUUAUGAUAGACCUUGUUAAAAAUGUUUACUAAGACGCGUCUCAAGAGUCACUUUAACAAAAGAACUCCUUAUCUCUGCCAUCUUAGUAACAACGAUUUUGCAAAUAGAAAACACAGUAAGUUAAUUUUUUUUUAAGUAUCGACUACCCUUUCCCCCCAACCAAAACGAGACAUUGUCCUCAAUGUCCUAAGGUAGAAAGAUAGAGUAUAGAAGACAUCACCUGAAACAACGAACACUGACAAACCUGAAACACACUUAAACAAAUAUAAGAAAUAACAAAACAAAAUAAUAUGCUAUUAAUAAAACCAAAAGACACAAGGUUUCACAAACGAAGGCUCAAAUCCAAUCUAAGUGUUUUAUAGCUUUCCUUAGUUGACCAAUUUAUGCGACUCAUGGAGGGAUCAAUUAUAGGGAUGAAAGAUUGUAGUUGGUUAAUCAAUUGUUCAGCAGUAGCAGCAGAGAUUAUGAUUUGUCGUGCUGAAGAUGUUAUAAAUUCCUGUUCCACAACUUGAUCAAGAAAAGACAACAAUUUAUCAUAAAAACCAUUAACAUUUAACAAACCUAUAGGUUUAUGGUGAAUGUGCAGUUGGGCCCAAGAGGAAAUAUGAAAGAUCUCUUCUAAUGUGCCCAGACCACCUGGUAAGGCAAUGAAGGCAUCAACGUGUUUAAACAUUGUAUUCAGUCGAUCAGACAUUGUGGAGACCUAUAGUUCCUCUCCAAUUGUUUUUCCAAGGAGGUCCUCUUUUGCUAAAGAUUUGGGGACGACCGCCAAAACUUGACUGCCUUCUAAAAAUACAGCUAUUGACACACCCCUCAUUAACCCAAGGCUGCCUUCUCCAUACACUAAAUGAAUCUUUCUCUCAGCUAAUACCUGACCAAGAUGAUUUGUUGAUUCUAAAAACUCAUUUUCUUUCCCAGGACAGGAUCCACCGAAAACACAAAUAUUUCUUAUUUGAGGACUUGAGGAACCUGUCAUUUCUACACACUUUGAUAUCUGUUGAAUGUGUGGGUUAAGUAGAAAUGAAGGGAAAGAAGAGAAGAUUUUAUAGAUGAGAAAUUGAAAAUGCAAUCAUAUCACCUAUAUAUAGGCCAACUGGAGUCUCUCUCUCUUUUUAUUUUUAUUUUUAUUUUUUUAAAAAAAUAUGUAUGUACAAGCAGUUGUGAUUGUGGCUCACUUCUUCCCUGGUUUUACGUCCAAGAACGGCUUAAACGCCCUCUAUGGGUCGGGGAUAUGCUUCCCAUCCAGUUUUCUUAAAAACUGGCAGACAGGGUCUUUUUUAGUCAGAUUCCCAAGACUAUGUCGACAUGUUCUUUUUGGAAUUGUGGCCAUAAAUCAUGAAUUGCACAAUGCACAUCUCCACUAGGGUGCGUCUUAAGAGUCAAUAGAAGAUUAUCUAAAGACCCCUUACUCAGGCCAUCCUUAAUGAACUGUAUUUUAUCUUCACGGUUUACAGAUACCAUUCCUAAAGAACAACAUUUUGCAUUACAAGUCCAUCUAGCAUAUUUGUGAUAGACUUUCAGUCGUUUUGCACGACGUUUCUUUGCAAAAGUGCUUUUACCUGUUCCAGGCAUGUAUGAAAUGAAAGAAUUGGAGGACUCACCUGAUAAUCGGACCUUUGCUUCAAUUAGCCAGCGAAUAUCUUCAGGAAUUCCAUGGUUCAUUAACAAUCUCAAUCUUUCACACCUAUCACGGUAAAUUUUUGUAAUUGCAUUUUGAGGCAGAGCGGGAAAAUACUUUUUCAAUUUUUCAAGAGCGAUGUCCAUUUUUUUAGAUGAGAAGUGGAAAAGAGAUGCAAAGAAGGGAGAAAGAGCAACGAAGUGCACAAAUAUAUACACAGAUAUCAGUUAUCAUGGGAAACUGAAAGAACCGACUUAAGAGUCACGGAGUACCGUUAUCCACCAUUUGACCGGGGUGAGAGAGACUAGCAAAACAAAGGUCACACAAAAAAGAAACACAAAAGCAACGUGAGAAAAAAAAAUCAAUCUUUAUAUACAGGAUCACCUAAUUCAAUAGAGUCAUUUUCAACUGAAAAAUUGUCAAAGUAAACUUUCAAACGAUGUCCAUUUACCUUGAAAACAUUACCAUUCUUUGGAUUCUUGAUAUCACAUGCCCCAUAUGGAUACACAUGUUUCACAAUAAAAGGACCACUCCAUCUUGAUCUUAGUUUUCCAGGAAAUAAAUGGAGUCGAGAAUUAUAAAGCAAGACUUUUUGACCAACAUUGAAUGUUUUUCUCAGUAUUUUCUUGUCAUGAAACUCUUUGAUUCUUGCUUUAUGAAUUCUUGCAUUUUCAUAUGCAUCAUUUUUUAUUUUCUCAAGCUCAUUUAUUUGUAAUUUUCGCAGCUGACUAGCAUCAUCAAGGUUUGAAUUGAAAGCUUUAAUAGUCCAAUAAGCUUUAUGUUCAAGUUCCACAGGCAAGUGACAAGGUUUUUCAUAGACUAGUCUAUAAGGUGACAUACCUAAUGAUGUUUUAUAAGCAGUUCGAUAAGCCCAAAGUGCAUCAUUAAGUCUUAAAGACCAGUCUUUCCUAUUAGGGUUCACUGUUUUCUCCAAGAUCUGUUUGAUCUCCCUAUUAGCAAGUUCUACUUGUCCACUUGUCUGAGGGUGAUAAGGGGUGGCAACUUUGUGUGUGAUUCCAUAUUUCUUCAUUAAAGACUCAAAUGACUUGUUGCAGAAAUGUGUUCCACCAUAACUUAUCAUGGCUCGAGGAAUUCCAAAUCGACUCGAGAUAUUUUCUUUCAAAAACUUUAUCACUGUUUUGUGAUCAUUGUUUUGACUUGGAAUUGUCUCUAUCCAUUUUGAAACAUAAUCUACUGCGACUAAUAUGUGCAAGAAACCAAAUGAUGGAGGAAAUGGACCUAUGAAAUCUAUACCCCAACAGUCAAAGAUCUCAAAGAAUAGGAUCUAAAGGCAUCAUGUGACGUUUUGAAAUAGAUCCCAACUUUUGAUAAUUUUCACAAGUCUUGCAGAAUGCAUGCGUGUCCUUGAACAUGGUGGGCUAGUAAAAUCCACUUUGUAAGAUUUUUGCAGUUGUCUUUCUUGAUGAGAAAUGACCCCCACAUGCCUCAGAAUGAUAAAAUUUAAUGACACUACUUACCUCAUUGUCAGGAAUGCAUCUUUGAAAUAUUUGAUCAGGACAAUAUUUGAAUAAAUAAGGGUCAUCCCAAUAAAAGUUCUUCACUUCGUUCAAGAACUUUCUUUUGUCUUGGGUGCUCUAAUGAGCUGGCAAAUGUCCUGAAACAAGAAAAUUAACAAUAUUAGCAAACCAAGGCAUUGUAGCAACAUAAAGUAAAUAUUCAUCAGGAAAGUAAUCAUUGUUUUGUGUGAUGUCAGAUGUGGAAUCUAUUGUCAAUCUUGACAUAUGAUCCGCGACAACAUUUUCGGUGCCUUUCUUAUCUUUGAUUGUGAUAUCAAAUUCUUGAAGUAACAAAAUCCAUCGUACCAAUCUAGCUUUAGAAUCCUUUUUUGAAAGAAGAUAUUUCAAAGUUGCAUGAUCAUUAAAAACAAGAACAGGUGAGCCAACAAGAUAAGAUCUGAACUUGUCACAUACAAAUACUAUUGCAAGUAAUUCCUUUUCAGUGGUAGUGUAAUUCAUUUGAGCAUUAUUUAAAGUUUUACUUGCAUAGUAAAUCACAUAGGGUUUCUUAUCUUUUCUUUGUCCUAAGACAGCACCUACGACAUAAUAACUAGCAUCACACAUUAUUUCAAACGGUAAUGAACAAUCAGGAGGUUGAAUGACAGGAGCAGAAGUAAGCAAGUUUUUAAGUUUAACAAAGGCUUCUUCACAUUAUUCAGUCCAUUCAAAAACAUUCUCCUUUGUUAGAAGGUUACACAAUGGCUUAGAUAUGACACUAAAAUCUUUGAUGAACCUUCUAUAAAAACCAGCAUGUCCUAAGAAUGAUCUAACAUCUUUAACAGAUUUUGGUGUUGGCAAGUUGGCAAUUAACUCGAUUUUAGAUUUGUCAACCUCAAUUCCUUUCGAUGAAACAAUGUGACCAAGUACAAUGCUGUUUGUUACCAUAAAAUAACAUUUUUCCCAAUUCAGCACAAGAUUCUUCUCUUCACACCUGUUCAAAACCUUUUCUAAGUUAGUCAAACAAUCAUCAAAUGAAUCGCUAAAAACAGAAAAAUCAUCCAUAAAAAUUUCAAGAAAACAUUCAACUAUAUCACUGAAUAUGCUAAACAUGCAUCUUUGAAACGUGGCUGGUGCAUUACAUAAUCUAAAAGGCAUCCUUCUAUAUGCAAAAGUUCCAAAUGGACAUGUGAAAGUAGUCUUCUCUUGAUCUUCCAAUGCAAUUUCAAUUUGGUUGUAACCUGAAUAGCCAUCUAGAAAACAAUAAAAUUCAUGACCUGCAACUCUUUCUAGGAUUAGAUCCAUGAAAGGUAAAGGGAAAUGAUCUUUUCUAGUCAUUGAAUUAAGUUUCCUAUAGUCAAUGCACAUGCGCCAACCAGUAAUAGUCCUAGUUGGAAUUAACUCAUUUUUCUCAUUUGUUAUCACAGUGACUCCAGACUUCUUGGGUACAACUUGGGUAGGACUUACCCAUUUGCUGUCAGAAAUAGGAUAAAUGAUUCCAUUAUCUAGAAGCUUAAUGACUUCAUUCCUCACUACUUCUUUCAUAUUAGGAUUAAGCCUUCGUUGGAUUUCUCUAAAGGGUUUAGCAUUUUCCUCCAAAUAAAUCCUGUGUGUGCAAAUCAAAGGACUAAUUCCUUUUACAUCAGCUAUGGUCCAUCCUAAUGCAUUUUUGUGCAUUUUUAGAGUUUGUAAUAACUUACCUUCUUGAUGUGCAUUAAGUUUGGAAGAGAUUAUUACCGGAAAAGUUUCAUUUUCUCCCAAAAAUGAGUAUUUGAGAUUGAAUGGUAACGGCUUCAAAUCAGGUUUUGGUGGUUGAACACUUGAAGGUAUAGACUCAAUUGAUCGUGGUGGCAAUUCUUCAAUUUGUGGUCUCCAAUUACUUGCCUUUGAUUCUUCCUGAAAAUAAACCAUUUGCAAAUUCUCAGAUUCAUUAAACUCAAUUUCACUAAAAAUAGUUUCAAAUUGAUCAUGAACUAAUUUUUCAAUAAAGUCCACUUCCUGUAAAUCAUUAUUAUCUCCAGGUUGCUUGCAAAUGUUGAAAAUAUUCAUCUCCAAUGUCAUGUUUCCAAAUGAUAACUUCAUCAGUCCAUUCCUACAAUUAAUCAAUGCAUUAGAAGUUGCAAGAAACAGACGUCCUAAAAUAACAGGAAUUGAAUUACAUGCUUCAACAGGUUGUGUAUCCAAGACAAUAAAAUCCACAGGAUAAAUGAAUUUAUCAACUUGUACUAACACAUCUUCAACUAUUCCUCUAGGCACUUUUACAGAUCUAUCGGCAAGUAAAAGAGUUACAGAAGUUGGUUUUAACUCACCUAGAUUGAGACUCUGAAAGACUGAAUAUGUAAGUAAAUUCACACUAGCUCCAAGAUCAAGUAAAGCUCCUUCAAUUUUAUGUUCUCCAAUAAAGCAAGAAAUUGUAGGACAACCAGGGUCUUUAUAUUUCAAAGCAUUAUUGUUCUGAAGAAUGACACUUACUUGUUCGGCUAAAAAGGCUUUCUUUUUCACAUUCAGUUUUCUCUUCACAGUGCACAGAUCUUUUAAAAAUUUAGCAUAAGAAGGUACCUGUUUAAUAGCAUCUAACAAAGGUAUAUUGAUCCUUACCUGUUUGAAAGUUUCAAAGAUUUCAGAGUUGUGAUUGGUUUUCCUUUGUUUGGUCAUGGCAUGAGGAAAUGGAAGUGCUGGCGGGGAAUCAAUCUUUUCUUUGCAAUGUUCAGAUUCAACCCCUUCCUUACCCUCGGAGAUUAACUCAUCAUCUUUCUCACAAGGUUCAAGAGUGGGUUUUUCAAUAACCUUACCACUACGAAGAGUGAUGACUGAUUUGACUUGAUCCAUGUGUUGGCUUCCAGAACUACUUGCAUUUACAUUGUAUUGCCCAUUGGGAUUUUGCUGUGGUUGAGAUGGAAACUUACCUUUUUCUUGAAAACUGAGAGCAGAUGUGAAUUUUGCAAGAGCAUCUUUUAGAUCUGCCAUGGUUUGAGCAUUUUGAGUGUUGAUUGUCUCAUGCUUUUCAAUGAAUGCAUGCAAUGUUUCCUCAAGAUUUCUUCUAGGAGGUGGAGCAUAAGGAGGUGCAUAUCCAUGAGAAUUUUGGAAAUUAUGGUGUGCUUGAAACGGUGGCUGUGAAGUUUGUGUAUUAUUGUUACCACUCUUCCAACUGAAAUUUGGAUGAUUUCUCCAACCAGGGUUGUAUGUUUGUGAGUACGGGUUAUGAUUGGGCCUUUGGAAACUGUUUAAAGCAUGGGCUUGUUCAUGGAGGCAUUCCUUGAAAGAAGGCAAAGUUGGACAGUCAUUGUUUGCAUGUUCAUUCAUUUCACAGAUUUGACACACAAUGUCUUGAAUAGAUUUUAAUUGACCACUCUUUUUAAAUUCAAGUGCCUCGACUUUUCUAGCUAAAGAUGCAAAUUUGGCUUGGAGGUCAUGAUCUUCCCUAAGGUUGUACAUACCUCCACUAGAUGUAUGAGGUUGAGUUUUACCUGGUGCCUCAUAAGUACCUGUAGUGUCCCAAUUUUGAGCAUUUUCAGUUAGCAAGUCUAGGUACUCCAUUGCUUCAUCAGGGUCUUUAUUUUCAAAAGUUCCAUUGCACAUCAAUUCCACCAUUUGCCUAUCUUUAGGUGUUAACCCUUCAUAAAAAUAUGAAACCAAUCUCCAUGUUUCAAAACCAUGAUGAGGACAAGUAUUAAGCAAGUCUCGAUACCUAUCCUAACAUUGGUAAAAUGUUUCUCCUGGUUUUUGAGUGAAAGUGGUGAUUUGUCUUUUGAAAGAGUUUGUUCUGUGAGAUGGAAAAAACUUCUUUAAAAAUUGUUGUUGAAUUUCAUCUCAAGCACGAAUGGAUCCUGACCUAAGAUUUUGUAGCCACGUUUUAGCUUUAUCUUUUAAUGAAAAAGGAAAAAGCUUUAAUCUGAUGGUGUUCAUGCUACAAUUUAAGUCAUUAUAGGUGUUACAGACUUCUUCAAAUUCUCUCAAAUGCAAGUAUGGAUUUUCUAGAUCUAAGCCAUGAAAAGAAGGUAAAAGUUAAAUAAUGCCUAGCUUAAAAUUAAAAUGAGAUGCAUUAGAAGGGAAAACUAUACAUGAGGGUGCACUUGUUCUUGUUGGAUUCAUGUGGUCUCUUAGUGUUCUAACUCGAUUAUUCUCAUUAUUCUCAUUAUGAAGUGAUUGGUUAUCUGCUUCGACCAUAUUUUCUGAAAAUGAUGAGGAUACCCCACAAAGUCUACCACUUAAUGUACGUGACCAAACUCUCAUGCACGUGUAAGAAGAGAAUAAAAGGAAGAAGAAAACAAAAGUUAGAUACAAGAAAAGUGAAAAGUGAAAAUAAAAUAAAUAUUAUAAUUUAUACAAGAAUUUACCUCAACGGCAACGACGCCAAAAACUUGACACGAUCAAAGAGUUGAUGUCUUAUCCCAAGUGCAAGAGUGUCAAAGUAAUAAAUAACCCGACAAGACCGGGGUUGAACAAUAGGGAGGUGAACUAUAUAAAUUAUAAAUAAUAAUAAUAAUAAUAAUAACAACAACAACAAUGAUGAUGGUGAUGGUGAUGAUGAGUUAAAGAGGACUUUGAGAUAUAAGAUUAAUGUGAAGAUUAAACAAUGACAAAAACAAAUGUCAAGGUUAGAGGAUCCACUAAUAGUAUUAGAGACAAGUAAAGUAUAAACUCUUUAUAAAUUAUCAACAUGAUCAUAUUAAUCAUCUUAUUUACAUAACACCAUACUUAUAAAUUUUAUCAGGUAUUCAUGAUGCUAACUUAUGUUGACAACAAAUCAAAUUCCUUUCAUAACAACGAUGUCGGCCGAAGACUAUGAAGGAUCAAGUAUUUGAUGUACCAAGUGUUAUACAACACAAAUCUAGAUUAACCAUUUAACAAGCAAGGUAUUAAGAAUUAAUAAGAUAAAAAUGAUAAGACAUGUUAAUAGCAAACUUUCUUGGAUAUAAACAUUAAAAUUCAUGUUGAGUUUAUAUUAUACAUAUUCUAACACCAUUAGUGAAACCUUUUCACCUUGACAUAAUUAACUUAGCUAGACAUUAUGAAGAAGAAAAACAUAAAUAAACAAUAUAAGAACAUAAACAUGAUAUAAGUUAACUAAGUAUAGUAAAGGAAAUGAAAAGCAUAAACAAGAGAUUAAUGAAAGCAAAACUUAAGCAUUACAAAAAUAUAGAGAGAGAGCAAGAACAUGAUCUUGAUCUGAAGAACCAAGAUUCCUAAAUGAAUGGCAAAUGCCUCCUUUUAUAGGCUAAAAUUCAGAACUAUUCAUUUGGUAAUUGAUUAUUGAUGUAGUGGCCAAUUAUUAAUUUAGUGGACUUGGUGGACAACAACACUCAAACAUUUUGGCGGGAUGAAAUGACAUUGAUGUAAUCAGAAUUUGGCAAAGUGUUCUUCAUGACAGUUGUUGGCAAUCAUCUUAUCUUUCCACCCAUACAAUUUCAGAGCAUUUGGAUCGCUAGAGCUCGAGAUAUGGCUAAAAUACUGAGUAGUGUUGCUGGUGGACAUGGUGGAUAGCCCUCAAGCUCUUGUCUGGAUAAACUGUCAUUGUUACCAUCAGAAUGUGAGCAGGUCUUCUUCAUGAAAGUUGUUGGCAAUUGUCUUUUCCUUCCACCCACCACAUUUCAUGUCAUUGUGCCUUCUAGAACUCCAGAUAUGGGUAAAAUUCUGAGCAGUGUUUGGGCUGGAUUGCAGGACAGAUUCUGACUUCUCUUUUGUGGCCAAACUUUGAAUUUGAAAACGGAAGAUUUGAGUCUUACACUAUUCAUGAACAUUGUAGGCCUAUUUCUUAGCUUUCUAUCCAUAUAAAUAAAACUAAAAUCCAAGAUCUACAGCUCCAAAUAUGACCCAAUAACUGAACAGUGUUCCAAUUUGAAUUGAAUCGGUAUCUCCUUUCUAAGCUUAGCCUUUUCUUUGUCCUUUCACUUUCAAUAGUUAAUCACAUCAAUCAAUCCUUUGAAUUGUGAGAUAUGUCUGCAUUUAAAUGAGCAUUUACGAUAAAUUAAAGCUAUCUUAUAUUAUCAUAUUUGUCAUUAUAAAACAUGCUCUAGUUAAGGAGUUAUUGAUACUUCAAGUGCACAAUGAUGAUAUAAAACCUUGAUAAAAUGCACUUUUAAGUACUAAUCACCUAAUUAUUUAUACACAACACAAAUUCACCUAGGACAGGGCACUUGACAAAGUUGCGAGGAGGGUGUGGGAAAAUCACGCGGCAACUAGGUAACAUCGAAAACAAUACAAGAUGUUUUUAGAAAAAAAUUUAUGUUUCAAAAUCUAAUUUCUCGCUAUGGUAGUAGGUUGCGUGAUUUUGGGUAUGAAUCACAAAAAAUGGCAAAAACAAUCGCGAGAGAUAAGGGUCUCCAAGGCUGGAACGACGUGGCGGUUUGAAGGGAUUUCAAACCAAUAUACAUCCCGACAAAUAUAUGGCCGCACUAUCUUGAGCACAUGACAUCUGAGCGGUUCACAUGACGCUCACAGUCCAGUGCUGGCAACCAGAAUCGGCCAAUUCAUGGCUUGGUGACAACGCACACCGGCGGCUCUGUUCCGUUUGCUGCACAUGCGAAACAGAUGGUAAGAUUAAUUUAAAUGAAAUAUAUUGUUAAAUUAAUUUGUUGUUAAUUAAUUUUUUUCAUUAUAGGCUACGUCUCUUGGACGUGAGCUGAGCCUAAUGGAGCUGUUUGUUGAGACGCACGUGUGGAGUCAAAACUGCCAAAAAGGGGCGCAACAGUUUGUUGACAACCAUGCUCAACACCUUUGUGGUAUGUUUGUUCAACCAUUUUAUUUUGUAAGUUAUUAUUUUUAUUGAAUUGAAUAUGAUGAUUACUUUUUUCAUUUUCAGGAGACCUAUAAUAGCCGGUUGAGGGAGAUAUAUGGGGAUGAUCCUUCGACCCAUCCGGAAUUCGAUUCGGAUUUGUGGAUGGAUGUUGGAUCGUCCGGUGGACCCGAUAAAAAUUGGUUUUACAGACAGAAGCUUGGUGCAAAUUUCACAAUCACCGAUGCCUUAACCGACGGAAAUAUUCUGUCGGUAGUUCACACUCACCGACAGAAUAAAAUCCGUCGGUAUAUUUCAAGCGGGAAAUUAUUUUUUUUGGCGUGUAAUUUCCGUCUGUAAAACCAUCGGCAAUUUUUUUUUACCGAUGAAUUUAGCGAUGAAAUCAGGCAUUACCAACAAAAGGAAAGCCAACGGCAUGUUUCCGUCGGUGAAGGCAUCGGUAAAAAAAUUACCGAUGAACUAUGAAUCAUAUACUGACGGAAUAUUGUCGUCGAUAAAACUGUGAAAUCUUGUAGUGUCUAUUUUGCCAUCAUCCCUCUUAUUCUUCUUAGGGCGGACAAGGUUUUUUUUUUUUUUGCUUUUGUCCCUCAUUUGUUUAUAUAUUUUCAGUUUAGUCCCCUCAUCAAGUCUUUCCCACAUUAGGUCCUAAUUUCUCCUUAUUCACUUAUGUGUGUUUCAUACUUCAAGUUAGAGCUCUUGUCUGUUACCAAUAGGUUCCUCUCUAUUUACUAAAUCUCAUGUGUCUAUUUUUAAGGGUUUACCAAAAAAUACCCAUAAAUGCAUGCUUUUUUUUUUUGUCUUUUUCUAGGUGUGAAGAUAUUUUUUUACUAUAUUCUAAGAAACUAAAAGACAAACAAAACUAUUAGUAAACAAUUCUAUUUUUUUUAUGGUGGUGAAAAUAAUUCAUUUUACUGUUUAGAAAAAUUAGAAAAGAUAAAUAUAACCUUUAUGAAUUUUCUAAUAAUUAAUGAGCCAUUGAAAAAUGAUAAAAUUUCUCCUAGCACUAAGGCUACCGUAACAAUCAACGAUAAUCUAUAAAGUGUAAUAAAAAAAAAUCCCCCCACCCUGUGUUGGGGUAAAUAAUUCAUUUUACUGUUUAGAAAAACUAGAAAAGAUAAAUAUACCCUUUAUUGAUUUUCUAAUAAUUAAUGAGCCAUUAAAAAAAGAGAAAUUUGCUCCUAGGCUACUGUAACAAUCAACGAUAAUCUAUAAAGUGUUUGAGAAUGUGGUUACAGUUACUUUUCAAAAUGUUUUUCACUCGAAAAUGCAUCAAAACAACUUUAGAUUGAUGUGGGUGCUGGUGUCAUAGAUGCUGAUUAUAGAGGCCAUGUUGGGGUUAUCAAUCUAAUGUUGAUUUCGAGGUAAAGGUUGGCGAUAGAAUUGCGCAGUUGAUUCUUGAGAAAAUUGUAACUCCUGAUGUCAUGGAAGUCAAGGAUUUGGAUGCAACUGUGAGAGGUGUUGGAGGGUUUGUAUCUACUGGUGUUUGAGCUUCUUGUGAUUUGUAAUGUUUUUUCUUAAAUGUUUCUACUUUAGAUAAUCCUUAUGAGUUUUAUGGUUUCAUUUCCUUUUUUAUCUUUUUAUUAACCAUCUGCAACAAGGCUAUAUAUAUUUUAUUGCUGUUUGCAUGGAUAGGAACUAUAAAAAGAAGCAUCAUGUAAAAAUAUUCCACCAACGAAAUCUACCAAAAUUGGGAUUCCUAAUACUCAUAAGGAUCAAAUUUCUAUCAAAUGAGCCAAUUGGUUUAGAUAUAAAAUAUACAAAGAAGUCACAAUGCUAAAUACGAUAAAUACACAACACCUUUCCUUGUCCCAUUGGAUUGGGAACUGAGUGCACCAUGUAAAAGUGUAAAUGUAGCUUGCUCAUAAACUUAACUUUUCCUUUCUUUUUUCUUUUGCUAAAUUGUUUUUUUUUUAUUAAUAAUAAUACUCAACCAACAAAUAUCCUCUGAACUGAUUUUUCAAUUAUUUUUUCAAUUUACUCCUAAACAAUAGAAUCGACAAAAAAACUUAUAAAAUAGAAAGAAAAACCUUAACCCAUCUUCAUUGCCUCUUUAAAAUUUCUAAUUCUAAGUUUGCAAGUCAUAAAAAAAAGGCAAAUAAAAAAAAAUCUCAUAAACCCAUAAAACAAACCGAAAUUGAAAAUCUUAAUUAAAUAUACUUUGUUGCUGUUGCUGCUGAUGUUGAUGGUGCUCGUGCAAUUGCAUGUGCUCGUGCUCAUGCUACUGUUAUUGUUGCUGGUGUUGGUAGCGGUUGUGGUGCUGCUGCUAGUGAUUGGGUCUGUUUCAAAAAAAUAAAUAGGUUUUUGCAGGUGAAAUAUGCAAGAAUAUUUUGGAUUUAUUUGUCUAAAAAUGAUGAUUCCAUGUAUUUCAAAUAUUGUUGAUAAAGAUACAUUAAAAAAUUGAAUUUCUUUCUACCUUUUUUUUUAUCAUUAUUAAUAGAGACAUAGAGAACGAUUAAAAAGAUGUUAUGGGCUGGUUUUUUCUUUUUUUUGUUAAUUUCCUAACAGAACAAGCCUAUUCCAAAAAUCAUAAUGCUUAGGAUUGAAAAUCAGGAUUUUUUUGUUCAGAAGUUAAGUUCAAGGGGCUUUUUCUUUCAGUACAAUUUGGCCUUCUUCUUUCCUAAAAAGGAACUGUCCAUUCUGUUAACAAACAAAAUGUGUAGUGAUGUUUUAAAACCCAUCUUCCCAACCAAACAACAUUAUUCUAGAUAAAAAUAAUAGAUUUAAAUUGACCUAAUAACUCAUAAAUUGAUUUAACCAACUAAUAAUUUAAACUGUAAGUCAAGUUAGGUUGGAUCUCGAAUCAAAUUUAACAACUAUGUUAAGAACUAUAUAAUAUCUAUUAUUUUUUUCUUAUAAUUUUGAAAAUAUAUUGUUGUAUGUUUGAGAAUGUGGUAUGGUGAUUUCUUUUUAUGGAACUCAUAUAAAAAAAAAGAAAAAGGUAUGAAAAACUUGCUUUUAAUGAUGAUGUUUUGUGCAUUAAAAGGAUUAUAUAUUAAAAAACAAACUAUCACACCGAACAAUACCACUUCCCAAAAAGAUACUCAAAUUCUUACCUUCAAAGACGGGUUUUUUUUUUUUUCCGGGAGGAAGGUUAGCUUUUAGUUUUUCUAGUAUAAGACAAGUCUAGUACUUAAGGAAGAUACACGCACAAAUAUAGGAAAGUGCAAAGUUAACCUAAGUUUGGUGAAAUUUGGGUUUCAGUUGUUUGAUGAGAUGUAUUUCUUGCAGUGAAUGACUAAUUUAUUAAGAGAUCUAGACAAGAGACAAUCUCCCUUGUCAAACCAAUUUUUAGAAGUUUACAUAGCAAUUUGAUCUAUGGAUUUCACACCAAUAACCCUUUGUGAGUAUUAUAGAAUGCACCUAUACCAUGUGUGUUCUUAGGAUAUAGCUCAUCUCAUCUUGGUUAUCGUUGUCUUGAUUUAGCUCUCAUCAUAUUUAUAUCUCCUGUCAUAUUCGUUUUCAUGAAAAUGUCUUUCUUUUUGCGAACUCUGAACAGAUAACACAUACCCCAGUACCCUCCACACAGCCUACACACCUUCCACCCUUGAAUCCUCCCCAAUUCUUUCAACCUACCACUUUACCAACCGGCCCAAACAACACCCAUGUUCUGCCCUCUGUCGUACCCCAACAGACCAACCAUGUGAAACCCGAGAACAAAUUAUACAAAAAAAAAGGGGGGAUUUAUAAUAAUUUAAAUUUUAUUAAAAUAUAGAAAUAAUGUAACUACAGAAAAUAAUAAUAAUGAUGAUAAAAUUUAUUAGUUAAGGAGAACAAAAAAAAAAGAGGCUUAAUUAAGAAAAAGGGAGAAAGAUAGGGCCAAAACGGAAUUAAGAAGAAAUGGGACUAUCAAUACCCAUUCCUUCUCUCACCCAUGGCCGGCUGAUAACAUCAAGAAAAGAGGGGGAAGAGUGGCCAGCUAUAUGCAAGGAGAAGAAGGCUAAGAUUCUUUUAAGUUAGUGAAGUAAAGUUUAGAUUUCAUCCAAGUAAGGAGUUUUAAUCCCAAUUUCUAUGAAAUUAACUUCAAUUUCAUUAGAAGUUCAUAAUUUUCUUGAAUUGGGAAUUAGGGUUCUUGAACAUAAAAUUUUGGGAAAAUGCAGAAAUGAUUGAAAUUAAGUGGACUAGAAUAGUCUAAGUGCCUUAGAAAAAAAAUGAAAUGAGUGCAUAAAAGAGAGGAAGGGAACUCUUGGUUUCCUUGGGCAUAUUUCGGUAAGAGACAAUGCAAGGAGGGAAGAGAAAUUCUGGUGGAUUAAGUAAUUCUUGAUGCAUAAUUUAGUGAUAGAAAUGGUCUUGAAUGUGGAGGGAUGCAAGGAAUAAAAAAAAACAGAGAGAGAACAGAUGCAGGGUGACCGGCCACUAGAAGGGAAGAAAAUAGGGGAGGAGAACUUAUGAUUGCUUAAUUAAUUAACUUGGUAUAAAUGACUUUGGGAGGACAUAAAUGAGACGGGUUUCCAUUAAUAAAGGAAAGACAUGGUUGUAUCUAAUGAGGAAGUAGGGAUUGAAGAUAAAUUGGAGAUACCUUCUCCAUUGACAAAACAGGGCAGGUUCGUUGCCUUGGUUCCUAAGGGAAUUUGGAUAUGAAGAUGAUAGAAUUCAGGGAGGGUCCCUUCAUAGAAGUUGUAUCCAAGAGUGUUAGCUUUCCAACGAGUCUAACCCCGCCUAAUUUGGAGUCCUGAAACUCCAGAUACAAAUAAAAAUAUGAGGAGAGGUCAAGCUGCCACCCCUGUUGGCAGAUUCGGCCAAGUCAAUAAAAUGACAAAAUUUAGCCAUAUUAAGGGUAGAAUUUGUUUUCUUGCCCUUCAUAAAGUGUGUAACAUUGUGUCUUAAUCUUUAAAAAGGAAUAAACUGUGAUCAAAAUUGAAUUCAUGAUGUCCACUUGGACUACUAAUGAGCUGAAAAUAUUAAAGGAUAAUAAUGAGGAAUCUUAGUGAGAAAGAAAAGAUUGGUAAAAGAGAAAUGAAUAUUAUUGUCAUUGUGUUGUGAUAUGUGGACUAAUAUGGAAUAAUGAUGGGUGUUUAUGGUUUCAGGAGGAACCGCGGGAGGAGUGCAACAACAACAGGGGAACGCAAGUCGAGCGUCUACAGCAGGUAGGUACUCCGUACCUAUAUCUCCUCUAGUUAAUAAUUAUUUUAACUAACUAUUGAACUAAAAAAUUUGGUGCUUAUUGAUGAGGAAAAGAAAAGGGGGAAAGGAAAGGUUAAAUGACGGGAAAAUAUAAACGGAGAACUAGAUUUAAUUUAUAGGUUCUUUUGGAGGAAAUGAAUAGUAACAAUGAAUUUUAGGAAUCACUGUUUCUCGAAUUUGAUUAGCCCGUCCCAUAUAUGGGAGGCUAAAGAUGUUAGCCAAGUUGGUUAACAUCAGCAUUACCGGUACGUGGGAGGAGAAAUAUAAAAUUUGAUUAACUAUUCAGGUUCAGAAUAGUUAAUGAUAUCGGCGGGUGACGUCGAUAUUGGCAAAAUUUUUAGACUUGAUUAGGUUUCCGAGGUGAAAGUUAAUGAUGUCAAGAAUCCUUGACAUCAGCAUACCCGGGGACCUCCCGAGGUAACAUAGAACAUUGAUUAACUAUUUCGGUCCAAAAGUAGUUAAUGACACCAACGGUUGUGUUAGUGUCGACAUUUUCAUGAAUUUGAUUAGUUGACCCCAGGACGGGCAACUAAAGACACUAAUGGAGGUCAUUAGUGUCGGCGGUAGUCUUCCUAAUGUGGGGAGAAGUAGUUAAAGGAAAUAAAUUGGAUAAUCCUUAAAAGGGGUUGGUGGUGGUGUAUUGAAUUGCAUAUGACUUAAGUAGGUAGAUAAGCUGUAUAAAUUUUCUUCCAUGAAUUGUUUGUAUUUUAGUUAUUUUUAAUUAUAUGGAAAAUUUAUGUUUUGCAGGUCCCUCCCAUUCACGUCAGGAGUAGAAUUUAGGUUCCUUGAUCUCUUUUUGUAUAAGUUAGGAACUUAGGGAUUAUUCAUGUAAUUUUGUUAUGCUGUAAACAUGUAACCUGAAUAGAAUAGUAUACUCCUUAUAUUAUUUUGUUUUUGGAAUAUUGAUGUAUUACUCUAUGCUUGGGAAAUUAUAGUGUACUAACUUAUGUUCAGAAUGCUAAACUGUGUUGUGCUUAUAUAUGAAAUUUCAGUGCUUGGAUGGUUCUCUUAAAUACUAACUUAUACAUGUGAUAUGAGAUGGAGAUUGAGUAUGAAGAUUUGUCCUGAGUUUAUUCUCGAAUGAAUUAAAUGGUUGAUUUGUACCAAUUAUGAAUGUGAUUAUGGGUGGGAUGUAAUUAUAAUUGUGUGCAGGGUAAAUUGUCGAUAACUUGGGACCUCCCGGUAUAGGGGAGACUUUGCCAAAAUUUCAUUAGUAAUUUCGGUGAACUCAAUAAAAAAAAAAUUAUGCUCCAUUUACCCUUUAUGUGGAAGUUAAACGGAUAAAUUGAUUUAACUUUUGAGGCUGUUACAGUUGGUAUCAGAGCCACUGGUUGAAGUUUCAGGGACUGAAAUACUGAUGUAAUUUGGAAAAUGUUGCAGGAUGGCUCGUACAUGACAAGAAGCAAGAGUAGACUCGUUCCCUAUGCAAGGGAGAGAGUAUGGCUCACUAUAUGGGAAUGAAAAUGAAGGGGACCCACUAAUGGACACUGCCUCCCACCAACCUGCAGCGUCGACCCAUUCAGAGAGGAAAGAAUCAGGGGGGCAUCAAGAUGACCCUGCCUCUCAUCGGGCCUGGAGCAGCGGGUGGUCAAGGACCAGAAGAUAGGCCACCACUAGUGGCACCGAUGGUCACCUCGAAUCCAUAUUCGGACCCCACAUUUUUGGAGCAAUUGGUCAAGGCAGUAGCAACAGGGAUGGCCGCAGGUGCAUCCAAUUCCACUCCUCGGGUAGAAAGAGUAGUCACCCUGGUUCAAUGGGUGAAGGGCAUGCGGAAAAUGGGUUGCACGACCUAUUCAGGGGAAGAAGAUGCCGAAGUAGCAGGACAUUGGUUGAGGAAGGUAGAAAGGGUCAUAGAUCAGAUGCAGGUGCCAGAGGAAACUCGAGUAGACUAUGUGACCCAGCUGUUAACAGAGAGUGCCCACUCCUGGUGGGAGACUAUUAGAGAAAGAAGGGCAGGAGAAGAAUUAAGGUGGAAACACUUUCGAGAAGAAUUUAAGGAGCGGUACUACUCCGGGCAAGCACCGGAAAGAGAAAGAACAGGAGUUCCUGGAUCUGAAACAGGGGAAUAUGACCGUCCUGGAGUAUGAGAGGAGGUUUCAGGACUUAUCUAUCUUUGCCAACACCUAUCUUCCCACUGAGCAUCAUCGGGUGGAACGAUUUUGGGAAGGGCUCAGGCAGGGGCUGAAAUUAAUUUUGGUGGCUAUGUAGUUUCAGUCGGUCCAAGAGUUAAUGCGAGUUGCUCAAGGUAUGGAAAGAGUAAUGAAUGACACCCCAAGGUUAACAAGUGAGCAGAGUCAGACUACAGGAUUCAAAAGAAGGGAUUUCAUACAUCCUAUAGGGAGGAAUCCUCGUUCAAAGAAAGGUAGGAGCGAGUUAGCAUUUGGGCCACUCCCGAGAAAAGGGGGAGUUUUCUUCAUGGUAGGAGUUCAGGAGGUGCUAGACGUGUUAAUGCUGGGGGAUUAGUGGGAGGUCAGACCCGCUAGGGGACAAGUGUUAUAGGGGGUCCAUGGAGCAGAGGGGACCUGUUUACCUGUUAAAGAAAUGGUUUGGGAGAAAACGAUCAGUGCAAAUUUUGGUGGGGCAUGGUGGGGUUACAGGCCAUAGGCUGCAGACACCUAGUGCUAGGCUGUCAUGCCCUGUCACAGAGAGUUCCAAAGGCUGCAGAGGGGUGCGGUUGUGCCAUAGGCUGCAAACACCUGGUGCUGGGCUGCCAUGCCUUGGGUGCUAGGUCCAGACACGUGUGCCUGGAUACAGACCCAGGCAAGCAGGUUGGCAGAACCACGCACCUGGGGUCUAAAAGGUUGCUGGGUCAUUGCAGUAAAACCUAAUAGUGUUGGGUCCAGCUUACACCAGGACCCAAUUGCGUUGGGUCUUGCUGGACCCAUUAGAGUUGGGUCCUACCUCUAGUAGGACCCAAGACUUUAAAUUUUUUUUUCUCAUACGGUAAAGAGCACAUAAAUAGAUGAGAAUUUUUUUAUAUUGUACAAAAAUUGAGUGGUGAUAUUUUUUUUUCAUUUGAGGUUGGGUUGAAUUUCCUUAUUAAAACUGUUUGUUUUUGCCUUUCAAAAAUGCUUUUAAAAAUAAAUGAAAAUUAUUUUUUUCUUUAAUUCAAAUUAAGAUUUUUAUUUUUUUCCUCUUGAUUUUUUUUCAAAAUAAAAGCAUUUAGAAAUUAUAAUUCUAAUAUUGUCAUAUUAAAGUUGAUGGCGCUCUAAAUAAAUUUUUUAUUCACAUAAUAUACUUUAUAUAUUUGUAUUAUAUAAAAUAAUUUUUUAACAAUAAAUUUUUUCUUUACUUGAAUUUAAAAUAAUUAUAAUGGUAACAUUACUUCUCACAACCUGUUAAUGGAGAUGGAGUGUAUCCCUCUUGAACCGAAUUCAGGAGUUUAGUUCAUGGUUGCUGGAAAAUUGACAAAAGCAGAGAAGAAAUGAAUGAUUUCUAACCUUGUUUCAGGUAUGUUCUGCUCUCUUAAUCCACCCCCUUUGCUACUGAAAUCUUCAAGAUUAUUAGGCUAAUUAGGAUUCUUUAUGAUGCUAAAUUUGUUCCUUCUUUAUCUUGUCUUUAAGAUUGGAUAAAUCUUCUCAAAUUUUGUGUUGAGAACAGAUUUUGCUGCUGUCAUAAUUUUGUUGUAAUUCCAACUCUGCUGCAACUUAGACUUUGUUUCUGACUUGGUUUCUUGCAAUAUUCGACUAUCCCAGCUGUAUUCAUUCAUGGUAUGUUAGAGGCUUAAUCUGCAUCUUUCUUGGGUCCUGAGGCCCACUAUUUUUAUGUCAGACUCUCAGCCGUAUUAGGAUGCUCAACACUGUUGGUUUCCUGAUCAUAGUAGGAAACCCAUCUCGUCCUCCAGAUUGCGUCCGAAGUUUGGCCUUCAAAACAAUUUUAUAUGAAUUGGAGUCCCUCAUUAAAGUUGUAUUCCUGGAUGUGCAGAUGAAUUUGGGCUUUUGAAUAUCCUGAUUUCGAUAUUUGAACCUAAAGAUAUUCCCGUUUGAAUUUCUAGUGUGAAAGUAGAGAAUCUUGUUGCGAGUAGGAUUCUGACCCGAGUUUGCAGGUUUGAUUUGAGGUCCUAAUGAGAUCAGAUUUUUUCCCAUAUACCUUCCUAGAAAUCUUGACACGUGUACUUCAACUUAGAUUAAGCGCACAUUCUCAUUCUGGAAGUCUAACUUGGCAAAAAACCUAUCAUAAGAAGCUAGAUCCUAAAAGUAAAAUGCAGAAUUUCUUAUCUUUUAGCGAUUAAUUCACGAAGUCUCUUCUGCAUGCCAAACUCAUAAAAAUAACUUCCAAUCAACUCGAAUAAGUUCAAAAUCCCUUAAAAAGCAUAGUGUAAAAGGAAGAAAAACACAUGUACAUUUUGCACUUAUCAAUAUUGCUGACAACAAGACCCUCCACUGUUGUGUAUUGCUGUCAGUAGGACCCAACAACGGUGCUGGACUCAAGUUUAUUGGGCUUAACUCUACUGCCAGACCCAAUGAUGGUGGGUCUGGGUGCCUAGCUGAAGCAGGACCCACUAAAGUUGGGCCCUGCUUCCACCAGGACUAAGUAGAGGUGGGCUCAAUUGCCAACAAGACCCACUACUGCUGGGUAUUGCUGUCACCAGGACCCGGUAGCGUUGACCAAGUCUGUUUCAUUUGAAAUUUGGGCCUGUAAUUGGGCCGGAGGAAACCAGUCCCGCCGGGUCAACCCUAAUUUGGGCGACUCGACUAAAACCCGGUAGAGUCCCCUUUUUUUAAUUUUUUUUCCUCCAACCUAGAGACCCUUCUUGUUUCAUAUUUUUCAGUUAAUUACUAAUUCAUUUCAAAAUUGACUAUAUAAAUAUUAGAAGAAUGUUUUAUUUUUUCAAUAUGGGAUAAAAAACAUUUUGGUUUAAAUACUUCAAGUUAGAAAAAUAAGAUAGUAUCUUUUCAAUGUGGGAUAAAAGUUUUUUGAGGUAAUCUUUUGAAUUUAAUUGUUUACAACAUGUAUAGCCUAUAUCCACAUGGAUUAUUUCUAGAUUUUUUCAUAUAAAAUAUUAAAACCUCAAAUAAUGUUUUUUCAAUUUUUCCGGUUUGACUUGAGUCAACCCUUAUAACCCAGAACCCAACCCCUUCGCCAAAGCAACCCCUAGGUUGGGUUUCGUAACUAUAGUUGUCAUAAAAAUACAUUUUUAAUUUGUUAUAUUUUUUGAACUAUCAAAAUGCGUUGAAAAAAUAUACAUAAAUACUUUUUAUAAAAAAUAAAAAUAUUUGACCAGUGGCAAAGCGCGGGUCACAGAACUAGUACACUUUAAAAAUGGUUGAAAACAUAGUUAUCUAUUAUAUUCGAAUAUAUAGGAUUAACCAAGGCAAUAAAAAAAAUUAAUGAACAGAAUAAUUAAUUAGUUCAGUUUUUAUAAAAGACUAAAUUAAUAUGCAAUAAAACUUAAAAGAGAUAGAAAUAAUAAUUAGAACUAGACAGAUUUUGAAGAGACUUUGUUGCACAAUCUUGUCGGUUUGAUUGCUUUUGGUUUAAUUUUUUUAGUAAUAUUCGCUUUGUUUCUGCAAAUCUGGUAUUUCAUCUUCCCUUUAAGUUUCUGCAAUUUGGUAUUUCAUCUUCUCUUCAGUUUCUACAACUUGGCAUUUGCAUUCUAUUUUUUCAAUUUUUUGUUCUUGAGUAAUCAUAUAACUUCGAGAAGAUAUUUGUUUAGUUUUUAGAUAUUUGUUCAGUUUCUGUAAUUUGGUAUUUUAUUUUUCGCUGCUUUUGCAUUCUGGUUCUCUGUAAUUGUUGAUUAUAACUACUGAAAGAGAUGAUUCGGUUCAAUCUGUGAGUGUGAGGUUGGAUGGGAAGAACUAUUCGUAUUGGAGUUAUGUAAUGUGAAAUUUCUUUAUGGGCAAAAAGAUGUGGGGAUAUAUGUCAGUGGAACCUAUGUGGUAUCUAAGAAUACUGAGGAAGGGGAUGUUGCUUUGAUAGAUGCAUGAGAACCAAACAAUGCAAAGAUUAUUAUUUGGAUUAACAAUUUUGUUGAGCAUUCCAUAGGUACGCAGUUGGCGAAGUAUGAGACAACAAAGGAGGUUUGGGAUCAUCUGCAAAGGUUACUCACGCAAUCAAAUUUUACAAAGUAGUAUCAAUUAAAGAAUGACAUGGGAGCUCUUCACCAGAAAAAUAUGAGUAUUCAUGAGUUUUAUUCUACAAUGACAGAUCUUUGGGAUCAACUGGCUACUUAUAGAGAGUCCAACAUCAUAAACCAUGGUGAGACCAGUCUUGAAAGGUCCAGAUGAUCGCUCAAGACCAGGUCCAGGUUUCUAGUCUUCGUCAUAAAGAGCAAAGAGGUAUGUAUCCACUGAUUUUCCUGGCAUGAGUGGAGUGCCCACCAUCGAUCGAAGGUGUGCAAUCAAAUUGCCAUUGUAAGCCUUGGCAAUCUCAAUGCUUGGCCCUACUUCGUUGUCAUCUCCUUUAUAUGGCCAUCCAAUCUCAGCCACCACAAUCUCAACAUUCUUAAAUCCCAUAGAAUUCAGUGCAGAAUAAACUACAUCCACCUGCAAUUGAUUAAACCACUUGUCAGUAGCAUUUUUAUUCGAUCAUCUAUUGAUACAAAAUUUUCGCACUUGCAAUUUCAUUUACUCUCACCUGAGCAUCGAACAUGUUCAUGUACUUGAUCUUAGUGUUUCCAUCCAUUCGUCCUGCAUUCGGCUGGAAAAGGCAAAAAGUAAGAGUCUCAAGCCUUGUAUCGCAUCUUGGCCCUACUUCGUUUUCAUCCAUCAAAGUUCCAAUAAAGCAAAGGGAUGGGCGUUCUUACAAAGAGGUGGUAAACGAGAAACCAGUAAGGAACGUCACAUACCAAACAAGUGAGGAAGAUCGUGAAUGGCUGAGUCGUAGUCUGGUUGGGCUUAUUUCAAAUGGUACGGAUUAUGCUAAGAUUAAAAAAAAGAUGUUGAUGACCUUGCACAACAUGGAAGGCUUUCGGUUCCUAGGGGCGUCAAAAGCAAUCCUCACCUUCAAAACACAACAAGAUAUGCAGCUUGUGGCAGAUGAAGAGAAGGAAUUUUGGGGACAAUAUUUUGAAGACUUAAGACCCUGGUGCAUCACGGAUAAGGCCUCUGACAUUUUCUCCUGGAUACUUAUCUCUGGUCUCCCCAUUGUAGCUUGGAAUAUGGAAUGCAUUAAACGACUAGUGGGGGGAGACUGUAAGGUCCUUGGGUAUGACUUGACUUCUGUUAGUAAAGGAGCUAUAUCGGGGUUAACAAUCUUGAUAGGCAAGCCACCCAUGGUUUCUAUUAAUGGAACAGUUAAUCUCAUGAUAGAUAAGGAAAAAGUGGAAAUUAACAUCUCGGAGAUUAAAUAUGAGGCCUGCAUGGAUUUGGCCUCGCUCAUUUACUCCAUUGGGGUUAAUCAAGAGUUUGAUUCUGAGCUGGAUUACACUUCAUCACCAAGUGAUCUAGAGAUUGUGGCUACAAAGGAGCAACCAUAUAUGUCUGCAAACAAGAACUCCUCCUUUACGGACCUAGCAUAUGUCACAGAAGUGAUUAUGAUGCAGUGUUUUAGCAGAUGUGAGGCAGAGAAAGAAAGGGAUGCACACGGUUUUGAAGUUCAGGUUUAUUUCCCAGAAAUCCUGGAUGAUUACAUGAUUCACGAUAUGACUGCAGGAGGGAAAUGGCAGACAUCUACCCCUACGAUUUCUAAUAUUCCUUGUGCAGACAAGGAAAAAGGAACAGCCAACAUGUCUGCCAUGGAAGAAGAUCAGCAGAGUUGGCCUACAUCAAACCUAGGCCGCAGCAUGACUCUCAGAAAUGGUAAACAGAUUGGUACCACCAAAUGUUAUAAGGGUCACAGGAAGGCAGCCAUUUCAACUGAUUCUAGUAGUAGUGCUGGAAAUGAAGACUCGAUCGACUCUUGCAUCAGAGCUGUCAACCAAAGACUCCAACUAUCUCAGCCACCACCCGACCUCUCUACAGCUUGUGAUGAGGUUGGGGCUAUGAAAGAAAUUGGCCAGAAAUUGGGUAUUGAAAUAGGAACAACUGGUGAGAGUAUUGAAGUCAUGAUAAAAGAGGCCAUUGAUGCAGAGCAGGACCAUUGGGACAGGUAUGUCCAGUAGGCUAUUAUGCAUCUGUGCAUGGUUUUAUAUGCCUUUUAUGAUUCUUAGCUGGAAUGUGUGCGGAUUGGGAUCUAGUUCUAAAAGAAAGGCCAUUAACAAAUACAUUAAAGAUUUUAAUGUUAUUGUAUGUUUUAUUAUUGAAACUAAACUUUCAUGCUCGGACUCUUUGGUCUAUAGUCUGUGGCAUGGCCAAAAUAUUAAAUGGUUCAGCAUAGAGGCUCAGGGUAGAUCAGGUGGGUUGUUAGCCAUGUGGGAUGAGGAUCUUUUCAGGGUGGAUUCAAUCGAAUAUGCUGGGAGCUGGAUUAGCUUAUUUGGCUCCUUUGUUGAUGAUGCUUUUGAUUGCGUGAUUACUGGGUAUUAUGGAGCUAGCUCUAGAGCUGAAAGAGCAGCCUCCUGGUUAGAACUUACUGAACUUAAACAUGCAUUUUCGGACUACCCUUGGUUUUUAAUAGGUGACUUUAAUGAGACCUUAUCCAAGACAGAUAGAAGCAGUGGUCUGCUAAACAAGAGAGGGGCUACAGAAUUCCAAACGUUUAUUGAUGGCUGUGAAUUGGUAGAAUACCCGAUGGUGAAUCAUCGGUUUACCUGGUUUAGAGGUGGUUCUAUGAGUAGGAUAGAUAGAGCCUUUGCUCACACACAAUGCCUAUCUCACUUUAGUUCAUUGAAGCUAAUUAGACUGGAUCAUGGUCUUUCGGAUGAUUGCCCCCUGAUUGUUGGUAAGGAACAAGUUAACUGGGGAUGGAAGCCAUUCAAAUGUUUAGACUGUUGGCUCAUGGCACCAUCUUUCCAAAACACUCUAAAGGCCUUUUGGCAGGAAAUUGUGCAUGAUAUCCCUGGUGAUUUUCAGGUGAUCAAACGAAUUAGUGCUCUGCGACUGAAGCUAGGCCAGUGGAAUAAAACUGAGUUUGGGAAUCAAGACUGGGCUCUGCAAAAUAUCCAGUCUUCUAUUCGGCUCUUUGAGGAUCAGGCUGAAAGUGGCAAGAUUUCUGACUCAGAACAAAAAAGGAUAUAUGAGCUAAAGGGAAUGCAAUGGAAACUCUGUAGAUAUGUUGAAUCCAUAUGGCGUCAAAAGGCAAGACAGUCUUGGCUCAAGCUGGGGGACAGAAACACUCGGUUCUUUCACAUUUCAGCAAAAGUUAGGGGAUGCAAAAACUAUAUUCGUCAGCUCACAUACAACGGGAAGAUUCUCUCCAGUCCAAAUGAAAUCAAAGAAGGAGCCAAAGCAUAUUUCUCAAACAUCUACUCUGAAUCUUUGACUACAAGACCCACGAUGGGCAGUGCAGACUUUAUGAAGCUCAGUGAAAACCAAGCAGCCUGGCUUGAAAGAGAGGUUACUAUAGAAGAGGUUCAUCUGGCCAUAUUCAGCAGUGAAGGCUCCAAAGCCCCAGGACCGGAUGGGUUCAACUUCAAUUUUUAUAAGAAAUUCUGGGAGCUAAUGCAACAUGACCUGUUCACAAUGGUUCUUGAAUUCUUCAGGAGAGGCUACCUUCCUAAAGGUAUUAACACCAGUUAUAUUGCUUUAAUUCCAAAAAUUACCGGCAGCUCCUCUUUUAAUGACUAUAGACCUAUUAGUUUAUUAAAUGGGCUAUAUAAAAUUAUUGCUAAGAUUCUCGCCACUAGACUAAAAGCAGUUAUGCAGAGUGUGGUCAGUCCCUCCCAGUCAGCUUUCAUUGCUGGCAGAAACAUUCUGGACUCAGUCCUUAUUGCCAAUGAAAUGCUGGAUUCCAUGAAAUCUCGAAGCUGUCAAGGUUUCCUUCUUAAACUUGAUUUCAGAAAAGCUUUUGAUACUGUGUCCUGGUCCUAUCUUAAUGAUGUUAUGGGUUACAUGAAUUUUGGUGCUCGUUGGAGGAAAUGGAUUAUGGCAUGUGUCUCGUCUGCAAGACUAUCUGUUUUAAUCAAUGGUUCCCCUACUUCUGAGUUUACAACAUCUUGUGGUCUGCGGCAGGGGGAUCCCCUCUCCCCUUUUCUCUUUUGUUUGGCAGCUGAAGGCAUAUCAGUUCUCAUCAGCAGGAGCCUGAAAAUGGGUGCUUUGUAUGGUGUGGAACCUGCAGGAACAACAUAUAUUCAUCAUCUGCAAUUUGCAGAUGACACUCUUCUCUUCCUUCCGAAUGAUCUUCAAUGUUUGCUAAAUACCAAGAGAAUGUUACGUUGGUUUAGUUUAUGCUCAGGGCUUAAUGUUAACUUCCAUAAGAGUAGUUUGGUGGGUGUGGGGGUGGAUGGGAUAUAUGCUGAAGGGAUUUCUGGUGUUCUCAGGUGUAGAUGUGAUACUCUCCCUAUCAAAUACUUGGGGCUUCCUCUAGGUGCUAAUCCCAAAAGGAUUUCCACAUGGAAACCUGUUCUCUCUCAGAUUAGAGGACGGCUUAACUCUUGGAAGGGGCGGUUAUUAUCAUUGGCUGGGAGAACAAUUUUGAUUAAAAGUGUAAUCUCUGCCAUUCCUCUCUAUUACAUGUCCAUCUUCUGCAUUCCAAAGACAGUGGCUCGCAAGAUCACAGCCAUGCAGGCUCAGUUUUUAUGGGGUGGGAGUGUUGAUAAUAGGAAAAUUCAUCGGCUUGCUUGGGAUACAGUGGCAAAAGAAAAGGAAAGGGGCGGUCUAGGCGUUGGGAAUAUAUCAGCAAAGAACAAAGCUCUCCUCUUCAAGUGGAUUUGGAAAUUGGGAAGCAAUGAUAAAGCUAGUUGGGCAGAUUUUAUUAAAGCAAAAUACAGACCUCAGUUUAUAAAUGGGAUGCCCACGUUCAAGAAAAAACUUUCAGGGAUUUUGCGAGGAAUCAGCUCUACUAUUACUAGCUUGGAUCUUGAUAGCUCUCUUAUUCGAGCUGCUUGUAAACUUAAAAUGGGUAAUGGUAAUCAUGUUAAAUUUUGGUUAGAUACUUGGUUGACUGGCUUUUGCUUAGCUAAUUCUUAUCCGGCCCUCUUCCACCUGUCCUCCUCCAAAUCAGGGUUUGUUAGUCAGAUGGGAUACUGGUUAGAGGAUACUUGGUAUUGGAAUCUGAAAUAGAGAAGGCCCCUCAAAGCUAGUGAGACCCUGAUGGUUCAAAGAUUAAUGUCUGAUCUUAAUCUUGCAGCUAUUCAUCGAUUGAAAGAAGACAGGUUGAUUUGGGAGUGGGGGAAAGAUGGAGACUAUACUGUCAACUCUUGUAUGCUUGCCCUUGAAAGAAUCAGGUAUGCUGGUUCUACAACUUAUGUCACAAAUGUAUGGAAAUCCAUUUGCCCUCCAAAAACAGAAAUGACUUUAUGGCUAGCCUUAAAUGAAGGCCUUUGCACAAGAGCCUUCCUGGUGAAGAGGCACGUUCUAAGCCCUCAGGAGGACAGGUGUCCUUUUUGUGAGCAACAUUCAGAAACUGUAUCCCACAUCCUCUUGCAUUGCCAAGUGGUUUGGAAACUAUGGAACAAAAUUGUAGCUUGGAGAGGUUUGAGCUGGGUAAUGCCGUAUGGCCUUGACGACCUUCAAUGUCAAUGGCUGGGUCUUUUGCAGGGCAACCACUGUAAGUUUGAAAGAUCUGUUUGGGGGGGCUUUAUGUUUAGCAUUAUCUGGACUAUAUGGAAUGCUAGGAACAACUUGAUAUUUGAGGAUCAAAAGCCAAUAUGGGAAGAUAUCCUAUGGCUUUUGUUUUACUUUGCUGCAGGAUGGAUCAGGAACCUCAACUCUUCCUUUUGGUAUACUGGUGCUGAUCUAUACAGGAAUCAUGAAUGCAUUUCGGCAUGGUCUGCUUAAUUCCUGAUUUAGUGUGGGUUUGUUUUUGCUUGGCCAAAUAGUAGGGUUAUAGGUUUUCUUGUAUUUAUUUAUUGUAAUUAGGUUGAUGCCUAGGCUACAAUCUAUGUAGCUAAAGCUUAAGCUCUGCUCACACUGUUCAUGUUUUAUUUAUUUAUUAUUAUAUAUCUAUUCUCGAUUUUAUCAAAAAAAAAGGGAUUGAUUGCGAAAGGCAAACCAUUCGCACUAUUAAACUCCAACAAGCCCUUCAUCAGAUCCCCAUAACUUGGAUCAAAGCUUCCAGAAGAAGGUGGCUCGGACUGCUUAAGCACUCCCAUCGAAUGAACUGUGGAGACCUUAAUUUUACCCCCGAGCGAUGCAUCAUUUAGAGCAUUCUGUACAUUUUGCAUGGCUGGUAAGAGCUUGUUCAUGAGAUUCUGGUCAUUGGAAGUCAUGACCUCGUUGCCAACAGUGAUGAGGAUGAUAUUGCUAGCUGGAUAGAAGGGAAGCACGUUCGUGUUGAUCCAGCUCUUGGCAAAAUUGGGAUCAGAGGCUAGUCCUGGAAUGUCACCAUUUGCAGUGCCGAUAACUAUUCCAAUUCCGGUGUUGGCUAAGGCUUUGAUUAUGGCAGGGUCCGAUCCAUAUAAUCUGACCUUUUGAUUGAAGUGGAUUGAAGAAGUCUUGCGGUGGAUGAUGGUGGUGGAAGGUUGUCCGCAACUUGGCCAUAGUUUAUACCGAUGAAUGAUUGCGAGCCUGCACAAAAAGCAGCAAAAUUUAAAGGAGAUGAUCAAACAUCAAUUUUUAAACGACAAGACAGAAGACCAACUUUUUUUGUUUUCAUAGACUAAAAUGAAGACAACGAAAUUAAGGUAAAUUGUUUAGAAAUGGAAGGAGGUAAUUAAAACAGAAGAGACGCAAACUUGCGAUUUUUACAGUCUGUAAGAAGGAAAGGAGUAUGAAAGCAACAGUAUAAGGAAGCACCCGAGGCUUAGGAGGUAUCUCAAAUAAUUUAGCGUUUUAAAAUAAAUAAAUUAAAAAUAUAUCUGGAAUAUUUCUUAUUAAACACCAUUCAAUUUUAUUUUAUUUUCUAAUAAGAUUGUAGCAUUUUUUAUAAUAUUAGCAAUUGUUAUUUUGUACAACCUUUGUGUAAGGUUUUAUUUGCGUGUUUUUUUUUUAAAAAAUAAUUUCUGUUACUUCUAAGUGCUUCUCUAUUUUUUAUUAUCAAAUACAUUACCAGAAAAUUAGCAAAAACCAACGAAAUUACCGACAGAAUUAUUUGGUCAGUAAUUUUUACCGACGGAUAUAAUUUUGUCUCUAACUUUGUCGGUCUAUACCGACAAACCUUUGCUAUCGGUAAUAAUUACCGACGACAUAUAUUCUGUCGGCAAUUCUGUCAGUAUAUACCGACAGAAUAAUUUCGUUGGUAUAUACUGACCGAAUUGCCGAUGGAAUAUAUAGAAUUUUGAAAAAAAGAAACAGUUUGAUGACGUGAAAUUUUUUCAAAUGAUUUUUCUAACAAAAUGACCGAGGGAUUCAAACCGGGAUCUCCGUAUAGUGAAAUCGCGAGCAGAGCGCGGCGUCGCGGCGACCCUCGAUUUGUUUCGGGGUCGUUUCUUUUGUUUUUUUGUGUAAAAGGGAGUCGCCAUCUAGUAUUUGGUCACUAGGAACCCUAACUGGUCUUCCAAAGAUUCUAAGGUAAGGGACUGGUUGUGUAAAGGGAAGGUAUUAGCACCCCUAGUACGCCCUACCUAAGGUAAGCUGCUUGGUGUUUGGUUUGCUUUAUAAUUGCUAUAGUGUUGGUGUUUUCUAAUCCCAUCAGUUUUUCUAGGUUUGAUUCAAACUAAAUUUAUUAAGAUAGGAAUCCAAGGAAGUUCCAUGUGCUUUAAAAGCUCAUUUUCCCCUUAGUUUUUCAAGAGUUUGCGACUCGUAAAUCGCAAGGAAGAGGGACAAAAAUUUAGAAAUCUAGGGUGCUUUAAAAACCUAUUUUUUUUGUCUUAGUGUUUUAUACUCUCACGGCUCGUAAACCGUGGAGUAAAAAAAUUGAAAUGUCCUUGAUUAUCAUCAAGGCUUCUUUCAAGGAUGUGUGCGGAUUUAUUAUUCCUAGAAAAUUAUUUUGGAUAUUUACCACUCCGGGUUUCUUUAUCCAAAUAUUAAUAGUGAAUAAUAACAAAUUAUUCCCAAUAAUAUUUUGGAUAUUUGUCUUUUAAGGAUUUCUUUAUCCAAACAUUAGCGGUGAAUAAUAGAUGAAUUCCCCCCAAAAUAAGAUUUUUAUAUUUUUUGGAAUAUUGGCCAAUACCCUUUGGAGUUUUACAAACAUGUUGUAAAAUCCAGAAAUGCAAGAAAAUAAUUUUUGUUGUGUUUAAGAAAUCCAUGCGAAAACACAUUUUCGAAACUUCCAAUAUUUUUUUGUAUAUAAAAAAAAGAGCGUUCAAAACAUGUUAGGGUAUUGGCCGUAUGCAAUAUACAAGAAAAUAUUUUUUUAUAUUUUUAUCGAAACGCAAACAUCAGAAUUAGACGUAAACAUUAAAAUGGAAAGUAGCAAGCCAUCAUGCAUAUUAUAAGCAUUACAAGAAGCUUGAAACAAUUCGUAACAAAAAAACCUUCAAAGCCAAAUCAACUUAAAAUUUUGUAACUGGAAAGGAAUAAACCCGUAUGCAUGAGGGAGCCACAAUUUUAAAACUGAAAUUUUGAAAUCGAACCCCUAUGUCCGUGCCUCACAACCCCAUUAUUUCCUCACCUUAAAAACGAAAUGCCUUAUUCAUUUCACAACGACAACAGAGAGAAACAAAACAGAAAACUGGGAAAGCAUGCUUUAUUCAUGUAUAUAGGAAAAACAAAACCAUGGCCGGCUAAUCUCUCAAGUAGAAAAAAAAAACGAACAGAAAAGGGAGCUGAUGAUGAAGAAACAACAGCCCCCCCUCCCACGGUUCCUUAUGAACCAGCGAAAGAAAGAAAAGAAGAAAAAAGAAAACAGGUUUUUAAAACGUCAGGAACAACAAAAGGCAAGCGUUCAUUGUAGUCUAAAAUUGAAAACGAAUGUGCAAAGCAAGGACAAAACAGGUUUUUAAAACGUCAACACAACAAAUUUAAAGGCAGCAAAGGAGGAGAAAGUUAAGACUUAUAACUGCAGGUCUCAACGUUUUUCUGCAAAAGAUGAAAUGGAAAACCAAGUGAACGUUGCUGUCAAGGUUUAACAGCAAAUCUCCCUCUCCGUCUUGUCUUUUUUCUCUCCUCUUUCCUCACAAUAACACCAGAAUGCAAGAAAAGAACUCCCUCUAUUUACUACGUUUUUUUUACUCUCUGCCUCUCUUGUGUUUUUCUCCUCUUUUUAUGCUCCUUUUCUCUCCGUUUUUCCUCUCUUUUUCCUCUUCUCCUUCUGCCCCCUUUAGGUCAUUAGAAGGGCUUAUAUAUAGUCUAAAUAUGUCUCUAUUUAGGAAGGAUUCAAUGCAUUAAUCCUAGGACAGAAAUCCCUACUGAUUUGCAGUAAAAUAAAAACGCAAAAGAAAACUGCAAUAUUCUGAUUUUGUGUUGGUGCUUUACGUCUGAUUUCUUUCCAGUUUUAGAGGAGGGUGUGGCUCUUUUCUUUCCUUCCAUAGGGCCAGCUGCUCCCUUUGAAAUGAGGCAAGAAAAAACGUGGUUGCAGCUCCAAAAAUCAGGCAUGAUGAUAAAGGAAAAACAGCAGGAAUUUGCAGCGAAAAAAGGAAAGAAAUCAGAUGGAGGGUGCAGCUGCAAAGUCUCAUUUUCCUUAUUCGGUGUGGAAAAAAUCCUAUCAUUUAUGAUGAUCCAGCCCCCCUCUCCAGCUUUCAAUAUCCUUCUUCAAUUCAAACCCUCAUUUUAACACUUUUCUAUUCAGUCCUUGGUCCAAAAAAAACCUUCGAAUCAGUCCCGCGAACUUGGGCUAUAUCCUUCCCGGGGCAAAAUUUUCUACCUUCAAGUUAGAUAUUCAAAUGGGAAUAUCUUGAGCUUCUGAUAUCUAAAUCAAGUGAUUCAAAAGCCCAAAUUCAUCUACGCGUCUAGGACUACAACUUUGAUGAAGGAGUCGAAGUGAGAUAAAAUCUUUUUACAGAAUAGAAUCUAGCAGUAAUUUGGUUCCAAGUCUAACUCAAAAACUGACGAAUGCCGAUAAUCCUGAUAUGACUGAGAGUAUGAACUAAGAACAAAAAUCACAAAAACUAGGCCAAAAAUAGAGUUUUUUUAGUGCAAACUCGGGUCAAUAUCCUUCUCGCGGCAGAAUUCUCUACCUUCACGUUAGAUAUUCAAAUGGGAACAUCUUGAGCCUCUGAUAUCGAAAUUAAGAGAUUCAAAAGCUCAAAUUCAUCUAUGCGUCUAGGACUACAACUUUGAUGAAGGAGUCGAAGUGAGAUAAAAUCUUUUUACAUAACAGAAACUGGCAGUAAUCUAGUUGGUCAAAAGGGAUCUCCGGGUCUAACUCAAAAACUGACGAAUGCUGAGAAUCCUGAUAUGACUGAGAGUAUGAACUAAAAACAAAAAUCACAAAAACUAGGCCAAAAAUAGAGUUUUUUAGUGCAGACUCGGGUCAAUAUCCUUCUCGCGGCAGAAUUCUCUACCUUUACGUUAGAUAUUCAAACAGGAAUAUCUUGAGCUUCUGAUAUCGAAAUCAAGUGAUUCAAAAGCCCAAAAUCAUCUACGCGUCUAGGACUACAACUUUAAUGCAGGAGUUGAAGUGAGAUAAAAUCGUUUUAGAGAACAGAAUCUGGCAGUAAUCUAGUUGGUCAAAAGGGUUCUUCAUCUGGCAAUGCUGAGCAUCCAAAUCUGACUGAGAAUCUGCCCUAAGAACAAUGAUCCCUAGGACCUAAUAAAGGUGUACGUCAAUUUUUCAACAUGUCAUGAGUGACAAAAUAUACCUAGGAUGGUCAGAUAUCGUACGAAACCGAGUCAGAAUCAGAGCCUAAGUUUGAACAAAAAAUUGCGAUAACAGCAGAACCAUUUUUUUUAGUGCAAAUUCUAAGGGAUUUAUUCAACCUUAAAGACCAGAUAAAAAGGAACGAAUUUAGCAUUAUGAAAACUCCUGAUCAACCUAAGAAAACCUGAUGAUUUUGGUAUCAAAGGGGAAGGAUAAAAAAGAGCAGAAAACAGCUCAAACAGGGUUCAAAAAAAAAAAUUCUUUCUCCUCCGCUUUUGUCAAUCUUCUGGCGAACAUGAGCUAAACUCCUACACUUCUGUUCAAAACGGGUAUACACCAUCUUCAGCACGUGGGGUCCAAAAUUUAGUAACAACAAUUCCAUCGGUAAAAGCUAAUAUAUCCACACUCUGCCGACUCUCUCCUCCUCUAUUUCUCCUUCUUCUUCCUCAUCCCAACUCUCCCCUCCCAAACUGAAAACAACCACCCCCCCUAAAAAUAUCCCCCUCUUCUCAACACAAGCACUCAUCUUUCUUAUACUUUUGUACGUGGUCACAACAUCCGUUUUUCGAUUUAUUGUGGAUUUUAUCAUUUUUUUAAGUGAAUCUAUCCUUUUUAAUUUUGACAUUUAAAUGUCAAUUUUAUUGUUUUUUUUAGUACAUGUAUUUUGUUAACGUAUGUACUUGUUUUAUUGUUAUUUGUCAAAGAAACUUGUAGCAUGAAUUUAUAAUUUUGUAGUUGUUAUAGUUUGUUUUAGAUUUUGUCAAAUCGUAUUUGUUUGUAAAUUGUUGAAACUUUGUUUGAAUUACUGAAUUAGAUGUGUUGUGAUGAAAUAAAUAAUAGCUUGUUUAACGGGUCCAUUUUAAUUUUUAUCAAUUCUAUUUUGGAGUUGUGAUUUCCGUAAAUUUAUAUACGUAUAAAUUUGUAUGGACGUUGAUAAUUGAUAAUUGAUAAUGAAUAUUUAACAUAAGUGUUUUUUUAGUUUGUUGGAUAAUGUCAGGGCAAACCAAUAUUUUUGCAAAUUUAUUUAUGUAACAUAGUUAAUUAAUACAUGUUGUCAUCAUAAUUUUAUAGAGGUUCGAUAGAAGUCACAGAUGAUCGUUCAUGGAUGUAUCGAGACUCACCCCAAGGAUUGCGGAGGAUGGAUUAUUGUAAUGGGGUUCAGGGUUUUAUUAAUUUCGCAACAUCUAUUCCGAGGAAUUUUACUGAUGGCGGUAUUAGGUGUCCAUGCAGGAAGUAUAAAAAUAAAAAGUUUCUACAUCUAGAUGUUGUAACGAUGCAUCUUCUAACCAAAGGGUUCAUAGAGGAUUACCUGUGUUGAUAUGCACACAAAGAACUAUUUGUUCCUAAUGAGAGCAUGGUAGAAAGGGUGGUUGAGUCAACUUCUAGUGCUAGCAACGUGCAUAAAGUUGUAAAUGACAACAGUAAUCCUUACAAGAAUAUGGUUAUAGAUGCAAUGAGAAUGAAUCAAGGUAAUGUCAGUCAAUGUCCAAUCGUAGAAGAACUUAAUGCAGAUGCAGCGAGGUUUUUUGAUCUAUUGAAAGAUUCUGACGAACCAUUAUGGGAUGGGUGCACGAACCAUAAUAAAUUAUCGGUCAUAACACAGGUGUUCACCAUCAAGUCAGAUCACGGGUUGAGUGAGGCCAGUUAUGACAAAAUUAUGGAAUGAGCGAGAAGCAUUUUACCUGAAGGGAACAAGCUUAAAGAGAACUUCAAUGCUGCUAAGUCCUUGAUGAAACCCCUCGGUUUAGGAUACGAGAAAAUUGACAUGUGCCCUAACGUCUACAUGAUUUACUACCUUGAAAAUGCUGAGCUGACCGAGUGCAUGACAUGUGGGCAUUCCCGUUAAAAACCCAGAACUGACAUGGGAAAGAAUCUCAUGGCAUAUAAGAAACUUAGAUACUUCCCAAUCACACCUAAAUUACAGAGGUUAUUCAUGUCACCAAGGACUGCUGAGUACAUGACAUGACACCAAUCACAUAAUACGGUUGAUGGAGUGAUGGUGCAUGCUUUUGACAGCGAAGCAUGGAAACACUUUAACAGUGUGCAUCCUCAUUUUUCAGCUGAAUCAAGGAACGUGUGUCUUGGGUUGUGUACAAACAGAUUCAACCCAUUCGGGUCAUUUGCUGCUCCUUAUUCUUGUUGGCCGGUUAUACUCACGGUUUAUAACUUGCCAUCGGGGAUGUGUAUGAGGCUGGAGUUCAUGUUUUUAUCUAUUGUCAUACCAGGUUGGAGCAGUCUAGGCUGGAAUAUAGAUGUUUGUCUUCGACCGUUGAUUGAUGAGUUGCCAUAGUUGUGGUCCUCUAGAGCUUUGACUUAUGAUAUAUCGAGGAAACAAAAUUUUGUUAUAAGGGCGGCUUUGAUGUGGACUAUCAAUGAUUUCCCAGCUUAUGGAAUGGUUUCUAGUUAGAGUACACAUUGAAAACUAGCUUGUCCAUACUGCAUGGAAAACAACAAGGCAUUCACGCUAACAAACAGAGGUAAAGCUUCUUUUUUUAACUGUCACUGUCAUUUCUUGCCACCGAAUCACAUGUACAGAAAGAACAGAAAGGAUUUUUUAUUAACAGAGUUGAAAAGGAUAUUGCACCCCCGUGUCUUUCUGGUGAUGAAUUGCAUGAUGUUGUAUCAGAGUACGGUGACAUUCACUACCAGAAAACUGGAGAAAACCAACGGAAUUACCGACGGAAACAUUCCGUCGGUAAUAAUUACCGACGGACAUAAUUCCGUCUCAAAAUCUGUCAGUAUAUACCGACGGCCUCAAUUCGUCGGGGACACGGUCGGUAUUUACCGACGGAAUAUUUCCGUCGGUAUAUACCGACUGUGUCGCCGAUGGGGUAUACAGUUUGUCUAGAAAAAUGCAACGGCGUGGUGACGUCAGACAAUUUUACCGACGAAAUGACCGAGGGAUUCAAACUGAGAUAGUCGUACAAUGACGUGACACUAUCACCGAUGAAAUCACCGACGGAAGUAAUCCGUCGGUGAUUCCAUUGGAAAAACCAUUAUAUACCCACUGAUCUCCUGACACUCUCUUCCUCUGUUUCUCCUUCUUCUUUCCCAUUGAUUAGUACUUAAAAGUGCAUUUUUAUCAAGGUUUUAUAUCAUCAUUUUGCACUUGAAGUAUCAAUAACUCCUUAACUAAAGCAUGUUUUAUAAUAACAUAUCUAAUAAUAUAAGAUACCUUUAAUUUAUGGUAAAUGUUCAUCUUAAAUGCAGGCCUAUCACAUAAAUGAAAGAAAUUGAUUGAUGAGUUGAAGUACUAAAAUUGAAAGAACAAAGAGAUGGCCAAACUUAGAAAAGAGAUGUUGGUGCAGUCCAAACUGGAACAUUGUUCGGUAAUCGGGUCAUAUCUGGAGCUGUAGAUCUCAGAUUUAGUUCUACUUUAUAUGGAUGGAAAGGUAAGACAUAGGCCUACAACUUUCAUGAGGAGCCCAAGAUUUAACAAGGCCGUUUUCAAGUCCAAAUUGUAGCAACAACGAAGAAGUCCGAAUCUGUCCUGCAGCCCAGACACUGUUCAGUGUUCAGCCCAUAUCUCUAGUUCUAGAAGUCCAAAUGAUCUAAAAUGUUUACCCUAGAAAGAUGAGACAAUUCCCUAGAACUUUCAUGAUUGAAGUCUGUUCAAAUUAUGACGUUAUCAAUGACGUUUUUGGAAGACAAGAAGAUAAGAAUUGUCACCAAGUCAAGAUGUGGCCACCCAUUCAUCAAUUAGUCAACAAAUCAAUAGUUCCAAAUUUUGGCCUAUAAAAGGAGGCAUUUGCCAUGUAUUCAGUCAUCUUGGUGUUCAGAUCAAGAUCAUGCUCUUGCUCUCUCUUUAUAUUUUGUAAUGCUUAAGUUUUGCUUAUAUUAAUUUCUUGCUUAUGCUUUUCAUUUCCUUUCCUUGUUUAUUUAUGUUUCUUUCUUUCAUUAUGUGUUGCUAAGUUAAUUAUGUCAAGGUGAAAAGGGUACACUAAUGGUGUAAGAAUAAGUAUAAUAUAAACUUAACAUGGACCUUAAUGUUGGAUACUAACAUGCUUUAUAUUUGUUAUCCUUUUCACUUUUAAUACUUUGCUUGUUAAAUGGUUAAUCUAGAUUUAUGUUGUAUAACACUUGGUACAACAAAUACUUGGCACUUUCAUAGCCCAUACUGUAUGGUAUAACCGACACCUGAGCUAUGAAAGGAACUUGAUUUGUUGUUAACAUAAGUUAUAAUCAUGAAUGCCUGACAACAUUUACAAGUAUUAGCAUUAUUCGAAUAAGAUAACUAAUGUAAUCAUGUUAACAAUUUAUAAUCUGAUUGGAACCUCCUUUGUGUGUGGUUUCCAGUUGAAUAAAAAGAGUUUAUACUAUACUUGUUUGACGUACCAUUAGUGGAUCCUCUAACCUUGACAUUUGUUGUUAUCAUUGUUUAAUCCUUACGUUAAUCUUCCAUCUCAAAGUUCUCAUCAACUUCUUCUUCUUCAUCAUCUUUAUUAUUAUCAUUAUUAAUAGUAUUAUUGGUAUUAUUAUUACUACUACUACUACUACUAUUACUACUACUACUAUUAUUAUUAUUAUUAUUAUUAUUAUUAUUAUUAUUAUUGUUAUUGUUAUUAUUGUUACUAUUGUUGAUGUAUUAUUGUUGUUUAUAAUUUAUACAAUUAACCUCCCUGUGGUUCGACCCCGAUCUUGCCUGGUUAUUUAUUACUUCGACACUCCUGCACUUGGGAGAAGACAUCAAUCUUUUGGUCAUGUCACCCAUCCCACCUCUCCCCUCCCAAACUGCAGCCACACCCAUCCCAACUCUCCACUAUUCUCAACACGAGCACUCAAUAUCCGUACGUGGUCACAAUAUCCGUUUCUUGUAGAUUUUAUCAUUUUUUUGUAAGUAAAUCUAUCCUUUUUAGUUUUAAUAUUUAAUUGUGAAUUUUAUUGUUUUAGUAUAUGUAUUUUGUUAACGUUUGUACUUGUUUAAUUGUUAUUUGUCAAAGAAACUUGUAGUAUGAAUGUAUAAUUUUGUAGUUGUUAUAGUUUUUUUUAGAUUUUAUCAAAUUAUAUUUGUUUGUAAAUUAUUGAAAUUUUGUUUGAAUUACACCGAAUUAAAUGUGUCGUUGUGAUGAAAUAAAUAAUUAAUAGCUUGUUUAACGAGUCUUGUUUAAUUGUUAUGAAUUCUAUUUUGAAGUUGUGAUUUCUGUAAAUUUAUAUAUGUAUAAAUUUGUAUGUAUGAACGUUGAUAGUUGAUAAUUGAUAAUGAAUAUUUAACAUAAGUGUUGUUUUAGUUUGUUGGAUAAUGUCGGGGAAAACCAAUAUUUUUGUUAUGUUUUAUAGAGGUUCAAUAGAAGUCAUGGAUGAUCGUUCAUGGAUGUAUUGGGACUCACCCCAAGGAUUGCGAAGGAUGGAUUAUUGUAACGGUGUCCAGGGUUUUAUUAAUUUCGCAAUAUCUAUUCCGAGGAAUUUUACUGAUGGCGGUAUUAGGUGUCCAUGCAGGAAGUGUAAAAAUUUAAAGUUUCUGCAUCAAGAUGUUGUAACGAUGCAUCUUCUAACCAAAGGGUUCAUGGAAGAUUACUUGUGUUGGUAUGCUCAUGGAGAACUAUUUGGUCCUGAUGAGAGCAUGGAAGAACAGGUGGUUGGGUCAACUUCUAGUGCUAGCAACAUGCAUGAAGUUGGAAAUGAGAACAGUAAUCCUUACAGGAAUAUGGUUAUGGAUGCAAUGAGAAUGAGUGAAGGUAAUGUCAGGGAAUGUCCAAUCGUAGAAGAAGAACCUAAUGCAGAUGCAGCAAGGUUUUUUGAUCUGUUGAGAGAUUCUGACGAACCAUUAUGGGAUGGCUGCACGAACCACAGUAAAUUAUCAGUCGUAGCAUAGGUGUUCACCAUCAAGUCAGAUCACGGGUUGAGUGAGGCCGGUUAUGACAAGAUUAUUGAAUGGGCGAGAAGCAUUUUACCUGAAGGGAACAGGCUGAAAGAGAACUUCUAUGCUGCCAAGUCCAUGAUGAAACCCCUCGGUUUAGGAUACCAGAAAAUUGAUAUAUGCCCUAACUUCUGCAUGUUAUACUACCUUGAAAAUGCUGAGAUGACCGAGUGCAUGACAUGCGGGCAUUCCCGUUACAAACCCAGAACUGGUAGAGGGAAGACUCUCGUGGCAUAUAAAAAACUUAGAUACUUCCCAAUCACACCUAGACUGCAGAGGUUAUUCAUUUCACCAAGGACUGCUGAGCACAUGACAUGGCACCAAUCACACCAUGCGGUUGAUGGAGUGAUGGUUCAUCCUUCUGAAGGUGAAGCCUGGAAACACUUUAACAAUAUGCAUCCUCACUUUUCAGCUGAAUCAAGGAAUGUGCGUCUUGGGUUGUGUACAGACGGAUUCAACCCAUUCAGGUCAUUUGCUGCUCCUUAUUCUUGUUGGCCAGUCAUACUGACAGUUUAUAACUUGCCACCGGGGAUGUGUAUGAGGCCAGAGUUCAUGUUUUUAUCUAUGGUCAUACCAGGUCCAAGCAGUCCGGGUCGGAAUAUAGAUGUUUGUCUUCGUCCGUUGAUUGAUGAGUUGACGCAGUUGUGGUCCUCUAGAGCUUUGACUUAUGACAUCUCGAGGAAACAAAAUUUUGUUAUGAGAGCGGCUUUGAUGUGGACUAUCAAUGAUUUCCCAGCUUAUAGAAUGGUUUCUGGUUGGAGCACGCAUGGAAAGCUAGCAUGUCCAUACUGUAUGGAGAACAACAAGGCAUUCACGCUAACAAACGGGGGUAAAGCUUCUUUUUUUGACUGUCACCGUCGUUUCUUGCCACAUAACCACAUGUAUAGAAAGGAUUUCUUUGUUGGCAGAGUUGAAAAUGAUGUUGCACCCCCGCGUCUUUCUGGUGAAGAAUUGUUUGAUGUUGUGUCAGAGUACGGUGACAUUGUGUUUGGUGUCCAAUCAGGUAAGCAAAAGUUUUCUGGUUUUGGUUUGACCCAUAAUUGGGUGAAGCGAAGUAUAUUUUGGGAGCUUCCUUAUUGGAAGACCAAUCUUCUCCGCCAUAACCUUAACAUCAUGCACAUUGAAAAAAACGUGUUUGAGAACAUUUUCAACACCGUCAUGGAUGUGAAGGGGAAGACAAAGGACAACAUCAAGGCUAGAUUGGAUGUAGCGCUGUUCUGUAACCGUAAAAAUAUGGAGUUGGUUUGUGAUGGGUCACGGGUCGCAAAACCAAGAGCAAGCUUCGUGCUAGAGAAAAACGCACAACAACUAGUCUACAAAUGGCUUAAGAGUCUGCGUUUUCCCGAUGGACAUGCCUCGAACAUAUGAAGGCUGGUUAAUACAGAGGAAUGCAGAUUAUAUGGAAUGAAGAGUCAUGACUGCCAUGUGUUUAUGCAAACACUCAUCCCAUUAGUUUUUCGUGAUUUGUUGCCAAAGGGGAUAUGGGAUGCACUAACGGAGAUCAGUCAUUUCUUCAGAGAUAUAUGCUCCAGCAAGUUGAAUGUUGAUCACAUUGAAAGGCUUGAAAAGAAUAUCGUCAAGACAGUAUGCAAACUUGAGAUGAUAUUCCCUCCAUCAUUUUUUGACUCAAUGGAGCAUCUACCCGUACAUUUACCGUUUGAGGUAAAAGUUGGAGGACCGGUUCAGUACAGAUAGAUGUAUCCAUUCGAGAGGUUAGAUAUUACAUGAGCUAUGUAAUUUAUAAUUAAAUAUUUUUAUUUUUAUUUUAAUGUUUUUAAUUGAUAAUGUUUUAUAUAUAUAUAUAUACAGGUACUUGUUCAAUCUUACAAAAAAGGUUAAGAACAAGGCGCAUGUUGAGGCAUCAAUAUGUGAGGCGUAUAUUGUUGAGGAGAUCUCAACAUUUAUCUCAUACUAUUUCGAACCUCAUUUGAGAACGAGGAUAAACCGUGUUCCAUGGCAUGAUGAUGGUGGUGAAGUGCAUUCAAGUGGGAACUUGUCAAUAUUCUCCAAUCUUGGACGACCCACACCUAAAAAUGUCGUGAGGGGAAGAUAUUUGUUUGAAAUAGAGUUCAGAUAAGCACACAAUUAUGUCCUAUUUAACUGUGAUGAGCUGAGACCUUUUAUUAAGUAAGUAGAUGUUCGCCUUAAACUUUGUCGAGAGUGUACUACUUAUGUUUUGUGAUACCAUACACUCAUAUAAUUUGGAACAACCUUGCAGGCAACAUCGACGAUACUUACUGUCCAAUAACUCACAGCUGACCGAACCCCAGAUCUUUCAAUUACAAGAUGAACAAUUUGCCACAUGGUUUAGAACACAUGUAAGUCCUAUCACAAACUCAUUAUCUCUUGCAAUGUAAUUAAUUGUAGUCAAUGUUACAUAAUAUCCAUUUAUUGAUUAUUGUUGUAUUUAAUUUACAAGCUAGGUUUAUCAAAUGGGAGGUAGUGCUGCUAUUUCACUGUCCUUACUAUGUCUGGGCCCUGAAAAAAAAGUCAAGUGCUAUAAUGGAUAUUUUGUCAAUGGAUAUGUCUUUCAUAUUGAAGAAUACGGGCAUGGAAGAAAGACAUACAACAGCGGUGUUUGUAUUAAGGGAUCGACUUCUAGUGAGUUUGAAGUUGACUACUACGGUAGAUUGGAAGAGGUCAUCGAACUGCAAUAUCAUAGCGAGCAAAAUAGAGUGUUUUUAUUCAAAUGCUAUUGGUAUGACACAACUGACAGAGGAAUCAGAGUAGAUCCUCACUAUGGUCUCGUUGAAAUCAACUCAAAAGCUAGACACCGCAAUGUAAACGACGUCUUUGUUUUCGCAAAGCAAUGCCAACAAGUUUAUUACACAUACACCCCUUCCUUUAGAAAGGACCGAUCAAGAGUUGAUUGGUUAUCCGUUUUACAAACAAAACCUAAGGGUCGUGUCGAGGUUGUUCAGGAUGAGAACGAAGACACAAGUGUGAUAGAUGAAGUCUUUCAAGCUAGUGAGUUGGUUGAACCAUACCGAGUUGCUCCGUCGAUUGACUUAGAAGAAAAUUCAAAUUUUCGUGUUUUCAACGAUAGUCUUGUUGAUGUUGACGCAGAGGAGUUGAAUGUUGUUCUGAGCUCUACUAGUGGAAAAAAGAAUGUUGUUGAAGAAUAUGAUAACGAAAUUGAAGAGUGCGAUAAAGCUGAUGAUAACAAUUCAAUAGAGGACGAAGAUGAAAAUUCCGACUAACUAAACAUGUUAUAAAGCCUUAUUUUAUAAUGUAAUAAUUUGAAACAUGAAAUAUUUAUUCUUCUUUAAUGGUCAGCCCUUGUUAUUGUGUUGUGUGUGCUGUAAGAUUGCAAUUCAAGAUUUUUUGACAGGGUUACAUAAAAAAAAUAAGAAAAAUUUACGGUUUCACCGACGGGGUUACUGAUGGACUAUAACCCGUCGGUAUUUCACAGAGAGUUGCAAAACAAUUACGUGAUUGUUCCACAAUCACCGACGGACUAUCACUCGUCGGUAUUUCACAGAGAGUUGAAAAACAAUUACGGGAUUAUGCCACAUUCACCGACGGGUUUACCGACGGCUUUACCGACGUAAACUACCGACGGAAUCACCGACGGAUUACGCACAUCUCGAAGCGCAUGCAUGUCUGACAUGUGUCUGUCUGCACAAAUACCGAUGGCUUUACCGACGGAAUCACCGACGGAUUUACGCACAUCCCGAAGCACACGCAUGUGUGACACGUGGCCGUCUGCACAAAUACUGACGGAUUUUCCGACGGAUCGAAAAGUUUGGCGAGAUUUUCGAACUUUUUUUGGUGCGCAUUUCAAUUAAUUUCCGACGGCAUUACCGACGGAAUUUAAUGCCACCAACAACAAUUAAUGUCCGUUGGUAAUUCCGUCGGAAAAAUUGCCAUAUAAAUCCCCCCUUCCCCCCCCCAUUUGGUUCAUUUUUUUCUCUCGGCUCCGUUUCUCUUCUUCUACAUUUCUCUUCUCCUCUCCAUUUCUAUUUGUCAAAUUGAAGAGAUUUUAUUGUUUUGGUGGUUGUGAUUUUACCAAGGUAUGUAUUCUUUUUUCUUUAUCUUUGUAUUUUUUUUAUUUUAAUUAUGAUUAUUUUUUUUGGUGUUCUUUGUUUUGUGUAUUGUUUGUAGAUAAAAUCUUACAUUCAACACACUAUUAAGGUAAGCAUUUUUUAUUCCCAAAUUUAUUUUGAAUUGAUAUAAUGUUUUUUAGUUUUGUGUAUUGUUUGUUUUGUGUUUAUGUUGUUUUGUGUGAUGUUUUUUAGUUUUUUAAUUUUAUUUAUUAAUUUUAUGAUAUUAUUGUUUGUAUUGCUAUAAUUGUUAUUGUUGAAUUUAUGUUAAAAAUGUUAAUUUAUAUAUAUAAUUGUUAUUGUUGAAUUUAUGUUAAAAAUGUUAAUUUAUAUAUAUAGAAUUACAUUUAAUUAGUUUAUCUUAAUUUAGAAAAUGUUAAUUUAUAUAUAUAAUUGUUAUUGUUGAAUUUAUGUUAAAAAUGUUAAUUUAUAUAUAUAGAAUUACAUUUAAUUAGUUUAUCUUAAUUUAGGAUAUUAUUGUUUCCAUGUCAUUGUUAUUGCUUGUUAUUACAUUUUUAUAUUUAUGUAUACAUGUUAAUUUUUAUUUUGAGGUCCAUUAGGGUCGAUCGUGUUAGGAAUGAUAUUGAUUUAGUUAUCUUUUGCUUUUGACCAUGUAAUUAUUUAUAAAUUAAGAGUCUUGUCUCCUAAAACUUGAAAUGUAAUAUUAAUCCGUAAAUUUGAAUGUAUGACUUUAAUCUAAUGUUUGUAACUCUAAGUACCAAUUUAACAAUGAAUGUUCAUAGUUGAAAUUGAUUCUUUUACUUGAAUAUCAUUAUAUGAUGUUAUUGAAUAAAAUGUUAUGUUGAUGAUGAUGAGUUGGGUUGAGAUCCAGGAUGAUUGGAUCGGGAUGUGAAAUAAAAUUGGAAGUGUAAUAUGAUUUUGUCGAUAACUUGGGACCCCCCAGUAUAGGGGAGACUAUGUCGAAUUUUUUUUAAAAUAAUCGAAGUUAAUUAUGUAAUUAUUCGUAUAAAUUUGUGUAGAUGCGUAGAAUGAAAUCUACAGCACGUAGUUAGAAGACGGUUGCAGCUAGUUCUUCUAGCAGCAAGGAGGACGUAUCCUUAGGUGCUGAUCACGGCGAGGAAUCUACGCCAACUUGUGAUGCUGCCUCUUCUAGCGCGGUUUCACAGCGCAGAAGCGGUGUGCCUUCAUAGCGGGGUCAAUUCACCCGCAAGUACCAGGUACAAUGGAAGGAUGACCUCUCAAUGUAAGUUUGUUUAGGUUUUAGUGUUUUUUUUAUAUACUUAUAACAUAAUUUAUGAACAACUAAUUAAUAUUACUACUUUUAUUUAAUUUCAGGUUCACAAACAUUGAGGCUGCAAGGACUAUAACAUUGGCGUUUAAAUCGUCGAUGGAGAUUCCAUUGUUUCAAUGGAGCCAGGUUUCCAGACAUCCUGAGUGGAAACCUAAUAUUAAUGCAUGGUUUAAGCGAUUUCAGGUCGGUGUUAAUUUUUAAUUUCCCGCUUAUUUUUAAUAAAUGAUUUUUAUAAUUUUAUAUCUUGUACUAUUCUUAUUUUAUAUGAAUUAUUUAUAUACACAGAAUAAAUUUGAGUGGGAUAGGGCGGACAACAAUGUUGUGAGGAGGGUAUGGGAGAAUCACGCGGCAACUAGGUAACAUCGAAAAUAAUAUUUAUUUUUGUUUUAUAAUUUUAUGUUUUAAAUUCUAAUUUGUUACUAUGGAAGUAGGUUGCGUGAAUUUUGGUAUGACACCCAAAAAAAAUAAAAAAGACAAGCGAGGGAUAACGGUCUUGAAGGAUGGAAUGAGGUGGCGGUUUGGCAGGAAUUCAAACCGCCAUUCAUCUCGGGGGAAAUAUGGACGGCAUAUAUUGAGCACGUGACCUCAGAGCGGUUCUCACAGCGCUCACAGUCCGGCGCCGACAACCAAAACCGGCAAAUUCAUGGUUCGGUGACCACGCACACUGGCGGAUCCGUCCCAUUCAGCGCACAUGCAAAGCGGAUGGUAAGAUUAAUUUUAAUGAAAUAUAUCGUUAAAUAAUUUGUCGUUCUUUAUAAUAUAUUUAACUUUCAACCUAUUUUUUCCUUACAGUCUGCGUCUCUUGGACAUGAACCGAGUCCAAUGGAGCUGUUUGUAGAGACGCAUGUGCGGAGUCAAGACCGCCAAAAGGGGGUGCAACAGUUUGUGGACAACCGUGCUCAGCACUUCGUGGCAUGUUCGUUCAUUCAUUUUAUUUUGUAAGUUAUAAUUUCUUGAAUUGCAUCUUGAAUUGCAUUUGAUGAUUUUUUACCGACGGAAUUUUCAGGAGACCUAUAAUAGCCGGUUGAGGGAGAGAUAUGGGGACAAUCCGUCGACCCAUCCAGAUUUCGAUCCAGAUUUGUGGAUGGAGGCGGGAUCGUCUGGUGGACACGAUAAAAAUCGGGUCUACGGGCUCUCCAACACUACGGCUGAAAACUUGCGUUCGGCUCGUAGUGUCUCAAGUGUUGGAAGCUCUCCAUCAGUAUCGAACACCCAGUCUGAGGAGUUCAUUGCGUUGAAACAACAAUAUCAACAACUCUCGACGAAUUAUGAUGAGCUCCGUCAAAUAGUCAUAGAGAUGAGAUCAAAGAUGGGUGACGAUACUUGUGCAGCUUCUUUUUGGUCGUAUGGUCCCUGGAACAACCAGCCUCCUCCUCCUCCUACAGCUCCGCCGCUAUUCUAGUUUAAUUUUGUUUUUUAAACACAUUAAAUUUGUAAUGAAUAUUAUUUAACAUUACUUUUAUAUUUUUAAUGUUUAAUCCAUUGUUAUUUGUUUAUUAAGGUUUUUUACUAUUAACAAAAUUAUUUUUUAUAUAUAUUUUAAAUACCUACCGACGGAUAUACCGACGGAUAAUGUCCGUCGGUAUUCCACAGAGAGUUGCCAAACAAUUACCAGCCAUGCCAUAAUUACCGACGGAAUAUAUCCGUCGGUGAUUAAAUACAGACGGAUUUACCGACGGAUAAUAUCCAUCGAUAUUUCACAGAGAGUUGCCAAACAAUUACCAGCCAUGCCAUAAUUACCGAUGAAAUAUACGUCGGUAAGUCCGUCGGUACUUACCGUUGAAAUUGCAGGCGGAUUUAUUUCGUCGGUAAUGUUCCCGCGGGAAACUUUUUUUUUGGCGCGCGUGUAUCCGUCUGUAAGACCGUCGGAGGGUAUUUUUUUUAUUUGCGACAGAAUUAGCGACGGAAAUGGGUUUUACCGAUGACUGGUAUACCGACGGAUGUGUUUCGUCGGUGAGGUCGUCGGUAAUUAUUUUACCGACGGAUUUCAUUGCUUGCACCGACGGAAUUAGUCCGUCGGUAAAACUGGUUAAUGGUGUAGUGAUUGUGUUUGGUUUCCAAUCAGGUAAGCAGAAGUUUCCUGGUUUUGGUUUUACCCAUAAUUGGGUAAAGCGAAGUAUUUUUUGGGAGCUUCCUUAUUGGAAGACCAAUCUCCUCCAUCAUAACCUUGACGUCAUGCACAUAGAAAAGAACGUAUUUGAGAACAUUUUCAACACCGUUGUCACACCCGGACAUCGCGGCGACCGAUUAAAAAUUAAUCACAAGUGGAAAAAGAACAUAUAUCUGGCAUCUUGUUCUUUGGGGGGAAGGUCUUGUUCAAGGAGUCGCCACCUGGUAUUAUGAUCACUUGGAACCCUAACUGAUCAACAGAGAUUCUACGGUGCGAGACUGAUUACGCGAAAGGGAAGAUAUUAUCACCCCUUAAGCGUCCUACCUAAGGCAGGCUGCAUUGCUGGUUUUUGUCUAAAAUUGCUAAGAAUUUGUUCUCUUUUUCCUUUUUUAUCCUUCCUUUCAUGUUCCUGACUCUGGCAUCAGUGAACAAUUCCUACAAAUAUUUCCAACUCUGGCGUUGGUAAAUAUCGCGCAAAUCCAAAAAUUGCGAUACUCCUGACUCUGGCAUCAGUGAAUACUUUUGAAAAAAAUUAAUUUGUUGAAGAAAUUUUCUAUGCCAUUUUCCCUGUUUAUCCUUUAUUUUUAUUGAUCCUUUUCAGAUGGAAAUAAAUAAAUAAAAAACCUUGCACGACAUAUUUGCAUUCAACAAUAAUAAUCCACAGAUUGAGCACAUAGCUAAAAAAAAAUACAAGCACAAAGAAAAAAAAAUAAAGUGUGAGGAGCCCACAAAUAAAUCAACGAAGAACCACAAAUAUUUUUGGAAUUUUCUGAUAUCGAAAAGGGGCUCGUUUGGCCAAAUGUUAAACUAGAAUGUGCAUAAAAAUUAUGGCCGGCUGGGCCUAAAUCCCAGACCCGGACUACUCUUUUUUUUGGGGGGGCUGAGUCCAGCCCAGCCAACAUGUACUGGGUUGGACCCAAGCAACCCGGCUUGGUUAUUGGCUCAGGCCAAUAACAGGGCCAAACAGCAGGCACGCGUGAACUGGUUCACAUGUGCCCCUGCACAGUGCGAAGGUAAUUAAUUUACCUUUGGACUGUUUUGAACAGCAUUCUAAGGAAUCAAAUUUGCGGAGCUUGAGGAAGAGAGUUUACCUGGGUGAAGACAGCGAUGGGGAAGCAGACGGGGUGAUGAUUUUUGCUACGGCCGAAGAACAUCCUCCUCCUCCCUUUUAUUUUCAAACCCACUCCCCUUUGUUUUCUUGUUCUUUUUGGUUUGCCUAUUCUACGUGAAUCCGGAGACAAAGACAAAGUUGGGUUUUGCUUUAUUUUAUGCCUUCCACUCUUUUGCUCUGUUCCCCCGCUCUCUUCCUUUCUACCGAGGUAUUUAUAGGGAUCAAUCUUCCUCUCCCUCCACCUGACGUCUCUCCUCCUGAUAAGCACGGUUUGAGGGAGUAGGUUUCUGCUGGGACUCGGACACGAAGUCCAGUCGUUAUCAUUCUGGAUUGUGAUUAUCAUGAAGAAUAGGAUUGUUGUUCUGUGUUUUGGAUGGGAUUAGGAUGCCAAUUGUCCCGCCAUUGUUGGGCUGUUUGUGGUGGUUUUCUUCAAGCUGUUGGCAUGUCAUAGCGGCGAUGGACACGGGGGUGAACUGAUGAGCUGGUGAUGGAAGUCGUGGGUGUUGCCGUGUGUUUGGUGACCGGUGUUUCAUUUUUGCAGGGAGCUUUCCUCUGUUUUUCGGAGGAAGAGGACAGUGAACAGUAAUGAAGAAUGGAGUCAUUUUGGACUGGAAAUGGCAAUCUCUCAAUUUGGUCCUCCAAGUUUCAACAUUUUUUAAUCGGCCCCUGGACAGAAUUUCGGCCCUUUUUACAAAAUGAUCCCUGGACCUUCAUCACUUGUAAUCUUGUCCUUAAUUAACUUAGAAAUUUAAUAUUUAUUCAAUUAUGCCCCUUAUUUCAUUAAUUAACUAAUUCUAAGCCUAAUUAAGUCCUCAAACUUAUCCAUUCUUCAAUCAAAUUCUUGAUAUCAUUAAUUAAACCCACUUAAAGUUUAAUUGGAACCCAUACCAGUUAAUUCUUUCAAUUUCUUUCAAAACUAACUUCCAAAGUCAUAAAUCCAACAUGAUUAACCUCUCAAAGCUUUCAAUUUGUGUUGUUUUGAGUCAAAACCUCAAUUUUUCAUUCAUUUCAUUUUUUUCAUUUAUGUUGUCUGAAAUUGGGUUACGACAACCGUUAUGGAUGUGAAGGGGAAGACAAAGAACAACAUCAAGGCUAGAUUAGAUUUAGCAUUAUUCUGUAAUUGAAAAAAUAUGGAGUUGGUUUUUGAUGGGUCACGGGUCACAAAACCUAGAGCAAGCUUCAUGUUAGAGAAAAAUACACAACUAAUAGUCUACAAAUGGCUUAAGAGUCUGCGUUUUCCAGAUGGACAUGCCUCGAACAUAUCAAGGCUGGUUAAUAUGGAGGAAUGCAGAUUAUAUGGAAUGAAAGAUUGUUCCAAAUUAUAUGUUCAUCUUGUAAUUGAAAGAUUUGGGAUUCAGUCAGCUGUGAGUUAUUGGACAGUAAAUAUCAUCGAUGUUGCCUCCAAGGUUGUUCCAAAUUAUAUGAGUCUGCGUCAUGACUGCCACGUGUUUAUGCAAACACUCAUUCCAUUAGCUAUCCGUGAUUUGUUGCCAAAGGGGAUAUGGGAUGCACUCACAAAGAUCAGUCAUUUCUUUAGAGAUAUAUGCUCCAGGAAGUCGAAUAUUGAUCACAUUGAAAGGCUUGAAACAAAUAUCGUCGACACAAUAUGCAAACUUGAGAUGAUAUUCCCUCCAUCAUUUUUUGACUCAAUGGAGCAUCUACCUAUACAUUUACUGUAUGAGGUAAAAGUUGGAGGACCGGUCCAGUAUAGAUGAAUGUAUCCAUUCGAGAGGUUAGAUAUUACAGUUGCAAUGUAAUUCAUAAUUAAAAGUUUUUCAUUGUUUUUUUAAUUGAUAAUUUUUGUUUAAUUCUAUAUACGCAAGUACUUGUUCAAUCUUAAGAAAAAGGUUAAGAACAAGGCACAUGUUGAGGCUUCAAUAUGUGAGGCCUAUAUUGUUGAGAAGAUCUCAACAUUUAUCUCGUACUAUUUCGAACCUCAUUUGAGAACGAGAAUCAACCGUGUUCCACAACAUGAUGAUGGUGGUGAAGUGGCUUCAAGUGGGAACUUGUCAAUAUUCUCCAAUCCUGGACGACCCACACCUAAAAAUUCCUUAAGGGGAAGAUAUUUGUCUGAAAUAGAGUUCAGACAAACACACAAUUAUGUUCUAUUUAACUGUGAUUAGCUGAAACCUUUUAUUAAGUAAGUAGAUGUAUUACUUAAACUUUGUCAAGAGUGUACUACUUAUAUAUUGUGAUAUCAUAAACUCAUAUAAUUUGGAACAACCUUGGAGGCAACAUUGAUGAUAUUUACUGUCCAAUAACUCACAGUUGACCGAAUCCUAAAUCUUUCAAUUACAAGAUGAACAAUUUACCACAUGGUUUAGAACACAUGUAAGUCCUAUUAUAAACUCAUUAUCUCUUGCAAGGUAACUGUACGUUAAUAUUAGAGAAUGUUCAUUUAUUGAUUAUUGUUGUAUUUGAUAUACAAGGUGUAUCAAAUAAGAGGUAGUGUUGCUAUUUCGUUGUCUUUACUAAGCCUGGGCCCUGAAAGAAAAGUCAAGUGCUAUAUCAGGUAUUUUGUCAAUGGAUAUGUGUUUCAUACUAAAGAAUACAAGCAUGGAAGAAAGACAUACAACAAUGGUGUUUGUAUUAAAGGAUCGACUUGUAGUGAGUUUGAAGUUGACUUCUAUGAGAAAUUAGAAGAGGUCGUCGAAUUACAAUAUAAUAGCGAGCAGAAUAGAGUGUUUUUGUUCAAAUGCUAUUGGUAUGACACCACUGAUAGAGGAAUCAGAGUAGAUCCUCACUAUGGUCUAGUCGAAAUCAACUCAAAAGCUAGACUCCGCAACGUAAAUGAUGUCUUUGUUUUCACAAAGCAAUGCCAAAAAGUUUAUUACACAUACACCUCUUCCUUUAGAAAGGACUAAUCACGAGUUGAUUGGUUAUCUGUUUUAAAAACAAAACCCAGGGGUCGUGUCGAGGUUGUUCAGGAUGAGAACGAAGACACAAGUGUGAUAGAUGAAGUCUUUCAAGUUAGUGAGUUGGUUGAACCAUAUCGAGUUGCUCCUUCGAUUGACUUAGAAGAAAAUUUGAAUUUUCAUGUUUUCGAUGAUAGUCUUGUUGAUGUUGACGCAGAUGAGUUGAAUGCUGUUUUGAGCUCUAGUGGACUAGAGAAUGUUGAUGAAGAAGAUGAUAAUCAUAUUGAAGAGUGCGAUCAAGCUGAUAACAAUUCAAUUGAGGACGAAGAUGAAAAUUCUGACUAAAUAUCCUGUAAAGCCUUUUUUUUAUAAUGUAAUAUUAUGGAUGAUAUUUUGGAACAUGAAAUAUUUAUUUUAUAAUUGUUUGUUGUUGUUAUUGUGUUAUUCGGUAAGUUUGCAAUUUAAGCGUUUGAGCAGGAGGAUAAAUAAGCAAUACAAGCAAAAUAUGUAAAAGUAUGACACAAAUACCGACGUACAUACUAAUGGAAACUGUCCGUCAGUAUUUUAUCGAGAGUUGUAAAAUAUUUACUGCAUUUGCCACAAUCACCAACGACCAUACCGAGAAUUGCAAAAUAUUUACUGCCAAUGCCACAAUCAUCAACAUUGUUUCCGACGGACAGACCGUCGGUAUAUCAUCAUAGAGGUGUGUGCGACUGUUAGAGUGCUAGGUCUGUCAGUGCGGAUACCUACGGAAUCACCGACGGACGCUGCAAAUUCCAAUGCGCGUGCUUUGACACCUCUAUACCGACAAAUGUGCCGACGGACUUUCAAAAUUCUAGAGGGAUUUUUAAAAUUUUAGUGCGAAAUUCAAAAUAUACCGAUGGAAUUUACCGACGAAAAUUUAAUGCCACCGCCAUGAAAAUAUUAUUCAAAUGUCCGUCGGUAAAAUUGUAGUAUAAAACCUAGCCCCCCUUUUCGUGGUUCAUUUUUUUCUUCGUUUCUCAUUUCAUCUUCUCUUCUCUUCUCUGUUUGUGUUUUGUUUUUGCAUGAAUUGGUGCAAAUUUUAAUUGUUUUGAUUGUAGUUUUCAACAUAUUAAAAGAUAUGUAUUCUCCUUUCUUUAUCUUUAUCAUGGUAAUCGUUGUUAUGAUUAUUUUUGUUGUGUUUUUUCUUUUUAUUUGUUCAAUUUAUUUUAUUGUUUGUAUUGCCAUAAUAAAUGAAAAUUUUGUUAAAUUUGAAUUGUUAUUGUUGAAUUUACCUUAAAAAUGUUAAUUGAAAUAUAGAAUUAAAUUGAAUUAUUUUAUCUUAAUUUUAUUAUAUUAUUGCUUGUUAUGUUUUUUAUUAUUUUGAUUAAUUUUAAUUAUUAUUUAUGAAUUUGUAUAGAUGUUAGUUGAAAAUAUAUAGAUAUUAAAUUUAUAUAGAUGUUAGGUUGUAUAUAAGAUUUUGCAAUGGAAUCAAUUAAAUUGGCUUGUGGAUAUUAUCAAUAUUUGUAGGUAUGAAAACUGUGGGUAGUAUCUAAUAUAGGAGAGGUGCUGGCAAAUGUUUUUUAAAUAAUUGAAUUUAAUUAUAUAAUUAUUCGUAUAAAUUUAUGUAAAUGUGUAGAAUGAAAAUUUAAUUAUUUUAUUGUUUGUAUUGUAAUAGUUAUCUGAAAAUUUUGUCGAAUUUUAUUGUUAUUAUUGAAUUUACCAUGAAAAUGGUAAUUGAAAAUGAAGAAUUAAAUUUAAUUAUUUUAUCUCAAUUUUAUUCUAUUAUUGCUUGUUAUGUUAGGUUGUAUAUAAGAUUUUCCAAUGGAGUCAAUUGGUUUGUGGUUAUUGUAAAUAUUUGGGAGGUGCUACCGAAUUGUUUUUAAAUAAUCAAAUUUAAUUAUGUAAUUUUUCGUAUAAAUUUGUGUAGAUGCGUAGAAUGAAAUCAACAACACAUCAUCAGCAGACGGUUGCAGCUAGUUCUUCUAGUAGCGAGGAUGACUUAUCCUUAGAUGCUAAUCAAGAAGAGGCACCUACGCCAACUUGUAAUGCUGCCUCUUCUAGCGCGAUUUCACAGCGCAGAGGUGUUGUGCCUUCACAGUGAGGUCAAUUCACCUGCAAGUACCAGGCACAUUGGAAGGAUGACCUUUCAAUGUCAGUUUAUUUAGGUUUUAGUUUUUUUUAUACUUAUAACAUAAUUUAUGAACAACUAAUUAAUAUUUUAUUAAUUUUAUUUAAUUUUAGGUUCACAAACAUUGAGGCUGCCUGAACAAUAACAUUGGUGUUUAAAUCAUCGAUGGAGAUUCCAUUAUUUCAAUGGAGUCAAGUUUCCAGACAUCCUGAGUGGAGACCUAAUAUCGAUGCAUGGUUUCGACGAUUUCAGGUAGGUGUUAACUUCUAAUUUCUAGCUUAUUUUUAAUAAAUUAUUUUUUUAAUUUUAUAUCUUUUACUAUUUUUAUUUUAAAUGAAUUAUUUAUACACAACACAAAUUUAAGUGGGAUAACAUGAACAACAAUGUUGUGAAGAGGGUAUGGGAGAAUCAUGCGGCAACUAGGUAACAUAAAAAAUAAUAUAAUUUUUUAUUUUACAAUUUUAUGUUCUAAAUUCUAAUUUGUUACAAUGGAAGUAGGUUGUGUAAUUUUUGGUAUGGUACAUAAAAAAAAGCAAAAAGAUAUGUGAAAGAUAACGGUCUAAAAGGCUGGAAUGAGGCGGCAGUUUGGCGGGAGAUAAAACCGCCAUUCAUGUCGGGGGAUAAAUGGACACAAUAUUUUGAGCACGUGAUGUCUGAGCGGUUCGUACGAUACUCACAGUCCGAUGCCGACAACCAGAACCGACAAAUUCAUGGUUCGAUGACCAUGCUCACCGGCGACUCCGUUCCGUUCAGUGCAUAGGCGAAGCAGAUGGCAAGAUUAAUUUAAAUGAAAUAUAUCGUUAAUUAAUUUGUUGUUGCUUAUAAAUAUAUUUAACUUGCAACAUUUUUUUCUUCCAAGCUACGUCUCUUGGACAUGAGCCAAGCUCAAUAGAGCUGUUUGUCGAGACGCACGUGCAGAGUGAAGACCGCCAAAAGGGGGUGCAACAGUUCGUGGACAACCAUGCUUAACACUUCGUGGUAUGUUUGUUCAAUCAUUUUAUUUCAUAAGUUAUUAUUUUCUUGAAUUGAAUAUGAUGAUUUUUUUUUAAAUUUUCAGGAGACCUAUAAUAGCCGGUUAAGGGAGAGAUAUGGGGACGAUCCUUCAACCCAUCUGGAUUUCGAUCCGGAUUUAUGGAUGGAGGUAGGAUCAUCUAGUGGACCCGAUAAAAAUCGGGUCUACAAACUCUUCAACACUACAGCCGAAAACUUGUGGGCAGCCCGUAGUGUCUCAACCAUUGGGAGCUCUCCAUCAGUAUCAAGCACCCAGUCUGAGGAGUUCAUGGCCUUGAAACAACAAUAUGAACGACUCUCGAUGGAUUAUGAACAGCUCCGUCAAAUGGUCAUGGGCAUUAGAUCAAGGAUGGGUGAUGAUACAUGUGCAGCCCCUUUUUGGUACGGUCCGGGGAACAACCAGCCUCCUCCUCCUCCUCUAGCUCCGUCGUUAUUCUAGUUUAAUUUUGUUUUUGAAAUACAUUAAAUUUGUAAUGAAUAUUUGGAUGAAUAUUGUUUAACAUUAAUUUUAUAUUUUUAAUGUUUAAUACAAAUUUAUUUGGUUAAUUAGUUUUUUUUUACUAUUAAUCAAUAUAAUAUUUUUUUAAAAAAUUAUUUAUUCUAAUUUUUUUUAAUAUUUUUAAAUAAAUAUCAACGGCCUUACAGACGGAACAGGUCCAUUGGUAUUAGAUAGAGAGUUGAAUAAAAUUUACUGCCCAUGCCACAAUCAUCGACAACAUUAUUCUGUCGGUGAUUUACCGUUAACAAUACCAACGGACUUUAUCCGUCAGUAUUUUACAGAGAGUUCUAAAAUAUUUACUGCCCAUGCCACAAUAAUCGACGGACUGGCCAUCGGUGAUGUACUGGUGGAAAUACAGAUGAAAAAACUCCGUCAGUAAAGUUCUAGCGCGAUUUGUUUUUGGCGCGCUUUUUCCGUUUGUAAGAUUGUCGGUGUUUUUUUUUCUGAUAGAAGUAGCGACAGAAAUGGGAAUUACCGACGAUCAAUAUUUUGACAGACGUAUUAUGUUAGUGAUGUUGUCGGUGAAAAUUUUUCUGACGAAUACCAACGGAAUUAAUCAGUCAGUAAAAUUGUUUUAUGGUUUAAUGAUAAUUAAAUAAGUAAUAAAUUUCACAAAAUAAAGUUAUUAUAUCUAAUUGAGCUCAUGACCAAGGUGAUAGGUUUGGUGGGUUGACCCAGGUCGAUCCAAAAUAUUAUUGUCUCUAUAUUUAAGAAAAAAAAGUUAAAACAACAUUCUCUUGAUUUGUUUUAAGUCAAUUCGAGUCAACCAGAUGAAACAGGUCACAUCAAAUCAACUUUAACCCGUUUUAAUUUGAAACUUGGUCAGGUAAUGGGUCUGCACAAUGAGUCUUUGAUGUCAAUUAAAAUUAAUUAAUUCAAUAUAUAUUUGGGAUAUUAUUUUAUCAAAUACCAUUAAAUUCUUUGUUUGUUUUUGAAUGAUAUUAUAAUAGUUUUUUAUAAUAUAGCAAACACUCUUUUUGUACAACCCUUCAUGUAUUGUAUUUCUUUUUUUGCUUAAAUUUUAUUCGGUUGUUUUCAUAUGCAUCUUUAUUUUUUAUUUCAUAAUUAAAUACAAAAUAGAUUAAAAAAAGUUAUUAAACCUAACUGGAUCUAUGACCUGGAUCGUGAGUUGACCCAGGUCGAUCCAAAAUAUUAUUGUCUCUAUAUUUAAGAAAAAAAAGUUAAAACAACAUUCUCUUGAUUUGUUUUAAGUCAAUUCGAGUCAACCAGAUGAAACAGGUCACAUCAAAUCAACUUUAACCCGUUUUAAUUUGAAACUUGGUCAGGUAAUGGGUCUGCACAAUGAGUCUUUGAUGUCAAUUAAAAUUAAUUAAUUCAAUAUAUAUUUGGGAUAUUAUUUUAUCAAAUACCAUUAAAUUCUUUGUUUGUUUUUGAAUGAUAUUAUAAUAGUUUUUUAUAAUAUAGCAAACACUCUUUUUGUACAACCCUUCAUGUAUUGUAUUUCUUUUUUUGCUUAAAUUUUAUUCGGUUGUUUUCAUAUGCAUCUUUAUUUUUUAUUUCAUAAUUAAAUACAAAAUAGAUUAAAAAAAGUUAUUAAACCUAACUGGAUCUAUGACCUGGAUCGUGAGUUUGACGAGUUAACUUAGGUAAACGUUGGUUGAUUCAAAACAUCUUCUAAAUGUUUUUUUCAAAAAAAUUAAACAAAGUUGUCUUGAAUUUUUUUUAAGUCAAAUUGUGUUUUCACCGAGUUGUGUUUGGACCUACCAUGUCAACCAAGUCAUAUCAUGUCAACUUCAACCUGAUUUAAUUUGAAACUCGGGUCAAGUAAGGAACCAGGUGUAAGGGUCUUUAGAUUGCCUCGCUGAGCUAGACUGGAUUUGAUAAAUUAGCCAAAAUGUUCCCUGAAUAAACACACAAUUUUUGUAUCAUUCUUAUAUAUUUUUUUAAUGCAUUUGCAUUCUAAUUAUCAAAACUUUAGUUUUUUUUUUAAUUUAAACUUCCUUUUAUGAUUAUGGUGAGGUGUUGUAAAAAAAUAUUAUUGUAAUAAAAUGCUAAAAAAAAGGGAGCGUGUUAAUAAGAUAAAGAUGUUUUAAUUACGAAGAUAUUUUUUAUCCUUCUUUCAAAUCUUUCAUUUUUUAUAUUUAUUCAUUUUAUUUUUUUAUUAAAUAAAGAAUAUAGAACAAAAAAAGGGAGCAGUUGAUCAGGUAUUUGAUGAUGAUGGCAUUGAAUGCACAAUUGCUCAAAUCUUUCUCAACACUAAGAGAGUGUCUCCCCAUGAGAUUGUUGAAUCCCACAUAUUUCUUUUCUUAUGUUGGCAACUCAAGAGGUUAGGAAAUACUUUUCAAGAAAAAUCUUCUUCAUGUCAUUCCAUGUUCCAAUGGAACCUGGGAGAAUAGAGAAAAGCCAUGUCUUUGCUGCCCCUUUUAAAAGAGAAAGGGAAAGCUUUUAACUUAACUUGUUCUUUGUCAACUCCGUUUGGUUUCAUGCCAACACAAACCUGCUGUUGAUUUAUAGUCCAGGGCUUGACAGAAAAGACUGUUGGUCCAGAUAAUGGGGCGCGGCAGCGCAGAUUUGUGCAGCUGUAGGUUCGUCGGGGAAAAUCGGCAGCGCAGAUUUUUCGACGAACAUAGGCAGGACGCUGGACUAGCCGGGCCAGGCAGGAAAAUUCGUCAAGGGGACACGUUGACGAAACAACGCUGGUUUAGACACGGUGGGCGCAGUGGUGGAAUCAGCAUCGCCGACAAAAUCAGCAAAGUCGGCAGAAUCGGCAGCACCUGCUGCCGAUUUAUAGUCCAGGGAACUCUUUGAGAUGAGUAUAAGGAUCUUCUCUAGCAAGUCCAUUAAAUAUUAACAGUAAAUGUAUAAAACCAGACAUGAGCUCGAAGUUGGCAUUGUUGUCGAUGUUUAUGCACAAUGGUUGAUUCUCCACGUUAGGAGCACCAAGCUCCUUGAGUGUCUGUUGUCGUGUAACAACCAUAGUGUUGACGCAAGCUUCUUUUUGUAACCUGCGUAAAGUGUUUUUUAUUUCGAGAUUUACCUGAACUUGUCUGUGGUUAGUAGAAUGGGUUACAUGCAUAAAUCGUCAAGAAAACUCAAAAGAAACCAACAACACACGAGAUUUAAAGUAGUGCAAACUGAAUAAAAAUCCUACGUUAGAACACAAAAAUUGCCUAAAAACCCUAUAAAACAGCGAAAUUUGGCCUCAAUAGGGUGGAGUUAGUGGCUAUAAGCCACCAGUCUUGUUCAGAACAUCGUUUCCCUUAAGGACACAAAAGUCCGAGACCUAAUUCCACCAAAAAAUUAGUUUUGAGCAGUAUCGGUCAUACUGUAUAGUAUCGUCGCAAACAAAAAAAAUUGUUUCUUUUUUUUAACAAAAUAAAUAACAAUCACAGCACAAGAAUGAACUAAAAUCACUUUCUCGGCAACGACGCCAAAAUUUGGUGCGAUGUCGUGUUCGCACAAAUUAAUUACCCUAACUUAAAUAAACAAGAUAGUAUAGAGUAAGCAAGGGAUCAAUCCCACGAGGAAGCUUUAGUUUAGAUAUUUAUGUUAUACGAUAUGCAAUUGGGGGGAAUUUUGAGAUUAUCUAGACUAUAGCAGAAUUAAACAAUCAAGCUAAAUUAAAUAAAUCAGAAAAUUAUCAAGAGAACAAACCUUGGUUUCAAGUAAACAUUCACCUACAGAAAUCAGAACUGAUCAUUGAAAUGAAACAUCAAUUUAUAUUCUGAAUCCUUAUCUUUUCUUAAUAUUGGUUAGUUAACAGAUUCGCCGUAUAACUAACCAUAACCAUCAAACAAUCACGGUGUCCACACUAGUAAUAAAAAUUCAAUGGCAGCCUUAAGAAUUACAUAAGUUGAUUAAUCUAGAUAACAUGAUUGUCCGUAGUUCAUGUUUGGUUUGAUUGAAUGUUCUCCCUAAGAUUAAUAACGGAGAUCCGCCAUAAUUAUUAAACUCAGUUGCUUCACAACUUUAUAUACCACAACUCUAGUUUUGAUAGGAAAAUUAGCAAUAGAUUAUUCACAAAAAUAACUUAGAGUCUGCUCUAGCAAUUAAAAUAAAUAAUCAUAGGAUAUAAGCAUAAGAGAACAAACAUAUUCAUUCAUUAUAUAAACUAAAACGAAAAGGUAAAAUAAAUCUCACAGUUCUUGAAAUCUGAAGGUUUUUGUGUGCUUGCAACCAAGAAAAAGAGUUUAGCCUUGCAUGUCUAUUGAACAACUAAUCAAAAAAGAAGAAGAAUGCAUGAUUUUGGGUUUUUUAGAGGAAGGUGAAUUUUUUCUCUCUUGGUUGGUCUCCCCCUCUUCCUUUCUCUCUUUCUUUUUAUUUGAUAGGAAAUCCUAACAUCGUUUUUCUACAAAAUAGUCCUUACCUAAGUAGACAAUUUAUAUUUCAGUAGUUCAAUAACUAUUUUCCUAAAUAAGGAGAAAUAGUCUUACACAAAAUCCUCAAACUUUGAUUUUGGACUUAUAAGAGUUAAAUUGCCGAACUAAAGACUUGGAUGUCGGUUUGGAUGCUUUGGGAAGUAAUUUGGACUUGUUUCUUCACAAAACCUGUUUGCUGGCAGAAUUCAUAUGGCAUCUUAGAAAACUCAUAUGUGCUCGUUUUCUCCUACAAUUUGGUAUGAUGAUAGGUCUUUGAGUCAGGAAUCCAACCAAAUUGAGUUUACAUCAAAUGAACUUCUCUAGCUCAAGAUAUUCAAGUCGGAAUAGCCAAAGAUCAACACUAGCAGAAUGCAAGAUUUGUCUUUGAAGGCUGUGAUCUCUAUGUAAUUUCUCUUUUUAUUUUUCUUGCCAUAUAUUUACAGAAAGGUAUGGAUAUUAGCUUUCUAAUGCCAUAAGAAUCACUUCGUUUCGUCCUCUAGAGCUCAAGUUCUGUACAAAACAUUGAUUGGAGGUCAAAUCUGCCAAUUAUCUCCAAUUUACUUCUUUUUUAAUCUUACAUCCAAAAGUGCCUUCAAAACAUAAAUUAAAGAAAAUUAAGGUACUUUAUAUAUAAAACAUAGGCAAAAUACUAGUUAAAUGCGAGUAAAACUAUCAAAUAAUAUAAUUGCAUCAAAUACCCCCACACUUAGCUCUUGCUCGUCCUCAAGAAAGGAGAGAGAGAAAGUUGUUGUUUACACCGAUCCCAAUAACAAAAAUGAUUGAUCUUAGUGGCAAUGGCUUUCAUUUGAUGAGAGAAGUUUGAUUUUGGUUGUUUAGAACCUUAAUAUUUCCUAAAAAAUCAGAUCGAAGUCUAAGAAUUUUUUUUACUCGGUUUUAUUGUGUUUUUGGACCUUUUUUGGGUUUCCUAGGUUGAUAAAUUGAUUUCUAGAUGCUUUAAGAUUGUUUACAAGGUAUUUUUCGGUUAAAAUGGGUUGAAAUAUGAGUUUUUAGGUCAAAAAAUACUUUACCCUAAUUUCUCAGCUACCACCAUGGUGGUUGGAAUUUGAGCAUCAUUUAAUUAUAUUUUUUUAUAAAAAGAGGUUGAAUGACAAGUCAUUUUCCCCUUAAUAAGAUAUAUAAAACAAUAAAAUCAAGUUUGAAGGCCCACAUGAUUAGGGUUUUUUUUGGCAUUUUUUGUUUUAUUUUUUAAAAACUUUAUUAUUUUAUCUUUAGGUAAAAAAUAAAUUUUAGAAAAAACAUUAUUAAACUUCGCUCACUCCAUGACCCGAGUCAUAGGUUUGACAGGUUAAUCCAUAACAUCCGGGUCAAUUUAAUAAAUUGUUGUUUCAAUAUUUAAAACAAAACAAUAUGCGAUAUUGAAAAAAAAAACAUUUAUUUUAUUUUGAAUUUGUCUUCACAAUGUGUUUUGUUUUUCUUUUUCCUAUGAAGUUAAUUUGUUUAAAAUUGCUUUUUAUAUUAUUAUCACGGUCUCAUGUUCCUUCUCAUGGAUAUAACAAUUUAACUUUGGUUGACCCGGGCUACUUCAAUAUGUCACAAUGUUAAUGUUUUUUUUAGAAAAAAAGUCAUCUUGCAAAUUUGUUUUCCUUUAUUUUUUUCUUCCAUUUUCAACUUUAGUUUUUUAUUUAUUAUUAUUUAUCCUAUACUCACAGAAAAAAUUAAAUUAUUAAACCUAGUGAAUUCCAUGACCCAGAUCGUGGGCUUGAAAGGAGGUUGGCCGCAUAGCUCGUGUUGAUCAAAUUUAUUUUUAAGCAUUUGAGUUAUUUUGAAUUGAUCAUUAUGAUACGUUUCAUUUUGAUUUUUGUAUCAUUAAUUGAUUUUGAUCUGUUUUUUUCCUAUAAUUUAAUGACACUGCUUAAAAAUUUCCUAUAAUUUUGAUAUUUUUCAAGAUUUUAAAAAUCUUAGUUCAACAUUUAGAAGGAACAUGUUUUGAACCAAUAGUGUAUCCUAGAUAACUUUAACUAAGAUAGAUAGCACGAAAACAUUUACUACAAGUAUUGUAGCUUUCCUCACAAAUCACGAUGGAGCUACAUUGUUUCCCCACAUUGUUUUUUUUUUCCUUUAAACACAUGGUUCCUUUUUUUUCCUUUUACUUUUCUUUUUGUUUUUUUUCUUAUGAUUUUUUUCAAAAAUGUUUUUGUCAAUUUUAUUUUUUUAAUAUUGAGAUGGUUUAAAAUUUAGCUUUAUAAGUUUUUUUCUUUUUAUUUUGUCUUUCUAUGAGGUAACUCAAGUUGCCCUGGUUUAUGGAUUUAGUGAGUUUUUUUUUAAUUGAACUUGGCUUUUUUAUAUUCUAUUUUUUCUCAUAUAGUUAAAAAAAAUACUUUUAGAGAAAAGUUAAGUUCUUAAAUUUUAUAAAAUAACAAAAAUUAAAGGGUGUGAGGAAACCACGGUGUUUUGCUUUUUUUUUUCUUUUUCUUUUUGAAUUUUUGAUAUGAUUUGUUUUUUGAAUUUUUGAUAUGAUUUGUUUUUGUCGAUUUGAUCUUUUAAUAUUGGGAUGAAUAAGAAUUUGGCUUCAUAAUUUGUUUCCUUUUCCUUUACAUUUCUAUAAGGUUAACAUGGUUUGCGAGUUUGUCGUAACCUAGGUUGCCCUAGUUUACGAGUUUGGUGAGAUAUCUUUUUCUUAAUUGAACUUGACAUUUUAUCAUGUAUUGUUUUCUCAUAUAGUUCAUCAAUUCACAUCAUGGAGUAUAAAGCAUUAACAAAGUAGCAUAAAACAAGAUUUAAAGACUCUCAACAUUGUUUGACCACUAACUCUAUUUAAUCAUCAAAUUGUUUUACUUCAACUACAAUAAUUUAAUCACUUUACUCUAACUUUCACAUUAUUCCCGAUGACAAUUUAUAGUAAAUUUUUAUUUCCCCCAAAUUCAUUCAAGAACCCUAACUUUCCAAAUUUCAAAUUAUUUACCCUAAUUCACAUCAUGGAGUAAAUUUCUUGUUCUCGAGAUAAAAUUCCUAGAUCCUAGUAUUUGUCUAGGUAAACUUUUUUAUCCGGGUGAAUUCAAAUUCCAUUUAGUUACAUAUUGAUAAUUUUAUUUCCAGGUAACUCACUCCCAAUAAUAUUUUAUUCACUUUUCUGUAUUUUUUUCUUACUUGGUUUGUUUUAAUGCUUAUUUGAUACUUCUGAUAAAUCUAUUUUAUGAGCAUUUAGAUUGCUUUUCUGCCUAAUUUUCAACUGGGGUUUACAUUCUCCCCUCCUUAUAAGAAAUUUCAUCCUCCAAAUUUGAGUGAUGUGCCUGAGUUUAUAAACAAGUUGAGAAAUUUUCUUCUCAUUUUUUAUUCUCUCUCCCACGUUUCUUCCUCAAUUGUAAGCUUCACCAUAAGACUCUGAUGAUGCGAACUUUCUUAUUACGAAGUUCUUUCUCGCCCCAAUCAAGUAUCUUUAUCGAUCUUACCUCAAGUGUUAAGUCUUCUUUCACCUCCACUGGCACUUGAGGUAACACUCUCGAAGGGUCUACAUCGGCUUUUCACAGCAAAGAAACAUGGAAUACAUUGUGAACCUUGGCUAAUUGUGAGGGCAAGUUUAUUUUAUGUGCUACGGGUCCGAUACGUUUCAGGAUUUCAAAUGGUCCAAUAAACCUCGGAGCUAACUUCCCCUUCAUGUCGAAUCUCAGCAUGUGCUUCCAUAGAGGUACCUUCAGAAAUACUUUAUCUCUAGGACAAAAUUCAAGGGGUCUUCUUUAAAUAUUUGCAUACUUCUUCUAUCUAUCCUGAGCCACAUUCAUUCAAUCCUUUAUGAUCCUCACUUUUUCAGUAGUGAUUUGUACUAAUUCUGCCCCAUACAACUUUAUGUCCCCAACUUCUUCCCAACACAAGGGCAUCCUACACUUUCUACCAUAAAGAGCUUCAAAUGGGGCCAUUCCAAUUGUUGUCUGAUAACUGUUAUUAUAUGUGAAUUCUACUAGCGACAGGUGCUCCUCCCAGUUUCCACUAAAUUCCAAAGCACAUGCCUUUAGUAAAUCCUCUAUGAUCUGAAUAACUCUCUCAGAUUGGCCAUCAGUCUGUAGAUGAAAGGCAGUACUAAUAUUCAAAUUUGUUCCCAAGGCACGUUGUAUGCUUGGCCAAAGACGUUAAGUAAACCUUGGGUCUCGAUCUGAAACAAUUGAUACUGGGACUCUAUGAAGCCUCAUAACUUCGUUCACAUAAAUCUUAGCCAACUUGUCAAUUGGAUCCGUCAUUUUUACUGGUAGUGUUGCUACCCAAUUUUUGAUCCAUGUUUUUGAUAAAUUUUCAGAAAAAAUCCAAAAUAGCAAAAAAACAAUGAAAACCCCAAAAAAUGUAUUUUUGAUAUAUUUGCAUCGUUUUUAGCAUUUUCAAAAUCGUCUCAAAAGGAUUUAAAUUUUCAAAGGUAUUUUGAACGUGUUCAACUUUUAACGCGUUAAUUGUAUAAUCACUGAUUUUCCUUGUUAAGCCUACUUUGAUAUUGCUUGUUUUCAAAAAAAUACAAAAAAUAAGAAAAAAUCAAAAUUGACAAAAAAAUAAAGAAGUUGAGAGACUGAUGUGUUUUGGGGACCAAAUCACUUUGACUAUAAAUAGAGGUCAUGUGAAUCAUGGGGAAAAAUAAAGGUUGCUUAGAUUGCAAACUAACUAAAUGAGAAAUAAAAGUGAAGAAAUUCAUGCAUAUGGUUAAAUAAAAAUGGGAAUUGGGAAAUUUUUGGAUAAAAGUUUCUGGAUGAAAUAUUUUAAGACAUUAUAAAUCAACCCGAAAAUGUUGAGGGUUGAAUUAAAUUAAAGAAAAUAAACUAAACUAAAAGUUGUGGGGUGAAAUUAUAAGAAAUGAAAAGAGGUAUAACUUAAUUAUAAGAAGAAAAGAAGAAGAAGAAGAAGAUGUGGGGGCCUAAAUGCAAAUAAGAAAAAUUAUAGAGCAUAAUACUCCUUUUCUCACCAAAAAUUUGCAGCAAGUGUGAGUUCUGGCUCAAAGAAGUAGUAUUUUUGGGGCCAUGUAAUAUCCGCAGAAGGAAUAUUUGUGGAUUGAGGAAAGGCUGAGGCCGUGUUGAAAUGGGAAAGGCCUACCAGCGUGACAGAAAUCCGGAGUUCUUAGGUCUUGUUGGGUAUUAUAGGAGGUUUAUUAAGGUGUUCUCCAUCAUAGCAUCACCUCUGACUAAGCUGACCCACAAGGAAGUCAAGUUUGUUUGGUCGGAAGAGUGUGAAGCGAGCUUUCAAGAACCGAAGGAGAGACUCACUUCUGCUCCUGCGCUGGCCCUUCCAUCAGGGACAGAAGGGUUUGUGGUAUAUAGUGAUGCCUAAAAAAAAAGGGUCUAGGAUGGGUGUUGAUACAACACAGGCGUGUGAUUGCUUAUGCAUCAAGACAACUAAAGUCGCAUGAGGUGAAUUACCUAGUUCAUUGCCUAGAACUUGCAGCAGUGGUGUUUGCCUUAAGAGUAUGGAGACAUUGUUUGUGUGGGUCACAAGUUUAAAUCUUUACAAACCAAAAAAGUUUGAAGUAUUUGAUGUCACAGAAGGAGUUGAAUAUAUGACAAAAAAGAUGGGCAAAGUUAAUAAAAGAUUACGAUUAUGUGAUUGACUACCAUCUUGGUAAGGCUAAUGUAGUAGCCGAUGCAUUGAUUAGGAAGGGAAAAAUAGUGAUGAAUGAUAUUGAGAUUAAGGAACAGGGAAGUAUAGUGGAAUUAAAGAAAUUGGGCUUGCAGCUAAAUGUAGGGCCUGAGGGAUCACUAUUAGCUCAGUUAAAGAUCCAAUUUGUGCCUCGAUACAAGGUCUUGGUGGCUCAACAGGUAGGGAAAAAAAAGGUAAAGGAUAUCAAGGAGAGUGUAAACCAGGGUAUAGAGAAAGCAUUCCAAAUGUUAUCUGGUGGGCUAAUAGCUAUGGGUAGGCGAAUUUAUUUGCCUGAUCAUAAGACUUUGAAGGAAGAAGUAUUGAGAGAAACUCAUGAAUCCCGAUUUGCUACUCAUCCUGGAAGUAUGAAGAUGUAUAAAGAUUUAAAAAAAUACUACUGGUGGCCAAAUAUGAAGAGGGACAUAGCAGAAUUUGUGUCAAACUAUGGGAUCUGUCAACAAGUAAAGAUAGAACACUAGAGACCUGCUGGGGAUUUACAGUUAUUGUCGAUUCCAGAAUGGAAAUGGGAGGAUAUUUCUAUGAUUUUGUGAUGGGAUUACCUAGGGGAAGGAAGGGGAAUGAUGCCAUAUGGGUGGUUGUAGAUCGACUGACAAAAUCUGUUUUGUUUUUUCCUAUGAAAAUGACUGAUUUGGUCGAUAAGCUAACAAAAUUAUAUGUAAAUGAAGUAAUCAAACUUUAUGGAGUGCCAGUGUUGAUUAUAUCGAAUCGGGAUCCAAGGUUCACGUCGAGAUUAUGGCCUAGCUUACAACGAACAUUGGGGACAAAGUUGAAUGUAAGCACAACAUUUCAUCCUUAGACGGAUGGUCAAUUUGGAAGGACCAUUCAAACUCUUGAGGAUCUCCUUGGGUCCUGUGUGCUGGAGUUCGGAGGGAACUAGGAAGAUCUCUUGCCAUUGGUAGAGUUUACUUAUAAUAAUAGCCAUCAAGCUACUAUUGGUAUGGCUCUAUAUGAAGCAUUGUAUGAGAGGAAAUGUCGUACCCCAAUAUGUUGGGAGGAAGUAGGAAAAAAGGAAGCUUUUAGGACCUAAAAUAGUGCAACUGACAACUGACAAGGUGAGGGUAAUUGUUGCGAUGUCGCGGUCGCACAAAUUCAUUACCCUAGCUUCAAACACAACACACAAGAUAGUAUAGAGCAAGCAAGGGGUCGAUCCCACAGGGAAGAUUCAAGUCAGAUUUUUAUGCUAGAUGAUAUGCAAUUUGGGGGGGUUUGGAUGUUAUCUAGGCUAAAGCAAAAGAAAACAAAAAACUAUCAAAUGAAAUUUAAUAAAAUCAGAAAAUUAUCAAGAGAACAAACCUUGGUCACAAGCACACAUCCACCUACAGAAAUCAGAACCGUUCAUGGAAAUGAAACAUCAAUUUAUAUUCUGAAUAUUUAUCUCUUCUUAACAUUGGUUAGUUAACGGAUCCGCCAUAUAACUAACCCUAACCAUCAAACAACCAGUGUCCGCACUAGUAAUUUAAUUCAAUGGCAGCCUUAAGAACUAGAUAAGUUGAUUUAUCAAGAAAACAUAACUGUCCGCAAUCUAUGUUUGAUUUGAUUGAAUGUUCUCCCUAAGAUUAAUAACGUAGAUCCGCCACAAUUAUUAAACUCAGUUGCUUCACAAGUUCAUAUACCACAACUCCGGUUUUGAUAUCAAACUUAGCAAUAGAUUGUCUACAAUAAUAACUUAGAGUCCGCUCUAGCAAUUAAAAUAAACAAUCAUAGGAAAAUAAGCGUAGGAGAACAAACAUAUUCAUCAUAUAAACUGAAAAGAAAGGUAAAAUAAAUCUCACAGUUCUUGAAAUCCGAAGGUUUCCGUGUCCUUGCAACUAAGAAAAAGUGUUUAGCCUUGCAUGUUUGUUGAACAACUAAUCAAAAAGAAGGAAGAAUGCAUAAUUUCGUGUUUCUUAGAGGAGGGGGGCGUUUUUCUCCUCUUGGCUGGCUGCCCCCCUUCUCUUCUCUCAUUCUUUUUAUAUCCUAGGAAACCCUAGGUCUCUAUUUUACAAAAUAGUACUCCAUUAAGUAGACUGUUUACAUUUAAGUACUUUAAUAACUAUUUUCCUAAAAAAAGGAGAAAUAGCCUUGCAUGAAAUCUUCAAGCUUUGACUUAGAGGAGCUAAAUUGCUGAAAUAAAAACUUGGAUAUCAGUUUAGAUGCUUCAGAACGUAAUUUGGACUCGUUUCUUCACGAAACCUAUUUGCUGGCAAAAUUCAGAUGUCAUCUUUGAAAAAUCAUAUCUCCCUCAUAUGACAUCGUUUUUGGCUGCAAUUUGGAGCGUUUAUAGACCUUUGAGUCAUGACUCCAAAAAAAUUGAGUUUGCAUCAAUUGGACUUCUGUAGCUCCAGAUAUUCAAGUUGGAAUGGCCGAAGGUCAAUAGUGGCAGAUUGCGAGAUUUGACUUUGAAGGCUGCGAUUUCCAUGCUCUUCCUUAUUUUAUUUUCUUGCCUUAGAUUUCCAGAAAGGUAUGGAUGUUAGCUUUUUAGUGCCACUUGAAUCACUUCAUUUCAACCUCUAGAGCUCACGCUCUGCACAAAACAUCGAUUGAAGGUCAAAUCUGCCAAUUAUCUCCAAUUUACUCCUUUUUGCAUCUUUCAUCCAAAAGUGCCUUCAAAACAUAAAACAAAGAAUAUCAAGGCAUUUUAUAUAUAAAACAUAGGCAAAACACUAGUUAAAUGUGGGUGAAACUAUCGAAUAAUAUGGUUGCAUCACUAAUCAAAAAAAGGAUGAAGGAAGCCCAGGAUAGAAAAAAAAAGGAAAAAAAAGAAGAAGUUAUGCAGAUAACCGAAGAAGGCCUUUAGAAUUCCAAGUAGGGGACAAGGUAUUUUUGAAGGUGGCGCCUUGGAAAGGCAUCAUUCUAUUUGGAGUAAAAGGGAAAUUAGCUCCGAGAUAUAUUGGCCCUUUCGAGAUUAAGGAAACAAUCGGACCAGUUGCCUAUUGUAUAGAGUUGCCUGCAUAUUUGGAUAAGAUUCACAAUGUGUUCCAUGUGUCAUUGCUGCGAAAGGCCAAGAUAGACCCCUCACGAGUAUUGCCACAUGUUCCUAUGAAGAUUAAAGGGGAUCUAACCAUGGAAGCUAAGCCUGUCAAGAUCUUGGAUCGAGAUGUGAGGGUGUUGAGGAAUAAGAGAGUUUCCCUGGUGAGAGUAUUGUGGAGAAACUCUCAAAUAGAAGAAGAAACAUGGGAAAGAGAGUCCGAGAUGAAACAAAAGUUCCCGCAUUUAUUCUUCAACAUAGGUACGUAACUUAAAUUUCGAGGAUGAAAUUUCUAUUAGGAGGGGAGAAUGUAAACCCCGGGAAAAAAUAAAGGUUGCUUAGAUUGCAAACUAACUAAAUGAGAAAUAAAAGUGAAGAAAUUCAUGCAUAUGGUUAAAUAAAAAUGGGAAUUCGGAAAUUUUUGGAUAAAAGUUUCUGGACGAAAUAUUUUAAGACAUUAUAAAUCAACCUGAAUGUUGAGGGUUGGAUUAAAUUAAAGAAAAUAAACUAAACUAAAAGUUGUGGGGUGAAAUUAUAAGAAAUGAAAAGAGGUAUAAUUAAUUAUAAGAAGAAAAAAAAAAGAUGCAGGGGUCUAAAUGCAAAUAAGAAAAAUUAUAGAGCAUAAAUACUCAUUUUCUCACCAAAAAUCUGCAGCAAUUGUAAGGAAAGAAAAGGGGGAGUUUUUGUAUCCAUUCUUCCAAAAUCAAGAGAGAAAAACAAAAAUUUCAAGAACCCAUCCAAGAUUAAGGGUUUAUAGAUGGAAUAAACAGUUGUGGGCAAGGAAUUAACAAGAAAAUUGAAUAAGAAGAGAAGAUGGAGGGCUGGCUGUCAUUAGAUAAGGAAGGAGGGAGUUGAAAAUCUUCAACUAGUUGAAGAUCAAAACCUUAAUUCGUACCGGGUAAGGUGUUCUAAACAUGAUCUUAUAAGUUAUUUCAAAUUCGAUAAUGAAUUGAUGCCUUGAUGUGAAUUAUAGAUUAGGGUUCUUAGUUCUUGAUAUGGUUAUUAUAAAACAUAUCCUUGAGUGAGGAAAAUUUAUGAGAUAAACCUGUGAUUUGUAGGAGGGUCCACAGGCGUGGUGCAACAACAGCAGUAGGGGAGCACGAGUAGAGCUUCUAUUGUACGUAGGUGAUCCUCACCUAUACUUUCUAGUUAAACUCUAUGAUUUAAUAUGUUAUUAAUGUGAGAUGUAAAUUACCGAACGUUGAAUAUCAGGAGAAAGGAGGAAAGUUUGUGUAAUGAUGUCAAUAUUUUGGAUAGUAUUAUGAAUGUAUGUGUAUUCAAGGUGAACGAUUGUUGUGUGAUCUGCCAAGUGAUGAAAUUAUCGUUGACAAAGGAAAUAUGAGAAGUGUGAUUUGGGGCAUGAACUAGCAUACAUUUAGCGUAUGUUAGGAUCCCGGGUAAGGGAUCGCCAUGUUUGGCUAGCAUACAUUUAGUGUAUGUUAGGUUCCCGGGUAAGGGGAUCAAGAUGUAUUGACUAACAUACAUUUAGUGUAUAUUAGGAUCCCGGGUAAGGGGAUUACCAUAUAUUGACUAGCAUACAUGUAGUGUAUAUUAGGAUUCCGGGUAAAGGGAUCACCUUGCAUCAACUCUUACGGGGUGAUGAUGAUAACAGUGAAACUGGUAUCGGUAAUGUGUUAAGCGAAAAUAAUCCUGGAUGGUCUUAUGAGAUCUUGAAUGGAGGUUGAUAAUGGAAGAGGAUUUGGUUUUUAGUAGUUGAAGGAGAAAGAAUUUCCAAUGACAACCAAAAGAGAGAAGUGAAUAAAAUAUGAAUGCAUGUUUGUUUUUUUUUUUAAUUGCUGGAUAUUUGUAUUGCUUUAUAAUUGUGAUAUUCAUAUUUUAAUAAUAUGUAUUUUGUUUUCAGGACCAUCACAUGCACGACAGGAGUAGAUUCUAGCUUAGGUUUACUUUUUGUAAUUUAGGUCCUAGGGAGUAUACCUUUGUAUUUUGGUAAUAUUGCAACUUUUUUAUAACUCAAUUUGUAUAAUUGAUGUUUAAACUGGAAUAGAUGAAUUUAAUUAUGUACCUUGUAUAACCAUGUUCCAUGUAUGCAUGUUUAUAUCUUUAUCCAUCCAUAAUGAUAAUUGUUGUACAAUGUAUAUUACAAACAUUGUGGUUGAUAUGAAUAAUGAUGUUUGUGGGAUUGAGAACCAGGAUGAUUGGGUUGAAUUGAGUUAGGAGAUGCGGUAGAAGUGUAAAUAGGUCGUAUGUCGAUAACUUGGACCUCCCGGUAUAGGGGAAACUUCGUUGAAAUUUCGGUAGACUUUAAUACAAACACCAUGAAUAGAUAUAGAAAAAAAAAAUUAAUCACUCUGUUUAACAGUUAACAUGAGAUCAUUGCUUUAUCUCGGAUAUGGGGAUGUUACAGGUCACAACAUACAUGAAGAGGGGGGAGAAAUUGACAAAGAGGAGCAAUUUUUUAAAAGAGAAAAUCAGGGUAACAAAAAAAAAACAUAAACCUAAAGCUAUCUCUCUCAAACAGUCGCCACCCUCCCCUUCUCUUUUACCAAAAGAAAACCAGAGAACCCCACGCUCCCUCCUAAACCAGCCACUCAAGCCCCCUCCCCCCGGCUUUUUCCCUAUCUUCUUCUCCUCCCUUAGCCCCCACACGCACGACCUUCUCUCUUCAGCUAAACACAAACUCACGGUCUUCUCUCCCAACCAAGAGGUAGCUGCCGCUCUCCCUCUCCACAACAGCCGUCCCCAUCUUCCCUCCCCCAGAUAACUCUCCAUCUCACUAGACCAACCCCAAAACAGCUGUUAAUUCAGCCUUACAGAGAGGUGGCUCACCUCUCCUUCCCACAUUGCCUCUCGUCUUCAACCUUCAGCACCGAAGCCUUCCCCUCAACAACGUCUUCUUCUCCUUUGGUCUCCUCAACAGCUAAGGCCACAGACCAGCUAAGACAGCCCCCGCUCUUUUUCAUCUUCUGCAACUGACCACAAGCAGCAUCACAAACACCAACAGUCCUCUGCUUGCCUCAACGCCGACCAAAAGAGAAAGAGAGGAGAAGGGGUCGAGCUUAAUGUGGUUUGUUCCCCCUCCUUAGACCUCUGCUUGCCUCAACGCCGGCCAAAAGAGAAAGAGAGGAGAAGAGGUCGAGCUUAAUGUGGUUUGUUCCCCCUCCUUAGACCUCUGCUUGCCUCACCGCCGAUAAAGGAAGAAAGAGGGGUCGACGAUCUACCUGAUCCAGCAGGCCUUCGAUCGUGCGAGUCGCCAGGGAGUCCCUCCACGCACCACAGUAGAUCUGCCACCUGAAGAAGGAAAGAACAACAAACUGAGAAUCAAACCCGGAAGAACCAGAUCUGAGGAGAAAAAAUAAAAUAAAAAUAACUAUUAUGUUUUCUUGGCUUUGCAGGUGACGUUGCCUUCACCACCGGCAGGGAAGGGAAGAGGGGAGGAAACCAUUCCAGAUCCCCUGUUUGCUUGGAUUUUCUGGCAGUGGCGCGUGGAGAAGACGCGCCGCCACUGUUCCGCAACCCUAGAAGCUUCACUGAUGUCCCUAGCACUGUUCCCGAGUUUUGAGGGGUCUAUUUGUAAAUUAACUGCUUGAUGUAAAUUUUUGUUUAAUAUAUUUGUUAGGUUUAUUUUGAAUUAUGGAUAUUUUGUAAUGAAUAUGGAAGUGUGAGUGUGUGAGUAAACAUACUAAAAGGUGAUGUGUGUGUGUUUUAUAAUUUUUUUAUGUAUGUUUUCUUUUAAUGUUAAAAUUAAAAAAGACAAAAAAUAAAUAGAAAGAAAGAAAAAGAAUUAAGUGUUUUAAUUUAAAUACGGUCAAGUAUUUUAAGGACAAAUAAAAUCAUGUUGUACUUCUCGUGAAAAUGUAAGAACAUGUUUAUACAUAUAUUUUGGGAUUUAAUAACUGAUUUAUUAAAGCCCUAAGAAUUUGACUAAUAUUUCAAAAUUUUAAUUCACAACAAAAUCACGAAGCAGCUUACCUCAGGUAGGGUGCGCUAGGGGUGCUAAUACCUUCCCUAGCCACAACCAGUCCCUUACCCGUGAAUCUCUGACAAAGACUAGUAUAUUCGGGUUUCCUAGUAACCUUCAAUCAAAUACUAGGUCGCGACUCCCAAAUCAAGCAAACGAAUGAAAAAUCACCAUCGAUGCUGCGCGGGGGACAUGCGAUAGGUAGGAAAAGGGCAGACUUAGUCUAUCCACAAUGACCCAGAUUGUAUCAUUUCCCCUCCACUCAGUGGUCCUGACACAAAGUCCAUUGUGACCAUCUCCCACUUCCACUUAGGGAUUGGUAAUGGUUGUAACAGCCCUACCGGCUUUCGGUGCUCUACUUGUACUUGUUGGCAAAUACUACAUUUUGCCACGUAGUCAGCCACAUCUUUUCUCAUAUUUGGCCACUGGUAGUACUAUUUCAGAUCCUAGUACAUCUUAGUAGUAAUUGGAUGUACAGUGAACUUAGACUCGUGGGCCUCUCGUAGUAACUUUUGUUUAAGGACUUUGUUGUCAGGCACAUACAUGCCUCGCCGCAACAUCACUAUUCCAUUAUCUCCUAUUCAAAAAAGAGCUUCACCCCCUGAUUCCAGUUUGAGCUGUUAUGCCUCUAAUAUAUGCUCUUGAUAUCCUGACUUCACCCUUAGUUGAGCCAUUAAGGAUCCUUUCGGACUCACAUUUAAUACUGCCCCAAAUCUAUCUAGCUCAAUCACGGCUUUCUCAUCCCAAGUUGUUGGUCCACCCAUAAUUGCCUUAUCUUUACGGCUGAGAGCAUCCACGACUACAUUCGCUUUUCCUGGAUGAUAAUCUAUAAUACAAUCGUAGUCUUUAAUUAAUUCCACCUAUCUCUGUUGUCGCAUGUUCAACUCCGUCUGUGACAUCAAAUAUUUAAGGCUCUUAUGAUCUGUGAAAAUUUAAACCUGGGAUUCGUAUAAGUAGUGCCUUCAUACUCGUAAGGCAAAACAUAUUGCUGCCAUUUCUAAGUCAUGAACUGGGUAGUUGAUUUCAUGAGUCUUCAGUUGUCUCGAUGCAUAGGCAACUACUCUUCCAUGCUGUAUUAGGACACAACCCAAUCCUUUUCUUGAGGCAUCACUGUAGACUACAAAACCUUCUGUUCUGGAUGGAAGGAUUAGCAUGGGGGCAGUAGUAAGCCUUCUCUUCAGUUCUUGAAAGCUCUCAUCGCACUUCUUUGACCACUCUCAUCUUAUGUUCUUCCUGGUGAGUCAUGUCAUUGGAGUUGCUAUUAUUGAAAACCCUUCGAUAAACCUUCUAUAAUACCUUGUCAAUCUAAGAAAACUACGGAUUUCAAUUACCGUAGUAGGCCUUUCCCAUUUCAGAACUGCCUCCACCUUCUAAAGGUCCAAAAAAUGCCUUCUAAAGACACCAUGCCCUGAAAAGGUAACUUCUUUUAACCAGAAGUCACAUUUAUCCAACUUGGCAUACAACUGGCGGCUUCUCAGAGUCUGUAGUGUCUGUUUCAGGUGUUGUUCAUACUCCUUAUAGGAUUUGGAGUAAACAAAGAUGUCAUCGAUGAAUACGACAACAAACUUAUCAAGGUACGGUUGGAAUACUUAGUUCAUUAAAUCCAUAAAAAGUGCUGGAGGAUUAGUUAAUCCAAAUGGUAGCACCAAGAACUCAAAGUGUCCAUAGCGAGUUUUGAAGGCAGUUUUCAGCACAUCUUGUCUUUUGAUUCGCAUCUGGUAGUAUCUUGAUCUUAAAUCAAUCUUUGAGAACACUUUAACACCCUUCAACUGAUCGAAUAAAUCAUUUAUCCGCGGAAGCGGAUAUCUAUUCUUUACCGUCACUUUAUUCAGCUGACGGUAAUCUAUGCAAAGCCUCAACGUUCCAUCUUUCUUCUUCACAAUAAUACAGGUGCCCCCCAAGGUAAGUUGCUUGGUCAUAUGAACCCUUUAUCAAAGAGCUCCUGCAAUUGGAUUCUCAACCUAUCCAAUUCCUUAAGGGCCAUUCUAUAUAGCAAUUGGGCUAUAGGAGACACCUCAAGCAAUAUGUCGAUGGUGACUUCAACUUCUCUUUCUAGGGGUAGUCCCGACAGUUCUUCUGGAAAUACAUCCGAAAAUUCCCUUAUAAUUGGAAUGUCAGACAGUCCUAUUUUACCUUUUUUUGAAUUUAUCACAUAGGCAAGGUAUGAUGUACAACCUUUCUUUAGUAGUUUUCUCACAGCCAUAACCGAGAUUAUAUUUGUAAGGUUGGAAAUUCUCUCCGCCUUAAAGACCAUUGUUUCACCCUUAGACCCUUGGAAGGUUACUAUUUUUGUAAAGCAAUCUAGACGAGCCUUAUUUUUACCCAACCAAUUCAUGCCUAGGAUUACUUUCUUGGUCUGUUCACUGUGAUGGACUGCUGGUGACUCUAACUUGGUUGCCUUUAUUUCUGAGGUUGUUCAGUAUUUAACAGUGGGCAUUCUCUUCCCAAGUACUUGUUGGCUCUCCACCUAUGACCUUUUCCUCGGUAUAUAUAACAUCGGCCAGGAGAAACCAAGCAAUUCCCAGGAUGUAUUUGUUCACAUUGUGUACAACAAGGGUAGACAAUGUCUCAGACCCCCCCCGAAGCAAUAGUCUUAGAGCGAGUCUGACCACCUCCUAACUUCACACUGAUAUUCUAUCGAGAACUAGAUGAUGUCCCUUUUUUUUUUCUUGAAUUGAAAGAACUGUCCGCCUUUAUCCUGUUUUGGAAGUGGUGGCUUGCCUGAAAAUUCCAUAUACUUUCGUUUUCCUGCACCUUCAUGACUCUGUUGGUCUUCUUCCAUACAAGCCUCCAAGGCUUGUGCUACUUCAAUUAGUUCCUUUUCUGUCUUGAAUUGUAAAGCAAUCAACCCCUACUUCAAUUCUUAUCUAAAGCCAUCCCUUAACUUUUCUAUCAUGUGUUGUUCUGAUGGGACAUAAUGUGGUGCAAAUAGUGAGAGGUCAUGAAAUCCCCUCUCGUACUCGAGUACUAACAUCCCCUCAUAUCUCAAGGCUAGGAAUUCAUGUUCCUUCAUCUUUUGAUGAUAUUUGGAGUAAUAUUGAUUCUCAAACUUCGUCUUGAAAUCAUCCCAGGAUAGGGUUUCUAUAGCCCUCCUCAACUGAACUGUCUCCCACCAAGUCAUAGCACUAUCUGAUAGUAAUUAUGUAGCACAAUCUACUCGCAGAUCAUUUGGUAUCUUAAUUUGAAUAAUCAUUUUCUCUACCUUUCUAAUCCACCUUCCCGCUACUUCAGCAUCCUGUUCACCUGAGUAGGUUCACAACCCAUUUCUCUUGUCGCACGUCACCCGCGCGGUGUCUUUUGGCGAUUUUUCGUUUCGUUUGAUUGCUUGAUUGGGAGUCGCCACCUAGUAUUUAAUUGAGGGCUACUAGGAAACCCGGGUGUACUAGUCUUGUCAGAGAUUCACGGGUAAGGGACUGGUUGUGGUUAGAGAAGGUAUUAGCACCCCUAACGCACCCUAUCUGAGGUAAGCUGCUUCGUGGCUUUGACGUGUUAAAGAAGUUUUAAAAAUUUUAUCUUUUCAUCAGAUAUUAGAAAUACGACUUAUGUGUAAGUUCAUAAUUCUUGACCGUGAUCAAAUCAAAAUAUUAAAUUCUUCUUUACUCUUUGCAAUUUUAUCAUAAAUAAAUAAAUAAAAACAUCCAUAAAACAAAUACAAACACACACAUACACUUUUACUAUAUUUUUUUCUUUUUUUCUUACACAUUACAAAUUAUACAAAAUUCAAAAACUAAACAAAAAUUACAUUAAACACUUUAAAAAUUACAAAACAACCCCUAAAACUCAAGGAAUUGCAGGGAAGGGUUUUGUGAAGCCUUCGGGACACCAGGAACAGUGGUGGCGCGUCUCCUCCUCGCGCCACCGCCACUGGCGGCGCGUGGGUUCACGGGCCGCCAUGAGAAACGCUGGAAAAUGGGUGGGUCUGGCUUAGCUUCUUCUCCUCUUCCCUUCCCUGCCGGCGAUGACACCCGCCAUCACCUGCAAUAGAAGAAAAACACACAAGCCAGUCGAUUUUAAUCUUUAUUUAGAUCUGUUGCGAUUCUAUUUUCUCUCAGUUUGCCAUUUUCUCCUUCUUCUUCAGGUGGUAGGUUUGUUCUCGGUCUUCUCCUUCUUCUGAUCUAGCGGUUGUUGUCCGUGGCCGUUGAAGUCGCGAUGGAGAUGGGCUCACUAGCGGUGUUGAGGCGGAGGAAUGGACAAAUCGGUGGGUGUCAGUGUGGCGGCAGUGACUACUGUUGGAGGAAGAAGGCGGACCGAUUUGGGAUCUGUGGGCGCCGCUGUGCCGUCUGGCGGUGCUGAGGCGAAGAUAUAGCCAGAGAAGGCCGGUCUGUGGGUGUUACUUCUCCGUUGCUGUUGGUAGUCGGUCGAGGGAGAAAAAGGCGCUAUUGAUGGGGGAAGGAGAUGCUGCUACACAGGGAAAGGGAAUAGUGUGUGGCUGGGUCUGUCGGGUGGAAGGUUGAAGAUGAGAAGGGAAGGCUUGUCUUGCGGCCGGCUGGAGAGAAAAAUCAAAACCAAGAGGGGCAGCUGUUUGGUUUGUUUUUGGCCGAGAGGAAGACCAAUGAACGGGGGGGUUGCCUUGGCUUCUCUGGUUUCAGCUGGAGAAGGGAUCGACUGCUUGGAUGAGAGUUGAGGGGACAGCUGAGAGGGAAGAAGAGGAAUAGGUUGCCGGAUGGGUGGGGGCGGCUGGUUGGGUAGUGAUGGAUUUAGGGUUAGGGUUUUUUUUGUGUUGCCUCCCCCAAAUAUGCAAAAUUGCCCCCCCUUGUGUAUGUGUUGGAAACUCUUAUUUAUAGGCAAAAAUGUUGUUUGGACCUCAAAAUUGGUCCCUUAACUUCUUUCUUUUUUUCUAAAUUUGAUUUUUCUUGAUUUUUUUUGUAUUUUUUGAAAACGGGCAAUAUCAACGUCGACUCAAUGAGGAAAAUCAAUGAUUUUAAAAAUGACGCAUGAAAAGUCGAACGUGUUCCAAAAACCUUUAAAAUUUAAAUUCUUUUUUAGACGACGUUGAAAAUGUUAAAAAUGAUGCAAAUAUAUUAAAAACUUAUUUUUUGGAUUUUCGUUGUUUUUCGAAACUUUUAUAAAAAAGAUGGGUCAAAAUUUAGGUAACAACAUCUCUCAUACUUUUCACCAAUUGAACUAGAUGCACCACAUUAUUAGUAGUGUAGCUGCUUCUGAAACGGUUUGUAUGAUGGGUGCAGGUGGGGGUGUUGGCAUAAGAGUGGCAACAUUAGCCAUACCUUCCAUUACUGCUUUGACUAGCUGGGCCAAGAACAUUGGAUCAACAUAAGAAACAGAUGGCCCUACAGGUAUAGUCUAAGGGGGCUCCUCUGCUCGCUCCCGUGGGGAUGACACUGUAACAGUCCGACUGUACGAUCGAUCAUUGUUAAAAGUUCCCAACACAUCCUCUUUAUUUAAGGGUAAUUUUUUUUCUUUUUACCAAAAAUUCGACAGAGUUUCGUUUACAUAUAGGACAUCCCAAGUUAUUGACCACUACCAAUAUACCCAAUCAAUCCCAUCAUCACAAGGUCCCAUAAUUCCGCAGCUUAUACAGUCUACACAAAAUAUAUAUAUAUAUAUAUAUAUAUUCCUACAAGUAAGUUCAAUAUGAACAUAGUCCAAACAUCAUAUCAUAAAAUUUAAAAGAAAGAAAUACUAACAUGCAAGAAAGCAUUUACAACAUAAUAAAUGUUUUUUAAAUAUUUCAAAACGGUUAAUUACAAGAUAAUUAAAAUACUACAUGUUAAGCUGAACUUUUAUAAAUACAUCAAGGUUUACACAAAAGUGUACUACAUAAAUGUGUUAAUUCCCUUUUGUUUAAGUUAAAGAUUUACAUAAGCUUCACAAAGUAGGGUCCUAAACUAAUGAUCUCCAUGGAUAUUUGAUGGACCUGUUACAUAAACAAACAUACCAUUAUGUUGAUAAAGAAUAUAUAUAUGCUCAUGUAAUGAAUACGAAUGAAGUAUUAAUUCUAACAAAGGACUUAUAUUUUGCUUGUAAAUCUUUUAACUCACUUAACACUCAUUUGUAUAUUCUUAAUUUGAAUACUCUUAUUUACUAGCAUAAACUGGGUGACCUUGCAAAGUCUAAUCUUGGCAGUCCUAUCACGGAUGCCAUUAGCCGAAGCUAAUCUUGUAAUUCAUAUCCCGACAAUCCUGUCAUGGAUUCCAUUAGUCGAAGCUAAUCUUGUAAAUCACUAGACUUUAUUUAUAUUGAACAUGAUAUUUAUUGUAAUUACAUUCACCAGAAGAAUUUUAAAUUGUAAAAGUGUAAAUAGGAGGAAAAUCACGCAUCUGCUUCACCUGUCUCGUGACCUCCCCUAACAGAAGAUCCAAUCCUGGUUUCUCCACCUGAAUCAUAAGGAAGUUUUUUGUUAUGAUUCCUUUAAGCCGAUAUUAUAGAGAAUCCAUAUUCAUCCAUUACUCAUGUGUUACUUUCUAUGUAUGUUCAUUUCCUCAUAUUAACAUACAUACAUAUAUCGCGUAUAUUUUCAGAGUUAGUAUCUCAAUAUGCAAGUGUUCGUAUGACUCAAUUCUUUCAUAUUCUUAUAUAUAGUAUUCACGUGAAAGUCUACUGUUAUUGUCCAAUUUUCAACUGUUACUGUCCAACAUUACUGUCUAAUUUUGAACUGUUACUGUCAAAUUUUGAACUGUUACUGUCCAAAUUUCAACUGUUACUAUCUAAUUUUUAAUUGUUACUGUCCAAACACUCACUAGAUUUUUAACUAUAUCUAAAGUUCUAAAACUUCAUUUUAAGUGAGAUUGAUCUUGUUAGAAAGCUAAGACACGAGGCUACAAGUUCUCUGAAGGGAGGAGAACCCAGUUUUGCCUCUAAGAUAGUCAAAAUUGCUCAUUAACUAAUUAGUCCUAUUGCCCUACAUAAUCAGUCACGACUCAGUCUCAGUUGAUAACCCAUAACUGGAGUUCUACAUCUCCAAAUUGAGCAAGACCAGUUUCCUUGGUUAGCUAACAUUCAAAUCUACAAUUUCUAUGAGGAACCCGAUUCUAAUUCCCUCAUCCUCCUACCCGAAAUCUCAUCAAAAGUCAGGAGACAAGUCUGUCCAGAUUCGUCUCCCCCUCCCCUUCACACAAUACUUUCAUAAACUACAUACCACACACAUGAAUUAACUUAAUCUUAAUAAUAAGUACUUUUCCCCAGUACCAAUUUAUGUCUAAGAACCCUAACCUAUGAUUCAAUAUCAAGGCAUCAAUUCUUUAUCGAAUUAAAAAUGAAUUUUUUUAAGAUCAUGUUUAGUACACCUUACCCGGUACAAAUUAAGAUUUUGAUCUUCAACCAGUUGAAGAUUCUCAACUCCCUCCUUUCUUUUCUUCUUGUUUAAUUUCUUGAUAAUCCUUUGCUCUCAAGUGUUUAUCCCAUCUAUAUGCUCUUAAUCUUGGAUGGGUUCUUGAAAUUUUAGUGUUUCUCUCUUGAUUUCUCAAGAAUGGGUAUAAAACUCCCUAUUUUCUCUCCUUAUGGUUCCUACAGAUUUUUUUGGUGAGGAGAGAGUAUUUAUACUCUAUAUUUUCCCUUAUUUGCAUUUAGGCCCCCUUUUUCCUUUAAGUGUAUUAUUCUCUUCCAUUAAAUCCAACCCUCAACAGUACCAGGUUUAUUAUAAUGUCCUGAAUUAUUUCGCCCGGAAAUUUAUAUUCAAAAUUUUAUGAAUUCCUGUUUUUAUUUAACCAUAUGCAUGAAUUUCUUCCCUUUUAUUUAUUUAUUUAUUCCCGGGGUUUGCAGACACUGUCGACCGAACAUCUCCAGUUUGCCUUAGUUCCUGUCUGACUAGAGGCUCUGUUGAUUCUUUAUGCCUUGCUUGAGUCGAUACUGCUGGUGCAUGUGAAGCAAUUAUCUUCCAAAGGGCUCUCUUCUUGCCCCUCGUAAAAGUCUAUAUCUCUAUUCCCCCUCCCUGUAGAGGAUAGAUCUAUUCUAAUCUUUUGGCAGAUACGUACCAUCCUGCAAUAAAUCAACAAAUAUCAACAACCUCUUUUGAAUUCUUCCUAGAAUCCAUACCAGGGCUCUAAUACCAGCUGUAAUAGACCCGACUGUACGAUUUGAUCAACGCUAAAAGAUCCCAACAUAUGCUCUUAAUUUGAUGGUAAAUUUUUUUUUUGUAAAUAAUUCUACCAAAAUUUUGGCAAAGUUUCGUUUGUAUUUAGGACAUCCCAAGUUAUCGACUACUAUCAAUUAACUCAAUCUACCCAUCAUCACGAGGUCCUAUAAUUCCGAACCUUAUUUCAAUAACCAAUAUUCAACACCUCAUACAAUCCACACAAUAUAUAUAUAUACACACCUACAAAUAAGUUCAUUAUGAACAUAGACCACAAAUCAUAUUAUAAAAUUUAAAAGAAAAAGGGACACUAACAUGUAAAGAGAGAAUUUAAAACAUAAUAAGUAUUCUUAAACAUUUCAAAAGGGUUAAUUACAGAAUAACUAAUGUACUACAUGCUGAGCUAAGACUUAUGUUGAUAAAAGAAAUAUAUAUGAUCAUGGAAUGUAUACGAAUGAAGUAUAAAUUUUCUAUCGAAUCCAUAGGAAUUCUAACAAUCAACUUAUAAUUUGCUUGUAAAAUCAUUUAAACCCAAUUAAAACUCAUUUGUGUAUCCUUAUUUUCAAUACUCUUAUUUACUUGCAUAGUCCAACCUGGGUAUUUUUAGGCAAUUAUAUUUAUCAAUUUCUCCCAGAUCAUUCAAACACGGAUACCCUUUACAAAUCGAGUCUUAUUAAUCGUUCUCGGGCAUCCCAACGCGGACAUCAUUAGCCAAAGCUAAUCUUGUAAUUCAUCUCGUGGCAAUCCUAUCACAGAUGCCAUUAGCUGAAGCUAAUCUUGUAAUCCAUCUCACGGCAAUCCUAUCACGGAUGCCAUUAGCCGAAGCUAAUCUUGUAAUUCAUCUCACAGCAAUCCUAUCACGGAUGCCAUUAGCCGAAGCUAAUCUUGUAAAUACACUAGACUUUAUUUACAUUGAACAUGGCAUUUAUUGUAAUGGCAUUCACCAGAAGAACUUUAAAUACACAAUAAAGUGGAUAUAUAUUAGUUAAAUGUUUAGUGUCAAUAAAGAGUGGAAAAAAAAAAUUAUAUACAUGAACUAAUGUGUCUGUUGAAAAAUUUCUUGUCACAAGUUAACUAACAACAUUGUCUAGAAUUCUAGUUUGCAUGUCCAACAUAUAAAAAAUUAUUUUCAUGUGUUUCUUCCUUUUUUUCUAACAUCCUUUUCUUUGUAUACAACACAAGAUAUUUCUUAAGAUUUUAUAUAUUCAAAGUUAACUUCAUAAGAGCAUGCAUACAUAAAUUUGUUUACAUGUUCAUGUUUCAACACACCACGACCUCUUGUAUGAUCCAUACUUGUUUAUUUUAACAUGUAAUGCAUAAUUCAACAGUAAAAUUGCCCCGCUAUCUCCUUCAUGUCUGGCUGAAGGCUUUGUCUCCUAUUUCACACUCUAUUCUCACUUCUAUCUACCCAAUAAAAAUCCUCAAAAACCCUAAUCUAAGAGACAACUUUUGUACAACACUUACCCAAUGUAUUAGAAAUUGUUCUAGGAAGGUUUUGGGUUUAUCCUAGUUGCGUUUUCUACUCCCUAAAAGCUCUUCUCCCUCAUAUUUUCUUGGUCUCUUUCCACUCCUCCUUUACUGUCACUAGCCUCCUGUCUUCCUUUCCCUCAAUUUAUUUUACUUUUGAUGCUUUAAUCUUCACUCAAACUUCUUAAUUUCUCUUAUGUGUUUGCUUGCAUGUGAUUUUCUCCACCUGUUCUUUGGAAUAAGAUGCUGAAGAGAAGAGUGUCUGUUCCUUUUCCCCUCCUCUCUAUUCUGCCAUCAGCCCUCUUAUUCUUCUUAGGGCUAAUAGGUUUUUUUGUUUUUGUUUUUGCUUGUGUCCCUCAUUUGUUUAUAUAUUUUCAAUUUAGUCCCCUAACUCUCUUGUCUUUCUCAUAUUAAAUCCCAAUUUCUCCUUAUUCACUUAUGUGUGUUUCAUACUUCAAGUUAGAGCUCUUGUCUUUUACUAAUAGGUUCUUCUCUAUUUACUAAAUGCAUUCAUGUUUUAGGAUUUCACAAAAAAAACCCAUAAACGCAUGCCUUUUUUUUGUCUUUUUCUAGGGGUGAAGACAUUUUUUUACUAUAUUCUAAGAAACAAAAAGACAAACAAAACUAUUGGUAAACAAUUCUAAUUUGUUUUUUAUUGGGAUAAAUAAUUCAUUUUAUUGUGUAAGAUAAAUAAACCCUUUAUUAAUUUUCUAAUAAUUAAUGAGCCAUUAAAAAUAGAUAGAACUUGUAACACCCUCAAUUUAAUUUAUGCAAUACUCGUUGAAAAAUUAGGAUUUUUGUUUUGUGCAUAUGAGUGUGUGUGUGUAUCAUGAUCCCUGAUCCCUAACUAUCCUAACAAUAAUUUUUAAGCUUAUUAUUAUUAUUAUUAUGCUGGCUAUCGAAUAUUCAGCAGAGUCUCCUCUAUAAAUUGACCUUUUCAAGUGUCGACAUCAACUUAAAACACAAUUUAUCCUGCAUAGUUAUGAUUCAACCAUUCUAGAACUUCUUCAACAAAAACUGAAUUCUCAUCACUUCAUCCACUUCGACUUAUACCUUCACCAUUUUCCAUUCUAAUAGGAGUGUCAUAUAUCUUUUCUCUUCAUACAUGAUGUCAUUAAAACAAAGCAUAUUAUAAAGUUAUCUACAUGUAUACUAAAAUUCUUUAAUGUCUACACAAGAGAUUUAAUUAUCUAAAAAGUGGUAUAUGACUAAACAUUAAUUACAACCCCAAAAUAUAACUUCAAAUCCUUAUGAACUAAAAUAUUACAUAAUCCACGUACCCAAAAUAUACCUAGUAAAUAACUACCCACAAAAGAAGAGAAUUAAGGUUGUCCUGCGGUAUGAGAAGGACCUAUAACAAUGCAACAUAAUUUAUUUAAUACUACUAAUUUAAUUUAUUUACACAUAUAUAUAGUUCACACACAUCAUGUAAAAGUGUAAAUGGAGCUAACUCUUAAACUUAACUUUUCCUUUGUUUUUUCUUUGGCUAAAUUUUUUUUUCUAAAUAAUAAUAAUACUCAACCACCAAAUAUCCCUGAACUGAUUUUCCAAUUAUUUUUUCAAUUUACUCCUAAACAAUAGAUUCAAUAGAGAAACUUAUAAAAUAGAGAGAAAAACCUUAAUCCAUCUUCAUCGUCUCUUUACAACUUCUUAUACUAAGUUUGCAAGUCAUAAAAGAAAAGGCAAAUCAAAGAAAGUCCCAUAAACCCAUACAACAAACUUAAAUUGAAAAUCCUAAUUAAAUAUACUUUGUUACUACCGCUGCUGAUGCUGAUGGUGUUCGUGCUCGAGCUCGUGCUCGUGCUCGUACCGGUGCCUGUGCUCGUGCUUGUGCUCGUGGUGCUGUUAUUGUUACUGGUGGUGGUGCUCGUGCUGGUGUUGGUGGCUGCUGUUGGUGGCAGUUGUGGUGUUGCUGCUAGUGAUUGGGUCUGUUUCAAAAAAUUAAAUUGGUUUUUUCCGGUGAAAUAUGCGAGAAUAUUUUGGAUUUAUUUGUCUAAAAAUGAUGAUUCCAUAUAUUUCAAAUAUUGUUGAUAAAGAUAGAUUAAAAAAUUGAAUAUUUCUUUCUAUCUUUUUUUUUAUAUCAUUAUUAAUAAAGACAUAGAGAGCGACUAAAAAGAUGUUAUGGGCUAGGUUUUUUUUUUUUUAGUUAAUUUCCUAACAGAACAAGCCUAUUCCAAAAAUCAUAAUGUUUAGGAUCGAAAAUCAGGAUUUUUUUGUUCAGAAGUUAAGUUCAAGGGGGCUUCUCUUUUAGUACAAUUUGGCCUUUUUCUUUCUGAAAAGGAACUGUCCAUUCUGUUAACAAACAAAAUGCGUAGUGAUGUUUUAAAACCCAUCUUCCCAACCAAACACAGAAAUUUAAAUGCCAAAUCAAAGGAAAGCUCAGGAAUAGAACACUUGGCUGUUGAAAACUCGAAAUACCAAUGAAAUGCACGUAAAUUUUGUUCUUACCUGGCUACCAGAUGAUCGCUCAGAACCAGGUCCAAAUGUAUCCACUGAUUUUCCUGGCAUGAGUGGAGUGCCCACCAUCGAUCGAAGGUGUGCAAUCAAAUUGCCAUUGUAAGCCUUGGCAUUCUCAAUGCUUGGCCCUACGUCGUUGUCAUCUCCUUUAAAUGGCCAUCCAGUCUCAGCCACCACAAUCUCAACAUUCUUAAAUCCCAUAGAACUCAGUGCAGAAUAAACUGCAUCCACCUGCAAUUGAUUAAACCACUUGUCAGUAGCAUUUUUAUUAGAUCAUCUAUUGAUACAGAAUUUUCGCACUUGCAAUUUGAUUUACUCUCACCUGAGCAUCGAACAUGUUCAUGUACUUGAUCUUAGUGUUUCCAUCCAUUCGUCCUGCAUUCGGCUGGAAAAGGCAAAAAGCGAGAGUCUCAGGCCUUGUAUCGCUUCUGUAAGCAAAGUAUGGGUAGGUAUUUAUUGCGAAAGGCGAACCAUUCGCACUAUUAAACUCCAACAAGCCCUUCAUCAGAUCCCCAUAACUUGGAUCAAAGCUUCCAGAAGAAGGUGGCUCAGACUGCUUAAGCACUCCCAUCGAAUGAACUGUGGAGACCUUAAUUUUACCCCCGAGCGAUGCAUCAUCUAGAGCAUUCUGUACAUUUUGCAUUGCUGGUAAGAGCUUGUUCAUGAGAUUCUGGUCAUUGGAAGUCAUGACCUCGUUGCCGACAGUGAUGAGGAUGAUAUUGCUAGCUGGAUAGAAGGGAAGCACGUUUGUGUUGAUCCAGCUCUUGGCAAAAUUGGGAUCAGAGGCUAGUCCUGGAAUGUCACCAUUUGCAGUGCCGAUAACAAUUCCAAUUCUGGUGUUGGCUAAGGCUUUGAUUAUGGCGGGGUCCGAUCCAUAUAAUCGGACUUUUUGGAUUGAAGUGGAUUGAAGAAGCUUUGCGGUGGAUGGUGGUGGUGGAAGGUUGUCCGCAACUUGGCCAUAGUUUAUACUGAUGAAUGAUUGCGAGUCUGCACAAAAAGCAGCAAAAUUUAAAGCAGAUGAUCAAACAGCAAUUUUUAAACGACAAAACAGAACACCAACAUUUUUUGUUUUCAUAGACUGAAAUGAAGACGGCUCAGUUAAGGUAAAUUCUUUAGAAAUGGAAGGAGGUAAUUAAAAUAGAAAGAGACGCAAACUUACUUGCGAUUUUUACAGUCUGUAAGCAGGAAAGGAGUAGGAAAGCAACAGUAUAAGGAAGCACCACCAUGGCUCAGGAGGAGCGGUUUCUAUUCUGCAUUUUUGAAACUGGAGUGGGCAUUAAAUAUAGAAUAUGCUACAAGUCAAGGGCAGAAGCGUAAAGAUGACUUCGGAUAUAUUCUUAUUAUAGAAUAUCAUAUGGGUGGUGAAACUUCAAAUAGAAACCAAUUAGGAUAUACUAGUUUGGUGUCCUACAUUAUACCGCGAGUUUACCUUUUAAAAUUUCAUAAAAAUAUAAGAUGAAAAAACAUUAUAAAAGUAUUGGGUUUGGUUGCAACGUCGGACUCAAGAUCAUUGAGUCUGACUACAACACCAAACCCAACAAUAAUAUUUAUAAUAUUAAUAAUAAUAUUUCACUUGUUUGUUAAAAUUUUUAUUUUUUUGUAAUCUUUCAAAAAAAUUAUGGUUUUUCUUUGAUAGUAAUAAUAGUUUUUUAAAAUUUAUUAAUAAUAAUAAUAAUAAUAAUAAUAAUAAUUAUUAUUAUUAUUAUUAUUAUUACACUUCAAAUCAAAUCUAUGGUUGUUUUUCAAUAUUGAUAAUAAUUGUUUUUCAAAUUUAUUAAUUAUUUUAUUAAUAAUAUUAAUUAUAAUAAAAAUAAUUAUAUUUAUAACACAAAAAAUACUAAUUUUUAUAUUAAUACUUUUAAUUAUAAUAAAAAUUAUUAUAUUUAUAAUAAAAAUAAUUAUAUUUAGAAACUAAAGACCCAAGAAAACUGGGUCCUAACGCAGUACCCAUUAGCCUUGGGUCCUAACGCCGAACCCAAGUGCGUUGGGUUGUGACACAGGCCAAGAAAAGUGGAUCCUGACGCAGGACCCAAGAGAUUGAGUCCUGACGCAGGAUCAAUAAUGUUGGGUUAGGCAGGUCCUGAUGGGGCAGGACCCAACGUUGAUGGAUCCAGCCAUUUUAAAACAAAAACCGAUUCAAACUGAUCAGUUUGGCUCGGUUUUUUUUUCUGGUUUUGGCUCGGUUUUUUCUGGUUUGGGUUCAAUUCGGUUCGAUUUUUUUGGUUAUUUCGAUAGUGCCUUUUUAGUCGUCAAAUUUUUUAUUUAUUUCAUGUGAUUUUUUUGAGUUGAUGAUCUCUUAUAUUUAUAUAUUCUUGGCAAUUAAUUGUCCGAAUUUUUCUAAACAAAUAGCAUGGCUUUUCUAGAAUUCAUGCGAAAAUAUACUUUUGCAUAUUAAUUUAGUCAAACCAAACUGAUUAAUUAUUCUGUUCAUUAAUUUUUUUUUUUGUUUCCUUUGUUAAUCCUAUAUAUUCGAAUCUAAUAGAUAACUAUUUUUUUUUCUUAGGGUUAUGUGGAUAAAAUGAACUCAAAUCGAUUGGAAAGUUAUGGUCCGAUGACAAACACUUCAAAAACGUAUAGUUCCUCCAGCCCUAACAACUAACACUAAGCAUUGUCACAACCAUUGCAUCUGCUUAUAGAUUCUUUGAAGACAAGUUCUCCUUCUAAGUUUCAAAGCUUCUUUGUAGAAAUAAACAUGCACAAUUUUCCUUUAUCUGAACCUACUAUUACAUGGGCACACCGUAGAUGACGUUGAAAUCCUGUAUGUAGAUCGUUAGGGGCCAAGUUCAUGUUGAAAAGAAGUAUUGAAAACUGAAAAGCAUUCUCCACCCUUCAAUCCUACAAGUGAAACGGAGAAUUAGACGAGAAGGUUUCUUCUUUAUUGAGACUCACAAAGUGUUAAUGGUGUGAAAUCCAUAUAUCAAAUUGCUAUGUAAACUUCAAUGUCAUCUACGUUGUGCCCACGUAUUAGUAGGUUCAGAUAAAGGAAAAUUGUGCAUGUUUAUUUCUACAGAGAAGCUUUGAAACUUGGAAGGAUAACUCGUCUUCAAAGAAUUUAUAAGCAGAUGCAAUGGUUGUGACAAUUCUUAGUGUUAGUUGUUAGGGCUGGAGGAAAUAUACGUUAACAAGCUAGCUUUCAAGUGUUUGUCGUCGCACCAUAACUUUCCAAGGACUUGGAUCCAUUUGAGUUUUCUGCCUUUCCUCUGGUUUUCCACAUAACCAAAAGGCAGGUCAAUGGUCCUAAGAAAAAGAAAACAACUGCAAAUUAUUAUAUAUAAAGGUAAAUCAUGUGGGGAAAGUCUUGUUUAUAAAGAUUUAUUGUACUGUGGAUUGGAAUGGUGUUAUCAAAAGUCUUGUUCAUCGAGAUUCAUGGUACUGUAGAUUGAAGCAGUGUAAUAAUAGAGUUGUCCUUACCACAGAGAAGUACAAAGACUGUAGGGGGAGGGUGGGGUUGUUUUUUUAUUGGAAUGCAUUUGGCAUUAAAAAUAUAGUUUGGGAAAAAAUAAUUAAUGUAAAUUUUAGUGGGGUAUAGUGGGGCUACAAACCUCAGGCUGCAGAGGCUGCAGAUACCUGGUGGUAGGCUAUCAUGCCUUGCCACAUAUGGUGGACUAAGUAGUAAAAGUUUUGGGUUUGGCGAACGACUUCCUUUUGUUAAUGAAGACGGGUGGUUCUGUGAUUUGUAAUGUUUUUUCUUAUGUUUCUGUUUUUUGGUGUUUAAAUUUAGCGAACAGAUGGUGGAUUAAGCAGUAAAAAUUUUGGGUUUGGUGAAGGAUUUCCUUUUGUUAAUGAAGACACGGGUGUUUUAUGAUUUCAUUUUCUUUUUUAUCUUUUUAUUAACCACCUGCAAUAAGGCUAUAUAUAUUUUAUUGUUGUUUGCAUUGAUCAAAUCACACUAUCUUGCUGCUUAACCUCAAGCAUUACUCAGUUGUAAGAAACUUGACCGACUAAUUUCACAAAUACACGGAGGAUAGGUCGUUCUAGAAAAAAAAAAUACUGUAUGAACAUUUCUUUGCAAGCCUACACACACACACUGAAUCUCCCUAAUUUACUAGUAAAAAGAUGAUGGCUUCAACAUUUUAAGUGAGAAAGAGAAUGGUAUAAAGCACCCAUCACCUCCAAAAGGCUCUGUACAUGGGUCCUCUUCAGGUGCACUCACUAGGGUAAGUGUGCAAGCAUUAUGGCCUGUAGUUUAUGCGCAAAACAUGAAGAGGGAUUAGUAAAACCAAAAAGGAAGUGUUUUGAGAAAACUCAGUGGGUUGUUGGAAGAGAAAAUGGCUGAUUGUGAGAAAUCAGAGUUCCAAGGAUUUUUAUCAGAAGUUUGAUAGAAGAGAUUCAUGGCAUAAGCAGCAUGAGAUGCUAUUGUGUUCGGUUCAAAGCAAGCCCCGCCUGGUUGGAUCGGACCACGGUCAAUCCCUCAUCCACAAACAAAAUCCAGAUUAGCCUGCAAUUGUGCAUCUGAUACAUCUGAUUAAAAUUUUGGGUUUGAGGACAGUUUCUGAAGCAUUUUGUUUCUUUAUGCUCACAUUCAGUACUAAUAACGAAGAGAGCAAGAUGGAAAUUAUUUGUGACUAGACAGAAGCAAAGAAUGACUAUAUAAAAUACCUAAGAGUAAAUCUUUUAUUCAGCAUGGCUGUCAUUGUACGCAAUUCUCAUCAUUGACCGUCUUUGGUACCAAAGGCUAUGAAGUUCACAGAAAUAUCAUCAGAUAGAGACCAUCGCCCAGUCAAGGGACUGUGAACAAAUCCAGCCAUUUCUUUAACCUGGCGAGCACCAAACCCAAAGCAAUAAUUCUUGCUAAGAAGUAACAGUAGUAGACAUGUCAAAAUGUCAGAAGGGAAAGCAUCCAUCUUACAUUGAUAGAAGCACGCUGUAGGAUAAGCACCAGUUCUUCAGGAGUUAGAAAGCUUGACCACUGAUGCGUGCCUUUAGGAAGCUGAACAGCAUUGGUUAUUAAUAACAACACAAAGCAAACAAAAGGAUAGAAUCAAACUAUAAAACAUCGACAGAUUACUUCCAGAAAUUUUGGGAAGACUAAAACCUACACACCACCUCCACCACCAACUACAGCGAUAAGAAGAUUGCAUGCACUGGAUAUUCCUAGACACAAAGUCCAUUGCUAUAGGAAAAAUAAAAUGCUAGAACAGUUCCACUACCAGUGAAAACAGUGGGAUUUUGGAUUAGGUUUCUCAUCUGUUUAUAUCACACCCACUAUCAGAAAUUCGCCUAAAACAAACAGAAUUACUGAGAAAAUAAUUAUGUUGGUAAAUUACGGUGAUAAUUACCGAUGGAUACUAUUCCAUCGGUAAUUCAGUCGGUAUAUACCGACGGACUAAUGUUGUCGGUAUAUACCGACUGAAUUACAGACAAAAUAUAUAGAUUUAUUUUUAAAAAAAGCAGUUCGAUGAUGUGACAGUUUUUGCAGGCGAUUUUACCGAUGAAAUGACCGAGCUAGGGAUUCAGACUAGAAUCUUCGUACAGUGACGUGACUAAUUCACCGUCACAAUUACCGAGGAAACCACCGACAGAAGUAUUCCGUCGGUGAUUCCCUCAGUAAGAGUUAAUAUAUCACCACUCUGUCGACCCUCUCCUCUCCUUUUUCCCCUUCUUCUUCCCCAUCCCAACUCUCCCCUCCCAAACUGCAAACAACCUCCCACUAAAAAUACCCCCCCUUCUCAACAAAAAUCAUCUUUCUAUAACUUUUGUGGUCAUAACAUCCGUGUUCUGAUUUAUUGUGGAUUUUAUCAUUUUUUGUAAGUAAAUCUAUCUUUUUUAAUUUUAACAUUUAAAUGUCAAUUUUAUUAUUUUUUGUUGUUCUUUUUUAGUAUAUGUAUUUUGUUAGUGUAUGUACAUUUUUUAUUGUUAUUUCUCAAACAAACUUGUAGUAUGAAUGGAUAAUUUUGUAUUUGUUAUGGUUUGUUUUAGAUUUUGUAAAAUUGUAUUUGUUUGUAAAUUAUUGAAACUUUUUUGAAUUACCGAAUUCGAUGUAUUGUGAAUAAAUAAUUAAUAGCUUGUUUAACAGGUCCGUUUUAAUUUUUAUCAAUGCUAUUGCGGAGUUGUAAUUUAUGUAAAUUUAUAUGUAUAAAUUUGUAUGGAUGUUGAUAAUUGAUAAUGAAUAUUUAUGAGAAGUUUUAAUUAGUUUGUUGGGUAAUCUCGAGGUAAACCAAUAUUUUUGCAAAUUUAUUUACUUAACAUAGUUAAUUAAUAGAUGUUGUCAUCAUAAUUUUAUAGAGGUUCAAUAUAAGUCAUGGAUGAUCAUUCAUGGAUGUAUCGACAUUCACCCAAGGAUUGCAGAGGAUGAGUUAUUGUAAUGGGGUUCAGGGUUUUAUUAAUUUUGCAACAUCUAUUCCCUAAAAUUUUACUGGAGGCGGUAUUAGUUGUCCAUGCAGGAAGUGUAAAAAUAAAAAGUAUAUGCAUCCAGAUGUUGUAAUGAUGCAUCUUCUAUACAAAGGGUUCAUGGAAGAUUACCUGUGUUGGUAUGCACACUGAGAAAUAUUUGUUUGUAAUGAGAGCAUGGUAGAAAGGAUGAUUGGGUCAACUUCUAGUGCUAGCAACGUGCAUGAAGUUGCAAAUGAGAAUAAAUCAAGGUAAUGUUAGUCAAUGUCCAAUCGUAGAAAAAAAUCAUAUUGCAGAUGCAACAAGGUUUUUUGAUCUAUUGAGAGAUUCUGACUAAUCAUUAUGGGAUGGCUGCAUGAACCACAGUAAAUUAUCGGCCGUAGCAUAGGUGUUCACCAUCAAGUCAGAUCACGGGUUGAGUGAGGCCGGUUAUGAUAAAAUUAUUGAAUGGGCGAGAAGCUUUUUACCUGAAGGGAACAAGCUGAAAGAGAACUUCUAUGCUGCAAAGUCCAUGAUGAAACCCCUUGGUUUAGGAUACCAUAAAAUUGAUAUGUGCCCUAACUUCUGCAUAUUAUACUACCUUGAAAAUGUGCCCUAACAUGUGGUCAUUCCCGUUACAAACCCAGAACUAGCAAGGGAAAGACUCUAGUGGCAUAUGAAAAACUUAGAUACUUCUCAAUCACACCUAGACUGCAGAGGAUAUUCAUGUCACCAAGGAUUCUUUAGCACAUGACAUGGCAACAAUCAUAUGAUGCGGUUGAUGGAGUGAUGGUGCAUCGUUCUGACGGCGAAGCAUGGAAACACUUUAACAGUGUGCAUCCUCACUUUUUAGAUGAAUCAAGGAACGUGCAUCUUGGGUUGUAUAUAGACGUAUUUUUAUAGAGAGUUGCAAAAUAUUUACUGCAUAUUCCAUAAUCACCGACGUCUCUACAGACGAGUCGCACCCUCGCGGCGUCACGGCGACCCUCGAUUUAUUUCGGGUUAUUUGUUUUAUUGUGAAUAAAGGGAGUCAUCACCUAGUAUUAUGGUCACUAGGAAACCUAACUGGUCUUUUAGAGAUUCUAAGGCAAGGGACUAGUUGCGUAAAGGGAAGGUAUUAGCAUCCCUAGUACACCCUACCUAAGGUAAGCUGCUUGGUGUUUGGUUUGUCUUAUAAUUGUUAUGGUGUUGGUGUUUUCUAAUUCCAUCAGUUUUUCUAGGUUUGAUUCUAACUAAAUUUAUUAAGAUAGAAAUCCAAGGAGAUUCCAUGUGCUUUAAAAGCUCAUUUUUCCCUUGGUAUUUCAAGAGUUUGCGACUUAAAAAUUGCAAGGAGGAGGGACAAAAAUUUAGAAAUCUAGGGCGCUUUAAAAGCCUAUUUUUGCCUUAGUGUUUUAUACUCUCACGGCUCGUAAACUGUGAGUAAAAAAAAUUGAAAUGUCCUCGAUUAUAAUCAAGGCUUCUUUCAAGGAUGUGUGAGGAUUUAUUAUUCCUAGAAAAUUAUUUCGGAUAUUUACCACUCAGGGUUUCUUUAUCCAAAUAUUAACAGUGAAUAAUAACAAAUUAUUCCCAAUAAUAUUUUGGAUAUUCGUCCUUUAAUGAUUUCUUUAUCCAAACAUUAGUGGUGAAUAAUAGAUGAAUUCCCCCCAAAAUAAGAUUUUUAUAUUUUUUGGAAUAUUGGCCAAUACCCUUUGGAGUUUUACAAACAUGUUGUAAAAUCCAGAAAUGCAAGAAAAUAAAUUUUAUUGUGUUUAAGAAAUCCAUGCGAAAACACAUUUUCGAAAACUUCCAAUAUUUUUGUAUAAAAAAAAAGUGUUCAAAACAUGUUAGGAUAUUGGUCGUAUGCAACACACAAGAAAACAUUUUUUUUUUACAACAAACACUGCAGUGCUUAACCAUAAAUGAUAAACCAUUGCACAUUUGUUUUAAAACAAACACUCCAGUGCUAUAAAUGAUAAACCAUGCUUGUAGAGGGAUGAUGCAUUCACACGCCAAGACAGUAUUCAAGAAGGAAAAUGCAUUUAAAGAAGACCCGGCUACUGUUCAAGUGAAUUAUAUUUCACUUGAACAGUACAAACACAAAGGAAAAUGCAUGCAAAAAGGUGAAGAGAACAGACCUGGAGGCAGACGAAGGAGCAGCAACGCUGUUGAAGGCUUGCUGGCUAGACGAUCAGUGUGGUCGUCUGUUCCAGCUCUUUCCCCCCUAUUCUUUGUUCGUCUCCUGAGUUUUAACAUCUGCAAUCUUCGUCAGUCCCUCUCCAACGAGUUCCUGCACUUCCUUCGUCCCUGCUGUAGAUCUUAUAUGCCAAAAAAAAUGAAGCCAAGACCAACAGGUAGUCCCUGCUGGUUUAUGGUUUCUCUUCUCUUUUCCCUUUUUUUCUCUUCUUUCUCUUCUACUGUCAAUCUUCCCAACCUCACAGUAACACUUUCCUCCAGCAGGCGUAAGAAGAGAAAAGUGUUGAAAGGUAAGCUGAUUACUUGUUUUUGAUGGCAGAGAAGAAGACUCUGCAGGCUGUAGCGAGAAGAAUGAAGGAAUGGAAGAAAUUCUGUUAAAACAGUUAAAGAAGCAGUUAAAACAGUUAUGGCAGUUAUAGUCAGUUUUUUCUGUUAAAUUCUGUUACAACUGUUUCUUACAUGUGUAAGAAUCGUAUCCUUCCAUUAAUGGAUGGAUGAGAUGAUCUUGAUUCCUAAAUAGUGGAAUUAGUUACAUGCAAUGUGUAUAAAAGCAGAGUUGCUGCAUUAAUGAAAUAUAAGAAAUUCUUCUCAAUCUUCUUUGCAAAACGUGAAUACAAUUCUCUUCUAAAUACCUUCAGAAAACAAACAAAAAGAAUGUGAGGGUCCCUAAAGUUCUCGCAGCUGGAGCACUAGGGAAGAAACACCUGCAGAUCCUGUUUUGCAGGAAAUGAAACAAAAGACCAAGAAACAGCUCACGCGUGCCUCUUGACGGACGAAAACAAUGACACUGAAGCUGUGAUGUGCUGGUGGAGUCUGUUCUCUUGCUCUUUCUUGUUUUUCCUACGGCUUGCCUCUCUUUUUCUCCUUUUUUUUCUCUUCUCCUCCUUUUUUCUCCCCCCUUUUAUGCUCUUUUUUUUCUCUGCCCCAUUAGGUCAUUAGAAGGGCUUAUAUAUAGUCUAAAUAUAUCUCUAUUUAGGAAAGAUUCAAUGCAUUAAUUCUAGGAUGCAAAUCCCUACUGAUUUGCAGUAAAAAAAAUGCAAAAAGGAAACUUAAAUAUUCUGAUUCUGCUGUCUGAUUUCUUUCCAGUUUUUUAAAGGAUGGUGUGGCUUCUUUCUUUCCUUCCAUAGGGCCAGCUGCUCCCUUUGAAAUGAGGCAAUAAAAACGUGGUUGCAGCUCCAAAAAUCAGGCGUGAUGAUAAAGGAAAAUAGCAGAAAUUUGCAGAGAAAAAGGAAAGAAAUCAGAUGGGUAAAGGUGCAUGCUGCAAAGUCUUAUUUUCUUUAUUCGGUAUGGUAAAAAUCCUGUCAUUUAUGAUGAUCCAACCCCCCUUUCCAGCUUCAAUUCAAUCCCUCAUUUUAGCACUUUUCAAUUUAGUCCUUGGUCAAAAAAAAAUCCUUCGAAUCAGUCCCGCGAACUUGGGCAAAAAUCCUUCUCGCGGCUAAGAAUCCCUGCUUUCACACUAAAUAUUCAAACGGGAAUAUCUUGAGCUUUUGAUAUUGAAAUCAAGCGAUUCAAAAGCCCAAAUUUACCUACGUGUCCCAGACUACAACUUUCAUGAGGAUUCAAAGUGAGAUAAAUUUGUUUUGAAUAACAGAAUUGCAACCAAACUCGGCUGGAAACCUUCUCGCGGCAGGAUUCUAUGUUUUCAUGCUAGAUUUCAAACAGGAAUAUCUUGAGCUUCUGAUUUCGAAAUCAAGCAAUUCAAAAGCUCAAAUUCAUCUACGUGUCCCGGACUACAAAUUUUAUGAAGGAGUCGAAGUGAGAUAAAUUCAUUUUAGAGAACAGAAUCUGGCAGUAAUCUGGUUGGUCAAAAAGGAUCUCCGGGUCUAAUUUAGAAACUAACAAUGCUGAGAAUCCUGAUAUGAUUGAAAGUAUGACCUAAGAACAAAUCAUCAAAAUUUAUGAUGGAAAUAGAGUCUUUUAGUGCAAAAAUCGGGUCAGGAUCCUUCUCGCGGCAGGAAUCCCUACUUUCACACUAGAUAUUCAAACAGGAAUAUCUUGAGCUUUUGAUAUCGAAAUCAAGCGAUUCAAAAGCCCAAAUUUAUCUAUGCGUCCAGGACUACAACUUUGAUGAAGGAGUCGAAUUGAGAUAAAAUCGUUUUAAAGAACAGAAUCUAGCACUAAUCUAGUUGGUCAAAAAGGUUCUUGAUCUGACAAUGCCGAGCAUCCAAAUCUGACUGAGAGUCUGCCCUAAGAUCAGUGAUCCCUAGGACCCAAUAAAGGUGUAGGUCAAUUUUUCAACAUGUCAUGAGUGACAGAAUAUAGCUAGGAUGGUCAGAUAUUGUACGAAACCAAGUUAGAAUCAGAGUCUAAUUUGGAACAAAAAAUUAAGAUAGCAGCAGAACCAUUUUUUAGUGCAAAUUCUGAGGGAUUUAUUCAACCUUAAAGGCCAGAUAAUAAUAAUAAAAAAGGGACGAAUUUAGCAUUAUGAAGACUCCUGAUUAAUCUAAGAAAACCUGACAAUUUUGGCAGCAAAGGGGAAGGAUAAAGAGAGCAUAAAACAGCUCAAACAGGUUUUCGAAAAACUAUUUAUUUCUCUGCUUUUGUCAAUCUUCAGCAAACAUGAGUUAAACUCCUACACUCAGUUCAAAAGAGGUAUACACCGUCUCCAGCACGUGGGGUCCAAAAAUGAGUAACAACAAGACGGAUACAAUGUAUCGGUAUUUGUCGGUGUAGUUCACAAUUAUCGAUGGACUGUGCAAAUUCCAAAGGGCGGGUAUUAAUGCAUCUCUGACCGCGUGAAUAUGCCGACAGACUGCGAAAGUUCUGGAGGGUCAUUUAAAAAUUUUAGUGUGAAAUUCAAAAUUUACCAACGAACAUUUGAAAAUUCACCGACGGAAUAAUUAAAAAUAAUAUUAUUUAAAUAGGUCAUCGAAAAGUCCAUCGGUAAAACUGCACUAUAAAUCUCAACGACCGCCCCUUCAGUUCAUUUCUCUCCUCUUUCGUUUCAUCUCAUCUUUUUUUCUCUCUUCUAUUGCAAAAAUUUUCAUUUUUUUCUUGUAAUCUUUAGCUUCUUGUAAUCUUCAACAAAUUAAAACGUAUGUAUUUUCAUUUAAUAUGCUUAAUGAUUUUAUUUUUCUCAUUUUUUUCUUUGUUUUAUUAAUAAUAUAUUUUUGUUGUGUUUUUUUUUUUUGUAUUGUAUGUAGAUAAAGUACUGAAAUAAACACACUAUUAAGGUAAACAUUUUUCAUUCCUCAAGUCUAUAGUUUUUUUAAAAACUUUAUUCAAUAUAUUUUAUUGUUUGUAUUGCCAUAAUAAUUGAAUACUGUCUAACUUUGAACUGUUAUUGUUUGACUUUUCCAACCGUUACUGUCUGACUUUGAACUGUUACUGUUUGACUUUUCCAACUGUUACUGUCUGACUUUUCCAACUGUUACUGUCUGACUUUUCCAACCGUUACUGUCUGACUUUGAACUGUUAUUGUUUGACUUUUCCAACCGUUACUGUCUGACUUUGAAUUGUUACUGUUUGACUUUGAACUGUUACUGUCCAAUUUCCAAUUGUUACUGUCUGAACACUCAUUAGAUUUUUAACUAUAUCUAAAGUUCUAAAACUCCAUUUUAACUGAGAUUGAUCUCGUUAGAAAGCUAAGACACGAGGCUACUAGUUCUCUGAGGGAGGAGAACCCAGUUUUGCCUUCAAGAUAGUCAAAAUUAUUCAUUUACUAAUUAGUCCUACUGCCCUACAUAAUCAAUCACGACUCAGUCUCAGUUGGUAACCCAUAACUGGAGUUCUACAUUUCCAAAUUGAGCAAGACCAGUUUCCUUGGUUAGCUAACAUUCAAAUCUAUAAUUUCUAUGGGGAACCUGAUCCUAAUCCCCUCAUCCUCCUACCCAAAAUCUCAUCGAAAGUUAGGAGACAAGUCUGUCCAGAUUCGUCUCCCCCUCCCAUUCACACAAUACUUUCAUAAACUACAUACCACACACAUGAAUUAACUUAAUCUCAACAAUAAGUACUUUUUCCCCAAUUUAUAUCUAAGAACCCUAACCUAUGAUUCAAUAUCAAGGCACCAAUUCUUUAUCGAAUUUAAAAAUGAAUUUUUUUAAGAUCAUGUUUAGAAUACGUUACCCGGUACAAAUUAAGAUUUUGAUCUUCAACCAGUUGAAGAUUUUCAACUCCCUUCUUUCUUUUCUUCUUGUUCAAUUUCCCUCCUGUCUUUUCUUCUUGUUCAAUUUCUUGGUAAUCCUUUGCUCUCAAGUGUUUAUCCCAUCUUUAAGCUCUUAAUCUUGGAUGGGUUCUUGAAAUUUUAGUGUUUCUCUCUUGAUUUCUUGAGAAUGGGUAUAAAACUCCCUAUUUUCUCUCCUUAUGGUUCCUACAGAUUUUUUUUUGGUGAGGAAAGAGUAUUUAUACUCUAUAUUUUCCCUUAUUUGCAUUUAGACCCCUUUUUUCCUUUAAGUGUAUUAUUAUCUUCAGUUAAAUCCAACCCUCAACAGUACCGGGUUUAUUAUAAUGUCUCGAAUUAUUUCGCCUGAAAAUUUAUAUUCAAAAUUUUUUGAAUUUCUGUUUUUAUUUAAUCAUAUGCAUGAAUUUCUUCACUUUUAUUUAUUUAUUAUUUUUCUCGGGGUUUACAGGGUAAGACUCGUGAAACCAUCAAACUCUCGCUUGAUUGUUUACUUGGAAGUGGUUGAUAUGCCAAACUGAUAUUACUUAGGGCCUCUAUCUUCACACUACUUGUAAGCCUCAUAUCGACCUUUCAAGGACGAUCACUAAGCAUGUGAGAGACCCUUGGAAACUAGAUAAUGACCAACCCCUUAAUGCACAUAACAAUUAGGAUCUUCCUACUAGGUUGUCACCUCGUGAAGGGCAAGUUUGCAUUUCAUACGUAUUUUUUUUAAUCAAUAUUUUUGCAUAAAUUGCAUGAUUUACAUUUAGCAGGUUGAAAUAUAGGUUCCCCAUUGAAACCCAUCUAUAACACUCGUUUGAGAAAAAGACAAAUGGAAAACGAAGAAAGAGCCCAAUUGGAAGCCCAACAUCAAAAAGAGGUGGACAAUCUUAAAGAAAAAGUCGCAAGGCUUACUAGUCUACUCGAACAGGCCUUGAGAGACAAAUCCGGAAAAGCAACACAUAUAGUUCAGCUUGAACCUAUGCUCGUAAAUCCUUUCAAUCCACAUAAUCUGGGGGCAAAAGGGUUGUCAUCUUAUUUUCAACAAGCCUUGCAUUUCCAACCAGCAUACCCCAUGAGAAUGCUGUUUACCAUUGAUUCUACAGAGAAGGAAUCUCAAAAGGGCAAGAUGGUAAAAGAAGAGGGUCUGGAAAAAUGGAUUGCCCUAGAAGAGAGGGUAAGGGCAGUUGAGGGAAACCAUUUGUGUGACCUGGUGAAAGCUGUCAAGAUGUCUUUGGUACCUAACGUAGUCAUUCCUAAGAAGUUUAGGGUGCCAGAAUUCGUUAAAUAUACAGGAACCCAGUGCCCUGUAACUCAUCUCAAGGCAUACUGCAACAAAAUGGCUGAGGUGGUUGAUAAUGAGAAAUUGCUGAUUCAUUUCUUUCAAGAUAGUUUGAGUGACACUGCCCUCACUUGGUAUAUGCGGUUGGACAAUGCCAAGGUUAAAAAUGGAAGGAUUUAGUUGAUGCCUUCAUGAGGCAAUAUAAGUUCAAUAUAGACGUGGGCCCUGAUCAAUUAAGCUUGCAAGCUAUGGAGAAGGACAACAAGGAGUACAUAAGGGAAUACGCCAAAAGAUGGAGUGAGGUAGCUGCACAAGUUAACCCUCCUAUGUUGGAAAAAGAGAUGAUUAGUUUAUUUUCCAACACCUUUAAAACCCCGUACUUUGAAUACUUGGUUAGAAGCUCUGCACAACAUUUCACUGACCUGGUUGUUAUAGCUGAGAGGAUUGAACAAGCCAUUGGGAUAGGUAAGAUUGCUGACCCAAUUGAGAAUAACGGUUUUGGCUGGAAAAGGGAAGGACACUGAAGGUGGUUGCCAAGUCACUUAUCGUCCUUAUAACUAAUUUCUUCACACCAACUCCUAGAAAUCAACUAUCUUGAAGAUAAAGCUAUGGUGAUGUUAGGUCGAGAAUGGUCUACAUAUGACUUCAAUUGAUUGUUGAAAAGAUGCUUUUGUCGAGGAGAAUGAAUGAUUGAAAGAUUCCAGCCCUUUCAUGUGUUACCAUGCUAGUAUUCAUAGCCCAAGAUGUUGGCAUAAGUUCUUUGUUGUUGAACUUCUUUUUCAAAGUUUCAAUGAAAUAAUAAGUUUGUCAUUCAAUCGUGUUUACGACCAAGCAUUAUUCAUUUUCUUGAGAGAGUUUUCUUAUAAGAACUCACAAAUACACUUUUGAAGCCUCACGUGAUCUCAUAGACGCGAUUCAAUACUUUUACCAAAAUCAGUUUCCCUAUUGGAGUUUUGAAAAAUUGAUCUGGCAUUUUGAUUUCAAAAAUAAUUUGAUGUUUAUUAAAAAAAAUAUUUUUGACAUUCUUCUUGUAGAAUGACAAGUGAAUCAAGCAACUCCAUCAUUGAGGUGACUAAAUUACGGAUAAAAAAAAGGAAAAAAAGAAAUGAAUAAACACCCUUACCCCAUGACUCUUGAAACAUGUGUUUUUAAAUGUAUGAAUAAUGGCAUGUAGUGAACUCAUUGCUCAUGACCCAUGAAACAUAUCUUUGCAAAGACCAAACCAUCACACUGGGUGAGGUCAAAGUUUAUUGAUCAUAGCUGCUUGCGCUUGAAAUGAGGAAAGGCCAUCUUUGUUAUUCCUGUCAUGUUCUGAAAUAAAUAUAUCCCUUGCGAUCCCUUUUUUAGCCUGAAUAAAUUUUCUUUCAUGAAAAAUCCCGACUAGGAUCACACCCCACACUAGGGGGGCAAGAGAAAAUUUCAAUGAGAAAAGAGAAAAAGCCGUGAGAAAGCCAAAAAAGGCAUAAGAGCUCAAGAAACUCAAAUGCUUGGGGGCAUGUCCAAAUCACAAGAAAAAGUGAUAACCAAGAUAAAGUGAGUAUGCCCUAGCAAAGCAAUAAAAAAAACGAAGCAGCAAAUCAAAGAAGAGCGGCAAAAGAAAAGAUGAACGACAUUAAGAGUUGAACUACUAAUAGUGAUUCUCAGUCUUUGAAACCCUGAAACACUCUUUGAGCCUUGUGAAUCCUUUUCUUUCAUAGCUAAGAACCACAGCCUACAUUAAGUGCCUGUAGAAGUCUUUUCUAAUCAAGCAAGCAAACAACCUAGAACAAUAAAAAAUGCUCUCAAAAUGCAAAGAAUACUUUUUCAUAAGAUUCAUGACAUCAAGAACAAACUACUCAUUACUAUUCAUGCUGAUAAAAAUGAGUGUUCAAAAAGAUAUAAGUUUUUAUCAAGCAAAACCUUGAGCUUUUUCUCGAGCCCUUCACUUUGAAAACCUAUAAAAACAAAAAGUCACCUCAUGGCGGAUUUUCACCGAAGUUAAUAACGCCAUACACAAGAGCAAGUCAUCUCUUUUCCAAGAAAAAUGUCUUGAACAAAUUUUAAUUGACCACUCUUUUUAAUUCUAGUUCUUCAACUUUUCUAGCUAAAGAUGCAAACUUGGCUUGGAGGUCAUGAUCUUCCCUAAGGUUGUACAUACCUUCACUAGAUGUAUGAGGUUGAGUUUUACUUAGUGCCUCAUAAGUGUCUGCAGUGUCCCAAUUUUCAGCAUUUUCAGCUAGCAAGUAUAGGUACUCUAUUGCUUCAUUAGGGUCUUUAUCUUCAAAAGUUUCAUUGCACAUCAAUUCAACCAUUUGCCUAUCUCUAGGUGUUAACCCUUCAUAAAAAUAUGAAACCAAUCUCCAUGUUUCAAAACCAUGAUGAGGGCAAAUAUUAAGCAAGUCUCAAUACCUAUCCCAACAUUGGUAAAAUGUUUCUCCUGGUUUUUGAGUGAAAGUGAUGAUUUGUUUUUUGAAAGAGUUUGUUCUGUGAGACGGAAAAAACUUUAAAAAUUGUUAUUGCAUUUCAUCCCAAGCAUGAAUGGAUCCUAGUCUCAAAUUUUGUAGCCAUGUUUUAGCUUUAUCUUUUAAUGAAAAAGGAAAAAACUUUAAUCUGAUGGUGUUCAUGCUACAAUUUAAGUCAUUAUAGGUGUUACAGACCUCCUCAAAUUUCCUUAAAUGCAAAUAUGGAUUUUCUAGAUCUAAGUCAUGAAAAUAAGGUAAAAGUUGAAUAAUGCCUGGCUUAAAAUUAAAAUGAUAUGCAUCAGGGGGGAAACUAUACAUGAUGGUGCACUUGCUCUUGUAGGAUUCAUAUGGUCUCUAAAUGUUCUAACACGGUUAUUCUCAUUAUUCUCAUUAUGAAGCGACUAGUUAUCUUCUUCGGCCAUAUUUUUUUGAAAAUAAUGAGGAUACCCUACAAAGUCUACCACUUAAUGUACGUGACCAAACUCUCAUGCACGUGUAGGAAGAGAAGAAAAAGGAAGAAAAGAAAAGAAAAGGAAACAAAACAAAACAAAACAAAACAAACAAAAGUUAGAUAAAAUGAAAAGUGAAAAGAGAAAAUAAAAUUUAUCUCCCCAGCAACGGUGCCAAAAACAUGACACAACCAAAAGAUUGAUGUCUUCUCCCAAGUGCAGGAGUGUCGAAGUAAUAAAUAACCCGGCAAGACCGGGGUCGAACCACAGAGAGGUUAACUAUAUAAAUUAUAAAUAACAACAACAACAACAACAACAACAACAACAACAACAACAAUAAUAAUAAUAAGUUAAAGAGGACUUUGAGAUGUAAGAUUAAUGUGAGGAUUAAACAAUGAUAAAAACAAUUGUCAAGGUUAGAGGAUCCACUAAUGGUAUUUCAAACAAGUAUAGUAUAAACUCUUAUUACUCAACUAGAAACCACACACAAAGGAGGUUCCAAUCGGAUUAUAAAUUGUUAACAUGAUGACAUUAGUUAUCUUAUUCGAAUAAUGCUAAUACUUGUAAAUGUUGUCAGGUAUUCAUAAUUAUAACUUAUGUUAACAACAAAUCAAGUUCCUUUCAUAGCACAGGUGUCGGUUAUACCACACGGUUUGGGCUAUGAAAGUGCCAAAUAUUUGUUAUACCAAGGGUUAUAUAACAUAAAUCUAGAUUAAUCAUUUAACAAGCAAAGUAUUAAAAGUGAACAAGAUAACAAAUACAAAACAUGUUAGUAUCAGACAUUAAAGUCCAUGUUGAGUUUAUACUAUACUUAUUCUUACAUCAUUAGUGUAACCUUUUCAACUUAACAUAAUAAACUUAACUAAGCAUAAUGAAAAAGAGAAACAUAAAUAAACAAGAUAAGAACAUAAAUAAGAUAUAAAUUAACUAAGUAAAGGGAAGGAAAUGAAAGGCAUAAACAAGAGAUUACUGAAAGCAAAACUUAAGCAUUACAAAAAAUAUAAAGAAAGAGAGCAAGAACAUGAUCUUGAUCUGAAAACCAAGAUGCCUAAAUGCAUGACAAAUGCCUACUUUUAUAGGCUAAAAUUUGGAACUAUUGAUUUGAUGACUAAUUGUUGAGUGGGUGGCCACAUCUUAACUUGGUGACAAUCCUUAUCUUCAUGUCUGAACAAAACGUCAUUGCUAAUGUCAAAAUUUGAAUAGACUCUCUCAUGAAAGUUCUAGGAAAUUGUCUCAGCUUUCCAACAAAAAAAUAUUUGGUGCAUUUGGACUUCUAGAACUUGAGAUAUGGGUUGAACACUGAACAGUGUCUGGGCUGCAGCACAAAUUCCGACUUCUCCGUUGUUGCUAAGAUUUGGACUUCCAAAUAGAAGAAUUGAGUCUUUUACUCCCCAUGACUGUUUUAGACCUAUGUCUUAGCUUUCUAGCCAUAUAAACCAAAUUGAAAUCCAAGAUCUACAGCUCCAGAUAUGACCCAAUGACUGAACAGUGUUCCAGUUUGGACUGAACCAACAUCUCUUUUCUAAGCUGAACCCUCUCUUUGUCUUCUCAAUUUCAGUAGUUAAACUCAUCAAUUAAUCCUUUGAUUUAUGUGAUAGCCCUACAUUUAAGAUGAACAUUUACCAUAAAUUAAAGGUAUCUUAUAUUAUUAGACAUAUUAUUAUAAAACAUGCUCUAGUUAAGGAGUUAUUGAUACUUCAAGUGCAAAAUGAUGAUAUAAAACCUUGAUAAAAAUGCACUUUUAAGUACUAAUUAGUUACUAGGAGCAACAUUGCAUAUUGUCUUCUAACAGAGGAUGGAGAGCCAUUAACUUUUCAUGAGGCUAUAGAAAGCACAAAUGUAUCUAUGUGAAUGACAACAAUGCAAGAGGAGAUUGAAACUCUACACAAGAAUAACACUUGGGAUCUUGUUCCGCUACCACAAGGAAGGAAGGCCAUUGGCAACAAAUGGGUUUGCAAGAUAAAACGUGAUGGUAAUGAUCAAAUGGAGCGGUAUCGUGCAAGAUUGCUUAGAAAGAAGGAAUAGACUUCAAUGAAAUAUUUUCUCUGGUGGUACGACUUACUACAAUUAGAGUAGUCUUGGUGAUAUGUGCUAUAUUUGAUCUUCACUUAGAGCAGUUAGAUGUGAAAAUUUCAUUUCUUCAUGGAGAACUUGAAGAAGAAAUUUAUAUGCUCCAACCAGAAGGUUUUGCUGAAAAAAGGUAAGGAGAAGUUGGUUUGCAUGUUGAAAAAAUCUCUAUAUGGUCUCAAACAGGUGCCGAGGUGUUGGUACAAGAGAUUUUAUUCCUUCGUAAUUAGCCUUGAUACAAUAGACUUAGUUUAGACCAUUGUAUGUAUUACAAGAAGUUUGAAAAGAUGAUGAUAUAAUCAUUCUGUUGUUGUAUGUGGAUGACAUGUUGGUAAUAGGCCCCAACAAAGAUCAAGACCAAGAAUUGAAGGCACAGUUGGUUAGGGAGUUUGAUAUGAAGAACUUGGGACCAACAAACAAGAUUCUAGGGAUGUAAAUUGACCGAGACAGAAGUAAGAUGAAGAUUUGGCUUUCUGAGAAGAAUUAUUUGAGGAAAGUUUUACGAUGCUUCAACAUGCAAGAUUGUAAGUCAAUUUCCACCCCACUUCCUAUUAACUUCAAAUUAUCCUCAAGUAUGUCUCCUAGUAAUGAAGUAGAGAAGAUGGAGAUGUCUCAAGUACCGUAUGCAUCAGCAGUGGGAAGUUUAAUGUUUUCUAUGUAGGUACAAGAUCGGACAUUGCACAAGUAGUAAGAGUAGUUAGUUGAUACAUGGAAAAUCUUGGUGGAAAGCAUUGUAAUACUAUUAAGAGGAUCUUGAGAUACAUCAAAGGUACCUCAGAUACCGCAUUAUGUUAUGGAGGAUCAGAAUCUACUGUCAGAGGUUAUGUUGAUUCAAAUUUUGUUGGUGACCUUGAGAAAAGAAAAUCCACUACAGGCUAUAUGUUCACAAUUGCAGGAGGAGCUGUGAGCUAGGUCUCUAAACUUCAGACUAUUGUAACGUUAUGCACAACAGAAGCUGAGUACAUGGCAACUACACAAGCUUGUAAAAAAGCAAUAUGGAUGAGGAAACUUAUGGAGGAGCUCGGACAUAAACAAAAGAAGAUUCCUUUGUAUUGUGAUAAUCAGUGUGCGUUGCAUAUUGAAAGGAAUUCAAUGUUUCAUUCAAGAACAAAACACAUAGAUGUUCAGUAUCACUUUGUUUGCGAAGUGGUGAAAGAUGAAAGUGUGGAUUUUAAGAAAAUGCACACUAAGAAAAACUUAGCAGAUGCUUUGACCAAACCAGUCAACACUGACAAGUACAUAUGGUGCAUAUCCUCUUAUGGCCUAGCAGAAACGUAAGCACAUGAAGAUGACAAGUAUAGAAAGGAUAGAACAAUCAUAGAUGAUCAAGUAUGAAGACUUGAUUAAAUCAUCAAAGUCUUCAAGUGGGAGAAUGUAAAGCUAGUUGGACAUUAAUUGGUGCUGCCUAAGUCAACAAUGUUAGGAACCAAUUCAGUGCCACUUGCAGCACCAAUUAAUGCCUCAUGUCUUUUGCAAGACAAAGGCAUGGAUGUCUGCCUAUAAAUAGGCAGUGCAUCCAAGUCUUAAGAUGUACACACAAGAGAGAAAGGAAGGAAAGUGAUCCCACAAAGUUGUGAGGUAUUUGUGAGAGAGUAAAAGAGGUGUUUUCUCCUAUUGAUAGAGAGAUUCUCAAUUGUUUUCCAAUUAGUAAAGAGAAGUUGAAAUUCUCACAUUACUUAGUAAAAUCCUUUUAUACUUGCCCAUGGACGUAGUCAAAUUUGGGUCAACCACGUAAAUGCCAGUAUCUUAACAAAAACAUUACAAAUCAUAAGAAGCUCACACACCAGUAGAUCCAAACCCUCCAACUCCUCUCACAGUUGCAUCCAAAUCCUUGACUUCCAUGACAUGAGGAGUUACAAUUUUCUCAAGAAUCAACUGCACAAUUCUAUCACCAACCUUUCCCUCGAAUAAAAGGGUUAAACAAGAUAAGCCCAACAUAAAUAAAAUGAAGUUUUGAACCAGAUUAUAAAAUGCUAAAAUUAAAAGGACCAAAAGAUAAAUCCAUGGAGGAUAUAUGGACAAAAGUACAUUUUCGCAUGAAUUCUGGAAAAGCCAUGCUAUUUUUUUUUAUAUUUGGUCUUUUUUCUUUUAAUUGUGUCUUUAUGCUAUAAAUUUAAACUUUAUCUCAUCAACUUGGCCUUGGAUCAAGUUCGGACCUUUAAUUGUCAAAAAUAUAUAAAUAUAAGAGAUCAUCAACUCAAAAAAAUCACAUGAAAUGAAUAAAAGUUUGAUGACUAAAAAAGCACUAUUGAAAUUUAUGUGCUUUGUGAGGAGAAGCAUAGUGUCAAGCACCCUAGUAAAACACCUUUAAAGAAUUAGUUUUUAUAUAUACAACUAGUAAAGAUUGAAAUUUAACAAGGUAUGAUUAAAAUUUUAAAGAAUUCAUUUUAAUAAAUGUUCAGAUAAAUAAUAUUAGUCGUUCAUUUACAAACAAAUUUAAACAUAUUAGAAUACCAUUUUAUUUUUUUUUUAAAGUUUGACAGUCAAUUUAAGACUUGAUGCAUUUUAAAAAUACCUUAAAUUUAACUCCGAUCGUAUUACUUUAUUAUAAAUUACAUCUCAAAUAUUUUUAUUUUAUCAUUUUGUCUAAAAAUUAAACAAAUAUACCUCAUAAUCUUUUCAUUAUCAAUUAUAGUUUAAGUUUUGUUGCACAAGCACCAGCAGUAGCAGCAGCAAAAGACGGAGUGUUUUUUGGUGGGUUUUGUUUAGAAUUGGAAAUUUUUAGACUGGAGUUUUCGGAGGUAUAUUUAAUUAGGAUUUUCAAUUUAGGUUUGUUGUAUGGGUUUAUGGAACUUUAUUUGAUUUGCCUGUUUUUUUUAACUUGCAAACUUAGAAUCAAAAGUUGUAAAGAGACAAUGGAGAUGGGUUAGGGUUUUUCUCUGUAUUUUAUAAGUCUCUCUGUCGAUUUUAUUGUUUAGAAGUAAACUGAAAAAAUAAUUGAAAAAUCAGUUCAGUGAAUAUUUGGUGGUUGAGUAUUAUUAUUAAAUUUUUUUUAAAAAAAAAACAAUUUAGCCAAAGAGAAAAGAAAGGAAAAGUUAAGUUUAUGACCAAGCUCCAUUUACAUUUUUACAUAGUGCGCUCAUUUGGUAGAAAUUUGAUUCUUAUGAGUACCAGAAACCUCAAUUUUGGUAGAUUUCGUUGGUGGAACUGUGAAUAUUUUUACAUGAUGGUUCUUUUAUAGUUCCUAUCCAUGCCUUCCUUGUUGCCACUGUUUCUUUCAGUUUAUCUCCAUCGUAACAAUAGUUUAUAAAGUUUUAUUGACUUGAUCUAUUAUGCUUUAAGACUCCGACUAAACCAAAAACUCCAGCAACACCAUCUCCAAAGCCAAAAAAAAAAAGCAACAAUUGAAUCAUGCCAUAAAAAUUUGUUUCAGAAUAAGAGGUCACUGCAAUAUUUAAUAGUUUUACCGACAAAAAUAUUUCGUCAGUGUAAGAUAACCACUUAAUUGAUAAAAUUUUUACCAACUAAUUCCCCAACAGAAACCAUCCGUCGGCAUAACAUUCGUUGAUAAUUCAACAUUUUAUCACUAAUUCUAUCAGUAAAAAAAAUUCAAAAACUGAUGGAUUUACAUAUAGAAAAUGAGCGCAAAAAACAACAAUUCCCGCCGGCAAUAUACCGAUAGAAUUAUUCUGUCGGUGUUUGUGGGAUAUACAGUAAAUAUUUUGCAACUCUUGGUAAAAUACGAACGGACUAUGUCCGUCUGGAAAUCCAUCGGUGAAAGUGGCAUAUGCAGUAAAUAUUUUGCAACUCUCGGUAAAAUACCGAUGGACUACAUUCGUCUGGAAAUCCGUCGAUGAAAGUGGCAUAAACAGUAAAUAUGUUUCAACUCUCUGUAAAAUACCGACAGACUACUUCCAUCUAGAAAUCUGUCGGUUGUUAUUUAAAAACAUUAAAAAUUAUUUAGAAUAAAUUAUAUAAAUUAAUAGUAAAAAAACCAAUUCUGCAAAUAAAAUUGUAUGAAACAUUAAAAAUAUAAAAAUAAAGUUAAAUACUAUUCAUCCAAAUAUUCAUUAAAAAUUUAAUGUGUUUCCAAAAAAAAUUAAACUAGAACAAUGGCGGAGGUAGAGGAGGAGGAGGAGGCUACUUGUUCCCAGGACCAAACGGCCAAAAAAGUGGCGCACAUGUAUCACCCAUCUGUGAUCUAAUGUCCAUGACCAUUUGGCGGAGUUGUUCAUAAUCCGUUGAGAGUUGCUCAUAUUGUUGUUUCAAGGCCAUGAUCUCCUCAGAUUGGAUGCUCGAUACUGAUUGGGAGCUCCCAACGGUUGAUACACUACAGGCUGCCCGUAAGUUCUCGGUUGUAGUGUUCAGCCCGUAGUGUUGGAGAGCCCAUACACCCGAUUUUUAUCAGGUCCACUAGAUGAUCCUACCUCCAUCCACAAAUCCGGAUCAAAAUCUGAAUGGGUCAAAGGAUCAUCCCCAUAGCUCUCCCUUAACCGACUAUUAUAGGUCUCCUAAAAAUUAAAAAAAGAAAUCAUCAUAUUCAAUUCAAGAAAAUAAUAACUUAAGAAAUAAAAUGAAAUAACAAACAUACCACGAAGUGUUGAGUGCGGUUGUCCACGAACUAUUGCACCCACUUUUGGCGGUCUUCACUCCGCACGUGUGUCUCUAUAAACAGCUCUAUUAGGCUCGACUCACGUCUAAGAGACGUAGCCUAUAAGAAAAAAAAUAUUGCAAGUUAAAUAUAUUUAUAAGUAACAAAAAAUUAAUUAACGAUAUGUUUCAUUUAAAUUAAUCUUACCAUCCAUUUAGCAUGUGCAGUAAACAGAACGGAGCCACCAAUGUGCGUGGUCAUCGAACCAUGAAUUUGCCAGUUCCGAUUGUCGGUACCGAACUAUGAGCAUUAUGUGAAUCGCUCAGACAUCAUGUGCUGAAUAUAUUGCGGCCAUAUAAACCCCAGGAUGUAUGGCUGUUUAAAAUCCCUCCAAACCGCCACAUUAUUCUACCCUUGGAGACUGUCAUCUCUCGCGUAUUUUUUGGCUUUUUUUGUGAUUCAUACCAAAAAUCACGCAACCUACUUUCAUAGUGACAAAUUAGAUUUUAAAACAUAAUUUUUUUUAAAAAAAAUAUGGUAUUGCAACAGAAUAUGUUACCUAGUUGCCGUGUGAUUUUCCCACACCCUACUUGCAACAUUGUCAUGCGCACUACCCACUCGAAUUUGUGUUGUGUAUAAAUAAUUUAUUUAAAAUAAAAAUAAUAAAAAUAUAUUAAAAAUAAGCUAGAAAUUAAAACUUAACACCAACCUGAAAUCUUCAAAACCAUGCAUCGAUAUAAGGUCUCCAUUUAGGAUGCAUGGAAACCUGACUCCAUUAAAAUAAUGGAAUCUCCAUCGACGAUUUAAACGCCGAUGUUAUUACUUGGGCGGCCUCGAUGUUUGUGAACCUGAAAAAAAUUAAAUUAAUGGAAUAUUAAUUAGUUAUUCAUAAAUUAUGUUAUAAUUAAAAAAAAACUAAAACCGAAAUAAACUUAUAUUGAAAGGUCGUUCUUCCAAUGUGCCUGGUACUUGCGGGUGAAUAGAUUCCACUAUGAAGGCACAUCGCCUUUGCGCUAUGAAACCGCGCUUGAAGAGGCAGCAUUGUGAGUCAGCGCAGGUGCCUCUUCUUGAUCGGCACCUAAGGACAAGUUAUUCUCAUUGCUAGAAGAACUAGUUGCAACCAUAUACUCACGACAUGUUGUUGAUUUCAUUCUACGCAUCUACACAAAUUUAUAUGAAUAAUUAUAUAAUUUAAAUCGAUUAUUAAAAAACAAUUUCGGCAGCACCUCCCCUAUACUGGAUAUUACCCAAAGUUUUUAAACCUACAAAUAUUAACAUCUGUUGCUACUCAAUUUUUGACCUAUCUUUUUGAUAAAGUUUCGAAAAAAUCCAAAAAUAGCGAAAAACAACGAAAAUCCAAAAAAAAAAUGUUUUUUUAAUAUAUUUGCAUCAUUUUUAGCAUUUUUAACAAUGUCUCAAAAGAAUAUAAAUUUUCAAAGGUAUUUUGAAUGCGUUUGACUUUUCACGUGUUAUUUUUAAAAUAAAUGAUUUUCCUCAUUCAAGUCGAUGUUGAUAAGAAAAAUCCAAAAAAAUAAAAAAAAUCAAAUUUACAAAAAAAGAAAGAAGUUGAGGGACCAAGUUUGGGGACCUAACAAUAUUUUUGCUUAUAAAUAGGAGUUUUCAACACAUACACAAGUGAGGCAAUUUUGCACAUUUGGAGGCAACAAAAAAAACCUAACCCUAAAACUCCAUCUCUUUCGAGCCAGCCGGCCGCCCCCUACUUGGCUAGAAACCAAGAACAACCCCUCUACUUCGAUUUUGGCUUUCUUGGCCACUCCCUGAUCUCCACACAGCCUCCCUUUUCCUUUUCCAGUCGUCCCCAUCGUCUCCCAUGUGAACCAGCCUAGACAGCCGCCUCAUUUCCCUUUCCUUUUGACAAAAAGCCAGAGAGAGCCUCCAUUCUCCUUCACCUCUUUUCUCUGUUUAGCUCCCAUUUCCCUAUCCUUCAUCUCACUUUUGCCUUCUUCUCUGUUCCCCCGAUCUCCUCCACCAAAAGCCAAACACAGCCGCCACCUUCCUUCCCCUUCUGCCUCUCUCAGCCCCCAGCCUCUCCUCCCCUCUCUCGACUGUUCCUCCUUCUUCACCAUCACUGGCCAGCUUGCCAAGACCCGAAUCAGACCCUCUAGCAGCAGCCCCCACACGGCGGUGCCCACAGAUCCAACGCCAUUUCCAACCGAAAUCGACGAUCAGCCAACACAUUUUUCUCCUCCAUCUCCGCCGGCCAGACACGAUAGAAGCACAGUCGCCGGUAGCUACCUAAAACAGAACAGGGGAAACCAAAAGAAAAAAGACAGAGACAAAGAGAGAAAGCAGAAAUAAAACAGAUCUGAAAAAAAGGAAAGACCCGAGAACAGAUCUGGAAAGGAGAAAGAAAAUUAAAAUUGACAUCCUUUUUGCAAAUAACGGUGGUUGUCACUACCGACGAGGAAGAGAAGAGGGGAGGAGGCCGUUAUAGAUCUCCCUGCCGCUUGGAUUUUUUGCGAUGGCGCGUGAACCCACGCACCCCCAAUGGUGGUGGCGCGUGGAGAAGACGCACUGCACUGUUUCACGGAUCCAGAAGGUUUCCCAGCACUGUUCCCAGGUUCCAGCAACACUUGUUUUAACUGUAGGGGGUCUUUUGUUUUUGUAAAUCUUAAAUGCUGGAAUAUGUGUGUCAAUUACUGUUAGUUUUUGUACUUUAAUUUUGUUAUGUUGUAACAUGUAAUCAUGGGUGUAUAUGUAAAAUUUAGUAAAAGUAAAUGUGUGUUUGUAUUUUUUUUUAUGGAUGUUUUUUUUAUGAUAAAAUUGAAAAGACAAAGAAGAAUUUAAUGUUUUGAUUUGCUCACGGUAAAGGAUUAUAAACUUAUAUGUAAGUCGUAUUUCUAAUAUUCGAUGAAAAUAUAAUUUUUAAAACUUCUUUAACACAUCAAAUUACGAAGCAGCUUAUCUCAGGUAGGGUGCGCUAGGGUGCUAAUUACCUUCCCUAGCCACAACCAGUCCCUUACCCAUGAAUUUCUGACAAGACCAGUACACUCGGGUUUCCUAGUAACCUUCAAUCAAAUACUAGGUGGUGACUCCCAAGAACUCAAACUAAUCAAACGAACGAAAAUCGCCAUCGACGCCGUGCGGGGACGUGCGACAACAUCCAUAAACCAAUUCACUCCAUUGAAAACACUUAUAUAUAAUCUAACAUCUAUACAAAUUUAACAAUAAAAUAAAGAAAAGAAUAGCAUUUAAUUUUAUAUAUUCAACUAACAUCUAUAGAAAUUCAUCAAUAACAAUUAAAAUUAAUGGAAAUAAUUAAACACAUAUCAUGCAAUAAUAGAGUAAAAUUGAGAUAAAAUAAUUAAAUUUAAUCAUAUAUAUAUUCAAUUACCAUUUACAAGGUAACUUCAACAAUACCAAUUAAAAUUCAAUAAAGUAUUCAAUUAUUAUAGAAAUACAAACAAUAAAAUAUAUUGAACAAAUUAAGAAAAACAACUAUAGACUUGAGGAAUAAAAAAUGCUUACUUUAAUAGUGUGCUUAUUUCAAGACUUUAUCUAUCUACAUACAAUACAAAAAAACUAAAAACAUAACAAAAAUAUAUUAUUAAUAAAAAAAGAAAAAUGUGAAAAAUAAAAUCAUUAAGCAUAUUAAAUGAAAAUAUAUACCUUUUAAUUUGUUGAAGAUUACAAGAAGCUAAAGAUUACAAGAAAAAAAUGAAAAUUUUCGCAAUAGAAGAGAGAACAAAGAUGAGAUGAAACGAAAGAGGAGAGAAAUGAACUGAACGGGCGGUCACUGAGAUUUAUAGUGCAGUUUUGCCGAUGGACUCACUGACAGCCUAUUUAAAUAAUAUUAUUUUUAAUUAUUCCGUCGGUGAAUUUUCAAAUGUCUGUCGGUAAAUUUUGAAUUUCGCACUAAAAUUUUUAAAUGACCCUCUAGAUUUUUUGCAGUCCAUCGGCAUAUUCACGCAGUCAGAGAUGCAUUAAUACCCGCCCUUUGGGAUUUGCACAGUCUGUCGGUGAGUUCGUCUGUAAUUGUGAACUGCACCAACAAAUACCGAUGGACUGUAUCUGUCUGUAGAGACAUCAAUGAUUAUGGCAUGUGCAGUAAAUAUUUUGCAACCUCUGUAAAAUACUGACGGAAUAUGUUCGUCGGUAUCAACGUCAGUGAUAGUGGCAUAUGCAGUAAAUAUUUUUCAACUCUCUAUAAAAUACCGACGGAUGAUGUCCGUUUGGAAAUCCAUAUGUGAUGGUACACUGUUCAUGACAAAUUGUGUUUGUAUUACCUAUUUAUCCUACUGCAAACACUGAAAUUACAAACUGAGUAUUUGCACGAGCAGCAAAUGACCCGAAUGGGUUGAAUCAGUCUAUACACAACCCAAGAUGCACGUUCCUUGAUUUAGUUGAAAAGUGAGGAUGCACACUGUUAAAGUGUUUCCAUGCUUCGCCGUCAGAAGGAUACACCAUCACUCCAUCAACCGUAUCAUGUGAUUGGUGUCAUGCCAUGUGCUCAAAAGUCCUUGGUGACAUGAAUAACCUCUAUAGUCUAGGUGUGAUUGAGAAGUAUCUAAGUUUUUCAUAUUUCACAAGAGUCUUUCCCCUGCCAGUUCUGGGUUUGUAACGGGAAUGCCCACAUGUUAUGCAUUAUGUCAGCUCAAUAUUUUCAAGGCAGUAUAACAUGCAGAAGUUAGGGCACAUAUCAAUUUUAUGGUAUCCUAAACCGAGGGGUUUCAUCAUGAACUUUGCAGCAUAGAAGUUCUCUUUUAACAUGUUCCCUUCAGGUAAAAUGCUUCUCGCCCAUUCGAUAAUCUUGUCAUAACCGGCCUCACUCAACCCGUGAUCUGACUUAAUGGUGAACACCUAUACUACGACCAAUAAUUUACUAUGGUUCGUGCAGCCAUACCAUAAUGGUUCGUCAGAAUCUUUCAACAGAUCAAAAAACCUUACUGCAUCUGUAUUAGGUUUUUCUUCUAUGAUUGGACAUUCACUUACAUUACCUUCACUCAUUCUCAUUGCAUUCAUAACCAUAUUCUUGUAAGGAUUAUUGUUGUCAUUUGCAAUUCCAUUCACAUUGUUAGCAUUAGAAGUUGACCCAACCACCCUUUCUACCAUGCUCUCAUUACCAACAAAUAGUUCUCUGUGUGCAUACCAACACGGGUAAUCCUUCAUGAACCCUUUGUGUAUAAGAUGCAUCAUUAUAACAUCUGGAUGCAUAUACUUUUUAUUUUUACACUUCCUGCAUGGACAACUAAUACCGCCUCCAGUAAAAUUUUCGGGAAUAGAUGUUGUGAAAUUAAUAAAACCCUGAACCCCAUUAAAAUAACUCAUCCUCCGCAAUCCUUUUGGUGAAUCUCGAUACAUCCAUGAACGAUCAUCCAUGACUUCUAUUGAACCUCUAUAAAAUUAUGAUGACAACAUGUAUUAAUUAACUAUGUUAAGUAAAAAAAUUUGCAAAAAUAUUGGUUUACCUCGACAUUAUUCAACAAACUAAUUAAAACUUCUUGUAAAUAUUCAUUAUCUAUUAUCAAAAUCCAUACAAAUUUAUACAUAUAAAUUUACAGAAAUUACAUCUCCGCAACAGCAUUGAUAAAAAUUAAAACGGACUCGUUAAACAAGCUAUUAAUUAUUUCAUCACAACACAUCUAAUUCGAUAGUUAAACAAAGUUUCAACAAUUUACAAACAAAUACAAUUUUACAAAAUCUUAAACAAACCAUAACAAAUACAAAAUUAUACAUUCAUACUAUAAGUUUGUUUGAGAAAUAACAAUAAAACAUGUACAUACACUAAUAAAAUACAUAUACUAAAAAAACAAUAAAAAAUAAUAAAAAUGAAAUUUAAAUGUUAAAAUUAAAAAAGAUAGAUUUACUUACAAAAAAUGAUAAAAUCCACAAUAAAUCAGAACACGGAUGUUGUGACCACAAAAGUUAUAGAAAGAUGACUUGUGUUGAGAAGAGGUGGAUAUUUUUAGGGGGGGUGGUUGUUUGCAGUUUGAGAGGGGAGAGUUGAGAUGGGGAAGAAGACGGAGAAAUAAGGGAGGAGAGGGUAGGUAGAGUGAUGAUAUAUUAACUCUUACCAAGGGAAUCACCGACGAAUACUUUUGUCGGUGAUUCCCUCGGUAAUUCUGAUGGUGAAUUUGUCACGUAACUGUACAGAGAUUCCAAUUUGAAUUCGUUGGUAAAAUCGCUCGCAAAAACUGCCACGUCAUCGAACUGCUUUUUUUAAAAAUAAAUCUAUAUAUUUCUCUAUAAUUCAGUCAGUAUAUACCGACAGCAUUAGUCCGUCAGUAUAUACCGACUGAAUUACCGAUGGAAUAGUAUCCAUCAGUAAUUAUCACCACAAUUUACUGACAAAAUUAUUCAUUCGGUAAUUCCAUUGGUUUUAGGCGAAUUUCUGGUAGUGGGUGUGAUAUAAACAUAUGAGAAACCUAAUCCAAAAUCCCACUGUUUUCACUGGUAGUGGAACUGUUCUAGCAUUUUAUGACUUUUAUUUUUCCUAUAGCAAUGGACUUUGUGCCUAGGAAUAUCCAGUGCAUGCAAUCUUCUUAUAUCGCUGUAGUUGGUGGUGGAGGUGGUGUGUAGAUUUUAGUCUUCCCAAAAUUUCUGGAAGUAAUCUGUCGAUGUAUUAUAGUUUGAUUCUAUCCUUUUGUUUGCUUUGUGUUGUUAUUAAUAACCAAUGCUGUACAGCUUCCUAAAGGCACGCAUCAGUGGUCAAGCUUUCUUACUCCUGAAGAACUGGUGCUUAUCCUACAGCGUGCUUCUGUCAAUGUAAGAUGGUUGCUUUCCCUUCUGACAUUUUGACGUGUCUACUACUGUUACGUCUUAGCAAAAACUUAUUGCUUUGGGUUUGGUGCUCGCCAGGUUAAAGAAAUGGCUGGAUUUGUUCACAGCCCCUUGACUGGGCGAUGGUCUCUAUCUGAUGAUAUUUCUGUGAACUUCAUAGCCUUUGGUACCAAAGACGGUCAAUGAUGAGAAUUGCGUACAAUGACAGCCAUGCUAAAUAAAAGAUUUACUCUUAGGUAUUUUAUAUACUCAUUCUUUGCUUCUGUCUAGUCACAAAUAAUUUCCAUCUUGCUCUCUUCGUUAUUAGUACUGCAUGUGAGCAUAAAGAAACAAAAUGCUUCAGAAACUGUCCUCAAACCCAAAAUUUUAAUCAGAUGGCUAAUCUGGAUUUUGCUUGUGGAUGAGUGUUUGACCGUGGUCCGAUCCAACAAGGCGGGGCUUGCUUUGAACCGAACACAAUAGCAUCUCAUGCUGCUUAUGACAUGAAUCUCUUCUAUCAAACUUCUGAUAAAAAUCCUUGGAACUGUGAUUUCUCACAAUCAGCCAUUUUCUCUUCCAACAACCCCACUAAGUUUUCUCAAAACACUUCCUUUUUGGUUUUACUAAUCCCUCUUCAUGUUACUGCAUUUGCGCAUAAACUGCAGGCUAUAAAGCUUGCACUUACCCUAGUGAGUGCACCUGAAGAGGACCCAUGUACAGAGCCUUUUGGAGGUGAUGGGUGCUUUCUCACUUAAAAUGUUGAAGCCGUCAUCUUUUUACUAGUAAAUUAGGGAGAUUCAGUGUGUGUGUGUGUAGGCUUGCAAAGAAAUGUUCAUACAGUAUUUUUUUUCUAGAACGACCUAUGCUCCAUGUAUUUGUGAAAUUAGUCGGUCAAGUUUCUUACAACUGAGUAAUGCUUGAGGUUAAGCAGCAAGAUAGUGUGAUUUCAUCAAUACAAACAGCAAUAAAAUAUAUAUAGCCUCACCAAACCCAAAACUUUUACUGCUUAGUCCACCAUCUAUUCUCUAAAUUUAAACACCAAGAAACAAAAACAUUUAAGAAAAAACAUUACAAAUCACAGGAAGCUCAAACACCAGUAGAUCCAAACCCUCCAACACCUCUCACAGUUGCAUCCAAAUCCUCAACUUCCAUGACAUCAGGAGUUACAAUUUUCUCACGAAUCAAUUAAGCAAUUCUAUCGCCAACCUUUACCUCGAAAUCAAGAAACAGAAACAUUACAAAUCAGAGAAACACCCGUCUUCACUAACAAAAGGAAGUCCUUUACCAAACCCAAAACUUUUACUGCUUAAUCCACCAUAUGUGUCAAGGCAUGACAGCCUAGCACCAGGUGUCUGCAGCCCUACUAAAAUUUACACUGAUUGUUUUUUUCCAAACCGUUUCUUUAAUGCCGAAUGCUUCCCAAUGAAAAGAUAACCCCACCCUCCCUUACAGUCUUUGCACCUCUCUGUGGCAACUACAACUUUGUCAUUACACUACUCCAAUCCACAAUACCAUGAAUCUUGAUGAACAAGACUUUUGCUAACAAUGUUCCAAUACACAGUACAAUGAAUCUUUAUGAACAGGACUUUCCCCACAUGAUUUAGCUUUAUGUAUAAUAAUUUGCAUUUCAAAGACAAGUUAUCCUUCCAAGUUUCGAAGCUUCUUUGUAGAAAUAAACCUACUAAGCAUUGUCAAAACCAUUGCACAAUUUUCCUUUAUCUGAUUAGUAAGUUCAGAUAAAGGAAAAUUGUGCAUGUUUAUUUCUACAGAGAAGCUUUGAAACUUGGAAGGAUAACUUGUCUUCAAAGAAUUUAUAAGCAGAUGCCAUGGUUGUGACAAUGCUUAGUGUUAGUUGUUAGGGCUGCAGGAACUAUACGUCAACAAGCUAGCUUUGAAGUGUUUGUCGUCGCACCAAAACUUUCCAAGGACUUGGAUCGAUUUGAGUUCUCUGCCUUUCCCUCUUGUUUUCCACAUAACAAAAAGGCAAGUCAAUGGUCCUAAGAAAAAAAAACUGCAAAUUAUUAAAAAAUAAAACUAAAUUAUGUGAGGAAAAUCCUGCUCAUAAAUACUAAUUGUACUGUAGAUUGAACACUACACCAUUAAACAGUUUUACCGACGGACUAAUUCCGUCGGUGUAAGGCAUGAAAUCCGUCGGUGAAAUUAUUACUGAUGACCUUAGUCCGUCAGUAUACUAAUCGUCAAUAAUUCCUCGUUCCGUUGCUAAUUCUGUCGGAAAUAAAAAAACAAACCACCGACGGUCUUACAGACAGAGACGCACGGCAAAAAAAAAAAAUUCCCCGCGAGAACAUUACCGACAGACUACACCCGUCUGAAUUUUCAACGGUAAUUACCGACGGAUAGUCCAUCGGUAAUAGUUAUGGUAAACACCGACGGAAAUAUUCCGUCGGUAAUUAUGGCAUGUGUUGUAAUUGUUUGGCAACUCUCGGUGAACUACCGACGGCAGGGAGCCAUUAGUAAAGUCGUCAGUAUGUAUUUAAAAUAUAUAAAAAAAUAAUUUAUUAAUAGUAAAAAAGCUUAAUAAACAAAUAAAAUUGUAUCAUCACCCAUCCUUGAUCUCAUCUCCAUGACCAUUUGACGAAGCUGAUCAUAAUUCGUUGAGAGUUGUUGAUAUUGUUGUUUCAAGGCAAUGAACUCCUCAAACUGGGUGCUCGAUACUGAUUGAGAGCUCUCAACGGUUGAGACACUACGAGCCAACCGCAAGUUUUCAGCCGUAGUGUUGGAGAGCCCGUAGACCCGAUUUUUUUCAGGUCCACCAGACGAUCCCACCUCCAUCCACAAAUCUGGAUGGGUCAAAGGAUUGUCCCCAUAUCUCUCCCUCAACCGGCUAUUAUAGGUCUCCUGAAAUUUUUUUUAAAAAUCAUCAUAUUCAAUUCAAGAAAAUAAUAACUUACAAAAUAAAAUGAAUGAAUGAACAUACCACGAAGUGCUGAGCAUGGUUGUCCACGAACUGCUGCACCCCCUUUUGGCAGUCUUGAUUUCGCACAUGCGCCUCUACAAACAACUCUAUUAGACUCGGCUCACGUCCAAGAGACGCAGCCUGUAAGGAAAAAAUAGGUUGCAAGUUAAAUAUAUUAUAAGGAACGACAAAUUAAUUAACAAUAUAUUUCAUUAAAAUUAAUCUUACCAUUCGCUUUGCAUAUGCGCUGGAUGGGACGGAGCAGCCAGUGUGCGUGGUCACCGAACCAUGAAUUUGUCGGUUUCGUUUAUUGGCCCUGGACUGUAAGCACCGUGAGAACCGCUUUGAGGUCAUGUGCUCAAUAUAUGUCAUCCAUAUUUCUCCCGAAAUGAAUGGCGGUUUGAAUUCCCGCCAAACCGCCACCUCAUUCCAUCCUUCAAGCUGUUAUCCCUCGCAUGUAUUUUUGAUUUUUUUUUGGUGUCAUACCAAAAAUCACGCAACUUACUUCCAUAGUAACAAAUUAGAAUUUAGAACAUAAAAUUAUAAAACAAAAAUAAAUAUUAUUUUCGAUGUUACCUAGUUGCCGCGUGAUUCUCCCAUACCUUCCUCACAACAUUGUUGUUCGCCCUAUCCCACUCAAAUUUGUUCUGUGUAUAUAAAUAAUUCAUAUAAAAUAAAAAUAGUACAAGAUAUAAAAUUAUAAAAAUAUUUAUUAAAAAUAAGCUGGAAAUUAAAAGUUAACACCGACCUGAAAUCGCUGAAACCAUGCAUCGAUAUUAGGUCUCCAGUCAGGAUGUCUGGAAACCUAACUCCAUUGAAACAAUGGAAUCUCCAUCGACGAUUUAAACGCCAAUGUUAUUGGCCUUGCAGCCUCAAUAUUUGUGAACCUGAAAUUAAAUAAAAUUAAUAAAAUAUUAAUUAGUUGUUCAUAAAUUAUGUUAUAAGUAUAAAAAAAAAACUAAAACCUAAACAAACUUACAUUGAGAGGUCAUCCUUCCAUUAUGCCUGGUACUUGCGGGUGAAUUGACCCCGCUAUGAAACCGCGCUAGAAGAGGCAGCAUCACAAGUUGGUGCAGAUUCCUCGCCGUGAUCAGCACCUAAGGAUACGUCCUCCUUGCUGCUAGAAGAACUAGUUGCAACCGUCUACUAACGACAUGUUAUAGAUUUCAUUCUACGCAUCUACACAAAUUUAUACGAAUAAUUACAUAAUUAACUUCGAUUAUUUAAAAAACAUUCGGCAGCACCUCCCCUAUACUGAAGACUACCCACAGUUUUCAAACCUGCAAAUCUUUACAAUAACCACAAACCAAUUGACUCCAACAACAUCAUAUAUACAACCUAACAUCUAUAGAAAUUCAAUCAUUUAAACUAAUUCGACAGCACCUUCCCUAUAUUAGAGACUACCCACAGUUUUUAUACCUACAAAUAUUGAUAAUUACACAAAUAUUGCAAAAUCAACUCUAUACAACCUAACAUCUAUAGAAAUUCAACAUCUAUAUAUUUUCAACUAACAUUAAUACAAAUUCAUAAAUAAAAAUUAAAAUUAUUCAAAAUAAUAAACAACAUAACAAACAAUAAUAUCCUAAAAUUAAGAAAAACUAAUUAAAUUUAAUUCUAUAUUUCAAUUAACAUUUAAAACAUAAAUUCAACAAUAACAAUUAGAGCAAUACAAACAAUAAUAUCCUAAAAUUAAGAUAAACUAAUUAAAUUUAAUUAUAUAUUUCAAUUAACAUUUAAAACAUAAAUUCAACAAUAACAAUUAUAGCAAUACAAACAAUAAUAUCCUAAAUUAAGAUAAACUAAUUAAAUUUAAUUCUAUAUUUCAAUUAACAUUUAAAACAUAAAUUCAACAAUAACAAUUAUAGCAAUACAAACAAUAAUAUCCUAAAUUAAGAUAAACUAAUUAAAUUUAAUUCUAUAUAUCAAUUAAUAUUUAAAAUAUAAAUUCAACAAUAACAAUUAUGGCAAUACAAACAAUAAUAUCAUAAAAUUAAUAAAUAAAAUGAAAAAACUAAAGAACACUACACAAAACAAACAAUACACAAAACUAAAAAACACUACAUCAAUUCAAAAUAAAUUUAGGAAUAAAAAAUGGUUACCUUAAUAGUGUGUUGAUUUUAAGAUUUUAUCUACAAACAAUACACAAAACAAAGAACACCAAAAAAAUAAUCAUAAUUAAAAAAAAAUACAAAGAUAAAGAAAAAAGAAUACAUACCUUUUAAUAUGUUUAAAACUACCACCAAAACAAUAAAAUCUCUUCCAAAAACUAAAUACAAACGGAGAGUAGAAGAGAAAUAGAGAUGAAGAGCCAAGAGAAAAAAUGAACCAAAUGGGAGGAGGGGGGUUUUAAAUAACAAUUUUUCCGACGGUAUUACCGACGGACAUUUAUUAUUGUUCGUGGCAUUAAAUUCCAUCGGUAAUGAAUUGAUAUCCGCACCAAAAAAAAUAAAAAUUCCUGCAAGACUUUUCGAUCCGUCGGUAAAUGUACCAACGGUUAUUCUGUCGGUAAAUGUGCCUACAUAUCCGUCGGUAAACAUGUCGACUGACCACGUCUCUGACAUGCGUGCGCUUCAGGAUGUGCGUAAACCGUCGGUGAAUCUGUCGGUGACUCCGUCGGUGAUUGUGGCACAAUUCUGUAAAAAUUUUUCAACUCUGUGAAAUACUGACGGGUGCCAGUCCGUCAGUGAUUGUGGCACAAUUCCAUAAAUUUUUUUCAACUCUUUGUGAAAUACCGACGGGUUCCAGUCCAUCGGUGAAACCAUCAAUAUUUCUUAUUUUUGUGUAUCCUCUUGCACAAAAUCUUGAAUUGCAAACUUACAGCACACGCAGCACAAUAACAAGAGCUGACAAUUAAAGAAGAAUAAAUAUUUCAUGUUCCAAAAUAUUACAUUAUAAAAUAAGGCUUUACAACAUGUUUAGUUAGUCAUAAUUUUCAUCUUCGUCCUCAAUUGAAUUGUUAUCAUCAGCUUCAUCGCACUCUUCAAUGUGGUUAUCAUCUUCUUCAUCAACAUUCUCUUUUCCACUAGUAGAGCUCAAAACAACAUUCAACUCCUCUGCAUCAACAUCAACAAGACUAUCAUCGAAAAUUCAAAUUUUCUUCUAAGUCAAUCGAAGGAGCAACUCGGUAUGGUUCAACCAACUCACUAGCUUGAAAGACUUCAUUUAUCACACUUGUGUCUUCGUUCUCAUCCUGAACAACCUCGACAUGACCCUUGGGUUUUGUUUUUAAAAUGGAUAACCAAUCAACUCUUGAUCGGUCCUUUCUAAAGGAAGGGGUGUAUGUGUAAUAAACUUGUUGGCAUUGCUUUUCGAAAACAAAGACGUCGUUUACGUUGCGGUGUGUAACAGUCCGACUGUACGACUCGAUCAAUGUUAAAAGUUCCCAACAUAUCCUCUUUAUUUGAAGGUAAAUUUUUAUUUUUUUAAAAAAAUUCAGCAGAGUUUCGUUUGCUUUUAAGACAUCCCAAGUUAUCGACUACUAUCAAUAUACUCAAUCAACCCAUCAUCACAAGGUCCCAUAAUUUCGGACCUUAUAUGAAACCUCAUAAUUCCACACCUCAUACAAUCCACACAAUAUAUGUAUCCUACGAGUAAGUUCAAUUUGAACAUAGUCCAAACAUCAUAUCAUAAAAUUUAAAAGAAAAGGAAUACUAACAUGCAAAGAAAGCAUUUACAACAUAAUAAGUGUUCUUAAAUAUUUCAAAAGAGAUAACUAAAAUACUACAAGCUAAGCUGAACUUUUAUAAAUACAUCAAGGUUUACACAAAAGUAUACUACAUAAACGUGUUAAUUCUCUUUUGUUUAAGUUAAAUAUUUACAUAAGCUUCACAAGUAAGGUCCUAAACUAAUGAUCUCCCUUGAUAUUUGAUGGACCUGGACCUGUUACAUAAAUAAACAUACCAUUUUGUUGAUAAAGAAUAUAUAUAUAUAUAUAUAUAUAUAUAUGCUCAUGUAAUGAAUAUGAAUGGAGUAUAAAUUUUCUAUCGGAUCCAUAAGAAUUCUAACAGAGAACUUAUAUUUUGCUUGUAAAUCUUUUAAACCCAAUUAACACUCAUUUAUAUAUUCUUAAUUUGAAUACUCUUAUUUACUUGCAUGAACUGGGUGAUCUUGCAAAGUCUAAUCUUGAAAUCCUAUCACGGAUGCCAUUAGUUUUAGGUAAUCUUGUAAUUCAUCUCCCGGCAAUCCUAUCACGGAUGCCAUUAGCCGAAGCUAAUCUUGUAAUUCAUAUCCCGACAAUCCUAUCACAGAUGCCAUUAGUCGAAGCUAAUCUUGUAAUUCACCAGACUUUAUUUACAUUGAACAUGACAUUUAUUGUAAUUGCACUCACUAGAAGAAUUUUAAAUUGUAUAAGUGCAAAUAGGAGGAAAAUCACGCACCUACUUCGCCUGUCUCACGACCUCCCCUAACAGAAGAUCCAAUCCUGGUUGCUCCUCCUGAAUCAUAAGGAAGUUUUUGGUUAUGAUUCCUUCAAGCCGAUAUUAUAGAGAAUCCAUAUUCAUCCAUUACUCAUAUGUUACUUUCUAUACAUGGUCAUUUCCUCAUAAUAACAUACAUACAUAUAUCAUGUAUAUUUUCAGAGUUAGUAUCUCAAUGUGCAAGUGUUCGUAUGACUCAAUUCUUUUAUAUUCUUAUUUAUAGUAUUCACGUGAAAGUCAACUGUUACUAUCUAACUUUGAAUUGUUACUGUCCAAUUUUCAACUGUUACUGUCCAACCAUUACUGUCUAACUUUGAACUAUUAUUGUCCAACUUUGAAUUGUUAAUGUCCAAUUUUCAACUGUUACUGUCCAACCGUUACUGUCUAACUUUGAACUGUUACUGUCCAACUUUGAACUGUUAUUAUCCAAUUUUCAACUGUUACUGUUCGAACACUCAUCAGAUUUUAACUAUAUCUAAAGUUCUAAAACUCCAUUUUAAGUGAGAUUGAUCUCGUUAGAAAGAUAAGACACGAGGCUACAAGUUCUCUGAAGGGAGGAGAACCCAGUUUUGCCUCCAAGAUAGUCAAAAUUGCUCAUUAACUAAUUAGUCCUACUGCCCUACAUAAUCAGUCACGACUCAGUCUCAGUUGGUAACCCAUAACUGGAGUUCUACAUCUCCAAAUUGAGCAAGACAAGUUUUCUUGGUUAGCUAACAUUCAAAUCUACCAUUUCUAUGAGGAACCUGAUCCUAAUUCCCUCAUCCUCCUACCCGAAAUCUCACCGAAAGUCAGGAGACAAGUCUAUCCAGAUUCGUCUCCCCCUCCCCUUCACACAAUACUUUCAUAAACUACAUACCACAUACAUGAAUUAACUUAAUCUUAACAAUAAGUACUUUUUUCCCAAUUUAUGUCUAAGAACCCUAACCUAUGAUUCAAUAUCAAGGCAUCAAUUCUUUAUCAAAUUUAAAAUGAAUUUUUUUAAGAUCAUGUUUAGAACACCUUACCCGGUACAAAUUAAGAUUUUGAUCUUCAACCAAUUGAAGAUUUUCAACUCCCUCCUUUCUUUUCUUCUUGUUCAAUCUCUUGGAAAUCCUUUGCUCUCAAGUGUUUAUCCCAUCUAUAAACUCUUAAUCUUGGAUGGGUUCUUGAAAUUUUAGUGUUUCUCUCUUGAUUUCUCAAGAAUGGGUAUAAAACUCCCUAUAUUUUCCCUUAUUUGCAUUUAGCCCCCCAUUUUCCUUUGAGUGUAUUAUUCUCUUCAAUUAAAUCCAACCCUCAACAGUACCGGGUUUAUUAUAAUGUCCCGAAUUAUUUCCCGCGAAAACUUAUAUUCAGAAAUUCCUGAAUUCCUGUUUUUUUUUAACCAUAUGCAUGAAUUUCUUCACUUUUAUUUAUUUAUUUAUUUUUCCCAGGGUUUACAUGGUGUCUAGCUUUUGAGUUGAUUUCAAUGAGACCAUAGUGAGGAUCUACUCUGAUUCCUCUAUCAGUUGUAUCAUACCAAUAGCAUUUGAAUAAAACACUCUAUUCUGCUCGUUAUGAUAUUGCAGUUCGAUGACCUCUUCUAAUCUACCAUAGUAGUCAACUUCAAACUCACUAGAAGUCGAUCCCUUAAUACAAACACCGAUGUUGUAUGUCUUUCUUCCAUGCCCGUAUUCUUUAGUAUGAAAGACAUAUCCGUUGAUAAAAUACCUAUUAUAGCACUUGACUCUUCUUUCAGGGUCGAGGCUUAGUAAAGAUAGUGAAAUAGCAGCACUACCUCCCAUUUGAUAAACCUUGUAAAUUAAAUACAACAAUAAUCAAUAAACAAAUAUUAUGUAGUAUUGACGUACAAUUAAUUACAUUGCAAGAGAUAAUGAGUUUGUGAUAGAACUUACAUGUGUUCUAAACCAUGUGGCAAAUUGUUCAUCUUGUAAUUGAAAGAUCUGGGAUUCAGUCAACUGUGAGUUAUUGGACAGUAAGUAUCGUCGAUAUUGCCUACAAGGUUGUUCCAAAUUAUAUGAGUUUAUGGUAUCACAAAACAUAAAUAGUACACUCUUGACAAAGUUUAAGUCGAACAUUUACUUACUUAAUAAAAGGUCUCAGCUCAUCACAGUUAAAUAGGACAUAAUUGUGUGCUUGUCUGAACUCUAUUUUAAACAAAUAUAUUCCCCUCACGACACCUUAGGUAGGGCGUAUUUGGUUUAUUUUAUUUUAUUUAUUUUUACAGCUUUAACAUCCAUAUUUACUCAUGUCAUCAUACAUAUAUUGGAUAUGGAUUUAUGCCUUCACACACCACGCAUUUCAUAAUAAACAUCUGCUAUAUCAACUUUAAGUUAAGUGGGAGAGUAGCGGUACCCCAAUGGCUUUAGCCUGGGUAAGACUCGUGAAACCAUCCAACUUUCGCUUGAUUGUUUACUCGAUAGUGGUUGGUAUGCCUAACUGGUAUUAUUCAGGGCCUCUAUCUUCACGCUACUUGUAAGCCUCAUAUCAACCUUUCGAGGAAGAUCACUGAGCAUGCGAAAGACCUUUCAAGACUAGAUAACAACCUACCCCGAGCAUUUAAUGACUGGAACUUACCAUUUAGGUUGUUACCUAUGUAAAUUUCACUAAUGCAAGCUUAACGUAUAACAUCUUCAUUACAGGAUUGUUUGUGGGUGACAUAAUGGCCGUUAAUCGUGAAAUCACAACUGUUGAGUAUGGGCUCGAAUCUGAAUCAUUGCAUAUGACUGAGGGAGACUGCCCUAGACUGGAUGACAGUGGGAUACCACUGCUAAAGGAUGUGAGAUGUGUAAGAAAUGAUGCCAGUCGUUUGCUUCCAUUCACCAAAUACUUGGCCGAUGAGACAGAAUUUACUAAGAUAUAUGGGAGAAUUUUGCAUCUUUUGAAUGUUCCAGUACUGCCAUUAGCCAUAAAAGCCCUAAUUCAUUUUUGGGAUCCUGAUUAUCGAUGUGUUUACAUUUGGGAAUGUCGAUAUGGUUCCUACCAUUGAAGAAUACGGUGUUUUGACAGAAUUCCCUGAGGAUAUCCAUAAGGUUUACUUUCAUCAAAAGAUGGAGAAUACUAUAGAGGAGCUUGCUAAGCUAUUGGGAAUCCACCAAAUGAGCUUAUAUAGAGAAAAAAAUAAUUCUGGGGGUUUGAGAUGGAAACGGCUAGAAGAGUUGUUGAUUGCUAAAAAGUCUAAUCAUGUUGCUAAUUUGGAGGUAUACCGAAUAUUGGCUUUGGGAAUAUUUGGGCUGAUUUUGUGUCCUUCGACUGCUGGAAUUAUCAGUUUAGAGGCAGCUAAUUUGUUUGUUGAGUAUGAGAAGACCAAAAUUAAUCCUUCUACUGCGAUCUUGGCUGGAACUUUUUUGUCUCUCAAUCAUUGCAAAAGGACCGGAAAAGGUUCUAUGAGAUGUUGUGUUCCAUUGUUGUUCAUUUGGAUGGUAAGCCAUAUAGAAUCCGAGACACCAAUAUUCCAAAAUUUUUGGUGGUUUGAUCAAAAGCCACUCGAGUUAUUUGUAUCAAGUGAAUGGGAAAACUUUUCUAAAGAUGAUUGGAGGGUAAAAUUGCAAGGAAUUCCACAAAGCAAUUUUAAUUGGAGAGCUCCUUGGAUUAAAAAUGUAACAUACCUAAUGGGUUGUGGGAAGAAGCCUUGGGUAUCUUUGAUUGGAGUGACUGGAUAUAUUAGCUAUGCACUUGCUUUGGUUGCAAGACAACUUGGGGGCAUACAAAGCAUUCCAAGAACAGUUGGCUUAGCUCAAUUCACCGGAGUCUACAAAGGUGCAUAUAAUGAGAUGCUGGAGAGCAUUAAACAUGAUUCGGGAUCUUUGGUGCUAGUUAAAAAAGAGAUCAGUGUAAGGAAUCCUACGGUUAGUGAAAAGUAUCCUGAAUGGCGAAAUGGAGGGGUCAUUUACGUGACAGAAAUUUCUGAACCCAUGGGCAUUCGAAGGAAAAGAGUGAACUGUGAAGAAGAAUUAAGAGAACAAGUAAAAUUGUUACAAGUUGAACUUAAAACAAAGGAAGAAUAGAGAGUGUCCUUGGAGCAGCAGUUAGCCAAAGAAAGGACUAUAAGAAAAAUAGCUGAAGAAGAAAGGGACUUUGUGGGUCAAGACUGGAUAAAGGCAAAGGAUGACUUGAAGACAAUUAAUAAGGACAUGACAUAUUAUAUGGUAAAAGCUAAGCAUUGGGAGGAGUUAGCUAUCAAGACACAAGCUGCAUUGAAAAUGCGUCGGGCAGACGUAGUCAAGCUUAAAGACCAAUUGGGAAGAGCUGAGAUUGAAAUAGUCAACACUAAACAUGUGACUAAAAUUCAUGAAGAACUAAAAGUAGAGUUAAAUGAUCAUAAGACUGAGGCAGAAGCACUGAGAUCUAAGCUGGACAAAGAAGAAUUGAAGACUGUACAGCUUAUGGAAAGCCAGAAAAUGAUAGAACAACAUAAUCAAACAUUGGAUGCUGCCAAUAACUUUUUGUCUAGAAACAACUUGAUACAUACUGAGAGGAUAAGGGAACUACAAGAUCAAGUUGAUCAAGCAGCUACAGAAGCCCAUUUAUUACGAGUGGAAGCUCGCCAAGUGGGAGGUGAUAUAAUAAAGUAUCAAAGAAGCUUGGAUAACACCGAUCUUUUCUUAAAAGCAAUAGCUAAUAGAGGCAGUGUUUUUUCUCCUAUAAUAGAUUAGAUCAAUUUUUCAUUGUAAGCUUCUAAUAAGUAAUAAAGGGCUGAGACCCACAUUUUCAAUUCAAAAAUGUGUGUUUAUGGCUGAAAGCCCAAAUGUCAAAAAGCUAAGCAGAUCUCUUCUCGGCAUCACAACAAUGAUAUCAAGUUGAAGCUCAAACCACAUAUCCAUAGAAUGACGGCCAUAUGUCACAAACGAAAAGCGAAUCCAUAUCCAAUAUGUUGCAUUCAUAUUCAUGCAUCUCAUACAUUUGCUUAUAAAUUGUCAUAUUCUACAUAUAGCAAGUGAAAUAUAGGUCCCCAAUUGAAACGUAUCCAUAAUACUUGUUUACGGAAGAAAAUGGAAAAUGAAGAGAGAACCCGGUUAGAAAUUCAACACCAAAAAGAGUUGGAAAGCCUGAAGGAGGAUGUAGCAAGGCUUACCAGCUUGCUUGAACAGGCUUUGAGGCCUAGAGCUGGAGAAGGAACAUCUUCUCAACAAACAUUUACACCCCAGCUUCCCACCUCCCUUUAUUCCAUCAUUUGAACCUCAAUAUGCUGCUCAUUUCUUACCUACCCAAUCAGCAUAUCCAAUUAGGGUCCUCCAUGCAGUUUUGAUAGAGGAAGAACCUCAAAGGAAUAAGAUAGUGGAGGAAAAUGGUCAUGAAAAGCUAGCUGCUUUAGAAGAAAUAACGAAGGCAAUGGAAGGGAAUAGUUUAUAUGAUCCGGUGAAGGCCGCUGAAAUGUGUUUGGUGCCUAAUGUGGUUAUUCCCACAAAAUUCCGUGUACCAGAAUUUGUUAAAUAUACAAGGACUCAAUGCCCGAUCACCCAUCUUAAAGCAUAUUGUAAUAAGAUGGCUGAGGUAGUCCAUGAUGAGAAGUUAUUGAUCCAUUUCUUUCAAGACAGUUUAAGUGAUGCUGCUCUUGCUUGGUAUAUGCGUUUGGAUAAUACCAAGAUCAAAGGAUGGAAGGAUUUGGUUGAUGCUUUUAUUAAACAGUAUAAGUUCAAUAUGGAUGUUGCCCCAAAUAGAUCAAGUCUGCAAGCCAUGGAAAAAGGCAAUAAGGAGUCUGUAAGAGAAUAUGCCCAAAGGUGGCGUGAAUCAGCCGCGCAAGUAAAUCCUCCAUUGUUGGAAAGGGAGAUGACUGGUUUAUUUUCCAACACUUUUAAAGCCCCAUACUUUGAAUACUUGGUAGGUAGUGCUGCACAGAAUUUCUCUGAUUUGGUUGUCAUAGCUGAAAGGAUCGAACAAGCUGUUCGGACGGGUAGGAUCAUAGAUCCUACUAAAAAAAGAGGUUUUGUUGGAAAAAGAAAAGAAGCAGAAAUUCACAAUGUCGAAAGGGAAAGUAGAGGAAAGAAAACCUACCAAGAUAAUUACAGUUUCAAAACCAUUACACCUACCCCCUCCAUAUCCAACAUAAAAUUCACCUCACCUACAAACACCUAGAAUAACCUAGCAAAUAACCAAACCAACAAUACCUACCGCCCAAGAAGAAAUUUUUCAAUAGACCAAGUAGAACUUCCACCACUACCUAUACCUCUUACAGAGAUGUAUAAGAGGUUGCUCAGUAUUGGCCAAGUAGCACCUGUUCCUUUAACUCCUUUACAACCAUCAUUUCCCCAAUGGUAUAAACCUGAUAAAAAAUGUGAAUACCAUGCUGGUCUCGUGGGACACCAUAUUGAUGGAUGCUUUGCAUUCAAAAAAAGAAUCCUUCAACUCAUCAAAGCUGGGUGGAUUUCUUGUGAUGAAUCUCCAAAUGUGAAUUCAAACCCUCUACCAAACCAUACUUCUGGAAGUAGAGGAGUUAAUAGCUUGGAGAUAGAAAGGGAAAGUAAAGCAACAUUAAAGGUGACUAUGGAUAGAUUGUAUGGGAUGUUGAGGCAAACUAAUUAUCUGAAGACACCAGUCAGAAUACAAGCUGUAGGGGAUGCUAAUGAAUAUUGUAAAUAUCAUCAGUAGUUUGGGCAUGAUAUUGACUCGUGUGAGUUUCAUUUUGAGGUGGAAGAUAUGAUGACAUUGGGAAUAUUAAGAUUGAUGAACCCCAAAGAAGAUGAGUUAGUAGGAACAAUGACUGGUUGUAACAAGAAAGUGGAAGUUUGUAGAUAUAUACCAACUGAAAGGGGUCCGCCAAAAAUGAUCCUAGUCAAGCCUAUGAAUACUGUCGGUGACCCUAUAAUUAUGGUUAUUCCUUUCAUAGCACAAGUCCUGCCCCUGUUUUCCAUGCCGAAAUAAGAGGACUCACUCGGAGUGGGAGAUGUUUUACUCCUAAAGAGUUGGAAAACUAUAGAAAGGCUAAAGGAAAGAAUAUGGUGGAAAUGGCAAAGACAGAUGAGGUUAACAAGCCAGUAAGUGAUGAAGAGGCUAAUGAAUUUCUGAAAUUGAUGAGGCAUAGCGAAUAUAGCGUGGUUGAUCAACUAAAGAAAAUACACAUUAGGAUUUCUUUGUUAUCAUUAAUGUUGAGUUCAGAAUUGCAUAGGAACGCACUUUAGAAGGUUCUUAAUGAAGCAUAUGUUCCUCAGUAUAUCACACAAGACUCCAUAGAACAUUUGGUGGGUAGAAUUCAAGCCACUAACUACCUCUAUUUUACCGAUGAUGAGCUGGAUCAUGAAGGGACCGGUCAUAAUAAACCACUGCAUAUCACGGUAAAAUGCAAGGAUUGUGUGAUUGCUAAGGUGCUUAUAGAUAAUGGCUCUGCUCUCAAUGUAUUGCCAAGGCAUGUACUUGAUAAAAUGCCAGUUGAUGCUUCUCACAUGAAGCCAAGUAUCAUGACUGCUAGGGCAUACGAUAGGUCACCUAGACCAAUCAUUGGGAAUAUUGAUGUUGAACUAAUCAUUGGCCCACAACCAUUCUAAGUCACAUUACAAGUAAUGGAUAUUCAUCCAUCAUACAACAUUUUACUAGGGAGACCUUGGAUCCAUGCGCCCCGAGCUAUUGCAUCUUCUUUACAUCAACCGGUCAAGUUCAUCAUCAAUGGGAAUUUGGUGACUGUGAGAGCUGAAGAAACUUUGUCAAUGAUGAGAAAUGUAUCGAUCCCUUACAUAGAAACUGAAGAAAGUAAGGAUGAAAAUCUGCAUGCAAUUGAAGUUAUAAAUGCUGAAUGGGUACCUGAAAAUAUGAUACGAAGAAAGCCAGAAAUUUCUGAAGCAGCAAAAAUGGCUGCUAAAUACUUCUUGAAGCAUGGGUUACCAUUUCAAUAUGACCUAACUACCGGAAUGCCUGAGAGGGUUAAUGUGAUAAAAAUGAAAUGCGCCGAUCAGAGGUUUGGCUUAGGGUUUAAGCCUGGAAAAGCAGAUUUUAAAAGAGCAGCUGAAAUUAGAAGAGAAAAGAGAGUAGCCCGGAUUGAAAGAAGAGAGCCAGAUGAAGAUCGAAUGGAGAUCCCACCUAUCCAUGUAACAUUUCCAAGAUCUGUGUAUGUGAUAAAAACUGAGGAUUAUAAGGAGGGGCUAAGAAAAGAAUUCAGUGGUGCUACUAUCAAUUAUCUUGAAAAUGUUAGUGAGCAAGAUGUAAAGGAAGAAAAGAGUCCUCAUGAACAGCUACCACAACUAAUUAUUGGUGUUUUGGAAGACGGCUCAUCCGAAUUCGUGAGGAAGCUGGCUGAGGGAGAAGAGUUGGAAAAUUAGGAAAUUCAUGAAGUCCCAAUUGUUUUCAAAAAGUAAUGUUUGUUUGCUUGUUCUUUGUUUUCAUUAUUGUAUUGUUUGAACAAUUGUGCCUUGCCAAAAUCAUCGUGGCUCAAGAGAUUGGCAAUAAGGUUUUGUUGUUGAGCCCUUCUAUCCUUUAAAAUUCAAUGAGAUCGUGCAUAUUUUCUUUCAAACGUGUUUUCUUGUUCUUUGUUUAUGUAUUUACUUUCCCAGAAUUAUACACUCAUAACCGAAACACUUUUCGCUUUCAGGAAAUCUGAAAGCGGAUUGUCGUUAAACUCACAAACUCAUUGCACUGUGGAUAAUUGGCCUAACUUUGAUGAAACUAUAAUUGCUAUGGAUGAGGAAGAGUUGGGUGAGGAAGACAUCAAUGAGUUCGCAAGGUUAGUGGAACAAUCUGAUCGUACAUGGAAGCCUGCAAAAGAAGAACUAGAACUGAUAAAUGUGGGCACCGAACAUAAUAAAAGAGAGUUGAAAAUAGGGAAGCUAAUCUCUGCUGGUAUAAAAAGUGAGUUGGUCGUUCUUUUACAAGAAUAUGCUAAUGUUUAUGCCUGGUCAUACGCUGAUAUGCCUGGUCUGGAUACCGAUAUUGUGGUACAUAAACUACCUUUGAUAGAAGGUUAUAAGUCGAUUAAGCAAAAGUUGAGGAGGACAAGGCCUGAUAUACUAAUCAAAGUGAAAGAAGCGAUAACGAAAUAGUGGGAUGCAGGAUUCUUAGAAGUUGUCGAUUAUUCUCAAUGGGUGUCCAAUAUUGUAGUAGUACCCAAGAAAGACAACAAAAUCAGGGUAUGUGUGGAUUUUCGAGAUUUGAAUAGGGCAAGCCCGAAGGAUAAUUUUCCUUUACCCCACAUAGAUGUACUUAUGGAUAAUGCUGCUAAGAGUUCUACUUACUCUUUUAUGGAUGGUUUCUCUGGGUAUAAUCAGAUUAAAAUGGUCGAGCAAGACAAGAAGAAAACAACAUUUGUUACUUCGUGGGGAACGUAUUGUUAUAGAGUUAUGCCAUUCGGACUAAAAAAUGCUGGAGCAACUUAUCAAAGAGAAAUGGUGACACUAUUUCAUGACAUGAUGCAUAAAGAAAUUGAUGUCUAUGUGGAUGAUAUGAUCGCUAAGUCUAAAGAUGAGGAAAACCAUAUCCCAGCUCUGAAGAAAUUAUUUGAAAGGCUGAGAACAUAUCAAUUAAAGUUGAACCCUGCAAAAUGCACAUUUAGAGUGAAGUCUGGGAAGUUAUUGGGGUUUGUGGUAAGCAAUAAUGGCAUAGAAGUAGACCCUGACAAAGUGAAAGCCAUACAAGCUAUGACAGCUCCUAAAACUGAGAAAGAAGUUCGAAGCUUUUUGGGGCGUUUAAACUACAUUGCUCGAUUUAUUUCGCAACUUACAGUCACUUGUGAACCAAUCUUUCGAUUACUUCGAAAGAAAAACCCUGGGGUAUGGGAUGAAGACUGUCAAGAAGCCUUUGAUAAGAUCAAACAAUAUCUGCAGAACCCACCUCUAUUGGUGCCACCUGUGCCUGGGAAGCCUCUCAUUUUGUAUUUAACAGUGACUGAAUCAGCAAUGGGCUGUGUGCUUGGCCAACAUGAUGAGUUCGGGAGAAAAGAGCAAGUCAUCUACUACCUUAGUAAGAAGUUCACUGAGUGUGAAUCUCAUUACAAUAUGAUUGAGAAGCUGUGUUGUGGUUUGGUAUGGAGUGUGAAAAGGCUCCGACAGUAUAUGUUAUACUAUACCACUUGGUUAAUUUCAAAGAUAGAUCUUCUGAAAUAUAUUUUUGAAAAACCAUAUAUGUCAAAUAGGCUGGCCAGAUGGCAAGUGUUGUUGGCUGAAUACGAUAUCAUCUAUAAAACAAGAAAAUCCAUGAAAGGAAGUGCAAUCGCAGAUCAUUUAGCUGAUAACGCCAUUGAAGACUAUGAGCCAUUAAAUUUUGACUUCCCUGAUGAAGAUGUGCUAGUAAUAGAAAGUGAUUGGUGGACCAUGUACUUUGAUGGUGCGGUGAAUGUGUAUGGUAAUGGAGCUGGUGCUGUAAUAAUUUCUCCAGAAGGAAAACAAUAUCCCAUCUCCAUUAAACUGCAGUUUAGUUGCACGAACAACACAGCUGAAUAUGAGGCUUGCAUUCAUGGAUUAGAAGCUGCAUUGGAACUGAAGAUAGGGAAAUUAGAGGUAUAUGGAGACUCUAUGUUGAUAAUCUGCCAGACAAAGGGGGAAUGGCAAACAAAAGAUGAGAAAUUGAAACCAUAUCAAGAAUAUCUCUCCAAAUUGGCUGAAAACUUUGAAGAGAUAGAGUUCAAUCAUUUAGGAAGGGAUAAGAAUCAGUUUGCGGAUGCUUUAGCAACCUUGGCCUCUAUGGCCACAAUCGAUUGUGGUAUCAGAGUACAUCCUAUAGGCAUUGAUAUCAGAAGUUCUCCUACUCAUUGUUGUUUAAUAGAAGAAGAAGUGGAUGGCAAUCCUUGGUAUGCAGAUAUAAAAAGAUUCAUCCAAUAUCGGGAAUAUCCUUCUGAAGCUUCAAAGACAAAUAAGAAGACUCUGAGAAGAAUGGCAAUGGAAUACUUUAUAGAUGGAGAAAUCUUAUACAAAAGGUCAUUUGAUGGGACUUUAUUAAGAUGUCUUGACAGAUCAGAAGCCAAUAAAGCCCUCUAUGAAGUGCAUGGAGGAAUUUGCACUGUCCAUGCAAAUGGACACAUGAUGGCAAGACAAAUGCAAAGAGCUGGGUAUUUUUGGAUGACUAUGGAGAAGGAUUGUAUAGAAUUUGUCCGAAAAUGUCAUAAAUGUCAGGUGUAUAGUGACAAAAUCAAUGCGCCUCAAUUACCCUUAUUCAAUAUGGUGUCACCUUGGCCAUUCGCGAUGUGGGGGACAGAUGUGGUUGGGCCUAUUAAUCUAAAAGCCAGCAAUGGUCAUCGGUUUAUCUUGGUUGCAAUUGACUAUUUCACAAAGUGGGUAGAGGCCUGCUCAUAUGCUCAUGUGACUCAGAAGGUGGUCAAGCAAUUCAUUAAGAGAUACCUAAUUUGUAGGUAUGGUUUGCCAGAAAGGAUAGUAAUCGAUAACGCCAAGAACUUCAAUGGGAAGAUGAUCAGGGAAUUAUGUACUAAAUGGAAAAUCAAGCAUUCUAAUUCAUCACCUUACAGACCAAAGAUGAAUGGCGCUGUGGAAGCUGCUAACAAGAAUAUAAAAAAGAUUGUCCAGAAAAUGGUAGUUACUUACAAAGAUUGGCAGGAAUGGCUUCCUUAUGCUCUACAUGCAUAUCGAACAGCAGUAAGGACGUCAACUGGAGCUACACCUUAUUCACUAGUUUACGGAAUGGAGGCAGUGAUGUCGUUGAAAGUAGAGAUUCCUUCUCUAAGGGUCCUCAUGGAAUCUGAGCUAGAAGAGGCUAAAUGGGCUAAGAUACGAUAUGAACAAUUAAAUAUGAUCAAUGAGAAGAGAUUAGUUGCAAUUUGUCACCACCAAUUGUAUCAAAACAGGAUAGCAAGAGCGUAUGACAGAAAAGUUCGACCAAGAGAGUUCAAAAAAGGAGAUCUUGUAUUGAGAAAAAUCCUACUACUACCUAGUGAGAACCAUAGCAAAUGGGCGCCCAAUUAUAAAGGUCCCUAUAUAGUGAAGAAGGCAUUCUCUGGAGGAGCAUUGAUACUGACAGGAAUGGAUGGAGAAGAUUUGAGUAGGCCAGUGAACUCCGACUCUGUAAAGAAAUAUUAUCCAUGAUUAUAUAAGUUCUCAUCAAAUCAAUAAAAGUUUCAGCCAAGAAAUUCACUUUGUAUAUCUUUUCUUUCUCUCAUAAAUGUUUAUUGAUACCAAAGAAUCAACAAAUACACCCUUGAAGCCUUGCAUGAUCUCAUAGACUCAAUUCACUGCUUAUAUCAAAAUCUUUUUCUAGUGGAAUUUUUGGAAAAUUGAGCUUGCCUUUUUUAUUUCAAAGAUAUUUUUUAUGUUUAUUUGAAACAACAUUUUGACAUUCUACUUGUAGAAUAAGAAAGUGAAUCAAGCAACUCCUUCAUAGAGGUGACCAAACUCUAAAAAGAAAAAAAGAAAAAAGAAAAUGAAUAAACAUCCUUACCCAAUGACUCUUGAAUCAUUUGUUUUUAAAUAUAUGAAUAAUGAUAUGUAGUGAACUCGUUGCUCAUGACUCAUGAAAUGCAUCUUUGCAAAGACCAAACCAUCAUACUAGAUGAGGUCAAAGUUUAUUGAUCAUAGCUGCUUGCGCUUGAAAUGAGGAAAUGCCAUCUUUGUUAUUCCUUUCACGUUCUGAAAUAAGUACAUCCCUUUUUAUCCCCUUUUGAGCCUGAAUAAUUUUUCUUUCAUGAAAAAUCCCGACUAGGAUCACACCCCACACUAGGGGCAAGUGAAAUUUUAAUGAUCAAGAAAGAUGAUAAAGUCGUGAGUCAAAAGAGCCCAAGAAACUCAAAUGCUGGGGGGCAUGCCCAAAUCACAAGAAAAGGUGAUAACCAAGAUAAAGUGAGUAUGCUCUAGCAACACAAUAAAAAAAGAAAAAAAGAAAAAAGGGCAAAUCAAAGAAGAGCGGCAAAAGAAAAUAUGAAUGACGUCAAGAGUCAAACUGUUGAUAGUGAUCUUCAGUCUUUGAAACCCUGAAACACUCUUUGAGCCUUAUGAAUCCUUUUCUUUCAUAGCCAAAAACCAUAGCCUACGUUACGUGCCUGUAGAAGUCCUUUUAAUCAAGUAAGCAAGCAACUUAGAACAAUAAACAAUGCUCUCGAAAUGCAAAGAAUGCUUUAUCAUAAAAUUCAUGACAUCAAGAACAAACUACUCAUUAUUAUUCAUGCUGAUAAAAAUGAGUGUUCAAAAAGAGACAAGUUUUUCUCAUACAAAACCUCGAGCUUUUCUCGAGCCCUCCACUUUAAAAACCUAUAAAAACAAAAGGUCAUCUCAUGAUGUAUUUUCACCGAAGACCUCAUUGUCAAACACAAGAACGAAUAAUCUCUUUUCCAAGAAAGAAAAUAACCAAGGAGUUGCAAGAUUUCAAAAGCAAAUUGUUUUAGACUCACAUAGAAAUAAUUUUUGUUUUCAAAAUGCAAGAUCAAGAUUUCAAGAUUCAUUCUAGACCCAUAGUCCUUCACCAAACUGAAAAAGGAUAGAAAUGAGAGAAUGGCCUCUUAAAACCAUUAUUUGUCUAAGUCGUUGACGGAGCACAUUUAGGGGCAAUGAUUAAUACAAGGGGGCAACAUUGUGUUUAGAAGGAAAAAUUCUAGAAAAGGAGAUGCUAAUUUCCUUCAACAAGACAAUGGGCUAUUUUGGUUUACAAAAGACUGCUUGAUCCUUUCAGCUAGUGACACCGAAUGUUUUUAGCAGUGAGACGAAGGGUAAUGAAUGAUCCUCUCAAAUUAUUUGACGAGUCAGAAAAUAUUUAGCAAGCAAGCGGGUCAUGAUGGGCACCACAAAGGUUGAGUUGUGCAAACAAAUCUAGAAAUAGACUUAUAUGGCCUAACUCGAGUGGGCUAGAGAGCCAAACAACAAAGAUGACCCAAAUCAGAGGUAGCAAGUCCUCAUCAAUCAAACAACAAGAAGAUUAAGAAGAAAUGGGGGCCUAUAUUUCAAAUCAGGUAAAGAUGCAUGCAUAUCAUCUAAACUUUGAGACAUUGGAUAAUGAGUUUUGCAAAUUUCAUUAAAGAAAAAAUUCUAACGGAAUCCAUAAAGUGGAAGGCCAACUUGAAAUGGUGAACAUUGAAAUUGCUUUUGAAAAAUUUUCACUUUUGAGAAUUUUUCAACCUGGGCACGCCGCCCAUGAGAAUUAGGCCACCAGAAAAAUCUCUAUGUUUUUCCACCACCUUUCAUUUUCCAUUACUGAGGUAGUGCAUUUUCUAUCCUACCUCCACUUGAGUGCACCUUCGAGCCCUCACCUCAUUUCUUUUCGAGCGCGCCUUCGAGCCCUCGACCAUCCUGAGGUAGUGCAUUUCCUAUCCUACCUCCUUUUGAGUGCGCCUUCGAGCCCUCACCUCAUUUCUUUUCGAGCGCGCCUUCGAGCCCUCGACCAUCAAAGGUAGUGCAUUUCCUAUCCUACCUCCUUUUGAAUGCGCAUUUUCUAUCCUACCUCUUUUUGAGUGCGCCUUCGAGCCCUCACCUCAUUUCUUUUCGAGCGCGCUUUUGAGCCCUCGACCAUCAAAGGUAGUGCAUUUCCUAUCCUACCUCCUUUUUAGUGCGCCUUCGAGCCCUCACCUCAUUUCUUUUCGAGCGCGCCUUUGAGCCCUCGACCAUUAAAGGUAGUGCAUUUCCUAUCCUACCUCAUUUUUAGUGCGCCUUCGAGCCCUCACCUCAUUUCUUUUCAAGCGCGCCUUCGAGCCCUCAACCAUCAAAGGUAGUGUGUUUCUUAACCCUAUUUCCUCUUGAUUGUGCCUUCGAGCCCUCUCCACCUUUCAAGUGCACCUUCAAGCUCUCAUCCUAAAGUCGUUUGUCAAUCUACUGUUUUUGAAGUUUUCAAGACUCUCAGAAAAGCGAAACUUCAUUUUUGUCUACUUUUCUUUAUAAAUCUACAACUCAAAGCCAAAAAUAAAUGGAUAAAAAUAUAUUUGAGAAUGGAGUUAAGACAACACAAAAUUUGAAGUUUGAGGAUGUAAUUAUUAAAUUUGAGAGUCAAUUGGUCAAUAAUUGAAGAAUUAAUAAGUUUGAGAGUUUAAUUAAAAUUUUGAAUUAGUUUAAUUAAUAAAUCAGGUGCUUAAUUAAAGAAUUAAUGAGUUUGAGGAUUUAGUUAAGUUUUGAUUUAAUUGAUUAAAAAGAUCAGGGGUUUGAUUAAAGAAAUACCAGAUUUGUGGGUUGAUUAGAAGCAAAAUUUCAAGAAAUUAAGACACUGAGAACCAUAGUGAAAUUGCUGGUUUACUUUAGGAAUUUUGACUGAUUUUUCAGGGAUGAUUUUAAAAGAAUUAAAAAUUAAAGAUUUAAUUAAAGGCCAAAUUGAACAAUCCAGAAAUUAAGGACUGUUUUGUAAACAGUGUUAUAAUUUAGGGAUUCAAUUGAAAUUAAUCCAAAUGGCAAAAUUGAAAGGAAUUUUUAAUUAAUUGAGAUCCAACGGUUAAAAUUCCAAAGAUCAGGGGUCAAAAUGAAAAUGUCCAUUGCUGCCGAAACGUCGCCGUUGCUGGUGGAACAACCGUGUUCGUCUUCUCCAUCCCGAUUCAACAAGCUGAAAAUCUGCAACGGAUUCGAUCCAAUCGUGGACCACGUCUCUCGCUCACGAUCUCGUUCGUGGAAAAUAACAGUCCUGUAAAGGCAGGACUGGUUAAAGGAAGCGGCUGAGGAAUCUCUAUAAAAAGGAGAAGAAAACCUAGAAUAAAGGACUCGAAAAAUCAACCCAAAAAUAGAGAAAAGAACAUAGAAAAAAAAGCAGAGAAAACAAAGCAUAAAUCCAAAAAAAUAUAUACACAGAGAAGGAGAGAAAGGCAGAGGAGAGUCACAAAUCAGCCCUGCCAUUGUCUUCGUCCCUGCAAAAAAAAAAAAAAGGCACUGAACCAAAGAUUAUUGACAACCAGCAUCACCAUUGUCUGUUGUCCUUCAUCUCAAAACCAGAGGAGACAGAACACAAUCAAAGAAAGAAACAUAAGCCCCUUCAUCUCAAGAACUGAGAAAUAAAAAAAAAGGAACAGUGGGCAUAGCGGGGGAAAUAGUGGAAAGCAGUCGAACGAAAGUAGCCACACCAGCGUUGCAGCCUUCUUCACCAUCUCCAGAAACAGGUGCGCCAUUCCUUUUUUGCUCUUCAGUGUUCAAUAACAUUUGAACAGUGCGAAGGUAAUUAAAUUACCUUCGCACUGUUGAUGCACGCGUGAAAUUGCUUCACGCGUGCAUCUGUUUUUUUUUUUUGCCCAACCGGGUCACUGGCUUGGGCCAGUGACCGGGCUGGGCUGGCUGGGUCUAGCCCAGUCCAUGUGGGCUGAGCUGGGUCCAGCCCAAAAAUGUAAAUUAAAAAAUAAUAAAUAAUAACAAUUGUGUAUUUAAAAAAUAUAAAUAUUAAUUUAUUGUUUUUUUUUAUUUGACGCCAGAGUUAGAAUAAAAAUAUCGAUUCAAAUUUAUUUCAUUGUAUUUUAUUUAGUUAUAUAAAAAUAAAAAAUGUGCAUGCAAAAAAAUAAUAACAUAAGAUAAAAUAAAAUAAGUUUAUUGGUUUAUUCACUGACGCCAGAGUCAGGAAUAAAAAUACUAAUAUAAAUUUAUUUUGUUUUGUUUUGUUUUAUUGUAUUUUGCUUUUAUUUAGCUACAUAAAAAUAAAAAUAAUGUGUAUGCGUAGAAAUAAAUUGAUUUUUAUUUGUUUAUUCACUGACGCCAGAGUCAGGAAUAAAAAGAAAUAAUGAUUUAAAUUUAUUCAUUUUGAUACCUACGUAAUAUUUACCAACGCCAGAGUUGGAAAUAUUCGUAGUUGAAUAUUCACUAGCGCCAGAGUCAAGAAUAUUACACGCAAACCAUCAUAGUAUAAACCAACAAAAAUGUUAGCAAUCAAUGACAAAGAUCAACAAUGCAGCCUGCCUCAGGCAGGACGUUUAAAGGGUAAUAAUAUCUUCCCUUUUACGUAACCAAUCCCGAACCAUAGAAUCUAUGUUGGCCAGUUAGGGUUCCUAAUGACCAUAAUACUAGGUGGCGACUCCUUAAACAAGACCAUUCCCCAUUAAAGAACAAGAUGCCAGAAAUCUGUUCUUUUCCUUGAUUAAUUUUUAAGGCCGCCGCGAUGUCCGGGUGCGACACUCCUCGCUGCUAGAAGAACUAGCUGCAACCGUCUUCUGACGAUGUGUUGUAGAUUUCAUUCUACGCAUCUACACAAAUUUAUACGAAUAAUUACAUAAUUAACUUUGAUUAUUUAAAAAAACAAUCGACAGAGUCUCCCUUAUACUGGGGGGUCCCAAGUUAUCGACAAAAUCAUAUUACACUUCCAAUUUUAUUUCACAUCCCGAUCUAAUCAUCCUCGAUCUCAACACAACUCAUCAUCACAACACAAAACAUCUUAUUCAAUAACAUCAUAUAAUGAAAUUCAAGUAAAAGAAUCAAUUUCAACUAUGAACAUUCAUUGUUAAAUUGGUACUUUGAGUUACAAACAUUAGAUUAAAGUCAUACAUUCAAAUUUACGGAUUAAUAUUACAUUUCAAGUUUUAGGAGAGAAGACUCUUAAUUUAUAAAUAAUUACAUGGUUAAAAGCAAAAGGUAACUAAAACAAUAUCAUUCCUAACACGACCCUAAUGGACCUCAAAAUAGAAAUUAACGUGUACACAUAAAUAUAAAAAUGUAAUAACAAGCAAUAACAAUGACAGGUAAACAAUAAUAUCCUAAAAUUAAGAUAAACUAAUUAAAUUUAAUUCUAUAUUUCAAUUAACAUUUAAAACAUAAAUUCAACAAUAACAAUUAUAGCAAUACAAACAAUAAUAUCCUAAAUUAAGAUAAACUAAUUAAAUGUAAUUCUAUAUAUAUAAAUUAACAUUUUUAACAUAAAUUCAACAAUAAAAAUUAUAGCAAUACAAACAAUAAUAUCAUAAAAUUAAUAAAUAAAAUGAAAAAACUAAAAAACACUAUACAAAACAACCUAAACACAAAACAAAUAAUACACAAAACUAAAAAACACUAUAUCAAUUCAAAAUAAAUUUGGGAAUAAAAAACUGCUUACCUUAAUAGUGUGUUGAAUUUAAGAUUUUAUCUACAAACAAUACACAAAACAAAGAACACCAAAAAAAAUAAUCAUAAUUAAAAUAAAAAAAUACAAAGAUAAAGAAAAAAAAAAUACAUACCUUUUAAAACUACCACCAAAACAAUAAAAUCUCUUCCAAAAGCCAAAUAGAAACGGAGAGGAGAGGAGAAGAGAAAUGGAGAAGAAGAGAAACGGAGCCAGAGAAAAAAAUGAACCAAAUGGGGUGAGGGGGGGUUUUGUAUAGCAAUAUUUCUGACAGUAUUACCGACGGACAUUAAUUGUUGUCGGUGGCAUUAAAUUCCGUCGGUAAUACCGUCAGAAAUUAAUUGAAAUGUGCACCAAAAAAGUUCGAAAAUCCCGCCAGACUUUUCGAUCCGUCAGAAAAUCCAUCGGUAUUUGUGCAAACGGACAUGCGUCUGACAUGCGUGCGCUUCGAGAUGUGCGUAAUCUCGUCGGUAUUUUACGUCGGUAACGGCGACGGUGAAUCCGUCGGUGAUCGUGGCACAAUCCCGUAAUUGUUUUUCAACUUUCUGUGAAAUACCGACGGUUAAUGGUCUGUCGGUGACUCCGUCGGUGAGUGUGGCACAAUCCCGUAAAUUUUUUUCAACUCUCUGUGAAAUACCGAUGGGUUAUAUAGUCCAUCGGUGUACCCGUCGGUGAAACCGUAAAUUUUUUUCAACUCUCUGUGAAAUACCGAUGGGUUAUAGUCCGUCCGUGUAACCGUCGGUGAAACCGUAAAUUUUUCUUAUUUUUUUGUAUAACCCUGUCACAAAAUCUUGAAUUGCAAUCUUACAGCACACACAACACAAUAACAAGAGCUGACCAUUAAAGAAGAACAAAUAUUUCAUGUUCCAAAUUAUUACAUUAUAAAAAUAAGGCUUUAGAACAUGUUUAGUUCGUCGGAAUUUUCAUCUUCGUCCUCAAUUGCAUUGUUAUCAUCAACUUCAUCGCACUCUUCAAUUUCGUUAUCAUCUUCUUCAACAACAUUCUUUUUUCCACUAGUAGAGCUCAGAACAACAUUAAACUCCUAUGCGUCAACAUCAACAAGACUAUCGUUGAAAACAUAAAAAUUCAAAUUUUCUUCUAAGUCAAUCGAAGGAGCAACUCAGUGUGGUUCAACCAACUCACUAGCUUGAAAGACUUCAUCUAUCACACUUGUGUCUUCGUUCUCAUCCUGAACAACCUCGACACGACCCUUGGGUUUUGUUUUUAAACGGAUAACCAAUCAACUCUUGAUCGGUCCUUUCUAAAGGAAUGGGUGUAUUUGUAAUAAACUUGUUGGCAUUACUUUGCGAAAAUAAAGACGUCGUUUACGUUGCGGUGUCUAGCUUUUGAGUUGAUUUCAACGAGACCAUAAUGAGGAUCUACUCCGAUUCCUCUGUCAGUUGUGUCAUACCAAUAGCAUUUGAAUAACAACACUCUAUUUUGCUCGCUAUGAUAUUGCAGUUCGAUGACCUCUUCCAAUCUACCGUCGUAGUCAAUUUCAAACUCACUAGAAGUCGAUCCCUUAUUUCAAACACCGUUGUUGUAUGUCUUUCUUCCAUGCCCGUAUUGUUCAGUAUGAAAGACAUAUCCAUUGACAAAAUACCCGUUCUAGCACUUGACUUUUCUUUCAGGGCUCAGGCCUAGUAAAGACAGUGAAAUAGCAGCACUACCUCCCAUUUGAUAAACCUAGCUUGUAAAUUAAAUACAACAAUAAUCAAUAAACGGAUAUUAUGUAAUAUUGACUACAAUUAAUUACAUUGCAAGAGAUAAUGAGUUUGUGAUAGGACUUACAUGUGUUCUAAACCAUGUGGCAAAUUGUUCAUCUUGUAAUUGAAAGAUCUGGGAUUCGGUCAGCUCUGAGUUAUUGGACAGUAAGUAUCGUCGAUGUUGCCUGCAAGGUUGUUCCAAAUUAUAUGAGUGUAUGGUAUCACAAAACAUAAAUAGUACACUCUUGACAAAGUUUAAGUCGAACAUCUACUUACUUAAUAAAAUGUCUCAGCUCAUCACAGUUAAAUUGGACAUAAUUGUGUGCUUGUCUGAACUCUAUUUCAGACAAAUAUCUUCCCCUCACGACAUUUUUAGGUGUGGGUCAUCCAGGAUUGGAGAAUAUUGACAAGUUCCCACUUGAAGGCACUUCACCACCAUCAUCAUGCCGUGGAACACGGUUGAUCCUCGUUCUCAAAUGAGGUUCGAAAUAGUAUGAGAUAAAUGUUGAGAUCUCCUUAACAAUAUAGGCCUCACAUAUUGAUGCCUCAACAUGCGCCUUGUUCUUAACUUUUUUUAAAAGAUUGAACAAGUACCUGCAUAUAUAUAUAUAUAUAUAUAUAUAUAUAUCCUACAAAUAAGUUCAAUAUGAACAUAAACCACAAAUCAUAUUAUAAAAUUUAAAAGAAAAGGGGAUAUUAACAUGUAAAGAGAGAAUUUAAAACAUAAUAAGUAUUCUUAAACAUUUCAAAAGGGUUAAUUACAGGAUAACUAAUGUACUACAUGCUGAGCUAAGACUUUUUUUUUUAUAUAUAUAUAUAUAUCAAGGUUUACACAAAAAGCAUGCUGCAUAAUCGCGUUAAUUCCAUUAUGCUUAAGUUAAAUAUUUACGUAAGCUUAACAAAGUAGAGUCCUAAACUAAUGAUCUCCCUGGACAUUUGAUGGACCUGUUACACAAACAACCCAGUAAGCAUACCAUUAUAUUGAUAAAAGAAAUAUAUAUGAUCAUGGAAUGUAUAUGAAUGAAGUAUAAAUUUUCUAUCGAAUCCAUAGAAAUUCUAACAAUCAACUUAUAAUUUGCUUGUAAAACCAUUUAAAACAAUUAAAACUCAUUUGCAUAUCCUUAAUAUGAAUUCUUUUAUUUACUUGCAUGAACAAGGUGACUUUGCAUAGUCCAACCUGGAUAUUUUUAGACAAUUAUAUUUAUCAAUUUUCACCAGAUCAUUCAAACAUGGAUACCCUUUACAAAUCGAGUCUUAUCAAUCGUUCUCAGGCGUCCCAACGAUUAGCCAUAGCUAAUCUUGCAAUCUUAUCAUGGAUGCUAUUAGCUGAAGCUAAUCUUGUAAUUCAUCUCCAGCAAUCCUAUCACAGAUGCUAUUAGUCGAAGCUAAUCUUAUAAUUCAUCUCCAGCAAUCCUAUCACGGAUGCCAUUAGCCGAAACUAAUAUUGUAAAUACACUAGACUUUAUUUACAUUGAACAUGACAUUUAUUGUAAUGGCAUUCACCAGAAGAACUUUAAAUUGCAUAAGUGCAAAGAGGAGGGAAAAUCACGCACCUACUCCGCCUGUCUCAUGACCUCCCCCAACAGAAGAUCCAAUCUUGGUCGCUCCUCCUGAAUCACAAAGAAGUUUUUGGUCAUUAUCCCUUCAAGUAGAAUGUUAUAGAUAAAAUUAACCCAUUUUAUCAGGUUUAAUAAUACUAUUAAAAAAUUCUUCAUACUUUUAGUAAUUUUUUUAUAUUUUAAAAAAAAAUUGAUCAAACCCACGACAAAGCAUAGGGAAUAUUCUAGUAAACUUGUAAGCAUGGAUCAUGAUGUAUGGAACAUUUACACGUGGCGACAUGAACUGAAAAUCACUUUAAUGCAGGGGAAAUGACAUGAAUGCCUCCCUGGAAUGACCCUAAUAAUGCACCCAUUUUGGAUUUUAUUAGUCUACUCUUGAGAUAAUCAAAGGAACAAUAUGAUUUAAGUGUUUGAACUUAUUGAUUUUUAAAAUUGGGUGUCUGAACUUUAUUUUUAUUCAAAUAAGUAUAUUAUUUUAUUUUACACAAUAAAAUGGAUGUAUAUUAGUUAAAUGUUUAAUGUCAAUAAAGAGUGAAAAUAAAAAAUUUAUAUACAUGAAUUAAUGUGUCUGUUAAAAAAUUUCUUGUCAGAAGUCAACUAGCAACAUUGUCUAGAAUUCUACUUUGCAUGUCCAACAUAUAAAAAAUUAUUUUCAUGCAUUUUUUCCUUUUUUCUAACACCCUUUCCUUUGUAUAGAAAACAAGAUAUUUCUUAAGAUUUUAUAUAUUCAAAGUUAACUUCAUAAGAGCAUGCACAUAUAAAUUUGUUUACAUGUUCAUGUUUCAACACACCAUAGCCUCUUGUAUAAUCCAUACUUGUUUAUUUUAACAUGUAAUAUAUAAUUCAACAUUAAAGUGCCCCCCCCCACCUCCUUCAUGUUUGGCUGAAGGCUUUCUCUCUUAUUUCACACUCUAUUCUCAAUUCUAUCUACCCAAGAAAAAUCCUCAAAAACCCUAAUCUAAGAGACAACUUUUGUACAACACUUACCCAAUGUAUUAUAAAUUGUUCUAGGAAGGUUUUGGGUUUAUCCUAGUUGCAUUUUCUACUCCCUAAAAACUCUUCUCCCUCAUAUUUUCUUGGUCUCUUUCCACUCCUCCUUUACUGUCGCUAGCCUCCUGUCUUCCUUUCCCUCAAUUUGUUUUGCUUUUGAUGCUUUAAUCUUCACUCAAACCUCUUAUUUUUUCUUAUGUGUUUGCUUGCAUGUGAUUUUCUCCACCUAGUCUUUGGAAUAAGAUGCUGAAGAGAAGAGUGUCUCUUCCUUUUCCCCUCCUCUCUAUUCUACCAUCAGCCCUCUUAUUCUUCUUAGGGCUAAUAGGCCUCUCUGUGGUUCGACCCCGGUCUUGCCGGGUUAUUUAUUACUUUGACACUCCUGCACUUGGGAUAAAACAUCAACUCUUUGAUCGUGUGAAGUUUUUGACGCCGUUGUCUGGGAGGUAAGUUAUUGUAUAAAUUAUAUAUUUCUUUUUAUUUUCUUUUGUUUUCACUUUUAUUUGUUUUUCUAAUUUUUGUUUUUUUUUCUUUUCCUUUUCUUUUCUUUCAUUUUGCACUUGCAUGAGAGUUUGGACAUGCACAUUAAGUGGUAGAUUUCUAGGAAAUCCUUAUUUUCUUCAGAAAACAUGGCCGAAAAAGAUAAUCAGUCAAUUCAUAAUGAGAAUAAUCGUGUUAGAACACUUAAAGAUCAUAUGAAUCCAACAAGAACAAGUGCACCAUCAUAUAUAGUUUUUCCUCCUUAUACAUCUCAUUUUAAUUUUAAGUAAGAUAUUAUUCAACUUUUACCCAUUUUUCAUGGCUUAGAUCUAGAAAAUUCAUACUUGCAUUUGAGAGAAUUUGAAGAAGUUUGUAACACUUAUAAUGACUUAAAUUAUAGCAUGAACACCAUCAAAUUAAAACUUUUUCCUUUUUCAUUAAAAGAUAAAGCUAAAACAUGGCUACAAAAUCUUAGGUUAGGAUCCAUUCGUGCUUGGGAUGAAAUGCAACAACAAUUUUUGAAGAAGUUUUUUCCUUCUCAUAGAACAAACUCUUUCAAAAGACAAAUCACCACUUUCACUCAAAAACCAGGAGAAACAUUUUACCAGUGUUGGGAUAGAUAUAAAGGCCCCGUUUGUUUGCUGGAAAGUAGUUUUCUUUUGGAAAGUGAAUUCCAGGAAAGAGAAUUAUUUUUCGAUGUUUGGUAGUGUAAUGGAAAAUAAGUUGGAAAACACUUUCCAGUGUUUGGUUAUGUCAUGGAAAAUAAGCUGGAAAAUAAAUUAUUAAUGUUUUAUUUUCUCAAGUUUAUUAAAAUAAUGAGGAAUAAAUCUUACAAAUUAAAAAGUUGAAUGAGAAUGAAAUUUAAAAAAAAUAUAAUUUCAUAAAUUAUCUCAAAUAAAAUAAAUAAUAAUCAAAAUAAUAGAAAUAAAAUCUAAAAAAUAAAAAAAAUGAAAGAUGAAGAAAUUAAAAUAAUAAUAAUUAACAUUUCAUAAAUUAUUUCAAAUAAAAUAAGUAACAAUCACAAGAAUGAGGACCAAAUUUGAUAGAUAAAAAAUUUUAAUAAAAAAAUGAUAAGGGAAAAGCAAAUAACAAUUAUAAAAAUGAGUACCAAAGUUAAUAUAAAAAUUAAAUUUUAAGAGAUAAAAUUGAAAAAUAAAUAUUCAAAACAAAAUAUAUAUAGCAAUCAAAAGUUUGAGGACCAAAUUUGUAUAAUCAGCAAAUAAUAUGACAUUUCUAAAUUUUUCACAACUUCCGGAAAGUGUUUUCCGCCCAAAUUUUCCAGGAAAACACUUUCUUGGAAACCAAGCUAAAUUUUCCUUUGACUGGAAAGUGUUUUCCGUUGACCAACUUUUCUAAUGGCAAACAAACAUAGAAAAGUUUGGAAAGUGGUUUCCUAGAAACCACUUUCCGGGAAACAAACAUAGCCUUAAUAUAAAAAUUAAAUUCUAAGGGAUGAAAUUGAAAAAUAAAUAUUCAAAACAAAAUAUAUAUAGCAAUCAAAAGUUUGAGGACUAAAUUUGAUAUAAUCAGCAAAUAAUAUUACAUUUCUAAAUUUUUCACAACUUCCGGAAAGUGUUUUCCGUCCAAAAUAAAAGGAAAACACUUUCCUGGAAACCAAGCCAAAUUUUCCUUUGACUGGAAAGUGUUUUUCGUUUACCGGAAAGUAUUUUCCGUUGACCAAUUUUUCUAAUGGCAAACAAACACAGAAAGUUUGAAAAUGGUUUCCCGGAAACCACUUUCCGGAAAACAAACACCCCCAAAGACUUGCUUAAUACUUAUCCUCAUCAUGGUUUUGAAACAUGGAGAUUGGUUUCAUAUUUUUAUGAAGGGUUAACACCUAAAGAUAGGCAAAUGGUGGAAUUGAUGUGCAAUGAAACUUUUAAAGAUAAAGACCCUGAUGAAGCAAUGGAGUACCUAGACUUGCUAGCUGAAAAUGCUCAAAAUUAGGACACUACAGGCACUUGUGAGGCACCAGGUAAAACUCAACCUCAUACAUCUAGUGGAGGCUUGUACAAUCUUAGGGAAGAUCAUAACCUCCAAGCCAAAUUUACAUCUUUAGCUAGAAAAGUUGAGGCACUGGAAUUGGAAAAGAGUGGUCAAUUAAAAUAUGUUCAAGAAAUUGUGUGUCAAAUAUGUGAAACUAAUGAACACUCAACCAAUGAUUUUCCAACUUUGCCUUCUUUUAAGGAAUGUCUCCAUGAACAAGCCAAUGCUUUAAACAAUUUCCAAUGGCCAAAUCAUGAUCCAUACUCACAAACAUACAACUCUGGUUGGAGAAAUCACCCAAAUUUCAGUUGGAAGAGUGGUAACAAUAAUGCACAAACUUCACAGCUACCAUUUCAAGCACACCAUAAUUUUCAAAAUUCUCAUGGAUAUGCACCUCCUUAUGCUCCCCCUCCUAGAAGAAAUCUUGAGGAAAGUUUGCAUGCAUUCUUUGAAAAGCAAGAGACAAUCAACACUCAAAAUGCUCAAACCAUGGUAGAUUUGAAAGAUACUUUUACAAAGUUCACAUCUGCUCUCAGUUUUCAGGAGAAAGGUAAGUUUCCAUCACAACCAUAGCAAAAUCCCAAGGGAUAGUACAAUGCAAAUGCAAGUGGUUCCGGAAGCCAACACAUGGAUCAAGUCAAAUAAGUCAUUACUCUCCGUAGUGGUAAGGUUAUUGAAAAACCCAUUCUUGAACCUUGAGAGAAAGAUGAUGAGUCAAUCUUUGAGGGUAAGGAAAGGGUUGAACCUGAACAUUGCAAAGAAAAGACUGAUUCCCCACCAGCACUUCCAUUCCCUCAUGUCAUAACCAAACAAAGGAAAGUCAAUCACAAUUCUAAAAUCUUUGAAACUUUCAAACAUGUAAGGAUCAAUAUACCUUUGUUGGAUGCUAUUAAACAUGUUCCUUCAUAUGCUAAAUUUUUGAAAGACUUGUGCACCGUGAAGAGAAAACUGAAUGUGAAAAAGAAAGCCCUUUUAGCCAAACAAGUAAGUGUCAUUCUUCAAAACAAUAAUGCUUUGAAAUAUAAAGGCCCUGGUUGUCCUACAAUUUCUUGCUUUAUUGGAGAACAUAAAAUUGACAGAGCUUUACUUGAUCUUGGAGCUAGUGUGAUUUUACUUCCAUAUUCGGUUUUUCAAAGUCUCAAUCUAGGUGAGUUAAAACCUACUUCUGUAACUCUUUUACUUGCUGAUAGAUCUGUAAAAAUGCCUAGAGGAAUAGUUGAAGAUGUGUUAGUACAAGUUGAUAAAUUCAUUUAUCCUGUGGAUUUUAUAGUCUUGGAUACACAACUUGUUGAAGCAUGUAAUUCAACCCAAGCUGUACCUAAAAAGUCUGGAGUUACUAUGAUAACAAAUAAGAAAAAUGAGUUAAUUCCAAUUAGGACUAUUACUGGUUGGCACAUGUGCAUUGACUAUAGGAAAAUUAAUGCAAUGACUAGAAAAGAUCAUUGUCCUUUACCUUUCAUGGAUCAAAUUCUAGAAAGAGUUGCAGGUCAUGAAUUUUAUUGUUUUCUAAAUGGUUAUUCAGGUUACAACCACAUUGAAAUUGCAUUUGAAGAUAAAGAGAAAACUACUUUCACAUGUCUAUUUGGUACGUUUGCAUACCAAAGGAUGCCUUUUGGAUUAUGUAAUGCACUAGCCACGUUUCAAAGAUGCAUGCUUAGCAUAUUCAGUGAUAUGGUUAAACGUUUUCUUGAGAUUUUUAUGGAUGAAUUUUCUAUUUUUGGUGAUUCAUUUUAUGAUUGUUUAACUAACUUGGAGAAAGUUUUGAACAGGUGUGAAGAGAAGAAUCUUAUGCUGAAUUGGGAAAAAUAUCAUUUUAUGGUAACAAACGACAUUGUACUUAGUCAUAUUGUUUCAUCAAUAAGAAUUGAGGUUGACAAAUCUAAAAUCGAGUUAAUUGCCAACUUGCUAACACCAAAAUCUGUUAAAGAUGUUAGAUCAUUCUUAGGACAUGCUGGUUUUUAUAGAAGGUUCAUCAAAGAUUUUAGUGUAAUAUCUAAGCCAUUGUAUAACCUUCUAACAAAGGAUAAUGUUUUUUAAUGGACUGAACAUUGUGAAGAAGCCUUUGUUAAACUUAAAAACUUGCUUACCUUUGCUCUUGUCAUUCAACCUCCUGAUUGGUCAUUACCUUUUGAAAUAAUGUGUGAUGCUAGUGAUUAUAUCGUGGGUGUUGUUUUAGGACAAAGAAAAGAUAAGAAACCCUAUGUAAUUUACUAUGCAAGUAAAACUUUAAAUAGUGCUCAAAUGAAUUACACUACCACCAAAAAGGAAUUACUUGCAGUAGUAUUUGCAUGUGAAAAAUUCAGAUCUUAUCUUGUUGGCUCACCUGUUGUUGUUUUUAGUGAUCAUGCAGCAUUAAAAUAUCUUCUUUCUAAGAAGGAUUCUAAGGCUAGAAUGGUGCGGUGGAUUUUGUUACUUCAAGAAUUCAAUAUCAUAAUCAAGGACAAGAAAGGCACCAAAAAUGUUGUCGUGGAUCAUUUGUCAAGAUUGACAAAAGAUUCCACAUCUGACAUCACACAAAUCAAUGAUUACUUUCCUGAUGAAUCUUUACUUUCUAUUUCUACAAUGCCUUGGUUUGCUAAAAUUGUCAAUUUUCUUGCAACAGGAGAUUUGCCAGCUCAUUGGAGUACCCAAGACAAAAGAAAGUUUUUGAACUAAGUGAAGAACUUUUAUUGGGAUGACCUUUAAUUAUUCAAAUAUUAUCCCAAUCAAAUAUUUCAAAGAUGCAUUCCCGACAAUGAGGUAAAUAGUGUCAUUCAAAUUUGUCAUUCUGAGGCAUGUGGGGGUCAUUUCUCAUCAAAGAAGACAACUGCAAAAAUCUUACAAUGUGGAUUUUAUUGGCCCACCAUGUUCAAGGACACGCAUGCUUUCUGCAAAACUUGUGAAAAUUGUUAAAAGUUAGGAUCUACUUCAAAACAUCACAUGAUGCCUUUAAAUCAUAUUCUUGUCAUUGAAAUCUUUGACUGUUGGGGUAUAGAUUUUAUGGGUCCAUUUCCUCCAUCGUUUGGUUUUGUGUACAUAUUAGUCGUAGUAGACUAUGUUUCAAAAUGGACAGAGGCAAUCCCAAGUCAUAACAAUGAUCAUAAAACAAUGAUCAAGUUUUUGAAAGAAAAUAUUUUGAGUCGAUUUGGAAUCUCUCGGGCCAUGAUAAGUGAUGGUGGAACAUAUUUCUGCAACAAGCCAUUUGAUUCUUUAAUGAAGAAAUAUGGAAUCACACACAAAGUUGCCACUCCUUAUCACCCUCAAACAAGUGGACAAGUAGAACUUGCUAAUAGGGAGAUCAAACAAAUCUUGGAAAAAAUAGAGAACCCUAAUCGGAAGGACUGAUCUUUAAGACUUAAUGAUGCACUUUGGGCUUAUCGAACUGCUUUUAAAACAUCAUUAGGUAUGUCACCUUAUAAGCUGGUUUAUGGAAAACCUUGUCACUUGCCUGUAGAACUUGAACAUAAAGCUUAUUAGGCUAUUAAAGCUUUCAAUUCAAACCUGGAUGAUGCUAGCCAGCUGCGUAAAUUACAAUUAAAUGAGCUUGAGGAAAUAAGAAAUAAUGCAUAUGAGAAUUUAAAAAUUCAUAAAGCAAGAAUCAAAGAGUUUCAUGACAAGAGAAUCUUGAGAAAAACAUUUGAUGUUGGUCAAAAGGUUUUGCUUUAUAAUUCUCGACUCCAUUUAUUUCCUGAAAAGCUAAGAUCAAGAUGGAACAGUCCAUUUAUUGUGAAACAUGUGUAUCCUUAUGAGGCCUUUGAUAUUGAGAAUCCAAAGAAUAACAAUGUUUUUAAGGUAAAUGGACAUCGUUUCAAAGCUUACUUUGAUAAUUUUCCUAGUGAAAAUGAAUCCAUUGGUUUGAAUGAUCCUAUAUAUAAAGGUUGAUUAUUUUGUUUUUUUCACAUUGUUUUUGUGUUUCUUUUUGGUGUGAUUCUUAUUUUGCUAGUCUUUCUCCAACCCCGAUCAAAUGGCGGAUAAUGGUGUGAAAGAUUAAGGUUGUUAAUGAACCAUGGAAUUCCUAAAGAUAUUCAUUGGAUGAUUGAAACAAAGGUCUGAUUAUCAGGUGAGUCUUCCAAUACUUUUAUUUCAUACAUGCCUGGGACAGGUAAAAGCACUUUUGCAAAGAAACGUCGUGCAAAACGACUGAAAGUCUGUCACCGAUGUGCCAGAUGGACUUGUAAUGCAAAAUGCCAUUUUUUAGGAAUGCUUUCUAUAAACCAUGAAGAUAAAAUACAAUUCAUUAAGGAUGGCCUGAGUAAGGACUCUCGGCAACGGAUAUCUCGGCUCUCGCAUCGAUGAAGAACUUAGCGAAAUGCGAUACUUGGUGUGAAUUGUAGAAUCCCAUGAACCAUCGAGUUUUUGAACGUAAGUUGCGCUCGAGGCCUCUUGGUCGAGGGCAUGUUUGCCUGGGUGGCACGCAUCGUCACCCUCACUCCCCUCAGCUCAUAAGGGUGGGGGCGGAUACUGGUCUCCCUCACGCUUCCGCUCGCGGUUGGCCCAAAAUCGAGUUCUCAGCGAUGGUCGCCACGAAAAGUGGUGGUUGAGAGACCCUCAGACACGGUCAUGCGCACGCCUGUCGCCCCCAGGAUCUCCUGGACCCUCGGGCAUCGACUUUCUAGGAUGCUCUCAUUGCGACCCCAGGUCAGGCGAGACUACCCAUUAAGUUUAAGCAUAUCAAUAAGCAUCAUGCAAUUCAUGAUUAAUGGCUUCAUUUUCAUAAAGAACAUGAUCGACUUAGUCUUGGGAAUCUGACUAAAAACGACCCUGUUUGUCAGUUUUUAAGAAAACUGGAUGGGAAGCUUAUCCCCGACCCAUAGAGGGCGUUUAAGCCAUUCUUGGACGUAAAACCAAGGGAAGAUGUGAGCCACAAUCACAACUACUUGUAUAUACACAUGCUUGUUUUAUAAAAAAAAAAAAGAGAGAAAGUGAGACUCCAGCUAGCCUACAUAUAAGUGGUAUGAUUGCAUUUUUAAUUUCUCAUCUAUAAAAUCUUCUCUUCCUUCCCUUCAUUUAUACUCAACCCAUACAUUCAACAGAUAUAGAAGUGUGUAGAAAUGGCAGGCUCCUCAAUUCCUAAAAUAAAAAAUAUUUGUGUUUUUGGUGGAUCCUGUCCUGGGAAAGAAAAAGAGUUUUUAGAAUCAGCAAAUCAUCUUGGUCGGGUACUAGUUGAGAGAAAGAUUCAUUUAGUGUAUGAGGGAGGCAACCUUGGGUUAAUGGAGAGUGUGUCAAUAGCUGUAUUUUUAGGUGGCAGUCAAGUUUUGGGUGUCAUUCCAACAGCUUUGGCCAAAAUGGACAUCAUUGGAAAAACAGUUGGAGAGGAACUACAAGUCUCCACAAUGUUUGAACGACUAUUUGUAAUGUUUGAACAUGCUAAUACCUUCAUUGGCUUACCGGGUGGUCUGGGCAUUUUAGAAGAGAUAUUCCAUAUUUUCUCUUGGGCCCAAUUGAACAUUCACCAGAAACGUAUAGGUUUGCUAAAUGUUAAUGGUUUUUAUAAUAAUUUACUGUCUUUUCUUGAUCAUGUUAUGGAACAACAAUUUCUAACAUUUUCAGCGCGACAAAUCCUUAUCUCUGCUGCUACUGCUGAGCAAUUGAUUGAUGAACUACAAUCUUUCAUCCCUCUAGUUGAUUCCUCUAUGAGUCGACUCAAUUGGUCAAUCACGGAACGUCGUAAAAAGCUUAGAUUGGAUUUAAGCCUUAGUUUGUGAAAACUUGUGUCUUUUGGUUUUAUUAAUAGCAUAAUAUUUAUGUUUUGUUAUUUCUUAUAUUUGUUUAAGUGUGUUUCAGGUUUGUCAGUAGUCGUUGUUUUAGGUGAUGUCUUCUAUACUGUAUCUUUCUACCUUAAGACAUUGAGGACAAUGUCUCGUUUUGGUUGGGGGGUAAGGGUAGUUUAUAAAAAUACUAACUAUUUUACUAUUAUUAAAACUAUUUGAUAGAACUGUUGUUGUUAGUAUGGCAGGGUAAGGAGGAAUUCUAUUGACUCUUGAGACGCAUCUUAGUAAUCAUUUUCCAAUGGUUAUUCGUAACAAGGUCUAUCAUAACACUUCUUGAAAUAUUCAGGUUUACAAACUCUCACAUUGUUAUCACUUGAAUCUGCUUAUAUACUCAUUUAACAAGUAUUCUUAAAUCUUCAUUUUCAUACACACACUUUAACAUAUGAUUGUGGGUUGCACAUUGUAUUAUUACAUUAUUUAUGUUCUUUUGUUAAAGGUAACAACUAAGGGAAAGGGAUAGUAUAUAAUUUGCAAACAAAAACAAAAACAAAAACAAAAACAAAACAAAUUGAUAAUAAAAUGAAUAAAUAAAAAAGUAGAUAAGUAUGGUUUCGUAGCCUCCUUGACUUAAGCAAUUAAGCCUGAAGGGGUGUUUUAACACCUACUACCCUAAAGUCAACUGACUUGAGAGCUAUUGGCCCAGUGCUUGUUACAUGAAUUAAGGAGAAAGCUUAAGGGAAUCAAACAUUGCACUAUCUACAUUUUAGUAUCUGCAACCCGAGUUACUAAGCUCGAAAGGGUGUCUCAACACCUAAUGCCCGGUGUGGGAGUCAUUAGCCGAAAGCUUGUUAAAUGGGUUAAAGAUGCAUUGUGUUUUAAGUUAUAUGUAUAUAUAUUAAAAAAAAUAAUAAUAAUCUCAACCCAAGGAAGUUAACCUUAGAAAAACAUUAGAACAAAAUAUUGUUUUCUUCCAAAAAAAGCCUCAUCAUCUAUGUUUAUUAAUAUUUUGUUUAGGAAGUAUGAAGCAGAUAUAUAAAUUUAAUGAGAGUUUGUUUAUUUGGAUAGAUUAAUGGAAGUUGAAUGAUGAAUGCCUUGCUUUUGAAUGUCGCAAAUUGUUUUAAUGCUUUAAUUACUAGGGACUAGUAAUAAGCUGGUUGGGGGUGUGUGAUUAGUACUUAAAAGUGCAUUUUUAUCAAGGUUUUAUAUCAUCAUAUUGCACUUAAAGUAUCAUUAAAUUUCCUAACUUAAGCAUGCUUUAUAAUAGCAAGUACGAUAACAUAAGACAUCUUUAAUUUAUGGUAAAUGUUCAUUUUGAAUGCAGGUUUAUCCCAUAACUCAAAGGAAUGAUUGAUGUGAUUAACUAUUAAAAGUAAAGAGACAAAGAGAGGACUAAGCUUAGAGAAGAGAUGCUGGUUGAAUUCAAACUAGAACACCAUUCGGUUAUUGGAUCAUAACUAGAGUUGUAGACCUUGGAUUUAGGUCUUGUUUAUCUUGAUGGAAAGCUAAGACAUAUGUCUAAAACUUUCAUGAGAGUCCAAGAUUCAAAUCUUCCAUUUUCAAGUUCAACUAUUAGCAUCAAAAAAGAUGUUUGAAUCUGUUCUGUAGCCUAGACACUGUUCAGUGUUCAGCCCAUAUCUCAAGUUCUAGAAGUCCAAAUGAGCUCUGGUUUUUUUUUUUGUUGAAAAGCUAAGACAAUUGCCCAUAACUUUUAUGAAGACUAUGUGCUCAAAUUCUGAUGUUAGCAAUGAUAUUUUGGCCAGCCAACAAUGUCAAUAACCAGCCACCAACUAAAUAGUUAGUCAUCUAAUCAAUAGUUCUGAAUUUUAGCAUAUAAAAGGAGGCAUUUGCCAUGUAUUUAAGCAUCUUGUUUUUGAGAUCAAGAUCAUCUUCUUGCUUUCUCUCUUUGUAAUGUUCAAGUUUUCUUUCAUGCUAUAUUAAUCUCUUGUUUAUGCCUUUUCAUUUCCUUUCUAUACUUAGUUAACUUAUAUCAUAAUCAUGUUCUUAUCUUGUUUAUUCAUGUUUCUCUUCUUCAUAAUGUUUUGCUAAGUUUAUUAUGUCAAGGUGAAAUGUUUUCACUAGUGGUGUUAGAAUAUGUAUAAUAUGAACUGAACAUGGACUUCAAUGUUUAUAUCCAAGAAAGUUUGCUAUUAACAUGUCUUAUCAUUUUUAUCUUAUUCACUCUUAAUAUCUUGCUUGUUAAAUGGUUAAUCUAGAUUUAUGUAUUUAUGUUGUAUAACACUUGGUACAAUAAAUGCUUGAUCCUUCAUAGUCUUCGGCCGACAUCUUUGUUAUGAGAGGAACUUGAUUUGUUGUUAAUAUAAGUUAACAUCAGGAAUACCUGACAAUAUUUACAAGUAUGGUGUUUCUUAGAUAAGAUGAUUAAUAUGAUCAUGUUAAUGAUUUAUAAUGAGCUAAUAAUGAUAAAUCAUCCAAUUGGAUCCUCCUUUGUGUGUGGUUUCUAGUUGAGUAAUAUAAAGAGUUUAUAUUAUAUUUAUUUGAAAUACCAUUAAUGGAUCCUCUAACCUUGACAACUGUUUUAAUCUUUGAUUAAAUCUUUACAUCAAUAUCACAUCUCAAAAGUUCUCUUCAACUUUUCUCCUUUUAUUAUUGAUAAUUUAUAUAGUUCACCUUUCUGUGGUUCGAUCCCGGUCUUGCCAGGUUAUUUAUUACUUUGACACUCCUGCACUUGGGAUAAGACAUCAACUCUUUGAUCGUGUCAAUGACUAGAUAGAAAGAUUAAGGAGAAUGGGGGCUGGAUGGGGGGACCUAUUCUAGAAACAUUGACAAAAAAGAAAUGGAUGAACAUGAUGAACAAAACCUAGACUAAGGGCCACCCAAGGGAAAAAAAUUGGAAAAGGAUGAAAUGAAAUGAUAAAACCUGAAAUUUGUGACCUUGUUUAACUCAUGGAAACAUGCAUGAGCUGAGCAGAGGUAAAAAUUGAUGUUCUUGAUAAUUUAUGGAUUUAGCAUGCAUGAGUGAAGAGUUGUGUGAAAAUAAAAUGGAAGAAUGUGCAGAAUUAUGAUCUUGUUGAACCCUUAGGAUGAUAACUGAGUUGAAAUAGAAUUUGUGUUAAUGUUAAUGCUUUGAUUUUAUUAUGAGGUUAAUGAACUUGCAUGAAUAUGGUUCAAGUGAAUGAGAAUGUGGUUGCGACAUGAUUGUUGUGAUUAUACUUGUGUUAAUGACAUAAAUUAUCCAUAUAUGGUGGAUGAAAUUAUGUGAAAAUGUGUUGAAAUGAUAAUAAAUGUGCAGAAUUGUGUUGUUGUUAAGCCUUAGAGGCAUGUUGAAACUGAAGUGGAAAUCACACCAUGUUAAUGCCUUGAUUUUUGCAUAGGUAAUGGAUGAACUAGUUUAAUUAGAAAUCAAAUGGUUAAAUGUAUGAUCAUGUCAUGUUGUUAGGAUUAUAUUUGUGUUAGACUUGAUAAAAUGCAUGCACAAAAUUGAAUAAAAUUGGGCAACCAUGUUUCGGCUAUGAAGAGUAAAACUAUAAAUGACUUAAAAGUUGCUGACGAUUACUAAAUCGACAACGACAUAGAUUGCGUUGACGAUUUCUAGGUCAGCAGCAACUCAGUUUUUGUCAAUGAUUUUUGUAUCAAUAGCAGGACGUGUGCGCUGAUGAAUUCUGUGUCAGUAGCGAACCAGUUUCCGCUGCCUAAUUAUGUUGUCAGCAGCGAAUCAGUUUUCACUGUCGAAUUAUGGUGCCAGCAGCUAAACCGUUUUCACUGCCGAAUUGUGGCGUCACCAGCGAACCAGUUUCGCUAACGAUUCUGUGUUCCAGCGAAUCAGUUCGCUGGCGAAUCUGCAUCACUAGUGAACCAGUUUUUGCUAACUAAUUUCUACAACAGAUUUACGUAUAUGAAUUGGUCUAGUGACUAAAAUGAUUGCAUUGUGUGAUUGUGUAAUAUGUGGAACACUUGAAUGUGAACAUAUGGAUUCUUGAAAUAUGUAUGGUGAUGAGUCAAGUGAUUUCAGAAUGCAGAUGAGCUGAUUUGUGACCAUUGAUGUGUUAGGUGGUGCGACCGAGCAGGGACACCCCACAUGAGGAACAUGUAAGUGGUUUCCAUCUUUUUCUUAUAUAAUGUUAAUGUUAUGAAAUGAUUUACUUGUGGAUGAUUUAUUAUUGCAUUAUGGUGAAUGUUAAACCAACUAUGAAAUGUUGAUCGAGUUCUUGAUGAAUUUUGGAACGAUGAUGAAAUGUUGAUUGAAUUCUUGAUGAAUGAUGAAACAACGAUGAAAUGUUUGAUUGAAUUCUUGAUGAAUGUUGAAACGACUAUGAAAUGUUACUUUAGCUGGUGAUUAAAUUCACGUAACGGCAUCCGAGAUGGAUGGUCGGGUUUUUAACGAUGAUUAGCUUCAGCUAAUGGCAUCCUAGAUGGAUGGCCGGGUCGCGUUCAUGAUUAGCUUUGGCUAAUGGCAUUCUAGUUGGAUGACCGAGUUAAUUAUGAUGAUUGGCUUCAACUAAUGGUAUCCAAAGGAGAUGACAUGUUAGAUUUUGUGAUUAGGUCUUAAGUGUUAUGUUGAAUAUUUGUCAUUCGACACUUCUGUAAGGACUUGUAAUGAAAACUAUAAUGGAACAUGGAUGUGGAUGUGCAAACAUGUAAAUAUGAUGUUAUGAAUAUAUUUAUGUGAUAUUCUCUUUUAUGAGGAUGUUGUGUUAUGAAAUCACAUGAGGAUUGUAUGAAAGAAUGUACUAGAUGUGUAAAAUUGUCAUUCGGUAAUCGUGUGUAAACUCGUGUUGAUAACAAGACUAAAACAUGAAUGCAAACGUAUGAGUAUUUCAAUAUGAUGUAAUGUAAAUGUAUGAAUAUGAGAAUAUAAUAUUAUAGGCAUGUAUAUUGAGUAACCGUUUUAUAGGAAUGUUGAUUUACGAAAAAUAUAUUCGUAUGAUGCUAUGAUAAGGAAGGGAACCUAAUUACUAUUUUAUGGAAUGUCAUUGUGAGAAGUAUCGAUAACUUAAUGGAAAAACAAUUCCACUAAUUUUGGCUUUGAAAAAGCCGGGUCGUUACAGUAGAUGCCAUAACACGAUAUUCUGCUUCGGUUGAAGAUUGAGAAACAAUAGAUUGUUUCUUGUUCUUCCAAGAAAUAAGAGAAUCACCUAGAAAGAUACAGAAACCGAUAACAGACUUACUAUCAUGAUCAGCAUCAGAGUAUGCACGCAGCUGCAAGGAAAAGGUAGAUGAAAGUACAAGACUUUGAAAGACUGUACCACGAAGAUGUCACAAAAUACAAAGAAUAGUUGCCCAGUGAACUGUAGUAGGAGAAGCAAUAAACUGACUAACAACAUGAACAACAUAUGCAAUAUAUGGACGAGUAAUAGUGAGAUAUACCAAGCUCCCAACAAUAGUACGGUAUAAAGUAGGAGCUAUCAUAGGUAGACCAAUAAAAGAAAAAUACCUUACGUUAACCUCAAUGAGAGUAUCUACAAUAUUUUUAUCAGUAAGUCUAGUCAUCUUAAGAAUAUCUACAACACAUUUCAACUAAGAAAGAAGAUAACCUCUAGGUGAGUAAGCUACCUCAAUACCCAGGAAAUAUCGAAGAUAACCUAAAUCCUUCAUUUCAAACUGUCUAGCUAAUUCCGUUUUCAAAAUUGAAAUACCAUCAAUGUCAUCACCAGUAAUAAUCAUAUCAUCAACAUAUAAAGACAGAAUAAUACGACCUAUAUCAGUGCACUUAAUAAAACGGGUAGAAUCAUGACUACUAGAAACAAAUCCAAUAAACGAGAUCACAACAGAAAAUUUCUGAAACCAAGCACGAGGUUCUUGUUUGAGACCAUAUAACGCUUUCUUGAGCUUAGAAACAUACCCAAAGUCAUGUGAAACACCAGGAGGGGGUGCUAUAUAAAAUCUUUCUUGAAGAUCUCCAUUCAAGAAGGCACUUUUAACAUCAAGUUGAGAGAUGUGCCACUAACAAACCGAAGCUACAAUAAUAAGACUAUGAAUAGUAGUCAUUUUUCCAACUAGGGAAAAUGUCUCCUCAUAAUCCGUACCAUAUUGUUGCAUAUUGUUGAGAGUAUGUUUUUGCAACUAACCUAGCUUUGUAUCGCUCAAUAGACCCAUCAGAAUGAGUCUUGAUCUUAUACACCCAACGACAACCAACAACACUCUUACUAGGAGGUAGAGGAAUCAAAUCCCAAGUAUCUAUCUUACGCAAAGCAAAAAGUUCCUCAUCCAUAGCUUGCUGUAAAAAAGGAUCAAGAAUUGCAUUCUUCUAGGAAGAGGGCUCAGAGAGACAAUGAACAGAAGCUAAAAAGAAGUAAAGGAUAAAGAAUAACAAGAAUAAGCAAAUUCUAGUAGUUUAUGGAUGUACAAAUGUAUAUGGAUUGAUGUAAAGGUGGAUCCACAAUCUUAGACGAAGCUUGGGGGGUUGUAGAUGAGAAUGGAGCUUCAGGUGUGCCAGAGAAUAAAGUGUUAGUACUUGCAUAAUGAUUAGUACAAAUUGGUCGAACAUGGGAAGGGGUAUCUAAGGUACUAGGAACAUGAGAUGAUAAACUAUCAGAAUCCUCAAAAAAAGGAUCUAUACAAAUAAUAUCAAGUCUAGUCAAGCUAUGAGUAGUAGAUGGAAUAGAAAAGAAAGGUAUAUGCUCGAGAAAGACAACAUGACGAGAUAUAUAAAGUUUCUAAGUUAUUGGAUCAAAACAAUGAUACCCCUUUUACCUUCACCAUAACCCGGAAAGACACAAGUAGUAGAUCGAGAGGACAACUUAUUGCGUUCAAUAUAAGGAUGAAGAACGAAACAAGUACAAUCAAAAACUCUAAAUGAGGAAUAAUCACGGACAUACCCAUAUAACUUUUUAAAAUGAGAAAAACCUUAACUAUGAGAAGAUGAUAUUGUAUUAAUCGAACUUAUAGCAGUAAGGACAACUUCUCCCUAAAACUCACUAGGAAUAGAAGCAAACAACAAGAGAGAAUGACUAAUUUCGACAAUAUGCCUAUGUUUUCUUUUAGUAACACCAUUUUGCUUAGGAGUAUCUGUACACGAUGUUUGGUGAAUGGUUCCAUUUAAGGCAAGCAACUCACAUAAUUUAUUAGAGGUGUAUUCCUCACCUAAAUCACACCUAAAACAUUUGAUAAUGAUAGAAUGUUGAGUUUUGAUAAGAGCUCCAAAGGCUGUAUAUAUCUCAAAGAAUUCAUAAUGAUGUUUCAAUAAAUAAACCCAACAAUAACGAGUAUGAUCAUCAAUAAAAAAAACAUAAUAUCGAGACCCUCCUUUUGUGGCAACAAAAUAAGGUCCCCAUACAUCAUAAUGAAUCAAGUCAAAUGGGAAAGAGAAAACAUAAAUACUUAUAUCAAAAGGGAAAGCGAAAAAUUUCACCAGUUUACAUCCACUACAAUCAGAAAUAUCACAAGGUUGCAAAUUUCCUAAAGCUCCUAUGGGUGCCAAAAAUCUCAAACGAGAAGAUGAAACAUGACCUAGAUGAAAAUGCCAUAAAUAAAAACUAGAAGAUGAAUGACUCAAAUGAAAAGAAGACAAAUCAAUAGUAGUAGCAGCAACAACUGACAUCGGCUUUUCCAAGCCCAAAACGACAGUAUAUAUAUAUAUAUAUAUAUACAGACACACUUGACACACAUCGUGUUGGUAAUCGGUGAACUUGUUCUCUCUCAUUAUCAAGAUACAAUCUAUACACCAACAUUAACAACAUUUCAUUUAAAAGUGAAUCUUACAUAUACACAUAAUAUUAUGUUUGCAUAAUUAUAAGUUCAUAUUAAAAAUAUACUAUAUAGUCAUCACAAAUUUAAACAGAAAGAUCUAAUAAUAGUUAUACAUUCAGUACAUUAAUUCGUACAAACUACAUCAUGAUUUAGAAUGCAACUACAUGAUUCCUUGUAAAAGUAGGUUCUUGUGUAUUGGGUUUUCUAAGCACCUCGUUGGUGUGACGUCCUUGCUGCAGUACAAAACAAUUAUAAGACUAUGAUUACUUAAUAAUAAUAAGCAGUCUGGCAGUUUAAUGAAGCAUUAACAUUAUCCUAAGUUUGAAGCGUAACAUUUGUAGUUCCUUUAUGUACUUGGUAUGCACAGCUUGUAGUACAUAUAAAGGCAUCAAUUCUUGCAAUCAACCAUAAUCUUAAAUCCGGUUAUCCUCUUAAGUCAUCAUUAGCUGAAGUUAAUCAUUCACUAGUCCUGGCCAUCCACUUCAGAUGCCAUCAGCCGAAGCUAAUCAAUCAUUUGUCCCGGCCAUCCAUUCGGAUGCCAUUAGCCGAAGCUAAUCAACCAUUUUUCCCGGCCAUCCAUUCAGAUGCCAUUAGCAGAAGCUAAUCAAUCAUUUGUCAUCCGAAGCUAAUCAAUCAUUUGGCAUCCAUUCGGAUGCCAUUAGCCGAAGCUAAGCAACCAUUUGUACUGAUCAUCCAUUCGGAUGCCAUUAGUUGAAGCUAAUCAAUCAUUUGUUAACAUUUACCCAUUUGGCAGUUUGAUAUCUAUACUGACACAAUACGGUAACAAUUCAUGAUAAAGCAUUUCAUAAAUCAACGUUAUGAAAAAGGAAGGUGGAAGUCACCUACCUGCUCCACCUACGAGCUGUUCUUUUCCUAACGAUGGUCACAAAGCAGUACAUUUGUAUCUUUGAAUCACAUUCAUCAGCAUACUUAUUUCAAGAGUUCAUAUGUUCACAUUCAAAUGUUCCACAUUUUACACCAUUAUACUAUGAAAUUGUUACAAGCAUUUGAGUCAUUUUUGCCCGGGAGGCCUAUUGUAGAAAUUGGCAGCAAAAACUGAUUCGUUGCAGGCCGUGCAAUUCGGCAGCGAAAACUGUUUCGCUGCUGGUGCCACAAUUUCAGCAGCAAGUCACAAAUUCGCUACAAACAAUACAACUUCAGCAUCAAAUCACAAAUUCGUUGCAGAACACAAAAUUCAGCAGCGAAUGCAAAUUCGCUGCAUAACACACAAUUUGACAGCGAAUGCUAAUUUGCUACAAACAACUCAAUUUCGACAGCAAAUUACAAAUUUGUUGCAUACAAUACAACUUUGGUAGCAAACCCCAAAUUCGCUGCAGAACACACAAUUCGACAGUGAAUACUAAUUUGCUACAAACAACUCAAUUUCAGCAGCGAUUUACAAAUUCACUGCAGACAAUGCAAUUUGACAUUAGGUUUCAGCAAAGUCACAUGAUUUUUGCAUGAACAUACACACACACAUGCAAUAAUCAAUUCCAGCACAUAAUCUGUCACAAAAGUCCAGUAGAAUACACACAAGCAAUAAUGAAUUCCAGCACAUAAUCUUUCAUCAAAUCUCAGCAGAACACACAAAUUCGCUGUAGAACACACAAUUCGGCAGUGAAUACUAAUUUGCUACAAAUAACUCAAUUUCAGCAGCGAUUUACAAAUUCGCUGCAGACAAUGCAAUUUGACAUUAGGUUUCAGCAAAGUCACAUGAUUUUUGCAUGAACAUACACACACAUGCAAUAAUCAAUUCCAGCACAUAAUCUUUCAUCAAAUCUCAGCAGAACACACAAAUUCGCUGCAGAACACACAAUUUGGUAGUGAAUACUAAUUUGGUAGAAACAACUCAAUUUCAGCAGCGAUUUACAAAUUCACUGUAGACAAUGCAAUUUGACAUUAGGUUUUGGCAAAGUCACAUGAUUUUUGCAUGAACAUACACACACACAUGCAAUAAUCAAUUCCAGCACAUAAUCUGUCAUAAAAGUCCAGUAGAAUACACACAAGCAAUAAUGAAUUCCAGCACAUAAUCUUUCAUCAAAUCUCAGUAGAACACACACAUUGAAAUCAUCAAUUCUAGCACAUAAUCUUUCAUCAAAUCCCAGCAUAACACACACAUAUGCAUUUUGGCCAACCCCAUAGCUAAGGUUAGCCCCCUACCAUGUUUUGUUCUUUCCAUUUUAUACAUUUUUCUUCGUUAGAUGUUAUGGAAAUUUGCCUUAUUUUGUCUCUGUUUCUUUGUCCUCUUAGUUGGUUUUAGUUUCCUUUACAACUAGCUUAGGGGUCUUAGGUCAAUUUUCUUAGGGACUCCUUCAUCAUUUUCGGUUCUAAGUUUCAAGAACAAGGGGGAGGAGACUACAUGACCCAUACCUUUCAGAUCUAAGUUUAUCUGGAUAGUUUGGUAGAGUUACUUCUCUCCUUCUCCUAGUUCUCCUUCUCCCUUUUUCUCUCUUGGUUCUCUUUCUUCAGUCAGUUCCUUCCCACCCAUUCCAGCCCCUUUUCCCUUCUUUCUAAGCAUUUGUUCAGCCUCCACUCAAGAUCUCAACUCUUUCUUUCUCUCACACGUUCAUAGAGGUACUCUCUGCUAGUUUUGGUUCAGUUUCCGUUGGGAAGGCAAAAGAGAAAAGAAGUAUGCAGCUGGACAUGUAGCUGCUACUGGCAGACUUUGGGAAGAGGAAGGGUCACCUUCUCUCUCCCUCCUUGCAUUUAUACUUCAUAUUAAAUGAGGUGGGGGUGUUUGGGGUUGGUUUAGAUGUGCUCUUGUCCCUAUUUUGGUCUGUCCAAAAUCGGGUUUACCCCUCCCUCUUAGCUCCUUAAGACAACUUGAUUGUUUCCUAAACUUUCAAUUAAACUGCAUCGUUGUCGAUUCAGAAGUCACGGCAAAAACUGCAUCGUUGUCGAUUCAGAAGUCGGUAGCAAAAAUAGCAUAGCUGCCAAUUCAGAAAUCAGCAGCGAAAACCGUGUUGCUGCUAAUUCAAAAAUCAACCAAAAAAAGUGUCGCUGCCAAUUCAAAAAUCGGCACGAAAACUGCAUCGUUGUCGAUCCAAAAAUCAGCAACAAAAACUGUGUUGCCGCCGAUUCAGAAAUCGACAAUGAAAAUUGUGUCGCUGCCGAUGCAAAAAUCGGCAGCGAAAACAAUGUCGCUGUCGAUCCAAAAAUUGGCAGCGAUGGUGGGGUUGUUUGGACUUUCAUUUUUUUUUGGUGUUUACAUUCUCCCUCCCUUAACAUGAAUUUCAUCCUCAAAAUUUAAGAGGUUUCAUGAUCCAUACCUAGUAGUUCAAAUAAAUUAGGGUACUUUUUCCUCAUUUCAGACUCCCUCUCCAAAGUUUCCUCUUCUAUUUGAGCAUUUCGCCAUAAGAUUCUGAUGAUGGGGAUCUUUUUGUUUUGUAGCUCCUUCACUUCCUGAUCUAGUGUCCUUAUGGGCCUUAAUUCGAGCGUUAAAUCUUCCUUGACUUCUACUGGAACAUGAGGUAGGAUCCUAGCGGGGUCCACGUCAGCCUUCCUUAACAAGGAGACAUGGAACACAUCAUAGACCUUGGCUAAUUAUAGGGGCAAGUCCACUUUGUAGGCUACUGGCCCCACUCGCUGAAAGAUUUUGAAGGGUCCGAUGACGCGGGGAGUUAACUUCCCUUUCAAUCCAAACCGUAAUAUGUUCUUCCACGAGGCUACCUUCAGGAAUACCUAGUCCCCUGCACUGAACUCGAGAGGUCUCCUCCUCACAUCAGCAUACUUCUUCUGUCUAUCCCGUGAGACUUUGAUGCGAUCCUUGAUGGUUCUCACGUUCUCCAUGGUGACUUGAACCAACUCUAUGCCAUACAACUUCCGGUCCUAAACUUCUUCUUCUCAACAUAAAGGAGUCCUGCACCUCCUACCAUAAAAGCUUCAUACGGGGCCAUCCCUAAUAUGGCUUGGUGACUAUUAUUAUACGUGAACUCCACCAAUGUUGUUUGUUCCUCCCAGUUUCCUCUAAAUUCUUGCACACAUGCCUGCAAUAGGUAUUCCAAGACAUGGAUGACUCUUUUCAAUUGGCCAUCAAUUUGAGGGUGAAACGUGGUGCUCAUGUCCAAUCUUGUCCCCAAGGCAUGUUGUAUGCUCAGCCAAAGUCGAAAAGUGAACCUGGGAUCUCGAUUCAAUACAAUGGACACUGGAAUCCCAUGGAGUCAUACCACCUCGUUUAUGUAGAUCUUGGCAAACUCAUCCAAAAUAUAUAGUUCAUUCUCCCUACGGCCUGUCCCAAUCAGCUUUUUAGACUGCAGAUCCUGUACACAACAAAAGAAAGAGGAAAAAUGACUAAAUAAUCACCAAAAUCUAAGUUUCGGAAUAAGAUAAACAUUAGGGAGAGAUAAGUGAGGUGUGACAAUAGAACCAACACCUGCUAAGGGCAUUGAAGUGUCAUCAGCAGUUAUAACAAGAAUGGAGGGCGAAGGGGACACAAAGGUAAAAGAUGAAGAAUGUCAUAACCUAAUUUUUGAACAAAUAAUAAAAAUUGAAUAUAGUUGACGAUGGGAUUAUUAAAUUUGAGAGUCAAUUGAUCAAUAAUUGAAGAAUUAAAAGUUGAAGAGUUAAUUAAGGACCAAAUUGAACAAUCCGGGAAUUAAGGACUGUUUUGUAAACAGUGGUAUAAUUUAGGGAUUUAGGUGAAAUUAAUCCAAUGGCAAAAUUAAAAGAAUUUAUUAUUAUUAUUUGGGAUCCAAUUGUUAAAUUUCCAGAAGCAGGGGUCAAAGUGAAAAUUUCCAUUUCUACGGAAAUGGCACCGUUGCUGGGGAACAGUCAUGCGUCUUCUUCAUCCCGAUUCAACAGGGAAGCUGGAAAAUCGGUAGCAAAGCCGACCCAAUCGUGACCACGUUCUCUGCCCACAAUCCCGUUCGUGGAGGGAUAACAGUCCUGCAAAGGCAGGACUGGUUUAGGGGCAAGCUCUCUAGGCCUUAUAAAAGGCAGAGCAAAGUAGAGGCCAAGGGACAAAAAAAAAACCAGAGGAAAAACCUAGAAAAAAAAGGAGGAAAACGCAAGCAGGAAAAAAAAACUGAGGGGAAGAACACGAAAGAAGAAAACAGAGAGCACGAACGAAAACAGAGAGAGGGAGGGCGACCGAGAACAAAAAACUGGGGGAGUGAGAACACGAAAAAGCCAGGGGAACGAACGAAACGGAGACGAAGGAGCAGGAGGGAAGAACACUGGGAAAAAAAAAAGCAGAGCAAAAGAAAGAAAAACAAAAGCAGAGUAAAGCCACCGAAACCAGAACCAUUGUUGCUACUGUCUUCGGUAUUUCCAAAACCAGGUAAGUAAGCUUCUCUUUCCCCGCUUUUCAUUUUAAUUCACUUCCUUUAUCUGCUCAUGCACGUGUGAUUUAGUUCACGCGUGCUUCAUGUUGCCUAGCUGGGUCACUAGCUUGGGCCAGUGCCUGGCCGGGCUAGUUGGGUCUAGCCCGACCCCUAUGGGCUGAGCUAGGCCCAGGCCCAAAAAAAAUAAAAUAAAAAUUUGUGCAUGUAUAAAUAAAAAAAUAUAAAUAUUUUUUUUUAUUCAUUGACGCUAGAGUCAUGAAUAAAAAUACUGAUUCAAAUUUCUUUCAUUAUAUUUUAUUUAGCUACAUAAAAAAUAAAAAAUUAUGCAUGCGUAAAAAUAAAUUUAUUUUAUUUGUUUAUUCACUAACGCCAGAGUCAUGAAUAAAAAAUACUAAUUUAAAUUUAUUUUGUUUUUAUAGCUACGUAAUAUUUACCAACGCUAGAGAUGAAAGUAUCCGUAGUUGAAUAUUCACUGGCGCCAGAGUCAGGAAUAUUACACGCAAACCAUCAUAGCAUAAACCAACAAAAUGUUAGCAAUUUAUGACAAAACUAGCAAUGCAGCCUGCCUCAGGCAGGACGUUUAAGGGGUGAUAAUAUCUUCCCUUUUGCGUAACCAGUCACGUACUAUAGAAUCUCUGCUGACCAGUCAGGGUUCCUAGUGACCAUAAUACUAGGUGGCGACUCCUUAAACAAGACCAUUCCCCAUUAAAGAACGAGAUGCCAGAAAUCCGUUCUUUCCAUGAAAAUUUUUAAAGCCGUCGCGAUGUCGGGUGCGACAAAGAAUAUAGAGACAUAUAAUGUGAAGCACCAGAAUCCAAGACCUAUUCAAAAUUUGACAUACCUGAAGAACUAUGAGGCAAUUGACUUAUAGAAGAAGCAGACAUUGCUUGUGGAUGUAAGGAGAGAAACUUCUGAAAUUGCUUAGCCAGAGUACUAGGAUCGGUGAUAGGGCCUGAUGAAACUACUGUUGUAGUAUUGUUGUGGGACAUUGAGCCUUCCAAUGACCUUUCUACUUAUAAAAAUUACACUCGUCAAAGGCAACCUCUGUGUAAGGCUUAUUUUGAUGAUUAGAGAAUGACUUGGAGGGUACUACUAGUAUAGAUGAAUUUGAAGUAGAAAGAAUUUUCUUUUUAGAAUAAGACCGGAUAUGUAUUUCUUCAGCCAAUAACCCACUAACAAUAGAGUCAACAGAAGGCAGUGAAGAACGAUGUAGAAUUAAACCUCCGAGUCCUUCAAAAUCACUGUGAAGUGCUAUUAAAAAUUUUACCAAUCAUUGUUGUUCCCUACGAUCAAUAUAGGCACUAAAUGCCUUUAAUUCUGCCGAUUCUAUAAGAGCCAAUUGAUCCUAAAGAUUUGUCAUUGCAGAAUAGAACUCCUGAAUACUCAUAUUCUUCUAGUGAAGAGCUCGUAUGUCAUUCUCUAAUUGAUAUUGUUUUGUAAAAUUUGAUUGCAUAAAUAACCUUUGCAGAUGAUCCCAAACCUCCUUCGUUGUCUCAUACUUCGCCAACUACGUACCUAUGGAAUGCUCAACAAAAUUGUUAAUCCAAGUAAUAAUCUUUGUAUUGUUUGCUUCCCAUGCAUCUAUCAAAGCAACAUCCCCUUCCUCAGUAUUCUUAGGUACCACAUAGGUUCCACUCACAUAUUCCCACAUCUUUUUACCAUUAAAGAAAUUUCGCAUUACAUAACUCCAAUAUAAAUAGUUCUUCCCAUCCAACUCACACUCACAGACUGAAGCGAAUCAUCUCUUUCAGUAGCCAUAAUCAAUAAUUACAUAGAACCAGAAUGCGAAAGCAGCGAAGAACAAAAUACCAAAUUGCACAAACUGAAUAGAUAUUGCAAAAACUAAACAAAUAUCUUCUCGAAGUUAUAUGAUUACUCCAAAACAAAAAAUUGUAGAAACAAAAUGCAAAUACCAAGUUACAGAAACUAAAGAGAGGAUGAAAUACCAAGUUGCAGAAACUGAAGAGAAGAUGAAAUACCAGAUUUGCAGAAACUAAAGGGAAGAAAAAAAUACUAGAUUUGCAAAAAUAAAUCGAAUAUUACUCAAAACAAAACCAAAAAUGAUCAAACCGACAAGAUUGUGCAGCCAAGUCUCUUCAAAAUCCAUCUAGUUCUAAUUAUUAUUUCUAUUUCUUUUCAGUUUUAUCGCAUAUUAAUUUAGUCUUUUAAAAAAACCAAACUGAUUAAUUAUUCUAUUCAUUAAUGUUUUUUUAUUUCCUUGGUUAAUCCUAUAUAUUCGAAUCUAAUAGAUAACAAUGUUUUCAACCAUUUUUAAAGUGUAUUUGUAGUUGUUUUUUUUUUUCCUUAGGACCAUUGACCUGCCUUUUGGUUAUGUGGAAAACAAGAGGGAAAGGCAGAGAACUCAAAUCGAUUGGAAAGUUAUGGUACGAUGACAAACACUUCAAAGCUAGCUUGUUAACGUAUAGUUCCUCCAGCCCUAACAACUAACACUAAGCAUUGUCACAACCAUUGCAUCUGCUUAUAGAGUCUUUGAAGACAAGUUCUCCUUCUAAGUUUCAAAUCUUCUUUGUAGAAAUAAACAUGCACAAUUUUCCUUUCAAAGUUUCAAUAUAUUUAUUUGAUUCAUAUAAUAAUAAUUUUGUGUUGUAGCGUCACUACCAGAAAACCGGAGAAAAGCAACGGAAUUACCGACGGAAAUAUUCCGUCGGUAAUUAAUACCGACGGACAUAAUUCCGUCUCAAAAUCGGUCGGUAUAUACCGACGGAAUCAUUCCGUCGGUAAUGCCGUCGGUAUAUACCGACAGAAUAUUUUCGUCGGUAUAUACCGUCGACUUCACCGACAGAAUAUACAUUUCGUCUGGAAAUACGCAACGGCAUGGUGACGUCAGGCUAUUUUACCGACGGAAAGUACCGAGGGAUUCAAACUAUGAUAGCCGUACAGUGACGUGGCGAUGUCACCGACGGCAUCACCGACGGAAUGAAUCCGUCGGAAAAAGCCAUUAUAUGCACCCACCUGCCGACACUCUCAUCCUCUGUUUCUCCUUCUUCUUCUUUCCCAUCCCACCUCUCCCCUCCUAAACUCCUCCCAAACUGCAGCCAAACACCCAUCCCAAACUCUCCACUAUUCUCAACACGAGCACUCAAGUUUCUUAUAUCUUGUACGUGGUCACAAUACCCGUUUCUUGUAGAUUUUAUCAUUUUUUUGUAAGUAAAUCUAUCCUUUUUAAUUAGUUUUAAUAUUUAAUUGUGAAUUUUAUUGUUUUAGUAUAUGUAUUUUGUUAACGUUUGUACUUGUUUAAUUGUUAUUUGUCAAAGAAACUUGUAGUAUGAAUGUAUAAUUUUGUAGUUGUUAUAGGUUGUUUUAGAUUUUGUCAAAUUAUAUUUGUUUGUAAAUUGUUGAAAUUUUGUUUGAAUUACACCGAAUUAAAUGUGUCGUUGUGAUGAAAUAAAUAAUUAAUAGCUUAUUUAAGUGUCUUGUUUAAUUAUUAUCAAUUAUAUUUCGAAGUUGUGAGUAAUUCUGUAAAUUUAUAUAUGUAUAAAUUUGUAUGUAUGAACGUUGAUAGUUGAUAAUUGAUAAUGAAUAUUUAACAUAAGUGUUGUUUUAGUUUGUUGGAUAAUGUCGGGGAAAACCAAUAUUUUUGUUAUGUUUUAUAGAGGUUCAAUAGAAGUCAUGGAUGAUCGUUCAUGGAUGUAUCGGAACUCACCCCAAGGAUUGCGGAGGAUGGAUUAUUGUAACGGUGUCCAGGGUUUUAUUAAUUUCGCAACAUCUAUUCCGAGGAAUUUUACUGAUGGCGGUAUUAGGUGUCCAUGCAGGAAGUGUAAAAAUUUAAAGUUUCUGCAUCAAGAUGUUGUAACGAUGCAUCUUCUAACCAAAGGGUUCAUGGAAGAUUACCUGUGUUGGUAUGCUCACGGAGAACUAUUUGUUCCUGAUGAGAGCAUGGAAGAACAGGUGGUUGGGUCAACUUCUAGUGCUAGUAACAUGCAUGAAGUUGGAAAUGAGAACAGUAAUCCUUACAGGAAUAUGGUUAUGGAUGCAAUGAGAAUGAGUGAAGAUAAUGUCAAGGGAUGUCCAAUCGUAGAAGAAGAACCUAAUGCAGAUGCAGCAAGGUUUUUUGAUCUGUUGAGAGAUUCUGACGAACCAUUAUGGGAUGGCUGCACGAACCACAGUAAAUUAUCAGCCGUAGCACAGGUGUUCACCAUAAAGUCAGAUCACGGGUUGAGUGAGGCCGGUUAUGACAAGAUUAUUGAAUGGGCGAGAAGCAUUUUACCUGAAGGGAACAGGCUGAAAGAGAACUUCUAUGCUGCCAAGUCCAUGAUGAAACCCCUCGGUUUAGGAUACCAGAAAAUUGAUAUAUGCCCUAACUUCUGCAUGUUAUACUACCUUGAAAAUGCCGAGAUGACCGUUUUGGUUUGACCCAUAAUUGGGUGAAGCGAAGUAUAUUUUGGGAGCUUCCUUAUUGGAAGACCAAUCUUCUCCGCCAUAACCUUGACGUCAUGCACAUUGAAAAGAACGUGUUUGAGAACAUUUUCAACACCGUCAUGGAUGUGAAGGGGAAGACAAAGGACAACAUUAAGGCUAGAUUGGAUGUAGCGCUGUUCUGUAACCGUAAAAAUAUGGAGUUGGUUUGUGAUGGGUCACGGGUCGCAAAACCAAGAGCAAGCUUCGUGCUAGAGAAAAACGCACAACUACUAGUCUACAAAUGGCUUAAGAGUCUGCGUUUCCCCGAUGGACAUGCCUCGAACAUAUCAAGGCUGGUUAAUACGGAGGAAUGCAGAUUAUAUGGAAUGAAGAGUCAUGACUGCCAUGUGUUUAUGCAAACACUCAUCCCAUUAGCUUUUCGUGAUUUGUUGCCAAAGGGGAUAUGGGAUGCACUAACGGAGAUUAGUCAUUUCUUCAGAGAUAUAUGCUCCAGCAAGUUGAAUGUUGAUCACAUUGAGAGGCUUGAAAAGAAUAUCGUCGAGACAAUAUGCAAAUAUGCAAACUUGAGAUGAUAUUCCCUCCAUCAUUUUUUGACUCAAUGGAGCAUCUACCCGUACAUUUACCGUUUGAGGUAAAAGUAGUACAGAUGGAUGUAUCCAUUCGAGAGGUUAGAUAUUACAGUUGCUAUGACAUUUAUAAUUAAAUGUUUUUAUUUUAAUGUUUUUAAUUGAUAAUAUAUAUAUAUAUAUAUAUAUAUAUAUAUAUAUAUAUAUAUAUAUAUAUGCAGGUACUUGUUCAAUCUUAAAAAAAAGGUUAAGAACAAGGCGCAUGUUGAGGCGUCAAUAUGUGAGGCGUAUAUUGUUGAGGAGAUCUCAACAUUUAUCUCAUACUAUUUCGAACCUCAUUUGAGAACGAGGAUAAACCGUGUUCCACGGCAUGAUGAUGGUGGUGAAGUGCAUUCAAGUGGGAACUUGUCAAUAUUCUCCAAUCCUGGACGACCCACACCUAAAAAUGCCGUGAGGGGAAGAUAUUUGUCUGAAAUAGAGUUCAGACAAGCACACAAUUAUGUCCUAUUUAACUGUGAUGAGCUGAGACCUUUUAUUAAGUAAGUAGAUGUUCGACUUAAACUUUGUCAAGAGUGUACUAUUUAUGUUUUGUGAUACCAUACACUCAUAUACUUUGGAACAACCUUGCAGGCAACAUCGACGAUACUUACUGUCCAAUAACUCAAAGCUGACCGAAUCCCAGAUCUUUCAAUUACAAGAUGAACAAUUUGCCACAUGGUUUAGAACACAUGUAAGUCCUAGCACAAACUCAUUAUCUCUUGCAAUGUAAUUAAUUGUAGUCAAUGUUACAUAAUAUCCGUUUAUUGAUUAUUGUUGUAUUUAAUUUACGAGCUAGGUUUAUCAAAUGGGAGGUAGUGCUGCUAUUUCACUGUCUUUACUAUGUCUAGGCCCUGAAAGAAAAGUCAAGUGCUAUAAUGGAUAUUUUGUCAAUGGAUAUGUCUUUCAUACUGAAGAAUACGGGCAUGGAAGAAAGACAUACAACAGCGGUGUUUGUAUUAAGGGAUCGACUUCUAGUGAGUUUGAAGUUGACUACUACGGUAGAUUGGAAGAGGUCAUCGAACUGCAAUAUCAUAGCGAGCAAAAUAGAGUGUUUUUAUUCAAAUGUUAUUGGUAUGACACAACUGACAGAGGAAUCAGAGUAGAUCCUCACUAUGGUCUCGUUGAAAUCAAUUCAAAAGCUAGACACCGCAACGUAAACGACGUCUUUGUUUUCGCAAAGCAAUGCCAACAAGUUUAUUACACAUACACCCCUUCCUUUAGAAAGGACCGAUCAAGAGUUGAUUGGUUAUCCGUUUUAAAAACAAAACCCAAGGGUCGUGUCGAGGUUGUUCAGGAUGAGAACGAAGACACAAGUGUGAUAGAUGAAGUCUUUCAAGCUAGUGAGUUGGUUGAACCAUACCGAGUUGCUCCGUCGAUUGACUUAGAAGAAAAUUCGAAUUUUCGCGUUUUCAACGAUAGUCUUGUUGAUGUUGACGCAGAGGAGUUGAAUGUUGUUCUGAGCUCCACUAGUGGAAAAAAGAAUGUUGUUGAAGAAGAUGAUAACGAAAUUGAAGAGUGCGAUGAAGCUGAUGAUAACAAUUCAAUGGAGGACGAAGAUGAAAAUUCCGACUAACUAAACAUGUUAUAAAGUUUUAUUUUUAUAAUGUAAUAAUUUGAAACAUGAAAUAUUUAUUCUUCUUUAAGGGUCAGCCGUUGUUAUUAUGUUGUGUGUGUUUUUUAGUUAGCAAUUCAAGAUUUUUUGAGAGGGUUACAUAUAAAAAAUAAGAAAAAUUUACCUUUUCACCGACGUAUAUACCGACAGACUAUAACCCGUCGGUAUUUCACAGAGAGUUGCAAAAAAAUUACGGGAUUUUGCCACAUUCACCGACGGAUAUACCGACGGAAUAUAACCCGUCGGUAUUUCACAGAGAGUUGGAAAAAAAUUACGGGAUUUUGCCACAUUCACCGACGGAUUUCCGACAGCUUUUCCGACGCCAAUACCGACGGCAUCACCGACGGAAUUGUCCGCACGCAUGUCUGACACGUGUCCGUCUGCACCAUCACCGACGGCAUUUCCGACGGAUUACCGACGGAUCGAAAAGUUUGGCGGGAUUUUCGAACUUUUUUGGUGCGCAUUUCAAUUAAUUUCCGACGGAAUUACCGACGGAAAUUAAUUUCACCGACAGCAAUUAAGGGCCGUCGGUAAUUCCGUCGGAAUUUCCCUAUAUAUACCGCCCCCCCACCNNNNNNNNNNNNNNNNNNNNNNNNNNNNNNNNNNNNNNNNNNNNNNNNNNNNNNNNNNNNNNNNNNNNNNNNNNNNNNNNNNNNNNNNNNNNNNNNNNNNCCCCCGCACCGUCUCCUCCUUCCCCUCGUCUCCCCCUCCCUCUCCCCGUCGUCUCCCCCUCGUCUCCCCCUCCCUCUCCCCCUCGUCUCCCCCGUCGUCUCCCCCUCCCUCUCCCCGUCGUCUCCCCCGUCGUCUCCCUCUCUUCUCCUCUUCUCCCUUCCUCUUCUCCUCUUCUCCCCCUCUUCUCCUUUCACUUCUCUUCUCCUCUUCUCCCUUUCUCUUCUCCUCUUCUCAAGUGUGAUCUUCUUCUCUCAUUUAGUUUCAAAAGGUAUGUAUUUUUUUUUCUUUAUCUUUGUAUUUUUUUUAUUUUAAUUAUGAUUAUUUUUUUUGGUGUUCUUUGUUUUGUAUAUUGUUUGUAGAUAAAAUCUUAAAUUCAACACAUUAUUAAGGUAAGCAUUUUUUAUUCCCAAAUUUAUUUUGAAUUGAUAUAAUGUUUUUUAAUUUUGUGUGUUGUGUAGUGUUUUUUAGUUUUUUAAUUUUAUUUAUUAAUUUUAGUUUUUUAGUUUUGAUAUUAUUGUUUGUAUUGUUAUAAUUGUUAUUGUUGAAUUUAUGUUAAAAAUGUUAGUUUAUAAAUAUAAUUGUUAUUGUUGAUUUAUUUUAAAAAUGUUAGUUUAUAAAUAUAAUUGUUAUUGAUGAUUUAUUUUAAAAAUGUUAAUUUAUAUAUAUAGAAUUGCAUUUAAUUAUUAGUGUAUCUUAAUUUAGGAUAUUAUUGUUUGUAUUGCUAUAAUUGUUAUUGUUGAAUUUAUGUUAAAAAUGUUAGUUUAUAAAUAUAAUUGUUAUUGUUGAUUUAUUUUAAAAAUGUUAGUUUAUAAAUAUAAUUGUUAUUGUUGAUUUAUUUUAAAAAUGUUAAUUUAUAUAUAUAGAAUUGCAUUUAAUUAUUAGUGUAUCUUAAUUUAGGAUAUUAUUGUUUGUAUUGCUAUAAUUGUUAUUGUUGAAUUUAUGUUAAAAAUGUUAGUUUAUAAAUAUAAUUGUUAUUGUUGAUUUAUUUUAAAAAUGUUAGUUUAUAAAUAUAAUUGUUAUUGUUGAUUUAUUUUAAAAAUGUUACUUUAUAUAUAUAGAAUUGCAUUUAAUUAUUAGUUUAUCUUAAUUUAGGAUAUUAUUGUUUGUAUUGCUAUAAUUGUUAUUGUUGAAUUUAUGUUAAAAAUGUUAGUUUAUAAAUAUAAUUGUUAUUGUUGAUUUAUUUUAAAAAUGUUACUUUAUAUAUAUAGAAUUGCAUUUAAUUAUUAGUUUAUCUUAAUUUAGGAUAUUAUUGUUUGUAUUGCUAUAAUUGUUAUUGUUGAAUUUAUGUUAAAAAUGUUAGUUUAUAAAUAUAAUUGUUAUUGUUGAUUUAUUUUAAAAAUGUUAGUUUAUAUAUAUAGAAUUGCAUUUAAUUAUUAGUUUAUCUUAAUUUAGGAUAAAAUAAUUAAAUGAAUGUUCAUAGUUGUAAUUCUAUAUGAUGUUAUUGAAUAAAAUGUUGUGUUGAUGAUGAUGAGUUGGGUUGAGAUCCAGGAUGAUUGGAUCGGGAUGUGAAAUAAAAUUGGAAGUGUAAUAUGAUUUUGUCGACAACUUGGGACCCCCCAGUACAGGGGAGACUCUGUCGAAUUUUUUUUUUAAAUAAUCGAAGUUAAUUAUUCGUAUACAUGUGUGUAGAUGCGUAGAAUGAAAUCGACAGCACGUCGUCAGAAGACGGUUGCAGCUAGUUCUUCUAGCAGCGAGGAGGAUGUAUCCUUAGGUGCUGAUCACGGCGAGGAAUCUACGCCAACUUGUGAUGCUGCCUCUUCUAGCGCGGUUUCACAGCGCAGAAGCGGUGUGCCUUCACAGCGGGGUCAAUUCACCCGCAAGUACUAGGCACAAUGGAAGGAUGACCUCUCAAUGUAAGUUUGUUUAGGUUUUAGAUUUUUUUUAUAUACUUAUAACAUAAUUUAUGAACAACUAAUUAAUAUUAAUUACUACUUUUAUUUAAUUUCAGGUUUACAAACAUUGAGGCUGCAAGGACUAUAACAUUGGCGUUUAAAUCGUCGAUGGAGAUUCCAUUGUUUCAAUGGAGCCAGGUUUCCAAACAUCCUGAGUGGAAACCUAAUAUCGAUGCAUGGUUUAAGCGAUUUCAGGUCGGUGUUAAUUUUUAAUUUCCAGCUUAUUUUUAAUAAAUGAUUUUUAUAAUUUUAUAUCUUGUACUAUUUUUAUUUUAUAUGAAUUAUUUAUAUACACAGAACAAAUUUGAGUGGGAUAGGGCGGACAACAAUGUUGUGAGGAGGGUAUGGGAGAAUCACGCGGCAACUAGGUAACAUCAAAAAUAAUAUUUAUUUUUGUUUUAUAAUUUAAUGUUUUAAAUUCUAAUUUGUUACUAUGGAAGUAGGUUGCGUGAUUUUUGGUAUGACACCCAAAAAAAAUCAAAAAAACAUGCGAGGGAUAACGGUCUUGAAGGAUGGAAUGAGGUGGCGGUUUGGCAGGAAUUCAAACCGCCAUUCAUCUCGGGGGAAAUAUGGACGGCAUAUAUUGAGCACGUGACCUCAGAGCGGUUCUCACGGCGCUCACAGUCUGGCGCCGACAACCGGAACCGACAAAUUUAUGGUUCGGUGACCACGCACACUGGCGGAUCCGUCCCAUUCAGCGCACAUGCAAAGCGGAUGGUAAGAUUAAUUUUAUUGAAAUAUAUCGAUAAUUAAUUUGUCGUUCCUUAUAAUAUAUUUAACUUUCAACCUAUUUUUUCCUUACAGGCUGCGUCUCUUGGACGUGAACCGAGUCCAAUGGAGCUGUUUCUAGAGACGCAUGUGCGGAGUCAAGACCGCCAAAAAGGGGUGCAGCAGUUCGUGGACAACCGUGCUCAGCACUUCGUGGUAUGUUCGUUCAUUCAUUUUAUUUUGUAAGUUAUUAUUUUCUUGAAUUGCAUCUUGAAUUGCAUUUGAUGAUUUUUUUACCGAUGGAAUUUUCAGGAGACCUAUAAUAGCCGGUUGAGGGAGAGAUAUGGGGACAAUCCGUCGACCCAUCCAGAUUUCGAUCCAGAUUUGUGGAUGGAGGCGGGAUCGUCUGGUGGACCCGAUAAAAACAGGGUCUACGGGCUCUCCAACACUACGGCUGACAACUUGCGUUCGACUCGUAGUGUCUCAAUUGUUGGAAGCUCUCCAUCAGUAUCGAACACCCAGUCUGAGGAGUUCAUUGCGUUGAAACAACAAUAUCAACAACUCUCGACGAAUUAUGAUGAGCUCCGUCAAAUAGUCAUGGAGAUGAGAUCAAAGAUGGGUGACGAUACUUGUGCAGCUUCUUUUUGGCCAUUUGGUCCCGGAAACAACCAGCCUCCUCCUCCUCCGCCUCCUCCUCCAGCUCCGCCGCUAUUCUAGUUUAAUUUUGUUUUUUAAACACAUUAAACUUGUAAUGAAUAUUAUUACUUUUACAUUUUUUAUGUUUAAUGCAUUUUUAUUUGUUUAUUAAUGUUUUUUACAAUUAAUAAAUUAUUUUUUUUAUAUAUUUCAAAUAUUUACCGACGGAUAUACCGACGGAAAAUAUCCGUCGGUAUUUAACAGAGAGUUGGCGAACAAUUACCAUCCAUGCCAUCGUUACCGACGGCAUCACCGACGGAUAAUAUCCGUCGGUGAUUAACGACGGCCAUACCGACGGCUAAUAUCCGUCGGUAUUAGACAGAGAGUUGCAACAAAAUUACAAGCCAUGCCAUAAAUACCGACGGAAACCCCGUCGGUGAUGCCGUCGGUAAUUACCCUUAAAAGUACCGAUGGAUUGGCCGUCGGUAAUGUUCUCGCGAGGAAUUUUUUUUUGGCGCGCGUAUCCGUCUGUAUUACCGUCGGUGUGUCCGUCGGUGAAUGGUUUUUUUUAUUUGCGAUAGAAUUAGCGACGGAAAUGGGAUUUACCGACGACUGUUUUACCGACGGACGUGAUCCGUCGGUGAAUCCGUCGGUAUUGUUUUCACCGACGGAGUUCAUUGCUAUCACCGACGGAAUUAAUCCGUCGGUAAAACUGGAUAAUGUUGUAGUGCGUACUUAGUUAGCACACGUUUCUAAAUCUAGAAGUUGCGGUUUAUUUCAACGUCAUCUAUAUAUGUUGUGCCCACGUACUAGUAGGUUCAGAUAAAGGAAAAUUGUGCAUGUUUAUUUCUACAGAGAAGCUUUGAAACUUGGAAGGAGAACUUGUCUUCAAAGAAUUUAUAAGCAGAUGCAACGGUUGUGACAAUGCUUAGUGUUUGUUGUUAGGGCUGGAGGAACUAUACGUUAACAAGCUAGCUUUGAAGUGUUUGUCAUCGUACCAUAACUUUCCAAUCGAUUUGAGUUCUCUGCCUUUCCCUCUUGUUUUCCACAUAACUUUCCAAGGACUUGGAUCGAUUUGAGUUCUUAGCCUUUCACUCAUGUUUUCCCCAUAAUUGCAAAUUAUUAUAUAUAAAACUAAAUCAUACGAGGAAAGUUCUAUUUAUAAAAACUAAUUGUACUGUAAAUUGGAACAGUGUUAGCAAAAGUCUUGUUUAUCAAGAUUCAUGGCACUGUCAAUUGGAGCAAUAUAAUGACAGAGUUACCCUUGUCACAGAGAGGUGCAAAGAUUGUAGGGGGAGGGUGGGCUGGGUUGUCUUUUCAUUAGGAUACAUUUGAUAUUAAAGAAAUAGUUAAGAAAAAAACGAUCAUUGUAAAUUUUGAUGGGAUAUAGUAGGACUACAGACCCGGUUGUAGACACAUGGUGCUAGGCAAUCAUGCCCUGCCACAUAUGGUGGACUAAAGAAAAAGUUUUUAUGGUUUCAUUAACCAGCUGCAACAAGGCUAUAUAUAUUUUAUUGUUGUUUGCAUUGAUCAAAUCACACUAUCUUGCUGCAUAACCUCAAGCAUUACUCAGUUGUAAGAAACUUGACCGACUAAUUUCACAAAUACAUGGAGGAUAGGUCGUUCUAGCAAAAAAAUACUGUAUGAACAUUUCUUUGCAAGCUUACACACACACUGAAUCUCCUUAAUUUACUAGUAAAAAGAUGAUGGCUUCACCGCUUUAAGUGAGAAAGAGAAUGGCAUAAAGCACCCAUCACCUCCAAAAGGCUCUGUAGAGAGUCCAACAUCAUAAACCAUGGUGAGAUCAGUCUUGAAAAGUCGAAAUGAUCGCUCAGAACCAGAUCCAGGUUUCAAGUCUUCGUCAUGAAGAGCAAAG